RNAcentral lists this long non-coding RNA (453584 nucleotides) under Triticum aestivum (bread wheat). Its description in RNAcentral is "long non-coding RNA (TAES_LNC008353)". The stretch from base 347397 to 347531 matches the Rfam family "MIR1120/MIR1122 microRNA precursor family". Lineage: Eukaryota; Viridiplantae; Streptophyta; Magnoliopsida; Poales; Poaceae. The record is from RNAcentral.
AAAUUUUAACAAUAUGAAGUAUGUUUGGUUUUUUUUUUUCUGUUAUUCUUUGUUGACUUGUCAUCGUCCAAUCUGCCUAUGUGGCUAAAACCACCUCUCCCUUUUAGAAAAAAUGUGUGCUUACCUUAGCAACACUGCCUUAGGUAUAUAUGAUCUAGUUUGUGAUAGAUCAAAAGGGUUAGAUAUUCAAAAAUAUAACUUGUGUCCCUCAAAAUAAGUAUAGGUUGAGGCGCAACGAGGAGCGACUAGGUCUCGCCCGCAGCGAGACAGGGCUAGCCUAACCUGAAGCAAGGCAAUAGUGGGCCAGCCCAAUAGGGAAACAUGGGUUUAUUACGUAGUCAUGUUUCAUUCAGUAUUUCUUCUUAAUUUAUUUUUUCCUUACAUUUCAAAAAAAUACUUAAGUUUUUAAAACUUUCAUCGCACAUUUAAAAAAUGUUCACGCAUUUUACAUAAAGUGUUGAUAUCAUAUAAAAAACUGUUGCUGAUAUUUAAAAAUGCUCAGGCUUUUCGAAAACAAUGUUCAUGAAAGUUUAGAAAAAUGUUUAUACAAUACAAAAAAGUAUUUAGGUAAUUCAAAAAAAUGUUUCAUACAAUUCAAAAAAAUUAAAUGACUCUUUUGAAAAAAUGUCCACGUAUUUCAAAAUGUGUUCAUGACAUUUAAAAAAACUUAUACAAUAUAGAAAUAUAUUUCAUACCAUUUAAAAAAAUUCAUGUGUAUUUGCCAAUUCUUUAACAUGUAUUCAAAAAAAAUUAAAACAUGUGUUUAAAAAAUAUAUGUCAUGUAUUUGGAAAAUAUUCAACAUGUAUGAAAAAAAUGUUCCAGGUGUGUACCAAAAAUAUGUAAUGUGCAUUGAAAAAGUUUGACAUGUGUUGGGAAAAGAAAAAAGUAAAAAAAAAAUAGGAAACCCCAAAAAAAACGGUGAAGAAACACAAAAAUCCUGAAAAAAACACGCGAAAGCUUCUAAAACAUGUACACACCGGUAAUAGAAGCUUCAUAGAACUGGGUAGCUGUCCCAUUCUAUCGCUCACCUACGGUGAGACGGAACUUGGUCUUGCAGUAGACGAGAUAUAGCACCCGCGGGCACAAUGUGCCUCUGGAAAUACUUCCCUUUGAAAAUUAACAAGCUAAUGGAGCCCAAAUUCAAGUGGACCUAGUCUCGCGCACAUUUUUGGUAUAUGGGCCCUCAUAUUUUCGCCUAUAUUUCUCCCAUUUGCCUACAUGAUAAAGAAAACAGUACGGCCCAAAACAAUUCCCUACAGAAAUGACCCUAGAGAGAAAAAAAAACUACCCAAGGUGCUGCUCAAAUAGUAAUAAGGAACAUUGAGGCACUUUCCAUUAGAAAAACAUUAAGGCACUGUUCUGUAUUUUUACUUUUUUAGAAAAUAAGAGACACUCAGGUGAUAUUAAAGAAAAACAAAUGACAUUCAUGUUGUUCUACUUUCCACAGUUUGGAUUUCAUUUCGUGUACACAAAAGAAUUGGCGUUUGGACAUUUGUUGUAUGUCCACGUCUAACUUUUUUAUUGGUUUCUUGGCUAUAUCCAUCGGUUGUCUUUUCUUACUUUUCAAUGGAGGAAAUGCUGCAUACACUCUAUAUUCUUAUUCUUGGCCUUGCUUGCAUGGUUGUAUUUCGUCUUGCUUCCUGCAAGAGGAAAACGAUGAGGCCGGAUACCAAUUUUGACAUCUCUUCCCACCAAGACAUAAUAGUGCGCUGGCAAAACUUAGCGUCACAAUCAGUAGCCCCCGGUGUAAUAUUAAACCUUAGAAUCAUACUGUAUAUGCGUAUACAUAGGUGUAUCAGAUAUUAGAGCUGGUUUGCAGAGUUAUUUUAGCUGUAUUUGCAGGAUUUUUUCUUCUCCUUUUUUGAGUUGUGUUUGCAGAGUUAAUUAUGUGGCAUCGGUGACUCAUAAAGAGCGAUGCAAUGACAAGACUAAACCAAAAUCAAGUGGGGGUUUAGUGGUAGUGGGUCAAUAUAUGUAUGGCAACAGCCAAUCAUGCAUGGAGACGUAUGCAACAUGAUUGGAGGAUUGCAAGCACUAGAUUUGAUGAAACUAUAUAUACGUACAUAACCUCCAUCAUGGUUUAUUAGUCUCCUUUAUAAUUUGUGCUAAAUUUUAACCAAAUAAUUAACUGACAAAAUAUUAGUGCAUGUCAACAAUUCUUUUAUCGUUGGAUUCGUAUUUAAACAUACUUUUCAACGAUAUAAUUUUUAAUGACAUGCAUGAAGAUUUUGUUAGUUAAAUUUAUGGUCAAAUUUGACAGAGAUUACAAUGAGGAUCAAUAAACCAAGACGGAGGUAGUAUAUAUCAGAUCUUGCGGAACAUAUUAUAUAUGUCAGCUGGCAUGCGCUCGUGGAGCACGUGCAUGCAUGAUAAAGCUUGUACGGGUCCAUCUACCUGCAGCAUCUCAUAUGAUGCUACCGUGAGAAAGCUUGCAUUACCUGGUCAAAAGAGAAAGCUUGCAUUAUUAUGUUAUUAAUGGCUAGGUUUGCCAGUUUUGCACGUAUUGCCACUAAUUAAACUAUCGUGAGAAUUUGUUUGGAAAAUUGACCCAAGGUGGUAGAUAGCUACACGCCAAAUGGACAUGUCAAAAUCCAGACCUUGAUCUUCAAUGGCGGAGCUAUGUGAAGACUAGAAAAAUCAGGGAAGAAACUUCAUUUAGGUGCUAAGAAUAAGAAUUUGUUCCAAUGCCCAACCAAUGGACAUGAAUACAUGAUUAACCGGAAGCAGUUAGGCUAUUGGAUAAGAAUGAACUACUGUUUCAACACGUACGUCAGACGUCGAUGUGUCUCUUUUUUUCACUUUUCUAUUGCAAGGAUGUUGAUGUGUCUUUGGAUCUUUCAGCCAAUAUAUGGUUUCCCUACACGCUGAUCGAGCAGAGUCAAUCAACGUUCCCCAAUUAAUUAGCUAGCAAAGCUGCUGUCACAAGUCACGGCAGUUCGCAGGCUACUAUAUGUAUACAGCAAGAUGCUGCUCUCUAUGGAUGUUUUUUUUGCGGGAAUGCUCUCUAUGGAUGUUAAUGUGGCCGGCCGAUCCCUGGAAGGUCACGACUAUAAGAAAGAGACUUUGUUUGCCGAAAAGGUUGAAUAGGGCUCGGGAAUGGGCGCUGUUCGUAUCCGUAAGCAGCAGUUCAACAACUUGUCUUGUAAAGGAUAUGUCCCGAACUCCCGAUUACAACGCGCUCAAUGAUAUUGAGUUCUCGCGCCUAUUGAGGGGGGCGGCUUAGUUUCUCAAAACUUAUAAAUCCGUCUAGCUUGUACUCCCUCCAUUCCCAAAUAUAAUUUUUUUAGAGAUUUUAACAAGUGACUAUAUACAAAGCAAAAUAAGUGAACCUACGCUCGAAAUAUAUAUGUCUACAUACGUUCGUAUGCUGUUUUCAUUUAAAAUGUCUAAAAAGACUUAUAUUUAAGAACGGAGAGAGUACAUGUUUGGUGUCAUACGGUUUCUUCACAAAAAUCGCGGGAGAACGUUGAGAUCAAUGCAAAAAAAAGGAAAAGCUAGAGCGUUGGGGCGCACACCUGCGGGGUCCUUCUUGGACGUAUGAUUAUUUUAAGAUUCGCGAAUGUGUGUAGUCUUAGACAUUUUUUUAAUGUAGAGUGGUGUCCAUCAUGCAUGCUUUUCGAAGGUUUUGGGCCAUUCACCCCACCACCAAUUUCUUUUUCAUUUCUUCUAUUAAUUUCAAUCUACUAAAUCUUCUGAAUCAAAAGGCCAAAUUUAAAUUUUGUUUUCAUAUUUGUGUUUGUUGGGACGAAAACGUUUGAACAAGACCAAACUUGAAUACAUUUUGACAACCUAUUAAAAAAAGUUUCAAAUUUCAAAUAUUGAAACAUGGUAGUCGUAACAUUAAGUUUUAUCAAGUUUCAUGCGCUUUUAGGAUUUUAGGGUUCUAGGCUUAGGGUUUCAUUUUUAGUUUUUGAAACUUGCUGAAAAGGUCACGACUAUAAGAAAGUGACUUUGUUUGCCGAAAAGGUUGAAUAAAGGGUGGAGCACGCGCGCUAUUCGUAUCCGUCAGUAGUAGUUCGACAACUUGUCUUGUAACGGAUGUGUCCUCCUCGCUAGAACGCGCUCAAUGAUAUCGAGUUAUCGUCUAUUGAGGUGGACGGCUUAGUUUCUCAAAACUUAUACUCUCCCCAUUCCAUAAUGUAGUGCAUUUAGAUUUUCUGAAAAUUCAAAUAUUACAAACUUUGAUCAUGUUUGUAGGCAAACAUAUGCACAUUUUAAAUACCAUAUGCAUAUCAUUGUAUACAUCCAAUAGUGUAUACAUCAUCGGUUAUAUUAUCAUGUUGUAUAUUUUUGAAAUUGUAUAUAUAAAUAGGUUUCUUUGUAAACUCAGUCAAAGUCUACUUAGUUUGACUUCUUAGAAAAAUCUAAACGCACUACCUUGUGGAACAGAAGGAGUAUAUAUGUCCAGCUUUUACAUGUUUGGUAUAAUUGCAUAUAUCAAUAUCAAGGUUAAAGAUUUGUCAGAUGGUAUCUUCACGGAAGUCAUGGGAGAAUGUUGAGAUCAAUGCAAAAGAGGGAAAGCUAGAGCCGACGAGUUUGAAGAAUCCUAUGGUAACACUACUGUUGUAGUUUGGUUACCAAUGAUGACCUCAAAAAGCCUACCAGUGGUGGAAGCCCGCCACUGGUAACAUGUCACUAGUAGUACUCCUUCCGUACCGAUGUAUAAUUUAUCUUACCAAAACCAAAUAAUCUCAAAACACUUAGGCUCCGUGCAUUAACUCCGAUCUCGUUUCUUGUUUAUUGACAUGAAUAAAGGAAACAACCAAUAAGAGACAUGGGGCGUGUAUAUUUUUAGUGAAUUGAGACUACCUAGCACGGCAUGCAGUGGUCAGUUCAUUGCAUGCAAUGGUAUUAAUUAGCAAAUAAAUAUUAAGUUCUCUUGUUUUUUCCUCUACCUUGGUCGCGGUGCACAACGUAAGAUGACUUAUGCACCGAUACAGAGGGAGUAAUUGCUUAUACGACCUCUUUAUCCACAAAAAUAUCAGUGCACCUCCAUCUGGUUUUAUUAGGCCCGAGAGCGAUGGAACUAAGGGACGUAAAUUUGCAGAUUUCAUAACUCUGUCCCAUCCGCCGGUUGUGGGAAAUAAAUUCCAACAGGCGGCGCUUGCAUGAGGUGGGAGGCGCGACGGUUUUGCGAACCGAUGUGUUUUAAUAGGCCAAUUCAAAGCCGCACAACGUGGUGCCUUGGUCCCAAUAUUGUGCCCUAAGACUACCCAUAAUGGGAGUAACAUAGGUGGUAACAUCACACCUAUCUAGGCAAAAUAGAUGAUGUGGCAUGUAAUUAAUGAAGAAAGAGAGGCAUGUGGUAACGUAGCUAGUUACUGUAACAUCACACAUAUCAAGGCAAGAUGUGUCUAUAGCCUAAUAAAUAAAGUGUUGCAUGUUACCACAUAUAUGUUACUCCCACUGUAGAGGUAGUAACAUAGACUAGUAACAUGCCCAUGUUACUAGUCUAUGUUAUUAUCCAUUGUGGCUAGUCUAAUAAACCUGAAGGAAAAUAUUCAUUCAAUCCUUGGAUCAUUUAUAUCCCACCAUUUCAGAAUCUGAACGAAUCAAAGAGGAUAUCUCUUUUUUUUCCUUUUGUGAAUGAAUCAAAGAGGCUCUUGUACGUACGAAUCAAAGAAGGAAAAUAUACACCAUCAUUCAAUUCAUCGCGUGUAGACAUUGUAUAUAUACACAUGCUUUACAAAGAUGAAGUCAAAAACUUCUACCCAGUCAACUUGGUCGGGGGAGGGGAUGUAUAAUCAUACCAACAUGGAACCGCCUAAGACUAAAGCUACGCCUAGAUAUGAGAUCAUGUGGGAACGGCACCUGGCGUUGGCUUCGGUUGUAGCGGAUCAGUGGGGGAAAAGCAAACCUACAGGUACUUUAGGUGCUGUCAGGGAGGCUCUUAGAGAGAUGAUGGCGAAGCUGCGUUCAUGGAGUAAGGAGAACUUUGGCCAUGUCACGUCUGAAAUUGAAAAACUCCGGGGAAAGUUAGCGAAAUUGCAACUUUAAGACGCGGAAAGAACUUUGAUAAAACAGAAAAUGUAUCAGUUGGAUGAACUACUCUAUAGAGAGGAGAUGCUUUGGUUACAGAGAUCUAGGAUUAUGUGGUUAAAGGAGGGAGAACGUAACACAACAUAUCUGCAUCGCCGGGCUGUGUGGCGUGCGCGACGGAACUACAUCCAGCGACUGCGCCAAGCUAAUGGUACCUGGUGCUCAGUGCCGUCGGAUAUGGAGCGCAUGGCCACCUCGUAUUUUAAGGAAGUAUAUACUAAGGAUCCAACGCUUACGCCUGCGGGUGUGCUCGACGGAAUUGCACCCAAAGUGACACAGGGCAUGAAUGACAUCUUGUGUGCGCCCUUCUCUGAGGAGGAAGUGUCUAAUGCUGUGUUUCAGAUCGGCCUAAUUAAAGCACCUGGCACAGAUGGCCUGCCGGCUAGGUUUUUCCAGCACAACUGGUCUGUUUUGAAGACAGAGAUCAUAGCUGCGGUGUUGGAUUUCUUCAAGUCAGGAGUAAUGCCAGAGGGAGUGAAUGAUACGGCCAUCGUCCUUAUUCCAAAAGAUCCUCACCCAAAGGAACUAAAGGACUUCAGACCGAUAAGUCUAUGCAACGUGCUAUAUAAAAUCGUGUCUAACUGCCCGGUUAAUCGUCUUCGACCUUUGUUAGGGGAAUUGAUCUUGGAGAAUCAAAGUGCAUUCAUUCCUAGAUGACUUAUUUCUGAUAAUUCCAUCAUUGCCUUUGAGUGCAUCCAUCAUAUACAAACUCUGAAAUCUAACAGACCAGCAGCUUGUGUUUACAAACUGGAUCUCUCGCAGGCAUAUGAUCGUGUGGAUUGGGAUUUUUUUUUUGAGCAAGCCCUAAUUAAUUGGGGUUUCUCGUUGGAGUGGAUUUCUUGGAUAAUGGCUUGUGUUAAGUCUGUCAAAUACUCUGUCAAGUUCAAUGGGAAGUUGCUUGAGACGUUUACCCCAUCUCGUGGGCUUAGGCAAGGUGACCCCCUGUCCCCCUUCCUGUUCCUUUUUGUUGCUGAUGCUUUGUCCUCUCUAAUAUCAAAAUCAGUUAAUGAGGGAGAGUUGAAGGGGGUUUCGAUUUGCCGCGGAGCACCAGUCAUAUCUCAUCUACUGUUCGCGGAUGAUACUAUGUUACUAUUUGAAGCGACGAGCCACCAAGCGAGCAUUGUCAAAGGUUUGUUGAGCACAUAUUCCAGAGCGACAGGUCAACUUAUCAACCCCGAAAAGUGUUCCAUCCUUUUUUCAGACAAUUGCAUUGAGUCGGUGGCAGUGGAGAUGAAGAAUAUUUUGAAGGUUACGCAACAAGUGUUUGAGCCUAAGUACCUAGGCUUACCUGUACCGGAAGGAAGGGUACAUAAAGGGCAAUUUGAGACCGUGCAGGACAGGCUGAGGAAAAGACUUGUUGAUUGGAGUGAACAAUAUGUGUCGUCAGGCAACAAGGAAAUUUUAAUAAAGGCGGUGGCGCAAGCAAUACCUACUUAUGUGGUGAGUGUCUUCCGCCUGCCGGCGUCCGUGUGUGAUGAUUUAACACGGAUGAUGAGAAAGUACUGGUGGGGAGUGGAGAAUGGUAAAAGAAAGAUGGCUUGGCUCAGCUGGGAGAAGAUGACUCUACCCAAGGACAUGGGGGGUAUGGGGUUUCGAGAUAUGCGGGCAUUCAACCAGGCAUUGCUUGCAAAGCAGGCUUGGAGGUUACUAGACAGCCUGGAUAGUCUUUGUGCUCGCCUUCUACGGGCUAAAUAUUACCCGAACGACAAUCUUUUGGACACGGUAUUCCCGUCUAGCUCUUCUGCAGUCUGGAAGGGAAUUGCAUAUGGCCUUGAAUUGUUGAAGAAAGGACUGAUAUGGAGGGUGGGGAACGACACGUUGAUUAAAACAUGGAGGGAUGCAUGGAUUCCCAGGAGACAUGACUUCAAACCGAUAACCCCAAAAGGCAGUUGCAUAUACAACUGGGUAGCUGAUUUCCUGGAAGAGUCAGGAGCUUGGAAUGUGAACAGACUACGACAAUAUUUUUGGGAUAUGGAUGUUUGUGAAAUACUGUAGAUUCAGACGUCCCCGAGGGGUGGGCAAGACUUCUUAGCUUGGUUUCCGGAGAAGAGUGGUUGCUUUACUGUUAGAAGCGCUUAUCAUCUCGCUACCUCAAAAGGGCCGGCAGGGUUGGGUUCUUCUAGCGCCGCUCCUGACGGGCACCACUCGAUCUGGCGAUGGAUCUGGAACGCAAACCUCCCUCUGAUGAUGCGGAUAGUAGCCUGGAAGGUGGUGUCCGGGGCGUUAGCUACUAAUGCAUGCAAGAAGUACAGACACAUUGCUACUCGUGAUACAUGCCCGCUAUGUGGUUCUGAGAAGGAAACUAGUGUCCACGCUCUCAUCACAUAUGAUCAUGCACAUGCGUUGUGGAUGCAAAUGCACCAGAUUUGGGCCUUGCCGGAUAACCAGUUGCUGAAGGACACUGGGAAGGACUGGCUCCUUAAUAUUCUGCUAAAUUGUGACGAUGCAAUGAGGGACUGCAUAAUCAUGCUUCUGUGGAGAAUCUGGUCGCUGCGUAAUGAUCAUACACAUGCUACGGCGAUUCUGACGACCGCAGCGACAGCAGACUAUCUUCAGAGCUACAUGUCAUCCACACAGUUGGCUAGGAGGUAUACUACCGAGGAAAUACUGAAGGGAAAAAUGUCGACUGUUGUUACUAGCAGGGAUACCCCGCGCGCAGCAGCAGCGGCGCUGCACUGGCCGAGGCCUCCACCUGGACAGAUUGCCCUAUCUGUGGAUGGAGCCUUUUCUGGGGCAGAUGGUUCAGCAGCAGCGGGAAUGGUGUUGCGGAGGAACGAUGGCAAUGUCAUCUUUGCAGCGUAUCGGUGCAUAUUUAACAGCAAUGACGCCCUAGAAGCCGAACUACAUGCUCUAAUACAAGGAAUGGCCCUGGCUAUUCAACAUAGUGAGGGGCCUGUCAUUUUCCAAUUCGAUUCAUCGAAAGCUUUGAUGGCAAUGAAGGGGGACAGUCUUCGGUAUUCUGCUUAUGGACAUUUGGUGGCUGAGAUUCAGCAUCAUAUGGGUGUAAGAGAGUUUAUACCUACGAAAGUUAAGCGUGAGCAAAAUUGGCUUCGUAUAGUCGUACGGAGAAUUGUAUAGUCGUACGGAGAGCACUACUGCUAUAUGGCUUGGUAGAGGACCAUCAUGUGUGGAGAAACUUUUGCCUCUUAAUUGUAACCCGUGAUCUUGGAAUAAAAUCUCUUUUACCCUUUAGAAGAAAAACAUGAAAUGGUUAAUCUUAAUGGUAUACACAAGUUGAUGUGCAACCUUUUUUUACUCAUUUUGGGGCACGUGGACGAGCGUGAUUGGCAGGAAUGGAUGUUCCUCUGCCUGACGGACGCGCAGCUCGAUACAUACAGAAAAAGAAAAUAUCCGGUCUUUGCCAUACCGGGGGUUUGGUUGGAUGAAUCUUCCAUCUGCUGAGAGAAAGAGAAAGAAGAUUCCAACACGGCAUCCCAACCACCCUACUACGUGCCCAUAUAUACAUUCCACACCGGCCUAUGGGAUUAUUGAUUCGUUGACCAGGCCGAAUAAAACUUCAGUGCUAGCUGGAGUAUUUGAUUAGCCAACCAGAUUCUGUAGCUUGUUGGCUACUCUACCACCACACACGCCUCCCCUCGAAUGCAAAUAAAAAUAAGUGCGGUGGAUCAUAUGGCAUGUAGUUAAUACUAGAUCAACAACGAUCGAGCAAGGAUGUUAUAUGGCUAAAAUGGAGCUCCAUGUAUCAUCUACACCCCGCCAACCCACAAGACAAAGCAUCUAAACAUCUACUCACUCCGUUUUAAAAUAUAAGUCUUUGUAGAGAUAUCAUUAUGUACCACAUACGGAUGUAUAUAGAUGCAUUUUAAGUGUAGAUUUAUUCAUUUUGCUCCGUAUAUAGUCUACAAUGGAAUCUCUACAAAGACUUAUAUUUAGGAACGGAGGGAGUAGAGUACAUGAAUUUUUUUACUCGUUCCUUGUAAAAGCAUUUACUGCUGUUCCUUAUGCGCAACGGGAGUUUAUGUGCAAAGGCCCCGUUCGGUGUCCCUCCGCUCCACGGCUCCGCUCCCGGAGCGGACGGAGCUGCAGUUAAAAAUCUUGGAGCUCCGUCGAUCCUAGAAUUUUAAGGAGCUAGUGGAUUGCCGAACAGAUCCUAGAAUUUUAAGGAGCUGCACCUAAUAACUGGACUUCUGAGGGUUUUUCCGCAAAUAUGCGCCAGGUCGCAUUGUGGCCUUUAGAUCUCUGAUCGAACGGCUGAAAAGCUCCUGGAGCACCUAAACUUAGGUGCUCCCGUACCACUGGAUACUUCCUCGGUGCCUGGGGAAAUUUUCUAGUGCUACGGGAGCACCUAAGGUGCUCUAGGAGUUCCCCAACCGUUGAUUUCAGAUCAAAUGAUCAUCUAUGGAUGUGCUGGAGCUGGACCUAAUAACUGGACUUCUGAGGGUUUUUUCGCAAAUAUGCGGCAGGUCGCAUUGUGGCCUUUAGAUCUCUGAUCGAACGGUUGAAAAGCUCUUGGAGCACCUAAACUUAGGUGCUUCCGUAGCAUUGGAUACUUCCCCCUGGUGCCUGGCGUCGUGUCUAAAACUCUCAUUCAAUUAUUGAGUUGUACUAGAAUAAUUUUUUCGCAUUUUCAUGGUGUCGCCUCUGAUCGAUCCUGCCUAGAGCCAUGUGAGAUGUGACUGAAAUUAAGUUACUCAUACGGCUACCCACGGUGGGAGUAACAUAGGUAGUAACAUCACAAAUAUCUAGAUAAGAUAGAUGAUGUGGCAAGCAAUAAAUGAAAAAAAUAAAGCAAAGUGGUAACAUAAUUAGUUACUAAUAGUAGGAGUAACAUCACACAUAUCAAGGCAAGAUGUGUCUAUAGCCUAAUAAAUGAAGUGUUGCAUGUUACCACACAUAUGUUACUCCCCACUGUAGAGGUAGUAGCAUAGACUAUGUUACUACCCAUUGUGGCUAGUCUACAUCAGCAAGCAAGACACACGUACUGCUAAUUAACUAAUCUCCACAUCAGCUUUCUAUUCUAUCUACAAAGGCACAACUGAUGUACUACUAAUUAGGUUCAACCCUACUUAAUCAAGACAGGCCGCUGUCCACGCGAUCGGAUCGCAUCACGGACGUACAGUACAGUAGUGGCACCCACACGCCACAUGCUUAUACAGUUUCACUGUCAGGAGUAAUAGUUAGCAGGGGAUCCAACUAAACGUAUAUAGCUUUCGUACUAGGUACUACACAAGUAUAUAUGCAACCACGUGGUAUUUAAUUCCUCGUGUGUGUGGUUUUUCUUUUUUUCCUAAUAGCUUUUUUUGCGGGCAUUUUUUCUAAUAGUUUGGAUUGCUUACCACAUGUGUCACAUGGUGUAUGUGUGUGUGAUUCAGUAUGCAUUUUUAUGACUCUUCAACUCCAUUGGCGUAUUAAACACAUCAAACUCGAUAUUCCUCGUUACAAAAUUAUUCCAUGUAAUAAAAUUCCCACAAAGACUCUUCAGUCUCNNNNNNNNNNNNNNNNNNNNNNNNNNNNNNNNNNNNNNNNNNNNNNNNNNNNNNNNNNNNNNNNNNNNNNNNNNNNNNNNNNNNNNNNNNNNNNNNNNNNNNNNNNNNNNNNNNNNNNNNNNNNNNNNNNNNNNNNNNNNNNNNNNNNNNNNNNNNNNNNNNNNNNNNNNNNNNNNNNNNNNNNNNNNNNNNNNNNNNNNNNNNNNNNNNNNNNNNNNNNNNNNNNNNNNNNNNNNNNNNNNNNNNNNNNNNNNNNNNNNNNNNNNNNNNNNNNNNNNNNNNNNNNNNNNNNNNNNNNNNNNNNNNNNNNNNNNNNNNNNNNNNNNNNNNNNNNNNNNNNNNNNNNNNNNNNNNNNNNNNNNNNNNNNNNNNNNNNNNNNNNNNNNNNNNNNNNNNNNNNNNNNNNNNNNNNNNNNNNNNUUUCUUUUCAAUAUUUUGGAUGAUUCACACAACAACAGACCUCCUAUUAUGAAUGCCAAAAAAAUAGGUUCAACAACUCCAUCUUGUAAGAACCAUUCCGCAGUGCCGGAGAGAGACAGGAAUUGCCCUACGCGUCGGGGAGGAGCGGGGGGGGAGGGGGGGGGGUCUCCCUAGGUAGUAUUUUUUUCCUUCAGAACUUGAUCCGCCUUUUUUUCUUUCCAUUUCGCAAAAAAGGAGAUUCAACGUGCCCCUAUUUAUUCCCAUUUCACAAAUUAAUUAGCUUAGUAUUGAGUGCCAAGGCUUUUAGACCACUAUGUUCGGUUUCCACGUCCCUAUUUCUUUUCAUUUCGCAAAAAAAUAAAGAUUCAAGGUGGGGGCAGUGCCCCCCCCUUCCCGACAUCCACAUAGCUUCGCCUCUUUGAAGGCUCAAUAAUAUUUCGCUUGGCACCUCCUAUAUCUUUUUAGUACAAAUUUUUGUUGAAAUAACAAUGAAGCACAUAAUCUCAGUCUUACAAGGGUAGCACGCGGUGGCCAACAACACGUUGCCUCAGCCACAAAAACACAUAGACAUAACAAAGCUAAACUUUACUGGCAACAACAAAAGAAAGCCACAUGGCUAAGUUAAAGCAAGUUCAAGGAGCUACGUUUUGCAUUUCAUCACUGGAACUAGCAUCUAAGCAUGCCGAAAGACGAUGAUUCUCCGCGUUUUGAUGAACUUUCAGAACACGCUUUCCCACUNNNNNNNNNNNNNNNNNNNNNNNNNNNNNNNNNNNNNNNNNNNNNNNNNNNNNNNNNNNNNNNNNNNNNNNNNNNNNNNNNNNNNNNNNNNNNNNNNNNNNNNNNNNNNNNNNNNNNNNNNNNNNNNNNNNNNNNNNNNNNNNNNNNNNNNNNNNNNNNNNNNNNNNNNNNNNNNNNNNNNNNNACGGUCCUUGACAUGGCCUGAGGAUAGGCAUCCCCACAGAGAUAGAUUCGAUGUAGUUUUUCGCUACAUAGCCUUCAUCCCAGACCAAACAAUAGAAUUGAAAACCAUGUCAUUGCGAGUUUUUCAGAUAGCCCACAGGCCAGCUGCAUGAAUAACAUGAUGCUAAGGCUUUUAGACCAUGAUGUUUUGUUUCCACGUUCCUUAUCGCUGGUGCUAGUCGAUUUCUCUCAUCUCCCGCGUCUGCUUGGUUGAUACGGAUGCUCUCUGAUACGUCGAGUUCGCAGCUCGGGUAUCCAGUGGUACUCUAUAUUUUGUAUAAUAUUUUUUAUGGAAUUUAUCAUAUAGGUGAUGAAGUAUGGAGGAAGGCCGUCAAGCGUGUGGUUAUGAUUCUUCAACCCUUGCUACUCAUGUUUCUUUGAGGGAAAAUUCAACUCAUUGUUGGCGUAUUAAACACAUCAAAUUUUGUAUUCCAUGCCAUUUACAUGGUUCAGCAGUGAGUAUAAUACAUGUUCAGUUUGCAAAAUAAAAGAUUAAUUAUUUCACCAUUGUGAACUAACCUUAAUAAGGAGCGAUUCUAAUAUUGUUUACCGUAACGUUCGGUUUCCACGUCCCUUAUAAUGUAUUGUUAACCUUUAGUUAGAGGAAUUAGAGUUUAGUGAGAAGAGAGUUGUAUAGAGAUUAUUCAUGGGAAGUGUCGUUUCAUUCCCAAAUCCCCCAUUUGGUGUUUAAUGGGAAUUAUGUGUCGGGGUGUGAUAAUAAAGCCUAUUCCUUUGCUUGAUAGAGGGGUGGAUUCACGUGGGAUAAGUGCAAAGAUGGAACAUAAGUUAUGAGGAAAGGUGAAGAUGUGUGUAAAACAAUUUCCUCCCGAUUUCCGGCCCCCUCCACGGUGUUAAUAUAAUAGUGCAAGUUAUACUCUUAAGUCUCCUACCUAGUCCCUCCCAAGCUUACAUUCUCUCAAAAAUCUAAAUUAUUGUUGAGAGCAUCCAUGAAGGGCGCGUGCAAUUUAUAACUAUUUAUAUUACUCUACUCGGUGCAAUAAAACACGCCAAAAUUUAUCGCUCAAGCAAGUCUAUGAAUUUUCAGCCCUCUCUUCCUCAUGCAAUAAAACCUGCCGCUCUGCCAUUGCAAUAAAACCCACUCGAAUUUAUCUUCGGGGCGGCGUGCGGUUUUAUAACUAUGACCUCUUCAGCCCUUCAUAGUCUCGAGUUAUUAAAUUACACUCAUGUUGGCGUAUCAAACAGAGCAAACUUUAUUCCAUACGCUCCAUGCCACGUACGUACUACGUAUACAUAGAGUAUACUACUGCUCCUACAGUUUCUAGAUUUUUUUUAUCUUUUUCACGAUUCAGACAGCGGCACGCCUCACGAUAAAAGCCAACGAGAAGCCUCCUCUGCUCCCUGCUAAUCCUGCCCGUAAACACACUCUUCUCCCUCCUCCUCCCAAGAAUCCCCGCGGCUCAAGCAAGGGGGACAGGGCGGCCGGAGCCGGCCAGCGCACCGACCGCGCUACACGUUCACCCCCCACGUCGCGGGGGCGGCAGCGGGGCUCCUCCUCCGUGCCGGCGAUGGGCGCCGACGAGGCGGGGCCGGGCGGCGGCGGCGGGAUCCGGGUGCUCCUGCGGCGGAAGCAGGUGGACUCCGACCGGGCCCGCGCCGCCGGCGGCCAGCAGCUCGCCAAGGAGCUCUCCAUCACGCAGCUCAUCGCUAUCGGUGCGCGCUCAUCAUUGCCUUUUUCUCUCCUUGGACUUCCCGUGGAUGAUCUUUUUUUGUGGGGAAUGGGUCACAUGCGGAAAGCGCCAGCUUUGACCUGCCUUCCGGGUUAAUCGUUCGCCUCCAUGGCUCAAGGCGCCAAGCUUUCGCGCCGCGGAUUGUUAUCUUUGGAUCUUUCAGCUCGUAACAGUGAAAAAAAUUACUCUGCUCCGAUAGGCGUAUCGUUGGUUCUGUGGUGUGAUUUUCUGCAGAGUUUUUACCUUUUGGAUUCCCCUCGCGUCAUUCGCCCACACGGCCGCCAAAUCCAAAAUCUGUUAGGUCUAUGUAUAAUACCGAACACACACUAGAAUUGUAGUAAUAAAUGUUGUUGCCCAGAGCGCAGAAGCUUCCACUGAAGAACAGCUAAUACUAUUUCACAUGAUUUGAGAUGAAUUCAAUUACUACACGCGGUGUGGGAUCUCAAUAGAAAUGUUUUGAUCAGGAGAUGGACUAUGAGAUGCAGAUUCCGUCCAUUUGUAAUACUACUACUUUCCAUGGAGGGUUGAGAUGUAGUACUAUCUGAAGUUCAGGCUUGUGCCGUGUCUACUACUCUUGUGCUUGUUUGGUUGUUGCCGUGUCAGUGUUGGUACGGUGGGUGGCUGGGUGGGUCCUCCCUCAGGAUUCCAAUCCCCAAAUCUUGCUACAUACCUUGAUGAUGCAUACUCUGUUUGAUGUAGAAAUGGUUACAUGCUUCUGAAAUGCAGAGUGUUCUUAACACUUGUGCAGAGUCUAUUUUCUGUCUUGCACCGAUCCCGGUGUUUUAUGUUAUGAUGAAAAUAGUGCUCAUGGAACAUCUAUUUUGUGUCAUCUUUCAGGCGUCGGUUCGACGGUUGGAGCCGGAGUCUACGUUCUCGUGGGGACGGUUGCCCGGGAGCACUCUGGCCCGGCACUGACGCUCUCGUUUCUGAUCGCCGGAAUAGCGGCUGCGCUUUCCGCUUUCUGUUACGCGGAGCUUGCUAGCCGCUGCCCUUCCGCGGGAAGCGCCUACCACUACUCGUACAUCUGCGUUGGCGAAGGGUAAUUUGCUGAAAUGCUGGAGUGCACAUUGUUCAUGAAGUGCCGUAUUCCAAUGAUCGGAUGUUCUCACACUUUCUUUUGACAUUUUGUUCUCCUAGGGUUGCAUGGUUGAUCGGCUGGGCUCUCAUACUGGAGUAUACAAUUGGCGGAUCAGCCGUUGCCCGCGGCAUAUCACCCAAUCUAGUAAGUGGGUUUUUUCCCUGUUUCUGUGGCAUGUUGGUUAGUAGUUUCACCUUCCAUCUCUCCUAACAUACCCUGUCUAUGCGUUUAGGCGUUAUUUUUUGGAGGACCAAAUAGUCUGCCAUGGAUUCUAGCACGCCAUGAGCUCCCAUGGUUAGAUGUUGUUGUUGAUCCUUGUGCUGCUGCCUUGGUUUUCCUUGUCACUGCCCUGUUAUGCGUCGGGAUAAAAGAGGUUACAGGCUUCAACACUUCAGAAACACCUUUCGUGCUACUUCCUCGAGAAGUAUAGCCUAUGAUAUUUACUCCUUGUUUUUCUUUGUAAAACAGAGUACAUUCGUGCAAGGAAUUGUGACAGUCCUGAACUGCUGCGUGAUGCUAUUUGUUAUUAUAGCCGGCAGUUACAUUGGAUUCCAAACAGGAUGGGUCGGCUACAAGGUGUCUGGCGGGUAAUGUAAAAGCUACUUUUUAUUUAGUUUUCUCUAUUUUGUAAGUAGUGUGCUUAACCACUUUUCUCUACAGAUUUCUGCCAUAUGGGGUGAAUGGAAUGCUUGCUGGAUCAGCGACAGUUUUCUUUGCCUACAUAGGCUUUGAUUCAGUUGCGAGCACCGCUGAGGAGGUAAGGACAGGUUCCAUUUCCCAAAUUGACAUGCAUGGCACGUCUUUACACCCACUGGAUCGGCGGCAUUAUUAAGAACUCUUCUGUCUAAACUUCCAUUCCAACAGGUGAGGAAUCCACAACGGGAUCUGCCGCUGGGAAUAGCCACGUCAUUGACGAUUUGCUGUUCCUUGUAUAUGCUGGUUUCAGUUGUUAUUGUCGGUCUGGUGCCAUACUUUGCUAUGGACCCAGAUACCCCUAUUUCAUCCGCCUUCGCGAGGCAUGGGAUGCAGUGGGCAAUGUAAGGACUCUCCCUUUGACACCUCUUCCAUUUCGCCGGGCAUCACUUGGUGUGCUUCCUGCUGAGGCCUUUUUUUCCUGCACUGUCUUGUUUUAGGUACCUUGUAACAUCUGGUGCCGUUCUCGCUCUCUGCUCAACCUUGAUGGGAUCACUUCUGCCACAGCCAAGGAUAUUGAUGGCCAUGGCGAGAGAUGGGCUGUUGCCAUCCUUCUUCUCUGAUGUUAGCGAAAAGACACAAGUUCCUGUCAAGAGCACAAUCAUAACUGGCAUCUGCGCGGCUUCUCUGGCUUUCUUCAUGGAUGUUUCACAACUAGCAGGAAUGGUAAGGAUCUAGGAACCUUUAAAUAGUUUCCAUUUGAGAAAUUUGAUGAAUUUUGGCUCAAGAUGAGAUUUCAUGAAGAUUAAGACUUUUAUGAGUACUAAAUAUUGGACCUAAAGGAGUUAAGUUUGGUUGCAGGUCAGUGUAGGCACGCUCCUCGCGUUCACCAUAGUCGCCGUCUCCAUUUUGAUCCUCAGAUAUGUUCCUCCAGAUGAGGUACCCCUGCCAUCCUCUCUGCAAACGUCGUUCCGCUUAAGCCAAGAAUGUGAUGAGGAAAAGGUGGGGAGUCCUCUUGGAGAUGGGAACCAUGAACAGGGGACGUCUGAGAUUAAGGAUGUGAUCGUAGUAGAAUCAAUCAAUGACCCUCUUAUUGAGAAGCAGCUAUAUGCAAGUAAGUCUAGGAAAUUGCAUUUCGAGUUGGUCUAGUCUACAUUUCUGAGCAUGUGCAUUUUACUUAUCAGACCCUUUACUUAUCUAGCUGGCUAACCGGUUUCUCUGUCAAUCCAUCAGACAAAUUGGAUGAGUUAAACCGGCGGAAAACCGCUGCUCGCAGCAUAGCAUCUGUAUGCGUAGGGGUGCUAAUCCUGACGGCUUCAGCUUCUGUAACGUUCCUGCCAUUGUAAGUACGGACCGGGCAUAUCUUGUUCCCACGAUGAACUUUCCUGUGCAAUGAAAUACUGACCUGUCUAACACGCAUCCCUCACCUUUCACGUCAGCCUGGUGAUGUGCUUAUUCUGCGUGUUUGGUGGCCUGCUCCUCCUAGCUGGUCUCGGAAUGCUCUCCUGGAUCGACCAGGACGACGGAAGGCACUCAUUUGGUCACUCUGGAGGUACACUUGCAUCACAGCAUUUUCAUGCUUCUCUCCGUACUAGACUACUGGUAACUUGAUGCCACAGCUCCUUUCUGCCGCUCCCUCUGCAGGAUUCAUCUGCCCGUUUGUUCCGCUGCUGCCGGUGAUGUGCAUUCUCAUAAACACAUACUUGCUCAUAAAUCUAGGGUGAGUACCUCAAAGCUCAAACAAUUAUCUCAGUCGCUGAUAAGUUUACUUUCGCCAACAAAACAUUCAGAAUGGAAGGAUGCGUAUGUAUGUGUCUGAACAUUGCCAACCUCUGUGUAUGUUCUUCAGGGGUGGCACGUGGAUGCGGGUCGGGGUAUGGCUGGUGAUGGGGGUCUUCGUGUACAUUUUCUACGGCCGGACCCACAGCUUGCUGACGGAUGUCGUGUACGUCUCCCUGGCUCAGGCAAACGAGAUAUACGGUUCUUCCUCUUCGUCAGCGUUUGUGGCCUAGAUAGAUACUGUCGCAGAGCAUCCUUGAGAGAUCAUAUAUAUGAUCCGGGAUCCAUCUCACGGAAACCUCGAGCACCACCCUGAUAGGAGGGAUCUUCCCCCACUGUCGCUGCUGCAUCCUGCAUGGCAAGGCAGGGCAUGGGAUCUGAAGAAUUCAACAAAUUCUGAAGCUGUGUACAUUGCAAUUUGUAGAUAUAGCAUCAUCAUAUAUAUGUGGCUCGUUGGAGGAAUGUAAAUAGUAAAUUUGUGCACAUAGAAGUGUAAGACUUGCAAUAUGUGCAAUAUUGCAAGGGGUGAUUCAUUUAAGUGUACGGGAGUUUAUAAAACUUCAGAGAUCUUGGGGUGACAUUGCAGCAGGAACCCAUCCUGAAUCAUCGUCAGUUCUUCAGUUUGCCAUGCAAUAUCUGAUAUUGUGAUUCAGCACCUCCAUUGCAACGGCAAGAGCAAACUUCACAGAUAGAUAGGCCACCAUUUGUAAUCGUACAGUUUCCACUUUAUUUCAGUUAAAGAACACUUGUGCAGCUCCACGUUUGAGUAUACAGCAACCAUCAAACCCAAGCUCUUCACCAGAUCAACUACAUUACGACCGAAUAUCCAGAACCAUCAAACCCAAGCUCUUCACCAGAUUAAACCAAGCUAUUCUAAAAACAGUAGUGCAAUCAAAUCCAAGCCAAUGCCUUAGGAGAGAACAAGUUAUGCACCAGACUAACUACAUCAAAACGCAUUACAGUAUGGAGGCAGUAUCAGUAUAUCCCCUUCUGUUUCCCCAGGUUCUCUGAAAAAAUCAUCUAGGAGUCGUUCUUGCGUAGGUUGUAGAAGAUUGAGCCAUCAAUCGUCUCCAUAGCCAGUUGAUUCAACCGCAUAAGGAUCAACAAGUAGGAUCUUCCUUUGCGCCCUACACGACAAGGGCGUGAAAGGAAACGUCAAUGGGAUUUGUCUAGUGUAAAAGCAUUUCACAUUUCUGCGGGCAGGGAAUGGCAAGUAUAAGAUUAUAACAUACCCAAGCCGAUUGAUGCAACAUCAUCCUGAUUUAAACUUCCCUGAGCCUUAUCACCACCAAAGUAUGCAUUUAGUUUUGAAACGGCGUCAUGCAAUUCCUGAUAAAAAGAGAGGCCGCAAAAAAGGUAAGCAUUGCAGUAGAUUGCUUUGAGGUGGCAUAACUAAGAUAACACUACUAUCGUCAUGAAACCACUGCAAUGCAGAGGCCAAAACAGAAAAGACGUUAAAGAGUUUAUGGCAAGAGGCAAGAAAAGAUAUUGCAUGAUUUCUCCCUUCUACUCCCUCCGUUCCGAAUUACUUGUCGCAGGUAUGGAUGUAUCUAGAUGUAUUUUAGUUCUAGAUACAUCCAUUUCUGUGACGAGUAAUUUGGAACGGAGGGAGUAGUAAUUAAUUCCAGUAACAUGUCUGAAUUACACGGACUGUGCUGUAACUUGUUGCCACUACAAAAUAGACAACGUGCAUAGAGUACUAUGAGAAGCAUUCCCGAUUAGUUUUUUUAAGAAAGAAGUCAGACCUCCCAUGAUGCAAGAGUCUUCAUGUAAGGAGGAAGUUUAUCGUACUCCUCCUUCGACGCCCUUAUCAUUCCUUGGAAAGCAUUGUCUUCACAGAUUCAACAGAGAUGUCAGUCAUAAAAAGCAAGCAUUUAAUAUAUCUUCUAAACAUAAAAGAUACACUCUGCUGACCAUCUUGCUCAUAGGUUUCAAUUUGGGGAGGUGUGGGUUCUUCAGCUUCCUCCAAGAUCUUUUGGUCAUCAUCAACACUGAACGGUAUAAACACAAGGUGAUUUUCAAUGAAGAAAAAACAAGUAAAGAACUGUGGAGAACAACAAAAAAAAGAACAGCCUGAAAAGGACAUUGCAAUAGACAUCUCAUAUAUAUGUCUGUAUUUCGUUGAGUUACCUUCCAAGUUUUCUGUCAGGCAUCUUUGGGCUUGCAGAAAAAUCAAUAUCUGCGACAUCCGAAAGAAAUUAUUAUCUCUAUUCGAUUUAGGACUUGCAGUAAAAAAUACUAAUAUGUAUAAUGCAUCUAAACAGUUGAUUUAGGAAGAUGCAUUGCAAGUGUUCGUGUUCCGUACCUUGAGAGGACAGGGUAGCCAGACAAGCAUCAGAAAUCCCAAAAUUCUUUAGUGACAUGGAAUCCUCAAAUCUUACAUGCAGUCAAGAAAGAACUCAAUACUCUGUAUCUCAAUCACACAGAAACACAAAAGAAUGAUUUGAUGCUGAAUAGUGCAAUGAAGUACAACGGAUCUCCUGGUAUCAGAGUAAUCUGUACCCGACCUACACCAAGCUAACACCCUCUAAAUAAAGAAGGAUUGCCUACUAUAUUUUCAAAAAAACAGAAGCCCAUUAUUAAUUAAAGAUCAAGGUUCAGACUGGUGCAUUCAAAUUGUUAAGCUUAUCCAGUAUAACGAAUCCCCAACAACCCAACCAAUCAUAACCUCCAAUGUUUGCUGGUCCCAAAUGAUGGUAUGACAGCAUGAUAUUAGGGAGAAUUACACAUUUAGCAGGAAAAAUUAGUAGUAAAGGUUAACAGCUAAUAACAGGGGCAGAAUAAGUAUGGUUCAACUCCUAAUGCGUAUAAAUCUUCAAAUUCUGACUUCACUCACGAUGCUGCAAUUGUAAACCCUUACAGCUAGCCAACUAGGCGCAAGAUGAUAUCUCGUAUUUAGAGCCUAUGCAUCUCGAAUUGUUAUGUGCCCGGUCAUAGAUCACACCCAACACAAUCAAAAGUGCAUUUCUCUGAAAAUGCCUUAGUAAUGGAAGGAUACAGUUCAUCGUCGUCGAAGUGCUUCCGGGCAGACCUGAGGACCGAGCUUGACCCUCCCAAGAGCCCAUUCCCGGGGACAUCAAGGUCCCCCAAGUCUGCACCUUCCUCCACCUCGUCCUCCACCUCUGCCCCAACAAGAGAAACCCCAUGACCCUCAGCCAAAAUAUACGAACACUGCACGGGCAGAGCUUCAAAGUGACAUCACCAGGUCGGCGCCCGCCGCCUCCACCCGCCGGUCCAGCCCCUGCAGGAACGCGUUCGUCGCCGACUCUGCGAGGGAACACGCGCACACGUCAUCCGUGAGCAGGAAGGAAGGAAAAGCGCUGGCUGGCGAAACCCUAGCGGGGGAGGGCGGCGAGGUCAGAUGCGGUACCGAGGGGGAUGGCGCGGCGGGAGAGGGCGUCGGAGAGCGCGCGGGAGGAGUCGUCGGCGUCGGUGAGCACCUCGGAGAGGGAGCCGCACAGCGCCGAGAUCGACGCGUCCAUGCCGCGCUGCAUCGCGGCGGCGGCGGCGGCGGGUCGCCGGAGUUGGGGGGCGGCAGGAGGGGGAAUUGGGGACGAUUCCUCUCUUUCUGUGGCGAGUUCGAAUUUUCAGUGCGGACGGCCGGGAAAUGAAAUGGGUGGGCUCGCCGAGGGAUUCACGGCCUGUCCCGAAUGCAAGGCCCAACACUAUAUAGGCCUGUCUAAUUUCUGUCUCAUCCGUUUCAACAUAAAAAUACUUAUUUUCUCCAAAAAAAUGGCAAACAUUUUAUUUUUAGCAAAUUACAUGGUCAAAAGCAUUGCAUGGAAUUGUCCUGGGCAUGACGAUUCUUGCUCACAGAGAUAUCAAUGCAUCACCUCACUGCCCAAUGGGUGCCCAAGAUAUUCCUCGUAUGGGCCUGUUUGUUAAGCUGCAUACAGCCCAACUAGGGUCCGGCGUAAAUUUGUCAUGUUUGGUUGUCUGGACUGCAUUUGAUUCCUGGACCGUACGAACCUCAAAGCAUUGUUGGGUCUAGUUUACUCUAUCGGCUCCUAAGAGAUACAUGUGUCCAUAGAAGUUAACGCCUUCACCCCGAGAGAAGGAGGAUUUUAAUCACUGAACCGAACUUUAACAAGAUGGCCAUAUAAGAUCGCAUUUGAUUGGUAAUCAUGGUAUGCUUGACAUAGUAAAGAAGGUACAGCGCAGUCCACAUUAUUUUUCACCACGGUAGAUAGUUAUAUUAUUCACAUAUUUAAUUGUUUUUCUUUAGGCCUCCAGUGCAGUGGAUAACACCAUCAAAAAGCCUAAAGACAUUUUUGAAUGAGGGAGUGGGUUCGGUUGACCAUUUUUUUAGAGAGAUCAAUCGUGUCCGCUAAUGCUCCGGAUGUUGUGGAUAUAUUUCAAGUCUUCUUGUCGAGAUGUUAGAAAUUUAGAAUCCUAGGUUAGUUUGGUGGCAUCUUUUUCAUUUAUCUUAGGUUUUCAUCAUGUGUUAAUCUAGGCCGUGAAUGCUGGUUUGUAGCAGUCUCUGCACAAAAUCUCAAAUUGGAAUUAUGAUUAGCAUAUAUUUAUUUUAGGCACAAGAUGUGAUGGACAUGAUAACGUGGAGCUAUGCCACGUCAACAUCCAUUGAUGCAUGUGAAAGGGGCCACAUCAACAUGCUACCAUACACAGAAAAAGGCACACCGCAACAUGCAACCAUGGAUGUGAAAGCUAUUACACUUAUAUUUCAUAAAUAUUUUUGAAUUUAUAUAACUAUAUAACAAUCAAAUAUUUAUGUUUCAACUUCAUCAAAAUAUGUAGGAAACAAUUCUGCAACACGUGCGGGUAUUAUCUAUUUCUUACAAACAUCAGGGACCUCACCUGGCCCCCAAUUUAAGACAAGAUAAUUGGUAAGCAAAUGAGUGUUUACCUGUUUACCAAAUAUUUUUUUUACACAAUCAUAUUAAUAUAGACAGGUAAAUCAUGAACUAAACUACUAUAAUAUUUAUGCCUCCGCUCCAACAUACAUGCAAUUAUCUAGUUCAAGACAAAAGAUACAACUCAAAAAAGUGCUUGAUUUUUUCACAAAGAGGCCCUAAAUUGAACAAGAAACCAUUCCGGGCCGUCAAGUACCGCCUCACCAUUGGAUGUCCAAGCCACCACCCCCUGCCACUGAACCAGAUGCCAAAGACAAAGAUUACCCUCUUUACGCAAAAUGGAAAAGUGGUCCUAUAACCAUCAUGUGGAUUAGCCUCUGAUAACCCACAAGUGUAGGGGAUCGCAACAGUUUUCGUGGGUAGAGUAUUCAACCCAAAUUUAUUGAUUCGACACAAGGGGAGCCAAAGAAUAUUCUCAAGUAUUAGCAGUUGAGUUGUCAAUUCAACCACACCUGAAAGACUUAAUAUCUGCAACAAAGUAUUUAGUAGCAAAGUAGUAUGGAAGUAACGGUAACGGUGGCAAAAGUAAUAGUAGCAGUUGUUAUAGCAAUCGUAACAGUGGCAACGGAAAAGUAACUAAGCAAAGAUUAAUAUGUGAAAAGCUCGUAGGCAAUGGAUCAAUGAUGGAUAAUUAUGUCGGAUGCGAUUCCUCAUGCAACAAUUAUAACAUAGGGUGACACAGAACUAGCUCCAAUUCAUCAAUAUAAUGUAGGCAUGUAUUCCGAAUAUAGUCAUAUGUGCUUAUGGAAAAGAAGUUGCAUGUCAUGUUUUGUCCUACCCUCCCGUGGUAGCGGGGUCCUAUUGGAAACUAAGGGAUAUUAAGGCCUCCUUUUUAUAGAGUACCGGACCAAAGCAUUAACACUUAGUGAAUACAUGAACUCCUCAAACUACGGUCCUCACCGGGAGUGGUCCCGAUUAUUGUCACUUCAGGGUUGCCGGAUCAUAACACAGAGUAGGUGACUAUUGACUUGCAAAAUAGGAUCAAGAACUCACAUAUAUUCAUGAAAACAUAAUAGGUCAGAUCUGAAAUCAUGGCACUCGGACCCUAGUGACAAGCAUUAAGCAUAGCAAAGUCAUAGCAACAUCAAUCUUAGAACAUAAUGGAUACUAGGGAUCAAACGCUAACAAAACUAACUCGAUUACAUGGUAAAUCUCAUCCAACCCAUCACCGUCCAGCAAGCCUACGAUGGGAUUACUCACGCACAGCGGUGAGCAUCAUGAAAUUGGUGAUGGAGGAUGGUUGAUGAUGACGAUGGCGACAGAUUCUUCUCUCCGGAGCCCCGAACGGACUCCAAAUCAGCCCUCCCGAGGAAGAUUAGGGCUUGGCGGCGGCUCCGUAUCGUAAAACGUGAUGAAUCCUUCUCCCUGAUUUUUUUUCUUCCCGAAAGUGAAUAUAUGGAGUUGGGGUUGAGGUCGGUGGAGUCCCAGGGGGCCCACGAGGCAGGGGGCGCGCCCCAGGGGGGCACCCUGCACCCUCGUAGACAGGGUGUGGGCCCCCUGAUGCCGAUUCUUUCGCCAAUAUUUUUCAUUAAUUCCAAAACGUGUCUCCGUGGAUUUUCAGGUCAUUCCGAUAACUUUUAUUUCUGCACAAAAAUAACACCAUGGCAGUUCUGCUGAAAAAAGCGUCAGUUCCAUUCAAAUCAUUCAAGUUAGAGUCCAAAACAAGGGCAAAAGUGUUUGGAAAAGUAGAUACGUUGGAGACGUAUCAACUCCCCCAAGCUUAAACCUUUGCUUGUCCUCAAGCAAUUCAAUUGACAAACUGAAAGUGAUAAAGAAAAACUUUUACAAACUCUGUUUGAUCUUGUUGUUGCAAAUAUGUAAAGCCAGCAUUCAAGUUUUCAGCAAAGAUUAUGAACUAACCAUAUUCACAAUAACAUUUAGGUCUCAUGUUUACUCAUAUCAAUGGCAUAACCAACUAGUGAGCAAUAAUAAUAAAUCUUGGAUGACAACAGUUUCUCAAAACAAUCAUAACAUGAUAUAACUGUUGGGGAAUGUAGUAAUUUCAAAAAAAUUCCUACGCACACGGAAGAUCAUGGUGAUGCAUAGCAACGAGAGGGGAGAGUGUAUUCCACGUACCCUCGUAGACCAUAAGCGGAAGCGUUUAUCAACGCGGUUGAUGUGGUCGUACACCUUCACGAUCCGCCCCGAUCAAGUACCGAACGUACGGCACCUCCGCGUUCAGCACACGUUCAGCUCGAUGACGUCCUCGCCUUGUUGAUCCAGCAAGAUGGGCAAAGUAGUAGAUGAGUUCCGGCAGCACAACGGCGUGGUGACGGUGUUGGUGAAGAACAAUCUCCGCAGGGCUUCGCCAAGCACAACGGAAACUAUGACGGAGGAUAAACUAGAGGGGACAGGGUUGCCGGCACACGGCUUGGUGUUUCUUGAUGAUUUGGGUGCUAGCCCUACCCCUCUAUUUAUAUGUUGAGCCUUGGGGUCAAAACUUGGAGUAAAAGCCUCCACAAAGUCAGUUUCACCCGAAAGGCAAGAGUCCUUCUCGGACUCCAGGGCCAGACGCCAGGGAUCCCGGCGUCUGGACCCAGACGCCAGGGAUCCCGGCGUCUGGCCCCUGGACUCUGCAAAACUUCCUUUUGCGCUUUCCAAAAACCUUGUGGGCUUUCCCCUUUGGCCCAAAUAAAGUGUUCUCGUACCCAAACAUUUCGGGAAACAUCCGGAACCCCUUCCGGUGAAUUCUAGAACCCUUCCGGAGACCAAACACUAUUAUCCCAUAUAUCAAUCUUUAUCUCCGGACCAUUCCGAAGUUCCUCGUCAUGUCCGUGAUCUCAUCCGGGACUCCGAACAACAUUUGGUCACCAACAUACAUAACUCAUAUAAUACUAUAUCGUCAACGAACGUUAAGCGUGCGGACCCUACGGGUUCGAGAACUAUGUAGACAUGACCGUGACACCUCUCUGGUCAAUAACCAAUAGCGGAACCUGAAUGCCCAUAUUGGCUCCUACAUAUUCUACGAAGAUCUUUAUCGGUCGAACCGCAUAACAACAUACGUUGUUCCCUUUGUCAUCGGUAUGUUACUUGCCCGAGAUUCGAUCGUCGGUAUCACUAUACCUAGUUCAAUCUCAUUACCGGCAAGUCUCUUUACUCGUUCCGUAAUGCAUCAUCCUGUAACUAACUCAUUAGUUACAUUGCUUGCAAGGCUUAUAGUGAUGUGCAUUACAGAGAGGGCCCGGAGAUACCUCUCCGACAAUCGGAGUGACAAAUCCUAAUCUCGAUCUAUGCCUAAUCAACAAACACCAUCGGAGACACCUGUAGAGCAUCUUUAUAAUCACCCAGUUACGUUGUGACGUUUGAUAGCACACAAAGUGUUCCUUCGGUAUUCGGGAGUUGCAUAAUCUCAUAGUCAUAGGAACAUGUAUAAGUCAUAAAGAAAGCAAUAGCAAUAUACUAAACGAUCAAGUGCUAAGCUAACGGAAUGGGUCAAGUCAAUCACAUCAUUCUUUAAUGAUGUGAUCCCAUUAAUCAAAUGACAACUCAUGUCUAUGGCUAGGAAACUUAACCAUCUUUGAUUCAACGAGCUAGUAAAGUAGAGGCAUACUAGUGACACUCUGUUUGUCUAUGUAUUCACACAUGUACUAAGUUUCCGGUUAAUACAAUUCUAGCAUGAAUAAUAAACAUUUAUCAUGAUAUAAGGAAAUAAAUAAUAACUUUAUUAUUGCUUCUAGGGCAUAUUUCCUUCAGUCUCCCACUUGCACUAGAGUCAAUAAUCUAGUUCACAUCGCCAUGUGAUUUAACACCAAUAGUUCACAUCACCAUGUGAUUAACACCCAUAGUUCACAUCGCCAUGUGACCAACACUCAAAGGGUUUACUAGAGUCAGUAAUCUAGUUCACAUCGCCAUGUGAUUAACACCCAAAGAGUACUAAGGUGUGAUCAUGUUUUGCUUGUGAGAGAAGUUUAGCCAAUGGGUCUGCCACAUUCAGAGCCGUAUGUAUUUGCAAAUCUCUAUGUCUCCCACCUGGACUUGAUCCCGGAUGGAAUUGAAGCGUCUCUUGAUGUGCUUGGUUCUCUUGUGAAAUCUGGAUUCCUUUGCCAAGGCAAUUGCACCAGUAUUGUCACAAAAGAUUUUCAUUGGACCCGAUGCACUAGGUAUGACACCUAGAUCGGAUAUGAACUCCUUCACCCAUACUCCUUCAUUUGCUGCUUCUGAAGCAGCUAUGUACUCCGCUUCACAUGUAGAUCCUGCCACGACGCUUUGUUUAGAACUGCACCAACUGACAGCUCCACCAUUUAAUAUAAAUAUGUAUCCGGUUUGCGAUUUAGAAUCGUCCGGAUCAGUGUCAAAGCUUGCAUCGACGUAACCAUUUACGACGAGCUCUUUGUCACCUCCAUAAACAAGAAACAUAUCCUUAGUCCUUUUCAGGUAUUUCAGGAUGUUCUUGACCGCUGCCCAGUGAUCCACUCCUGGAUUACUUUGGUACCUCCCUGCUAAACUAAUAGCAAGGCACACAUCAGGUCCGGUACACAGCAUUGCAUACAUGAUAGAGCCUAUGGCUGAAGCAUAGGGAACACUUUUCAUUUUCUCUCUAUCUUCUGCAGUGGUUGGGCAUUGAGUCUGACUCAACUUCACACCUUGUAACACAGGCAACAACCCUUUCUUUGCUUGAUCCAUUUUGAACUUUUUCAAAACUUUAUCAAGGUAUGUGCUUUGUGAAAGUCCAAUUAAGCGUCUUGAUCUAUCUCUAUAGAUCUUGAUGCCCAAUAUAUAAGCAGCUUCACCGACGUCUUUCAUUGAAAAACUCUUAUUCAAGUAUCCUUUUAUGCUAUCCAGAAAUUCUAUAUCAUUUCCAAUCAACAAUAUGUCAUCCACAUUAAUAUUAGAAAUGCUACAGAGCUCCCACUCACUUUCUUGUAAAUACAGGCUUCUCCAAAAGUCUGUAUAAAACCAUAUGCUUUGAUCACACUAUCGAAACGUUUAUUCCAACUAUGAGAGGCUUGCACGAGUCCAUAAAUGGAUCGUUGGAGCUUGCACACUUUGUUAGCACCCUUUGGAUCGACAAAACCUUCUGGUUGCAUCAUAUACAACUAUUCUUCCAGAAAUCCAUUCAGGAAUGCAGUUUUGACAUCCAUUUGCCAAAUUUCAUAAUCAUAAAAUGCGGCAAUUGCUAACAUGAUUCGGACAGACUUAAGCAUCGCUACGGGUGAGAAAGUCUCAUCUAGUCAACCCCUUGAACUUGUCGAAAACCUUUCGCAACAAGUCGAGCUUUGUAGACAGUAACAUUACCGUCAGCGUCAGUCUUCUUCUUGAAGAUCCAUUUAUUCUCUAUGGCUUGCCGAUCAUCGGGCAAGUCAACCAAAGUCCACACUUUGUUCUCAUACAUGGAUCCCAUCUCAGAUUUCAUGGCCUCAAGCCAUUUUGCAGAAUCUGGGCUCACCAUCGCUUCUUCAUAGUUCGUAGGUUUGUCAUGGUCAAGUAACAUGACCUCCAGAACAGGAUUACCGUACCACUCUGGUACGGAUCUCACUCUGGUUGACCUACGAGGUUUAGUAGUAACUUGAUCUGAAGUUACAUGAUCAUCAUCAUUAGCUUCCUCACUAAUUGGUGUACGAGUCACAGGAACAGAUUUCUGUGAUGAACUACUUUCCAAUAAGGGAGCAGGUACAAUUACCUCAUCAAGUUCUACUUUCCUCCCACUCACUUCUUUCGAGAGAAACUCGUUCUCUAGAAAGGAUCCAUUCUUAGCAACGAAUGUCUUGCCUUUGGAUCUGUGAUAGAAGGUGUACCCAACUGUCUCCUUUGGGUAUCCUAUGAAGACACAUUUCUAUGAUUUGGGUUUGAGCUUAUCAGGAUGAAACUUUUUCACAUAAGCAUCGCAACCCCAAACUUUAGGAAACGACAACUUUGGUUUCUUGCCAAACCACAGUUCAUAUGGUGUCGUCUCCACGGAUUUAGAUGGUGCCCUAUUUAACGUGAAUGCAAGUGUCUCUAAUGCAUAACCCCAAAAUGAUAGUGGUAAAUCGGUAAGAGGCAUCAUAGAUUGUACCAUAUCUAAUAAAGUACGGUUACGAUGUUUGGAUACACCAUUACGUUGUGGUGUUCCAGGUUGCGUGAGUUGCGAAACUAUUCCGCAUUGUUUCAAAUGAAGACCAAACUCGUAACUCAAAUAUUCUCCUCCACAAUCAAAUUGUAGAAACUUUAUUUUCUUGUUACGAUGAUUUUCCACUUCACUCUGAAAUUAUUUGAACUUUUCAAACGUUUCAGAUUUAUGUUUCAUCAAGUAGAUAUACCCAUAUCUGCUCAAAUCAUCUGUGAAGGUCAGAAAAUAACAAUACCUGCCGUGAGCCUUAACACUCAUUGGACUGCAUACAUCAGUAUGUAUUAUUUCCAAUAAGUUAGUAGCUCGCUCCAUUGUUCCGAAGAACGGAAUCUUAGUCAUCUUGCCCAUGAGGCAUGGUUCGCAAGAAUCAAGUGAUUCAUAAUCAAGUGAUUCCAAAAGCCCAUCAGCAUGGAGUUUUUUCAUGCGCUUUACACCAAUAUUGUUGGGAAUCGUAGCAUAAUUUUAAAAUUUUCCUACGCUCACCAAGAUGCAUCUAUGGAGUAUACUAGCAACGAGGGGAAAGGAGUGCAUCUACAUACCCUUGUAGAUCGCGAGCGGAAGCGUUCCAAUGAACGUGGAUGCGGGGUCGUACUCGUCGUGAUUCAAAUCACCGAUGACCGAGUGCCGAACGGACGGCACCUCCGCGUUCAACACACGUACGGUGCAGCGGUCUCCUCCUUCUUGAUCCAGCAAGGGGGAAGGAGAGGUUGAUGGAGAUCCAGCAGCACGACGGCAUGGCGGUGGAUGUAGCGGGAUGCCGGCAGGGCUUCGCCGAGCUUAUACGAGAGAGAGAGAGGUGUUGCAGGGGAGGAGGGAGGCGCCCAAGGCUGUGUAUUGCUGCCCUCCCUCCCCCCUUUAUAUAGGCCCCCUUGGGAGGGGGGGGGCGCCGGCCAAACCCAUCUAGGGUGGGGGGCGGCGGCCACGGGGGGUGCCUUGCCCCCCAAGGCAAGUGGGAAGCCCCCCACCCUAGGGUUCCCAACCCUAGGCGCAUGGGGGGAGGCCCAUGGGGGGGCGCCCAGCCCACUAGGGGCUGGCUCCCUUUCCACUUCAGCCCACGGGGCCCUCCGGGAUGGGUGGCCCCACCCGGUGGACCCCCGGGACCCUUCCGGUGGUCCCGGUACAAUACCGGUAACCCCCGAAACUUUCCCGGUGGCCGAAACUUGACUUCCUAUAUAUAAUUCUUCACCUCCGGACCAUUCCGGAACUCCUCGUGACGUCCGGGAUCUCAUCCGGGACUCCGAACAACUUUCGGGUUUCCGCAUACACAUAUCUCUACAACCCUAGCGUCACCGAACCUUAAGUGUGUAGACCCUACGGGUUCGGGAGACAUGCAGACAUGACCGAGACGCCUCUCCGGUCAAUAACCAACAGCGGGAUCUGGAUACCCAUGUUGGUUCCCACAUGUUCCACGAUGAUCUCAUCGGAUGAACCACGAUGUCGAGGAUUCAAUCAAUCCCGUAUACAAUUCCCUUUGUCAAACGGUAUGUUACUUGCCCGAGAUUCGAUCGUCGGUAUCCCAAUACCUUGUUCAAUCUCGUUACCGGCAAGUCUCUUUACUUGUACCGCAAUGCAUGAUCCCGUGACUAACGCCUUAGUCACAUUGAGCUCAUUAUGAUGAUGCAUUACCGAGUGGGCCCAGAGAUACCUCUCCGUCACACGGAGUGACAAAUCCCAGUCUCGAUCCGUGCCAACCCAACAGACACUUUCGGAGAUACCCGUAGUGCACCUUUAUAGUCACCCAGUUACGUUGUGACGUUUGGCACACCCAAAGCACUCCUACGGUAUCCGGGAGUUGCACGAUCUCAUGGUCUAAGGAAAAGAUACUUGACAUUGGAAAAGCUCUAGCAAACGAAACUACACGAUCUUUAUGCUAUGCUUAGGAUUGGGUCUUGUCCAUCACAUCAUUCUCCUAAUGAUGUGAUCCCGUUAUCAACGACAUCCAAUGUCCAUAGUCAGGAAACCAUGACUAUCGGUUGAUCAACGAGCUAGUCAACUAGAGGCUUACUAGGGACACGUUGUGGUCUAUGUAUUCACACAUGUAUUACGAUUUCCGGAUAACACAAUUAUAGCAUGAACAAUAGACAAUUACCAUGAACAAAGAAAUAUAAUAAUAACCAUUUAUUAUUGCCUCUAGGGCAUAUUUCCAACAGUCUCCCACUUGCACUAGAGUCAAUAAUCUAGUUACAUUGUGAUGAAUCGAACACCCAUUGCGUCCUGGUGUUGAUCAUGUUUUGCCCUAGGGAGAGGUUUAGUCAACGGAUCUGCUACAUUCAGGUCCGUAUGUACUUUACAAAUAUCUAUGUCUCCAUUUUGAACACUUUCACGAAUGGAGUUGAAGCGACGCUUGAUAUGCCUGGUCUUCCUGUGAAACCUGGGCUCCUUCGCAAGGGCAAUAGCUCCAGUGUUGUCACAGAAGAGAGUCAUCGGGCCCGACGCAUUUGGAAUCACCCCUAGGUCGGUAAUGAAUUCCUUCAUCCAGACUGCUUCCUGUGCUGCCUCCGAGGCCGCCAUGUACUCCGCUUCACAUGUAGAUCCCGCCACGACGCUUUGCUUGCAACUGCACCAGCUUAGUGCUCCUCCAUUCAAAAUAUACACGUAUCCGGUUUGUGACUUCGAGUCAUCCAGAUCUGUGUCGAAGCUAGCGUCGACGUAACCCUUUACGACGAGUUCUUCGUCACCUCCAUAAACGAGAAACAUAUCCUUAGUCCUUUUCAGGUACUUUAGGAUAUUCUUGACCGCUGUCCAGUGUUCCAUGCCGGGAUUACUUUGGUACCUUCCUACCAAACUUAUGGCAAGGUUUACAUCAGGUCUGGUACACAGCAUGGCAUACAUAAUAGACCCUAUGGCCGAGGCAUAGGGGAUGACACUCAUCUUUUCUCUAUCUUCUGCCGUGGUCGGGCAUUGAGCCGUGCUCAAUUGCACACCUUGCAAUACAGGCAAGAACCCCUUCUUGGACUGAUCCAUAUUGAACUUCUUCAAUAUCUUGUCAAGGUAUGUACUUUGUGAAAGACCAAUGAGGCGUCUUGAUCUAUCUCUAUAGAUCUUGAUGCCUAAUAUAUAAGCAGCUUCUCCAAGGUCCAUUGAAAAACACUUAUUCAAAUAGGCCUUAAUACUUUCCAAGAAUUCUAUAUCAUUUCCCAUCAAUAGUAUGUCAUCCACAUAUAAUAUGAGAAAUGCUACAGAGCUCCCACUCACUUUCUUGUAAACACAGGCUUCUCCAUAAGUCUGUGUAAACCCAAACGCUUUGAUCAUCUCAUCAAAGCGAAUGUUCCAACUCCGAGAUGCUUGCACCAGCCCAUAGAUUGAGCGCUGGAGCUUGCAUACUUUGUUAGCAUUCUUAGGAUCGACAAAACCUUCCGGCUGCAUCAUAUACAACUCUUCCUUAAGGAAGCCGUUAAGGAAUGCCGUUUUGACGUCCAUCUGCCAUAUCUCAUAAUCAUAGUAUGCGGCAAUUGCUAACAUGAUUCGGACGGACUUCAGCUUCGCUACGGGUGAGAAAGUCUCAUCGUAGUCAACCCCUUGAACUUGUCGAUAACCCUUAGCGACAAGUCGAGCUUUGUAGAUGGUCACAUUACCAUCCGCGUCCGUCUUCUUCUUAAAGAUCCAUUUGUUUUCUAUGGCUCGCCGAUCAUCGGGCAAGUCAGUCAAAGUCCAUACUUCGUUUUCAUACAUGGAUCCUAUCUCGGAUUUCAUGGCUUCUAGCCAUUUGUCAGAAUCCGGGCCCGCCAUCGCUUCUUCAUAGUUCGAAGGUUCACCGUUGUCUAACAACAUGAUUUCCAGGACAGGGUUGCCGCACCACUCCGGUGCGGAACGUGUCCUUGUGGACCUACGAAGUUCAGUAGUAACUUGAUCCGAAGCUUCAUGAUCAUCAUCAUUAACUUCCUCCCCAGUCGGUGUAGGCACCACAGGAACAUCUUCCCGCGCUGCGCUACUCUCCGGUUUGGAAGGGGUGACUAUCACCUCAUCAAGUUCCACUUUCCUCCCACUCAAUUCUUUCGAGAGAAACUCCUUCUCCAGAAAGGACCCGUUCUUGGCAACGAAGAUCUUGCCUUCGGACUGAGGUAGAAGGUAUACCCAAUAGUUUCCUUAGGGUAUCCUAUGAAGACGCAUUUCUUCGACUUGGGUUCGAGCUUUUCAGGUUGAAGUUUCUUGACAUAAGCAUCGCAUCCCCAAACUUUUAGAAACGACAGCUUAGGUUUCUUCCCAAACCAUAAUUCAUACGGUGUCGUCUCAACAGAUUUCGACGGAGCCCUAUUUAAAGUGAAUGCGGCAGUCUCUAAAGCAUAGCCCCAAAAUGAGUGCGGUAAAUCGGUAAGAGACAUCAUAGAUCGCACAAUAUCCAAUAGAGUGCGAUUACGACGCUCGGACACACCGUUUCUCUGAUGUGUUCCAGGCGGCGUGAGUUGUGAAACUAUUCCACAUUUCCUUAAGUGUGCACCAAAUUCGUGACUUAAAUAUUCUCCACCACGAUCUGAUCGUAAGAAUUUUAUUCUCCUGUCACGUUGAUUCUCAACCUCACUCUGAAAUUCCUUGAACUUUUCAAAGGUUUCAGACUUGUGUUUCGUUAGGUAGACAUACCCAUAUCUACUUAAGUCAUCAGUGAGAGUAAGAACAUAACGAUAUCCUCCUCGAGCCUCGACACUCAUUGGACCGCACACAUCGGUAUGUAUGAUUUCCAAUAAGUUGGUUGCUCGCUCCAUUGUUCCGGAGAACGGAGUCUUGGUCAUCUUACCCAUGAGGCAUGGUUCGCACGUGUCAAAUGAUUCGUAAUCAAGAGACUCCAAAAGUCCAUCUGCAUGGAGCUUCUUCAUACGCUUGACACCAAUGUGACCAAGGCGGCAGUGCCACAAGUAUGUGGGACUAUCGUUAUCAACUUUACAUCUUUUGGUAUUCACACUAUGAAUAUGUGUAACAUCACGUUCGAGAUUCAUCAAGAAUAAACCAUUAACCAGCGGGGCAUGACCAUAAAACAUAUCUCGCAAAUAAAUAGAACAACCAUUAUUCUCGGAUUUAAAUGAGUAGCCAUCUCGAAUUAAACGAGAUCCAGAUACAAUGUUCAUGCUUAAAGCUGGUACUAAAUAACAAUUAUUGAGGUUCAAAACUAAUCCCGUGGGUAGAUGCAGAGGUAGCGUGCCGACGGCGAUCACAUCGACCUUGGAACCAUUCCCGACGCGCAUCGUCACCUCGUCCUUCGCCAGUCUCCGUUUAUUCCGUAGUUCCUGUUUUGAGUUACAAAUAUGAGCAACCGCACCGGUAUCAAAUACCCAAGAGCUACUACGAGUACUGGUAAGGUACACAUCAAUUACAUGUAUAUCACAUAUACCUUUGGUGUUGCCGGCCUUCUUGUCCGCUAAGUAUUUGUGGCAGUUCCGCUUCCAGUGACCACUUCCCUUGCAAUAAAAGCACUCAGUCUCAGGCUUGGGUCCAUUCUUUGACUUCUUCCCGGCAACUGGCUUACCGGGCGCGGCAACUCCCUUGCCGUCCUUCUUGAAGUUCUUCUUACCCUUGCCCUUCUUGAACCUAGUGGUUUUAUUCACCAUCAACACUUGAUGUUCUUUUCUGAUCUCCACCUCCGCUGAUUUCAGCAUUGAAUAUACCUCAGGAAUGGUCUUUUCCAUCCCCUGCAUAUUGAAAUUCAUCACAAAGCUCUUGUAGCUUGGUGGAAGCGACUGGAGGAUUCUGUCAAUGACCGCGUCAUCCGGGAGAUUAACUCCCAACUGGGAUAAGCGGUUGUGUAACCCAGACAUUCUGAGUAUGUGCUCACUAACAGAACUAUUCUCCUCCAUUUUACAGCUGAAGAACUUGUCGGAGACUUCAUAUCUCUCGACCCGGGCAUGAGCUUGGAAAACCAUUUUCAGCUCCUCGAACAUCUCAUAUGCUCCAUGUUUCUCAAAACGCUUUUGGAGACCCGGUUUUAAGCUGUAAAGCAUGCCACACUGAACGAGGGAGUAAUCAUCAGCACGCUGCUGCCAAGCGUUCAUAACGUCUUGGUUCUCUGGGAUUGGUGCUUCACCUAGCGGUGCUUCUAAGACAUAAUCUUUCUUGGCUGCUAUGAGGAUGAUCCUCAGGUUCCGAACCCAGUCCGUAUAGUUGCUGCCAUCAUCUUUCAGCUUGGUUUUCUCUAGGAACGCGUUGAAAUUGAGGACAACGUGGGCCAUUUGAUCUACAAGACAUAGUGUAAAGAUUUUAGACUAAGUUCAUGAUAAUUAAGUUCAUCUAAUCAAAUUACUUAAUGAACUCCCACUCAGAUAGACAUCCCUCUAGUCAUCUAAGUGAAACAUGAUCCGAGUUAACUAGGCCGUGUCCGAUCAUCACGUGAGACGGACUAGUCAAGAUCGGUGAACAUCUCCAUGUUGAUCGUAUCUUCUAUACAACUCAUGCUCGACCUUUCGGUCCUCCGUGUUCCGAGGCCAUGUCUGUACAUGCUAGGCUCGUCAAGUCAACCUAAGUGUAUUGCAUGUGUUCCGAGGCCAUGUCUGUACAUGCUAGGCUCGUCAACACCCGUUGUAUUCGAACGUUAGAAUCUAUCACACCCGAUCAUCACGUGGUGCUCCGAAACAACGAACCUUCGCAACGGUGCACAGUUAGGGGGAACACUUUUCUUGAAAUUACCAUAAGGGAUCAUCUUACUUACUACCGUCGUUCUAAGCAAAUAAGAUGCAAAACAUGAUAAACAUCACAUGCAAUCAAAUAGUGACAUGAUAUGGCCAAUAUCAUUUGCUCCUUUGAUCUCCAUCUUCGGGGCACCAUGAUCAUCUUCGUCACCGGCAUGACACCAUGAUCUCCAUCAUCAUGAUCUCCAUCAUUGUGUCUUCAUGAAGUCGUCACGCCAACGAUUACUUCUACUUCUAUGGCUAACGCGUUUAGCAACAAAGUAAAGUAAUUUACAUGGCGUUAUUCAAUGACACGCAGGUCAUACAAAAUAAUAAAGACAACUCCUAUGGCUCCUGCCGGUUGUCAUACUCAUCGACAUGCAAGUCGUGAUUCCUAUUACAAGAAUAUGAUCAAUCUCAUACAUCACAUAUAUCAUUCAUCACAUCUUCUGGCCAUAUCACAUCACAUAGCACUUGCUGCAAAACAAGUUAGAUGUCCUCUAGUUGUUGUUGCAAGUUUUUUACGUGGUUUGUAGGUUUCUAUCAAGAACGUUUCUUACCUACGUAUGACCACAACGUGAUUUGCCAAUUUCUAUUUACCCUUCAUAAGGACCCUUUUCAUCUAGUCCGUUCCGACUAAAGUAGGAGAGACAGACACCCGCUAGCCACCUUAUGCAACUAGUGCAUGUCAGUCGGUGGAACCUGUCUCACGUAAGCGUACGUGUAAGGUCGGUCCGGGCCGCUUCAUCCUACAAUGCCGCCGAAACAAGACAAGACUAGUAGCGGCAAGAAGAAUUGGCAAACUCAACGCCCACAACUGCUUUGUGUUCUACUCGUGCAUAGUAACUACGCAUAGCCUGGCUCAUGAUGCCACUGUUGGGAAUCGUAGCAUAAUUUUAAAAUUUUCCUACGCUCACCAAGAUGCAUCUAUGGAGUAUACUAGCAACGAGGGGAAAGGAGUGCAUCUACAUACCCUUGUAGAUCGCGAGCGGAAGCGUUCCAAUGAACGUGGAUGACGGAGUCGUACUCGUCGUGAUUCAAAUCACCGAUGACCGAGUGCCGAACGGACAACACCUCCGCGUUCAACACACGUACGGUGCAGCGACGUCUCCUCCUUCUUGAUCCAGCAAGGGGGAAGGAGAGGUUGAUGGAGAUCCAGCAGCACGACGGCGUGGUGGUGGAUGUAGCUGGAUGCCGGCAGGGCUUCGCCGAGCUUAUACGAGAGAGAGAGAGGUGUUGCAGGGGAGGAGGGAGGCGCCCAAGGCUGUGUAUUGCUGCCCUCCCUCCCCCCUUUAUAUAGGCCCCCUUGGCAGGGGGGGGGCGCCGGCCAAACCCAUCUAGGGUGGGGGGCGGCGGCCAAGGGGGGUGCCUUGCCCCCCAAGGCAAGUGGGAAGCCCCCCACCCUAGGGUUCCCAACCCUAGGCGCAUGGGGGGAGGCCCAUGGGGGGGCGCCCAACCCACUAGGGGCUGGCUCCCUUCCCACUUCAGCCCACGGGGCCCUCCGGGAUGGGUGGCCCCACCCGGUGGACCCCCGGGACCCUUCCGGUGGUCCCGGUACAAUACCGGUAACCCCCGAAACUUUCCCGGUGGCCGAAACUUGACUUCCUAUAUAUAAUUCUUCACCUCCGGACCAUUUCGGAACUCCUCGUGACGUCCGGGAUCUCAUCCGGGACUCCGAACAACUUUCGGGUUUCCGCAUACACAUAUCUCUACAACCCUAGCGUCACCGAACCUUAAGUGUGUAGACCCUACGUGUUCGGGAGACAUGCAGACAUGACCGAGACGCCUCUCCGGUCAAUAACCAACAGCGGGAUCUGGAUACCCAUGUUGGUUCCCACAUGUUCCACGAUGAUCUCAUCGGAUGAACCACGAUGUCUUCAAUCAAUCCCGUAUACAAUUCCCUUUGUCAAACGGUAUGUUACUUGCCCGAGAUUCGAUCGUCGGUAUCCCAAUACCUUGUUCAAUCUCGUUCCCUGCAAUUCUCUUUACUCGUACCGCAAUGCAUGAUCCCAUGACUAAUGCCUUAGUCACAUUGAGCUCAUUAUGAUGAUGCAUUACCGAGUGGGCCUAGAGAUACCUCUCCGUCACACGGAGUGACAAAUGCCAGUCUCGAUCCGUGCCAACCCAACAGACACUUUCGGAGAUACCCGUAGUGCACCUUUAUAGUCACCCAGUUACGUUGUGACGUUUGGCACACCCAAAGCACUCCUACGGUAUCCGGGAGUUGCACGAUCUCAUGGUCUAAGGAAAAGAUACUUGACAUUGGAAAAGCUCUAGCAAACGAAACUACACGAUCUUUUAUGCUAUGCUUAGGAUUGGGUCUUGUCCAUCACAUCAUUCUCCUAAUUAUGUGAUCCCGUUAUCAAUGACAUCCAAUGUCCAUAGUCAGGAAACCAUGACUAUCUGUUGAUCAACGAGCUAGUCAACUAGAGGCUUACUAGGGACACGUUGUGCUCUAUGUAUUCACACAUGUAUUACGAUUUUCGGAUAACACAAUUAUAGCAUGAACAAUAGACAAUUACCAUGAACAAAGAAAUAUAAUAAUAACCAUUUAUUAUUGCCUCUAGGGCAUAUUUCCAACAAAUAUGACCUAAACGGAAGUGCCACAAAUAAGUUGGACUAUCAUUAUUAACUUUGCGUGUUUUGGCUUAAAUAUUAUGAAUAUGUGUAUCACUACGAUCGAGAUUCAAUAAACCAUCAUUCUCCUAAUUAUGUGAUCCCGUUAUCAAUGACAUCCAAUGUCCAUGGUCAGGAAACCGUAACCAUCUAUUGAUCAACGAGCUAGUCAACUAGAGGCUCACUAGGGACAUGUUAUGGUCUAUGUGUUCACACAUGUAUUACGAUUUCUGGAUAACACAAUUAUAGCAUGAACAAUAGACAAUUAUCAUGAACAAGGAAUAAUAAUAACCAUUUUAUUAUUGCCUCUAGGGCAUAUUUCCAACAUAUCAAAUAUACCUUUGUUCACUUUGCCAUCCUUCUUAUCCACUAAAUGCUUGGGGCAGUUCUGCUUCCAGUGACCAGUCCCUUUGCAGUAGAAGCACUUAGUAUCAGGCUUAGGUCUAGACUUGGGCUUAUUCACUUGAGCAGCAACUUGCUUGCCGUUAUUCUUGAAGUUCCCCUUCUUCCCUUUGCCCUUUUCUUGAAACUAGUGGUCUUGUCAACCAUCAACACUUGAUGCUUUUCUCGAUUUCUACCUUCGUCGAUUUCAGCAUCACGAAGAGCUCGGGAAUUACUUUCGUCAUCCCUUGCAUAUUAUAGUUCAUCACGAAGUUCUAGUAACUUGGUGAUAGUGACUAGAGAACUCUGUCAAUCACUAUCUUAUCUGGAAGAUUAACUCCCACUUGAUUCAAGUGAUUGUAGCAGUCAGACAUUCCGAGCACAUGCUCACUAGCUGAGCUAUUCUCCUCCAUCUUGUAGGCAAAGUACUUGUCAAAGGUCUCAUACCUUUCGACAUGGGCAUGAGUCUGAAAUACUAAUUUCAACUCUUGGAACAUCUCAUAUGCUCCGUGGCGUUCAAAACGUCUUUGAAGACCCGAUUCUAAGCCAUAAAGCAUGGUGCACUAAACUAUCAAGUAGUCAUCAUAUCGAGCUUGCCAAACAUUCAUAACGUCUGCAUCUGCUCCUGCAAUCGGUCUGUCACCUAGCGGUGCAUCAAGGACAUAAUUCUUCUGUGCAGCAAUGAGGAUAAUCCUCAGAUUACGGAUCCAAUCUGCAUCAUUGCUACUAACAUCUUUCAACUUAGUUUUCUCUAGGAACAUAUAAAAAAUAAAACAGGGGAGCUAAACGUGAGCUAUUGAUCGACAACAUAGAUAUGCAAAUACUAUCAGGAGUAAGUUCAUGAUAAAUUAAAGUUCAAUUAAUCAUAUUACUUAAGAACUCCCACUUAGAUAGACAUCCCUCUAGUCAUCUAAAUGAUCACGUGAUCCAAAUCAACUAAACGAUGUCCGAUCAUCACAUGAGAUGGAGUAGUUUUCAAUGGUGAACAUCACUAUGUUGAUCAUAUCUACUAUAUGAUUCACGCUCGACCUUUCGGUCUCCAGUGUUCUGAGGCCAUAUCUGCAUAUGCUAGGCUGCUCAAGUUUAACCCGAGUAUUCUGCGUGUGCAAAACUGGCUUGCACCCAUUGUAUUUGAACGUAGAGCUUAUCACACCCGAUCAUCACGUGGUGUCUCGGCACGAAGAACUGUCGCAAUGGUGCAUACUCAGGGAGAACACUUAUACCUUGACAUUUUAGUGAGAGAUCAUCUUAUAAUGCUACUGUCGAAUUAAGCAAAAUAAGAUGCAUAAAGGAUAAACAUCGCAUGCAAUCAAUAUUGUUGGGGAACGUAGUAAUUUCAAAAAAUUUCCUACGCACACACAAGAUCAUGGUGAUGCAUAGCAACAAGAGGGGAGAGUGUGUCCACGUACCCUCGUAGACCGAAAGCGGAAGCGUUAUAUCAACACGGUUGAUGUAGUCGUACGUCUUCACGAUCCGACCGAUCCAAGUACCGAAAGCACGGCACCUCCGAGUUCUGCACACGUUCGGCUCGGUGACGUCCUCGCCUUCUCGAUCCAGCAAGAGGGGCGAAGUAGUAGAUGAGUUCCGGCAGCACGACGACGUGGUGACGGUGUUGGUGAAGAACAAUCUUCGCAGGGCUUCGCCUAAGCACUACGAAAACUAUGACGGAGGAUAAACUAGAGGAGACGGGGUUGCCGGCACACGGCUUGGUGUUUGUUGAUGUGUCUUGGGUGCUAGCCCUACCCCUCUAUUUAUAUGUUGAGCCUUGGGGUCGAAACUUGGAGUAAAAGCCUCCACAAAGUCGGUUUCACCCGAAAAGCAAGAGUCCUUCUCGGACUCCAGGGCCAGACGCCAGAGUUCCCGGCGUCUGGACCCAGACGCCAGGGACCCUGUCGUCUGGCCCCUGGACUCCGCAAAACUUCCUGUUGCGCUUUCCAAAAACCUCGUGGGCUUUCCCCUUUGGCCCAGAUAAAGUGUUCUCGUGCCCAAACAUUUCGGGAAACAUCUGGAACCCCUUCCGAUGGAUUCCGGAACCUUUCCGGAGAUCAAACACUACUAUCCACAUAUCAAUCUUUACUUCCGGACCAUUCCGGAGUUCCUCGUCAUAUCCGUGAUCUCAUCCAAAACUCCGAACAACAUUCAGUCACCAACAUACAUAACUCAUAGUACUAUAUCCUAACGAACGUUAAGCGUGCGGACCCUACGGGUUCGAGAACUAUGUAGACAUGACCGAGACACCUCUCUGGUCAAUAACCAAUAGCGGGACCUGGAUGCCCAUAUUGGCUCCUACAUAUUCUACGGAGAUCUUUAUCGGUCAGACCGCAUAACAAGAUACGUUGUUCCCUUUGUCAUCGGUAUGUUACUUGCCCGAGAUUCGAUCGUCGGUAUCUCAAUACCUAGUUCAAUCUCGUUACCGGCAAGUCUCUUUACUCGUUCCGUAAUACAUCAUCCCGCAACUAACUCAUUAGUUACAAUGCUUGCAAGGCUUAUAGUGAUGUGCAUUACCGAGUGGGCCCAGAGAUACCUCUCCGACAAUCGGAGUGACAAAUCCUAAUCUCAAAAUACGCCAACCCAACAAGUACCUUCGGAGACACCUGUAGAGCACCUUUAUAAUCACCCAGUUACGUUGUGACGUUUGGUAGCACACAAAGUGUUCCUCUGGUAAACGGUAGUUGCAUAAUCUCAUAGUCAUAGGAACAUGUAUAAGUCAUGAAGAAAGCAAUAGCAGAAUACUAAAUGAUUAAGUGCUAAGCUAACGGAAUGGGUCAAGUCAAUCACAUCAUUCUCCUAAUGAUGUGAUCCCGUUAAUCAAAUGACAACUCAUGUCUAUGGCUAGGAAACACAACCAUCUUUGAUCAACGAGCUAGUCAAGUAGAGGCAUACUAGUGACACUCUGUUUGUCUAUGUAUUCACACAAGUAUUAUGUUUCCGGUUAAUACAAUUCUAGCAUGAAUAAUAAACAUUUAUCAUGAAAUAAGGAAAUAAAUAAUAACUUUAUUAUUGCCUCUAGGGCAUAUGUCCUUCAGUCUCCCACUUGCACUAGAGUCAAUAAUCUAGUUCACAUCACCAUGUGAUUUAACAUCAAUGGUUCACAUCUUUAUGUGUUUAACACCCAUAGUUCACAUCGACAUGUGACCAACACCCAAAGGGUUUACUAGAGUCAGUAAUGUAGUUCACAUCGCUAUGUGAUUAACACCCAAAGAGUACUAAGGUGUGAUCAUGUUUUGCUUGUGAGAUAAUUUUAGUCAACGGGUCUGUCACAUUCAGAUCCGUAAGUAUUUUGCAAAUUUCUAUGUUUACAAUGCUCUGCACGGAGCUACUUUAGCUAAUUGCUCCCACUUUCAAUAUGUAUCCAGAUGAAGACUUAGAGUCAUCUGGAUCAGUGCCAAAACUUGUAUCGACGUAACCCUUUACGACGAACCUUUUUGUCACCUCCAUAAUCGAGAAACAUAUCGUUAUUCCACUAAGGGUGAUUUUGACCGCUGUCCAGUGAUCUACUCCUAGAUCACUAUUGUACUCCCUUGCCAAAAUCAGGGUAGGGUAUACAAUAGAUUUGGUACACAACAUGGCAUACUUUAUAGAACCUAUGGCCAAGGCAUAGGGAAUGACUUUCAUUCUCUUUCUAUCUUCUGCCGUGGCCGGGCUUUGAGUCUUACUCAAUUUUACACCUUGUAACACAGGCAAGAACUCUUUCUUUGACUGUUCCAUUUUGAACUACUUCAAAAUCUUGUCAAGGUAUGUACUCAUUGAAAAAACUUAUCAAGCGUCUUGAUCUAUCUCUAUAGAUCUUGAUGCUCAAUAUGUAAGCAGCUUCACCGAGGUCUUUCUUUGAAAAAACUCCUUUCAAACACUCCUUUAUGCUUUGCAGAAUAAUUCUACAUUAUUUCCGAUCAACAAUAUGUCAUUCACAUAUACUUAUCAGAAAUGCUGUAGUGCUCCCACUCACUUUCUCGUAAAUACAGGCUUCACCGCAAGUCUGUAUAAAACUAUAUGCUUUGAUCAACUUAUCAAAGCGUAUAUUCCAACUCCGAGAUGCUUGCACCAGUCCAUAGAUGGAUCGCUGGAGCUUGCAUAUUUUGUUAGCACCUUUAGGAUUGAGAAAACCUUCUGGUUGCAUUAUAUACAACUCUUCUUUAAUAAAUCCAUUAAGGAAUGCAGUUUUGUUUAUCCAUUUGCCAGAUUUCAUAAAAUGCGGCAAUUGCUAACAUGAUUCGGACAUACUUUAAGCAUCGAUACGAGUGAGAAAAUCUCAUCAUAGUCAACACCUUGAACUUUGUCAAAAACCUUUUUCGACAAGUCUAGCUUUGUAGAUAGUAACACUACUAUCAGCGUCCGUCUUCCUCUUGAAAAUCCAUUUAUUUUCUAUGGCUUGCCGAUCAUCGGGCAAGUCAACCAAAGUCCAUACUUUGUUCUCAUACAUGGAUCCUAUCUCAGAUUUCAUGGCCUCAAACCAUUUCACAGAAUCUGGGCUCAUCAUCGCUUCCUCAUAGUUCGUAGGUUUGUCAUGGUCUAGUAACACAACCUCCAGAAUAGGAUUACCGUACCACUCUGGUGCGGAUCUUACUCUAGUUGACCUACGAGGUUCAGUAACAACUUGAUCUGAAGUUUCAUGAUCAUCAUCAUUAACUUCCUCACUAAUUGGUAUAGACGUCACAGGAACCGGUUUCUGUGAUGAAUUACUUUCCAAUAAGGGAGCAGGUACGGUUACCUCAUCAAGUUCUACUUUCCUCCCACUCACUUCUUUCGAGAGAAACUCCUUCUCUAGAAAGGAUCCAUUCUUAGCAACGAAUGUCUUGCCUUCGGAUCUGUGAUAGAAGGUGUACCCAACUGUCUCCUUUGGGUAUCCUAUGAAGACACAUUUCUCCAAUUUGGGUUUGAGCUUAUCAGGAUGAAACUUUUUCACAUAAGCAUCGCAACCCCGAACUUUAAGAAACGACAACUUUGGUUUCUUGCCAAACCACAGUUCAUACGGUGUCGUCUGAAACGAAUUUAGAUGGUGCCCUUUUUACGUGAAUGCAGCUGUCUCUAAUGCAUAACCCCAAAACUAUAGUGGUAAAUCAGUAAGAAACAUCAUAGAUUGCACUAUAUCCAAUAAAGUACGGUUAUGACGUUUGGACACACCAUUAUGCUGUGGUGUUCCAGGUGGCGGGAGUUGCGAAACUAUUCCGCAUUGUUUCAAAUGAAGACCAAACUCGUAACUCAAAUAUUCUCCUCCACGAUCAGAUCGUAGAAACUUUAUUUUCUUGUUACGAUGAUUUUCCACUUCACUCUGAAAUUAUUUGAACUUUUCGAAUGUUUCAGAUUUAUGUUUCAUCAAGUAGAUAUACCCAUAUCUGCUCAAAUCAUCUGUGAAGGUCAGAAAAUAACGAUACCCGCCGCGAGCCUCAACAGUUAUCGGACUGCAUACAUCAGUAUGUAUUAUUUCCAACAAGUCGGUUGCUUGCUCCAUUGUUCCGGAGAACGGAGUCUUAGUCAUCUUGCCCAUGAGGCAUGGUUUGCAAGCAUCAACUGAUUCAUAAUCAAGUGAUUCCAAAAGCCCAUCAGCAUGGAUUUUCUUCAUGCGCUUUACACCAAUAUGACCUAAAACGGCAGUGCCACAAAUAAGUUGCACUAUCAUUAUUAACUUUGCAUCUUUUGGCUUCAAUGUUAUGAAUAUGUGUAUCACUACAAUCGAGAUCCAACAAACCAUUUUCAUUGGGUGUAUGACCAUAUAAGGUUUUAUUCAUGUAAACAGAACAACAAUUAUUCUCUAUCUUAAAUGAAUAACCGUAUUGCAAUAAACAUGAUCAAAUCAUAUUCAUGCUCAACGCAAACACCAAAUAACACUUAUUUAGGUUCAACACUAAUCCCGAAAGUAUAGGGAGUGUGCGAUGAUGAUCAUAUCAAUCUUGGAACCACUUCCAACACACAUCGUCACUUCACCCUUAACUAGUCUUUGUUCAUUCUGCAACUCCCAUUUCGAGUUACUAAUCUUAGCAACUGAACUAGUAUCAAAUACUGAGGGGUUGCUAUAAACACUAGUAAAGUACACAUCAAUAACAUGUAUAUCAAAUAUACUUAUGUUCACUUUGCCAUCCUUCUUAUCCGCCAAUCACUUGGGGUAGUUCCGCUUCCAGUGACCAGUCCCUUUGCAGUAGAUGCACUUAGUCUCAUGCUUAGGUCCAGACUUGGGCUUCUUCACUCGAGCAGCAACUUGCUUGCCGUUCUUCUUGAAGUUCCCCUUCUUCCCUUUGCCCCUUUUCUUGAAACUAGUGGUCUUGUUAAUCAUCAACAAUUGAUGCUCUUUCUUGAUUUCUACCUUCAUCGAUUUCAUCAUCAUGAAAAGCUCGGGAAUCGUUUUCGUCAUCCCUUGCAUACUAUAGUUCAUCACGAAGUUCUACUAACUUGGUGAUGGUGACUAGAGAAUUAUGUCAAUCACUAUUUUAUCUGGAAGAUUAACUCCCACUUGAUUCAAGCGAUUGUAGUACCCAGACAAUCUGAGCACAUGCUCACUGCUUGAGCUAUUCUCCUCCAUCUUUUAGCUAUAGAACUUGUUGGAAACUUCAUAUCUCUCAACUCGGGUAUUUUCUUGAAAUAUUAACUUCAACUCCUGGAACAUCUCAUAUGGUCCAUGACGUUUCAAAAACAUCUUUGAAGCCCCGAUUCUAAGCAGUAAAGCAUGGUUCACUAAACUAUCAAGUAGUCAUCAUAUCGAGCUUGCCAAACGUUCAUAACGUCUGCAUUUGCUCCUGCAAUCGGUCUGUCACCUAGCGGUGCAUCAAGGACAUAAUUCUUCUGUGCAGCAAUGAGGAUAAACCUCAGAUCAUGGACCCAGUCCGCAUCAUUGCUACUAUCAUCUUUCAACUUAGUUUUCUCUAGGAACAUAUAUAAAACAUAGAACAACGCGAGCUAUUGAUCUACAACAUAGAUAUGCUAAUACUACCAGGACUAAGUUCAUGAUAAAUUGAAGUUCAAUUAAUCAUAUUACUUAAGAACUCCCACUUAGAUAGACAUCCCUCUAAUCAUCUAAGUGAUCACGUGAUCCAAAUCAACUAAACCAUAACCGAUCAUCACGUGAAAUGGAGUAGUUUUCAAUGGUGAACAUCACUAUGUUGAUCAUAUCUACUAUAUGAUUCACGCUCGACCUUUCGGUCUCAGUGUUCCGAGGCCAUAUCUGCAUAUGCUAGGCUCGUCAAGUUUAACCUGAGUAUUCUGCGUGUGCAAAACUGGCUUGCACCCGUUGUAGAUGGACGUAGAGCUUAUCACACCCGAUCAUCACGUGGUGUCUGGGCACGACGAACUUUGGCAACGGUGCAUACUCAGGGAGAACACUUUUAUCUUGAAAUUUAGUGAGAGAUCAUCUUAUAAUGCUACCGUCAAUCAAAGCAAGAUAAGAUGCAUAAAAGAUAAACAUCACAUGCAAUCAAUAUAAGUGAUAUGAUAUGGCCAUCAUCAUCUUGUGCUUGUGAUCUCCAUAUCCGAAGCACCGUCAUGAUCACCAUCGUCACCGGCGCGACACCUUGAUCUCCAUCGUAGCAUCGUUGUCGUCUCGCCAAUAUUAUGCUUCUACGACUAUCGCUACCGCUUAGUGAUAAAGUAAAGCAUUGCAUUGCAUACAAUAAAGCGACAACCAUAUGGCUCCUGCCAGUUGCUGAUAACUCGGUUACAAAACAUGAUCAUCUCAUACAAUAAAAUAUAGCAUCAUGCCUUGACCAUAUCACAUCACAACAUGCCCUGCAAAAACAAGUUAGACGUCCUCUACUUUGUUGUUGCAAAUUUUACGUGGCUGCUACGGGCUUAGCAAGAACCGUUCUUACCUACGCAUCAAAACCACAAUGAUAGUUUGUCAAGUUGGUGCUGUUUUAACCUUUGCAAGGACCGGGCGUAGCCACACUCGGUUCAACUAAAGUUGGAGAAACUGACACCCGCCAGCCACCUGUGUGCAAAGCACGUCGGUAGAACCAGUCUCGGGUAAGCGUACGCGUAAUGUCGGUCCAGGCCGCUUCAUCCAACGAUACCGCCAAACCAAAGUAUGACAUUCUGGUAAGCAGUAUGACUUAUAUCGCCCACAACUCACUUGUGUUCUACUCGUGCAUAUGACAUCUACGCAUAAAACCUGGCUCUGAUACCACUGUUGGGGAACGUAGUAAUUUCAAAAUUUUCCUACGCACACACAGGAUCAUGGUGAUGCAUAGCAACGAGAGGGGAGAGUGUGUCCACGUACCCUCAUAGACCGAAAGCGGAAGCGUUAUAUCAACGCGGUUGAUGUAGUCGUACGUCUUCACGAUCCGACCGAUCCAAGUACCGAAAGCACGGCACCUCCGAGUUCUGCACACGUUCGGCUCGGUGACGUCCUCGCCUUCUCGAUCCAGCAAGAGGGGCGAAGUAGUAGAUGAGUUCCGGCAGCACGACGGCGUGGUGACGGUGUUGGUGAAGAACAAUCUUCGCAGGGCUUUGCCUAAGCACUACGAAAACUAUGAUGGAGGAUAAACUAGAGGAGACGGUGUUGCCGGCAUAUGACUUGGUGUUUGUUGAUGUGUCUUGGGUGCUAGCCCUACCCCUCUAUUUAUAUGUUGAGCCUUGGGGUCGAAACUUGGAGUAAAAGCCUCCACAAAGUCGGUUUCACCCGAAAAGCAAGAGUCCUUCUCGGACUCCAAGGCCAGAAGCCAGGGUUCCCGGCGUCUGGACCCAGACGCCAGGGACCCUGGCGUCUGGCCCCUGGACUCCGCAAAACUUCCUUUUGCGCUUUCCAAAAACCUCGUGGGCUUUCCCCUUUGGCCCAGAUAAAGUGUUCUCGUGCCCAAACAUUUCGGGAAACAUCUGGAACCCCUUCCGAUGGAUUCCGGAACCUUUCCGGAGAUCAAACACUACUAUCCACAUAUCAAUCUUUACUUCCGGACCAUUCCGGAGUUCCUCGUCAUAUCCGUGAUCUCAUCCAAAACUCCGAACAACAUUCAGUCACCAACAUACAUAACUCAUAGUACUAUAUCCUAACGAACGUUAAGCGUGCGGACCCUACGGGUUCGAGAACUAUGUAGACAUGACCGAGACACCUCUCUGGUCAAUAACCAAUAGCGGGACCUGGAUGCCCAUAUUGGCUCCUACAUAUUCUACGAAGAUCUUUAUCGGUCAGACCGCAUAACAAGAUACGUUGUUCCCUUUGUCAUCGGUAUGUUACUUGCCCGAGAUUCGAUCGUCGGUAUCUCAAUACCUAGUUCAAUCUCGUUACCGGCAAGUCUCUUUACUCGUUCCGUAAUACAUCAUCCCGCAACUAACUCAUUAGUUACAAUGCUUGCAAGGCUUAUAGUGAUGUGCAUUACCGAGUGGGCCCAGAGAUACCUCUCUGACAAUCGGAGUGACAAAUCCUAAUCUCGAAAUACGCCAACCCAACAAGUACCUUCGGAGACACCUGUAGAGCACCUUUAUAAUCACCCAGUUACGUUGUGAAGUUUGGUAGCACACAAAGUGUUCCUCUGGUAAAUGGGAGUUGCAUAAUCUCAUAGUCAUAGGAACAUGUAUAAGUCAUGAAGAAAGCAAUAGCAGAAUACUAAACGAUCAAGUGCUAAGCUAACGGAAUGGGUCAAGUCAAUCACAUCAUUCUCCUAAUGAUGUGAUCCCGUUAAUCAAAUGACAACUCAUGUCUAUGGCUAGGAAACAUAACCAUCUUUGAUCAACGAGCUAGUCAAGUAGAGGCAUACUAGUGACACUCCGUUUGUCUAUGUAUUCACACAAGUAUUAUGUUUCCGGUUAAUACAAUUCUAGCAUGAAUAAUAAACAUUUAUCAUGAAAUAAGGAAAUAAAUAAUAACUUUAUUAUUGCCUCUAGGGCAUAUUUCCUUCAAAUAUAAGUGAUAUGAUAUGGCCAUCAUCAUCUUGUGCCUUCGAUCUCCAUCUCCAAUGCACCGUCAUGACCACCAUCGUCACCGGCGCGACACCUUGAUCUCCAUCGUAGCAUUGUUGUCGCCUCGCCAACUGUUGCUCCUACGACUAUGGCUACCGCUUAGUGAUAAAGUAAAGCAAUUACAUGGCGAUUACAUUUCAUAGAAUAAAGCGACAACCAUAUGGCUCCUGCCAGUUGCCGAUAACUCCGUUACAAAACAUGAUCAUCUCAUACAAUAAAAUUUAGCAUCAUGUCUUGACCAUAUCACAUCACAACAUGCCCUGCAAAAACAAGUUAGACGUCAUCUACUUUGUUGUUUCAAGUUUUACGUGGCUGCUACGGGCUGAGCAAGAACCGUUCUUACCUACGCAUCAAAACCACAAUGAUUUUUCGUCAAGUAUGUGUUGUUUUAACCUUCAACAAGGACCGGGCGUAGCCACACUCGAUUCAACUAAAGUUGGAGAAACUGACACCCGCCAGCCACCUGUGUGCAAAGCACGUCGGUAGAACCAGUCUCGCGUAAGCGUACGCGUAAUGUCGGUCUGGGCCGCUUCAUCCAACAAUACUGCCGAACCAAAGUAUGAUAUGCUGGUAAGCAGUAUGACUUGUAUCGCUGAAAGCACAAGUGCUCCCUGGGUGGUUUUGGUAAUUAAUGUCAACAUAUCUCUUGUUGGACUAACACUUUUACCUAGUAUGUUUCAGAUAAGUUCAACAAUGAAGUGGCAUGGACUAGAGGAUGUGGAACCCCUUCAAGAUGCCAAGGACAAAAGGAUUGGCUCAAGCUCCAAGAACAAGACUCUACAUUUUCUAUUUUAGUGAUCCAAGAUCACAUUGAGUCUAUAGGAAAAGCCAACACUAUCAAGAGGGGAUGAGGUGUUGCUUAAUGGCUUGCUUGCUCAAAGUGCUUAGUGAUAUGCUCCAAAGCCCUCAACUACCUUCUCACAUCCACAUUUGGCCCAAACCAAAAGUCCAGCUCGGCCACAGCAAUUCUUUCUAUCCGGCGCCACCGAGUUCAGAUGUCAUAGCCACUGCCACAAACCCUAGGCAAAUCGGUCUCACCGAUAGGGAUCUCGGUCUCACCGAGAUGGGAUUGUAAUUUCUCUGUGCAUGUCCAUUACCAAAAUCGGUCUCACCGAGUUUGCGUAAUCGGUCCUACCGAGAUUACAAUGUAAACUCUCUGUUUCCUUUUCGUAACAUUUUGGUCUCACCGAGAUGAGCGAAUCGGUCCCACCGAGUUUGCCUGACCAACUCUCUAGUUAGCUUAUUACCGAAAUCGGUCUCACCGAUUUUGAGUAAUCGGUCUCACCGAGAUUACGUUAUGCCCUAACCCUAAUCAUAUCGGUCCCAUCGAAAAUCCUAACGGUCACAUUAUUUGCUAAAUCGGUCUGACCGAGUUUCAUGAUUCGGUCCCACCGAGAUUGGUAAGUUGUGUGUAACGGUUAGAUUUUGUGUGGAGGCUAUAUAUACCCCUCCACCCACUCUUCAUUCGUGGAGAGAGCCAUCAGAACAUGCCUACACUUCCAACAUACAUUUUCUAAGAGAGAACCACCUACACUUGUGUUGAGACCAAGAUAUUCCAUUCCUACCAUAUGAAUCUUGAUCUCUAGCCUUCCCCAAGUUGCUUUCCACUCAAAUCUUCUUUCCACCAAAUCCAAAUCCUGUGAGAGAGAGUUGAGUGUUGGGGAGGCUAUCAUUUGAAGCACAAGAGCAAGGAGUUCAUCAUCAACACACCAUUUGUUACUUCUUGGAGAGUGGUGUCUCCUAGAUUGGCUAGGUGUCACUUGGGAGCCUCCGACAAGAUUGUGGAGUUGAACCAAGGAGUUUGUAAGGGAAAGGAGAUCGCCUACUUCGUGAAGAUCUACCCUAGUGAGGCAAGUCCUUCGUGGGCGACGGCCAUGGUGGGAUAGACAAGGUUGCUUCUUCGUGGACCCUUCGUGGGUGGAGCCCUCAGUGGACUCGCGCAGCCGUUACCCUUUGUGGGUUGAAGUCUCCAUCAACGUGGAUGUACGAUAGCACCACCUAUCGGAACCACGGCUCAAAAAUCUCCGUGUCUCCAAAUUGCGUUUGCACACUCCAAUCCCAUCCCUUUACAUCCUUGCAAAUUGCAUGCUUUACUUUCCGCUGCUCAUAUACUCUUUGCAUGCUUGCUUGAUAUGUAUUGUGAUUGUUAAACUUGUGCCUAAACUCCACUUAAACUUAAAGCAGUUAAAAACUGCACCUUUUCCCACUUAGUGUCUAAUCACCCCCCUCUAGACACCUCUUCUCGAUCCUUUCAAUCGCCCACAACUCACUUGUGUUCUACUCGUGCAUAUAACAUCUACGCAUAAACCUGGCUCGGAUGCCACUGUUGGGGAACAUAGUAAUUUCAAAAAAAUUCCUACGCACACGCAAUAUCAUGGUGAUGCAUAGCAACGAGAGGGGAGAGUUGCUACCUCUUGAGCACAACGUUGGUUUUCCCUUGAAGAGGAAAGGGUGAUGUAGCAAAGUAGCGUAAGUAUUUCCCUCAGUUUUUGAGAACCAAGGUAUCAAUCCAGUAGGAGGACACGCUCAAGUCCCUCGUACGUACAGAAACAAAUAUGAACCUUGCAACCAACGCGAUAAAGGGGUUGUCAAUCCCUUCACGGCCACUUGCAAAAGUGAGAUCUGAUAGAGAUGAUAAGAUAAUAUUUUUAGUAUUUUUAUGAUAAAGACUAAAAGUAAAGAAAGCAAAAUAAACGGUAAUAGAAAUUGCUAGUUGUUGGAAGACUAAUAUGAUGGAAAAUAGACCCGGGGGCCAUAGGUUUCACUAGUGGCUUCUCUCAAGAUAGCAUAAGUAUUACGGUGGGUGAACAAAUUACUGUCGAGCAAUUGAUAGAAUUGAGCAUAGUUAUGAGAAUAUCUAGGCAUGAUCAGGUAUAUAGGCAUCACGUCCGCGACAAGUAGACCGACUCCUGCCUGCAUCUACUACUAUUACUCCACACAUCGACCUCUAUCCAGCAUGCAUCUAGAGUAUUAAGUUCAUAAGAACAGAGUAACGCUUUAAGCAAGAUGACAUGAUGUAGAGGGAUAAACUCAAGCAAUAUGAUAUAAACCCCAUCUUUUUAUCCUCGAUGGCAACAAUACAAUACAUGUCGUUUCCCUUUCUGUCACUGGGAUCGAGCACUGCAAGAUUGAACCCAAAGAUAAGCACUUCUCCCAUUGCAAGAAAGAUCAAUCUAGUAGGCCAAACCAAAUUGAUAAUUCGAAGAGACUUGCAAAGAUAACCAAUCAUACAUAAAAGAAUUCAGAGGAGAUUCAAAUAUUGUUCAUAGAUAAUCUUGAUCAUAAACCCACAAUUCAUCGGAUCUCGACAAACACACCGCAAAAGAAGAUUACAUCAAAUAGAUCUCCAAGAGAAUCAAGGAGAACUUUGUAUUGAGAUCCAAAGAGAGAGAAGAAGCCAUCUAGCUAAUAACUAUGGACCCGAAGGUCUGAGGUAAACAACUCACACAUCAUCGGAGAGGCUAUGGUGUUGAUGUAGAAGCCCUCCGUGAUCAAUGCGCCCUCCGGCGGAGCACCGGAAAAGGCCCCAAGAUGGGAUCAAACGGGUACAGAAGGUUGCGGCGGUGGAAAUAGGGUUUCGUGGUGCUCCUGGAUGUUUUCGGGGUACGUAGGUAUAUAUAGGAGGAAGAAGUAGGUCGGUGGAGCUACGAGGGGCCCACAAGGGUGGGGGGCACGCCCAGGGGGGCAGGCGCGCCUCCCUGCCUCGUGGCCUCCUUGUUGAUUGAUUGACGUCCACUCCAAGUCCUCUGGAUCAUGUUUGUUCCGAAAAUCAUGUUCCCGAAGGUUUCAUUCCAUUUGGACUCCCUUUGAUAUUCCUUUUCUGCGAAACACUGAAAUAGGCAAAAAACAUCAAUUUGGGUUGGGCCUCCGGUUAAUAGGUUAGUCCCAAAAAUAAUAUAAAAGUGUAUAAUAAAGCCCAUUAAACAUCCAAAACAGAUAAUAUAAUAGCAUGGAACAAUAAAAAAUUAUAGAUACGUUGGAGACGUAUCAAGCAUCCCCAAGCUUAAUUCUUGCUCGUCCUCGAGUAGGUACAUGAUAAAAAUAGAAUUUUGAUGUGGAAUGCUACCUAGCAUAUUUCUCAAUGUAAUUUUCUUUAUUGUGGCAUGAAUGUUCAGAUCCAAAAGAUUCAAGAUAAAAGUUUAAUAUUGACAUAAAAAUAAUAAUACUUCAAGCAUACUAACUAAGCAAUUAUGUCUUCUCAAAAUAACAUGGCCAAAGUAAGUUCAUCCCUACAAAAUCAUAUAGCUUGGCUAUGUCCCAUCUUUGUCACACAAAAUAUUCAAAUCAUGCACAACCCCGGUUUCAGCCAAGCAAUUGUUUCAUACUUCAGAAUUUUCAAACUUUUUCAACUUUCACGCAAUACAUGAGCGUGAGCCAUGGACAUAGCACUAUGGGUGGAAUAGAAUAUGAUAAUGGGGGUUAUGUGGAGAAGACAAAAAGGAGAAGAUAGUCUCACAUCAACUAGGCGUAUCAACGGGCUAUGGAGAUGCCCAUCAAUAGAUAUCAAUGUGAGUGAGUAGGGAUUGCCAUGCAACGGAUACACUAGAGCUAUAAAUAUAUGAAAGCUCAACAAAUGAAACUAAGUGGGUGUGCAUCCAACUUGCUUGCUCAUGAAGACCUAGGGCAUUUGAGGAAGCCCAUUGUUGGAAUAUACAAGCCAAGUUAUAUAAUGAAAAAUUCCCACUAGUAUAUGAAAGUGACAAAACAAGAGACUCUCUAUCAUAAAGAUCAUGGUGCUACUUUGAAGCACAAGUGUGGAAAAAGAGAUAGUAGCAUUGUCCCCUUUUUAUUUUCUUUAUUUUUUUGGGCCUUCUUUAUUUUUUUAUUUGGCCUUCCCCCCUUUUUUGGGGACAAUGCUCUAUGAAUGAUGAUCAUCACACUUCUAUUCAUUUACAAAUCAAUGAUUACAACUCGAUACUAGAACAAAAUAUGACUCUAAAUGAAUGCCUCCGGCGGUGUACCGGGAUGGGCAAUGAAUCAAGAGUGACAUGUAUGAAGUUAUGCAUGGUGGCUUUGCCACAAAUACGAUGUCAACUACAUGAUCAUGCAUGGCAAUAUGAUAAUGAUGAAGCGUGUCAUAAUAAAUGAAACGGUGGAAGGUUGCAUGGCAAUAUGUCUUAGAAUGGCUAUGGAAAUGCCAUGAUAGGUAGGUAUGGUGGCUGUUUUGAGGAAGAUAUAAGGAGGUUUAUGUGUGAUAGAGCGCAUCAUAUCACGGGGUUUGGAUGCACCGGCGAAGUUUGCACCAACUCUCAAGGUGAGAAAGGGCAAUGCACGGUACCGAAGAGGCUAGCAAUGAUGGAAGAGUGAGAGUGCGUAUAAUCCAUGGACCCAACAUUAGUCAUAAAGAACUCACAUACUUAUUGCAAAAAUCUACAAGUCAUCAAAACCAAGCACUACACGCAUGCUCCUAGGGGGGAGGUUGGUAGGAGUUAACCAUCGCGCGACCCCGACCUCCACACGAAGGAUGACACUCAAAGAACACUUCAUGUUUCAAAUUUGUUACACAACGGUUACCAUACGUGCAUGCUACGGGACUUGCAAACUUCAACACAAGUAUUUCUCAAUUUCACAAUUACUCAACUAGCACAACUUUAAUAUCACUAUCUCCAUAUCUCAAAACAAUCAUCAAGUAUCAAACUUCUCAUAGUAUUCAAUGCACUUUAUAUGAUAGUUUUUAUUAUACCUAUCUUGGAUGCAUAUUGUAUUAGGACUAAUUUCAACCAAAGAAAAAUACCAUGCUGUUCUAAAAGACUCUCAAAAUAAUAUAAGUGAAGCAUGAGAGAUCAAUAAUUUCUAUAAAAUAAAACCUCCACCGUGCUCUGAAAGAUAUAAGUGAAGCACUAGAGCAAAAACUAUAUAGCUCAAAAGAUAUAAGUGAAGCACAUAGAGUAUUCUAAUAAAUUCCGAAUCAUGUGUGUCUCUCUCAAAAGGUGUGUACAGCAAGGAUGAUUGUGGUAAACUAAAAAGUAAAUACUCAAAUAAUACAAGACGCUCCAAGCAAAACACAUAUCAUGUGGUGAAUAAAAAUAUAGCCCCAAGUAAAGUUACCGAUAGACGAAGACAAAAGAGGGGAUGCCUUCCGGGGCAUCCCCAAGCUUAGGCUUUUGGUUGUCCUUGAAUUUUACCUUGGGGUGCCUUGGGCAUCCCCAAGCUUAGGCUCUUGCCACUCUUUGUUCCAUAAUCCAUCAAAUCUUUACCCAAAACUUGAAAACUUCACAACACAAAACUCAACAGAAAAUCUCAUAAGCUCCGUUAGCGAAAUAAAAUAAACCACCACUUUAAGGUACUGUAUUGAACUCAUUAUUUAUUUAUAUUGGUGUUAAACCUACUGUAUUCCAACUUCUCUAUGGUUUAUAAGCUCUUUUACUAGCCAUAGAUUCAUCAAAAUAAGCAAACAACACAUGAAAAACAGAAUCUGUUAAAAACAGAACAGUCUGUAGUAAUCUCUAUCUAACGCAAACUUCUGGAACCUAAAAACUUCUACCAAAUUAGGAAGUCCUAGAUAAUUUGUUUGUUUAUCUACUGGAAAAAUAAUGAACUGAAAAGCACGUUUCUUUGAUUUAUGAAAACUAAUCUCGUGCACGCAAAGUUUCUGUUUUUUAUAGCAAGACCAAAUAACUAUCACCGUAGGUUAUCCUAAAGGUUUGACUUGGCACAAACACUAAUUAAAACACAAAAACAAAUCUAACUAGAGGCUAGAUGAAUUAUUUAUUACUAACAGAACCAAAAAGAAAGAAACAAAAAUAAAUUUGGGUUGCCUCCCAACAAGCGCUAUCGUUUAACGCCCCUAGCUAGGCAUAAAAACAAGGAUAGAUCAAAGUAUUGCCAUCUUUGGUAGGCAACCCAUAAGUGGCCCUCAUAAUGGAUUCGUAAGGUAAUUUAAUCUUCUUUCUAGGGAAGUGUUCCAUGCCUUUCCUUAACGGAAAUUGGAAUCUAAUAUUCCCUUCCUUCAUAUCAAUAAUUGCACCAAUCGUUCUAAGGAAAGGUCUACCAAGAAUAAUAGGACAUGAAGGAUUGCAAUCUAUAUCAAGAACGAUAAAAUCCAUGGGCACAUAAUUCCUAUUUGCAACAAUAAGAACAUCAUUAAUUCUUCCCAUAGGUUUCUUGAUAGUGGAAUCCGCAAGGUGCAAGUUUAAAGAGCAAUCAUCAAAUUCACGGAAACCUAGCAAAUCACACAAAGUUUUUGGAAUCGUGGAAACACUAGCACCCAAAUCACACAAAGCAUAGCAUUCAUGAUCUUUAAUUUUAAUUUUAAUUGUAGGUUCCCACUCAUCAUAAAGUUUUCUAGGGAUAGAAACUUCCAACUCAAGUUUUUCUUCAUAAGAUUGCAUCAAAGCAUCAACGAUAUGUUUAGUAAAGGCUUUAUUUUGACUAUAAGCAUGAGGAGAAUUUAGCCCGGAUUGCAACAAGGAAAUACAAUCUAUUAAAGAGCAAUUAUCAUAGUUAAAUUCCUUGAAAUCCAAAAUAGUGGGUUCAAUGCUAUCUAAAGUUUUGACCUCUUCAAUCCCACUUUUACCAAUUUUUGCAUCAAGAUCUAAAAACUCUGAAUUAUUGGGAUGGCUUUUAACUAAAGUUGACUCAUCUCCAGUCCCAUCAUUAUCAAGAUUCAUAUUACAAAACAAAGAUUUAAUAGGAGACACAUCAAUAACUUUUAGAUCUUCAUCUUUAUUCUCAUAAAAACUAGAAGAACACGCCUUUACAAAGCAAUCUUUCUUAGGACACAUUCCAGCGGUUCUUUCUUUGCACUCAUCAAUGGAAAUUCUCAUGGCUUUGAGAGACUCAUUGAUAUCAUGCUUAGGUGGAAUAGAUCUAAGCUUCAAUGAAUCAACAUCAAGAGAAAUUCCAUCCACGCUCCUAGCCAAUUCAUCAACCUUUUUCUUCAAGCAAGGUGUUGAAAUUCUUUUGUGAAUUCAUAAACUCUUUAACACUAGUCUCAAAUUCAGAGGGAAACUUAUUAAAAUUUCCAUAAGAAUUGUUGUAGGAAUUACCAUAAUUAUUAGAGGAAUUACUAGGGAACGGCCUAGGAUUAAAGUUUCCUCUAUACGCGUUGUUACCAAAAUUAUUCCUACCAACAAAAUUCACAUCCAUAGAUUCAUUAUUAUUCUCAAUCAAAGUAGACAAAGGCAUAUCAUUAGGGUCAGAAGAAACACUCUUAUUAGCAAACAAUUUCAUAAGUUCAUCCAUAUUUCCACUCAAAACAUUAAUUUCUUCAAUCGCAUGAACCUUUUUACUAGUAGAUCUUUUAGUGUGCCAUUGAGAAUAAUUAACCAUAAUAUUAUCUAGGAGUUUAGUAGCUUCUCCUAAAGUGAUUUCCAUAAAAGUGCCUCCCGCGGCCGAAUCUAAAAGAUUUCUAGAAGCAAAAUUCAACCCGGCAUAAUUUUUUUGUAUAAUCAUCCACAAAUUCAAACCAUGAGUAGGGCAAUUACGUAUCAUUAAUUUCAUCCUCUCCCAAGCUUGUGCAACAUGUUCAUGAUCAAGUUGCUUAAAAUUCAUAAUAUCGUUUCUAAGAUAGAUGAUCUUAGCGGGAGGAAAAUACUUAGAGAUAAAAGCAUCUUUGCACUUAUUCCAAGAAUCAAUACUAUUUUUAGGCAAAGACGAAAACCAAGUUUUAGCACGAUCUCUAAGCGAAAACGGAAAUAACUUCAAUUUAACAAUAUCAUUGUCCACAUCUUUCUUCUUUUGCAUAUCACACAAAUCAACAAAGCUAUUUAGAUGGGUAGCGGCAUCUUCACUAGGAAGGCCGGCGAAUUGAUCUUUCAUGACAAGAUUCAACAAAGCAGCAUUAAUUUCACAAGAUUCAACAUCGGUAAGAGGAGCAAUCGGAGUGCUAAGGAAAUCAUUGUUGUUGGUAUUGGAAAAGUCACACAAUUUAGUAUUGUCUUGAGCCAUCAUGACAAGCAAGAAAUCCAACACACAAGCACAUAAGAAGCGGCGAGAAAAGAGGCGAACGGAAAAGAGGACAAAUAAAACUGCAAGGGUGAAGUGGGGGAGAGGAAAACGAGAGGCAAAUGGCAAAUAAUGUAAUGCGAGGGAUAAGAGUUUGUGAUGGGUACUUGGUAUGUCUUGACUUGUGCGUAGACUCCCCGACAACGGUGCCAGAAAUCCUUCUUGCUACCUCUUGAGCACAUCGUUGGUUUUCCCUUGAAGAGGAAAGGGUGAUGUAGCAAAGUAGCGUAAGUAUUUCCCUCAGUUUUUGAGAACCAAGGUAUCAAUCCAGUAGGAGGCCACACUCAAGUCCCUCGUACCUACACAAACAAAUAAGAACCUUGCAACCAACGCGAUAAAGGGGUUAUCAAUCCCUUCAUGACCACUUGCAAAAGUGAGAUCUGAUAGAGAUGAUAAGAUAAUAUUUUUGGUAUUUUAAUGAUAAAGAUUAAAGGUAAAGAAAGCAAAAUAAACGGUAAUAGAAAUUGCUAGUUGUUGGAAGAUUAAUAUGAUGGAAAGUAGACCCAGGGGCCAUAGGUUUCACUAGUGGCUUCUCUCAAGAUAGCAUAAGUAUUACGGUGGGUGAACAAAUUACUGUCGAGCAAUUGAUAGAAUUGAGCAUAGUUAUGAGAAUAUCUAGGCAUGAUCAUAUAUAUAGGCAUCACGUCCGUGACAAGUAGACCGACUCCUGCCUACAUCUACUACUAUUACUCCACACAUCGACCGCUAUCCAGCAUGCAUCUAGAGUAUUAAGUUCAUAAGAACAGAGUAACGCUUUAAGCAAGAUGACAUGAUGUAGAGGGAUAAACUCAAGCAAUAUGAUAUAAACCCCAUCUUUUUAUCCUCGAUGGCAACAAUACAAUACGUGUCGUUUCCCUUUCUGUCAUUGGGAUCGAGCACCGCAAGAUUGAACCCAAAGCUAAGCACUUCUCCCAUUGCAAGAAAGAUCAAUCUAGUAGGCCAAACCAAACUGAUAAUUCAAAGAGACUUGCAAAGAUAACCAAUCAUACAUAAAAGAAUUCAGAGGAGAUUCAAAUAUUGUUCAUAGAUAAUCUUGAUCAUAAACCCACAAUUCAUCGGAUCUCGACAAACACACUGCAAAAGAAGAUUACAUCAAAUAGAUCUCCAAGAGAAUCGAGGAGAACUUUGUGUUGAGAUCCAAAGAGAGAGAAGAAGCCAUCUAGCUAAUAACUAUGGACCCGAAGGUCUAAGGUAAACUACUCACACAUCAUAGAAGAGGCUAUGGUGUUGAUGUAGAAGCCCUCCGUGAUCAAUGCCCCCUCCGGCGGAGCGCCGGAAAAGGCCCCAAGAUGGGAUCUCACGGGUACAGAAGGUUGCGGCGGUGGAAAUAGGGUUUCGUGGUGCUCCUGGAUGUUUUCGGGGUACGUAGGUAUAUAUAGGAGGAAGAAGUAGGUCGGUGGAGCUACAAGGGCCCCACAAGGGUGGGGGGCGUGCCCAGGGGGGCAGGCGCGCCUCCCUGCCUCGUGGCCUCCUCGUUGAUUGCUUGACAUCCACUCCAAGUCCUCUGGAUCACGUUUGUUCCGAAAAUCACGUUCCCGAAGGUUUCAUUCCGUUAGGACUCUGUUUGAUAUUCCUUUUCUGCGAAACGCUGAAAUAGGCAAAAAAACAGCAAUUUGGGCUGGGCCUCCGGUUAAUAGGUUAGUCCCAAAAAUAAUAUAAAAGUGUAUAGUAAAGCCCAUUAAACAUCUAAAAUAGAUAAUAUAAUAGCAUGGAACAAUCAAAAAUUAUAGAUAUGUUGGAGACGUAUCAAGCAUCCCCAAGCUUAAUUCCUGCUCGUCCUCGAGUAGCUAAAUGAUAAAAACAGAAUUUUUGAUGUGGAAUGCUACCUAGCAUAUUUCUCAAUGUAAUUUUCUUUAUUGUGGCAUGAAUAUUCAGAUCCGAAAGAUUCAAGAUAAAAGUUUAAUAUUGACAUAAAAAUAAUAAUACUUCAAGCAUACUAACUAAGCAAUUAUGUCUUCUCAAAAUAACAUGGACAAAGUAAGUUUAUCCCUACAAAAUCAUAUAGUUUGGCCAUGUCCCAUCUUCGUCACACAAAAUAUUCAAAUCAUGCACAACCCCAGUUUCAGCCAAGCAAUUGUUUCAUACUUAAGGAUUUUCAAACUUUUUCAAUCUUCACGCAAUACAUGAGCGUGAGCCAUGGACAUAGUACUAUGGGUGGAAUAGAAUAUGAUGAUGGGGGUUGUGUGGAAAAGACAAAAAAGAGAAGAUAGUCUCACAUCAACUAGGCGUAUCAACGGGCUAUGGAGAUGACCAUAAUAGAUAUCAAUGUGAGUGAGUAGGGAUUGCCAUGCAACGGAUGCACUAGAGCUAUAAAUGUAUGAAAGCUCAACAUAAGAAACUAAGUGGGUGUACAUCCAACUUGCUUGCUCACGAAGACCUAGGGCAUUUCAGGAAGCCCAUUGUUGGAAUAUACAAGCCAAGUUCUAUAAUGAAAAAUUCCCACUAGUAUAUGAAAGUGACAAAACAAGCGACUCUCUAUCAUAAAGAUCAUGGUGCUACUUUGAAGCACAAGUGUGGAAAAAAGAUAGUAGCAUUGUCCCCUUUUUUAUUUCUCUUUUUUUGGGCCUUCUUUUUUAUUGGCAUUUCUCUUUUUUUGGGACAAUGCUCUAUGAAUGAUGAUCAUCACACUUCUAUUCAUUUACAACUCAAUGAUUACAACUCGAUACUAGAACAAAAUAUGACUCUAUAUGAAUGCCUCCGGUGGUGUACCGGGAUGGGCACUGAAUCAAGAGUGACAUGUAUGAUAAAUUAUGCAUGGUGGCUUUGCCACAAAUACGAUGUCAACUACAUGAUCAUGCAUGGUAAUAUGACAAUGAUGAAGCGUGUCAUAAUAAAUGAAACGGUGGAAAGUUGCAUGGCAAUAUAUCUCAGAAUGGUUAUGGAAAUGCCAUGAUAGGUAGGUAUGGUGGCUGUUUUGAGGAAGAUAUAAGGAGGUUUAUGUGUGAUAGAGCGUAUCGUAUCACGGGGUUUGGAUGCACCGGCGAAGUUUGCACCAACUCUCAAGGUGAGAAAGGGCAAUGCACGGCACCGAAGAGGCUAGAAAUGAUGGAAGGGUGAGAGUGCGUAUAAUCCAUGGACUCAACAUUAGUCAUAGAGAACUCACAUACUUAUUGCAAAAAUCUACAAGUCAUCAAAACCAAGCACUACACGCAUGCUCCUAGGGGGGAGGUUGGUAGGAGUUAACCAUCGCGCCUCCCCGACCUACACACAAAUGAUGACACUCAAAGAACACUUCAUGUUUCAAAAUUGUUACACAACAGUCACCAUACGUGCAUGCUACGGGACUUGCAAACUUCAACACAAGUAUUUAUCAAUUUCACAAUUACUCAACUAGCACAACUUUAAUAUCACUAUCUCCAUAUCUCAAAACAAUCAUCAAGUAUCAAACUUCUCAUAGUAUUCAAUGCACUUUAUAUGAUAGUUUUUAUUAUACCUAUCUUGGAUGCAUAUUGUAUUAGGACUAAUUUCAACCAAAGAAAAAUACCAUGCUGUUCUAAAAGACUCUCAAAAUAAUAUAAGUGAAUCAUGAGAGAUCAAUAAUUUCUAUAAAAUAAAACCUCCACCGUGCUCUGAAAGAUAUAAGUGAAGCACUAGAGCAAAAACGAUAUAGCUCAAAAGAUAUAAGUGAAGCACAUAGAGUAUUCUAAUAAAUUCCGAAUCAUGUGUGUCUCUCUCAAAAGGUGUGUACAGCAAGGAUGAUUGUGGUAAACUAAAAAGCAAAGACUCAAAUCAUACAAGACGCUCCAAGCAAAACACAUAUCAUGUGGUGAAUAAAAAUAUAGUAUCAAGUAAAGUUACCGAUGGACGAAGACGAAAGAGGGGAUGCCUUCCGGGGCAUCCCCAAGCUUAGGAUUUUGGUUGUCCUUGAAUUUUACCUUGGGGUGCCUUGGGCAUCCCCAAGCUUAGGCUCUUGCCACUCUUUGUUCCAUAAUCCAUCAAAUCUUUACCCAAAACUUGAAAACUUCACAACACAAAGCUCAAUAGAAAAUCUCAUAAGCUCCGUUAGCGAAAUAAAACAAACCACCACUUCAAGGUACUGUAAUGAACUCAUUAUUUAUUUAUAUUGGUGUUAAACCUACUGUAUUCAAACUUCUCUAUGGUUCAUAACCUCCGAUACUAGCCAUAGAUUCAUCAAAAUAAGCAAACAACACACGAAAAACAGAAUCUGUCAAAAACAGAACAAUCUGUAGUAAUCUGUAUCAAACGUAAACUUCUGGAACUCAAAAAAUUCUACCAAAUUAGGAAGUCCUAGAUAAUUUGUUUAUUAAUCUAGUUCAAAAAGAAUCAACUGAAAAGCACGUUUCUGUGAUUUAUGAAAACAAAUCUCGUGCGCAAAGUUUCUGUUUCUUACAGCAAGAUCAAAUAACUAUCACCGUAGGUUAUCCUAAAGGUUUUACUUGGCACAAAAACUAAUUAAAACACAAAACCACAUAUAACCAGUGGCUAGAUGAAUUAUUUAUUACUAAACAGAACCAAAAAGCAAGAAACAAAAAUAAAAUUGGGUUGCCUCCCAACAAGCGCUAUCGUUUAACGCCCCUAGCUAGGCAUUGAGAUUUCGAUGAUGUUUACAUGAAAGACAAGAAUUGAAGCGCAAAGAUAGCAUCAUGAAACACGUGACAAACACAUCUAAGUCUAACAUACUUCCUAUGCAUAGGCAUCUUAUAAGAAAACAAAUUAUCAUAGCAAGCAACAACUAGCACAUGCAAGGAAGCGGAAAGAAACAAUAGCAAUCUCUACAUAACGAGAGGUAAUUUAUUAUCAUGAAAACUUCUACAACCAUAUUUUCCUCUAUCAUAAUAAUUACAUGUGGGAUCAUAAGCAAAUUCAACAAAAUAGCUAUCACAUAAAAUAUUUUCAGCACGAUCCACAUGCAUGCAAAGUUGGCACUCUUCCAAAAUAGUGGGAUUAACAUUAACUAAAGUCAUGACCUGUCCAAACCCACUUUUAUCAAAAAUACCAUAAGAUUGAACAUUCUCCAAAUAUGUGGGAUCUAAAGUUGACACUCUUCCAAACCCACUUUCGAUAUUAUUGCAAACACUAUUAUCAAUCUUAGACUCAUCAUGGGGCUUAAAUAAAUUUUCAAGAUCAUAAGAAGAAUCACCCCAAUCAUGAUCAUUGCAACAAGUAGUAGACAUAGUAAAACUAGCAUCCCCAAGCUUUGGGUUUUGCAUAUCAUUAACACAAUUGACAUAAAUAGAAUUUAUGAUAACAUCAUUGCAAUCAUGCUUUUUAUUCAAAGAUCUAUCAUGAAUCACUUCAUAAAGCACUUCAUCACAAUUUUCAGAUUCACGGAUUUCAAGCAAAACCUCAUAAAGACAAUCUAGUGCACUCAAAUCACUAGAAAUUGGUUCAUCAUAACUGGAUCUCUUAAAAAGAUUAGCAAGGGGAUGAGGAUCCAUAAACUUUUAGCAAGCGAAGAUGCAAGCAAAAAGAAGGCACAUGGUAACACAAGAUCAAACGGAAAGAGGGCGAAUAAAACGGCAAAGGUGAAGUGGGGGAGAGGAAAACGAGAGGCAAAUGGAAAAUAAUGUAAUGCGAGGGAUAAGAGUUUGUGAUGGGUACUUGGUAUGUCUUGACUUGUGCAUAAACUCCCCGGCAAUGGCGCCAGAAAUCCUUCUUGCUACCUCUUGAGCACAGCGUUGGUUUUCCCUUAAAGUGGAAAGGGUGAUGCAGCAAAGUAGCGUAAGUAUUUCCCUCAGUUUUUGAGAACCAAGGUAUCAAUCCAGUAGGAGGCCACACGCAAGUCCCUCGUACGUACACAAACAAAUAAGAACCUUGCAACCAACGCGAUAAAGGGGUUGUCAAUCCCUUCACGGCCACUUGCAAAAGUGAGAACUGAUAGAGAUGAUAAUAUAAAUAUUUUUGGUAUUUUUGUUUUAUAGAUUGGAAAGUAAAGAAUGCAAAAUAAGCGGCAACAGAAAUUGGCGAGUUGUUGGGAGAAUAAUAUGCUGGAAAAUAGACCCGGGGGCCAUAGGUUUCACUAGUGGCUUCUCUCAAGAUAGCAUAAGUAUUACGGUGGGUGAACAAAUUACUGUCGAUCAAUUGAUAGAAAAGUGCAUAAUUAUGAGAAUAUCUAGGCAUGAUCAUGUAUAUAGGCAUCACGUCUGUGACAAGUAGACCAACUCCUGCCUGCAUCUACUACUAUUACUCCACACAUCGACCGCUAUCCAGCAUGCAUCUAGAGUAUUAAGUUCAUAAGAACAGAGUAACGCAUUAGGAAAGAUGACAUGUGUAGAGGGAUAAACUCAAGGUUAUGAUAUAAACCCCAUCUUUUUAUCCUCGAUGGCAACAAUACAAUACGUAUCGGUUCCCCUUCUGUCACUGGGAUCGAACACCGCAAGAUUGAACCCAAAGCUAAGCACUUCUCCCAUUGCAAGAAAGAUCAAUCUAGUAGGCCAAACCAAACUGAUAAUUUGAAGAGACUUGCAAAGAUAACCAAUCAUACAUAAAAGAAUUCAGAGGUGAUUCAAAUAUUGUUCAUAGAUAAUCUUGAUCAUAAACCCACAAUUCAUCGGAUCUCGACAAACACACCACAAAAAGAGUUACGUCGAAUAGAUCUCCAAGAAGAUCGAGGAGAACUUUGCAUUGAGAAUCAAAGAGAGAGAAGAAGCCAUCUAGCUAAUAACUAUGGACCCGGAGGUCUGAGGUAAACUACUCACACAUCAUUGGAGAGGCUAUGGUGUUGAUGUAGAAGCCCUCCGUGAUUAAUGCCCCCUCCGGUGGAGCGCCGGAAAAGGCCCCAAGAUGGGAUCUCACGGGUACAGAAGGUUGCGGUGGUGGAAAUAGGGUUUUGUGGAGCUCGUGGAUGGUUUCGGGGUACGUAGGUAUAUAUAGGAGGAAUAAGUAGGUCGGUGGAGCUACGAGGGGCCCAUGAGGGUGGGGGCGCGCCCAGGGGGGCAGGCGCGCCUCCCUGCCUCGUGGCCUCCUCGUUUCUUUCUUGACGUCCACUCCAAGUCCCGUGGAUUGCCUUUGUUCCAAAAAUAACUCUCCCGAAGGUUUCAUUCCGUUUGGAUUCCCUUUGAUAUUCCUUUUCUGCACAACACUGAAAUAGGCAAAAAAAACAUCAAUUUGAGUUGGGCCUCCGGUUAAUAGGUUAGUCCCAAAAAUAAUAUAAAAGUGUAUAGUAAAGCCCAUUAAACAUCCAAAACAGAUAAUAUAAUAGCAUGGAACAAUCAAAAAUUAUAGAUACGUUGGAGACGUAUCAGCUGUAAGAAUUCUUUGUGGAAUAAGUUCAUUCUUGUCAUUAGGAACAACAGUUAUACCUCCUUUCUUAGGGACACAAUGAACAUGACUUACCCAUCUACUAUCACCUAUGGGAUAAAUUAUACCUGCUUCCAGAAGUUUUAAUAUUUCCGUUCUUACCACUUCUUUCAUCUUUGGAUUUAACCGACGUUGGUAAUCAACAACGGGUUUAGCAUCAGGUUCCAUAUUAAUUUUGUGCUGACAUAGAGUGGGACUAAUGCCCUUUAAAUCAUCAAGAGUAUAUCCAAUAGUAGCACGGUGCUUCCUUAGAACUUUCAAUAAUCUUUCUUCUUCAUGUUCUGAAAGGUUAGCACUAAUAAUAACAGGAUAUAUCUUCUUUUCACCAAGAUAAGCAUAUUUCAAAGUGUCUGGCAAUUGUUUUAAUUCAAACACAGGAUCAACUUUAGGUGGAGGAGGACCUCCUAGAGUUUCAAUAGGCAAAUUGUGUUUAAGUAGAGGACGUUGUUCAAAGAAAAAUUUAUCUAUUUCAUUCCUUUCAUGCAUAUGUAAAUCAUUUUCAUGGUCUACCAAAUAUUGUUCUAAAGGAUCAGUAGGUGGUACAACAAUAGAAGCAAGUCCAAUUAAUUCAUCCUUACUAGGAAAUUCUUUUUCAUGAAAAUUUCUACUAAACUUGGAAAAAUUAAACUCAUGAGACUCAUUACCAAAACUAACACCGACAGUUUGUUUCUCACAGUCAAUUCUAGCAUUAACGGUGUUCAAGAAAGGUCUACCAAAGAUAAUAGGACAAAAGUCAUCUUGUGGUGAACCAAGAACAAGAAAAUCAGUAGGGUAUUUUAUUUUCCCGCACAAGACUUCAACAUCUCUAACAAUCCCAAUUGGUGAUAUAGUGUCUCUAUUAGCAAGUUUAAUAGUAACAUCUAUUUCUUCUAUCUCUGCGGGUGCUAUGUCAUUCAUAAUUUCUUGAUAUAAGGUGUAAGGAAUAGCACUCACACUAGCACCUAUGUCACAUAAACCAUGAUAAUAGUGAUCUCCUAUUUUAACUGAGAUGACGGGCAUGCCAACAACAGGUCUAUGUUUAUCUUUUUUAUCACGUUUGGCAAUUCUAACAGCUUCUUCACAGAAGUAAAUAACAUGCCCAUCCAUAUCUUCUUCUAAGAGAUCUUUAACCAUAGAAAUACUAGGUUCUACUUUAAUUUGUUCAUCAGGUUUAGGUGUUCUAAUAUAACUUUUGUUAACCACAGUUGAAACUUUAGCAUGUUCCUUUAUCCUAACAGGGAAAGGCGGUUUCUCUAUAUAAGCAGAAGGAACAACUGGAUCAACAUUAUAAAGUAUAGUUUCUUCUUUAACUGGUACCGGUUCUUUAAUUUCUUCUUUAAUAGGUGGGUGAUAUUUAAAUCACUUCUCUUUAGGGAGUUCAACAUGAGUAGCAAAUGAUUCACAAAGGGAGUCUACUAUCUCAGAGUCAAGUCCAUAUUUAGUGCUAUACUUUUGAAAAGCAUCGGUAUCCAUAAAAGAUUUAACACAAUCAUACUUAAGUUUAAUACCUGACUCUUUACCUUCGUCGAGUUCCCAAUCUUCAGAGUUGCGUUUAAUUCUUUCCAAAAGAUCCCACCGGAAUUCAAUAGUCUUCUUCAUAAAAGAACCAGCACAAGAAGUAUCAUGCAUGGUUUGAUCAUUACGAGAAAGCCGGGCAUAAAAAUUCUGGAUAACAAUUUCUCUUGAGAGCUCAUGAUUGGGGAAUGAAUAUAACAUUGACUUAAGCCUCCCCCAAGCUAGAGCGAUACUUUCUCCUUCACGAGGCCAAAAACUAUAUAUAUAAUUCCGAUCAUGAUGAACUAGAUGCAUAGGAUAAUUUUUUGGUGGAACUCCAAUUUCAGACGAUUCCAAUUCCAAGAUCCAAUAUCAUCGCAUAGCCUAUACCAUGCCAAUGCUUUUCCCUUCAAAGAUAAAGGUAAAACCUUCUUCAUAACUUCAUCCCUGGGUAAACCUGCAAGCUUGAACAAUCCACAAAUUUGUUCUACAUAUAUCAAGUGCAUAUCAGGAUGUUCGGUUCCAUCUCCUGCGUAAGGAUGACCUAGCAGUUGUUCUAUCAUACCCGAAGGAAUUUCAUAUUCAAUAUUUUCAGUAGGUGCAGUAGGUUGAGGGGUAGCUUAUUGUGGUUCCGGACGAGGUGAAGAUACCCCGAACAAAACCCUCAAAGGAUUGUUUUCCAUGGUAACAAGUGACAAUAAAUUUCAGCACACUAUAUAAAUGUUUCCUUACCAAAUUCCACUUACCAAAGGCGCUUCACUCCCCGGCAACGGCACCAGAAAAUAGUCUUGAUGACCCACAAGUAUAGGGGAUCAAUUGUAGCUCUUUUCGAUUAGUAAGAGUGUCGAACCCAACGAGGAGCAAAAGGAAAUGACAAGUGGUUUUAAGCAAGGUAAUGUCUGCAAGUGCUGAAAUUGUAAGUAGCGGAGAAGUUUGAUAGCAAGAUAAUUUGUAACGAGCAAGUAACGGUAGUAGUAACAAAAGUGCAGCAAGGUAGCCCAAUCCUUUUGAGGCAAAGGACGGGCCAAAACGGUCUCAUAUGAUAAGCAAGCGUUCUUGAGGGUACGCAGGAAUUUCAUCUAGUCACUUUCAUCAUGUUGGUUUAAUUCGUGUUCGGUACUUUGAUAGUUUGAUAUGUGGGUGGACCGGUGCUUAGGUGCUAUUCUUACUUGAACAAACCUCCUACUUAUGAUUAACCCUCCCGCAAGCAUCUGCAACUACGAGAAAAGUAUUAAGAAUAAAUUCUAACCAUAGCAUUCAACUUUUGGAUCCAAUCGGUCCCUUAUGGAAUAGCGCAUAAACUGGGGUUUAAGCUUCUGUCACUCUCGCAACCCAUCAUCUAAUUUCUACUCCACAAUGCAUUCCCUCAGGCCCAAAUAUGGUGAAGUGUCAUGUAGUCGACGUUCACAUGACACCACUAAGGGAAUCACAACAUACAUACUAUCAAAAUAUCAAACACAUAUCAAAUUCACAUGAUUACUUACAACAUGAUUUCUGCCGUGGCCUCAAGAACAAAGGUAACUACUCACAAAUGAUAAACAUGCUCAUGAUCAGAGGAGUAUUAAUUAGCAUAAUGGAUCUGAACAUAUAAUCUUCCACCAAAUAAACCAUAUAGUAAUCAACUACAAGAUGUAAUCAACACUACUAGUCACCCACAAGCACCAAUCUAUAGUUCCGGUAACAAGAUUGAACAUAAGAGAUGAACUAGGGUUUGAGAUGAGAUGGUGCUGUUGAAGAUGUUGAUGGAGAUUGCUUUCCCCAAGAUGGGAGAGUUGUUGGUGAUGAUGAUGACGAUGAUCCCCCCCGGGAGGGAAGUUCCCCCGGCGGAAUCGCUCCGCCGGAGGGCAACUGUGCUCCUGCCCAAGUUCUGCCUCGAGACGGCAGCGCUCCGUCCCGAAAGCCCUCUCCUUAUUUUUUCUAGGUCAAAAUGACCUAUAUACCAGAAGAUGGGCACUGGAGGUGGGCCUGGGUGAGCACAACCCACCAGGGCGCGCCUGGUCUCGCUGGCGCGCCCAGGUGGGUUGUGCCCACCUGGUGGGCCCCCUCUAGUAGUUAGUUGCUCCAAUAAUUCUUAAAUAUUCCAUAAAAAAUCUCCGUGAAGUUUCAGCUUGUUUGGAGUUGUGCAGAAUAGGUAGCCUGACAUAGCUUUUCCAGGUCCAGAUUUCCAGCUGCCAGAAUUCUCCCUCUUGGUGUGUACCUUGCAAAUUAUGAGAGAAAAGGCAUCAGAAUUACUCCAAAAAGCAUUAUUAUGGAUAAAAACAUUAUAAAUAACAGUAAGAAAACAUGAUGCAAAAUGGACGUAUCAAUGCCUAUAUAAUGAUCAUUGCCUGGAUAUCGUCAUGAUUAUUUGAAGUUCUAUCAAUUGUCCAACAGUAAUUUGUUCACCCACCGUUUGCUAUUUUUCUCGAGAGAAGCCACUAGUGAAACCUACGGCCCCCGGGUCUCUUUCUCAUAUAUUUGCCUUUGCGAUCUACUUUUCCUUUGCCUUUAUUUUCAGAUCUAUUAAACAAAAAAUACAAAAAUACCUUGCUGCGUUUUAUUCUUAUUUAUUUUAUUUGGCGUUCGAUCUAUCAAUCUACUACAAUUUUAUCUCACGUCCUGUCGGGGACAUACCCCGCGGUAUGACCCGGCCGGAGGUAUGACCCGGCUGGGACUUGGCGUUUCAUUGGUAAACCGCCCGGAGCUUGGCGACUCAUGGGUGACCCACCCAGAGCUUGGCUACUUACUGGUCAUGGCGACUCACUGAUGACCUUGGCGGCGGGUCAGGCCCAAGGACCAGAAGGCCGGUUCGUGUUAUGAUGGGCCGGCUUAAGAGGAAAGGCAUGAAGAAUAUUUCCCUUACAAGGAAUCAAGAUCCGGACUUGUACCCGGUUUGUAAUAGAGAAUAGACUAGUCCUAAUCCUACUAGGACUCUACAUGUAAGCCGCCCCUUCAACUUAUAUAAGGAGGGGCAAGGCUACCCAAGAGGGACAAGUAAGAAGUAAGAAGCUCAAUAAUCUCUAGGGCUAGACACAACUAAAGGAGAGCCGGCUUAUACAGCGACUCCCUCAUGAUCAUAAUGAGAUCUAGCCACAAACAGCAUGUAGGGCUAUUACCGGAUGAUGUUUCCCGGGGUCCGAAGCUGUCUAAAAUCCCGCGUCUCUCGUCCCACUCAACCCCUCUCAAGCGACUACAUAGAUGCGUUGGCCUCACGACUAAGUCCUCACACUAGGACAUCUGGCCAUGACAAAUUCACGACAGUUGGCGCCCACCGUGGGGCUUGCACACGGUGGUGUUGAGUUCUUGGAAGGAUCCUUCACAGGGUUUCGAGGAGUUCGUGAUUUUCAAGUAAAGAAGAGCCGGAUUGCAUCUGUGUGCACCGUCACACGCAACCAGGCGAUCCGUCGUGGCCGGAUCGCUUUCCCCUGCACCGCCGCGAGAUGCCAAGGGCAGAGGGGGUUCUAUUGGCACGGAUCAAAAUCAUCAAAUUACGGUUGUUUCUGUCUGAUUCGCUGAGUCGCCGCCGCCGCAUACAGGAGUCGCCGACACCGUCACCUGAAGCCAGAUCGGUUUUUGUCAAAUCUGGUUGCUAUAUGCAUACAAGGAAUCUACCAGGAAGUUAAUUCAAGAAUUAAGAAAGGAAAAGCUAUUACGGGGCUUUAGCGCGUGAAUACCAAGGAAGAAGAGAUCCAGUGACCAGCCUCGGACACGGAUAGUUCGCGACCCGGAUUCGCUGUCGCCGAGUCAGUGGGUUUGACUCAGAGUCGCUGCCAUGACCCGCCGAGCUGCGGGCAUCCUCACCGACCGCUGCGUCGAGCAGCCAUAGGAAUCCAUAGGCAUCAUCUCGCCCCUGGGGCACUGGGAUGGUCUGCCACCGCACUGCACCGUCCGUCUUGACCCGCGACUGCCUUGAGUCGCCAACGGCGCAGGCCGCCGCUAAGCCGCCACCUUCACCUCACCUUUGGGCCACCGGCGCCUCUCCGCUGUCACGACUGCACCGCCUUGAGCCGCCCUCCUUGAAGCGCCAAGCCACUCCUGCCUUGGCCUUGCAUCUCCUCACCCACGGCCGUGACGAGCCGCUGGGGCUGAGCCGCUCGGGCUUACCUGUUCUGAACCAUCCGCCCGUCGGUUGUCUUUGAUUUCGCCGCUCAAGCCGCCGCGCCCGUGAGCCACCUCCACCUUGAGAUGCCCCGUGCGGCCGCUCCCACUGCUUCUUCUGCCGUGAGCCCGUGACUCGUCUCCGCUUUGCCAAGGCGUCCCCUACUGAUGUCGUCUUGUCUCGCCAGUACAUAACAAAAGAAAAUUGGGGGUUCAGCCGGAGGAUAAUGGAGCAGUGCAUGCAUGCAUGAUGAUUCGAAGACUAGUCUGCCGACAAUAAUGGAGCAGGAAUCUCAGUGGACAAAUACUAUUAUUAAGUUUACAGAAGGUCGAUGGCAGUCAAGAUGUUGGAUUAAAUCCCAAAGACACAAAGCAAAGUACACUAGUACUAGAUCAAUUAUGUCAAGGCUGAUUUGAUUACUUAUUGGUGGACUACUACCCACGUGGAGGCCUGGAACAGUACUACAAGUACUAUGACAUUUGCAGAGCAGUAUUUCAUCUAUUUUCUGUCCACACCGUCCAGCAUUAUGCAUUGGCAGCGUCUGCGCUCAUUCGACAAAAUCACCAGGUGCUAUCUUUUUCAGUAUUUUAUCAGCACAUAUAAAUUAUUUGAGAACAAUUACUUGGUCUGUGGUAUUUUUUCGCAGGACCAUUAUUCAUUACAAAAGGUGUCACAAAGGGGGCCGGCAUUAUUUUUGCGCUAGCGCUUGUCAGUGUCGUGAUGCUUGACGGAUACGUGCGCAAGUCGCCGCUCCCGCUACAUCAACACAACGCAAUUAACUCGCCCGUCCGCACCGGCUUACAACACCGCGGUUGUCUCAUCUGUCCAUGCCCGCGGCCCACUCGCCCGCGUUCGUGCUGUCUCUGAUGCCGCGGUCGUCUUUACUGUCCGCCCUGUGUUCCUGUCUAUUCCAACAAUUCUGGUGGCAAAUUAUCAUAUAUUGUCAGGCGCUGUCUGUACUGGAUGACUCAAUGGGCAGGCGCACAAGUCGCCGCCACUACAGUUUGGUUAACUCAAACAGCCAGUUGGGAUGAACCUUUGACCGAGUUGCCGACACGGCUCAUACGGGAUCAUUUAUAACACGCCGCAGUCACCUCAACCUUCUAUGGAUUCACAUCGCAUUAUCAACGCCAAUGAUAUACAUCGUAUGCUAUGGUCAAAUAUGGAGAAUCUCAAGCCAACUCCUCGAGUCGUCUUGAGACUCGGGGGCUACAAUGACAUGACACGGUAGAAUUGGCCGGUGUCGGUGAAUUCAAGAACUCCGAGUCAUUGGAGGGAAAAAUAACCCGGCCCCGGAGGCUAUUGCUGCAUUGAUGAAAAUUUAAAGGCCGUCAGAAAACUUCUGGCUUAAGAAGGUGCCUGGCAAACAAAAAUUUCCGGCUUAAAAUGAAGGAUUCCGGUUUAAAAUCCGGCUCAAGGGAAAUCUGUCUCUCACAAAGCUUUGAAGCUCUCAAUAUCCGGUUUAAAAUUUUGGUUCAUAAAGAAUCCAUCUCUCGCAAGUUUGAGUUCUCAGGAAAAAUUAAAGGUUGCCAAAGAGAACUUGCUACCAUGAUGCGUGGUUCAAACAUGGGUAUCCUGCCUUAUUGGCUUAUCUUAUUGGUCACUUGGGGGCUUCCUGCUCAAUGAGCAUAGCUGUACCUACCCUCUUGAUCUGGCUUACACGCUGUCGGUGUCAAAACCGGCGGAUCUCGGGUAGGGGGUCCCGAACUGUGCGUCUAAGGCUAAUGGUAACAGGAGGUGGGGGACACAAUGUUACCCAGGUUCGGCCCCUUUCGAUGGAGGUAAUACCCUACUUCCUGCUUGAUUGAUCUUGAUGAUAUGAGUAUUACAAGAGUUGAUCUACCACGAGAUUGUAGAGGCUAAACCCUAGAAGCUAGCCCUAUGAUUAUGAUUGUUGUAUAUGAUUGAUCGACUAGCCUGGCCUCGGUUUAUAUAAUGCACCAGAGGCCUAGGAUGACAAGAGUCCUAGCCGAAUACGCCGGUGGGGAGGAGUCCUUGUCUUGAUCACCAAGUCUUGUGGAAUCUUCCUUGUAUGCGGCAGCUGUCCGGACUGGCCCAUGAGUAUAUGGCCACGGGGGUCCUCGGCCCAAUCUAACUGAUCGAGGGACGAUGUGGUGAGUACCCCCUAGUCCAGGACACCGUCACAUGCCUUAUUACAAAUCACUUGGGGGCUUCCUGCCCAAAUUAAAGGAUUACCAAAGAGAACUUGCUGCACUACGCAGUUCAAACAUAGGUAUCCUACCUUGAGGCUCAUUAUAUGUCAUUUGGGAGCUUCCUGUUCAAACAUAGGCGUAUUCACCAAAGAGAACAUAGUGUUACUACCCUCUUGAUUGGCUUGGAACGUUAGGUGUAUUCACCAAAAUUUCCGGGUUAUCCUGCCUGUAUGUCAUUGGUACUCCGCCCAGGUAAUCCUGGAAUGACCCGCCGUGUUUUCAGCAAGUCAAUCUUUUAAAAUAAGACCCUGAACUUGUUAAAGUUAGACCGGCGGUUUGUCAUGUGAGGACCGGCUUACGGAUAGCGAGGAGAAACCCAGGCUAUUAAGCCGCCUUCAUUGAAACUUGGUUAAACCUGCCUGUUUGCAAGAUGCUACUCCGAACCCCGUGUACUCUUGAUAAGUCAAUCCACAUGGAACCUGAACUUAUCCAUGUUAAAACAUCGAUUGGGUCAUGUGAGAGCCUACUUACAGAAAGCGAGGAUAAACCAGUGGCUAUCAUGCUAGUUUCAUUGAAGUGAGGUUCAAGCUUCAAAAGAUGACAUUUUUUACUCUGUUAUCGUACACAUACAUCAUCAUCAUACUUUGCAUCAUCAUUGCAUUACCAUAGCAUGCAUCAUAUAUGUAUGGAUAUACUGGUUUAUAUUGCAGGAGCCGGUUUCCAAACCGGGUUAUAUUAUUCAAAUCUUUAAUAGCCAACAUGGCUGGAUUUUUAUUAUGGUUAUCAAUAACCAGUAUUAUGAUUGAGGUUUACAAAGCCGCUUUAGAGUAAUGGCUAUUAUUCCCUCAUCCAAGAAUACGAGCUCGCAACAAGGAGUAUGGUUCAAUAUUGAUAUGCAAGGCAUUCAGCAAUAUCAUACAGACAGUGGAUAUGAUUUAUUUACAAUAGAAGGGAUAGUCCCAAGUCGCUGCAGGCUUACAACCCCGCACUUGGGGGCUACAUUAUUCAAAUCAUGAUUAUAUCAAAUAUGGAAGUCCCAUGUCGCUGCAAGCAUGCACCAUGACACUUGGGGGCUAAUGCAAAGUCAUUUUUUAAUCGCCUUAUUGAAGACCUGACUCAUCACAUCGUAAUGAGCCGGCCCUUGGGGGAUACCAAUUCCUCCUGUCAAAAAAUUCAAAGUACACAAGCCUUAAUCCAUUAUAUCGAAGGGUCCACUGCUCAGUUGGUAGAGUACAAUGUUGGGAAUCGUAGCAUAAUUUUAAAAUUUUCCUACGUUCACCAAGAUGCAUCUAUGGAGUAUACUAGCAACGAGGGGAAGGGAGUGCAUCUACAUACCCUUGUAGAUCGCGAGCGGAAGCGUUCCAAUGAACGUGGAUGACGGAGUCGUACUCGCCGUGAUCCAAAUCACCGAUGACCGAGUGCCGAACGGACGGCACCUCUGCGUUCAACACACGUACGGUGCAGCGAUGUCUCCUCCUUCUUGAUCCAGCAAGGGGAAGGAGAGGUUGAUGGAGAUCUAGCAGCACGACGGCGUGGUGGUGGAUGUAGCGGGUCUCGGCAGGGCUUCGGUAAGCUUCUGAGAGAGAGAGAGAGGUGUUGCAGGGGAGGAGGGAGGCGCCCAAGGCUGUUCUCUGCUGCCCUCCCCCCUUUAUAUAGGCCCCCUGGGGGGGCGCCGGCCCCAAGAGAUGGGAUCUCAAGGGGGGGCGGCGGCCACAAGGGGGAAGGGGUUGCCUUGCCCCCAAGGCAAGGGGGAACUCCCCCCUAGGGUUCCCAACCCUAGGCGCAUGGGGGAGGCCCAAGGGGGGCGCCCCAGCCCACUAAGGGCUGGUUCCCUUCCACUUUCAGCCCACGGGGCCCUCCGGGAUAGGUGGCCCCACCCGGUGGACCCCCGGGACCCUUCCGGUGGUCCCAGUACAAUACCGGUAACCCCCGAAACUUUCCCGGUGGCCGAAACUGGACUUCCUAUAUAUAAUUCUUCACCUCCGGACCAUUCCGGAACCUCUCGUGACGUCCGGGAUCUCAUCCGGGACUCCGAACAACUUUCGGGUUUCCGCAUACAUAUAUCUCUACAACUCUAGCGUCACCGAACCUUAAGUGUGUAGACCCUACGGGUUCGGGAGACAUGCAGACAUGACCGAGACGCCUCUCCGGUCAAUAACCAACAGCGGGAUCUGGAUACCCAUGUUGGCUCCCACAUGCUCCACGAUGAUCUCAUCGGAUGAACCACGGUGUCGAGGAUUCAAUCAAUCUGUAUACAAUUCCCUUUGUCAAUCGGUAUGUUACUUGCCCGAGAUUCGAUCGUCGGUAUCCCAAUACCUUGUUCAAUCUCGUUACCGGCAAGUCUCUUUACUCGUACCGCAAUGCAUGAUCCCGUGACUAACGCCUUAGUCACAUUGAGCUCAUUAUGAUGAUGCAUUACCGAGUGGGCCCAGAGAUACCUCUCCGUCACACGGAGUGACAAAUCCCAGUCUCGAUCCGUGCCAACCCAACAAACACUUUCGGAGAUACCCGUAGUGCACCUUUAUAGUCACCCAGUUACGUUGUGACGUUUGGCACAUCCAAAGCACUCCUACGGUAUCCGGGAGUUGCAUGAUCUCAUGGUCUAAGGAAAAGAUACUUGACAUUGGAAAAGCUCUAGCAAACGAAACUACACGAUCUUUUAUGCUAUGCUUAGGAUUGGGUCUUGUCCAUCACAUCAUUCUCCUAAUGAUGUGAUCCCGUUAUCAAUGACAGCCAAUGUCCAUAGUCAGGAAACCAUGACUAUCUGUUGAUCAACGAGCUAGUCAACUAGAGGCUUACUAGGGACACGUUGUGGUCUAUGUAUUCACACAUGUAUUACGAUUUCCGGACAAUACAAUUAUAGCAUGAAUAAUAGACAAUUAUCAUGAACAAAGAAAUAUAAUAAUAACCAUUUAUUAUUGCCUCUAGGGCAUAUUUCCAACAGUCUCCCACUUGCACUAGAGUCAAUAAUCUAGUUACAUUGUGAUGAAUCGAACACCCAUUGCGUCCUGGUGUUGAUCAUGUUUUGCCCUCGGGAGAGGUUUAGUCUAGGGAUCUGCUACAUUCAGGUCCGUAUGUACUUUACAAAUAUCUAUGUCUCCAUUUUGAACACUUUCACGAAUGGAGUUGAAGCGACGCUUGAUAUGUCUGGUCUUCCUGUGAAACCUGGGCUACUUCGCAAGGGCAAUAGCUCCAGUGUUGUCACAGAAGAGAGUCAUCGGGCCCGACGCAUUGGGAAUCACCCCUAGGUCGGUAAUGAACUCCUUCAUCCAGACUGCUUCCUGUGCUGCCUCCGAGGCUGCCAUGUACUCCGCUUCACAUGUAGAUCCCGCCACGACGCUUUGCUUGCAACUGCACCAGCUUACUGCUCCUCCAUUCAAAAUAUACACGUAUCCGGUCUGUGACUUCGAGUCAUCUAGAUCUGUGUCGAAGCUAGCGUCGACGUAACCCUUUACGACGAGCUCUUCGUCACCUCCAUAAACGAGAAACAUAUCCUUAGUCCUCUUCAGGUACUUCAGGAUAUUCUUGACCGCUGUCCAGUGUUCCUUGCCGGGAUUACUUUGGUACCUUCCUACCAAACUUACGGCAAGGUUUACAUCAGGUCUGGUACACAGCAUGGCAUACAUAAUAGACCCUAUGGCCGAGGCAUAGGGGAUGACACUCAUCUCUUCUAUAUCUUCUGCCGUGGUCGGACAUUGAGCCGUGCUCAAUUGCACACCUUGCAAUACAGGCAAGAACCCCUUCUUGGACUAAUCCAUAUUGAACUUCUUCAAUAUCUUGUCAAGGUAUGUACUCUGUGAAAGACCAAUGAGGCGUCUUGAUCUAUCUCUAUAGAUCUUGAUGCCUAAUAUAUAAGCAGCUUCUCCAAGGUCCUUCAUUGAAAAACACUUAUUCAAAUAGGCCUUUAUACUCUCCAAGAAUUCUAUAUCAUUUCCCAUCAAUAAUAUGUCAUCCACAUAUAAUAUGAGAAAUGCUACAGAGCUCCCACUCACUUUCUUGUAAACACAGGCUUCUCCAUAAGUCUGUGUGAACCCAAACGCUUUGAUCAUCUCAUCAAAGCGAAUGUUCCAACUCCGAGAUGCUUGCACCAUCCCAUAGAUUGAGCGUUGGAGCUUGCAUACUUUUUUAGCAUUCUUAGGAUCGACAAAACCUUCCGGCUGCAUCAUAUACAACUCUUCCUUAAGGAAGCCGUUAAGGAAUGCCGUUUUGACGUCCAUCUGCCAUAUCUCAUAAUCAUAGUAUGCGGCAAUUGCUAACAUGUUUCGGACGGACUUCAGCUUCGCUACGGGCGAGAAAGUCUCAUCGUAGUCAACCCCUUGAACUUGUCGAUAACCCUUAGCGACAAGUCAAGCUUUGUAGAUGGUCACAUUACCAUCUGCGUCCGUCUUCUUCUUAAAGAUCCAUUUGUUUUCUAUGGCUCGCCGCUCAUCGGGCAAGUCAGUCAAAGUCCAUACUUUGUUUUCAUACAUGGAUUCUAUCUCGGAUUUCAUGGCUUCUAGCCAUUUGUCGGAAUCCGGGCCCGCCAUCGCUUCUUCAUAGUUCGAAGGUUCACCGUUGUCUAACAACAUGAUUUCCAUGACAGGGUUGCCGUACCACUCUGGUGCGGAACGUGUCCUUGUGGACCUACGAAGUUCAGUAACUUGAUCUGAAGUUUCAUGAUCAUCAUCAUUAACUUCCUCCCCAGUCGGUGUAGGCACCACAGGAACAUUUUCCCGCGCUGCGCUACUUUCCGGUUCGGAAGGGGUGACUAUCACCUCAUCAAGUUCCACUUUCCUCCCACUCAAUUCUUUCGAGAGAAACUCCUUCUCUAGAAAGGACCUGUUCUUGGCAACGAAGAUCUUGCCUUCGGAUCUGAGGUAGAAGGUAUACCCAAUAGUUUCCUUAGGGUAUCCUAUGAAGACGCAUUUUUCCGAUUUGGGUUCGAGCUUUUCAGGUUGAAGUUUCUUGACAUAAGCAUCGCAUCCCCAAACUUUUAGAAACGACAGCUUAGGUUUCUUCCCAAACCAUAAUUCAUACGGUGUCGUCUCAACGGAUUUAGACGGUGCCCUAUUUAAAGUGAAUGCGGCAGUCUCUAAAGCAUAACCCCAAAAUGAGAGCGGUAAAUCGGUAAGAGACAUCAUAGAUCGCACCAUAUCCAAUAGAGUGUGAUUACGACGUUCGGACACACCAUUUCUCUGAGGUGUUCCAGGCAGCGUGAGUUGUGAAACUAUUCCACAUUUCCUUAAGUGUGUACCAAAUUCAUGACUUAAAUAUUCUCCACCACGAUCUGAUCGUAAGAAUUUUAUUUUCCUGUCACGUUGAUUCUCGACUUCACUCUGAAAUUCCUUGAACUUUUCAAAGGUUUCAGACUUGUGUUUCAUUAGGUAGACAUACCCAUAUCUACUUAAAUCAUCAGUGAGAGUGAGAACAUAACGAUAUCCUCCGCGAGCCUCAACACUCAUUGGACCGCACACAUUGGUAUGUAUGAUUUCCAAUAAGUUGGUUGCUCGCUCCAUUGUUCCGGAGAACGGAGUCUUGGUCAUCUUACCCAUGAGGCAUGGUUCGCACGUGUCAAAUGAUUCGUAAUCAAGAGACUCCAAAAGUCCAUCUGCAUGGAGCUUCUUCAUGCGCUUGACACCAUUGUGACCAAGGCGGCAGUGCCACAAGUAUGUGGGACUAUCGUUAUCAACUUUACAUCUUUUGGUAUUCACACUAUGAAUAUGUAUAACAUCACGUUCGAGAUUCAUGAAAAAUAAACCAUUGACCAGCGGGGCAUGACCAUAAAACAUAUCUCUCAAAUAAAUAGAACAACCAUUAUUCUCAGAUUUAAAUGAGUAGCCAUCUCGAAUUAAACGAGAUCCAGAUACAAUGUUCAUGCUCAAAGCUGGCACUAAAUAACAAUUACUGAGGUUUGAAACUAAUCCCGUGGGUAGAUGCAGAGCUAGCGUGCCAACGGCGAUCACAUCGACCUUGGAACCAUUCCCGACGCGCAUCGUCACCUCGUCCUUUGCCAGUCUUCGUUUAUUCCGUAGUUCCUGCUUUGAGUUACAAAUAUGAGCAACCGCAUCGGUAUCAAAUACCCAGGAGCUACUACGAGUACUAGUAAGGUACACAUUAAUUACUUGUAUAUCACAUAUACCUUGGGUGUUGCCGGCCUUCUUCUUGUCCGCUAAAUAUUUGGGGCAGUUCCGCUUCCAGUGACCACUUCCCUUGCAAUAAAAGCACUCAGUCUCGGGCUUGGGUCCAUUCUUUGACUUCUUCCCGGUAACUGGCUUACCGGGCGCGGCAACUCCCUUGCCGUCCUUCUUGAAGUUCUUCUUACCCUUGCCCUUCUUGAACUUAGUGGUUUUAUUCACCAUCAACACUUGAUGUUCUUUUCUGAUCUCUACCUCAGCUGAUUUCAGCAUUGAAUAUACCUCGGGAAUGGUCUUUUCCAUCCCCUGCAUAUUGUAGUUCAUCACAAAGCUCUUGUAGCUUGGUGGAAGCGACUGGAGGAUUCUGUCAAUGACCGCGUCAUCCGGGAGAUUAACUCCCAGCUGAGACAAGCGGUUGUGCAACCCAGACAUUCUGAGUAUGUGCUCACUAACAGAACUGUUCUCCUCCAUUUUACAGAUGAAGAACUUGUCGGAGACAUCAUAUCUCUCGACCCGGGCAUGAGCUUGAAAAACCAGUUUCAGCUCCUCGAACAUCUCAUGUGCUCCAUGUUUCUCAAAACGCUUUUGGAGACCCGGUUCUAAGCUGUAAAGCAUGCCGCACCGAACGAGGGAGUAAUCAUCAGCACGCUGCUGCCAAGCGUUCAUAACGUCUUGGUUCUCAGGGAUUGGUGCUUCACCUAGCGUUGCUUCUAAGACAUAAUCUUUCUUGGCUGCUAUGAGGAUGAUCCUCAGGUUCCGGACCCAGUCCGUAUAGUUGCUGCCAUCAUCUUUCAGCUUGGUUUUCUCUAGGAACGCGUUGAAAUUGAGGACAACGUGGGCCAUUUGAUCUACAAUACAUAGUGUAAAGAUUUUAGACUAAGUUCAUGAUAAUUAAGUUCAUAUAAUCAAAUUAUUUAAUGAACUCCCACUCAGACAGACAUCCCUCUAGUCAUCUAAGUGAAACAUGAUCCGAAUUCAACUAGGCCGUGUCCGAUCAUCACGUGAGACGGACUAGUCAAGAUCGGUGAACAUCUCCAUGUUGAUCGUAUCUUCUAUACGACUCAUGCUCGACCUUUCGGUCCUCCGUGUUCCAAGGCCAUGUCUGUACAUGCUAGGCUCGUCAAGUCAACCUAAGUGUAUUGCGUGUGUUCCGAGGCCAUGUCUGUACAUGCUAGGCUCGUCAACACCCGUUGUAUUCGAACGUUAGAAUCUAUCACACCCGAUCAUCACGUGGUGCUUCGAAACAACGAACCUUCGCAACGGUGCACAGUUAGGGUGAACACUUUCUUGAAAUUAUUAUAAGGGAUCAUCUUACUUACUACCGUCGUUCUAAGCAAAUAAGAUGCAAAAACAUGAUAAACAUCACAUGCAAUCAAAUAGUGACAUGAUAUGGCCAAUAUCAUUGUGCUCCUUUGAUCUCCAUCUUCGGGGCACCAUGAUCAUCUUUGUCACCGGCAUGACACGAUGAUCUCCAUCAUCAUGAUCUCCAUCAUCAUGAUCUCCAUCAUUGUGUCUUCAUGAAGUCGUCACGCCAACGAUUACUUCUACUUCUAUGGCUAACGCGUUUAGCAACAAAGUAAAGUAAUUUACAUGGCGUUAUUCAAUGACACACAGGUCAUACAAAAUAAUAAAGACAACUCCUAUGGCUCCUGCCGGUUGUCAUACUCAUCGACAAGCAAGUCGUGAUUCCUAUUACAAGAAUAUGAUCAAUCUCAUACAUCACAUAUAUCAUUCAUCACAUCUUCUGGCCAUAUCACAUCACAUAGCACUUGCUGCAAAAACAAGUUAGACGACCUCUAAUUGUUGUUGCAAGUUUUACGUGGUUUGUAGGUUUCUAGCAAGAACGUUUCUUACCUACGUAUGACCACAACGUGAUUUGCCAAUUUCUAUUUACCCUUCAUAAGGACCCUUUUCAUCGAAUCCGUUCCGACUAAAGUAGGAGAGACAGACACCCGCUAGCCACCUUAUGCAACUAGUGCAUGUCAGUCGGUGGAACCAGUCUCACGUAAGCGUACGUGUAAGGUCGGUCCGGGCCGCUUCAUCCUACAAUGCCGCCGAAACAAGAAACGACUAGUAGCGGCAAGAAGAAUUGGCAAACUCAACGCCCACAACUGCUUUGUGUUCUACUCGUGCAUAGUAACUACGCAUAGACCUGGCUCAUGAUGCCACUGUUGGGAAUCGUAGCAUAAUUUUCAAAUUUUAUUACGUUCACCAAGAUGCAUCUAUGGAGUAUACUAGCAACGAGGGGAAGGGAGUGCAUCUACAUACCCUUGUAGAUCGCGAGCGGAAGCGUUCCAAUGAACGUGGAUGACGGAGGCGUACUGGCCGUGAUCCAAAUCACCGAUGACCGAGUGCCAAACGGACGGCACCUCCGCGUUCAACACACGUACGGUGCAGCGACGUCUCCUCCUUUUUGAUCCAGCAAGGGGAAGGAGAGGUUGAUGGAGAUCCAGCAGCACGACGGCGUGGUGGUGGAUGUAGCGGGUCUCGGCAGGGCUUCGGUAAGCUUCUGCGAGAGAGAGAGAGAGAGGUGUUGCAGGGGAGGAGGGAGGCGCCCAAGGCUGUUCUCUGCUGCCCUCNNNNNNNNNNNNNNNNNNNNNNNNNNNNNNNNNNNNNNNNNNNNNNNNNNNNNNNNNNNNNNNNNNNNNNNNNNNNNNNNNNNNNNNNNNNNNNNNNNNNNNNNNNNNNNNNNNNNNNNNNNNNNNNNNNNNNNNNNNNNNNNNNNNNNNNNNNNNNNNNNNNNNNNNNNNNNNNNNNNNNNNNNNNNNNNNNNNNNNNNNNNNNNNNNNNNNNNNNNNNNNNNNNNNNNNNNNNNNNNNNNNNNNAAGGGGUUGCCUUGCCCCCCAAGGCAAGGGGGAACUCCCCCCUAGGGUUCCCAACCCUAGGCGCAUGGGGGGAGGCCCAAGGGGGGCGCCCCAGCCCACUAAGGGCUGGUUCCCUUCCACUUUCAGCCCACGGGGCCCUCCGGGAUAGGUGGCCCCACCCGGUGGACCCCCGGGACCCUUCCGGUGGUCCCGGUACAAUACCGGUAACCCCCGAAACUUUCCCGGUGGCCGAAACUUGACUUCCUAUAUAUAAUUCUUCACCUCCGGACCAUUCCGGAACCUCUCGUGACGUCCGGGAUCUCAUCCGGGACUCCGAACAACUUUCGGGUUUCCGCAUACAUAUAUCUCUACAGCCCUAGCGUCACCGAACCUUAAGUGUGUAGACCCUACGGGUUCGGGAGACAUGCAGACAUGACCGAGACGCCUCUCCGGUCAAUAACCAACAGCGGGAUCUGGAUACCCAUGUUGGCUCCCACAUGCUCCACGAUGAUCUCAUCGGAUGAACCACGGUGUUGAGGAUUCAAUCAAUCCGUAUACAAUUCCCUUUGUCAAUCGGUAUGUUACUUGCCCGAGAUUCGAUCGUCGGAUCCCAAUACCUUGUUCAAUCUCGUUACCGGCAAGUCUCUUUACUCGUACCGCAAUGCAUGAUCCCGUGACUAACGCCUUAGUCACAUUGAGCUCAUUAUGAUGAUGCAUUACCGAGUGGGCCCAGAGAUACCUCUCCGUCACACGGAGUGACAAAUCCCAGUCUCGAUCCGUGCCAACCCAACAGACACUUUCGGAGAUACCCGUAGUGCACCUUUAUAGUCACCCAGUUACGUUGUGACGUUUGGCACACCCAAAGCACUCCUACGGUAUCCGGGAGUUGCACGAUCUCAUGGUCUAAGGAAAAGAUACUUGACAUUGGAAAAGCUCUAGCAAACGAAACUACACGAUCUUUUAUGCUAUGCUUAGGAUUGGGUCUUGUCCAUCACAUCAUUCUCCUAAUGAUGUGAUCCCGUUAUCAAUGACAUCCAAUGUCCAUAGUCAGGAAACCAUGACUAUCUAUUGAUCAACGAGCUAGUCAACUAGAGGCUUACUAGGGACACAUUGUGGUCUAUGUAUUCACACAUGUAUUACGAUUUCCGGACAAUACAAUUAUAGCAUGAAUAAUAGACAAUUAUCAUGAACAAAGAAAUAUAAUAAUAACCAUUUAUUAUUGCCUCUAGGGCAUAUUUCCAACAUACAAGACUCUUAACCUUAUGGUCGUGGGUUCAAGCCCCACGGCAGGGGCUACAUCAUAUGAUGUUAUUUUCAAUGAAGAAUAUAUAAAGUCCCAGCUCAGUAUUAUGUUACUGAGCCGGCCCUUGGGGGCUACACAUGGCUGCCCAAGUCUACAUGAUCAUAUUUACAAAGUCCCUGCUCAUUAUGGCAUAAUGACCCGGCACUUGGGGGCUACACAUGGGAAGCUCAAAAUGUGAAGUUUAUGAUUGGCGGUUUACAUGAACAACCCGGAUUUCUCCAAGUUGCAGCAUUUAUAUUAAAGCAAGUCUUAAGCUAUCACUAUGUUCUCCUCUUAAGACUUGGGGGCUACAGGUAAUAUGCAUAUAAAGGAGGAACGUCUUCAAAUUCUCAGUUUUGAGCAAAUCAGGAAGAUCAAUUGUGUGACCCAGCGGUGGCAACAAUCAUGACCCGGUGUCUAUAACAGUCAUAACCCGGAAUCAUCAGUUUUUAUAACCUGGCAAUUUUAGCAAUGAUAAAUCGGCAAGUUCUACAUCUUCAAGCCGGCUGAAAAUCAGAUGAGUAUUUCAAGACCAAUAUUUUUGUUAAGCAUUGGGUGCUGAAUCAAAUGAAUUAGUCUUCACAAUAUUUUUCUGUGAGAAACCAAUAUCAGCAAAUUGAUUAUGAAGCUGGCCUAUUCACCCAGACUUUUCAGAAGAAGUACCUGGAUUCUUUGCAUUGGCAAAGUUUAAACAUAUCUGCUAAAGAAGAUUUGCUAUGAGAUCAUGGACAUGUAUAUAUCAAAAAGGAAAUGACAAGGACUUAACGAUGAUCAGGUGCCGGCUCAGAAGAACCUUCGACCCGACGCAUAAUCUAUCAAAGUGUCUUGUUUUGCAGGAUAAGUUUACCAUGGAUAAAGCCAAGCUAAACUGGGGGCUAAUGUCGGGGAUAUACCCCGCAGUAUGACCCGGCUGGGACUUGGCGUUUCAUUGGUAAACCGCUCGGAGCUUGGCGACUCACGGAUAACCCGCCCAGAGCUUGGCUACUUACUGGUUGUGGCGACUCACUGAUGACCUUGGCGGCGGGUCAGGCCCAAGGACCAGAAGGACAAUUCAUGUUAUGGUGGGCCGGCUUAAGAGGAAAGGUAUGAAGAAUAUUUCCCUUACAAGGAAUCAAGACCCGGACUUGUACCCGGUUUGUAAUAGAGAAUAGACUAGUCCUAAUCCUACUAGGACUCUACAUGUAAGCCGCCCCUUCAACUUAUAUAAGGAGGGGCAAGGCUACCCAAGAGGAACAAGUAAGAAGUAAGAAGCUCAAUAAUCUCUAGGGCUAGAUACAACUAAAGGAGAGCUGGCUUAUACGGCGACUCCCUCAUGAUCAUAAUGAGACCUAGCCACAAACAGCAUGUAGGGCUAUUACCGGAUGAUGUUUCCCAGGGUCCGAAGCUGUCUAAAAUCCCGUGUCUCUCGUCCCACUCAACCCCUCUCAAUCUACUACAUAGAUGCGUUGGCCUCACGACUAAGUCCUCACACUAGGACAUCUGGCCGUGAUAAAUCCUAGACACGUCCGUUUGCCUAUCUUAAGGCGCCGUACCCGGAAGGGAUUGACAACCCCUUUAACACGUCGGGUUGCGAGGAUUUGUUAUCUGCGUGCAGGGACUGUUUACGUUGUGUUGCUUGGUUCUCCUACUGGUUCGAUAACCUUGGCUUCAUAUCUGAGGGAAAUACCUACCGCCGCUGUGCUGCAUCAUCCCUUCCUCUUUGGGGAAAUACCGACGUAGCUUCAAGCGACAUCAUGCCCCUUUUGAAUGCCCUGAAGUUGCGCUGGAAGAAAUGCUUGCUUAGGCCACUCAGUGUGAUACCUGCAGUAUUGUCGAAUACAGGUUUUAGUGUACGUAGUUGGCAUUUUCAUAACAUCUUUGACAUGUUGUAGUCACUUGUUUCACUUUUUAUUAACUAUCAAAUUGUAAUUGCUUCACUAGGUAUGUGUCUAAAAAGAAAAAUAGAGCUAUAAAUAAAGGAAUAUGUUUGUGCAAGUAGACGGUCGAUCGCUGUCUCACCUGGAAGUUUCUAGGGAUGGGUGUAGCAUAUGCCGUGCUCGCUGUCGAUGGUUGGUAUGAACAAAUCGAUGAGAGGGUGAGAUCUCGCGCUGUCAGCACUCACUUUGGCCUCAAGGUGCUCGAUCAGCUCCUGAUCCGUGGGAUCGAACUUGACGCCAGCCGGCAGCACCCGCCAAUCCUUCUUGGACUUGCAUCAGUUAAUUCCAGUUAUAUUGUACUCAAUGUACGAUCAAUCGACUGUUUUAAGUGAAUGAUGAAAGAUUUCGACAGAUAAGUGGUACUCCAAAUCUGAAGUCCACAAUACCCGAACACGCCGCCGGGACUCUUGUAUCACCUCACGCGCAGCGUGUUGUCACGUCAAUUCAAUGUGAGGACAUGAUUAAUAAUUUGACCAACGUAUACUAGUAUAAGGUACUACUUACUAGUUGUAUUUAGUGUCACAUUUUAACCAUAGGUUUAACUAACAAAAUGUCAAUGCAUGUCACCGAAAAUUAUACCAUUGGAAACUAUGUUCAAAUAUGAAUCAAACGACAUAUUUUUUUGUGACAUGCAUUAACAUUUAGUUAGUGAAAUUUAUUGUCAAAAUUUGACACAAAUUACGAAGGGGACCAAUAAACAAGGAGGGAUCGGAGGUAGUAGUACGAGUAGCGCAAUAUACGGUAUAGAGGACUAGUACAAAUUUAGAAAUGGAGUAAGAAGUUACAAGGCUGUGCGGCAGACUUUCUAAGCUACAUGAGUAAUACAAAAUAUAAUUCCCAUUGCACAACACUUUCACCAACAAGUACGCACUUGAAGCCUAAUUGAUAUAUAUAUAUAUAUAUAUAUAUAUAUAUAUAUAUAUAUAUAUAUAUAUAUAUAUAUAUAUAUAGACACACACACACACAUAUAUAUACACACACACACAUAUAUAUAUGGCUUCUGCACAGCAUCUCCAUCAUCAUUAUCAGUACAUCCUACGCAGGUGAGUUAGGAUGCACUUGAUCCCAGAAAGGUAUCUAUCCUUCAAACUAGAGGAGUGCUUCAAACUAACAACAAUACAUAAUAUCCAACAAAAGAGGGUCAUGCUACAGCAGCAGGAUACAUGGCUCAGUCUAUAUAUCAGUAUGAAUCAAGUUGUGCAUAUUUGUUGUUGGCAUGAACCACAUCGCCGCAUGUCGGCUUUGAAAAAGCCAUCCAUCGCAUGGAAGCUUGAUGCCUUUCACACACUGAAGAUUAUCUGGCAUCAAGCUGUAUCGACGAAUCUCUGGAUAUGGCGAUUCAUGAAACCCAUGGCAUGAUGUGUAAACACAGUUCCCCCUGGCGAAUGGAAGUUGCAUAGCACGGUAAUCAUCGCCGGUGAUAUGAUCGAUGAUUGGUUGGAUGAUCGGACAAUUGAGCCCGAGGAACAUGGAGUGGUUGGCGAGGCUGUAAACCCGCCUCCAGUCGAAUACGCCUGGCCCAAUGGAGCUGGGAUCUUUCUCGAACACAGAGCAGCCAUAGCCAUCACAGUCACGAACGCCCCAGGCAUUGUACUACAUGUGGUUUGAUGAAAUGGUUUGGUCAAUUCGGUACGUGUGAAUGAGCAUCAAAUGACCGCCAUCAGCUGAAUGAGCGAUAAACCACCACCCAUUGACUAGUAUGAUUCCAGGUCCUGGAAUUAUGAAGGCCAGCGCAUUUGCGUCAGUUGCAACAAAUCAAAUUGGAGACCAAAAGGACAAAAAUAUACAAUCAUGUUCAGAGUAUGUGUGGAAUUAAGAUUAUUAUAACAGUGGCACAUAUCAUAGAUAGAGAAUUGCAAUGACGUGGUCAGAAUCAUACCCCCAAGUUAAAAAAAUAAGCCAAUGGCUUUAAUAUUCUAGCAAUAUGUCAUGGUUCAAACAUCAUGUAACAAUGAGAGGAAAACAGCUAUGACAGGGCCUACUCAUAUUCUACCAUAGAACUUACUACUGUUCUCAUAUCAACUCUAAGCAAUAACAUGCGUUGUUAUAAAAAACUUGGAAAUGAGAGUAACAUAUAGCAAUCAUGAGUUUAUACUCAUAAUAUCUAUUCUAACAAUCAUUAGAUGCCAAUUGUUCUCAUAUCAACUCUAACAAUAACUUGUGUGGUCAUAAAAAUCUAGGAAUAAAUGAGAGGAACAUAUAGCAAUGAGGUGGUUAUAGACAUACUAUCUAUUCUAAAUUUAUAACAAUCAAUAGGCAGUCAUAUUCAUAAGGUAAAGAUGAGAUGAGAUAGAACAAUUACAUGACGAUAGAUUCCACCAGUAUAGGCAGCCAAUCUGUGCGUCGACCACGUAAACGAUGGCAUCAUGCACUAUGGCAUCAGACAGAAAUGGAGGCUCAACAGGAUUGACGAUGAGCCAUAACCAUGUAUGGCGACCGGAUUCCAGAUAGACUAAUCCCAUGUUGAACAAGUCAAUGAGCUUGUAAUCCAUGUAGUCUUCUGAUGGUGUGGACACUUCGCAGAUUACAACCUUCAGCAAAUAGAGGUCCAGCCAAAAGCUCGACGCGUCUCGUGCGUAGUAGUAAGGAGUGUCCGGCGGGCUGCGAGGCUCGUUGGUGGCGGUAUCCAACGAUUGAAGGGUGAUCUCUUGCUGGGUGUAGAUAUCCACGAGAUGCCACGAACUACCAGAUUGGUGGAUGGGGACGAUCCAGUUGGCCUUCAUGCCCGCCCAGUAGUGGCCGCGCAUGAAGGACAGGUGGAUUGGUAGUGGUAGCAUGUCGAGGGGCACCACGACAACCUCUAUAGGAUUGUCAAGUCGGUGUCUGGGCCACCUACGAGGAUCAGGCAUCAGCAAGUAGGGUGUCUUGAAAAGGGUCGGCCCGUUGCAUACGAGUAGACACCGAGCAUGCGGCCAGACGGACGGUGCUGAGCAGGUCAAUACGAUUAUAGAUCUGCUCCAAGAGGGAAUUCCAAUCGCGGCUCUGCGUGUCAGUCGGUUCUGCCAUAGGUUUUUUUAGGGCGCUGAGUGAUUGGGGUUUUCGGGGCCUGCGAGCCUACGGGGAAGUGGAUUCGGGCGGGCGAGCGAAGAAGAUGGCGUGUGUGGCCGAGCAGUGAGUGGGGGGAUAUGGUACGCGCGAGCUACCAAGGAAGAUGACGCGGGCGGGCGAGCAGUGGGCGGGGGGAAAUGGUGUGCGGCCGACGAUGGGGAAGAGAGGAGGAAGAAGAAGAGAGGAGGAAGAAGAGUGAAAGAUGGGGAGCAAGUGCAUUAAAUCUCAAUUAUACUAGUACUACUACUAGGAUAUACCAUCCUUCAGAGUGUAAAUAGUUACACCGAUGACAUGUGGGUCUACCUCAAGAGGGCCCAUAUGUCAGUUAAUGGAGGAGAGAGGUGCGUAGGCGUAUUUGCGGAAGCGUGCUCCACUGGCAAACAUGAUGGCAGUACUGGGUAAGGCUGAUUUAGUAACACCAACACGUUGGUUCAGCUUAUUAAUUAAGUGUCCCAUCUGCUGCAGCGUGUAUUGUCACUUCACUGUGAAGACUAGUUGAAUAGUUCUCUCUGACCGAGAUGGGGAAUAAUGGAUCGCUAAGACUUCCUAUCUACAGUAUCCCUAUGCCUCUAUGCUCAUCCUGUCCAACAAGAUGAAACAUUGGCCAAGGCACCCGGUGCCAAUAAUGUAGUAUUUUGUGUCAAACUUUGACCAUCUAGUCCCUCCGUCCAGGUGAAUAAGUCAUCUUUGGUUGUGCACCGUGACCAAGAAGGAGGGAAAAACAAGAUAACUUAAUGUUUAUUUCCUAAUUAAUAGCAUUGCAUGCAAUGAACUAACCACUGCAUGUCGUGUUUGGUAGUCUUGAGUCAUUGAAAACAUGCACGCCCACAUCUCUUAUUGGUUGAUAUGUCAAGAAACCAGAAACGAGGUGGGAGUUAAUGCAGCGUAAGUGUUUUGGUAUUAUUUGGUUUUUGUAAAGUGACUUAUACACCUAGACGGAGGAAGUAUUUAACUAAUAAAAUGUUAAUGCAUUUCACCAAAAAUCAUAUAACUGGAUUUGUAUUUGAACAUAGUUUUUAAUGGUAUAGUUUUAUAUGACAUGCAUUGACACUUUGUUUGUUAAAUUUACGGUCAAAAUUUUACACUAAUUAUGAAGGGGACCAUUAAACCAGGACGGAGGUUUAUAAACAGGUCAAUAAAAAAAUCAUCAACCAAUGUUGUAGUAAAUGAUGAGUGCCCGAAGAUUUUUUUUCGAAAGUACUCAAUAAUGGGCUCGUUUUUCUCAAGAAAAUUGUGUUUAUGAAUGUAUUAAUUGGAAUGCAUGCAUGAGGAACAAAUGACCAGAACUUUUACACGCAUUGGUGAGUUAUCUCUUGAUUCUUGCAUGCAACGUUUUAAUGAAGCUUGGAAUAUGAACAUGUCAAUGGGAGGGAGUAAAAGCCUCAUGCAUGCAUGCAACAUGCAACACUCACACGUACACAUGCACGCACGCAACACUCACGCAUCCAUGCGGCACACAACACACGACGCAACACACACGCUCACGCUCAAGUGCUCAACCUACUCCCUACGUCUGUGAAAGACGGUACAUAUACAGAUUUACACAUUGACCAGGAGGAACCGGAACUUCAUGGCAUAAUUAACGCCCAAAAGUAGCAGACUUAUGUGUGCAUGCGACCAUUGAGAGAAGAAGAUUAAAUGAAGGUUGUUGCAUGCUGUAAUUAAGGAUAGACAUGUAGCCUAUAGCUAGAGCACAAGUUGGUGCAUUAGUCAAUCAAUAUCGAUUGGAUUAAAGGCUAAAUGCAUUGGAAGUGUAGAUGUACACUCUUUGUUUUUGAGCCGAUGUACACUCUUUGUUGGAAGCCCGAGGGAGUACACGUGCAUGCACUCACAUACACAGUCAGGGUGGUUCAUGCGCAAGGGUUGGAAUCCUGUCGCUCCUGCGUAAAGUUUUGUUUAACUGAUUUCUUUGCUCUGCCAACUGACAGGUGGGACCCAUAAACCGGGUGUCAAUUUAACCAGUCAACAAAGUGCCACGUCGACUAUGUGGCCGGUCAGUAGGGUGCAAUACGGCGCUCUACGAUGAGCUAGUGAUCGUAUAAUCACCGCAAAACUAUAUAGUGACUGUAAAGAGCGUAUUGUUACAUACGUUGACCGCCAGUGUAUUUUUCUCAUUUCAAAUUAAGCCAUAUUAACCGGAAAGGACGCAGUAUGGACUAGUACUAGUACUGCUUUGAUGUGUCCCGUCAACUCGCCGGACGAGGAGAAGCUUGCUUACUACGCCCUCUCCCUCGCCCACGCGCGUGGUGGCUCGCAGGACGUGGAGAGGGUUUUGACUACAGUGCCCUCUCCCUCUCCCUCUCCCUCGCCCUCGCGGUGGAUGUGCAGCAGUUCAAUCGGUGUCAGAUUGCCAGAAGCAUAUUGUAUUGUAGUAUCAUCAUUGUUGGACCUUCCAAAGAGGCGAAGAGCCAAGUGCAAGGUUCACACGAGUACGAACUGUUGAACCUCCCGAAGAGGCAAAGAGACAAGCGCAAGGUUUUAUAAUAGGAGUUGUCAUCCUAGUAGGAGUACUACAACUAUAGCGAACAAUGCUACUGUAUGAUGCCACCACGUCACCUAUAUCCAAAGCUGUGCCACAUUUUUUCUCAAAGAGCGUGUUGGAGCCCGUGCAACAACCACACAAGUUGCACGUACACAUAACACAUUUACUAGUAAUAAAUUCUAAAGGACAAAUGCCAGUAUGCCACACAAGUUCAUCUCCACUUCAUGUGAUAAAUUUGUGCACGACUAGUCUACAUAUAUUCACAGCGCUACCGUUCACAAUUUACCAUACUCCUCUUACACGUUAUAGAUGGGCUACAUGUCCUCCUCCAGGUUCCAGCCCGAGGUGUUCUUCAUGGAUGGCACGAUCCAUAGCGGUGGGCAACGGGAAUCAUUGUCGUAUCUUUCUAGUCCGGUUCCACACGAUGGAGACUCAUCCAAGCUGAAGCGGCAUAAAUCAGGGAUAGCGUGUCCCAGCAUGCCGUUCAUCCGGCGGUGCGCACUGAAGACACAACCAUGCUUCAUGAACGGCAGGCCUUCGGUGUCGUGCACGGAAGGUGGCAUCCACUUCACAGUGGGGUAGCUGUCCCUAAUGAAAGGCGAGUACUCUCCAAGAGUGUUCCUCGGCACCCACGUAGCAUCACGGGGGUCGAACUCGGCGUUGUUCAUCUGGUACACGCGGCAUUUCAGAUCUGGACACAUGGUGACGUACAUAGUCAAGGUCCAUGCAUAAUAAUGUUGUGCUCAAAUAUAGUGGUCAGUAAUGCUGUGCAGCAAAUAGUACUACUCCGGUAUAGAGGAAGUAAAAUAACCGGCUUAUUAUAUAUAGCCACUCUUGGCUAGAUGGAUGAGAUAGUAAGACAUGGAAAAACAAAAAUGGUGGGAGCUAGUGGGUUCAAGUCUUCAAGGGCCUAGCUAGCUAUACGCGUCCUCCAAGGUAAAAAGUACUCCUACUAGUACUAGUUAGUACAACAAUGAAAGAGAAGGCGAGAGGGUGAAAAAAUAUAAUACUAAAUUGUACUACUAGUACAGUAAACAUGUCCCAGUCAAGAAAAGAAAAUAACUAACAAGUAUUACUACUCUAACACACAGCAAUGAGAAAAUGGAAUACCUAGGUAGAUGGUGACGGUCCGAUCGUGGUAGAUUGUGUGACCAUGUUGCACAUCAGUGGUACCAUGGGUAAUGACUGCUAAGAUAGUUGAUCCCAAUAUGCCAAAGUCAGCUACAAGGUUCCAGGUUAGACCGAAUCGCGGAUGCAAAUGCACAUCAGGAUCGGCGAUCUUAUUUUGAUCGGGCGAUGACUGGUCCCUGCAAAAUAAUGGAGUACCGUUAGGGAUGCAAAUGAUGGUUUGUGCAUUCCGUUUGUAAUCUCCUGUACCUUAGGAUGGCAACCAGAUGAAACAAGUCCCCUGGCUUGUCUCCGUGAAGAUGCGGCCUAGAUGGCGCACGACAUCUUCGAACGUGUAGGGGGUACAAAUCUACCGCGACCAACAUGUGCCAGCCUCUGCCGUUACUGCCUCUUGCAUUGAUGGCAAUCCUUAUGUCAAACACCGCGAUGAGAUAGUAAUCGUCAUAGCCGCGUCAAUUUGUCGGCGGGUCCACAAUUGCUAUCUUCUUCAAUCUCAUGUAGGCAUCAUCAUACGUAUUCAAGCCCAGCUAGUCCAAAAGUCCGAUCCCAAUGGUGGAGAAGGGGUCUACGGGAAAUGGCUGCACUGUUGUGGAUGUUGUGCAAAAUGAUGGUGGUAUCCUGCCGGAGGUAUGCAAGCCAAUCUUCGUUGCCACUGACCCAGACCUAUAUAUAAGAUAAUGGGCAGCGGAGAAAUUACGGGAUGGAAAUGGAAUAACUAAGUAGUACAUGAUCAAAUUCCAUGACUGACCUGCUCAUCGGACAAAAUCCGACUACCUCUCAACGUCGGCAACUCUAGCGGAGUCAACGUGCAACCAUGGCCAGGGAGCGAUGGACUGUUCGAAGGAUUGUCCCAUAGAAGAACCUUCUCCUCGAGGACGCAUGGAAGACCAACAAGCAUGGCCUUUCCCCAAGCAUGUUUAAGCAUCAUCAUAAAAAAGUUGGUGUAGGAAGCACCGAGUCUUGCGGUGGUGAGGACGUCGUAGCGGCGUGCGAUUUCUCCCAGAGGAUCGUCGUCCAAGGUCUCCCAGCCCCGACAAGGAGGAGAACCGCCUAGUGAAUCCAUGGGAGCAGCGACGAACUGCCUUUUCUUCGGGGGAGGGGAACUGGCGAGGAGGAGAUAAGAGCGUAUUAACCGCAGGGCCUCGUCCCUUCGCUAAGGAAAUUAUGCGGGCACGCAUAGUGGUAGUGCCUCGUGCCCCGCAAUGGUGAGGCUAUUAUUUACUACGUACUCAUACUGUAGCAGUACUAGUACUACUUUCUCAACUAGUAGUGUGAUGUGCUGUACUUCUAGUAUAGUGCACCAGUUUUGAACUCUUGAAUCUCAGGGCCAAGGAGCUACAGUUGGAAGUGGAGGGUAAUACUGUUCUCUAGAACCAUCCACUGGUACGCGUCGGUCCUAUACAAACGGUUUUUAACCCCUUUCCGCGACGGCAUUUGGAACCUUCGCCUAGUGAGUGUGGGAGAUAGGGGGGUCCUUCCCACAUGGCCCAGAAACCAUCGGGGAUAUGCCCUCCUGGCACACACGCUCGGCAAAAUGAGGUCGUGUGCGACCGACAAGCGCUCAAAUAUGGAAAUACGUAUAGCAGAGCUAAAAAAUACAAUUAUACAGCGAAAUUGUUUCCGGUCGCAAGUACAUCCCACACAGUCAGUCCAUGCUAAACGUUUCCGUUCACAUGUACAUCCCACACAGUUGCUCCAAGGAAAACGUUUCCGUUCACAGGUACAUCACACACAAUUUUUUCCGUUAAAUCGUUUGCGUUAUUGAAUGUAUCACAGAUGGUCCGUAGAAGAAACUGUGUGGCAGAGGCUGUCCAUCACACACAGUUUUUAUGUGGUAAACGUUUGUGUAAGGUGGCCUAACGCAAACAGUUUUCAAGAGAAAGUCGUGUGUGAUUGUUCAUUGAUCCAACACGUUUUAUUCCUAGAAACUUUGUGCGUUGCCUGAGGUUAUCGCCCAUGGUAUUUUUUUAACAACCGUUUGCAAUAGCAAAACCCAAUUAGCAGGCUAAUUCGCCAUUAGCAGGCUAAUUACCCUAUUAUUAAUAAUCCAUUUAUUAAUCUGAUUGACAUUCAUAUUAAGCACAUAAUAGAUUUCAUUUCCAUAUUAAGGAAGCAGAAUUUCAUAAUUGAAACAUCAGAGUACAACAUGAUAUAGCUUCAGCACUCAGCUACCGCAUUACACAACUGCACCAGCACCAAGUUUCACAUGCAACAUGUAGAACCUUUCGAAAUUACCAUCAUAGACGGUAUAUAGACAGAUGCAUCUCAUCUGGAAAACUGCUGAAGCGGAAGGCGAAUAUUGAGCUUUCAUUCAUGUUAAAGGUCUUUGCAACUUUAGGCCAAUGCCUGUGGAUGAUUGACCGUCCGUCCUUCGUCCUCUUCAGGAACACUUCAAUAUUGAACUGUGGGUGUUGUAUGAAAACCUUCCUUGCCACCUGACCAUAGAGGUGGGUUGAGAGGUAAUCAUCAGUGAACUGCUUUAGAAAGGCCUGAAAACAAGGAUGUGCACAAAUAUCUUCUCUAUAUUGGAAAUGGGCAAAGGAAUAAAAAAAGGCAAGGUAUAAUUGUUAGUACCAUCUUGUAGUGAACUGAUGUCUUCUUCAUUGUACAAGGUAUAAUUUCUUUAUCCUAACAAUCUUUCUUAGUUUCUUGAUUUGAUUGAUAUUCAUGGACAACUCAUUUCCCCAUAUGCAAAAAGGGUCGAACAGUGGGUCAAAACCUUUGACAGCAGGACCUACAUGUGCAAGACCAAAUUGUUAAAAACCAAAAUAUUAGAAUGGUUCUUGUAAUUGCAAAAUAAUGUGCUAUUAGACAACGGACCAUGCACGUGCUAACCUCGAUUGUAAACCUCAGUGCUUCCCAUUGUUUCCCUGCAACACAUAUAAGGUAGUUAGUCAUCAGAUUAAGUAAGGGUUCGCAUGCUAUCAGUAAAAUAUGUUGAUGAAAAAUAAGCACAUUGCAGAUUCGUCAGAUUAAUUCAAGCCACAUGGAAAACCCAUUUAUCCAAACCAAGCAUGAUUAAGAACUAGGUAAUAUAGCACUUGUAUAUGUUUCUCAUGUGUUAAGUGCAGCCAAAUUCGAUUUAUUCCUCACAUGGUAUACAAUAACAGAAUGCAGCCACAACAAUUGAACAUCGCAUUGCAGAAUUGAACCAAGCAGUUAACUAAACACCACAACAAAUGAACCAAACGUUAAUUGAGCACCACAUUGCAUAAUAUAACAUACUCCUAAUAGAAGAUCAGACAGUUAACCAAACCAAGCAUGCUUAACAAGUUGGAAGUAUACCAAUUGUAUUUGUUUCUCAUGUAUUUAGUACAGCCAAAUUUGAUUUAUUCCUCACAUGGUAUACAAUAACUGAAUGCAGCCACAACAAUUGAACAUCGCAUUGCAGAAUUGAACCAAGCAGUUAACUAAACACCACAACAAAUGAACCAAACGUUAACUGAGCACCACAUUGCACAAUAUAACAUACUCAUAAUAGAAGAUCAGACAGUUAACCAAACCAAGCAUGCUUAACAACUUGGAAAUAUUGCACCCUGAAGAAUUGAACAUCACAUUUGCAGAAUUGAACCAAGCAGUUAACUGAACACCACAUUGCACGACAUAUAUAACAUAUACACUAUAGCAGAAGAUUGCAUGGUAAAAGUAGAUAGCACAAUUCACUAGAAUUUGUUAAGGAAAGGCACUAGCUAGCAAACUCAACAUGGGUCCUUAUAGUGAGAUAAUAAGACAAGCUACUCCUCAUUGUCGGAGAUAUCGAUGACGAUUGGCUCCUUGGACAUGGAAGAGGGCGAGGCCUCUGCAUCGUGGGUUCCCUCGUUGUAGUGGUGAGAUGCCUGAGCCGCUCCGGGCACCAACCUGCUGGCUCUCGAGAUGAGGUAAGCACGUGCAUGCUGAGAAAACACCUCGUAGUCUUUGUCGAAGGCACCGACGGUGGCCUCGAGAAAAUGCCACGAACUGUCGUUUAAAGCAGCCAACCUCGUCACGCAUCGGCGUGCGAGGCGUCAACAGUGCCCUCGAUGGCGAGGUGCUCCUCCAAGAUCUAGGGGUCGGCACGAAUGGUAGCCAUCGCGACCUCAUCCGCGCGUGUGGCCGCGAUUUGCUUCUCCGCUGCCAAAUGUUCCUUGAGAUCCUGGCUAUACUGCGUGCACCAUGGCUUAGGGCUUCACUUAUUUGGUGGAGGGGUCGGUGAUUUGGGUGGAAGGUGUCGCGCUCGCGCCGGCGGUCGGGGCAUGUGGGAUGUGAAGGAGGAGGAGGAUGGGGGUCGGGUGUGGAUUACCUGCCUGGAUAGGCGAGGCCGAGCAGCGUGAAGGAGGGUCGCAGACAAGGAGGCGGCGCUGCAAGAAAGGAGUGAAGGUUUCAACUUGGAAAGGAAGGCAGAAACAGGGGAAAUGUGGCUUUUGGUAAGGGGGAGGGGCGGGGAGGUAGAUAUUUCCGCGGAAGCCGAAAAUUUGGAAUCGCUUCAGCGAAAAAACUGGCGCGCAUAGUGUCAUCAGACACGAUCCCUUAUUCAGAACUGUGUACGAUAUGUGAACAUCACAAACAAUUCAGAUAGCUUAACUCGUGUGUGAUGAGUUUGAACGUCAAAAAUUUGGUUCGAAUUUCCAUGGUUACAGUGGUCAUCCACGUCAUUGCAUAAUUUGGGCACACCCACACUUCUUAAUCAAGCAAGUUCAACAAUUAAACAGAGCUAGCUGACCUAAACAUUACUCUAACAAAUUAAAGACCAGCGCCCUUAAUUAAACAAAACAAAGAGUACUACUACGGCUGGUGCUCGUCGAUCUCCGCCGCCGCCUCCAUGUCCAACUCGCGCCCGACGGUCUCCUGGGGAAGGGGCUCCAUGGCAUCCAUCGCACCAUACUCGGCAAGCAUCUCGCCAUCCGCGUCCGCCAUCUCUUUGGAAAAGGCCGCCACGAGCUAGGCGUGGGCGGACGUGAUCUGGGCUUGGACGGGCUCCGUCGUCGCAAGGUAUGCGGCGGAGGAACGGACGGCUGCUCAAACGCUCUUGGCGAUUGCCAGCUCUUCGGCCGCGGGUUGCCGACCGUUGUCGGAGAAGCUUCGUUCGAUUUGUGCGGUGACCACCAGGAGCUGGGCGUGGGCGGCCUAGACAUGGUCGUGGGCGGCCUCCAUCGGGGCUAAGGCCGCCGCUGCAGAACGAACAGCUACCGUGCCGCUCUCGCCAGUUGUUAUCCCUGAGCCAGAUGUUGCUGCCGCCACCUGAGAAGCAACAACGGCCGUUUGGGCUGCCAUGGCCGCCGGUCGCAGAUUGCGGCCGCGCUCAUGCACCUUGUAAGCAUGUGCAUGGUUGCUGCAGCCGCGCUCUCGCCGGAGUGGGCCAUCAAAGUUUCCCUCACGACAUGGGUCCACGUGCCCAUCUUUCACCGACGAUGAUUGAACAGUGAAAUGAUAUUUGGGGAGCGAGCUAGUGUGCUUGAGACACCGACUGUGGACUGUAGCCAACGCACCUUCUCGCGUAAGCCAUAGGCGUACUAUACACCGACGGUGCUCCAGGAUAUUUUGUGCCGCAUCUCACACGGUUGGUGAUAAUAAACUAUGUGCGAUCUACUUGAUUUUUCAUCUUGAUUUGAAUUACAUAAUGGGGUCACAGCGGCAAUGGACGGUGUUUGAAUUGCUAGACCUUUUACAUGGAGUGAACAUGCAACUAUAUGUGUGUCAUAAAAGAAUUGGAAUUAUUCAGGGUUCGUUUGAACAUUUUAUACAUUAAAUUGGUUUUCUAGCCAUUUCAGGUGCACAAUUCAAAAUUAAACUACAUGCACAUGCUCCGGUGCACCAACAUGGGUUGUAGAAUCAUAUAUGUGUCCAUGGGUUUAUGCUUAUCUCCCAUGCAAGAAAUGGGGAUGAAAUUCGAAAACCGCGGCACCGUGGCUCUCCGGCAAACGUCGACGUACUUGCUUUUGUAGUUCUAGUAAAUCCAAAAUUCAUCCAAAAUUCAUGAAACUUGGCAUGCUAUCAUGGAGAGGCAUCAACAUGCCAUGGUAAAUUUUUUGUCCCAUUUGGGGCAGGUUUGGGUAUAUGCUUCUCAUAAACCAGAGCUUCUCACAACAAACAUGAUGGUUUCGGUAGGGAACAUCCCACCUUUGGGGACGAAACGAUAUCCAUUGCCUCUUAUUGCUUUCAAUUUUUCUCUCGUGUCAACAUAGAACAACAUGAGUGUUGUGUCAAUUUUUGCGAUUUUUUGGGGUUCGUUUGGACAUUUUUAUGCAUUGACUGAGUUUUCAAUGCAUUUAUGUGCAUAAUUCAAAUUUGAACUACAUGCACAUGCUCCAGUGCAUAUAAAUUGGUUGAAAAAUCAAAUAUGUGUCCUUAUGUGCAUGCUUAGGUCCCAUGCAAGAAAUGGGAAUGAAUUUCAAACACCAGGGCACUGUUGAUUGCCGGCAAAACAUUGAGAUGCCUAGUUUUUAAAUUCUAGUAAAUCCAAAACUCGCCCGGUAUGCAGGUUCACCGAGAAGCGUGCAAGAUGUUCAACGCAUGAUUUGUGCAUCUCUUCAACGCAAAAAGUUCAGUGAAGCAGUAAAGCGGCUGAUACGUCUCCGCCGUAUCUAUAAUUUUUGAUUGUUCCAUGCCAAUAUUAUACAACUUUCAUAUACUUUUGGCAACUUUUUAUACUAUUUUUGUGACUAACAUAUUGAUCCAGUGCCCAGUGCCAGUUCCUGUUUGUUGCAUGUUUUUUGUUUUGCAGAAAAUCCAUAUCAGAAGGAGUCCAAACGGGAUGAAAACUUACGGAGAUUUUUUCCGAAUAUAUGUGAUUUUUGGGAAGAAGAAUCAGCGCGAGACGAUGCUGGGGGGGGGGCACGAGGCAGGGGGCGCCUCUGACCCUCGUGGCCACCCUGUAAGGCAGUUGGUGCCCUUCUUUUGCCACAAGAAAGCCAAUAUCCGGAUAAAAAUCGUGUUAAAAUUUCAGCCCAAUCGGAGUUACGGAUCUCCGGGAAUAUAAGAAACGGUGAAAGGCCAGAAUCUGAAACACACAAACAGAGAGAGACAGAGAGACAGAUCCAAUCUCAGAGGGGCUCUCGCCCCUCCGCCGCCAUGGAAGCCAUGGACCAGGUGGUAAACCCUUCUCCCAUCUAGGGGGAAGGUCAAGGAAGAAGAAGAAGGAGGGGCCCCUCUCCCCCUCUCUCCCGGUGGCGCCGGAACGCCGCCGGGGCCAUCAUCGUGUGACGGUGAUCUACACCAAAACCUCCGUCAUCUUCACCAACAUCUUCAUCACCUUCCCCCAUCUAUCUACAGCGGCUCACUCUCCCGCAACCCGUUGUACCCUCUACUUGAACAUGGUGCUUUAUGCUUCAUAUUAUUAUCCAAUGAUGUGUUGCCAUCCUAUGAUGUCUGAGUAGAUUUUCGUUGUCCUAUCGGUAAUUGGCGAAUUUCUAUGAUUGUUUUAAUUUGCUUGUGGUUAUGUUGCUGUCCUUUGGUGCCCAUAAUAUGUGCGCGCGCGUGGAUCACACCACAGGGUUAGUUGUAUGUUGAUAGGACUAUGUAUUGGAGGGCAAGAGUGACAGAAGCUUCAACCUAGCAUAGAAAUUGAUGCAUACGGGAUUGAAGGGGGACCAAUAUAUCUUAAUGCUAUGGUUGGGUUUUACCUUAAUGAACGUUAGUAGUUGCGCAUGCUUGCUGCAUAGAAUUCCAAGUCAGGGAUGACAUGCUAGCAGUGGCCUCUCCCACAUAAACUUGCUAUCGGUCUAGUAAAGUAGUCAAUUGCUUAGGGACAAUUUCGCAACUCCUACCACCACUUUUCCACACUCGCUAUACUAACUUUAUUUCUUCUUUACCUAAAACAGCCCCUGGUUUUUAUUUACGUGCUCUUUAUAUUCCUGCAAACCUAUCCCGUUACACCUACAAAGUACUUUUAGUUUUAUACUUGUUCUAGGUAAAGCGAACGUCAAGCAUGCGUAGAGUUGUAUCGGUGGUCGAUAAAACUUGAGGGAAUAUUUGUUCUACCUUUAGCUCCUCAUUGGGUUUGACACUCUUACUUAUCAAAAGAGGCUACAAUUGAUCCCCUAUACUUGUGGGUUAUCAAGACCUUUUUCUGGCACCGUUGCCGGGGAGUUAUAGCGUGGGGUGAAUAUUCUCGUGUGUGCUUGUUUGCUUUAUCACUAAGUAGUUUUUAUUUCCUGUUCUAAGUUGUUCUCUAUCUUUAGUUAUGGAUAUGGAACACGAAAUACCAAAAACAUUAGGCGUACUUGCUACUCAUGGAGAUGGGGAACCUCCUAAAACCCUCGAUGCUCAUUAUGUGAAGAUAUUAUGUACUACUUUGAUAAUCCUGAGAAAUCCCCAUUCAACAUUAUAAUGGGAGUAACGUUGGAUCAAUGUGAAUACUUUAGGGAUUAUUGCUUGAAUCAAAAAGGGAAACUAUUAUGGGAUCAAAUUCAUAUAUUGCAGUGGUAUGCUUGGGAUCUAUGCUCUAGAUAUGAUUAUACUUCUUACUCUAGGAUGAAUGCUCCACAUCUUCCCUUUUCAUGCAAAUUUAAUGAUAAUGAAACCUUAGCUUCUUAUGCUAAUGGUAUAUAUGACUAUUAUGAUGUGGAACGAAUAGAAGAAUUUGUUGCUUUUAAGGGUGCUUAUGAAAUUGAAUGUCUGUUUCUAGAGUAUGAAGAUUGUGAUGAUGAUGUUUAUAGAUCUCAAAAUUUUGCUAUAUUUGAAUAUUGCUAUGAGAACUAUGAAAAUAAUGCUGAUAUUGAUGCAUUUCUUGAGAAAGUCUCCGCUGCCCAAGAAGAGACUAAUAUUUUGCAGGAGUCUAUGGAAGAAGAAAUUAAUGACAUUGUGAGCUCAUUGGAUGAAAAAGAUGAGGAGGAGAGCGAAGAACAAAAGGAGGAAGAGCGGAUUAGCUACCCGUGCCCACCUUCUAAUGAGAGUAACUCUUCAACUCAUACAUUGUUUAAUUUCCCUUCGUGCUUACGGAAGGAUGAUUGCUAUGAUCCCUUUGAUUCUUUUGAAAUGCCCCUUUUUGAUGAACUUGAUGUUUGCUAUGCUUGUGGCCAUGAUGCCAAUAUGAAUGAUGCUUAUGGAGAUGAACUUGCUAUAGUUCCUUAUGUUAAGAAUGAAAUUGUUUCUAUUGCACCCACGCAUGAUAGUCCUAUUAUCUUUUUGAAUUCUCCAAAGUACACUAUAUUGAUGGGUUGCCUUUUAUCGUUGCACAUGGUAAUUCUGAUGAAUAUAAUAUGCAUGUGCUUGCUGCUCCUACUUGCAAUUAUUAUGAGAGAGGAACUACAUCUCCGCCUCUUUAUGUUUCCAACACGAUAAAAUUGCAAGAAACCUCUUAUGCUAUGCAUUGGCCUUUACUUGAUGUGCAUGAAUUGUUCUUGUAUGACAUGCCGAUGCAUAGGAAGAGAGUUAGGCUUCGUCAUUGCUUGAUAUAUGUUACUUUGUUCUCACUACUAAAUCACAAAUCAUUGUUAAUUAAAAUUGGCUUUGAUAUACCUUGGGAUCUGGGUGGGUCCAUUACUUGAGCACUAUAUGCCUAGCUUAAUGGCUUUAAAGAAAGCGCUGCCAGGGAGACAACACGGAAGUUUUAGAGAGUCAUUUAUUUCUGUUGAGUACUUUUAUAGAGUUUAAAAACAAAAAAUAAAUAAAGAGGGGAACCCACAACUUUUCAAAAAGGAAAGUGAAAGUGAGAGAGACAAGCAUUGUUGAAGUGGGGGAGCUCCUUGAACUUUGUUCAUGCUCACGGAAACUUUGUGAAUCUUGAUUACCGAAACUUUUCAACAAAAAUAAUUAUCCCCUUGUACAAUUCCAUUGUAUUAUAAAAAUAAUGUGCCAAGAUUUGCCUUUAGGAUGAUUAGAUUGCUUGUUGGUUUGUGCGGUGCAGAAACAGAAACUUUGGCUGUAGCGCGUGAAUUUUCAUUUUUUUACUGGAAUGUCAAACGUUUCUGAAACUUUUUGCACAGUCUUGCCAUACAAAUUGUUUACGUUGUCCUAAUUUUUCAGAAUUUUUGGAGUACCAGAAGUAUGGUAGUGUUCAGAUUACUACAGACUGUCCUAUUUAAGACAGAUUCUGUUUUUGAUGCAUUAUGUUGCUUGUUUUGAUGAAACUAUCGAUCCUAUUAGUGGAUUAAGCCAUGGAAAAGUUAUAUUACAGUAGCUACAAUGCAAGACAAAAUAUGAAUUGGUUUGCAACAGUACUUAGAGUAGUGAUUUGCUUUAUUAUACUAACAGAUCUUACCGAGCUUUCUGUUGAGUUUUGUGUGGAUGAAGUGGUCAAAGAUCGAGGAGGUCUCGAUAUGAGGAGAAGGAUGAGAGGCAAGAGCUCAAGCUUGGGGAUGCCCAAGGCAUCCCAAGUAAAUAUUCAAGGAGAGUCAAGCGUCUAAGCUUGGGGAUGCCCAGGAAGGCAUCCCAUCUUUCUUCAACAAGUAUCGGUAUGUUUUCAUCUUCGUUUUGUUCAUGUGAUAUGUGCAAAUCUUGGAGCGUCUUUUGCAUUUAGUUUUCACUUUUCUUUUAUGCAUCAUGCUGGUAUGAGAUAGUACUUGGUUGAUUUAUAGAAUGCUCAUUGCACUUCCCUUAUAUCUUUUGAGUAUGGCUUUAUAGAAUGCUUCAUGUGCUUCACUUAUAUCAUUUGAAGUUUGGAUUACCUGUUUCCCUACACAUAGAAAACAACCAUUUGUAGAAUGCUCUUUUGCUUCACUUAUAUUUGUUAGAGCGUGGGCAUAUCUUUUGUAGAAAGAAUUAAACUCUCUUGCUUCACUUAUAUCUAUUUAGAGAGAUGACAUGAAUUGGUCAUUCACAUGGUUAGUUAUAAAAUCCUACAUAAACUUGUAGAUCGCUGAAUAUGAUAUGUUUCAUUCCUUGCAAUAGUUUUGCGAUAUAGAGAUGCUAAUAUGUGGGAGGUACUAGUGAAUGAUUGUGGUUUAGUAAAAAGAUUGGUGCUAAGGUUUGUGAUUCCCGAAGCAUGCACGUAUGGUCUCCUAACUAUGUAACCAAAUUGGCGCCCAUUGUAUUUUGAUUGUUUAUCUUUGCGUGAAGGUCGGGGGCGUGCGAUGGUUAACUCCUACCAACCUCCCCCCUAGGUGUUGGGGAACAUAGUAAUAAUUCAAAAUUUUCCUACGUGUCACCAAGAUCAAUCCAGGAGAUGCUAGCAACGAGAGAGAGGAAGUGCAUCUUCAUACCCUUGAAGAUCGCUAAGCGGAAGCGUUACAAGAACAAGGUUGAUGGAGUCGUACUCGCGACGAUUCAAAUCGCGGAAGAUCCGACCAAGCACCAAACGGACAGCGCCUCCGCGUUCAACACACGUAUAGCCCGGGGACAUCUCCUCCUUCUUGAUCCAGCAAGGGGAGAGGAGAAGUUGAGGGAGAACUCCAGCAGCACGACGGCAUGGUAGGGAUGGAGCUCGUGGUUCUCCAGCAGAGCUUCGCUAAGCACUACGGAGGAGGAGGAGCAGUUGGAAGAGGAGAGGGCUGCGUCAGGGAAGGGGUGCGGCUGCCCUCUCUCUCCCUCACUAUAUAUAGGGGGAAGGGGGGAGAAGGAGGCGCCCUAGGGUUUCCCUAGGGGAGGGGCGGCGGCCACAAGAGAAACCCUAGAUGGGUUUGGGCGCCCCCACCCCUAGGAAACUUGCCCCCCAAGCCGGGAGGGGUGGCUGCCCUAGGGGAGGUGCCCCACCUCUCCACGUUAUGUGAGAUGGGGUGGGAGGGGCGCACAACCCCUUAGUGGGCUGAUGUGCCCCCUCCCCUUGGCCCAUAAGGCCCCCAACGCUUGUCGGGGCCUCCGAAACCCCUUUCGGACACGCUAGUCGUCACCCGGUACCCCCGGAACAAUUCCGGACUCCAAUACCCUUUGUCCAAUAUAUCAAUCUUCACCUCCGGACCAUUACGGAGUUCCUCGUCACGUCCGGGAUCUCAUCCGGGACUCCGAACAACCUUCAGUAACCACAUACUAUUUCCCAUAACAACUCUAGCGUCACCGAACCUUAAGUGUGUAGACCCUACGGGUUCGGGAACCAUGCAGACAUGACCGAGACGUUCUCCGGCCAAUAACCAACAGCGGGAUCUGGAUACCCAUGUUGGCUCCCACAUGUUCCACGAUGAUCUCAUUGGAUGAACCACGAUGUCGGGGAUUCAAUCAAUCCCGUAUUCAAUUCCCUUUGUCCAUAGGUAUGUUACUUGCCCGAGAUUCGAUCGUCGGUAUCCCCAUACCUCGUUCAAUCUCGUUACCAGCAAGUCUCUUUACUCGUUCCGUAACGCAUGAUCCCGUGGCUAACUCCUUAGUCACAUUGAGCUCAUUAUGAUGAUGCAUUACCGAGUGGGCCCAGAGAUACCUCUCCAUCAUACGGAGUGACAAAUCCCAGUCUCGAUUCGUGCCAACCCAACAGACACUUUCGGAGAUACCUGUAGUGCACCUUUAUAGCCACCCAGUUACGUUGUGACGUUUGAUACACCCAAAGCACUCCUACGGUAUCCGGGAGUUGCACAAUCUCAUGGUCUAAGGAAAUGAUACUUGACAUUAGAAGAGCUCUAGCAAACGAACUACACGAUCUUGUGUUAUGCUUAGGAUUGGGUCUUGUCCAUCACAUCAUUCUCCCAAUGAUGUGAUCCCGUUAUCAACGACAUCCAAUGUCCAUGGCCAGGAACCCGUGACCAUCUAUUGAUCAACGAGCAAGUCAACUAGAGGCUUACUAGGGACAUGUUGUGGUCUAUGUAUUCACACAUGUAUUACGGUUUCCGGUCAAUACAAUUAUAGCAUGAACAAUAGACAAUUAUCAUGAACAAGGGAAUAUAAUAAUAACCAUUUUAUUAUUGCCUCUAGGCAUAUUUCCAACAGUCUCCUACUUGCACUAGAGUCAAUAAUCUAGUUCACGUCGCCAUGUGAUCAACACUCAUAGUUCACAUCGUCAUGUGACUAACACCCAAGAGUUUACUAGAGUCAAUAAUCUAGUUCACAUCGCCAUGUGAUUAACACUCAAUGAGUUCUAGGGUUUGAUCAUGUUAUGCUUACGAGAGAGGUUUUAGUCAACGGGUCUGCAACAUUCAGAUCCGUGCGUUCUUCGCAAAUCUCUAUUUCAUAUUGUAGAUGUUGCUACUAUGCUCCACUUGGUGCUAUUCCAAAUGGUUGCUCCACUAUACGUAUCCGGUUUGCUACUCAGAGUCAUCCGGAUAGGUGUUAAAGCUUGCAUCAACGUAACCCUUUAGGCCGAACUCUUCAUCACCUCCAUAAUCGAGAAAACAUUUUCUUAUUCCCAAGGACAAUUUUGACCGCUGUCCAAUGAUCCACUCCUGGAUCAUUCUUAUACCCCCUUGCCAGACACGUGGCAAGGAACAUCACGGCACAUAGCAUGGCAUAUCAUAUAGAGCCUAUGGCUAAGGCAUAGGGGACGACUUUCGUCCUUUCUCUUUCUUCUGCCGUGGUCGAGCUUCAAGUCUUAACUUCACACCUUACAACUCAGGCAAGAACUCCUUCUUUGACUGAUCCAUCUUGAACUCCUUCAAGAUCAUGUCAAGGUAUGUGCUCUAUGAAAGUCUUAUCAGGCAUCUUGAUCUAUCUCUAUAGAUCUUGAUACCCAACAUGUAAGCAGUUUUACACAGGUCUUCCUUUGAAAAACUCCAUUCAAACAACCCUUUAUGCUUUCCAGAAAUUCUACAUCAUUUCUGAUCAACAAUAUGUCAUCCACAUAUAUUCAUCAAAAUGUUGAUAGUGCUCCCACUCACUUUCUUGCAAAUACAAGUUUCUUGCAAACUUUGUAUAAACCCAAAUGCUUUGAUCACCUCAUCAAAGCAUAUGUUCCAACUCCGAGAUGCUUGCUCCAGUCCAUAGAAGGACCGCUGGAGUUUGCAUACCUUUUAGCAUCCUUAGGAUCGACAGAACUUUCUGGUUGUAUCACAUACAACCUUUCCUCAUGGAAACCGUCAAGGAAACUUUGUUUUGACAUCCAUCUGCCAGAUGUCGUAAAUGAAAAUGCUGCAACUGCUAACAUAAUUCUAACAGACUUUAGCAUCGCUAUGAUUGAGAAAGUCUCAUCACAGUCAACUCCUUGAACUUGUCGGAAACUUCUUUGAGACAAGUCGAGCUUCAUAAAUGGUGUCAUUACCAUCAGCGUCUGUCUUCUUCUUAAAGAUCCAUUUAUUCUCAAUGGCUUGUCGAUCAUCGGGCAAGUCCACCAAAGUCCAUACUUUGUUCUCAUACAUGGAUCCUAUCUCGGAUUUCAUGGCUUCCAGCAAUUUGUUGGAAUCUAGGCCCACCAUCGCUUCUCCAUAGCUCAUAGGUUCAUCGUUGUCCAACAACAUGACCUUUAAGACAGGGUUACCACUCAGAAGUUGUACACACCCUUGUCAACCUAUGAGGUUUGAUAGUAACUUGAUCUGAAGCUCCAUGAUCAUCAUCAUUAGCUUUCUCUUCAACUAAGGUAGGUGCCACAGAAACAUUUUUCUGUGUUGCGCUACUCUCUGGUUGAAGUAAAGGUUCAACAACCUCAUCAAGUUCUAUCUUCCUCCCACUCAAUUCUUUCGAGAUAACUCUUUCUCAAGAAAGGACCUGUUCCUAGCGACAAACACUUUGCCCUCAGAUCUGAGAUAGAAGGUAUACCCAAUCGUCUUGUUUGGGUAUUCUAUGAAGACACAAUUUUCCGCUUUGGGUUCGAGCUUUUCUGGCCGAAGCCUAUCGACAUAAGCAUCGUAGUCCCAAACCUUAAGAAACAACAACUUAGGUUUCUUGCCAAACCAUAGUUCAUACGGUGUCGUAUCCACGGACUUAGAUGGUGCCCUAUUUAAAGUGAAUGUAAUUGUCUCUAAUGCAUAACCCCAAAAUGAUAGCGGUAGAUCAGUAAGAGACAUCAUAGAUCGCACCAUAUCCAAUAAGGUUCGAUUACGACGUUUGGACACACCAUUACGCUAGGUGUUCGAGGCGGCGUCAACUUGAAACGAUUCCACCUUGUCUUUAGUGAUUGCCAAACUCAUAACUUAGAUACUCUCCCCUUGAUCAAAUCGUAGGAACUUGAUCUUCUUGUUACGAUGAUCUCAACUUCACUCCGAAAUUGCUUGAACUUUUCAAACGUUUCAGACUUAUGCUUCAUUAAGUAAAUAUACCCAUAUCUACUCAAUUCAUCGGUGAAGGUGAGAAAAUAACGAUAUCCACCACGCGCAUCAACACUCAUCAGACCGCACACAUCAGCAUGUAUGAUUUCCAACAAGUCACUUGCCCAUUCCAUUGUUACAAAGAAAAUGGGGUUUUAGUCAUCUUGCCAAUGAGGCAUGGUUCGCACGUGUCAAGUGAUUCAAAAUCAAGUGACUUGAAAAGUCCAUCGACAUGGAGUUUCUUCAUGCGCUUUACACCAAUAUGACCUAAGCGGCAGUGCCACAAGAAAGUGGUACUAUCAUUAUCAACUCUACAUCUUUUGGCAUCAAUGUUAUGAACAUGUGUAACACUACGACCAAGAUUCAAUAAACCAUUCACAUUGGGUGCAUGACCAUAGAAGGUAUUAUUCAUGUAAAUAGAAUAACCAUUAUUCUCUGUCUUAAAUGAAUAACUGUAUUGCAAUAAACAUGAUCUAAUCAUGUUCAUACUCAAUGCAGACACCAAUGCAAACAACAUUUAUCUGGGUUCAACAUUAAUCCCGAAGGUAGAGCGAGCGUGCGAUGGUGAUCAUAUCAUCCUUGGAAACACUUCCAACACAUAUCGUCACCUCGCCCUUAGCUAGUCUCCGUUUAUUCCGUAGCUUUUGUUUCAAGUUACCAAUAUUAGCAACUGAACCGGUAUCUAAUACCCAUGUGCUACUAGGAGUACUAGUAAGGUACAAAUCAAUAACACAUAUAUCAAAUAUACUUUUGUUGAAGUUGCCAGUCUUCUUAUCUACCCAGUAUUUGAGGCAGUUCCGCUACCAGUGACCGUUCCCCUAAUAGAAGCACUUCGUCUCGGGUUUGGGUUCUUGGGUUUCUUCACUAGAGCAGCAACUGGCUUGCCAUUCAUGAAGUUUCCCUUCUUGCCCUUGCCCUUCUUUGAAACUAGUGGUCUUGUUAACCAUCAACACUUGAUGCUCCUUCUUGACUUCUACCUUUACGGCCUUAAGCAUGAUGAUCAGCUCCGGGAUCAACUUCCCUUGCAUGUUAUAGUUCAUCACGAAGCUCUAGUUAGCUUGGUGAUAGUGACUGGAGAACUCCAUCAAUCACUUCUCUUAUCUGGAAGAUUAACUCCCACUUGAUUCAAGCGAUUGAAGUACCCAGACAUUCUGAGCUCAUGCUCACUGGCUGAGCUAUUCUCCUCCAUCUUGUAGGCAAAGAUCUUGUCAGAGGUCUCAAACCUCUCAACACGGGCAUGAGCCUGAAAUACCAAUUUCAGCUCUUGGAACAUCUCAUAUGUUCCAUGGCGUUCAAAACGCUUUUGGAGCCCCGACUUUAAGCCGCAAAGCAUGGCACACUAAACUAUGAGGUAGUCAUCAGAACGUGUCUGCCAGAUGUUCACAACAUCCACAGACGACGCCAGAGGGGUUGGGACACUGAGCGGUGCAUCAAGGAUAGAAGCCUUCUGUGUAGCAGUGAGGACAAUCCUCAGACUACGGCCCUAGUCCGCAUAAUUGCUUACAAUAUCUUUCAACUUAGUCUUUCUCUAGGAACGUAUUAAAACAGGGAGCUAAAGCGUGAGCUAUUAAUCUACAACAUAUUUGCAAAGACAAUUUAGACUAGGUUCAUGAUAAUUAAGUUCAUCUAAUCAAAUUAUUCAAUGAACUCCCACUCAGAUAGACAUCCCUCUAGUCAUUUAAGUGAUACAUGAUCCGAAUCGACUAGGCCGUGUCCGAUCAUCACGUGAGACGAACUAGUAAUCAACGGUGAACAUCUCCAUGUUGAUCGUAUCUACUAUACGACUCAUGUUCGACCUUUCGGUCUCUUAUGUUCCGAGGCCAUGUCUGUACAUGCUAGGCUCGUCAAGUCAACCUAAGUGUUUCGCAUGUGUAAAUCUGGCUUACAACCGUUGUAUGCGAACGUUAUAAUCUAUCACACCCGAUCAUCACGUGGUGCUUCGAAACAAUGAACCUUCGCAACGGUGCACAGUUAGGGGGAACACUUUCUUGAAAUUUUGUGAGGGAUCAUCUUAUUUAUGCUACCGUCGUUCUAAGCAAAUAAGAUGCAAACAUGAUAAACAUCACAUGCAAUUCAUAAAGUGACAUGAUAUGGCCAAUAUCAUCUUGCGCCUUUGAUCUCCAUCUUCGAGGCGCGGCAUGAUCACCAUCGUCACCGGCAUGACACCAUGAUCUCCAUCAUCAUGAUCUCCAUCAUCGUGUCUUCAUGAAGUUGUCUCGCCAACUAUUACUUCUACUACUAUGGCUAACGGUUAGCAAUAAAGUAAAGUAAUUUCAUGGCGUUUACAUUGAUUCGCAUGUCAUAAAAUAAAUUAAGACAACUCCUAUGGCUCCUGCCAGUUGUCAUACUCAUCGAGAUGCAAGUCGUGAUUCCUAUUACAAGAACAUGAUCAAUCUCAUACAUCACACAUAUCAUUCAUCACAUCCUUUUGGCCAUAUCACAUCACAUAGCAUACCCUGCAAAAACAAGUUAGAUGUCCUCUGAUUGUUGUUGCAUGUUUUACGUGGCUGCUAUGGGUUUCUAGCAAGAACGUUUCUUACCUACGCAAAAACCACAACGGUGAUAUGCCAAUUGCUAUUUACCCUUCAUAAGGACCCUUUUCAUCGAAUCCGAUCCGACUAAAGUGGGAGAGACAGACACCCGCUAGCCACCUUAUGCUUCAAGUGCAUGUCAGUCGGCGGAACCUGUCUCACGUAAGAGUACGUGUAAGGUCGGUCCGGGCCGCUUCAUCCCACAAUGCCGCCGAAUCAAGAUAAGCCUAGUAACGGUAAGCAAAUUGAACAAAUCAUCGCCCACAACUACAUUGUGUUCUACUCGUGCAUAGAAUCUACGCAUAGACCUAGCACAUGAUGCCACUAUUGGGGAACGUAGUAAUAAUUCAAAAAUUUCCUACGUGUCACCAAGAUCAAUCUAGGAGAUGCUAGAAACGAGAGAGAGGAAGUGCAUCUUCAUACCCUUGAAGAUCGCUAAGCGGAAGCGUUACAAGAACGCGGUUGAUGGAGUCGUACUCGCGGCGAUUCAAAUCACGGAAGAUCCGUUCUAGCGCCGAACGGACGGCGCCUCCGCGUUCAACACACCUACAGCCCGGGGACGUCUCCUCCUUCUUGAUCCAGCAAGGGGAGAGGAGAAGUUGAGGGAGAACUCCCGCAGCACGACGACAUGGUAGCGAUGGAGCUCGUGGUUCUCUGGCAGAGCUUCGCUAAGCACGACGGAGGAGGAGGAGCAGUUGGAGGAGGAGAGGGCUGCGCCAGGGAAGGGGUGCAGCUGCCCUCUCUCUCCCUCACUAUAUAUACGGGGGGAGGAGGAGGCGCCCUAGGGUUUCCCUAGGGGAGGGGCGGCGACCACAAGGGAAACCCUAGAUGGGUUUGGGCGCCCCCACCUCUAGGAAACUUGCCCCCCAAGCCGGGAGGGGUGGCUGCCCUAGGGGAGGUGCCCCACCUCUCCACGUUAUGUGAGAUGGGGUGGGAGGGGCGCACAACCACUUAAUGGGCUGAUGUGUCCCCUCCCCUUGGCCCAUAAGCCCCCCAACGCUUGUCGGGGCCUCCGAAACCCCUUUCGGACACGCUAGUCAUCACCCGGUACCCCCGGAACAAUUCCGGACUCCAAUACCCUUCGUCCAAUAUAUCAAUAUUCACCUUCGGACCAUUCCGGAGUUCCUCGUCAUGUUCGGGAUCUCAUUCGGGACUCCGAACAACCUUCGGUAACCACAUACUAUUUCCCAUAACAACUCUAGCGUCACCGAACCUUAAGUGUGUAGACCCUACGGGUUCGGGAACCAUGCAGACAUGACCGAGGCGUUCUCCGACCAAUAACCAACAGUGGGAUCUGGAUACCCAUGUUGGCUCUCACAUGUUCCACGAUGAUCUCAUCGGACGGACCACAAUGUCGGGGAUUCAAUCAAUCCCGUAUUCAAUUCCCUUUGUCCAUCGGUAUGUUACUUGCCCGAGAUUUGAUCGUCGGUAUCCCCAUACUUCGCUCAAUCUCGUUGCUGGAAAGUCUCUUUACUCAUUCCGUAACGCAUGAUCCCAUGGCUAACUCCUUAGUCACAUGAGCUCAUUAUGAUGAUGCAUUACCGAGUGGGCCCAGAGAUACCUCUCCAUCAUACGGAGUGACAAAUCCGAGUCUCGAUUCGUGCCAACCCAACCGACACUUUCGGAGAUACCUGUAGUGCACCUUUAUAGCCACCCAGUUACGUUGUGACGUUUGAUACACCCAAAGCACUCCUACAGUAUCCGGGAGUUGCACAAUCUCAUGGUCUAAGGAAAUGAUACUUGACAUUAGAAAAGCUCUAGCAAACGAACUACACGAUCUUGUGCUAUGCUUAGGAUUGGGUCUUGUCCAUCACAUCAUUCUCCCAAUGAUGUGAUCCCGUUAUCAACGACAUCCAAUGUCCAUGGCCAGGAAACCAUGACCAUCUAUUGAUCAACGAGCUAGUCAACUAGAGGCUUACUAGGGACAUGUUGUGGUCUAUGUAUUCACACAUGUAUUACAGUUUCCGGUCAAUACAAUUAUAGCAUGAACAAUAGACAAUUAUCAUGAACAAGGAAAUAUAAUAAUAACCAUUUUAUUAUUGCCUCUAGGGCAUAUUUCCAACACUAGGAGCAUGCGUCGUAGUAUUUUGCUUCGAGGGCUAAUAGUUUUUUCACAAUAAGUAUGUGAGUUCUUUAUGACUAAUGUUGAGUCCAUGGAUUAUACGCACUCUCAACCUUCCACCUUGCUAGCCACUCUAGUACCGCGCAACUUUCGCCGGUGCAUCCAACCACCUUAUAUCCUUCCUCAAAACAGCCACCAUACCUACCUAUUAUGGUAUUUCCAUAGCCAUUCCGAGAUAUAUUGCCAUGUAACUCCACCGUUCCGUUUGUUAUGACACACACCAUCAUUGUCAUAUUGCUUUGCAUGAUCGUAAGACAGCUAGGCAUGAUGUUUUCAUGGCUUGUCCGUUUUUUGAUGUCAUUGCUAUGCUAGAUCACUACACAUCCCGGUACACCGCCGGAGGCAUUCAUAUAGUCAUAUUUUUGUUCUAGUAUCGAGUUGUAAAUAAAUAAAAGUGUGAUGAUUAUCAUUAUUAGAGCAUUGCCCCAUGUGAGGAAAUAAAAGAGAGAGAGAGGCCAAAGAAGCCUAAAUAAAAAAUUGAUGGACAUUGAUAUCAAUUGAUGGAUAGCUCUAGUGCAUCCGUUAAUUCGCAUCCCUUACAUGGCAAUCCCUACUCACUCACAUUGAUAUCAAUUGAUGGACAUCUCCAUAGUCCGUUAAUUUGCCUAGUCGAUGUGAGACUUUCUCCCUACUUUUGUCUUUCACCACCUUCUAUUCCACCCAUAGUGCUAUGUCCAUGGCUCACGCUCAUGUAUUGCGUGAAGAGUUGAAAAGGUUCAAAAAAGUAAAGUAUGAAAACAAUUGCUUCGCUGACACUGGGAUGGGCAUGAGGGGUACCUUGUGUUAGGAAAAGGGAGCAUAAAAGACUAUAUGAUUUUGUGGGGAUAACGUUCUUUAGCAUUGAUAUUUUGAAAGACAUGAUUUUUUUUUGGGAUGCCCGAGUAUUAAAUUCUUUUAUGUCAAAUGAUAGACUAUUGCUUUGAAUCACUCGUGUCUUAGUAUUCAUGUCAUGAUUAGAUUACAUGAUCAAGAUUAUGCUAGGUAGCAUUCCACAUCAAAAAUUAUCUUUUUUAUCAUUUACCUACUCGAGGAUGAGCAGGAAUUAAGCUUGGGGAUGCUGAUACGUCUCCGUCGUAUCUAUAAUUUUUGAUUGUUCCAUGCCAAUAUUAUACAACUUUCAUAUACUUUUGGCAACUGUUUAUACUAUUUUUGGGACUAACAUAUUGAUCCAGUGCCUAGUGCCAGUUCCUGUUUGUUGCAUGUUUUUUGUUUCGCAGAAAAUCCAUAUCAAACGGAGUCCAAACGGGAUAAAAACUUACGGAGAGUUUUUUUGGAAUAUAUGUGAUUUUUGGGAAGAAGAAUCAACGCGAGACGAUGCCCGAGGGGGCCACAAGGCAGGGGGCGCGCCCCUGACCCUCGUGGCCACCCCGUAAGGAGGUUGGUGCCCUUCUUUUGCCGCAAGAAAGCCAAUAUCCGGAUACAAGUCGUGUUAAAAUUUCAGCCCAACCGGAGUUAUGGAUUUCCCGGAAUAUAAGAAAGGGUGAAAGGCCAGAAUCUGAAACGCAGAAACAGAGAGAGACAGUGAGACAUAUCCAAUCUCGGAGGGGCUCUCGCCCCUCCGCCGCCAUGGAAGCCACGGACCAGGGAGUAAACCCUUCUCCCAUCUAGGGGGAAGGUCAAGGAAGAAGAAGGAGGGGGGCCCUCUCCCCCUCUCUCCCGGUGGCGCCGGAACGCCGCUGGGGCCAUCAUCGUGUGACGGCGAUCUACACCAACACCUGCGUCAUCUUCACCAACAUCUUCAUCACCUUCCCCCAUCUAUCUACAUCGGUCCACUCUCCCGCAACCCGCUGUACCCUCUACUUGAACAUGGUGCUUUAUGCUUCAUAUUAUUAUCCAAUGAUGUGUUGCCAUCGUAUGAUGUCUGAGUAGAUUUUCGUUGUCCUAUUGGUAAUUGGUGAAUUGCUAUGAUUGGUUUAAUUUGCUUGUGGUUAUGUUGCUGUCCUUUGGUGCCCAUCAUAUGAGCGCGUGCGUGGAUCACACCAUAGGGUUAGUUGUAUGUUGAUAGGACUAUGUAUUGGAGGGCAAGAGUGACAGAAGCUUCAACCUAGCAUAGAAAUUGAUGCAUACAGGAUUGAAGGGGGACCAAUAUAUCUUAAUGCUAUGGUUGGGUUUUACCUUAAUGAACUUUUGUAGUUGCGGAUGCUUGCUAAUAGUUCCAAUCAUAAGUGCAUAGAAUUCCAAGUCAGGGAUGACAUGCUAGCAGUGGCCUCUCCCACAUAAAACUUGCUAUCGGUCUAGUAAAGUAGUCAAUUGCUUAGGGAUAAUUUCGUAACUCCUACCACCACUUUUCCACACUCGCUAUACUAACUUUAUUGCUUCUUUACCUAAAACAGCCCCUAGUUUUUAUUUACGUGCUCUUUAUAUUCCUGCAAACCUAUCCCGUUACACCUACAAAGUACUUCCAGUUUUAUACUUGUUCUAGGUAAAGCGAACGUCAAGCGUGCGUAGAGUUGUAUUGGUGGUCGAUAAAACUUGAGGGAAUAUUUGUUCUACCUUUAGCUCCUCGUUGGGUUCAACACACUUAGUUAUCGAAAGAGGCUACUAUUGAUCCCCUAUACUUGUGGGUUAUCUGCAGUAGAAAAUAAACCAAAAAAUAUAUGUGCUUCCACACGCCCCGUGUGCCGUGCGAGCAGGCGUGAGUUGACAGGACGCAUGCGAGCAGUCCGCUACGCGGGCAUACCGGGAGGCGUGCAUGUAGGUGUGUGUAUUGGCGGGGAGGCGUGCGAGUAGCUGUGUGAAAUGAUGGUAGGAAUGACAGACGUUCGCCGCGCAGGCUCACCGGGUGGCGAGACAACUUUUGACCGUAGCCUGCCUCGCUCCCACUGGUCUGUUUUAAUUGCGCGCCCGAGCCGCCGGCCAUAAUAGGUGGCCGCACCCCCGGUCCACAGUGGUCACCGACGUCUGGACUCCGGAGUGUAUGACGAUGCCGCCGAAGUGCACCAUCGGAGGGAGUGGCGACGCAGGAGCUGGUGAAGCUGGCCACAUAGGUUUCCGUCACCGCCGACGAGGUCUCGCGCGGGCAGCAGCACGACCUUGAAUUCGUCAGCGCCGUCGUGCCCCCCCAGCCGGAGCCGGAGGUCAACAGCAACUCCGACAACAAUUGCAACUCUGACAACAAUUGCAACUCCGAUGGAAAACCAGUUAGUCAUCUGUAUACCCAUUUGUGCGGCAAACAUAUCAAGUGUUUUCUCUGGUUAAUCCCCCCCACCCCGCCCCUCUAUAAUUUUAAUGGAAUAUAAAUCCUAUGGUUAUGUUCUCUCAGUCCAUGAAAUCAGAGUAAUUAAGAUCUGUUAGAUGCACAUAGUGUAUUGAUUGUUUCAAUGUUAUCCGUAUAGAGUUAGUGAUUAAUUGUUUGUUCUGUACAAAUGAUUUUUGCUAAUAAUCGGACAAGGGUUUGCUUGCGUGCUAAUAAUUCGUGGCCAGAUCUUGAGAAUUGAUUUUAAAUGUCCUACAUAUAUGUUUGUGCCUUUUUUCUUCCUGAUCUUGAGAACUGAUUUCGACUGUCCUACAUGUUAUGCCUUUUUUUUCUUUCAGAUUGGUAUGUACGCAGAUGAGGCUCCGACCAGCGCCGCCGCCGGAUGUAGAUCUUGGACCUGGCCGUGCGGCCAGAAGCGCCCCCCUGGACCUGAGGAACCAGUAGAAUCUCCGGCGGACCGCAUCAGCGAUCUCCCGGACGGAAUCCUUGGGGAGAUCAUCUCCCUUCUCCCCACCAAGGAUGGCUGCCGCACACAAGUCCUCGCGUGUCGGUGGCGCAAUCUGUGGUGCAACGCGCCUCUUAAUCUCGACUAUCGUCAGCUAUCUAUCGAUGAUGAUUAUGAACUCCCCGGAGCCAUCGUCUCCUCCCAUGAGGGCUCUAUUCAACGCAUCUGCAUCCCGGCAUGCUACCUGCUGGACAUACCCUACACGGUAGCCGCCUGGCUGACAUCCCGUCAAUUCGAUAAACUCCAGCAGCUUGAGUUCUACCAUUACUACAGCGAUAGGUUACCACCAAGAUCUGCAACUGUGCCCUCACCACUGAUGCCCAUCUCAUGGUUUUCCUCCUCUCUCCACACCGCCACCUUGACCCGGUGCCAUCUAGCAGACUAUCUGGUACAAAUGCUUCGACUGCCAGUGCUGAAAAAACUUGCGCUUGUGUUGGUUGAUCUGUCGAUGGCGUCAGUUCACAGCAUCAUCCACUCUAGCUACCCUGCACUGCAGCGUUUGGUGCUUGUUUUUGGACUAGGAAUCCAUAUCCCUUGUCUCAGAAUAAAGUCAUCUCACCUUGUAAGCAUUGGAAUUCAUUUUGAAGGACAGGAGCGCAUCAUCGAAGAUGCCCCUUCACUUCAAAGGUUGCUCAUUAAUUGUUGUUAUAAACCUUCACAGAUAACUGUGGUCUCUGCGCCUAAAAUGGAGACCUUGGGUGCAAUUAGUGAUCCAUUUGAAUGGUUUGAGAUGGUGUUUGCCUCCACACCUAUUGAGGUACUGUAUAUUAUUCACGUACACUUUGUAAUUUGCAUUUCUCAUUUGUGCGCAUAAGUUAAGUAUCAUCUUGGAGUACACUUUCAGUGCUAAUAUUAUGUUCUAUGCUCAAUGAAGCACUUGUCCAUCCUAUCAGUGGUGGUGGAUUCUGUCAAGAUCUUAUAUCACUAUGUGGUGUUUUGAUCUCAACAUCAUUAUUGCCUUGCUGCAAUGCUUUCCAUGACUGGAGAAUUUGUAUGUGAAGGUGAUGAUUUCACGCACAUUCAAAGCCCAUAUAUAAUGUACUAUAAUUAAUCAUUCAGCUAUCACUCUUUCAACAUAAUCUUUUUUAGACAUUAACUGUUUUCAAUCUUCAUCUCUAUUUAGGCACUAACACAUGGAGAAAAAGGUAUAACCAAUCGAUGGUUCAAGAAGCACCGGGAUUUUCUCAGAUCUCACGACAUUCGUUUGAAGACAGUAACACUGGAAGGAUAUGCAUCCAACAAUGCAAACACUAGCUUUGUCACAUUCUUCAUGUUGAAUUCGAGGGCACUAUUGUCCGUGAGGAUUAAGUUUUUCAACAACAAAUUUCUUACGGCUGCAGGUGUUGAACAACAUAAAAAGAAGUUUCAUGUGGACCUAAGGGCUUCUGAUCGUGCUCGGCUUCUAUUUACAACAGCUUGUCAUCAUGGACCAGUAGAAUUUCUGGUCGGGGAUCUUGAUUUUAUGGAUCAGACCGAUCCAUUUGAUUGUGACUGCCGAAAACUUUGGUUGAGUUAGAUGUCAUUGUCCUAUUCAAUCCGGAUUUUGUCUAAACCUAAUGAGCAAUUAAUCCUCGUGCUUUUGUACUGUUUGUUAGCUGGUGUUAGAUAUUGUUGCCCUUUUCAACUCGGCUUUGACCCAUAUUUUCUUUCAUACUGGACCAAUGGCUUGCCAUUUCUUUAAUUAAGACAUAAAUAUUAUAAGCAUUCACAACAUAGGCAAAUAACAUCACUCUCACGGGAUCCUUGAGAUCUUUGUUCAUUACAGAACCGCAAGUUUUUAGUGCCCACUGAGGGAGUCCUGGAUUAGGGGGUCCUUGGACAGCCGGACUAUAUACCUUGGCCGAACUGUUGGACUAUGAAGAUACAAGAUUGAAGACUUCGUCCCGUGUCCGGGUGGGACUCUCCUUUGCGUGGAAGGCAAGCUAUGUGAUUCGGAUAUGUAGAUCUCCUUCUCUGUAACCAACUCUGUGUAACCCUAGCCCCCUCCGGUGUCUAUAUAAACCAGAGGAUUUAGUCCAUAGGACAGGAACAACAAUCAUAAUCAUAGGCUAGCUUCUAGGGUUUAGCCUCUACGAUCUCGUGGUAGAUCAACUCUUGUAAUACUCAUAUCAUCAAGAUCAAUCAAGCAGGAAGUAGGGUAUUACCUCCAUCGAGAGGGCCCGAACCUGGGUAAAAAUUGUGUCCCCCGCCUCCUGUUACCAUUAGCCUUAGACGCACAGUUCGGGACCCCCUACCCAAGAUCCGCCGGUUUGGACACCGACAUUGGUGCUUUCAUUGAGAGUUCCAUUGUGUCGUCAUGAUAAGGCUUGAUGGCUCCUUCAAUCAUCUGCAAUGAUGCGAUCCAGGGUGAGGUUUUUCCCCCGGACAGAUCUUCGUAUUCGGUGGCUUCGCACUGCGGGCCAACUCGCUUGGCCAUCUGGAGCAGAUCGAUAGCUACGCCCCUGGUCAUCAGGUCAGGUUUGGAAGCCUGAACUACACCGCCGACAUCCGCGGAGACUUGAUAUUCGACGGAUUCGAGCCCGUGAUAGGUGUGCCGAACAGUCACGAGGAGCAUGACUUAGAUCUGCCAUCGGACGGCGUUCGGGAGAUCAUGCCUACGGUUGCCCCGGCUCUUAAUCCGGAGCACAUCGUGCCAUCCGAGGACGGGUGGAUGGACCCCGCCAUGGAGGCCGCACACUCAGCGGCGAUAGAGCCGAACACAGACUUCGCCUCCAAAGAGGUCUGUGUCAUCGGACCCUCGGACUCGUCUCCGGCCAUAGGCUCUGAACCGCGUGCAUCCGUGCCUAUAGAAUCUGAUUGGGCACCGAUCAUGGAGUUUACCUCCGCGGAAUCUUUCAGCACUCACCCUUGGGCGAUGUGCUAAAUUCGUUAAAAUCUCUCUCUCUGUCAGGAGACUCUUGGCCGAACAAUGUCCGGCUCGAGUGGGAAGCGGACAACAAAGAAAUUCGUUCCCCACCCAGCACCCACUUAAUAGCCACUGUCGACGAUUUAACCGACACGCUUGACUUCGACUCCGAAGACAUCGACGAUAUGGACGAUGAUGCCGGAGAAGAACAGGAACCACCGCCCACAGGGCGCUGGACAGCCACCUCAUCAUAUGACAUAUAUAUGGUGGACACACCCAAAGAAAGCAAUGGCGAUGAGGAAACAGAGGAUAACCCCCCCAGAGAAGCAUUCUAAGCACCGGCGUCAUGGGCGGCGCUCUAAAUUCCACCAUAGCAAAAAUAGCGAUACUGGCACAGGAGACAACAACACUCCGGAUAAUGCCGAAGAAAAAAACAAUCCCACCCAGCCAGACUUCGAGCAGGCCGAACGGGAGGAUGGGCAAGCUAGCCCCGAUGAACAUGCAAUGGAUGGAGACUUGGAGGACGACAAUUACAUGCCCCGCUCCGAGGACGAGGUGAGCCUCAGCAACAACAAAUUCAUCAUGCCUGAGGAUCCCAUCGAGCAGGAGCGCUUCAAACGCCGGCUUAUAGCCACUGAAAAAAGCCUGAAGAAAAAGCAGCAGCAGCUUCAAGCUGAUCAAGAUCUACUAACUGAUAGAUGGACUGAGGUCCUGGCAGCCGAGGAAUAUGGACUCGAGCACCCAACCAAAAAUUACCCAAAGCGCAAGUUGUUACCUCAAUUUGAGGAGGAGGCACUAGAGCCUACACUACCAGCGCAGGAAUCGGCUGACCGGCCACCACGUGGCCGGGACAAAGCAUAUCAAUCCGAACACCAGCCCGCACCCCGUCGCCAGUCAAACAAAAACACGAAUGCCCGGGGCUACACGCAGGACCUGCGAGAUGUGUUGGAAAACAAAGCAGGGCAGUCAAGAUCGAUCUAUGGAUCACGGGGGCGCGCCCCAACGCGUGUCGCCGAUCACCACGCCGGAUACACCAAAUAUAAAUCCAGCUGGGCCGAACACAACCGACCAAGACUCACUUGAACUCCGUCGUGAUAUAGCCUGGCAUAGAGGCGCCGCACACCCCCUAUGCUUCACUGACGAAGUAAUGGACCAUGAGUUCCCAGAAGGGUUUAAGCCCGUGAACAUCGAAUCAUAUGAUGGGACAACAGAUCCCGUGGUAUGGAUUGAAGACUUCUUUCUCCACAUUCACAUGGCCCGCGGGCAUGAUCUACACGCCAUCAAGUACCUCCCACUAAAACUCAAGGGACCAGCUCGGCAUUGGCUGAAUAGUUUGCCGGCAAAUUCCAUUGGAAGUUGGGAGAACCUGGCAGACGCAUUCCUGGAUAACUUUCGGGGCACUUAUGUGCGACCACCGGAUGCUGAUGACUUAAGUCACAUAACCCAACAGCCCGGAGAGUCAGCCAGGAAAUUCUGGACUCGGUUCCUAACUAAAAAGAACCAAAUUGUCGACUGUCCGUAUGCCGAAGCCCUAGCGGCCUUUAAGCAUAAUAUCCGCGACGAGUGGCUUGCCCGACAUCUCGGCCAAUAAAAGCCGAAGUCCAUGGCAGCGCUCAAGACACUCAUGACCCGCUUUUGUGCGGGCGAGGAUAGCUGGUUGGCUCGUAGCAACAACACAACAAGCAAUCCUGGCACAUCAGAGGCCAGAGAUAGCAACGGCAAGCCCCGACGCAACAGACACAAGCGUCGCAACAAUGGCGAUAAUGCCGAAGACACGGCCGUCAAUGCUGGAUUCAGUGGCUCUAAGUCCGGUCAGUGAAAGAAGCCAUUCAAAAGAAAUAAUCCAGGCCCAUCCAGUCUGGACUGCAUACUCGAUCGCUCGUGUCAAAUUCACGGCACCCCUGAUAAACCAGCCAACCACACCAAUAGAGAAUGAUGGGUGUUCAAACAGGCCGACAAGUUGAAUGCCAAAAACAAGGAAAAGGGGCCGCAUAGUGAUGACGACGAGGGGCCCCGGCUGCCGAACACAGGAGGACAGAAGAAAUUUCCUCCCCAAGUGGAAACGGUAAACAUGAUAUACGCCACCCAUAUUCCUAAACGGGAGCGGAAGCGCGCACUAAGGGACGUCUACGCGAUGGAGCCAGUCGCCCCAAAGUUUAAUCCAUGGUCUUCUUGUCCGAUCACGUUUGAUCGCAGGGACCAUCCUACCAGUAUUCGUCAUGGCGGUUCGGCCGCAUUGGUCCUUGCCCUAUCAUUGACGGAUUCCACCUAACACGAGUCCUCAUGGACGGUGGCAGCAACCUGAACCUGCUCGCAAAAUGGGCAUCGAUCCCUCCAGGAUCAAACCCACCAAAACCACCUUUAAAGGUGUCAUACCAGGUGUAGAGGCUCGCUGCACGGGCUCAAUCACACUAGAAGUAGUCUUCGGAUAUCCGAACAACUUCCGAAGCAAGGAGUUAAUAUUCGAUAUCGUCCCCUUCCGCAGUGGCUAUCAUGCACUGCUCGGACGAACCGCAUUUGCCAGAUUCAAUGCGGUACCGCAUUAUGCAUACCUCAAACUCAAGAUGCCAGGUCCUCGCGGGGUUAUAAUAGUCAAUGGAAACACAAAGCGCUCCCUCCGUACAGAGGAGCACACUGCGGCCCUCGUAGCAGAAGUACAGAGCAGCCUUCUUAGGCAGACCUCUAGUUCGGCCAUAAAGCCCCCGGACGCCGCUAAGCGAGUCCGGAGUACUUUGCAACAGGACCGGUCAGCAUGUCCUGAUCUCGCCUAGAAAUUCGGCCUCCGUCCUAGUCCCAGUCAAGCAGCGAAAUUCGUGCCGCGCGUACAUAAUUACGCACUUAAAAUACCAUGGGCACAGGCGGAGGCACAGCUACAAUAUGGCCCACAAUGCGGCUCAACCGCCCCAGGACCCGUAUACCUUCACCCCUUUUUCUUUCUUUCAGGUCCCUCUUUUCUGAAGGCUCUUCCGAUAACCUGAUUACUGGACCCAUCAUGGGACGGAAACGCCAAGGAGGCAAGAGGCUUUGACGUACAAGGGAAUUACCAGGUGGUCUCUGAUAACAAUCGCUAUGCCUGUUUUACGUACCCGCACGCAGCUCACUCUUGGCUAGGACAUGUCAAAUAGUCCUAUUUUUCUUAAUCGUACUACUCGUAUACAUACGCCUUGACGUACUAUUCAAAUAACAAUGGGAAAAUAAUGUACAGCGUCAGCUUAUUAUUACAUUUCUUUAUUUCUUUCCUUGGUUGUUUAUUUAUUAAAAUCUACACCCGUACAUUUUGGUACGAUCAGUUCGCCAGGGGCUUCAGUGUACCCCAUAACACGGCAAGAAAGUCCAAACACUUUCGACAGUGCGGCACCCCGAACUUAUAGCAUUAUAUGCAUCAGCUCCGGAUCAUGUCUUGGGUCAAUAGUUGGGUUUCCCCGGCUCCCAUGUUUUGGUGCCUUACGUUCCGCUAUAUCGGCUAAGGUAGCACAGGGAGAACUACUGUGAUUGUGUCCCGGUUCUUCCGGACGAGCACCUCAGUAGAGAAAGCCGAAAACUGACUGUCAUGAUGCGGCGAGAGCUAGUCGCUGUUCGAGAGGUCUCAAAUCCUUAAAUAUUUUUCCGCUUUGGGCGAGGAACCGGCCUUGUCCGAUUUAGGCGUGUAUAGCGCCCCAAGUUCGGCCUUCUGAAUACCAGGGCUACGCCAAAAUUUAAAAUUACAGACUUCUAUGGCUAAGUGAGAAUGAUAAAGUUGUAUAGUCCGAUUGCCUGGUUCGUUGCGCUAAACACCUCCUUAAAGGACCAAAAAUUUGGAUAAAGAGUGUUUAUAUUUAUCCCGAACACCCUGGUACUAGUUACAUGGGGGCAGAAGCUCACGACUGGCCAACUCUCAGAUUUUAUAAACGGCCGCACAGAAGGUAAUAUUUUAAAUCAACAAGCGUUAUAUAGCGCAAAUGAACUUGUUUUCAUAUUACAGGAUCAAAUGAGUACAUUCAUUCAAAUAUUACAUCCUUAGCACAUUCCUCCGCCACGAGGCGGGCGCCCUUCAGGACACUGUCAUAAUAUUUUUCGGAGUGGUGGUGCUCCUUGCCCUUCGAUGGCCCCUCCGUCACCAGCUUCUCGGCAUCCAUCUUCACCCAGUGCACUUUCGCGCGGGCGAAGGCCCUGCGCGCACCUUCAACGCAGACUGACCGCUUUAUGACUUCGAGCCGCGGGCAGGUAGACACAAGCCGCUUCACCAGGCCGAAGUAGCUGCUGGGCAGUAGCUCGGCUGGCCACAUCCGGACUAUGAGGUCCUUCAUGGCCAGUUCAGCCGCCUUGUGAAGUUCGACCAGUUGCUUCAGCUGGUCGCUCAAGGUCAUCGGAUGUUCGGCCCCAAUAUACUAGGACCAGAACAACUUCUCCGUCGAGCUCCCUUCUUCAGCUCGGUAGAACUCUGCGGCAUCAGAUAUGCUGCGCGGCAGAUCUGCGAAUGCUCCUGGAGAGCUCCAAAUUCGGGUAAGUAAAAGGAAAGUCUCCUUCACAUGCUUGCUUUGCAUAUUGAAUGCCUUACCCGCCGCAAUCUUCUUGGCCACCUCAAUCUCCUGGAGGGCCUUUUGGGCUUCGGCCUUGGCGUCUCAUACGCUUUGGAGGGCCUUCGCAAGCUCGGACUCUUGCGUCUUAGAGUCACGCUCCAAGGACUCAUAUUUUUUGACAAAAUCCUGGAGCUCUUGUUGGACCUCGCCGACUCGGGCCUUUUGCUUCUCGUGCUCGGCGCGCUCAUUGGCUGCUUUGUCUUCGGCCUCAGUCAGCACCUUUUUAAGGGCCGCCACUUCAGUCGUGGCCCCUAUUAAAGUUCAUAACGCUUCUAUUAACUGAAACCAUUCCUUCUUUAUCAAUAUACAAACGGGGUAUUAUGUACCUUUGUUCUCCUCGAGCUGCCUCUUCACGAGGCCGAGCUCUCCUUCGGUCCGCUCCAGGUCCCGCUUCAGUCCGGAGACCUCCGCAGUACGGGCGGCAGCGGCUAGCAGCGACGCCUGCUUAUUCACAUAGACAUAUUAUGUUAGACUCCUGCGGAUGUUAUUUGAUCCUCUGUUCGGCCAUUCUUUCCGAACACUAAACAGAGCAUCAGGGGCUACUGUCUAUACCGUGAUAUUUUCUUAUAAUUUUAUUACUUACCUUGAAGCCGGUUAGGAGGCUGACGCAGGCUUCGGUCAAUCCACUUUUGGCGGACCGGACCUUCUCAAUCACCGCACUCAUGAUGGUGCGGUGCUCUUCGUUAAUGGAAGCACCCCGAAACGCUUCCAGCAAGUUGUCUGAUGCCUCUGGAUGGACAGAGGUCAUCAGCACAGGUGGCUUGCCCUCCUUAGUGAGGGGCUGCCUGCCUGAAUCCGGAGCCGUUGGAGGUUCGGGCGUAGUAUCCGGCUGGGGGCCAAACUUACUGCGGCCCCCGUCAUCAGAAUCCAUGGGGGUCUUCCCCCCAUGUGCCCGGCGUCUGGGAUUUCGCCUUGGGGCAUCUCCAGAACAGUCUCCCCCUGGUCUAGUAUCCUCUGGGACAGCACCUCGAUGUCGUCCGCGGGCCGGGGGGAGGUGGCCGUCGGCAGUGAAUCGCUGUUCAUCGCCGACUGACUCAAAGACCCAUCCGAGGAGGAUACGUUGAUGUGGGAUUUGGCCGGACUGCACGAUCAUAUUUUACAUGAUAAGAAUCAAUAAGGCAAUACAUACCGGAAGUAUUAUAGUGUCUGGAUACUUACGACUUCGCCAGGGGCUUGUCCCUGGGCAACCACUCCACGUCGCUGUAGGCGGCUGUGGUGGAGUGGUCCGGAGGGAGGGUCUUUCCCCUCUUGGACCCUUCGGCCGCCCCAGACGGGGCGACCUUCCUUUUCUUCUCCCCCCGGUCACCGGGGGAGGCAUUUCUGCUACUUCUUCAUCCUCUUUGUUAGAGGAGCGCGCCUUGAUGUCUUCGGACGAUGAGUUCGAUACAACCUUGCGCCGGAGACCUUUCCUGGUUCCUGCGGUCUUCUUCUUGACCUUCUUCUCCGGCGCCUCAUAGGGCGCCGGAAACAACAUCUCUGUUAAGAGAGCCGAUGCUGGGUCUUCAGGUAGAGGAGCUACGCAGUCAAUCUGCUCUGCUAACGCUACCCAGUCCUGAUGAAUUGGCAUGGAAGUUUAGAUUCCUCCCGCGGAUGUGCUGGUAAAAGGCACGUCUUGCAGAAUAUAAAAACUCACCGGAUUGGCGGGGCGCCUUGCGCUGAGUCCGCGAUCUUUGGCUAUGGGUGGUGGUACCUCAGUAGCCUUGAACAACACCUUCCAGACAUCUUCGUGCAUUGUGUCGAAGAGCUCUCACAGCGUCUGGUGUUCGGCUGGGUCGAACUCCCACAUAUUGAAAGCCCGUCUUUGACACGGAAGGAUCUGGCGGAAGAGCAUGACCUGGACCACGUUGACAAGCUUGAUUUUCUUGCUUAUCAUAUUUUUGAUACAGGUCUGGAGUCCGGUCAGCUCCACCGAUGAGCCCUAGGCUAAACCCUUCUUUUUCCAGGAAGUGAGCCGCAUGGCGAUGCCGGAUCGAAAUUUGGGGGCCGCCGCCCAGUUGGUGUCGCGCGGCUCGGUGAUGUAGAACCACCCCGAUUGCCACCCCUUCACGGUCUCCACAGAAGAGUCUUCGGGCCAAGUGACAUUGGGCAUCUUGCCCACCAUGGCGCCUCCGCACUCUGCUUGCUGGCCGACCACCACCUUCGGCUUCACGUUGAAAUUCUUCAGCCAUAGGCCGAAGUGGGGCGAAAUGCGGAGGAAGGCCUCGCACACGACGAUAAAUGCCGAGAUGUUGAGGAUGAAAUUGGGGGCCAGAUCAUGGAAGUCCAGCCUGUAGUAAAACAUGAGCCCGCGGACAAAUGGGUGGAGGGGGAAUCCCAGUCCGCGGAUAAAGUGAGGGAGAAACACUACCCUCUCCUGAGGCUCCGGGUAGGGAUGAUCUGCCCUUCGGUAGGAAGCUGGUGUGUGAUGUCUGCGGCCAGGUAUCCAGCCUCCCGAAGCCUCGUGAUAUCCUCCUCCUUAACGGAUGAGGCCAUCCACUUGCCUCCUGCUCCGGACAUGCUUGGAAUGACUUUGCGGAGAAGGAGAAAGCCUGGGCGCUAGAGCUCGAGCGAGGGAAAAUGAAUGAGCAGAGGAAGAAUAAGGCGUGGGUGGAGAAAAGGUGAAUCCUCAUCUCUUUAUAAAGGCGGUAGAAACUAUGCGCCUCCCCACUUGCCCCGUAAAGCUCGCUCAUUCCCCAAGCGUCGUGUUGACGGCGCGGUUGGGUUACCCACACCCGUAUUGAUGAGAAUCCCGUGAUAAGGGGACACGAUCUCUACUUCGACAAGACAUGCCAAUGAAACCGCCUCGCAAUAUGUGCAGCAGCUGGUUGAGAAAAACAGUUCAAAUAAUGACCGGGCCGCAGCGUGAUGUCACGCUAUGAAAAGUUGUCAGCAGAUUAGAUUUGUGGAAUAUUGUACUCUCUAUGGUGGUAUGUGGAAUUUGUUUUGCAGAGCCGGACACGAUCCUCGUGUUAAAGAUCUUCUAUGGAGUAUUCAGAGAAGGAACCCGCCUUGCAAUGCCGAAGACAAUCUGCGCGCCGGACUCAUCGUCAUUGAAGCCUGGUUCAGGAGCUACUGAGGGAGUCCUGGAUUAGGGGGUCCUCAGACAGCCGGACUAUAUACCUUGGCCGGACUGUUGGACUAUGAAGAUACAAGAUUGAAGACUUUGUCCCGUGUCCGGGUGGGACUCUCCUUUGCGUGGAAGGCAAGCUUGGCGAUUCGGACAUGUAGAUCUCCUUCUCUGUAACCGACUCUGUGUAACCCUAGCCCCCUCCGGUGUCUAUAUAAACCGGAGGGUUUAGUCUGUAGGACAGGAACAACAAUCAUAAUCAUAGGCUAGCUUCUUGGGUUUAGCCUCUACGAUCUUGUGGUAGAUCAACUCUUGUAAUACUCAUAUCAUCAAGAUCAAUCAAGCAGGAAGUAGGGUAUUACCUCCACCGAGAGGGCCCGAACCUGGGUAAACAUUGUGUCCCCCGCCUCCUGUUACCAUUAGCCUUAGACGCACAGUUCGGGACCCCCUACUCGAGAUCCGCCGGUUUUGACACCAACACCCACCAGCACCCAUAAACUUAUUUUUAGCUUGCACACCAAGGGUUGUAAUUCUUAAUAAGAAAAGCUGCAUGGUAGUCACAGAUUUGGAUUUAUCAUUUGGGACCCACGAGGAAAAAGCCUAUCCAGGGCAGUGCCGACUCGACAGUAAACAUUGAGAAACCUGGUUUUAAAAUUACUGUAAAUCCAAAACUCGCCUCAAAAUCAUGAAACUUGGCAUGGUGUUAUGUCAUAGCACCAACAUGUUGUGGUAAAAAUAUUAGUCCAAUUUGGGACAAGUUUUGGUACAAUAUUCUUACAAACCGAAGCUUCUCUCAAAAAGGCUCAUGGUUCCGAGAGGGACCUUGUCACCUAUGUGUGCGAAACAACAUACGAUGUCUCUUCCCGCCUUGAUUUAUUUUAUAGAGGCAACAUGCAACUAUAUAUAGUAGCGUCAUCCUAAAAAUAUGAAAUUAAUCACGGUUCGUUUUGCCUUUUUAUACAUUAUUUGAGUUUCAUAGGCAUUUUGGAACGUACUUUCGUGUGUGCAAAGGUCAUGUGUGUACUAGCCACAUAUGUAAUUCGAUGUUCAAUUUGUUUAUGGAAUCAAGUCCUUAUACAUGUUAUUCUUCUGUAGUCAGAGCAAAUCACAUGGCUUAUUAGCAGCAAUCAUCUAUGUUAUUAUUGGUCUUUGCACAUAUUUCUGAUUACGAACCUGUUUGCCGCGUAUCACACACAUCUUGUUCAGUUGAACCGUUUCCAUUGUGUUGCCUGAUCACACACAGUUCAUCCUAGUGAACCAUAUGCUGUAUAUCGCACACACCUUCGUCUGGCUACCCGUUUCUUUUGUUCCUCAUCAUCGCAAACAGUUAAUUGAACUGAACCGUAUGCCCUGUAUCGCACACACAACUAAAAUCUGAACCGUGUUUGAUGCAUCCUCCAUCGCAAAUGUUUUGCACCUUUUUUGAUGGUUUUUUACACCACCGUUUGCGAUUAUUGCAUCGCACACAGUUUCGUCGAAGGGUCUCUGAUCGUAGUGUCGCAUUAGCAGCAUCCUGCAGUAGUGAUCGCUGUACUAUCAAUGCAGGGAAAGUACACCUGCGUAGUGGGUACUCUCGGUGCUCUAUUCAAGCGCGUAGCAGGCCUACUCAGCCACUCCUCUCAUGCACACACUAGCAACCUAUUUAUCAGCUACGGUUACUGCAGGGGCAGAACAUUUGAGUUAUUUGAUACAGUGAAACUAGGCUUUUCGCUUCCAUUUGUGGAGGUGUAAUGGAUCUCGUCGAACUUUGUUAGUAGUUCCUUCUUGAUGAAUGAGAUGAGGCAAAGCUUUUUCCUCCGUUUCAAAACAAAAACAAAUCACGUCAAGAGGAAUUUCUUUUAUAGAGACGAUAAUGGAGUGAAUUCCAUGCGUGCAACGCCACAAGCUACACAGUACUGGCACUUUGCGUACAGAGGCAUAUUGCACAGUUCCCAAUGCCGCGUCAGGCUUUUCCGGCUCCUCGGGCUUAAUUGGGAGGCGCUAGUUUAAAUAUGCUAGCUGAUGAGGAAGCUGCAAGCGAGGUGCAGCUAGGGAGAACACGUAGGCGAUAAACUUUGCAUGGUGUGAAUUAAUAUAUUGGAGUACUACUCUAGUACGCGAGCCAUGAGAUGAUGGGAGGGAAAACUUGUUCACGUGGCUGGGCUAUCCAGUGCACCCAGAUUGUGGUGCGACACGUCCGUUCGACUUCAAAAGUCAAACUACCAGUGUACAAUAUUGGCUCGCAGCGAAGUUACUAUGUAAAAAAAGGCCGCCGUGCGUUCCGCCGGGAUCGAACCCACAAAACGAGCUAUACACUCCCGCGACCACUAGUAGUACUCGUUGGAGUACAACGCAACCUAGAAUCGCCUUUUGUCGCUAGUACAUUGUUCCUUACAAGAAAACACUAAUAAUGCCAAGAUACCACUAAUAAUGCCAAGAAACUACUACCACUUGCAUACGUGGGAGACUUAAGAUAAGACUACCUUAUCAACCAUUGUACAUGCCCUUACCAACCAGCCCUACCAAGAAACGACUACUCUACAAAGUGUCGUUAUAGGCACGUUUCAACCCAUGUUGCCCCUUAAGUCAACGCCUUCUAUUCGACCGGCAAGUUAGGCGUUAUGACUUGUGGGACCUACAUGUCAGUCUGGACAAAAAUCCCCAAGUGACCUCCUACCUCCGGUCCGUCCACGUAAUCAUCCUCGGCCAUGGGACGCAGCUACCGCCGCCGGCAGAAGGCGAGGUCAAACCUGCCGGCGGUGCGGAGUCCAUCUUGCGGCAGCCCGGAUGCCAGCUCUGUUCGGCGCUCGCGGCCGCUAGCUAGCCAAGAUAGCACAGACCCUGCUGGAUGCAUCCAGCUGCUUGUCUGCAAGGUUUGCCAGCUAGGUUGGCACGGCGGUGCGGUGGCUUGCUCGCGCGCGCCGCGCUAAGGCCAGCCAUCUCGCUCGAGAGGAGGCCAGCGCGACGGCUUGCUCGCGCGUGAGUCACGCUCGGGCCAGCCAGCCAACCCGUGCGGUGGCCAGCGCGGCGUUCGGCCCGUCCGGCGGAGCGGCGGCCAACUCGAUCAUCAUCGGCGCCACCGACGAAUGCGCUUCCGUACUGUUUGAAGUAAUGUUUAGGAAAAAUAAUGACUUGAGGAGGCAUAACAGGAUAGAAGGUCAGAUGUGGGUCCCUCGUGUCAAUGGUCAAACAAAAUGUGUUGGUUUAAGCUGUCUCGUCGGCAUGGACGUGUGGGCCAACCCUGUCAUAAACGGGUUUAAACGAGCCUAAUCGGCACUAGGUAGUAAUUUUUUGGCGCGGAUUAAGAAAUUUUGGGUAUGCUUUUGCUAUUUUUGUACAAUAGUUUCUUCCUAGGGCUGGUUGAAAGUGGUAGUUUUUUGUUAACUACUCUACAUACUGUAAGUAGGCGUGGAUGUUAAGCUUUGGAAGCCAAUAAGCAAGGCUAGUUACAUAGUGCCUAUGUGUACGUGAUUGAAACUAAAUAUCAACCAUGAGUGACUAAUAUCUUGAUGGAAAACUCGAAACUAUGGAAAUACUAGCAUUUUUUGCAUGGUUGGAAAUACUAGCAAUGUUCACGUGCGUUGCAACGGAUCAUAAUUAGAAUAAUACUUAUUCACAAACUUGAUAGAAAACACUCUAAUUUUGAUAUACAUAUAUCACUAGAGAUAUAUUAUGUUUCAAUCAGAAUAUAUUCCUUGGGCUGUUUUGGUGAGGUGAGGGAGGGAUGUGGUUGGUUUUAAGAUACCAAUUAUGGGUUUUUCUGCAAAUUUGUAGAGAAGUGGGAUGUUGGUGAGAAAAGGCAACAACUUACCUCACAGUCGUUAGAUGUAGAUCUAAUGGUCAGAAAUGACGGAUGGCAGACACACCAUCAACACCAACUAAGUCUUCUGUAGGAGUACUAGCAAGAUGUCCGUGCAUUACACGGAACAUCAAGAUGCAAUUUUUUAUAAAACACCUGUUGUGAUUGACCCAUGCGGGAGUAAUCACAUGUGUAACAACUAAUGAUAUCUCGAGAAAGAGGAGAUAAGGUGAAGAGGAGUGGGGCGUGGUGGUGAUUCGUGGUCGGACUGAGCGGAGGCAUGGGGAUGGACGACGCCGGCAGCGCCCACCAUGCCAGAUUGUUCCAGAGGCUUCCUUUUUUAAUUGCUCAAUAAUGAGGUUGUUGGAGAUAAGGAUGAACGAGGGAGGGCCUUGUCUGCAAAUGUGGAUAGAGGUGCGGGUAUCUUUUAGUUUAAUUUCUAUCCGUUAGAUAUAGAUCGGACGGUCUAUAUUGCAAGAUGGCACGCGUACCAUCAUCACCAACUUAGAUUUUUUAUAAGAGAAGAAAUAUAAGUAUGGAGAUACAAACAUAUUAUCGAUACUUGUUUCUGUAAACUUGGAUCUACAUUCUAUUCAACGGCUCAGCAUGUGGGGCCUUAGCACAAUGACUUCUCGAUUGUGUAAAACAAAGGUUUUCCCGUCGUCGAUAAGGAGGGGAUGACGGCGGAGCGCUUUCGGCUUGCUCUAGUCCUAGUAGUCAUACUAAGUGGUCUGCUCACAUGUAGAUUUAUUCUUUUUCACGUCUCGUGUUCACCGUGCUGCCACGACUGUUGAUGAAUAGAUGGUACGUUAUCCACGGGAAAACCUUUGUUGAGCGUGUGUGCGAGAGAGAGAGUGUGCAUGUGUGAUAUGUGUAGGGACUGAGGCAAUGAUAAGAGAUUCUUUGUGUCUCUGUGUGUGGAGGAUAGAGAGAGACAUGUACAUGGGGCUUUGUGUUGUGUAACGUGGAGACACAUAGACAUAAUCAGAGAGUGAGUGUGUGAGAUACACAUGCAGACAUGGGGAGAGAUGUGUGAGUUAGAGAGAUGGAGAAUUUUGGUGUGCAUCCGAGCUAGAGAGGGGGGAUAUAUACAUACCUAGAGCUGGAGAGAAUAUGCAAGGGUGUGUGUCUUAAAAGAAGGAUCAAGAUAGAUGGGUAUUUGUGUGUGUCUUUGUGUGUUUGUGCGCGCGUUUGUGUGUGAGAGGGAGUGUGUGUAUGUGGAGUAGAGAGACCACUAAUGGUGUAAACCUAGUAUAGGGAAGGGGGCAUGGUGUGACAUGUGUGUCAAAGAGAGACAAAGGCAUGUGUAGUAGCGGGCUAGCAUGGGUGCGGGCGGAGAGCAGACUAUUUGGAAGAGACAUCGAGUUUGUGUGGGAGAGGGGUGUGAGAGCGAGAGAGAGAGCUAGCAACGGAUGGAGAGAGAGAGGAAGAGAGGGGGAGAGAGAGGGGUCGUUUGUGUGCAGAAGUGGCAUAUAGAUAGGGAGACAAUGUUGAUGUUGUUCGAAAGUGGCAUAUGUACGGAGACGCAAGGGAAGCGAGUCAUCGUGUGUGUGAUAGGGACUUCAUGAGAGAUCUAGAAUAGACGGUGUAGAGAACAACGUGUGAGAUUGAGAACGAUGAUACAUUAGGGAGCUAUGGAAAGAGUCACGGCAUAUAUGUAUACAGGGAAGGAGCUGGGGCGGGUCCGCAUGUGGGAGAGAUAGAAAGAGGAGAGUGGUGCACAAGGAGACAAAGUGUGCUUGUUUGCAGUGGGGGUGGUGUGUGAGGGGAGUGUGCGAGAACCACAUAACGCGGUGAUGUUUUGUGUGUAUGGGAAAGAUACACUCUACAUAGUGCGUGUGCUUGGGAAAGAGAGAUGCCGGGAGACCUAGAGAGUGGGGGAAGAGAUGUGUGCAUGCCCGAGAGACAAAGUGAUAGAGACCUAUAUUGGGGUCCAGACUUUAGAAGAGAGGGGGGUGUUNNNNNNNNNNNNNNNNNNNNNNNNNNNNNNNNNNNNNNNNNNNNNNNNNNNNNNNNNNNNNNNNNNNNNNNNNNNNNNNNNNNNNNNNNNNNNNNNNNNNNNNNNNNNNNNNNNNNNNNNNNNNNNNNNNNNNNNNNNNNNNNNNNNNNNNNNNNNNNNNNNNNNNNNNNNNNNNNNNNNNNNNNNNNNNNNNNNNNNNNNNNNNNNNNNNNNNNNNNNNNNNNNNNNNNNNNNNNNNNNNNNNNNNNNNNNNNNNNNNNNNNNNNNNNNNNNNNNNNNNNNNNNNNNNNNNNNNNNNNNNNNNNNNNNNNNNNNNNNNNNNNNNNNNNNNNNGCAUAAUCGAGAUAUAUAUGGUCAAUAGUGUGUGCACUCAUGGUUGAUCAAUUUGUUUCAUAGUUUGGACUAUGAGAUAACGAUACUUUUUAACAUGCGUGAUAUACCUUGAAGUACCAGAAUUACAAACCUAAGAUUGGAAUUUUGGAAUUCGACUCCAUCAUUAGCUUUUGUAAUUCAUUUAAACGGAGGUACAUUUUUAAGCCGGGAUUCAUGAUUUCAAAUUCAUAUAUCAAACCUAGAGAUAUACACAUACGGGCAUGUUCAAACUUUAUAAUCGUCCACUUUAUUUAUACACAUACACAUUUUUGCUUUUGUCAUCAUAUUUAGCAUAAACACAUUUGGAACUUCAUUUGAGUUGGACCGUAUGAUGGUAUUUGCUUGUACUAGCUCAAUGAUCCAUAUUUGAAUUGAAUGGACAAUCUAAGUUUCGAGUUGGAGACAUUGAUUUUCAAAACUUGCACUUUUUUGUGUGCGCAAAACAAAUAAAUUCUCGGCCAUGAUAUGCUUAAUCAGUGCCCUCGUCCACCACAAUGUAGGCCCUCUACUGACUCCCUCGUCCGCCCCAUCGCUGGCCCUUCAUACAAGCCCUCGUCCGCCGAAACAGACCCGCCUCACCGAAAGCACUGUACACCAUGCUCGCAGAUGCCUUCGUCCACUGCACCGGACCCGCUCCACGGACGCCAUAUUCAACUCCAUCGGCCCUGCUUUACUGAUGUCGCAGCCUCAUCAGGUUAUUUUGAUUUGUACUCCUUCGGUUUUUCUUUUCUUUGUCAUGGAACUAUUCACUUACCACCGAUGAUCUUUCUUGUAUGUCGACAGGCGCCGCAACCGAAGCGCCGGAGCCGCUUCAGCAACGGCGAAAGCCGGCCCAAACUCAACCGCAACACGAGCACCAUCAACGAUCCUUAGCUAUCAAGUAUGACAAGGAUACCCAUACGCCGCCGAGAAUCAGGUACUAUUAUCCAAUGGCCGGCGCCUACGUUCACUUUCUUAGAAUAAGCAUCGCACCCUCGAAUUUCUUCAGGGCAUCAUCCAAUUUUUCAUGGGACACGUUAUUCUGCUUGCACCUGUAGGGCCAUACUUCUGGCAGUGAACAUGUUACAUGUGCUAAAUUACAAACCAGUGCACAUAUAGUUACAAUGCUUUAGUUUUGUCCUAAGUAUUACUGUACUUCCUAGAUAUCACUGCCUACUAUUUUACUUCUUGCAUGCUAUAUUUAUGAUAAUGGUGUUGUUCUGAUGCCACCUGUUGGUUCCAUCAGACUGCUUCAUGUUCUCUAUGCUUAAUUACACAUCAGCAAACUAUCAUGUGGUUCCGCUGCUUUUUGUUUGUUUUACCCUACAUUUUCUGAUGCUAGCUAUUACAUCACUGCUCCGAGCCUCUGUUCAUUACUUUUUUGUGCGUUCUUGAUCUUCCCAAGUUGCAUGACUAAUUUGAUGCUUCUAUUAAUUAUGGAGCUGCCAACCCCAUCAAGCAAAAUAUUUGUUCUUUUGGGGCAGGCACCUCGAACAAGCAUAAAAAUAGAGUGAAGCACAUAUAUUGUCGUGUAAGCACACACCCUUCUUUCAUUAGUUUAGAUGAACCAUUGAUGGUCAAUUCGAACCAGUGCAUGUGAUUAAAAUUAAUUUUACCUAAAUAGAGGGUGCAGAAUAAACUACAACAACUAGAUUUGCAACCACGGGAUGCUGACGAUAUCUUCAAAGAACAUUGCAACAACAGCGAGGCUUCACAACAACAUAUGGUAAGCCAGUGUGUUUUAGUACAUGUGAAAUGUAAUGCAUGUGGGCUGCUUUCUUGGCUUGUGCCCUCAACCUGUAAUCCUACAGAAUUACAAAUAGUUCAGUUGUCUACUUUGCUAUAUUGCUUGAUUCGAAUGCUUGUUUGUUACUUGUCAGGCUAUACCUCAGUUGGCCAAUAUGUCAGUAGUGCUUGAUGUACUAUCGUAAAGAAAUGCAUGCCUAAUUCAUUUGAGUCCUUAACUUUUCCUAUGAACUUCAUCACAAGACUGUCUUCGUAGUUUAUAUGAGGCCACACUGUUAAGUGCGUUCUCAGAUUAUUUCAACUGCUUAGAUGCCUUGGCAACUUAAAUAUAGCAGUGGUACACUCCCUUUCAACUAGGGAUGUCAACUGGGUCCCGUUUAAUCCUGAUUAAAGUCCACUAGUGGUAUGAUAGUUCAAAAGAGUUUUUGUUUUUUGAGGAAAAUGAACUAGGGAGCUAGCAAAAACUAACUAGAUGGGACUGGCGGAUGUCACUUAUUUGCCACUUACAUCCCUAGUUUCAUCUUACCUUUUUAAUUUCUUUUCGGAUGAUGCUGCUUCAAACCAUUUAAAUAUAGCUUGCCAUGCUCGGCAAUAAUUCGUAUGUCGUUUACCAUGUAAGCUUACUGCCUGGAUCAUGCGAUAACUAUCUCUUACUUAUGUCCAGUGGAAACCUUUCAGGACACCGUUCACACUAGGACACAAUGUACAACCCAGGAAUCUAUUUGUGGAAGCAGUGCGCCAUCCAUGUUACCAGAUGGUAGAAGUUCAGAUGCAACACCGCCGGAGAGCAGUCUGAGCACAGAUAUUAUAGUUCUUGAGGCUCUACUAGAGGCAGAAAGAGAUGGUGUGGUUGCCAUGAAUGAGGUAAUCUUGAUCUUGAGGCUGGAAAUUAUGCAAUUAGCUGCACGCAUUAUGCAAGCAACCGAAUAAUUGGUGGAAGUAAGAAUGUUGCAUUUGAAGACGGAGGAGGUCCUGCUAUUUCUGCUAUCUGAAGCCCAGGGUAAUCCCAGUUCUUCUUUAGAUACCAGUUGAAAUUGUCAUUAGAUUAUUAUACUUGCAUGUUGUGUCAUGUCUCUGAAUGGAUUAUGUUGUAAGACCUUCUAUGUUGUCCAUGUGUUGUAAUGAUCCAAAUUUUUUAGACGAGGUAAUCCUUAGUACUUGUAUGAUUGACAUAAGGUGAACUGUUUUUCGUGUGAGCAUAUUGUAUUGGAUGAAAUAACUGUUUGACUCAAAGUGUAUCCAACCUACUGAAUUCGAAGAUCACGGCAUUUCUAAAUCACAAUCAUAUAUAAAGGUGGAAUAAAUCUUUGUCGUGGUUUUGAAGAAAUAAAUAACAAAAUGUAGAAUUAUCUAUGGAUAUUCGUAAUCGAAUACAAAUUGGAUUUGAAUUUAGUUGCCAGGGCCCAGGGUAAACGUGAAUGCUAAUUCUCCCAAGUUUUGCACGAAGCGGCUAAACACCCACUAUCAUUUGUGGGAUGCCCGAAGCAAGUGUUUGCGAGAUGGAAAUUACUGUCUACCCCUUAAACUUGACAUCCUAAUCGACCAGAUUUACACUGUUGUCGAUAGGGGUAGACUAGUAACUUCAAUCAGACGUGACACGACCGCCUCUGAGCCCAUUCAGACACGGUGGGCGCCAAAUGUGGGCGGCAAAACACAUUUGAUUCAAGCUCGUCCGAAAGACAUGUGUCUCUCCCUCCAUUUCCCAUUCAUACACGGUGGGCGGCAAGACAAACUCUCCUCGUCCGAAAUCAAUGUAGGCAAAUAUUUUAAAUAGGGGCAGAUGUGUAACUUCCCUUAGACGUGACACAACCGCCCUACCUGUCAGCCCUGUUCAUACACCGUGGGCGCCAAAACACCCUCUCCUCGCCCGAAAUCGCUACCGGCAAAUAUUUGGGAGAUACGAGUUUACCGUCCUAUCCCCAACUAGCGUGAUGUCCGAAAUUUUAAACGGGGAUAAGUUCGUAACUUUCCCACAUUUCAGACAAGCGCAUCCCAAAGUUUGAGAUCCCCCUCGCCCUCCAUUUCCCCAUUCAUACACCAUCGGCGCCACAACAACCUCCCCACUGCGGCCAGCCUCCUCCGUCCGCCACCCAUCCUCCACCUUGCCGGAGCCGCUACCCCUACCCCAUCGUCCACUGCAAGAGAUGGAUGUCUCUCAUCCACGGCACCGGACCAGGAUCCUUUCAUCGCGUCCUCUCGCUUCAUCGGUGCCGUCGUCCACCUUGUCGUUGCUGCUCCUAUGACCGCCUCGUCCAUGACAACAGGACUUAUCCCCCGACCCGGCCGUCUGCCGUCGUCCACCACAAUGUAGGCCCUUUACUGACUCCCUCGUCCGCCCCAUCGCUGGCCCUUCAUACAAGCCCUCGUCCGCCGAAACAGACCCGCCUCACCGAAAGCACUGUACACCAUGCUCGCAGAUGCCUUCGUCCACUGCACCGGACCCGCUCCGUGGACGCCAUAUUCAACUCCAUCGGCCCUGCUUUACUGAUGCCGCAGCCUCAUCAGGUUAUUUUGAUUUGUACUCCAUCGGUUUUUCUCUUCUUUGUCAUGGAACUAUUCACUUACCACCGAUGAUCUUUCUUGUAUGUCAACAGGCGCCGCAACCGAAGCGCCGGAGCCGCUUCAGCAACGGCGAAAGCCGGCCCAAACUCAACCGCAACACGAGCACCAUCAACGAUCCUUAGCUAUCAAGUAUGACAAGGAUACCCAUACGCCGCCGAGAAUCAGGUACUAUUAUCCAAUGGCCGGCGCCUACGUUCACUUUCUUAGCAUAAGCAUCGCACCCUCGAAUUUCUUCAGGGCAUCAUCCAAUUUUUCAUGGGACACGUUAUUCUGCUUGCACUUGUAGGGCCAUACUUCUGGCAGUGAACAUGUUACAUGUGCUAAAUUACAAACCAGUGCACAUAUAGUUACAAUGCUUUAGUUUUGUCCUAAGUAUUACUGUACUUCCUAGAUAUCACUGCCUACUAUUUUACUUCUUGCAUGCUAUAUUUGAGAACAGACAAACAGGCAAUUGUAACAUUAUGUGGGCAAGUCCAACACGGAACUAGAUUACGGGUCAAGAUCAAAGGAACAUCACUCCUCUCUUUUAAAAAUUGUAAGGUGCAAUGAUACACUAAGACAAUUGUGUAUAAAAUUUAAAAGAGUAAUAGACAUUGGCUGCAAACCAUGCAGUUCAAGGCACAAGUCAGAGUAAGUAGUAGUUAAAAGGCAUGAGGAUUAAGGACUUACAACAGCGGCUUUGACUGGUGUAGUCAUGCCCUUCUUCUUGCUGGUGUGACAGUCCUUGAAGAUUUCCACAGCAUUUGGUUCAGGUACUUUUUGGUCCUUGCGGGCUUUCCUCUGCAUUUCGAACAAGUCAAUAUAGAUCUGAUAAUAUGGUACAGCGAAAAGAGUGAAACAGCAACUAAUUGCAAGAGCCUUGCAGUGUGCAAUAUAGCUACGAGAUCCUGUCGUCUGUUGGAAUUUCACUUUCGUACGGUUGGCCUUGUUCUUUGAACAGUUCACCUACAAGAAGAUAGAUUUGUGUGGCACAUGUGUAAAUAGGACUUCAACAUGUGAUCUGAUCACAUAUAUAUAAUGUACCUGAUACUUCGGAUCAGACCAGUGUUUAACAAGGCCCCUCCAGUCUUCAUCUGAUAUAUUUUCCACUAGAGAUGUUUGGGAAGUUCACUGUUAGCCUUGCCUUCAAAGUGAGUUUUCCUCAAGUUAUGCCGAUACUGUCGCAGAGCAGACUUGAAAACAUGGGUGCAAGCUUGUCUGGUUGCAUCAUCUUGGCUAUCCAACUUGAACCUCAUCUGUUGAAAAUUAUGGGAGUCUUAUUAUCAGCAACCUAGAAAGUAUGGGACAGAGCAAGACGAUAUUACUGGUUUCCAUACAUAACCAUACUUACAGAUAAAUGGUCGAGGAAGGUGUUGAACUGGGUUUCGUGUUUGUCAUUCCUGUACUGAAUCCAUGUUGGGAGGAUACAUACAUGACACCUAACGGCAACCGCUGCCUCUGAUACUAACUUGGUUGACUCUGUAGCAUCACGUGGCCUUUUUAAACCUGCCUCAAAACGGAUCUCCAUUCUUCCUCCUCUAGAUUUAGUUAACCUAUCGAGCAUUAUCCCUGAUGUUUGUUUCCUCUUGCGCCUAGGUGCUAGUCCAACAACGAACAUAGGAAGUGUUAGUGUACAUCAAACUGUGAGACUACAUAUAAAGAAGCAUGCAACUGUAACUUGACUCCAGCGACUACCUUCUUGCUGUUGAAGCUCACAAGGUUCAUCUGAUAUUGCCAACUCGUCUUGUAUUAAGAGUGCUUGGGAAGUAGUGUCAGGUGGCAAGGGAGCUUGGGAACGUGCUGCUAGCUCAGUUGACACACGAGUAAGUCAUGCAGCUGGUAGUACUGUGGUAGGUGUUGCAAGAAAUAGAGCUGUCUCUGCUUGUUUGGUGGCAGCUAUUUGUUUCUGUUUGGCUUUUUUUGCAGCUCGUGUAGCAUGGGAUGCCGUGUUUGUAGAAUUUUCCGCUAGACUUUGACCUUCUAUUGCACCAUCAGUACCAGCAGAAUCUGCAGGAUUCAUCCGCUUCUCAUUCCCUACCAUUCUGUGUUUCUUCCUCUUUCUCUGUGCCAUGUUAAGUCAAGCCGACAAGAAAACGAAUAAUAAUUUAGUUCUUCAGAACAAAUUGAUGCGUGAUGCAGACGAACUGAACUUUGAUGUUAGACAACCACAUGAUAGGAGGAUGUAAUAUGUAUGAAAAACAGGACGGAAGAGAUAACCAGAACUAUGAUGUGUAAACUAAGAAGAAGACAUUUCACCAAAUUAUAAGCAAUGCAAUGGAAGGUAGACACCAUAUGAAAGAUGCUACAAAUAUCGCUCUGCCAAGUUAACAGUGUCUCAUCAUAAAUGGCGUUUAAACAAAUGUGAAGCAGUACAAGAAAUAAAUCAUAUGCAAGAUGCAAACAACAUCACACUACCAUGUUAGAGGUCUCUCGUCAUUAGUGCCAUUGCAUAUUCACAGCAUUGCAUAUUCACAGCUUAUGAUGUGUAAACUAAGGAGAAGGCAUUUCAACAAAUUAGAAGCAAUGAAAGCUAGACACCAUAUGAAAGAUGGAACGAAUAUCACUCUGCCAAGUUAAAACUGUCUCGUCAUAAGUACCAUUUCAACAAAUUAGUAGUACAAGCUAGAAAAGAAUGCGAGAUGUAACCUAUAUCACACUCCGAAGUCAAACGUGUGUUAUGAUAAGUGAUUGUUGCAGGUUACACAACAGUAGUAAUUUGAUGUAAGAACAUGGUGUCAUAGACAGAUAUUGUAUGUUCUAGAAACAGGAACACGUGUCUUAUUCAAGUAUAAUGUGUAAAGUAAGCAGAUGGAAUUCAACAAAAUUAGAAGCAAUACAAGCUAGACAUCACACAUAACAUGCAACCACAUAUAACAGUGCCAAGUUAGAGGGAGCACCGGUGAUGGUGCACUAGGGGAGACGUGCUCAUCAUAAACACAGCUUUGUUGAGUGUCUAUGCAUGUGUUGUCUUGGAAAUCAUCUUGGGGGUGUGGAGGAGUAGAAGCUAUAGAGGCCCUCCGUUCAGAAGGAGCACCUUUAUCCGCUGCCUUGCUAACUUCCUUCCGCUUUAUUGGUUUUGAAUUGUCAAGUAAAACCGACAAGAAAAGGCAAUAAAAUUCUCUCUUCAGAACUCAUUCAUGCAUGAUACUGACAAUCACUACUUUGAUGUAAGGCAAACACAUGAUACUAGGAUGGAAUAUGUACGAAAAACAGGACGGCAUGGCAUGUUCACAACUGUUUGUGUAAACUAAGCAGAAACCAUUCCAACAAAUAAGAAGCAAUGCAAGCUAGACACCACAUGAAAGAUGCAACCAAUAUGACUCUGCCAAGUUAAAAGCGUCCCAUCAUAAAUGGAAUUUCAACAAAUUAGAAGCAGCGCAUGCUAUAAAUCAUAUGAAAGAUGCAACUAAUAUCGCACUGCAUAUACUAAAGGUGUCUCGUCAUAUUGAUUGAUGCGGGAUACUAAAAAAAAUAGUUUUAUGUAAGGACAUGCUUAAUAGACAGAUGUACUAUGUACUAAAUACAGGAUGGCAUGUCACAUUAACAUGUAUAAUGUACAAGCUAAGAAGACUAGCACAUGCAGUUUAACCAGAUUGGAAGAAUUACAAUCUAGACACCAUAUGCAACAUGCAACCACAUAUCACGCUGCCAAGUUAGAGCAAGCACCUGCGAUGCUAGUGUAGGGGAAAUGCUGUAAUCAACUACAGAGCUAUGUUCACUAUCUUCAUCUAGCAUUUCUGUUUCUUGAGAAUCAUGUCGGGAGGCUGACGCUGCAUUCUUUAAAUGAGGAGUAGUCCCCUUGCAUGCCUGCCUCAUCAUAAGUGAUUGAUGAGGGAUACACAAGAACAUUAGUUUGAUGUAAGAACAUGGUUAAUACACAGAUGUACUAGUAUGUACCAAAAACAGAAAGGCAUGUCAUAUUCAAAGGUAUAAUGUGUAAGCUAAGCAGAUGCAAUUUAACCAAAUUGGAAGCAAUACAAGCUAGACAUCCGGCUGGAGUGGUGAGCAUGAUCAUCUAGGACCUGAGAGCCUGGUGGGAGGCGGGCUGCUUCGCCACCAUAAGUCCUUUUUAGUUGGCUUCCAAGUGAUGCCUCUCUUUGCUGGGCUUGUCACUGGCUCGGCCAGUGCCCUGACUAGCUAUUUGUCUUCUGGUGCUCACGGGAUGGUGGUUCAUGUAAAAAAUAUCUUUCCUUAUCUUAAUAAAGACCUACUUCGGUCUUUCGAAUACAAGCUAGACACCAUAUGGAACAUGCAACCACAUAUGACACCAUCAAGUUAAAGCAAGCACCUGGGAUGGUGGUUCAUGGCGAGAGAGAUCAUCAACUCCAGAGCUACGUUCCCCGUCUCCAUCUGCUGACAGUACACCCUUUAAAGUCUUGAAACGUGUCUGGCUUAGCCGCGUACCACGCUGGAGCGACUUCUCUCUUAUGUUUUGUGCUUCUGUCAAGGCAGGGUCUGAAAUACCCUUGCGUAAAAACACAAUAGUGAGAGUAUGGGUGAAGUGUGUGUAGAACUAGUGCACUGUAAAAGUAGGAGAUAGCAGGUGGCUGAAAAAUAAAUGACAGGAGACAUAUGAUAGCUCUACAACAUUGCAUGGCAAACAAAAUUAGAUUCUACUCCGUAUGAUUUUGUAAUAUAUGAGCACAGGAAAUGCAGGUACUCCUCCAGCACACCAUCACAUGUGGUCAUAUUUAAGAUAACAGUCGACUGAAAAUAAAUAGGUCAGUCGAUUUUUUUAAUGAACCAUCCGAUCUAUAAGGAACGGGCAGAUGGCCUUCGUCUACCUCCCGUCAGUCACUGUUGACGAUCUUUCUCGAACCGCCAGCGACCACCGGCCCAGACCCCUGCCUCCGCCGCCCCGCCCUCCCCUCGACCUCACACCACCGUCGUGCUUGGCAGCGCCCCUAGUCCAUCCCUUUAAUCCCAGCUGACCUCCAGAUCGGGCGCCAGUAGAUCUAGGCCGCACACGCCCCUAAGAUAAACACCAAGGCGCUGCUUCCCCGGCGUAAUAGGCGUACUAGCGCCUGUUACACCGGGGAAUGCUUCCGUUAAUUGGGAAUCAACUGGCCAGAAAUUGAAAUUCAGGGGGGCGACGGACCUCUAUCUAAGGUGAAAUAGUAUAUGAGGAGAAACCUUGUGCAUCGCGAGUUACUAGGAACAUCUAGUAUUAAGAAGAAGCGGUCAACUAGUGUCUUUUGUGGGAUGAAUACCGUGCAAGCAGAGACGUAAGAUUUGCACGAAUAAGGGAAGAGGAGUACCAUUUUCGGUUGCCGGUGUGGUCACCUCCACAUGUCAUGCUGAUCUUCUUCUUUUUACCGGGGAAACCGAUGUUCUGGAGGGUGCAGGCUUGGACGAACCGAUGGCCAAAUUGUUGACUGUGUUGCCGUGGCCGUAUGUCGGCGGAGGGGAAGCAGAUCCGAGGCGGCGAAGGACGGCGUAGCAGGAACAGCUCCGGUGCGGUGGAGGGGGCGAAGUUGGAGCGGCAGUGGUGAGGCGCAGGACGGCGUGGUUGAACUGGCUCGGGUACGGACGGCUCAGCCUCGGCUUCAACUACUAGCCGUGGAGGGCGUUGCGGUUGAGGUAGCGGUGGACGGCGACGUCGGGGUAUCAGCUCCGGCAUGAUGGAGGAGGGCGGCGGUUGAUGGGUGGGAUGGGGUGGCGGACGGAGGACGCCGGGGUUUCGCGGCUGGUGGAGAGGUAGUUUUGGCGCCCACGGAGUACGAAUGGGGAAUCAGACGGGUGGGGGGGAACCAUGUUUCGGUCUGGGACGCGCUUGUUUUUGGCUUUUUUGAAUAGAAGAUGGGACGCGCUUGUUUGAAAUUUGGGGAAAGUACAAACUUUGCCCCCCUCUUAAAUUUCGGACCUACUGCGGGUCGGGGGUAGGAUGGUAAUCCCAGGUGUCCCAAAUAGUGGGCGGGAGCGAUUUCGGCCGCACGCAUGUGUGCUUAGGCGGCCAUUGUGUAUGAAUGUUUUUCGAAGGCGGUUGCGUGCCGUCUAGAUGAAGCUACAAACCUGCCCCGGUUUAGACGGACGUUGCUUAGGUGCCUUAAGGCACCGAAGCAUAGUCCGGUUUAGACCUUUGGACGUCGGGCCGGUAGGUUUCACGGGUGAGAGUUAUUAGAAAAGUAAUUUCCUUGUACUACCAAACAUUGGUCUCACACGGUUUCGGGCGAGUAGAGGCUCUUUUGGCGCUUCGUUCGAAAUUUUGAAACACAAGCAUUCACGUUUAGNNNNNNNNNNNNNNNNNNNNNNNNNNNNNNNNNNNNNNNNNNNNNNNNNNNNNNNNNNNNNNNNNNNNNNNNNNNNNNNNNNNNNNNNNNNNNNNNNNNNNNNNNNNNNNNNNNNNNNNNNCUUAGGCGGCCAUUGUGUAUGAAUGUUUUUCGAAGGCGGUUGCGUGCCGUCUAGAUGAAGCUACAAACCUGCCCCGGUUUAGACGGACGUUGCUUAGGUGCCUUAAAGGCACCUGCCUUUGGGUCACUGACAUGUUGGCCAGCCACCUGUUGGGCCCACAUGUCAUGGACACAAAGGCAGGUGCCUUAAGGCACCGAAGCAUAGUCCGGUUUAGACCUUUGGACGUCGGGCCGGUAGGUUUCACGGGUGAGAGUUAUUAGAAAAGUAAUUUCCUUGUACUACCAAACAUUGGUCUCACACGGUUUCGGGCGAGUAGAGGCUCUUUUGGCGCUUCGUUCGAAAUUUUGAAACACAAGCAUUCACGUUUAGAGUACUCUUGAACUAUGAGGAUUGACCUAAAUAGACAAUGUUAUAUUUGACCUUGUAUGUUUGAAAACCUCAUUAAAUUAUCCGCUUCUUUUUGAAAUUUUGACACUUGAAAAUCCUAUAACUACGAUUAUUUUGGAAUGGAGGAGCUAAAUUUGAAUCUAUUUUGUACACGACUACAUAUGCUAUUAUGUACAAAAUCAGAGCAAAGAUUGGUGCCCCCAUAAUUUAGGUAUGGUUUACAAAUGCCAUGAUAUCAAAUUCAAAUAAUUGAAUGGACUUCAUGUUGAAUUCGAUUUUUUUUAAACCACCUUAAGUUGAAUUCAAAUGUAUGCUAGUUCAUAGGUAGCUGUUUAUAAUGUUCAUUGUGUAACUUUCGUAUGUAUAAUGUGCUUUACACACACAACAUGAACUAUACUCACGUUUAUAUUCGAUUGCUAAAGCGAUGCAUUGUCUGGAGUUCAAAAUACUAACUAUGUGGAUCAAUUGUGUCGAAUAAUAACAUAGACAUGCUCAAAUUCAAUAGAAUCUAGAUGUCUGAUGGAUCAAUGACCGCUCCUUACGCGAAUUGCAAAUAUCAUGAUCCCAUCCUAAUAUUUGGAUACAAUUUAUAUCUUUAAUCAAUGUGUUCAUCAGUCUUCUACGUGUAGUUUCACUCUCCAUCGGUGGUCUCUCACACAUGCUCACACACUCUCUCCCGAGGUGUCUUUCUCGCACACAUGCUCUAGCUAUAACCCUCCCUCCCUCUCGUAACCAUUUACAACUGUUUUCACUAACCUUUAUCACAAGCACUCUUCCUCUCGCAAACAUACACACGCACAAUCCCCAUCGACCCUUUCUAUAUACAUGGACCUGCCUACGUGUCUCAUGUACGCACAUUAUCUUUAGGCCUGUCUCUCACGCAUUGUCUCACACCUCUCUUCCUAAUCGACGAGUAUGAUUCUAGCAGAGCAUUCUGUAGGAUGCCCCUUAAAGUUAGGUUGGAUGAAUAGUAAUAUCAGAGAUAAAGGGGUUACCUUAGUCCGAGAACCUAAGGUUACAAAUCCUAGCCGGCUUUGUCAGUGGACACAGAGUCCUUCACAAUUCUGCUAUCUUUGUCUUGUACGACUAGUCAUCCAUGGGUCUUCCUAAAUGUGUCACGGGCCGACCAAUGUGGCGCAGGAUAGAACCGAACGAAGGGCCUCACCUCGACCCAUCGGACCUCACGCGGUGACACACCCUCUGCCCCCACGUCUCAUUAUCUUCUCACACCCAGACAUACCAACACAAACACCACACACACAAAAAAUUUCUCCUGGUGCUUCUAUUCCCUCCCCCUUUGCAUAUACACACUCAAGGGAAUGGAAUCUCUCGUUGUGACGUCAUAUUCGUCUCUCUCUAGACCACUCUCAUUUCUCGUGCUAUCUCUCCCACGCCCCCCGUCAGCCCCUAUAUCCAUGCCUCUCUCGAAUACGUAAUACACACACAUACCUCUCUAGGCCCCGCCAAAUGCAUCAACUACACAUUCACACACGUUACAUCACGUACCCCAUUGAUCUAAAAAGCCCUCUCUUCACGUUUAUUUCGCAUACAACAUUCCUUUUGAAUAAAGUGUGGCCAAAAAAUUAUUUUAGAGUUUCUACAUAUAUACAACAUUACAAAGUUAUAUGGAGGAGUACGAACGCUAAAUUGCAUUGCAUGGUGCCCACAAUGAUAUUUAUUCCGCACUGUGAAUUUGUAUAUUUUUAUACUAUAUACAAAGUUAGUCAUUAUAAAGAGAAACGAAGAGCAUCUCUCUCUCUCCAUCGCAUACCCCCCCCCUGUACGCCCCUUUCACGUAUGCACACAAAACUAUCUCCAGGUCCUCUAAAAGUAAGCCCCCAGAAAAUUCACGCAUGUUUCAUCUUUCUCUCGCGAUAUAUGCAAUGACGAUCAUUGUAUUUGAAGCGAAAGCACGAUACGUACAUUGGACUUCAGAAUCCACUCAUUACGGUCACCAUUUACGUUUAGUGGUUAUUAUACAGUCACGGGCUCACCGUACAACUCUGUAUUUGCUCAUGACAUGACUAGUUGACCAGUUAAACGCUCCACGUGGCACCUCUAGUGUUGCAUCACAUUAUCUCACUGCCAUCAUGCCCACCUGUCGACUUGUAUCUACUCUACAUCUACACUCCUAUAAAAUACAUAAAAUACACUCUUAUAAAAAACAGAGUUGGUGAUGAUGGUGUGCCUGCCAUCCUGCAAUACAGGCCGUCCGAUUUAUAUCUGACGGAUAGGAAAGAAACUAUGGCAAUUUUGCAAAAAGGUACGCACACACCUCUCCACAUUUGCAAAUAAGGCCUUCCCUCGUUCAUCCUUUUCUCUCACAAGAUAAACUAGUCAUACAAAUGCAUCUUGAUGUUACGUGCAACGCACGGGCAUCUUGCUAGUAAGAAUGAAAACAAACGACAAAAAAAUAUUUGGACGGUGGUUCGAAGUCAUGACCGCGGGCACAGCGGACAAGGUGGCCUUGUAUUGGUAUGCUGAGCCGUCUGUUUUAACACACACGAGCUGGUGUGGUGAUUAUACACACACGCACGCAUGCACACGAACUGCAUCCACGCAACACUCACACAAACACAUGCACCCACGCACGCACGCAACACUCACACGUACACACGCAGCCACGCACGGACGCAACACGCACACGCACACACGCACGCAUGCAUGCACACACCAGUACACCACAUGACCAAGACACACUCUCACGCUCAAGUGCUCAACCUACACGGGCAUGCGCACACAUCACGCCCUGACAGACACAUACACAACCAGGUGAUUCCCGCGCACGGGUUGGACUCUUGUCGCGCCUGCGUAAAUUUGUGUUUGUCUGACCUUUUCCCUAUGCGAACUGACAGGUGGGACCCACAAGGAACAUGGUCAAUUUAACUAGUCAACAUGGCGCCACGCAGACUAUUUGGCCGGUCAACAAGUGCAAUCCGAUGCUGAACCGUGAGCAAGUGACUAUAUAAUCACCGCAAAAUGUAUAUAGUGACUGUAAUCAGCUUAUUCUGAAGUUCGGUGACCGUAUUACGCUUUUCUCUCUGUAGGCCCUCCAAAACUACAUAUCUACACGUUCUCGCAUGUUACAUCUAACAACUAUGCAAUACAGCACUACUACUACACUCUAACACAAUAAAUCAUAUGUGUUUUUAGUUUUACUAGAUAUCAUAUUGUUAAUUAUAAUUAUUCAAUUUGCAUACAUUAAAAUUGCCUUUGAAAUGUAUGGCCAGUAUCAUCUACCGUGCAGGAAAAAUCCCGCCCUUUCCUGUUUAAUCGGGUUUGUAUCGAUGGAUCGUGCGAAACAGCAAAACUAUAGUACUAUACAGUACAAGUGACAGUUCACUGGGCCGUCGUGUCGUGUACUCCUCCGUCAUAAGAGUGGAGCGCUCGCUUUCAUAAAUCUUCUAGUCCCUUUCGCCGACAUGUGGGACAUCAAGCUACCGGGUCCACGUGCCAUACCGGAAUACAGUGCAGAGCAGCCGGGGUGAAGCACCCCAGUCAUGGCGCCGGCGUAGUAAUGAUCAAUGAGGCGUCAAAUCACAAAGCUGCACCUUUCCCGCAGUUAAGUUGGAGGGACGAAGUAAUAAUGCUAAAAAAGGAAGUUGGAGGGACGAAGCAACCAUCAUUUCACUCGUUGCUGAAUCCGCUUCUCCCUCAUCUUCUUCAACUUAACCACGUGUUGCUUCUGCCGUUGUUCUGCCUCAUGUGGGAUGCGGAUCGGCUUGGUAAAGCACUGGCACGUGGGACCACAUGUUAGCAAACCCCCAAGACAACGUCCUCUGAAAAUAAGAAUCCUCCCUGCCAUCCGCGUGGCAAAAUCACCUCCUUUUUACUUAAUCUUGAUUCAAUAAUUUUUUAGAUCAAUAUAAUUGAGAUUUGUAUAGAUAGCACACAGGAGCAAAACCAAGUGGUACGGUUAAGGGCAUCCACAAUGUGUAGCCAAAUGUGAAAAUAGCUUUUGACAUGGUGGGAACCAUUGUGGACGGUGUUGCCAAAGCCAAAAAGAUGGAACCGAAGCUCCCUGAUUGAUUGAUUGAAGGAACAGAAAAAUGCAACGUCUCUCCUCUUUCUCCUAUGCUUGGACGCAUGUAGUACAGUAUAGAGCACAGAGUCUACUCCCCUGUCCCUUCUAUCACAAAUCACAAAGCAGUGAGGCGUCAAAUCAAAAAAGCACGGGCGAAGCAACCAUCAUUUCACUCUUCGCUGACUCCGCUUCUCCAUCGUCUUCUUCGAGAAACCAUCUCACCGCACUAAGCUGGACGGACGACGCUAUUGUGUACUCCUAGUAGUACUAGUCCUUUGGUUCAACGGACUUCCUGGAUGCAAAUAAGGCGGUUGUCUCGGCUUGCAGGCGGCACUUGCGAACGACUUACUGUGGUCUCCCUCAAUGGUGUUCUCCGUCGAACGCACUUCGCCAAACCACAAAAAAAAGAUAUCGUCGACGUCACUGCAAUGGGGAAGGAAGUCAAAUAUAGUUACUACCUCCAUUUUUUGUACACAAGGCCAGUAUAUCAAAAUUACAAUUUGCAAAGGGCCACUAACACUAAUCGAGGCAAAAUUGAUGGGGUUUGCCACUACUAGCAACCAAGGACAUUAAUAUCCCCUGCAUGCAUGCGGAAGUGAGAAGCUUGGUUUGCAUGGCGCUGCAUUAAUCAAGCGAUGAGGAGUGAGAUGGUUAGCUCUUUGGUCUUUGGAGAAACAAAUACGCAUUAAUUGACACGUGAAACGAGGAUUUGUAUCGAUUAAAUCCCGCAAGAAAACCCAGCCUUUCUUUUUUAACACUAGUACUCCUAGUACGUACGUACUUAUCCUGUUUGGGUCUAGGCCUUGCAUUGCCAAACUUCGCCACACAUUUUUGCCAAGCUUGCCUAAAGUUUUCAAAAUGAGAAGGAGGUACACUUGCGCACUGCUGUCGUGGUCGCACCGCACCCUCACACGGUCGCUCCUGCACGCCGCGGUCGCACCGCACCCUCACACAAUCGUUCCUGCACGCCGCAAACCCAACCAAGGGAACACACCCUCACUAACACGUGCUGUCGCAUGUGAACAAACCAAACUCAGCCAUCCUAUCGCUGACACAUAAUUUUCGUUCAUAGAGUAUGUUUAUCCAACCGCAUGUUGGGGAGUAUCCGUACGGCUCGUGCGGUGGUCUGUUGGGGAAGAAGAAGAGGUGAGGAAGAAGGAAAGAAGGGUUAGGAGACGUAGGAUAUUCAUCCAACCGCCUGAAAUGGUAGACUGACCCAAGUCAGGCGACUUGCAUAACAAAUAUAUGUUUUUACACAGCAAAAGAUCCAUAAAAACAACAACAUAAAGAAAAAUUAUCACUGCUCGCGGAAAGAGACGGCCUCGUCGUCUUUCGCUGCCGGCGCGAACCAGCCGUAGCUGUGGACGUGUGUCUCCGCACCGUGGUUGUCCUCGGCCUCCAGCUACUCAUUCAAGCGGAGCGUGCGGGCGCUUUGCACGGACGAGAGCAUAGCCCGGUUCAAGUCAAGGACGUCCGGUUCCGCCUGCAGGAGGGCCUCAAUGGCAGCGGCAUCCACGCGCUCCGCGUAGAGUCGAGCCUCCGCCGCCCGGUUCAAGCCUAGGACGUCCGGUUCCGCCUGGAGGAGGGCGUCGAUGAGAGCGGCAUCCACGCGCUCUGCGUCGAGUCGAGCCCCUGCCACCCGGUUCAAGUCCAGGACGUCUGGUUCCGCCUGCAGGAGGGCCUCGAUGGCAGCGGCAUCCGCGCGCUCCGCCUCAAGUUGAGCCUCCGCCGCCCGGUUCACAUCCACGACAUCCGGUUCCGCCUGCAGGAGAGCCUCGAUGGCAGCGGCAUGCACGCGCUCCGCGUAGAGUUGAGCCUCUGCCUCCCGGUCCUCCUUUAGUAUUGCCAUGUUGAACCGCUGGUCCGCCUGCACCACGGGGGACUCGGACGCUGGCACGAAGUCGACGUCCAUCGUCUCAUACCCAUCGGGGGCCUUCUGCACCGCGACCUCCGCCAUGAACAUUGGAUCGGCUUCCUCCUCCUCGUAGCUUGGCUCCAGAGAACUCGGGGAUUGGCCCGCCGCAAAGCGAGCUUGGGAACGGAGGUCUGUGGCGCCGACCGCCGCUGCGAUUUCUGCACGGCGCUCCGGCGUCAGCAUCUUGUAGUAAGUGAUCUUGCGGCACACCAUGGCUUUCCGGCGAACUAGGGGACGCUUGAUGCGGGCUAGGGGAUCAAAAGGUGGGGGAAUGGGCUGGAGAUUAGGUGUGGUUUUAGGGCAGUGGCUGGCGUAGGCCGAGCAGCGAAGGUUCUGGUGUGAAUAGUGGUUCCGGUGACGACCGGUCAAUCGGUUUUGACUGUACAUCGCUCAUGUCGCGUUCGCGUUGCAGCCCGACACGCUGGACCCUCCACGUCGCUCGCCGAAUGGAACGCGCUUCGUCUUGCGUUUUCGCUCACUUGUGGGACUGCAGUUGAGAGCAAACCGACGUCCCUCCCCCUCCCCCGCCGGCGUCAUUUAUUAUACUACCACUCCCUCCGUUUUAUGCGGAGUAAAUAAAAACAGAGGGAGUAUACUACGGAUGAGGAUCCCCUGACGUGGCCGAACUCAUUGAGUAACUGACAUGCGUGGCCUAGAAAGCAUGGGGUCCGCCAGUAAGUGACCAAAAGGGAGGGUAAGGCAGGGAUACCUACGUCAGAGGAUCCACUUUCACUACUACUCCCUCCUUCCAUUUACUACUACUAUACAGGGCCUAAUGCGUUUUUCGAGGCUAACUUUGACCAAAUGUUAGAGUAAUAAUAUAUGACAUGCAACUUACACAAAGCAUACGGUCAAAUUCGUAUGUGAAAGGAGUUUCCAAUGAUAUAAUUUUCACAUUAUACAUCUCAUGUACUAUUAAUCUUGUCAAUAGUCAAAUGCGAUUUUAAAAACGCAUUAGAGCAUGGUUAAUAAUAUAGCUAGUCGAUGGCUAUGAUGGACUGCCAUGUCAUCUAUAGCCAUCAUCUAUUAUAUGCACUCAUACGGUAGUGUGGGCUAUAAGGUUGGCUAUUUCCCGCAAAAAAAAUAUAAGGUUGGCUAUUGUAUUAGUACUUUUUCCAUCUCCUCUCUACUCCCUCCUUUCCGGUUUAUAGUGCUCAAUUCAAAAAUCUCACCAAUCAAGGUAGAUGGCGAGUGGUGGAAUACUUUUUGUAGUUUUGCAAAAGCACCUAAUUAAUGCUCUUGUUAUCCUAAAAAAAAUAUGUUUAUCAAUGCAUUAAUUGCAACGCAUGCAUGCAUAAAGUACAUGCAUUGGUCAAUUUUCUCUUAAUACUUGCAUGCAAUGAUUUAAUGCACCUUGGAAUCUAAACAUGUGAUGGAAAACAACCAAAUUGAGCCUUAUAAAAUGGAAAAACUAAAAUUUGAGAUAAGCCCUAUAAACCGGAAAGGAGGGAGUAUCUCUUUCUUCAUAUUUAUUGUACUAGUAUUUAACUAGGAAUGCGUAUAUAGCUAGGGCUCUUGCAUGAGAGCUCACUCCCCUUACUUUUUCACAUCUCUCUCCUCCACAUAGGCCCUAUAUAAAUGGAAGGAGGGAGUACAGAUGUUGUCAGUACUCCACGUGUACUAUUGGACAGGGAGCUUAAAAAAGUUACUAUUGGACUGGCUAUACGUGGCGAAAUCCUAGUAGGAAGAGCAUGCGUGAGAACAAGCACAUUCACGUGGUUGAAAACAAAUUGGAAACCAUCUCGAGUACAAGUCUAGGAGUACGUACGAAUCUAACAAUAUUGAUUGGGCGUGUUGUUGAAUGUUGAUACCUUUUUGAUCAAAGUAGAGAUACUUUGACUACACAUAAAACUUAUAUGUAAACUAGAAAGGAUAGGAGGGAGUAUAUUGUACGUUCAAAAGCGAAAUGAAUUGAAUACCCUUUAUAUAUGAUUUGCGGAUGCUAUGAUCUCCGGUUAAAAAUUUUGAAUCCGCCUUAGGUAUCACGUGCCCCCACUCGUUCUCUCUCGAUUUCAUCUCGGGGUCCGGAGAUCGAUUAAAAGAGGACUAGGGUGGGUACAUGCGAAUGAUACUCGGCGGAAUGUUCAAAUGAGGCAUGCGGGAGGAUGGACUCAACUGGAGGGCGACAUGAUUGAUGGAGAAGAGGGUUAGAGAGGAAUGAGAAAUAAGAAAAUGCCACAUGAUUAUACUUGAACGGCUCAAAUAAACAAUAAGUUGUCUCGCUUGGCCUACAUAGUGAAAAGCCUAAUGGGCAACGCGGAGCACUGAUGCUCGAAUAUGGCCGGGAAAACAGGGAAACCGACAUGUGGGGCACACCCGUCGGGAUGACGUAGCGCAGACUAGUCCAAUGGAGGAGCUGGCCCACGACCUCCUCGCCACCGACAACCGUUCAUGUGGGUCGUUGGGGCCAACAACGGGGCGCAGCUCCAGCACUGCCUCUGGACACGGCGACCGCGGUGAGCAACACGCUCAUAUCGUCGCUAGACACGGUCGGUUUCAGUGUGCCGAGGGUGGCGUUAGUGCUGUGGCACGACCAACAAUAUGUUUGGUUUGUGCCCAAGGUUGCCCCAUCAAAGCAUUGGGUAGCCAAAAUUUUGGUUGAGGUAUUGGUUGCCCAUGAUUUGGCCGACAUUGGCAAGAAAAAUGAACUAGAGUUGGCUAGAGUUCAUUGGCAUGGCAAAAAAAUGGCAACCAUCCAAACAUAGACCAAUCUUUGGGUCAUGACCAAAAUUUUGGUAAGGUGCACUUUGGCCACAAUCCAAACACACCCCAACACCCGGCUCGUCGAGGAUGCACGGGGCGUCGCGACGCGUCCACGGAGUGGUGUAGCGCGGCCAACUGCAUCCUCAGGACCUAAGACCAUGCCGGGUCGUCUCGCUUUUUCAAUGACAUGCGGGGAUCGCAUGUGAGCAAAGGUUGCCACGACCGCAGCUGACUACCCUGGCACACCAAAACCCUCGUUCCUCAUGCCGUCGCGCGGUGUGUUCCCAGCCGGCGCCAGCUGCCUGCAUUCAUGCCGUCCGUUCGUAUGUCGUCGUUAAGAGGCUUGGUGCCUGAGGAACCAACUCCGGCGACUUAAUGACGCACCCGGAUGCUUGGCCUCACCGGAAUGCGCUACUUAAAGCAGCAACACCCAACUAACCUCCACACCAUAGCGCAUCGUCCUCCUACCUGGCACCACAUCCGCCAUGACCGCAAGUGCGAACGCUCUGCGAGAGAGCUUGUCUUCGGGGAUGAAGCUCGAGGUCGCCGCCCUCGCUCAAGUCGCCUCUCGCGACGCAAUAGCAGCGUAGCCAGACGCGGACGCGACCGCACAAGCGGUGGCCACGCUGGCGGCCGACAACGGGAGCACCGUCAGCCACGCGUCCUACUUGCCGCCGUCCAACGUCCGGCACCGCCGAGGUCGGGGACUCCUUCGAGGAUGAGUAGGGCAUGGGAGGCGGCAGGGCAUGGUGUGCCAACUGGCCGGUCCGUAUCCCAUGUUCUACUCUUCCUCGCCGGAGACCGCACCUUCACUUCACGGGUCUUGAACCCCGCCCCUGUACAUAGAGAUCACAGAUGGAGGACGUCGGUCACCGCUGUAGAAUAGGUUUAGGGUCGGGUUUCUUUUAUUUUUCUGUCCUAUAAAAGUUCGAAAUGUAAUGAAAAUCUGCCGUGUUUGCAUUAAUCUCGGCCGGUGUAUAUGAACUUUCACAAUAAUAUACAUAUUGUAGGAGUACUAGCAAGAUGCCCAUGUGUUGCACGGAAGAUCAAGAUCUUGUCGGAGAAAAGGAUGAACGAGGGAAAGCCUUAUCUGCAAAUGUGGAGAGGAGUGCGGGUAAAUUGUCAUAGUUUCCUUCCUAUCCGUUAGAUAUAGAUCGGACGACCUAUAUUGCAGGAUGACAGGCACACCAUCAUCACCAACUCUGCUUUUUAUUGAACCGAGACAAAUCUAACAUGCGAAGUAAAAUAAACACAUAGGGUCUAUACAUACACAAUUUAUCUUAGGCACUCCAAUAGUACGUCCACAACACAAUCACGCAUUUCACAUCUUUCUACAUCUACGGGAACCUACGAAAGGGUCAACGUAAAUUGCCUCUCUCUCUCUCCUCCCCUGAUUUUCAUGGUGGGCGGCCCCUCCCUCCCCCCAAUCUACAAUCAACAGCUCACACAUUUCACAUUACGUUAAUUACGUAACUGGGAUUACGUAGGUGUAGCAUUACUCGUCCUAAAAAACCCAACUAAGCCAACCUCCCAGCAUAUCGCGCGGGAAAAGACGCGGCCGCGCCGUUUUAGUCGGGAUUACCGGAUUACUAGUAAGUAGUAUCGAUGGACCGCGUGAAGCAACAAUUUUUUUUUGAGGGGGCGAAGCACCUAGUUUAAAAGGAAAAAAGGCGGUACACUCACAACACUCCUGUCACGGUCACAUUGCACCCCACACACGUUCGGUCCUGCACACAGCUCACGCAAACGGAACGCGCUUCGGCUUGCCUCUUCACUGACACGUGGGACUGCACUUGGAGAAACCGACCAUGCGCCAAACUCCCCCCACCCACCGCACGAAAAUNNNNNNNNNNNNNNNNNNNNNNNNNNNNNNNNNNNNNNNNNNNNNNNNNNNNNNNNNNNNNNNNNNNNNNNNNNNNNNNNNNNNNNNNNNNNNNNNNNNNNNNNNNNNNNNNNNNNNNNNNNNNNNNNNNNNNNNNNNNNNNNNNNNNNNNNNNNNNNNNNNNNNNNNNNNNNNNNNNNNNNNNNNNNNNNNNNNNNNNNNNNNNNNNNNNNNNNNNNNNNNNNNNNNNNNNNNNNNNNNNNNNNNNNNNNNNNNNNNNNNNNNNNNNNNNNNNNNNNNNNNNNNNNNNNNNNNNNNNCCCCUCCCCCCCGUCCCCCUCCACUCCAUUCACUCCGCCAAAGCCGCCCUCCCCGCCGCGCCGAUACGUCAGCGUCGCGGUUCGUCGAGGGGACGCACGAUGAUCCUCUCGCUCCCACGGUACGCUCUCGUAGACUACCGUCCUCUAGCCACGCCGCCACCUCUGGCUACGUUCUUGUGGAGGCGCACGGCGGUCAGCGCCACCACCGCUGGCGCGUUCGUGUGGAGACGCCCGGCGGUCAGCUUCUCCCAUAGUACGCGCAUUCUAGACUGAGGCCCCGUUCAUGUCGGUGUAGCGCUGAAUGUUAGCUGAUAGACGCUCUUAAUCUCACUGUUUGCCGAAGUAGUUUACUGUCAAUAUGCUCUGCUUAAGAAGCUUCCUUGCCCUGUUCUGCACUCAAUCUGCUUAGCUGAGAUGGCAUGCCAAGGCCGAUUAGUUGCUAAAAUAUCUUGCCAUAUAUUUAUUGUGACGUAGAUUGCCAUGGUCUAGUAGCCAAUCUGUUAGGUGAAAUAGCUCUACACCGUUUUAAUCUUUGUUGCUGCGAUGGCCUUCGAUAGUUCGAUGGCUCUGUGCUCGGCCUCAUUGACUGCUGAAACAGCCUGCCAUAAUUUAGCACUCAAAUCUGUUUGCUGAAUUAGCUUUACAUAUAUUUCGUUACUUAGAUCUGCUCAUCCAAAUAUCUUGCCAUAGCUUUAGACAUCAUAAUUUAGCACUCAAAUCUAAUUUUUUUUUUCUGGACUUCAUAAAAAAGCUUAUAUGUUUUUCCUGUAAUAUCUAGUAGAAGAACUAAUUUGUAUGUCUAACAGAUGGACAGGACUUGGAUAACUUCUGCUCGAACAUUCUCCGCUGCAUAUGUCGAGGGGGUUGAAAACUUCAUGAACUUUAUCAGAGCUGAGUACGGUGGUCCGAAAUCAGAUGUGCUCUGCCCGUGUAGCAGUUGUAUGAAUUUAGUUACAAGACCCCAGUCAACUGUGCAAAAUCAUCUACACUUGUAUGGGAUGUCGGUCACAUAUACUAGGUGGGUUCAUCAUGGUGAAACUGUCAACGUCAAUGUUAUUGACUACGUGGAAGCAGCAGAUCACCAUCUUGAUCUGCCUGAUGCUCAGGUGGAAGAGGAGGAGGAGGUGGUGGUGGCAGAGCCAGUGAGUUUGACCAACAUUGAAACAAUGCUACGAAAUGCUCGUGCAUUCCAUGAACUUUCACCUGCAGAAGAAAAACUGUGGGCCCGCAUGUUGGAACAAUGCAACGUGGCUGUCACCCCAGGAAAUAAGAUGUCAGUAUUCUCAGCUAUGGUCACCUUUCUUUAGGUGAAGACAUCUGAGCGGAUGACCAACAAAUCAUUCGAUGCGAUGUUGGCUACUUUCCGCAAAUCUUUCCCAGAUGUGUCUGAGCUGCCACACACCUACAGUAAAAUGAAGAAUUUCCUUCAUGCAGUUGGAAUUGGAUAUGAUAUGAUCCAUGUUUGUAAGAAUAAUUGUGUUCUGUUCCGGAAGGAUUAUGCCAACUUAAGUGAAUGCCCGAAAUGCAAAUCAUCAAGAUGGAAAGAUGGCGAUGCUGUGAAGAGGAUUCCUCAUAAUGUUCUGAGACAUUUUCCAAUUACACCAAGAUUGCAGAGGUUAUUUCAUGAUGCUGAAACAAGAGAGGAUGUACUAUGGCAUUCUAGGAACCGGGAGUACAGAGAUCAGAAUGUAAUGAGCCAUCCAUCUCAUGGUAGUGAGUGGAAAAGCUUCAAUGAUAAACACAAAACUUUGCUGUUGACCCGAGAAACAUUAGACUUGGCUUAGCUUCAGAUGGAUUUAACCCAUUUGGCCACCAGAGCGCCACAUAUAGCAUGUGGCCAGUGCUUGUUAUCCCUUACAACAUGCCUCCAAAUGUCUGCACCAAAGAAUCAAACUACAUGGUGGCCUUGCUCAUCCCAGGUCCAAAAAGUCCUGGAAAGGAUUUUGAUUUGUUCAUGGAGCCUCUUGUGGAGGAACUUCAACAGCUAUGGAGGGUGUUCUCACUCGAGUCCGAUAUAGCAGCCCACCAGCUGAUUUCUUUCUGCGUGCUGUUAUAAUUUGGUGCAUCCAUGAUUAUCCGGCUUUGGGCACUAUGUCAGGGCGAACGACACAUGGUUACAAUGCAUGUGUUCGCUGUGACGGGAAUCCGCUGUCAUACGCAAUACUUAGCAAGAUCUGUUACAUUCGACACCCCCGUUUCCUUGCCAAGGACAAGACGCAUCCUAGAAAAUACCGAAGACAUGUGUUCAAUGCAAAGCAUGAAAACCGUGAUGCGCCAAAGAGGCUCACCGCCGAUGAGUUGCAAGUGGAAUUAGAGAAGGUCAGGCAUAUUACACCAGGAAACCAUCCUGGUAAUGGUAGCGGGAAAAGGAAGCGUGGCAGGGCAGAAGAGAGAUUAUUGUUUACCCGCAGGUCCACUUUGUGGGACUUGGAGUAUUGGAAAGAUUUGGAUCUGCGGCAUAAUCUUGAUGUGAUGCACAUCGAGAAAAAUAUAUGUGACAGCAUUAUCGGCACACUUCUUAAUAUUGAAGGCAAGACGAAAGAUACCUUAAAAUCUAGGAUUGAUUUGACACACCUGGGUAUCAGAAAGGAUUUGCAGGUGCAAGAUGAAGGUAAACCACAGGAUAUGGCACCAGCUGUGUACGUCUUGGACAAGGUAAAAAGAAAAGAAUUCUGCGAGGUCCUGUCAUGUGUGAGAUUCCCACAUGGAUUUGCUUCCAACCCUGAAAGGAGAGUCAGUGCAGAUGGAAACAAGGUACAAGGGUUGAAAACACAUGACUGCCACGUCCUACUUCAAAGGGUUUUACCUGUUAUCCUUAGAGGAUUGGGCCGCCCUGACUUAUACAGAGCAGUUGCAGAGUUGGGACAAUUCUUCAGGGAACUCUAUAGUAGAAAUAUCAGGAUAGAUGCUUUGGAGCGUCUUAGAGACAAGAUACCAACUAUCCUAUGCGACCUUGAGGAGAUAUAUCCUCCAGCCUUCUUUGAUGUGAUGGUGCAUUUGGAUGUUCAUCUACCUGAUCAGGCACUACUUAGAGGUCCAAUACAGUAUGGCUGGAUGUACCCUAUGGAAAGGCAGCUAGGCACUUUCAAGGGCUAGUUAGGAAUAGAGCUAGACCCGAGGGUUCCAUUGCAGAGGCCUACAUUGCUACAGAAGCGUUGACAUUCUGCUCAAAAUACAUUGAAACAGCUGAUCAGCUUAGCAAAGAGGUGGGUGAAGACAAUCCCGGGCUCAAUGUUUUCGAUUAUUCUGUUCGAGUUACAGGGAAGAGUCGACAAGAGGACAAACCUAAAUAUUUGGACAAAAUGGUUUGGUAUGUGUUGAAUAACUGUCCUGAGAUACUACCUUAUAUCAAGUAAGUGCAGUACUGCAGCUUAUACAUCGUAAUCUACUAAACUUGCAGCACAUUCUUAUAUAUUUAGAUGUUUGACGUGAUCACUAUAUUGCGCAGCAUCUACAAAAAGGAGUUACUGCCGCAAAAUCGAAGAAACAUUGACAAACUGGUUAUGGCAGGAUUUGCAAAAUGGUUCAAGAACCAUGUAAGCUUUUGAAUUGCACUGUCCGUUUUUAAUAUAUUGAGUACAUAAGAUGAUCAGCUUGUCUAUUUUCUAACCAUAGGUUAAGAAGAUGCGGGAGGAUGGGCAGGCAGUUGAUGAUGCCCUUUACUCACUAGCAAUGGGUCCUGAUACUCGGGUAAGACAUUAUGAAUCUUGUGUUGUUCGAGAUGUGCGCUACAACACCCUUGCACGAGACGAAGGCAGGAAGACACAAAACAGUGCCAUCAUGAGCACAGAUACGUAUGACAAAGAGACAACUGAAAUGUAUGCUAACAUAACAGACAUUGUUCAGUUGCAGUAUAUCUCCAGUUUCGAGGAUCAUCGGUGUGUGGUUCCGUUGUGCUGUCGUUGGUAUAACGUGUUUUCCAGGAUCGCAAAACCCAGAGCUGAUGAUUAUUUCAAAUCCAUCAAUGUCAAGGCGGCGUACCAGACCAACGAGCUUUUUAUUUUGGCAAAUCAAGCAACACAGAUAUUUUUCUUGGAAGACACAUUUGCACGUAGCGAUGACUGGAGAGUAUUGCAAAGGUUUGAGCAGAGGAAUUCGUUUAAUGAAGUUGCACAACAAGAUGAUGCUUACACUGCUCCUGAUGUACAAGAUAACACAGAUGUUCCUAAUAUCUUUGAGAACCAUCAUGUCAAUGACACCGGCGAAAAGAUUGCCUGUCGUGCUGUGGACACACAAGAGUUGAUCAAGAAGUCGUGCUGUGGACGUUGAGGACGAAGAAGAAGAUGACACCGUGGGGAAUUACGAUUCAGACUGAUACACAUGGCGAAGAUGUUGAUGCUGCUGCUACGGAUGAUGAUUACAUUGCUUUUGUCGUAUUUGCCUGUCAGAAGACGUUUUUUUAUCUACUAUGUGAAAUUGUGUUUGGUAUGACAACUGAAACCUGAUGAACAUGUUGUUUAGUAUUUUGCUGUGAGAACAUCACUUGUUAUGUAUGCUGAUUUGUGUUUGGUGAUUGUAUGACAACUAAAACAUGAUGACAUUGUUGUUUAGUUGUACUCAUAUUUGGCUGUGAAACUUGAAUUUGAUUACAUAGUUUGCUGUUGGACUGCAAUUUGCUCGACGUCUUCGAAUGAGAACAAACCUGACCCGACAAGGCCUCUGCUAUUUAUUUAUUUAUGAGCAAAAGGGGAUACCCCCUGAUUUCCGUUAAUAGAAAUCAUUAGAUGUUCACAACACUACGCCUAGCCUGCUACACAGGUUUCAUUCAUUACUAGUUUCGGCAAAGUGCUCAUGUCAUAGCCACUGAAUACAUCACGAGUUGUCGGUGGAAAACGACACCUAUGGGACCAACGAGGAUCCCUACUAUGGUUGCGGGGUGCUGGAAGUAGUGAGGAGAGCAGGAUCAACAGUCAAUGCAAACACGCAGGUCGUUUACCCACGUUCGGGCCGCAAGGUGCGUAAUACCCUAGUCCUGCUUGGAUGUGUAUAUCUAUGUUCUUGAGGAGCUCAAACUAGCUACAAAGAGUGUAACUUGUCCAAGAGUCCGAAUCCUUCUCCUGGAUGCCUUGGGUAUCCUUUUAUAGGCAAAGGGAUCGCCACAGUGGCACCAGGAGGUGGCAUCGGGGUACUGUGGAUGUGCUUAUCGCUAGUCAUUACGGGACAAAACGCAUUAAAUGCGCCCCCGACGUGUCCCCAUCACUUUACCGCCGCUUCGCCUCGUCCUGACACGCGCUUGGGCCAGCGAGGUGGUGGCGCCAUGUAGACAGGCAAGCAGCUCAGGUGGUGCGGUGGUGGAGCCUUCAGGGAGGUUUGCAUGCCACCACGUAGGCACGUGCUGAGUUGGUGGAGAAACCACGCGUUAACACGCAGGUGCCUGCCCGGCUGGUGGGCUGGCAGCUGCAUGGGAUUGGCAGUGCAAAGCUCGGCGGGUGCGGGCCUAGCUGUGGCCUCGCGGACGUCCUCGGCAAGGGCCUUGCCGGGGCCCCCGGCAAGGGUCUUGUCACGGCGUAUGGUCGUCCCCGGCAAGGAUCUUGCCGGGGGCCUUGUGGAUUCCCUCGGCAAGGAUUUUGCCGAGGCUCGUCGUCUCUCACUCCUCUGAUUAAGAGUGUUGUUCCUUGUCUUCACAAAGAUCUGCAUACCACCAUGGAGGUGCCUCCCGAGCCCUGGUCCAACGCAGAUGAUGGCAUUGGAAGCCGUGGGCUCAAGGGUGGCUCGCUCCGUUGGUGUUGGGAUGAGCUGCCCCGGCAAGAGUCUUGUCGGGGCCGCAUAGGCCGCCCCGGCAAGGAUCUUGCCGGGGGAACCUGCUUCAUCCCUCUGCUCUUUGUGGUCUUGGUCUUGGUGUUGCAUUGCUUUGUCUUGAAUUUACCUUGGUUCACCUCCCCUGCCUUGCCAAGCGUGGCCGUGGCGCGUGGCCUCGACUGCCCGUGCACAAGUAAAGGGGACAAAAGGAGAGCCCCUACUUUUGUACACCGACACAGGAGCCCCCGGGCCUGGGCCAUACAUAAGCGCAACACGUUAUUGGGUCAGGCCCAAAAAAUGGUGCACGAGCAGGCGGGGCGGUUUUUACCGCGGUGAUCUUUCGUCCGCCACGCUCCCCCACGACCCGCGUUGAUUGCGUGACGUGGGGGGUCGUGCGCGCGGGUGACCGAAGCAUGUUGACGUCAUCCAUGGUGAAUAGUAAAGAGGCGGCCUACUGUCUCUUCGAGACCGUAGGGUCGCUGCUCAUUUACUCUCCGCGCUUGGGGAACCGCCGCUCCACGCGUCCCAUUACGCCUGUUUCUUGCGCCACGUUUGCUGCAUGCAGAAGUGAAUGGCAGGUGUGUGGGAUAUGGGGAGUCGUGUGUGCGUGGGCCGUUUCCCACGCGCCUUCAAUUGGGCGGAGAGGGCGGUCGAUGGCCCCGUCCGCUGUCACUUUAAUGAGCCGGAUUGGCCGAGGGGCGGCCGAGCCCCGCCUCCGCUUCUCUAUAAAGACGGGAGUUGGAGGAACGACACCUCCCAAUAUUUCGCCAUCUGCUUCUCUCCAUUACUGCUUCCUCUUUCUUCCUCUCCUCCGCCAUGGAAAAGGGGAACCCCGGUCCUUCGACGGUGGCGGCGAGGGUCGCCGCUCGACAGCGCGUCCCUCCUCCCCAAGAGCCCGUGGUGGUGGAGCCAGCCGUGAGGGGGAGGGGGCGAGGCCGUGGUCGUCGUGGUACUCGGGGAGGAGGAGGACGGGGCGGCGCGUCGGCCUUGCCUCCGCCAGCGGCUCUUCCUGCGGUGGAGGGCCAUGUCGGGGACAAACCCCGUGAGUUCUUCGUUAGGCUGCGCCAUUCGCCUCGCCGUCGUCUUCGCCUUCCGACCCCAUUUGCACAGGAGAUGGAGCUGAAUCCGCCGCAGGCGCUGUGGCUGCGCAUGAGGGGCUGCGGGAACAGCGGUACGUGGGCAAACGUCGAGUUCCCCGCCCCUCACAUCAUGUAUCUUCGUCGAGGGUGGAAGACCUUUGCUCGCAUCCACAGCCUGACGGAGGGUCUCACCCUCCAAUUUAAGUUAAUGGAGGGUGGCCUCCUCUCUGUCAAGGCCUUUGGGCACUUCGGGACUCGCGUAAGGUGCUGCGUGGAGAGCUCCUCCGAUGGCGAAGACUCUUCCUCGAGCGAGAGCGACGAGGAGGACAGCGGCAGAGACGACGAGGGUAGCGGGCGACAGGAUGACGGUUCCGACUAGGCGUCUGGCACGCCGCGUCCGGGUGGGUGCGGCAGCAGCAGCAUCUGCACCUGGCCGCUCCUCCGGCGGAGUUUGCCGGGGGAGGGGCCAGCUCCUUGAACUUCUCGGGGCCGUCUCCUUGGGCGGCUGGCGCUGGGAGGCUGCGGAAGAGGAAGAGGGCGGGCGGCAAGGCCGUCAAGUCAGAGUACGCGGGCACCGACGCCUUCGUCGCGUAUUGGCGACCUGCCGCAUCGUCUUCCAGCUCUUCCUCCGGCGCCGCCAUCACCAGCCGGCCUUUGGACGGCUGCCGAGAUGUUCUCUUGGUGUCUUCUGCCACCCGUAGCUCGCCGAGGUGCUCCUUUUGCCCCUUUUCGCUUCCUUGACCUGCCUCCUGAGGAGAGGGACAAGAAAGGGAUUAUGGGCAUCUUAUCUUUUUUUAACUUGUAAGCCUGCGGACAUUAGUAGAAUUUAAAGCUUGUAAUCCCCCUUGCUCAUGUUUUUCAUUCCGUAUGAACUGUACCUCUAUGGGAUGUUUUUAAUGAAAAAGGGAUGUUUGCCGGGUUUUUCGUUCGCGGGUAAAACCCAUGGCAAGGAGCAAAUCCUUGUUACUAUUUAAGAUAAACAUUUUUCGCCCGGCAACAGGCCUUGCCGUCCCUCCACUUCGCUCGACCAUUCUCGCGCUCUUGGCGGAGGCAGGGAUGAAGUGGGUUUAGGCUCCUCGUUCCAUUUCCUGGCUGCUGCGGCUACAACCAAAUCCGAACCCAGGAGAUAACCUUGGGUAUAGAAAAAAGGGAGCACGGUAGUCUAGAAAUAAAAUGAGGCUUCAUAUAUCCCAGUUCCAUACCAAAAUGCAUGAUAGAGGAUAAAGGACUUAUCUGGAUCUGCAGCCCCCGGCAACCUUUGGCUUGCCGUGGUUGGAUCCUUGCACUUGCAGCCCCCGGCAACUUCGACUUGCCGGGGCCAGGACGCCGGUCCGUUCUCCUCCUUCCAAAUAGCUCGGCAGAAGUGUUCAUGUGCCCUGCAAACCAAAGAGGACAGGAAAGAACAGAGAGACGCGCACUCAACCUCUAGGCUUGGGGUUAGCCGCUGCUAAGCACUAUCAACCCUAACCGAGGGAGGGACUCGACCUAGCAUGCAUGCUAUAACUUAGGGCGCCAGCGCUUCAUUUAUUUAGGCUCAGGGUCUGCGCCUGGCUUUGUACAAAGGGUUACAUGCCUUGCCGGCAAGGCUUGUACAAAAGGGUGGCUUGCCGGGAGGCCCGGCAAGCCGCGCCUUACGGGUAAAACUUACGAAGAUGCUCGAUGUUCCAGGAGUUGCUCACUGGAAUGGCAUCUUCGGUCUCCAGGCGGACUGCGCCGGGCCUGGUGACUCGUGUUACCCGAUAAGGGCCUUCCCACUUCGGCGUCAACUUGUUGGAAUUCUUGGCCGACUGAACAUGCCGAAGAACAAGGUCGCCUUCCUCAAAGCUCCGGGCAUGAACCUUGCGGCUAUGGUAGUGGCGCAAGGCUUGCUGGUAGCGUGCUGCUCUCAUAGCCGCCCGGAGACGAUCUUCCUCAAGGAAUGUUGCGUCAUCUUGCCGCAAUCGCUCUUGCUCAAGCUCAUCAUAAGCGAGCACUCGAGGUGACCCGUACAUGAAUUCCGUGGGGAGAACUGCUUCUGCCCCGUAGACUAGGACAAAAGGUGUCUGGCCGGUGGCUCGAUUUGGCAUCGUUCUGAUUGACCAAAGAACCGCCGGCAAUUCGUCAAUCCAGCGCCUUCCACUUUUGCGCAGUCUGUCAAAAGUCUUCGUCCUUAAGCCUCGCAGAACUUCAGCAUUUGCUCUCUCUGCUUGGCCGUUGCUCCGUGGGUGUGCCACGGAAGCAAAACAGACCUUGCUGCCGAGAUCCUCAAUGUAGUGCAUGAAGGCGUGGCUUGUGAACUGUGUGCCGUUGUCGGUGAUAAUCCUGUUGGGCACACCAAAACGGCAAACUAGUCCUUUGAAGAACUUGAUGGUUGACUGCGCUGUCACCUUUCUCACUGCUUCCACUUCUGGCCACUUUGUGAAAUUGUCGAUUGCAACGUACAAGUAUGUGGGAGCCACAUAUACCUCCAUGUAUCUCCACCUUGCCGGAAAGCUUUGCCGGCAAGGGCCCUCGACCCUAUGUGGGAGCCACAUAUACCUCCAUGUAUCUCCGCCAAUAGCCCUAGUCCUUCCUCUCGGGAGAUGCACUUCAAUUUCACCCCAUUCGGCCUCUUUCUGUACAAGACGUCGUCGACGAAUUGGUACUGAGCAGACCGGCGGGCUACUCUUUUUGCUUCUUCCUGUUCUUCAGGAAGUUCUCCUGUCUGGAGAAAUCGGACAGUGUGCUGCACCCAUGCCGGAGCCUGUGGCUCGACGGCAAGGACUAAAGGCAUCUCUUCUGCCACGGGAGCGACUGUCUCUACGGCCAUGGCCUGGGGCCCUGCCGGAGUCGGUUGCCCCGCGGCAGGAUCGGCAUCCACGGCAACAUCUUCGCCAGCGGCUCCAGGGAGCUCGGUGGGAAAGUACUUGCCGGGGCCUAGCUUCCUCUGCUUGUUCAGCCCAGUUGAUGGUUCGAUAGAUGGUUAACUAAAGCACAAAAGUACUUGGUUCCACAGGUAGCUUGAGGGCAGCACGCUUUGACAGGUAGUCGGCAAUGUCGUUCUCUGCCCGAGGGACAUGCUCUGCUUGGAUACCGUCAAAGCGCUCCUCCAGUUUCCUCACUUCAUCCACGUAAGCCUCCAUCAAUGGGCUUUGGUAAUCUUUGUUGUUCUGCCUGACGACGAGCUGCGAAUCGCCCCUAACGAUGAGCUUUCUGACCCCGAGGUCUGCCGCGAUCCUGAGACCGGCAAGCCCUCGUACUCAACGGUGUUGUUAGUUGACAUCUCCCGGAGAAAGUGCAUUUGGAUGACAUACUUGAGGUGCUCUCCGAUGGGCGCAACAAGCAGUACGCCAGCACCGGCGCCUUGCAGCAAAAAGGCCCCGUCAAAGUACAUGAUCCAGUUGCGGCUCGUUUCCUUGCCGGGGAGAGUGGUCUCCUUUACCUCUUCGUCGGGCGUCGAGGUCCAUUCUGCAACGAACUCCUCCAAGACCCUGCUCUGAAUCGUUGAGGUGCUUUCGAACUUCAAACCGAAACUUGACAGCUCCAGGGCCCAUUCCACGAUCCUCCCCGUUGCGUCUGGGUUAUGCAGUAUCCGCUGCAACGGGAGGCGGGUGACCACGGUGAUCUCGUGUGUGCUUGGAAGUAAUGGCGCAGCUUCCUCGAGGCCAUAAGGAGGCCGAAGAGCAGCUUCUGCACACCUGAGCACCUCGACCUAGCCCCCUGCAAGAGGGAGCUGACGAAGUAAACUGGGUGCUGCACCAUUUUCUUCUUCUGCGCCACUUUACCCGAUCGCGCGGGCCCUGCUGUAUUGGCGUCAGCCUCUGCCGGGGACUCGGUCUUGUCGGGACCGAGCCCUGCCGGGAAGGGUUCUGGUUUGCUAUCCGUUGACUCUGCCGCUGCCGCUGCCUCUUUGUCGACCUCCCUCUGUGCCACUAGUGCGGCACUAACCACUUGAUUUGUCGCUGCUAGGUACAGCAACAACGGUUCUUGUGGUUUGGGCGCAACCAACACUGGGGUACAGGAGAGGUACUUCUUCAAAUCUUGCAGCACUGCCUCGGCCUCCGGGGUCCACUCCAUUGGGCCCGCCUUCUUUAAGAUCUUAAAAAAGGGAAGGGCACGCUCCACGGACUUGGAGAUGACUCUGCUCAUGGCGGCAACGCAGCCAGCGAGCCGACGCACGUCUUUGAUCCGCUUGGGUGCCUCAAUCUGCUCAAUGGCCUUUAUCUUAUCUGGGUUUGCUUCAAUCCCGCGCUGCGACACAAAGAACCCGAGAAGUUUGCCGGAAGGGACGCCGAAGACACACUUCUCAGGGUUCAGCUUGAGGUUGAUCUUGCGCAGGUUGGCAAAUGUUUCCUCCAGAUCUUGCACGAGCGUUGCUUUGUCCUUGGUUUUGACCACUAUGUCAUCCAUAUAAGCUUCCAUAUUUCUAUGUAGCUGGGGUUCAAAACCAAUUUGGACUGCUCUCGCAAAGGUGGAGCCAGCACUCUUCAACCCGAAAGGCAUCCGUAAAAAGCAAUACGUACCACAUGGGGUGAUGAAUGUUGUCUUCUCUUCGUCUUCUUUCGUCAUGAAGAUCUGGUGAUACCCUGAGUAGGCAUCGAGGAACGAUAGCAAGUCACACCCGGCCGUGGAGUCAACAAUCUAGUCGAUGCGCGGCAAUGGGAAGGGGUCCUUGGGACAAGCCUUAUUGAUAUCUGUGUAAUCAAUACACAGCCUCCACUUCCCAUUUGCCUUGCGCACCACUAUCGGAUUGGCCAACCACGUCGGAUGGAGCACUCCUCUCACCAGUCCCGCUGCUUCUAACUUUCUGAUAUCUUCUGUGAUGAAUUCUUGCCUCUCUAGAUCUUGCUUCCUGACCUUCUGCUUGACGGGCCGUGCAUGAGGGUAGACAACAAGAUGGUGCUCAAUCACUUCCCUGGGAACGCCGGGGAUGUCGGAGGCUUGCCAUGCAAACACAUCGACAUUCGCCCACAGGAAGGUGACGAGCUCGCUUUCCUAUUUGCUGUUGAGGGUGGAGGUUAUGGUGAAAGCCCCUCCCGUGCCAUCCUCCUUGACGGGCACCUUCUUGGCCUCUGGCGGCGCGGCUCUGGAUUUCUUGCUCUUGCCGGUGGAGCUCUCUGGCAUGUCCUCGACAGUAGCACAACACUCCGAAGAGGUACGCUUGCCGGAGUGGGUGUAAGAGGUCUGGCCGGUCUUCUUCUUUCCUCCUGGGGCUCCAGCGGCAGGAGCAAGUGCCCUGGCGGCAGCCGCUGCGACUGCUUCCCGGUACAGUAGGUCGGCACAGAUCAGCGUGUCUUUCUUGUCGGAGGGGAUGGUGAUGAUGUUCAUCGGCCCGGGCAUCUGCAGCGUGUUGUAGGCGUAGUGAGAAGCCGCCAUGAACUUGGCAAGUGCCGGGCGGCCGAGGAUCCCAUUGUAGGGCAAGGGUAUCUCGGCUACAUCAAAGACAAUCCUCUUCGUCCUGUAGUUCAGCUCACUUCCAAACGUCACAGGCAACGUGACUUUUCCCUUCGGCUGGCUCCUUCCCGGGUUGACCCCUUGAAAUGUGCCCGUUUCCUCGAGGUCUCCAUCAGAAAUUUGCAGCUUUUUGAUCACGACAGGUGAGAUCAAGUUCAGACCGGCCCCACCGUCAACCAGCAUCUUGUUCACCUUGAGGUUGCGUAUCGUUGGUGAGACCAACAACGGAAAACACCUGACCGCGGUUGUGCGGUCAGGGUGAUCCUUGGCGUCAAAGAUGAGGGGCGUGCUGGACCAUUUCAGGGGCUUCUGGGCGUCGAACGUGGGCUCUGCCGCUGUAAUCUCACGCGCCCACUGUUUGAGCUAGCGGUGAGAAGUAUGCAGUGAGGCGCCACCGUCAACGCACAUGGCCUCUGUAGCCUUUUGGAACUCUUGCUGGCCGGACUCGUCAUCCUCGUCAUGAUCAUCAUCUUCUUGCUUCUUGUCGCGGCCCCGUGCGGGCCUCUCUUGUUGGUUAUCCUUGCCGCGGCGACCUCCUGGGCCGCCACGCUUCCUGUCGGAUCCUCCGGCACCAUCCUGACCCUUCUCCUUGUCCCGCCUAUCAUACUCAGCCUUCUUCUUCUCAGCAAGCAGCUCGACUUGUCGGCAGUUCUGGAGAUCGUGGCCCUUGGUGCGGUGGAUCUUGCAAUACUGCUUGUCGGAGCCCCCUGGCUUAUCGGCAGCCGCCAAGCCCCGGCAGGCGGUGCACCCAGCAAUCUCUUUGCCGGAGUCGUCUGCCUUGGCCUUCUUGGCGGCGCCGGUAUCGCCGGAUUCCUCAAUGGCAAGCACGGCUUUUCCCUUAUGUUUUCUGUUACGGCGCCGGCUCUUCUUCGCCGGGGUGGUGGUAUCAUCUGUGGAGUCGGUUUCCACGCCGGCAUCCUCGCCGGGGUACUUCCUUCCCUCUUCAGCUUGAGCGCACCAAUCGGCCAGGACAUCAAGUUCGGCCACAUCCUUGACCUUGUUCAUCGCCAGCUCCUCACGCAUCUUGCGGUUGCGCACGUUCUGGUAGAACACACUGAUCACGGCGGCGGGAUGAACAUCGGGGAUGUUGUAUUGCACUCGGCUGAACCUCUGGAUGUACUUGCGCAGGGUUUCUCCAUCCUUCUGGGGAAUGAUAUGCAAAUCACUCGCCUGGCCGUGAGCUUGGUGGCCUCCAGUGAAGGCACCAACGAACUCAUGACACAGGUCCGACCAAGAAGAAAUGGAAUCCACCGGCAAGUGCAUCAACCAAGACAUGACGUUGGGCUUCAGCGCCAGCGGGAAGUAGUUGGCGAGCACCUUGUCGUCGCGAGCUCCAGCAGCUUGCAUCGAAAUGGUGUAGAUGCUGAGGAACUCCGACAUAUGGGUCUUGGCAUUGUACUUCUCGUUGACGUCGGGCUUGAACGUGCGGUGGGACGGCCAUUGGAACCGCCACAGCUCACGGGUAAAGGCCGGGCAACCUACCUCGUAAGGCAGGCCGCCGGAGCCUCCCGGAAUCGGUUGUUCCACAGCAGGCCUGCCCGCUUGUCCGACUGGUGGCGUGUAUCGCCCCGGCGCUCGAUGGUGGUCCGAGCGUCUUCGUGAGCUCGCUCCCGAAGAACUUGGCGUUGGUCAUGGCGGGUCUGCGGGUCGAACGACGCUAUGGAGAUAUCAUCGCAAGCGUCGUCACGACGGGCUGACGCUCACGGUGGUCAGCGUGGAGGAGAGUGCACCGUAGCCGCAGCACCCCCGGUUCUUCCCCCGCUGGCAUGUGGUGGCUCGAUGGAGUGCCGACCCGAGGGCCCCAUUGGUCGCGGAUCGUCUCUGUUGGCGAUGGCGACGAGGCUUCGGAUGGUGGCUCUCCACUCGUCGAGCUUCUCCACAGCAGGAGGGAAGUCGAGGAGCAGCUGUGCGCGCGCCAGAGCUUCCACUGGCGUGGGUGGCGGCGAAAGCUGCGUGGACCACGGCACGCUUCGACUUCUAACCACGUUAGAAGGAGCUGCGUCUUGGCCCAGCGGCUGCAUGCCACUUUCGCCAGCGCUUCGGCGGGCAUGUAGGCCCCCUUCGUCUCGCGGAUGAAGCACAUGGCUCUUCCCACGACGGCGCCCAGGGUCACCAGCGUGGUGAUGCUGCUCGUCGUGCACACCAUGGGAAGAGCGCGUUGUGGGCGCCGGGAUAGGCGUCUUGGAGGUCGCUGCGCCGCCUGCGGGUGGCACAGCAACGUUUUUGGAGGGCCCUGCGCCGCCUGCGUGGGGCCCGUCUCCGUCUUGGGAUCUAGCAGCGCGCGGCUCGCCAUUCGGCGUAUGAACGACGCCGCUCGCCAGGCUAUGACCGCCAGAGCCACGUUGACGCUCACGGGCUGCGGCCCGAGUUCUGUCCGCGACCGGUCCGCUGCUCGCUCGCACCGGAUCAGUCCGCUUGGCUCCUGAUGAGCCGAUCGCCAUGGUCGCCUUCUUCUUGGGAGCCAUGGCGAUGAAGAAUUAUGCUACUGGCUGUAGAACCAGAUGCUCACUACUGCAACACCCUACCUGGCGCGCCAAAGAUGUCGGUGGAAAAUGACACCUAUGGGACCAACGAGGAUCCCUACUACGGUUGCAGGGUGCUGGAAGUGGUGAGGAGAGCAGGAUCAAUAGUCAGUGCAAACACACGGGUCGUUUACCUAGGUUCGGGCCGCAAGGUGCGUAAUACCCUAGUCCUGCUUGGAUGUGUAUAUCUGUGUUCUUGAGGAGCUCAAACUAGCUACAGAGAGCGUAACUUGUCCAAGAGUCUGAAUCCUUCUCCUUGAUGCCUUGGGUCUCCUUUUAUAGGCAAAGGGAUCGCCACAGUGGCACCAGGAGGUGGCAUCGGGGUACUGUGGCUGUGCUUAUCGCUAGUCAUUACAGGACAAAACGCAUUAAAUGCACCCCAGACAUGUCCCCCUCACUUUACCGCUGCUUCGCCUCGUCUUGACACGCGCCUGGGCUAGAGAGGUGGUGGCUCCAUGUAGACAGGCAAGCAGCUGAGAUGGCGCAGUGGUGGAGCCUUCAGGGAGGUUUGCAUGCCACCACGUAGGCACGUGCUGAGUUGGUGGAGAAACCCCGCGUUAACACGCAGGUGCCUGCCCGGCUGGUGGGCUGGCAGCUGCAUGGGAUUGGCAGUGCAAAGCUUGGUGGGUGCGGGCCUAGCUGUGGCCUCGCGGACGUCCUCGGCAAGGGCCUUGCCGGGGCCCCCGGCAAGGGUCUUGUCACGGCGUAUGGUCGUCCCCGGCAAGGAUCUUGCCUGGGGCCUUGUGGAUUCCCUCGGCAAGGAUUUUGCCGAGGCUCGUCGUCUCUCACUCCUCUGAUUAAGAGUGUUGUUCCUUGUCUUCACAAAGAUCUACAUACCACCAUGGAGGUGCCUCCCGAGCCCUGGUCCAAUGCAGCUGAUGGCGUUGGAAGCCGUGGGCUCAAGGGUGGCUCGCUCCGUUGGUGUAGGGGCGAGCUGCCCCAGCAAGAGUCUUACCGGGGCCGCAGAGGCCGCCCCGGCAAGGAUCUUGCCGGGGGAACCUGCUUCGUCCCUCUGCUCUCUGUGGUCUUGGUCUUGGUGUUGCCUUGCUUUGUCUUGAAUUUACCUUGGUUCACCUCCCCUGCCUUGCCAAGCGUGGCCAUGGCGCGUGGCCUCGACUGCCCGUGCACAAGUAAAGGGGACAAAAGGAGAGCCCCUACUUUUGCACACCGACACGAGUGCUACAUACACUGCAAAUAAAGAGACAAUCGUCCUACAGAGCACAUCGAUUUUGCCCAUUAUCUUCACAAGCUCUUUCAUCUCCUCAUUGCUGUCAAGGCCAUUCAGCAGCUGUUUCUUGGCCAUGAUCAGAGGAACUACAUCUUUAACCUUCUGCUUUGCAUCUUCCUCUUCUGCCGUUCCUUCAGUUACUUGUCCAACACCCCAACCUGUUGGUAUUGGGAUUCCUCGGCUAACCAAAUAAUCAACGUAGUUGCAUUCCCCUACAUCAGCAACUUCCCAGAAAUACAAAUCACACAAAUCUUCCCUUUUCUGCAUGAAUCAAAUUGGAAGAUCAUCAACCAAACUAUUAAAAAAUCAGCAACUGAAAGCAACAGAACAACACUUAAACAUAUUAUUACCCCAUGAUUCGGGCUUUUGUAGAAGACUUGGCCAAGGUUGAGGAUUGUGGUUGAGACGCGACGGAUGACUCUGCGUGAUUUGCAGCAGUGGCACCACACCAACGGCAGUGGGUUACGAUGAGAAAUCGGCUACGGUGCGCGUGCUGGCGGGGGUGUGAUGAGACCCACAGGCGAUGGUACGGGUGGCGACUUGCUGCAUAUCUGGUUGUUGCCUGCUGAAGAGCAGGUGGACGAGCAGCCAGCGAACAUGGUUGCUUCGGCCAGAGCUUCUGAUGCUAGGAAGAGUAAGUAGAGAAGAGGAGAAGCGAACGUUGGAUAUGUCAGUUUCAUUACUUACAGUUUAGCAUAGCACCAUAUAUAGUCAAAGUCUAGGUUUGGAUUCGAACCAGCUACAGGAGCACGUCUCUCUUUUUUCUAAAACUCGGCAACGUCUCUUUACUGGUACACUAGCUUGUUCUGUACGCCUUCCCAAGUCUUUGAUUUUCUUUCCUUUUUUUGCGAGGAAGGAGGACAAAAUUGAGAGUUCUUGGGACUCGAACCCAUGACCUCUCGGUUGAAAACCAAGGGUGCUAGUCGCUUAUGUGGCGAACAUUCCCUGUGAGGAGGACGGCAGACGAACGCAUUUUCCUCGCAGUUUUCUUCCUAUAUAUAAAAAAGUAUGCUACUUGGUGUCCGCUUAGUCAACAAAUGAUUGUGCCAACCUUGACCGUUGGAUUGACAUUCAACGUCUGUCACGUUUCUUCAGUCUCUUCUUCCUCGAGCCGCCAAAGCCAAACCAGUGCCGGCGGGACCGCCUGCUCCCGCCUCCCACGGCUGGCUGUGCUGCCGCGCACGCAUCGUGGCCACAUCGCACCCUAAAACUCUGUGCAUCUUCCCUGGCUCCUGUUCGUUCCCGUCCGAGGCCUCACCAUCAUCCUCCGCCUUGGUUUGCUCGCCGCGGCGCCGCCCUCCGGUGUUGUCAACAUGGUCAACAACCGAGAGGAAUAAGGAGAUGACUGUACAUGGUGAGGAUGACACUAGGGACCCAGCAGCGUGCGUAGUAAUUUUGUUUUUUCGGGACGGAGAAGGGUAUCAACUGGGUUGUGCGGGACCCGUGGCCCGUCUAGCCCAGGCUUUUAUUUCAUAUGUGUAGCACAUGACCAGCCCAGUUUGUUUUUUUCCUUUCUGAAAAUGGCUAGCCAGCUAUUUUGUUUUUUGCAGAAUAACCAACAUAGGCCUACUUGCUUUUCUACACCCUGCUGGGCCAAAAAUCUUUCAAGACGAGGAGGGAUGCAUUUUGCCCAGAAAAUGGGCUAUAAGUAAUAAGAAAUGGGCUAUAAGUAAUAAGAAAUGGGCUAUAAGUAAUAAUAAAUGGGCUGUAAAAUGAAAAAAUACAACAAACAGGCAAUUAGUUCCAAAAUACUGUUUUCUUUCGGAUUUUGAUAUUUUAAAUUUCAUUGUUUUUAUGCGGGUAAAAUUUCAUUGAAUUUAAAUUAGGGUAUAUUUAGAUUUAAAAUUAAUUUGAAUCUGGCUAGAAAUUUCGGGUUGUAUGUUGUUUGGGACAGAUUUGGAGGCUGACUUGUGGGUCUACUAGGUUGACGUGUACUUUGGCUUUGUCAACUUAGUCCACAAACGAUUCUAGCAGCAGUGACCGUUGGAUGUUAAUCCAACGGCCGUGUUGCUUCUUCAAUAUCUGAUCUUCUUGCUCCAGCCGCCCAAAACAGCUCCGGUGGGACUGCCUGCUCCCGCCUCCCGUGGCCGGCUGUGCUGCCGCACAGGCCGCACCGCCCCACCCUACUUCAUUGCUGGCCAGGCCAUUCCUCUACUCACCCACACCUCCUGUUAUUUUCCGGCGACGGCAGCUGGACCAGUAAACCCUCGUACUCCCCAUCGCGUGGGCAACCAUUGCCGAGUCUUCCCCGGCUCCGUGUCGUUCCCUUCCUAGGCCUCGCCGUCGUCCACCGCCAUGGUGCUCUCGGCGUGGCCUGGUCAGCGUGGUCAACGAACGACAUCCAUCGGACGUGGACUGUACGUUGAGAGGCUGACAGCUGGGUCCACGGCCGCACACAAGGAAAUGCCUCCUUAUUACGCGCAAAAUAAUGAUUCCUCCACCUGACAGCUGCGAUCCACCGGAAGGGCCUCUGUAUUUCACGAAAGAACGUUCCCCCCGCUGACAUGUCGGACCCACCAUCUAUAUCUUCGCACGCAAGGAAGUGCCUCCUUAUUACGCACAAAAAAAUGAAUACCCCCCUGCUAGCUGGGACCCACCAUAGUGGAGGAUGACUAGUGGGCCAACUAAGUUGACGGGGACGGAGGGCUUUGUCAACUUAGUCAAUAUGAACGACUCUAGCUCCAGUGACCAUACGAUGUCCAUCCAACGGCCGUAGUGCUUCUUCAACCUCUGGUCUUCUUGCUCCAACCGCCCAAAGCAGCGCCGGUCGUGCCGCAUGGUCCUGCCUCCCAUGGCCGGCUGUGCUGCCGCGGAGGCCUCACCGCCCUACUAUUCCCACCGCUGGCCAGGCCCUGCAGUGACGGCAGCCUCACACCGCAGCCGAACUAGUGAACCCUCGUACUCCUCUCCGUGCGGGCUUCCACUGCCGCGUCUUCCCUGGCUCCGCGUCGUCCCCUUCCUAGGCCUCACCGUCGUCCACCGCCGUGGUGCUCUCGGCGCGGCGUGGUCAACAUGGUCAAGGAACAACUUCCAUCGUACGUGGACUGUACGAGGAGAGGCUGACAGCUGGGUCCACGGCCGCAGCAAGGAAGUGCCUCCUUAUUACGCGGAAAAUAAUGAUUCCUCCACCUGACAGCUGGGACCCACCGGACGGGCCACUGUAUUUUGCAAAAAAACGUUUCCCCUUGACUGUUGGGACCCACCAGCUACAUCUUCGCACGCAAGGAAGUGUGUCCGGGCAAAAAAAAUGAUUCACCCCCUGACUGCUGGGACCCACCAGCUACACCUUCGCACGCAAGGAAGUGCGUCCGGGCAAAAAAACGAUUCCCCCCUGACUGCUGGGACCCACCAGCUACAUCUUCGCACGCAAGGAAGUGCGUUCGAAAAAAAAUGAUUCGCCCCCCUGACUGCUGGGACCCACCAGCUACAUCUUCGCACGCAAGGAAGUGCCCCCUGACUGCUGGGACCCACCAACUACAUUUUCGCACGCAAGGAAGUGCCUGACAGUCGGGACCCACCUGGUCGAAGCGUACGUAGCAUUGUCAUUCUGGUCGCGAACGUGUACAUACUUACUGGUGGAUGUAGAGGCGCGCACGUGUCGUAGUAGAGGCACGCACGUGUCGUAGUAGAGGCGCGCAUGUAGCAUGUACACGUACGUACAACGGCCAGGGUGCAAGAAAGAAAACACGGCCACGUACAUACAUACGGGCGGGGUCUCGAACGUCUACUCGCGCAUACGUACGGCCAGGGCUCGUGUACAUGGCUGGGUCGGAACGGAGAAACAUCGUCAUCGUUGUGUUCAUGGGGAGCCAACCGGCUGGGUCGGAACGGAAUGCGUCGUCGUGUUCAUCGGGAGGGCUUGGACGGAACAGGCGAUGGAAACGAGGCCUGGCAUACCGCAGAACGGAGGAAACGGCCUUGUGUUCGACCGGCCAUGUUCGAAACGGGAUCCUGUUCAUCGGGAGGGGUCUGGCGUACCACAAAACAAAGGAAACGGACCUCCUACGGUCGAAACGGGGGUCCUGUUGAUCGGGAGGGGUGUGCCGUACCGCAAAACGGACGAAACAGACUUGUGUUGGAGCGCUACGGUCGAAACGGGGGUCCUGUUGAUCGGGAGGGGUGUGGCGUACCGCAAAACGGACGAAACGGACUUGUGUUGGAGCGCUNNNNNNNNNNNNNNNNNNNNNNNNNNNNNNNNNNNNNNNNNNNNNNNNNNNNNNNNNNNNNNNNNNNNNNNNNNNNNNNNNNNNNNNNNNNNNNNNNNNNNNNNNNNNNNNNNNNNNNNNNNNNNNNNNNNNNNNNNNNNNNNNNNNNNNNNNNNNNNNNNNNNNNNNNNNNNNNNNNNNNNNNNNNNNNNNNNNNNNNNNNNNNNNNNNNNNNNNNNNNNNNNNNNNNNNNNNNNNNNNNNNNNNNNNNNNNNNNNNNNNNNNNNNNNNNNNNNNNNNNNNNNNNNNNNNNNNNNNNNNNNNNNNNNNNNNNNNNNNNNNNNNNNNNNNNNNNNNNNNNNNNNNNNNNNNNNNNNNNNNNNNNNNNNNNNNNNNNNNNNNNNNNNNNNNNNNNNNNNNNNNNNNNNNNNNNNNNNNNNNNNNNNNNNNNNNNNNNNNNNNNNNNNNNNNNNNNNNNNNNNNNNNNNNNNNNNNNNNNNNNNNNNNNNNNNNNNNNNNNNNNNNNNNNNNNNNNNNNNNNNNNNNNNNNNNNNNNNNNNNNNNNNNNNNNNNNNNNNNNNNNNNNNNNNNNNNNNNNGAAACGGGGGUCCUGUUGAUCGGGAGGGGUGUGGCGUACCGCAAAACGGAGGAAACAGACCUCCUACAGUCGAAACGGGGAUCCUGUUGAUCGGGAGGGGUGUGCUGUACCACAAAAUGGAAGAAACGGACCCCCUACGGUCAAAACGGGGGUCCUGUUGAUCGGGAGGGGUGUGGCGUACCGCAAAACGGACGAAACGGACCUCCUACGGUCGAAACGGGGGUCCUCUUCAUCGGGAGGGGUGUGGCAUACCGCAAAACGGGACUCCACGGGAUACUGUUCGUCUCCACCGUCGACCUCCUCCAGCCUCCACGGGCUACCGUCGACCUCCUCCAGCCUCCAUGGGCUACCGUUCAUCCAGCCUCCACCACGCGCUACUCCACCGGCUACUGUUCAACCACCCCUCCACGGGCAUCCCUCCACCGUCUACUGUUCAUCUAGCCCUCCACACCACGGGGUCCUGUUCAACCACCCCUCCACGGGCACCCCUCCACCGUCUACUGUUCAUCCAGCCCUCNNNNNNNNNNNNNNNNNNNNNNNNNNNNNNNNNNNNNNNNNNNNNNNNNNNNNNNNNNNNNNNNNNNNNNNNNNNNNNNNNNNNNNNNNNNNNNNNNNNNNNNNNNNNNNNNNNNNNNNNNNNNNNNNNNNNNNNNNNNNNNNNNNNNNNNNNNNNNNNNNNNNNNNNNNNNNNNNNNNNNNNNNNNNNNNNNNNNNNNNNNNNNNNNNNNNNNNNNNNNNNNNNNNNNNNNNNNNNNNNNNNNNNNNNNNNNNNNNNNNNNNNNNNNNNNNNNNNNNNNNNNNNNNNNNNNNNNNNNNNNNNNNNNNNNNNNNNNNNNNNNNNNNNNNNNNNNNNNNNNNNNNNNNNNNNNNNNNNNNNNNNNNNNNNNNNNNNNNNNNNNNNNNNNNNNNNNNNNNNNNNNNNNNNNNNNNNNNNNNNNNNNNNNNNNNNNNNNNNNNNNNNNNNNNNNNNNNNNNNNNNNNNNNNNNNNNNNNNNNNNNNNNNNNNNNNNNNNNNNNNNNNNNNNNNNNNNNNNNNNNNNNNNNNNNNNNNNNNNNNNNNNNNNNNNNNNNNNNNNNNNNNNNNNNNNNNNNNNNNNNNNNNNNNNNNNNNNNNNNNNNNNNNNNNNNNNNNNNNNNNNNNNNNNNNNNNNNNNNNNNNNNNNNNNNNNNNNNNNNNNNNNNNNNNNNNNNNNNNNNNNNNNNNNNNNNNNNNNNNNNNNNNNNNNNNNNNNNNNNNNNNNNNNNNNNNNNNNNNNNNNNNNNNNNNNNNNNNNNNNNNNNNNNNNNNNNNNNNNNNNNNNNNNNNNNNNNNNNNNNNNNNNNNNNNNNNNNNNNNNNNNNNNNNNNNNNNNNNNNNNNNNNNNNNNNNNNNNNNNNNNNAUCCAUCGGCUUCAGUUAGCAGCAGUAGUGAAGGAAUCGCUCGCUCAGGUUCAGUAAUGCGUAGCCUGCAAUGCAAUCACUCGGGUUCAGUUAGAGCCCAACGCCUCGCUCGGGUUCAGUUAGAGCCAACGCAUCGCACACACGCGCGUACGUGUACGAGAGAAACACGCAUCGCUUCGCCCCAGACCUCCCACCGUAACCGGGAACUCGCCGAAAUUUUCCUCGCCCUCGCUUCUACCAUGGUUUUUUCCGUCAUGGACGGCCCAAAGAAUGUCAUGCAGCUGCAUCUCCGGCCCGCCCAGGACGAAAAGCCCAUUUUUCUGUCAUGAUUUUUUGUCAUAGAAGUAGGAGCCCACCACAUCUAUGAUGAUACCGGGUUUUGUCACAAUUAUCGUCAUAGAAGUGUCAUAAAUAUGACAGGAAAAAAAAUUGGUUCGGCCCAAAAUAUCACGGAUGUGUCUUUUUUUGUAGUGCAAUUAGCUGACACGUGCAUUAUCCGGUGAAUGAGAAUUUUACACGUGGAAGAUCCCCAUUGGUCGGGGCUAUUAACGGGUUAUUGGAUCCAAACCGGAACCCGAGAGCUUAACGGCGACCCAUUACGGUGGAUGCCACGUUUCGGUCACCCUUGACAAAAGCACUUCUAUGACGCACGAUUUAUCGUCAUGGAAGUGGACACUUCCAUGAUGAUAAUUUUGGUAAUGUCAUGGAAAACUUCUACGACAGCACAGGUAUGACUAUCUUGAUUCUAUCAUAAAAUCAUCAUGGAUAUACAUGCAUGAUAGAAAACGUGAACUACUGUGACAAACACGUAUCAUCACAGAAGUGUAGUUUUUUGUAGUGAAAUAUGUUGCACUAUCAUUAUCAACUUUGCAUAUUUUGGCAUCAGUAUUAUGAAAAUGUGUAUCACCACAAUCGAGAUUCAACAAAAAUGGACCACUUUUCAAGGGUGCAUGACCAUAAAAGAUAUUACUCAUAUAAAUAGAACAACCAUUAUUCUCUAGUUUAAAUGAAUAACCGUCUCGCACUAAACAAGAUCCACAUAUAAUGUUCAUGCUCAACGCUAGCACCAAAUAACAAUUAUUCAGGUCUAAAACUAAUCUCGAAGGUAGAUGUAGAGGUAGCGUGCCGACGGCGAUCACAUCAACCUUGGAACCAUUUCCGACGCACAUCGUCACCUCAUCCUUAGCCAAUCUUCAUUUAAUCCGUAGCCCUGAUUCGAGUUACAAAUAUGAGCAACCGAACCAGUAUCAAAUACACAGGCGCUACUACGAGCAUUAGUAAGGUACACAUCAAUAACACGUAUAUCGAAUAUACCUUUGUUCACUUUGCCAUCCUUCUUAUCCACCAAGUAUUUGGGGCAGUUCUGCUUCCAAUAACCAUUUCCUUUGCAGUACAAGCACUCAGUUUCAGGCUUGGGUCUAGCUUUGGGUUUCUUCAUGGGAGCGGCAACUUGUUUGCCAUUCUUCUUGAAGUUCCCUUUCUUUCCCUUUUGCUCUUUUUCUUGAAACUAUUGGUCUUGUUUAACCAUCAACAUUUGAUGCUCUUUCUUGAUUUCUAACCUUCGUCGAUUUUAGCAUCGCGAAGAGCCCGAGCAUCGUUUUCGUUAUCCCUUGCAUAUUAUAGGUCAUCAUGAAGUUCUAGAAGCUUGGUGAUAGUGACUAGAGAAUUCUGUCAAUCAACAAGCGAUUGUAGUACCCAGACAUUCUGAGUACAUGCUCACUGGCUGAGUUGUUCUCCUCCAUCUUGUAGGUAAAGUACUUUUCAGAGGUGUCAUACCUCUCAACACGGGCAUGAGUCUGAAAUACCAAUUUCAGCUCUUGGAACAUCUCAUAUGCUUCGUGGCGUUCAAAACGUUUUUGAAGUCCUGGCUCUAAGCCGUAAAGCUGUUGGGGAACGCAGUAAUUUCAAAAAAAUUCCUACGAGCACGCAAGAUCAUGGUGAUGCAUAGCAACAAGAGGGGAGAGUGUAGUCCAUGUACCCUCGUAGACCAUAAGUGGAACCGUUAUGACAACGCGGUUGAUGUAGUUGUACGUCUUCACGAUCCGACCGAUCCUAGUACCGAAAGUACGACACCUCCGCGAUCUGCACACGUUCAGCUCGGUGACGUCCCAUGAACUCUCGAUCCAGCUGAGUGUCGAGGGAGAGCUUCUUCAGCACGACGGCGUGAUGACGGUGAUGAUGAAGCUACCGGUGCAGGGCUUCGCCUAAGCACUGCAACGAUAUGACCGAGGUGGAUUAUGGUGGAGGGGGGCACCGCACACGGCUAAGAGAUCAAUGAUCAAGUUGUGUUCUAGGGUGCCCCUGCCCCCGUAUAUAAAGGAGCAAAGGGGGAGGUCGGCCAGCCCUAGGGCACGCCAAGGAGGGGGGAAUCCUCCUCCUAGUAGGAGUAGGAUUCCUCCUUUCCUAGUCCUACUAGGAGGGGGAAGGAAGGAGAGGGGAAGGGAGAGGGAAAGAGGGUUCGCGUCCCCCUCCCCUAGUCCAAUUCGGACUCCCUUGGGGCGGCGCCACCUGAUGCUGCCCUCUCUCUCCCCUAAAGCCCACUAAGGGCCCAAUAACUUCCCGGGGGGGGGGGGGUCCGGUAACCCUCCGCACUCCGGUUUUCUCCGAAAUCACCCGGAACACUUCCGGUGUCCGAAUAUAGCCGUCCAAUAUAUCGAUAUUUAUGUCUCGGCCAUUUUGAGACUCGUCCUCAUGUCCGUGAUCAUAUCCGGGACUCCGAACUACUUUCGGUACAUCAAAACACAUAAGCUCAUAAUACCGAUCGUCACCGAACGUUAAGCGUGCGGACCCUAUAGGUUCGAGAACUAUGUAGACAUGACCGAGACACGUUCCGGUCAAUAAUCAAUAGUGGAACCUGGAUGCCCAUAUUGGCUCCCACAUAUUCUACGAAGAUCUUUAUCGGUCAAACCGCAUAACAACAUACAUUGUUCCCUUUGUCAUUGGUAUGUUACUUGCCCGAGAUUCGAUCGUCGGUAUCUCAAUACCUAGUUCAAUCUCGUUACCGACAAGUCUCUUUACUCAUUACAUAAUGAAUCAUCCCGCAACUAUCUCAUUAGUCACAUUGCUUGCAAGGCUUAUAGUGAUGUGCAUUACCGAGAGGACCCAGAGAUACCUCUCCGACAAUCGGAGUGACAAAUCCUAAUCUCGAUCUAUGCCAACUCAACAAACGCCAUCGGAGACACCUGUAGAGCACCUUUAUAAUCACCCAGUUACGUUGUGACGUUUGGUAGCACACAAAGUGAUCCUCCGGUAUUCGGGAUUUGCAUAAUCUCAUAGUUAUAGGAACAUGUAUAAGUCAUGAAGAAAGCAAUAGCAAUAAACUAAACGAUCAUAGUGCUAAGCUAACGGAUGGGUCUUGUCCAUCACAUCAUUCUCCUAAUGAUGUGAUCCCGUUCAUCAAAUGACAACACAUGUCUAUGGUUAGGAAACAUAACCAUCUUUGAUAAACGAGCUAGUCAAGUAGAAGCGUACUAGGGACACUUAUGUUUUGUCUAUGUACUCACACAUGUACUAAGUUUCCGGUUAAAUGUACUAAGUUUCCGGUUAAUACAAUUCUAGCAUGAAUAAUAAACAUUUAUCAUGAAAUAAGGAAAUAAAUAAUAACUUUAUUAUUGCCUCUAGGGCAUAUUUCCUUCAGUCUCCCACUUGCACUAGAGUCAAUAAUCCAGAUCACAUCACCAUGUGAUUAAACAUCAAUAGUUCACAUCACCAUGUGAUUAACACCCAAAGGGUUUACAUAGAGUCAAUAAUCUAGUUCACAUCGCUAUGUGAUUAACACUCAAAGAGUACUUAGGUGUGAUCAUGUUUUGCUUGUGAGAGAAGUUUAGUCAGUGGGUCUGUCACAUUCAGAUCUGUAUGUAUUUUGCAAAUUUUCUAUGUCUACAAUGCUCUGCAUGGAGCUACUCUAGCUAAUCGCUCCCACUAUCACUAUGUAUCCAGAUUGUGACUUAGAGUCAUCCGAAUCGGUGUAAAAGCUUGCAUCGAUGUAACUCUUUAUGACGAACUCUUUAUCACCUCCAUAACCAAGAAAUAUUUUCUUAGUCCUCUUAGGUAACUAAAGAUAAAUUUUGAGCGCUGUCCAGUGAUCUACUCCUGGAUGACUAUUGCACUCCCUUGCCAAACUCAGGGCAGGGUAUACAAUAGGUAUGGUACAUAGCAUAGCAUACUUUAUAGAACCUAUGGCUAAGGCAUAGGGAAUGACUUUCAUUCUCUCUCUAUCUUCUGUCAUGGUCGGGCUUUGAGUCUUACUCAACUUCACACCUUGCAACACAGGCAAGAACUCCUUCUUUGACUGUUCUAUUUUGAACUACUUCAAAAACUUGUCAAGGUAUGUAUUCAUUGAAAAAACUUAUCAAGCAUCUUGAUCUAUCUAUAUAGAUCUUGAUGCUCAAUAUGUAAGCAGCUUUACUGAGGUCUUUCUUUGAAAAACUCCUUUCAAACAGUCCUCUACGCUUUCCAGAAAAUUCUACAUCAUUUCUGAUCAACAAUAUGUCACUCACCUAUACUUAUCAGAAAGGCUGUAGUGCUCCCACUCACUUUCUUGUAAAUACAGGCUUUACCGCAAGUCUGUAUAAAACUAUAUGCUUUGAUCAACUCAUCAAAGCGUAUAUUCCAACUCCGAGAUGCUUGCACCAGUCCAUAGAUGGAUUGCUGGUGUUUGCACAUUUAGCAUCUUUAGGAUUGACAAAACCUUCUUGUUGCAUCAUAUACAACUCUUCUUUAAGAAAUCCAUUAAGGAAUGCAGUUUUUGACUUCCAUUUGCUAGAUUUCAUAAAAUGUGGCAAUUGCUAACAUGAUUCGGACAGAUUUAAGCAUCGAUACGAGUGAGAAAAUCUCAUCAUAGUCAACACCUUGAACUUGUCGAAAACCUUUUGCAAUAAUUCGAGCUUUGUAGAUAGUAACACUACUAUCAACGUCCGUCUUCCUCUUGAAGAUCCAUUUAUUCUCAAAUGGUCUACUGAUCAUCGAGCAAGUCAACCAAAGUCCAUAAUUUGUUUCUCAUACAUGGAUCCCAUCUCAGAUUUCAUGGCCUCAAGCCAUUUUGCGGAAUCUGGGCUCAUCAUCGCUUCCUCAUAGUUUGUACGUUCAUCAUGGUCUAGUAACAUGACUUCUAGAACAGGAUUAUCGUACCACUUUGGUGCGGAACAUGCUCUGGUUAACCUACGAGGUUCGGUAGCAACUUGAUCUGAAGUUUCAUGAUCAUCAUCAUUAACUUCCUCACUAAUUGGUGUAGGCAUCACUGGAACUGAUUUUUGUGAUGAACUACUUUCCAAUUUGGGAGAAGGUACAAUUACCUCAUCAAGUUCUACUUUCCUCCCACUCACUUCUUUCGAGAGAAACUCGUUCUCUAGAAAGGAUCCAUUCUUAGCAAUGAAUAUCUUGCCUUCGGAUCUGUGGUAGAAGGUGUACCCAACAGUCUCCUUUGGAUAUCCUUUGAAGACACAUUUCUCCGAUUUGGGUUCGAUCUUAUCAGGUUGAAGCUUUUUCACAUAAGCAUCGCAGCCCCAAACUUUAAGAAACGACAGCUUAUGUUUAUUGCUAUACCACAGUUCAUAUGGUGUCGUCUCAACGAUUUAGAUGGUGCCCUAUUUAACGUGAAUGCAGCUGUCUACAAUGCAUAAUCCCAAAACAAUAGUGGUAAAUCCGUAAGAGACAUCAUAGAUCGCACCAUAUCCAAUAAAGUACGGUUAUGACGUUCGGACACACCAUUACGCUGUGGUGUUCCAGGUGGCGUGAGUUGUGAAACUAUUCCACAUUGUUUUAAAUGAAGGCCAAACUCGUAACUAAAAUAUUUGCCUCCAUGAUCAGAUCGUAGAAACUUUAUUUUCUUGUUACGAUGAUUCUCCACUUCACUCUGAAAUUCUUUGAACUUUUCAACUGUUUCAGAUUUGUGUUUCAUUAAGUAGAUAUACCCAUAUCUGCUCAAAUCAUCUGUGAAGGUCAGAAAAUAACGAUACCCGCCGCAAGCCCUAACACUCAUCGGAUCGCAUACAUCGGUAUGUAUUAUUUCCAAUAAGUCAGUAGCUCGCUCCAUUGUUCCGGAGAAUGGAGUUUUAGUCAUCUUGCCCAUGAGGCAUGGUUCGCAAGCAUCAAAUGAUUCAUAGCCAAGUGAUUCCAAAAGCCCAUCAGCAUGGAGUUUCUUCAUGCAUUUUACACCAAUAUGACCUAAACAGUAGUGCCACAAAUAAGUUGCACUAUCAUUAUUAACUUUGCAUCUUUUGGCUUCAAUAUUAUGAAUAUGUGUAUCACUAUGAUCGAGAUCCAACAAACUAUUUUCAUUGGGUGUAUGACCAUCGAAGGUUUUAUUCAUGUAAACAGAACAACAAUUAUUCUCUGACUUUAAAUGAAUAAAUGUAUUUCAAUAAACAUGAUCAAAUCAUAUUCAUGCUCAACGCAAACACCAAAUAACAUUUAUUUAGGUUCAACACUAAUCCCGAAAGUAUAGGGAGUGUGCGAUGAUGAUCAUAUCAAUCUUGGAACCACUUCCAACACACAUCGUCACUUCACCCUUAACUAGUCUCUGCUCAUUCUGCAACUCCCAUUUCGAGUUCUCUUAGAAACUGAACCAGCAUCAAAUACCGAGGGGUUGCUAUAAACACUAGUAAAGUACACAUAAAUAACAUGUAUAUCACAUAUACCUUUGUUCAUUCUGCCAUCCUUCUUAUCCGCCAAGUAUCUAGGGCAGUUCCACUUCCAGUGACCAUUUCCUUUGUAGUAGAAGCACUCAGUUUCAUGCUUGGGUCUAGCUUUGGGCUUCUUCAUGGGAGUGGCAACUUGCUUUCCAUCCUUCUUGAAGUUCCCUUUCUUUCCCUUGCCCUUUUACUUGAAACUAGUGGUCUUGUCAACCAUCAACACUUGAUACUUUUUCUUGAUUUCUACCUUCGCUGAUUUCAGCAUCGCGAAGAGCUUUCGCAAUCGUUUCCGUUAUCCCUUGCAUAUUAUAGUUCAUCACGAAGUUCUAGUAACUUGGUGAUAGUGACUAGAGAACUCUGUCAAUCACUAUCUUAUCAGGAAGAUUAACUCCCACUUGAUUCAAGUGAUUGUAGUACUCACACAUUCUGAGCACAUGCUCACUCGUUGAGCUAUUCUCCUCCAUCUUGUAGGCAAAGUACUGUCAAAGGUCUCAUACCUCUUGACACGGGCAUGAGUAUGAGAUACCAAUUUCAACUCUUGGAACAUCUUAUAUGCUCCAUGGCGUUCAAAACAUUUUUGAAGCCCCGGUUCUAAGCUGUAAAGCAUGGUGCACUAAACUAUCAAGUAGUCAUCAUACCGAGCUUGUCAAAGUUCAUAACGUCUGCAUCUGCUCCUGCAAUAGGUCUGUCACCUAGCGGUGCAUCAAGGACGUAAUUCUUCUGUGCAGCAAUGAGGAUAAUCCUCAGAUCACGGACCUAGUCUGCAUCAUUUCUACUAUCAUCUUUCAACAUAGUUUUUCUCUAGGAACAUAUCAAAAAUAAACGGGGAGCUACAUCGCGAGCUAUUGAUCUACAACAUAGUUAUGCAAAUACUAUCAGGACUAAGUUCACGAUAAACUAAAGUUCAAUUAAUCAUAUUACUUAAGAACUCCCACUUAGAUAGACAUCCCUCUAGUCAUCUAAAUGAUCACGUGAUCCAAAUCAACUAAACCAUGUCCGAUCAUCACGUGAGAUGGAGUAGUUUUCAAUGGUGAACAUCAGUAUGUUGAUCAUAUCUACUAUAUGAUUCACACUCGACCUUUUGGUCUUCAGUGUUCCGAGGCCAUAUCUGCAUAUGCUAGGCUUGUCAAGUUUGACCCGAGUAUUCCGCGUGUGCAAAGCUGGAUUGCACCCUUUGUAUGUGAACGUAGAGCUUAUCACACCCGAUCAUCACGUGGUGUCUCGGCACGACGAACUGUCACAACGGUGCAUACUCAGGGAGAACACUUAUACCUUGAAAUUUAGUGAGAGAUCAUCUUAUAAUGCUACCGCCGAACUAAGCAAAAUAAGAUGCAUAAAGGAUAAACAUCACAUGCAAUCAAUAUAAGUUAUAUGAUAUGGCCAUCAUCAUCUUGUGCCUUUGAUCUCCAUCUCCAAAGCACCGUCAUGAUCACCAUCGUCACCGACGCGACACCUUGAUCUCCAUCGAAGCAUCUUUUUUUCUCGCCAACUAUUGUUUCUCUGACUAUCGCUACCGCUUAGUGAUAAAGUAAAAACAAUUACAGGGCGAUUGCAUUGCAUACAAUAAAGCGACAACCAUAUGGCUCCUGCCAGUUGCCGAUAACUCUGUUACAAAACAUGAUCAUCUCAUACAAUAAAAUUUAGCAUCAUGUCUUGACCAUAUCACAUCACAACAUGCCCUGCAAAAACAAGUUAGACGUCCUCUACUUUGUUGUUGCAAGUUUUACGUGGCUGCUACGGGCUGAGCAAGAACCGUUCUUACCUAUGCAUCAAAACCACAACGAUUUUUCGUCAAGUAUGUGCUAUUUUAACCUUCAACAAGGACCGGGCGUAGCGACACUCGAUUCAACUAAAGUUGGAGAAACUGACACCCGCCAGCCACCUGUGUGCGAAGCACGUCAGUAGAACCAGUCUCGCGUAAGCGUACGCGUAAUGUGGGUCCGGGCCGCUUCAUCCAACAAUACUGCCGAAUCAAAGUAUGACAUGCUGGUAAGCAGUAUGACUAUUAUCGCCCACAACUCAUUUGUGUUCUACUCGUGCAUAUAACAUCAACGCAUAAACCUGGCUCGGAUGCCACUGUUGAGGAACGCAGUAAUUUCAAAAAAAUUCCUACAAGCACGCAAGAUCAUGGUGAUGCAUAGCAACAAGAGGGGAGAGUGUAGUCCAUGUACCCUCGUAGACAGUAUGUCUUCACGAUCCGACCGAACCUACAAGCGGAAGCGUUAUGAUAACGCGGUUGAUGUAGUCGUAUGUCUUCAUGAUCCGACCGAUCCUAGUACUGAAAGUAUGGCAGCUCCGCGAUCUGCACACGUUCAGCUCGAUGACGUCCCACGAACUCUCGAUCCAGCUGAGUGUCGAGGGAGAGCUUCGUCAGCACGACGGCGUGAUAUGAAGGUACCGGUGCAGGGCUUCGCCUAAGCACUGCAACGAUAUGACCGAGGUGGAUUAUGGUGGAGGGGGCACCGCACAUUGCUAAGAGAUCAAUGAUCAACUUGUGUUUUAGGGUGCCCCCUGCCCCCAUAUAUAAAGGAGCAAGGGGGGAGGUCGGUCGGCCCUAGGGCGCGCCAAGGAGGGGAGGAAUCCUCCUCCUAGUAGGAGUAGGAUUCCUCCUUUCCUAGUCCUACUAGGAGGGGGAAGGAAGGAGAGGGGGAGGGAGAGGGAAAGAGGGGCCGCGCCCCCCUCCCCUAGUCCAAUUCGNNNNNNNNNNNNNNNNNNNNNNNNNNNNNNNNNNNNNNNNNNNNNNNNNNNNNNNNNNNNNNNNNNNNNNNNNNNNNNNNNNNNNNNNNNNNNNNNNNNNNNNNNNNNNNNNNNNNNNNNNNNNNNNNNNNNNNNNNNNNNNNNNNNNNNNNNNNNNNNNNNNNNNNNNNNNNNNNNNNNNNNNNNNNNNNNNNNNNNNNNNNNNNNNNNNNNNNNNNNNNNNNNNNNNNNGCGCCACCUCUUGGCAGCUGCCCUUUCUCUCCACUAAAGCCCACUAGGGGCCCAAUAACUUCCCGGGGGGGGGGGGGGUCCGGUAACCCUCCGGCACUCCGGUUUUCUCCCAAAUCACCUGGAACAUUUCCGGUGUCCGAAUAUAGCCGUCCAAUAUAUCGAUCUUUAUGUAUCGACCAUUUCGAGACUCCUCGUCAUGUCCGUGAUCAUAUCCGGGACUCCGAACUACCUUCGGUACAUCAAAACACAUAAGCUCAUAAUACCGAUCGUCACCGAACGUUAAGCGUGCGGACCCUACGGGUUCGGGAACUAUGUAGACAUGACCGAGACACGUCUCCGGUCAAUAACCAAUAGCAGAACCUGGAUGCUUAUAUUGGCUCCCACAUAUUCUACGAAGAUCUUUAUCGGUCAAACCGUAUAACAACAUACGUUGUUCCCUUUGUCAUCGGUAUGUUACUUGCCCGAGAUUCGAUCCUCGGUAUCUCAAUACCUAGUUCAAUCUCGUUACCGGCAAGUCUCUUUACUCGUUCCGUAAUGCAUCAUCCCACAACUAACUCAUUAGUCACAUUGCUUGCAAGGCUUAUAGUGAUGUGCAUUACCGAGAGGGCCCAGAGAUACCUCUCCGACAAUCGGACUGGCAAAUCCUAAUCUCGAUCUAUGCCAACUCAACAAACACCAUCAUAGACACCUGUAGAGCACCUUUAUAAUCACCCAGUUAUGUUGUGACAUUUGGUAGCACACAAAGUGCUCCUCCGGUAUUCGGGAGUUGCAUAAUCUCAUAGUUAUAGGAACAUGUAUAAGUCAUGAAGAAAGCAAUAGCAAUAAACUAAACGAUCAUAGUGCUAAGCUAACGGAUGGGUCUUGUCAAUCACAUCAUUCUCCUAAUGAUGUGAUCCCGUUCAUCAAAUGACAACACAUGUCUAUGGUUAGGAAACAUAACCAUCUUUUAUAAACGAGCUAGUCAAGUAGAAGCAUACUAGGGACACUUAUGUUUUGUCUAUGUAUUCACACAUGUACUAAGUUUCCGGUUAAUACAAUUCUAGCAUGAAUAAUAAACAUUUAUCAUGAAAUAAGGAAAUAAAUUAUAACUUUAUUAUUGCUUCUAGGGCAUAUUUUCUUCAAAAGCAUGGUGCACUAAACUAUUAAGUAGUCAUCAUAUCGAGCUUGCCAAACGUUCAUAACGUCUGCAUCUACUCCUGUAAUAGGUCUGUCACCUGGCGGUGCAUCAAGGACAUAAUUCUUCUGUGCAGCAAUGAGGAUAAUCCUCAGAUCGCGGACCCAGUCCACAUCAUUGCUACUAUCAUCUUUCAAUUUAGUUUUCUCUAGGAACAUAUAAAAAAAUAUAGGAGCUAUAUCGCGAGCUAUUGAUCUACAACAUAGAUAUGGAAAUACUAUCAGGACUAACUUCAUGAUAAAUUAAGUUCAAUUAAUCAAAUUACUUAAGAACUCCCACUUAGAUAGACAUCCCUCAACUCAUCUAAAUGAUACGUGAUCCAAAUCAACUAAACCAUGUCCGAUCAUCACAUGAGAUGGAGUAGUCAUCAAUGGUGAACAUCUCUAUGUUGAUCAUAUCUAAUAUAUGAUUCACGUUCGACCUUUCGGUCUCCAGUGUUCCAAGGACAUGUUUGUACAUGUCGGGCUCGUCAAGUUUAACCCAAGUAUUCCGCAUGUGCAAAACUGUCUUGCACCCGUUGAUGUGAACGUUGAGUCUAUCACACCCGAACAUCACGUGGUGUCUCAACACGAUGAACUGUCGCAACGGUGCAUACUCGGGGAGAACACUUAUACCUUGAAAUUUAGUAAAGGGAUCAUAUUAUAAUGCUACCGUCGUACUAAGCAAAAUAAGAUGCAUAAAAGAUAAACAUUACAUGCAAUCAAAAUAUGUCACAUGAUAUGGCCACCAUCAUCUUGUGCUUUUGAUCUCCAUCUCCAAAGCAUCAUCAUGAUCUCCAUCGUUACUGGCUUGACACCUUGAUCUCCAUCGUAGCGUGUGGUCAUCUCGCCAACUAUUGCUUCUACAACUAUCGCUAACGCAUAGUGAUAAAGUAAAACAAUUACAUGGCGUUUGCAUUUCAUACAAUAAAGAGACAACCAUAAGGCUCCUGCCGGUUGCGAGUAACUUUUACAAAACAUGAUCAUCUCAUACAAUAACAUAUAUCACAUGAUGUCUUGACCAUAUCACAUCACAACAUGCCCUGCAAAAACAAGUUAGACGUUCUCUACUUUGUUGUUGCAAGUUUUACGUGGCUGCUAUGGUCUUCUAGUAAGAACCGUUCUUACCUACGCAUCAAAACCACAACGGUGAUUUAUCAAGUUUGCUAUUUUAACCUUCAACAAUGACCGGCCGCAGUCAAAUUUGAUUCAACUAAAGUUGGAGAAACAGACACCCGCCAGCCACCUUUAUGCAAAACUAGUUGCAUGUCCGUCGGUGGAACCAGUCUCAUGAACGUGGUCAUGUAAGGUACGGUUGGCCCGGGCCGCUUCAUCCAACAAUACCGCCGAAUCAAAAUAAGACAUUUGUGGUAAGCAGUAUGACGAUUACCGCACACAACUCUUUGUGUUCUACUCGUGCAUAUCAUCUACGCAUAGACCUGGCUCAGAUGCCACUGUUGGGAAACGUAGCAUGCAAUUUCAAAAAAAUCCUAUGCUCACGCAAGAUCUAUCUAGGAGAUGCAUAGCAACGAGAGGGGGAGAGUGUGUCUACAUACCCUCGUAGACCAAAAGCGGAAGCGUUUGACAAUGCCUUUGAUGUAGUCGAACUUCUUCUUGUUCCGACCGAUCAAGCACCGAAUGUACGACACCUUCGAGUUCUGCACAUGUUCAGCUCGAUGACGUCCCUCGAACUCUUGAUCCAGCAAAGUGUCGAAGAAGUAUAUGAGUUCCGUCAGCACGACGGCGUGGUGACGGUGAUGGUGAAGUGAUCCGCGUAGGGCUUCGCCUAAGCACUACGAGAAUAUGACUGAGGGUGUAAUUUGUGGAGGGAGGCGCCGCACACGGCUAACACAUGUUUAUGUGUGUUCUAGGCGCCUCCCCCUCAUAUAUAUAGGUGGGAGGGAGAGGGAGCAGCCAAGGGGGGCGCCCCAAGUAGGCCGAAUCCUACUUGGGGUUCCUCCCCAUUUCGGCCCCCCUUUCCUUUUUCACCGGAGGGGGAAGGAAAGAGGAGGGAGGAGGGAAGGAAGGGGGAGGCCGAAUCCCUCCUGUCGUCGUUUUGUCACGGCAGAUGUCCUAGUGUGAGGACUUAGUCGUGGAGCCAUCCCAACGAGGUUAGCUUAAAGGGGUUAAACCGGACAAAGGACACGGGAUUUUAUACUGGUUCGGCCCCUUGCGGUGAAGGUAAAAGCCUACGAUCCAGUUGUGGUGGAAUUGAUGGGGUCUCGAUGAUCAGGGAGCGAAAUCGCUUUACCUGGCUCUCGAGCUGUUGUUUCUUGUCCUUGAAUCGCCGUCGGGCCGUCCCUUUAUAUACACAGGUUGACGCCCGUCGGCUUACAGAAUCCCGACGCCGGCUCAUACACGUGUCCGGCUCGAUUUCUACUUUCUCAUACCUUGCAACACAAGUUAUGUAAUACAUGGCGGUUUAUAUCUAUAGGCCCUAAUCUGCCUUUGGUCCUUGGGCCUUUAAGUCUCUGUAGUAAAGCACCAUACUCCUCUUCUUCAUGGGCUUCAAUGUGGAUGAUUCCUUAUGAGUAUAACCCGGCCCCUCUUGGGCGGUUUAUACUCAAUAGUUAUAUCCCCAACAUUAGGCCCCAAAUUGAUUUGAACCUGUUAAUAUUCAACACUUAUGAAAGUUUCUUCUUGAACAUCUUUAUGUAAACCGCCAUGCCGUCAUCUUUCUGUGAAUCUGAUAAACCGUCGUGACGUCAUCUUUCCGUGAAUCUGAUAAAUCGUCGUGACGUCAUCUUCCAAGAUUGUAAUAAAUCGCCAUGACGUCACCUGCUUAUUAAAACUGUAUAUCCUUCCCUUUUAUUAAUAAACCUCCAAGAAACGAGGCGACGGCUCCAUUUUUCGGGCUCUAUCGUGGAUUUGUCACGGCAGAUGUCCUAGCAAAAGGGCUUAGUCGUGGAGCCAUCGCAACGGGUUAGCUUAAAGGGGUUAAACCGGACAAAGACAAGGGAGAGUUUAUACUGGUUUGGACCCUUGUUGUGAAGGUAAAAGCCUACGAUCCAGUUGUGGUGGAAUUGAUGUGGUCUCGAUGAUCAGGGAGCGGAAUCGCUUUACCUAGAUCUCGAGUUGUUUCUUGUCCUUGAACCGCCGCCGGGUCGUGCCUUUAUCUACACAGGUCGACGCCCGGCGGUCUAUAGAAUCCCGAGGCCGGCUCAUACAUGUGUUCGCCUCGGUCUCUACUUUCCCCUAUCUUACAACACAAGUAAUAUGUUACAUGGCGGUUUACGUCUAUGGGCCAUAACCCACCUCUGGGCCUUGGGCCUCAAAUAUGAAUAACUCAUCAUGGGGAUAAGCCGACCUCUCUUGGCCGGUUUACACCCAGUAGUAAUAUCCCCAACAUUAGGCCCCAGAUUGAUUUGAGCUGGUUCAUGUCAAUCUUCAGACUUGAGAAAAAUUCUUCUUUCAGCAUCUUCACAUAAAUCUUGUAAACCGCCAUGACGUCACCAUCCAGUAUCAUGAUAAACCAUCAUGACGUCACCUGUUAUUUAAAAUGGUAUAUACCUCACCUUCAUUAAUGAUCCUCCGACAAUCGAGGCGACAACUGUCACAUAUCCAACCUUUUAGGCUCCUCGAUUCUCACGUCUGGCACUUAUCCUUUCACCUUUAUAAUUAAGGCCGAGGGUCCUUUCCAUUUCCCCCCCUUGUCUCUUCAACUCUUCUUCUUCCUCGCGACACCUCAGAGCCCGAGCUCCGUUGCCGCCGUCGACCUUCGCGUCUGCACCAACCAAGGCCGCUGCAUCAACCUAUUUUGACCAGAGAACUGCGACACACCUCCGCUGUUCAGCAGCACCAGUAAGUAUUCUUCUUCUCGAAUGUCAGAUCUGCAUUAGGGUUUCCACUGUUCAUUGAUGUUCUUCACUGUUUGUCUUUUUUCUUUCCUAGAUCGCAUAAUUUGAUCCGAAUCUGAUAGCAAAGGCGAGCCACAGUAGUUUAGCACCCCUUUUAAACCUCAGAAAGUACCCUUUCCUGCAUGAGAUCCCAUCCGAGCAUAUGUGUUCUUCUACUGUCGCAACUUUAGGUUUACCAUUCAUCUUCCUUUUAUAACCGCGUCAGAUCCAAAAUUAUAACACCAAUCUGUGAAAUCUGUUUGCGCCACACUUAGGAGUUUUUCCAGAUCUGUAGCUUCCAUACGAUUGUAGACGGAUUACCUUUUUAGAAAAUGAUAACCCGCCAGGUACCAUUAGCCCUCUUUUAAACCGCCAACCGGCUUUAAAUAUCAGGAUCCAGUUUAGUAUAUAUAAGCAUUUCAAUGUUAUCUUCUUCCAUCAUUGCUCCGGUUUAUAACUACCAACCAUUAAUUUGUAAACCGGUUAUUGAUUCUCCAGAUUUCCACCGAAAUGGCCAAACAGUUCUACUCUUGCAAUUGGGUUCCUUCCCAGGUUACAGAGGCACAACUGACUAGGUGUGUUGCGACUGGCGCUUUAGCAAGCAAAGAUACCAUUCAUUGGCGAGUCCCCGGUCCAGAGAAUCCUCAUGAGCCCCAGGAUGGAGAAGUUAUUGUAUUUGUUGAUCAUCUAAGUCGAGGGUUUACCCCUCCCAGAUCAAAAUUCUUUCAUGACGUGCUUGCUAGCUUUCAGAUCCGGCCUCAAGACAUCGGACCUAACUCAUUGUCCAAUAUUUGCAACUAGCAAGUAUUUUGUGAAGUGUAUCUGCAAGAAGAACCUACCGUCGAGUUUUUCCGGGACUUCUUUUACUUAAACCGCCGUACUGAAUUUACGGACGGCCCCAACACUGAGCUGGGUGGUGUUUCAAUUUAGAAGAGGAAAGAUGUUGACUUCCCUCAAGCCAAGCUUCACAAUCAUCCCAUGGACUGGAAUCAGACUUGGUUUUAUUACCGAAACACAGCUCCGGUAAAUGAAAAUCCUUUGUCGGGUUAUCGCCCACACCGGCUUACAAAAACUCAUCCCCUUCCACAACAACUCACUGCCAAGGAAAACGUGCAAAAUAUGCCCAUCAGCUAGCGAAACUCAGAGCCUUUGUUGCAAACGGACUGACAGGCAUCGACUUUGUUCGAUGCUGGGUCUCUUGGAGUGUUCUGCCCUUAAGCCGGCGCCCCGGUUUAAUGUGUGAAUACACAGGAGAUUUGAAAGACCCUCAGCGUCAUAUCGACAUCCAACUCACUGACGAUGAAGUUACCGAAGCUGUGAAGAAAAUGCUUGAUGAACCGGUGGAGCAAUGCAGCAAAACGGGACUCAUUCCUUUCUAUGCUGCCAACAAACCGCCAAAGGUAAGAAUUCCCGCUUUAUUGUCUUAAUCCAUCCCUUGUCAAAUAACCUUUCAUAACUGUGCCGUUCAUUUAUGCAGGGCGAUGAUCCAUUCUGGAAGAGGAAAACACAAGAUAAACCGGCAAGGGCUCCCCGUAUCAAGUCCAAAGUCACAAAGAAGCCUACAAAAAGGAGAACCGCUGAACCGUUUGAACCAGUCAUUGAUGAGGAUCUGGAUAAUCGGGAUUCAGAGGUAGAACUUGACUCUCUUGGUUCAUUUUUUAUACACCUUAUUGACAAUGAUCAUUAUCAGGAUGAUGCGGAGGCUAGCCAUGCUGACGAGGUAACCAUUCUUUCUUCUGAUUCAAAUCCUGUGCCAAUGCCAAAAAUCCGUCGAGCCAUCCAGAAAGUAAAAUUUUCAUGCCCUCUUUCUUAUUUGGAUCCGCACUUUCUUUUGAAGACACAGCAGCAUGAAAGUCGCCGCACAACCCGGCAUAGCGGCCAAGUGGUGACCUCAUCCGGUUUACCGAACUCUCCGGUUCGCAAACGCCGCCAAGAGGUUUCUUAUAUUCCUGACACACUUUAUCCUAAGGCGGGUUACUUUCGAUAUCCUCUUAAUCCGUCUGACUCAAAUUAUCAGGGAACUUCCCAUUCAUCAUCCGGCGAGUCAUCAGCCACACAGCUUCCUCCCCUUAAAACUGUCCCUGGGUAAGCAUAACAUACUUUAACCUUUGUAGUCUUGUAUUAUUUUAUCAUACUGAUUUUGUGCCUGUUCUUUCCAGAGCCAAAGCUAGAACAAGCAAGAAGGCUAAGUUGAGUAAGCCGUCUGGGGAUGAACCGGCUACUGAACCGGAUAAAAUCCCAGAGGUUGUUGAUCUGGAUGCUGACACGGUCCUUGAUGAUCCGAUGUUUUAACUUUGAUGGUAUAGCCCCCAUGGACCGGUUUAUACCUUUAGGAUAAACCGGUACAUCUUCUGAUAUACUGUGUCCAGAACUCAUGAUCAUUUUAAUCCGUCUGAACUUUGAGCAAAUAUGCAUUAGCCCCCAAGUGUCAUGUAGAUAACUUGUUAUGUGCUUGAGACUUUAAAUUGACACCUAAUAAAAAGCAAUCCGCAUUAGCCCCCAAGUGCCAAGUGUAUAACUUGUUAUGGGCUUGGGACUUCAAAGAUAUAUUACUAACCUAUUAAUUGUCUCUUUCAGGCUGAGCUGACCAAAAAAGACUCCCAAAUCACCGAUCUUCAGGCAAAUAUCAAAUCCCAGCAAGAUGAGACUUGCAAGGUUAAAGGCAAGCUAACCACCGCUUUAACAACCAUGGAACAACUGAAGGAGUACUUUAAGGGUGAACGGGCAGACUGGGAAGUUGAAAAAUCCACUUUGUUAAAGCGGGCAGAAGAUACUAAAAACGCCCUUAAAUCGGUGACAGAAGAACUGAGCAGCUUGAAGCAGCAGAUCAAUGCCAUGACCUCUGCCAUCUUUGGUAAUAACCUCUUCACAAAAUUUUAACAAGUGCCAGUUAUGAACCUUCUGGUUUAACAAUAGUUUGAUCCUUUUGCAGGUAGCCGUGUUACUCAUCUUGGAGCAGAUAUGCGCAAAAAAUUGAAGGCUGCCUAUACAUUGGCAGAGCAAUUUUAUACCGGCGCUCAACGAGCCAUCUGCACAGCUUCCAAUAACAAACCGCCCCCAACGCUGAUCAAGGAAACACUGGAAAGGUUAUCCAUGCUGCCUGCCCGGAUUGAAGAAUUGAAGAAGUCAGCUGCUAGGGCCGGUGCUCUUACUGCCUUGACUCGGGCCAAAGCCUGGAUAUCUGACCUCGAUCCGGAAGACAUUGGGAAUGGUUAUCCAAGCCAGAAAGAGGACAGGUCAGAAUUUGAUAAUGAUGACCUCAGGGCUAUCAAUCAAGAAAUGCGUCCACUGGCAAGCAACUUGGCUGAAGACACUGAUUUGUCGUUUUAUCAGAACUCUUAUGAUGCCAGCGACAAACGGAUGAAUGCACCAACUUAUGACGUGGAAAAUCUGAUCCCGCCAAUUCGUAAGCAUACUUACGCUCCUGAUGUUGAACCGUCUGACCUUAUAAACGAUGAAGCUGUCUUCCAAGCCUUAACAGGAAUUGAUUGGACAACUAUUGACUUACAGCCACUGGGCGGAGAGAAGGAGGGUGAACCGGCGCAGGAAGAUCCGCAACCUUCGCAUCAACCUAAGGCAGAGUCAUAAUCCAGAAGUCGGUUUAUCAUUUGCACAAUAUCAUCCUUGUGAAAGACAAUUAUUCUUUUGGGCAGUCAAAACGCCUUGUAAUAGGCUAGCUUGAAUACUUGGUCUAUUAUGCCAUCGUGCAAAUUUAUUUUGCAUAAUACUGCUAAUCCAUCAUGCUGUGUUUGCUUAUGAUCCUUAACAGUUUUGUACAGUCCUGUUUCUGCAUAAAAUAGACUGAAAAUUGUCCUGGCAGUUUAUCGCCGGACGGGUCAUAAUGGCCAAUAUAAAGCCAGGGUUUAUAACCAAAGCUGUAAAGAUAACGAAAUAUGAAACAUAUCAUAGCUGUGAUAUUGAAUCACCAUGUUGGAUUACCAACGUUCUUGUAAUAAGGGUGAUGACCCAAAUCUUGAAUGCUAAUAACUCACACCAUGCUAUGCUGGUAUAUAAUAAGUCAUGGCGGGUUAUGAUAAGCACCAGAUGAUCACCCUGGCGACUUAUAGUUAACGCCAGGCCGAGUUAAUAAACACCGGUUUAUAUUGAUGACUUAUAGUCAGGCCGGGUCAUUGGACGCCGGUUUAACUCAAAACCUUUAUCAAAGGAGAAAAUUUUUGACAAAUAAAAGCAAAGGAAAACUUGUAGUCGAGGCUUUUUUAGGGCUGCCAGGCCCAAAUCCGAGGCUUUUCAUGGGCUGCCAAGCCACUGAGUUAAACCGUUUUACAAAGCCUUUUAAGAUGGUCCUCACAUUAACCAAUCGUCAUUUUAACUCUGACAAGUUCAGGGUCUUUAUAAGAGUAACUGUCAAACGUUCGACGGGUCAUACCAGGAUUACCUGGACGCAGUGACUUACUUUAUGAAGGCAGGUCAACCCGGGGUUUUAGGUGUAUACACCAGGCUUCCAAGCCGUGGCUUGAUAGCCUAUUGCAAGGUGUAGAUUCUUUGUUCCUGUGGAAGCAAAGAUCCCCCAUGCAACAUUUUGAGAUGUGCUCAGUGGGUGCCUAUGUUUGAGUUUGUGACACCCUGAAAAAUUUUACCUUGUUUUAUAAUUAAAAUUUUGCCAGGAAAUAAAACUUUUCCAUUUGUCUUGAUUUACCCUUUUGGGUAUUAUGGGUUUUUACCUCAAGUGGAAACUUUCCAAAAGUUUUAUUGGACUUAUAUGCUCUCUCUAUAAAACAAUUCUUUAUCUGAGGAUUUAAUUGCAUAAUUGCUUUCUCUUGAACUUUAUUCCUUUAAAAUGAUUUUUCAUAAAUUUGGAGCCUGUUUUGCACUGCGACCAUUUGCCAGAUGCAUUUAAAAAUUUCACCAAAAUUUGGGGAUGUCAUGUGAGGUUUCCACAUCACUUUUAUACAAAAAUAUCUUUAGGUUAUUGGAGAUUUUGAGCUCUACAUCAACUUUUCAAAUCUGGUCCAGUAGGCAUUUUUGCACUACAACCUAUUUAAAUAAUUCUUUAAAAAUUCUUCCAAGUGUUUGGAGAUGUCAGUAGAUGCAUACAAUUCAACUUCAUGCAAAAACCCAGUGAUGAUCUUUGUAAAAUUUGAGUGAAUCAACCUCUUUUUCAUUCUGGUCCAGUUUGGUGAUUUGUACUGCAACUCUAUUUUAUUUUGCUCAAGUGCCCAUGAGCUUUUUCCUACUUAUAGUCCCCCCUACCAAACUCUUAAGUCCAGGAGAAUGGACCCAUUGGAGGAUUUUAAGUGCAUGCAAUGAGACCUUUUUCUUUCUGUCCAAAACAGGAGUUUUGCAAAACUUGCACUAACAAGUUUCAGGUUUUGCCCAAAUGAUCUUGCCAUCAUCUCCUACAACUAGAGAGACCAUGAUCUGGAGAUUUUGAUCACUCCAAGAGUUGCCUAAGUGCACUUGGCAUUCUGUCGAACACUUGGUGUGCAUAGUCAGUUUUGGGCAUGUUUCCUAGUUUGCACUAUGAUCUUGCUCCAAUGACCCAGCAACCUUGUCCAAUAAACUCCUAACCAUCUCUAUCCUAGUCCUGUUAAUUGCCAGCCUCCUCCUCGCACUCUAGACUGCCCUGGCAUUUCGUCGAGCAGGUCUCGUGCGUGCUCUGGGCGCGCCCAGAGCGCAUGUUUUGCACGCGCGCGCACUGAGCCGCCGCGUCGCACUGCCGCCCUCGUCGCGUCCCGUCCCUGGCCCCUGCUCCACUGCUGAACCGCGCACUACGCUCGCUCACUCCCCACGCCACCCCUGGCGCCCUACAGCGCCGCUGGCAGAGCUCUUCGCGGCACGCCGGCGUCGGCAGCGAGCCUCUGCCAUGGACGGCGCCGCCCAAACCACACCAGCGCGCCAGCUGCCCCUAUGAACAGCUCGGUCUUAUCUCAAAGCCCGUCGGCACGCGCUCGUCGCCACCACAUCGCCCUGCAGCUACAGCAUGGCUGUCGCCGGCGAUCUUAUCCUCAGCCGCCGCGGCCCAACCCCGAGCGCCUAUUUAAGGGAUCCCCGAGCUCGUGCAAGACCUCAGGCGACCUCAGACUUCUCCCCUAGUUCUCCCCUAGCAGUGGAUUGGCCGGGAGAGGCCAGCUUCCCCAACUCCGGCCGGUUCGGCCGCCGCCGAGCUCCGGUGCAAUACGUCGCAGCCAGCCACUCCCCCGCCCAUCCAGCGCCACCACUAGCUUCCUCUUGUCCUUGCGGAGCCGCCCAGCGCCUCAGCCUCGAUCGGAGACCACCAGAACCCAAAACUCACUUACCUCCCGUAGCCCUCUCCGCCGCAGAGCUCGCCGCCGGCGACUCCUCCCAUCACCGUUGACCCGACGACCACUGAGAGGGCCGCCCCAGUCUGGCGGGCCCAUCCCUGCCCUCAGAUACCCUCGAGGAGCCGCCCUUCGUCGCCGGCGAUCGCCGGAGUCUCGCUCCCGUCGGGCAAAGAAGAGGAGGGAAGGGGAAGAACGGUCAAACCUGACCAGUGGGCCCUCUGGACCCACUGUCAGCGACCCGCGCGCCCGUCUUCUCUGAUUAAGCGAUAGCGCAAAGUCCCAAGUACGUCUCGUCUGCUGCGAAAGCGUAUUCUCUCCCGAACGUUUUCUUUUUCUGGUUUUUUUUAAAAACAGAGAUUUGACCAGACUUUGACCAGCUAUAUCUUUUAAAAUAAAACCCCAAAUGAGUUGAUUCUUUUUCCUACCUCUCUCAAAUUUCGUCUAGUUUAUUUUAAGAUUUAUGUCAAAAAUAUUUGAGACAACUUUUUGUACUGUGUUUGAAAUAUUUGUUAUUCGAAUAUUUUUUUAAAAAAAUAGGAAAUGGAGAGGGGAGAAAGCUUUCAAAAAGUGCAUCCUUUGCAUACUCUUAAAGGCAAGCAUUUCUGAACUCUGGCAUAAUAUUUCGGGUGGUGUUCUGAUGCGGUUACAACACCACUUGACGUGGAGCAUACGUUAUUCUUAUGCAACGACAUAGUCACAUUGCAUGAUUGCAUAUUGGAGAUUUUUCCUUGCUGUUAUAAAUGGAUAUGCUGUGAUAGUGAUCAUCCUCGUGGACUUUUCAUGCAUACCGGCAGGAAGCCGGGAAAGUCGUGGUCUUGGGUAGACACGAGCUUGUCCCUAGUUCCUCGUCGGGACGAGUGUGUCCGGUAUGGCAUGAUGAGUUUUGAUGAGCGGUGAUUCUGUCUGUUAAUGGUAAUAUUAUGGUUAUGCUAUCAUUCGGAGAAUACUUGGACCACCUGAGUCGGUCGUAAGUCGAGUCCUAUUCGGUGACUUUCCCUACUUGUUUUGUACUACCACUUGUCCCUGCCUCGGGUAGGGUAUGGUUCAGUAAGUUGUCAACCCCUUACCAAGGCACACACCGUACAGAGAGGCCAUGGUGGAAGAUACCGGGUGCAUCCGGUAGGCAUGCCACCUGGUCCGGGGGCAUGGGUGUGUCCGGUUGGGACCGAGAGGGGGGCACCCCUUAGAGCGCGCGAAUAUAAAUUUGAUCCCAUGCUACGUCAAGGUUGUAGCCUCCCCACUUAGAGUUUUGCUUGACGGGUGUCAUGGGUGAUUCCAGACACCGGUAAGUUAAGCUGGUGUGUGCAGGUCAGGCAUGUUUUCAAUUAAAAGUCCGUAGACGGAAUUAGUGCUGAUGGGCUCAGUAAAUCCGUUACUCGUGGGUAAAUAGUACACCCUCUGAAGAGGAUAUAUCCACUCGGAUAGCCAUGUUCAUGAGUAAGGAAUUCAGUCUGAGAUGGGUCUAGUAACGGUAUUCGGAUGGAGACACGGUUAAACUAGAUCAUAGUAACGGUAUUCGGAUGGAGACACGGUUAAACUAGAUCAUAGUAACGGUAUUUGGAUGGAGACACGGUUAAACUAGAUCAUAGUAACGGUAUUCGGAUGGAGACACAGUUAAACUAGAGCACAAUGACGGUCUUCGGAUGGAGAAACGGAUAUACCAGAACUUUGUUUCUGACCUCUGUCAUAUGAGGGUUAUUAUUAUUAUUAUUGUGGACUAACCGGUUACUUUACUUGCAUUAUUGAGUAUCCUUGGGACGGUUCUACCUCCUGGAUGCUCACUGUGAUUAUUCUUAUAUAAGCCCUUUAUGUGGCGUCGCUCAGACACCCGACUGCGGCAUGUAUGAUAUUUAUUUAUCCUUUAUAAGCCCUUUAUGUGGUGUCGCUCAGACGCCCGACUGUGGCCUGUUUGUUAUUUAACUUUGCUUUAUAAGCCCUUUAUGUGGUGUCGCUCAGACGCCCGACUGUGGCAAGUUUGUUAUUUAACUUUGCUUUAUAAGCCCUUUAUGUGGUGUCGCUCAGACGCCCGACUGUGGCAUGUUUGUUAUUUAACUUUGCUUUAUAAGCCAUUUAUGUGGUGUCGCUCAGACGCCCGACUGCGGCAUUGUUAAUUUAUUUGCAACCUUUCGAGGAGUCAUUUCAGACACUCUGUCAGUGCAUUCUAUUUUUUACUCCCGUAUUACAUGUUCAUAUUCUACCUGCAUGCGUGCAUCUCGGAUUUUCGUUCAUUUCGGAACAGACGUUAUGAUCAUAAAAAAAUUCGGAGUUUGAUUACCUCUUGUUAUAUAUUUACCCGUGUUCUUAAUGUUUGCGAGUACAUUCAAACAUACUCACUGGCUUGUCCCUGGCUAUUGUCUUGGCCAGAUUUCUCGCACGGAGACAGCAUUGCGACGACAGCCCCGGAACCUGCGUGUUGACGAUAGCAGCCUCGCGAAGAUAGGAGUUAUCCUGGUCAGCUGUCCUUGUGGGAAAUGGAGUCCCAUAGACGCAGAUGUACCACAAACCGCUUCCGCCAUCAACCUUUAGAAACCAAAUGUUGUACUCCUAGGCCACAAUGGUCUUGUACUACAUAUUUUGUACCUUGCUUGGAAUCCUUGUAUCAAGUUGGUGCCUCAUCAACUAACAGUAAUCCUGGGGCUGGUGAGCACAAAGGCCGUUUUCUGGGAAAUUAAUAUCCCGAAAAUCCGGUCGUGACAGAGUUGUUCUUGUGUAACACUCUCUUUGGCCCCUAAGUAAUUUUCUUUUUGGCUUUGAGCCUAUCAAGAGGUGUAGCGAUGGUUCGGAUAUGACCAAGCCCCCAAGUGAUGUAUAUAGACAGAAUUGUAUAAGCUGAAUCAAGGGGUAAACCAGAGGCCGCUUUGCAAACAGAAGCCCCCAUGUAACCACUCAUGAUAGGAGAAAAUAACAGAUACCCCGCUUUAGCUAGGGCUCCGGUUUAUUAUAUUGAUCAUAAUAUAUACAUCGCCAAAAAUAUGUAUAUGAUACGAGCCUAUGGCUCAGGUGUAGUAAGGUCUAGAUGAGCUAUAUUCCACGGCCGGAUCGAUUCCUCCUCCGACUUGCGUGAGUCUUUGUGCUCUCGAACAUCGAUGAGGUAGUAUGAUCCGUUGUUCAGAUUAUUGCUGACCACAAAGGGCCCUUCCCAAGGUGGGGAUAAUUUGUGCACAUCGGUCUGAUCUUGGAUAAGCCGGAGCACUAAGUCACCUUCUUGCAAAGUUCUGGUUUUAACCCGGCGGCUGUGAUAACGCCGCAGGUCUUGCUGAUAAAUCGCCGAGAAAGCCGCCGCUAUGUCCUGUUUCUCAUCUAACAGGUCCAAUGCCUCUUGGCAUGCUCUUUCAUUGUCCGCUUCAACAUAAGCUGCCACUCGAGGCGAGUCAUGGCGAAUAUCACUUGGGAGAACUGCUUCCGCUCCAUAAACCAUGAAGAAGGGUGUAUAACCCGUAGAUCUAUUGGGGGUGGUGUUAAUGCUCCAUAAAACGGAAGGCAACUCUUCCACCCAACAACCCGGCAUUCUCUGCAAAGGGACCAUAAGCCGGGGCUUGAUACCCUUCAGGAUUUCUUGAUUAGCUCUCUCUGCUUGACCAUUAGACUGGGGGUGGGCCACUAAGACACAUCAAGCCAGAUGUGCUCUCGUUGACAGAACUCCUCCAUAGCACCCUUGGAAAGAUUCGUGCCAUUAUCUGUUAUAAUGUUGUGUGGAAAACCAAAGUGGAAUAUCACCUUCUUCAUGAAUUGAACCGCCGUGUCUGCGUCACACUUGCUAACUGGCUCUGCCUCCACCCACUUGGUAAACUUAUCAACCGCCACCAGGAGGUGGGUCUUCUUGUCCUUGGACCUCUUGAAAGGCCCAACCAUAUCAAGCCCCCAGGUUGCAAAUGGCCAGGUGAUUGGAAUCAUCCUCAACUCCUGGGCCGGAACAUGAGCUCGCCGUGAAAACUUCUGACAACCGUCACACUUUUUGACCAAGUCCUCAGCAUCAGCAUGAGCCUUCAGCCAAUAGAAACCGUGACGAAAAGCCUUAGCCACCAGGGAUUUUGAACCGGCAUGAUGACCACAAUCCCCUUUGUAGAUUUCACGCAAAAUCUCACAACCUUCUUUAGGAGAGACGCAACGCUGAAAAGCCCCCGAGACACUACAAUGAUGUAACUCGCCAUUGAUAAUAGUCAUGGACUUGGACCGCCGGAUUAUCUGUCUGGCCAAAACUUCAUCCUCUGGUAACUCGCCCCGGUUCAUAUACGCCAAAUAUGGGACCGUCCAAUCCGGGAUAACGUGAAGCGCCGCCACCAACUGAGCCUCCGGAUCAGGAACAGCCAAAUCUUCCUCUGUGGGGAGCUUGACCAACGGGUUAUGCAAAACGUCAAGAAAAACAUUGGGCGGCACCGUUUUGCGCUGGGAGCCCAAUCGGCUUAAAGCGUCCGCCGCUUCAUUCUUUCGCCGGUCCACAUGAUCAACCUGAUAACCCUUGAAGUGACCUGCAACAAUAUCCACCUCUCGACGAUAUGCUGCCAUGAGCGGGUCCUUGGAAUCCCAAGUGCCAGACACUUGUUGAGCCACCAGGUCCGAGUCACCAAAGCAUUUAACCCGGCUCAAAUUCAUCUCCUUAGCCAUUCGAAGACCGUGGAGUAGGGCCUCGUACUCAGCUGCAUUGUUAGUACAAGGAAACAUCAACCGGAGAACAUAACAAAAUUUGUCACCUCGAGGGGAAGUAAGAACCACUCCAGCCCCCGAGCCCUCCAAUUGCCUGGAUCCGUCGAAUUGAAUCGUCCAGUAUGUGUUAUCCGGUUUAUCCUCCGGCGCCUGCAACUCUGUCCAGUCAUUAAUGAAAUCCACGAGCGCUUGAAACUUGAUGGUCGUGCGAGGCAUAUAUUUCAAUCCGUGAGGACCAAGCUCAAUAGCCCACAUAGCAACCCGGCCAGUCGCUUCCCUGUUCUGGAUGAUGUCCCCCAAAGGAGCAGAACUGACCACAAUAAUGGGGUGGCCUUGAAACUAUUUCUUAAGCUUCCGGCUCGCCAUGAAAACCCCAUAUACAAGCUUCUGCCAAUGUGGGUAUCUCUGCUUUGACUCAAUGAGCACCUCACUGGUGUAAUAAACCGGCCACUGAACCGGAUAUUCCUUUCCUGCCUCCUUGUGCUCCACCACAAUAGCCACGCUGACAGCCCGGGCGUUAGCAGCCACAUAUAACAGCAAUGGUUCCUUAUCAAUGGGGGCAGCAAGAACAGGCGGUUCAGCGAGCUGCCGUUUUAGGGCCUCGAACGCUUCAUUAGCCGCAUCACUCCAGACGAAGUCGUCUGUUUUCUUCAGCAUUUGGUACAAAGGAAUUGCCUUCUCCCCAAGACGGCUGAUAAACCGGCUUAAAGCAGCAAUCCGGCCUGCUAAUCGUUGAACAUCAUUGAUACACUUCGGUUUAGCCAGCGAAGUAAUCGCCUUGAUCUUCUCCGGAUUAGCCUCAAUGCCCCUGUUAGACACUGGGAAACCCAAGAGCUUGCCUGCCGGUACACCAAAAACACACUUGGCCGGGUUAAGCAUCAUCUUGUAAACCCGGAGGUUAUCAAAGGUCUCCUUCAAGUCAUCUAUCAGUGUCUCCUCCUUCCUGGACUUUACCACAAUAUCAUCCACAUAAGCAUGAACGUUGCGCCUAAUCUGAUUAUGAAGGCAAUUCUGAACACAACGCUGAUAAGUCGCCUGGGCACUCUUGAGCCCAAAAGGCAUAGACACAUAGCAGAAGGCUCCAAAGGGAGUUAUAAACGUUGUCUUCUCCUGGUCCUUAACUGCCAUUUUGAUCUAAUGAUAACCCGAAUAAGCAUCCAGAAAGCUCAGACGCUCACAACCCGCCGUAGCAUCAAUGAUUUGAUCAAUACGAGGGAGAGCAAAAGGAUCAGCUGGACACGCCUUGUUCAAAUCUGUGUAAUCCAUGCACAUACGCCAAGUGCCGUUCUUCUUAAGUACCAGCACCGGAUUAGCCAACCACUCUGGAUGAAAAACUUGAACGAUGAACCCUGCUGCCAAAAGCCGGGCUACCUCCUCACCAAUGGCCUUGCGCCUCUCUUCAUUGAACCGGUGAAGAAACUGUCGGACCGGUUUAAACUUGGGAUCAAUAUUAAGUGUGUGCUCAGCGAGUUCCCUCGGUACACCUGGCAUGUCAGAAGGCUUCCAUGCAAAGAUAUCCCGAUUCUCACGGAUGAACUCGAUGAGCGCGCUUUCCUAUUUUGGAUCCAGAUUUGCGUUGAUGAUGAACUGUUUGGAUGAAUCGCCAGGCACAAAAUCAACCGUCUUAGUCUCAUCAGCCGAUUUAAACUUCAAGGCCGGAUCAUGCUCCGUAGUGGGUUUCUUCAACGAAGUCAUAUCAGUCGGAUCAACAUUGUCCUUAUAGAACUUCAGCUCCUCUAUCGCACAAACCGACUCAGCAUAGGCUGCAUCACCUUCCUCACAUUCCAAAGAGAUCUUAUGACUUCCAUGCACUGUGAUGGUCCCCUUAUGACCCGGCAUCUUGAGCUGCAGAUAAACAUAACAGGGUCGUGCCAUGAACUUAGCAUAAGCCGGCCGUCCAAAUAGGGCAUGAUACGGACUUUGGAUUUUCACCACUUCAAAAGUUAACGUCUCUGAUCUCGAGUCAUGAUCAUCUCCAAAAGCAACCUCCAGGGCUAUCUUACCAACCGGAUAAGCUGACUUGCCAGGUACCACACCAUGAAAAACGGUGUUUGAUGGUUUAAGAUUCUUAUCCAUUAACCCCAUACAACGGAAGGUAUCGUAAUACAAGAUGCUGAUACUGCUCCCUCCAUCCAUGAGCACCUUAGUGAACUUAUAACCUCCGACCUGAGGUGCCACCACCAACGCCAGAUGACCCGGAUUGUCAACCCGGGGCGGGUGAUCCUCUCGACUCCACACAAUAGGCUGUUCAGACCAGCGCAAAUAACGGGGCACUGCCGGUUCAACUGAGUUCACCGCCCUUUUAUGAAGCUUCUGAUCGCGCUUGCAUAGGCUAGUGGUGAAGACGUGAUAUUUUCCACUGUUCAACUGCUUGGGGUGACUUUGGUAACCUGACUGCUGCUGCUGCUGAUUUCCCUGCUGGUUAUAACCACCUUGGUUGCCAUGAUUACCUUGAUUGCUCUGUCCACCUUGAUUACCUUGGAACCCUGAACCGGAAUUACCUCCGCCAUAACCCGGCCCGUAGGACCCAGGUCCUGAACCGCCAGACGGUCCAUGAUCUUAUCGAAAGAGCUCUGAAUUUUUGAAAUCCCACAUAAUGUUACAAUCCCGCAACCGUAGCUGGCUUCUCUUUCGUUCCGUGCCUCGGGCAGGGCUGAUUCAUCACACGCUCAAGAUUGCUACCUGAUCCUCCACUUCGUGGGGGCGAUCUACCCUUACGACGCUGGCCAUUGUCCUGCGCACUGGUGUUAGCCACAAAAUCUGAAUUGUUGUCUGCUUUACGCUUACCAUUGUUAUUCUUGCCCGCCGAAUUAUGCUGCUGCCCCUUGGUGUUGCCGUUCUUCUUUCCCUUCCCUGGCUUUUCAUCGUCAGACUCGGGGUCCUUGGUACUAUCGGAAUCAGCAUACUUAAGCAGAGCAUCCAUGAGCGUUCCCAUGUCAUUGCAGUGACGCUUGAGCCGUCCCAGCUUCAAUUUCAAAGGCUUAAACCGGCAAUUACCCUCAAAUGUUAGAAUGGCCGAGUCAGCAUUGAUGCGAUCCGAUGAAUGCAAAAUCACUGAGACCCAGUGCACCCAACGGGUUGUUGACUCGCCUUCUCCCUGGACGCAGGCAGCUAAAUCCACAAUUGAUAUGGGUUGCUUACACAUGUCCUUGAAGUUUGCUACAAACCGGGCUUUUAACUCGGCCCAUGACCCGAUGGAGUUAACUGGUAAGCUUUUCAGCCAAGUGCGAGCCGUUCCGUCCAACAUCAAAGUGAAGUACUUCACACAUGCCGCUUCAUCCACAUCCAGCAUCUCCAUUGCCAUCUCAUAACUCUCAGCCCAUGAUUCGGGGGGUAAAUCGGCGGUGUAAUUAGGCACCUUACGUGGACCCUUGAAAUCCUUGGGCAGCCGCACAUUACGUAAAGCCGGGGUGAGAUAGGGCACUCCCCAAGAACUGAAAGUAAGACCUCGUUCCACGGAAGUUGUUGGACGAACCGGAGUGAGUUGUCGGUCCUGUGCUGCUAACUCGUCUUCUCGACGUGCUCUAACGUUAUCCACCACAUCCUGAGCAUUUGCCCCACCGCGCGCCGGAUUAGGACCUCGAGGGGCAUCACGGUUUCGCGCACUGCUUGACACAGCCGGUUCAUCGAUGUGUCGGCUGUAACUCCGGCUCGAGCGCGGGGUUGAAUGAAGUCUGUCUCGACUAUAUGAAUAAGCCUGCUGCUGCACCAUAGCCGUCUGAAGAAGAUCCCUGGCGCGCCGCGUCUCAACCGCCGCUGGGGACUCGCCUUCCAUUGGAAUAGCUGCCAAUCGUGACGCCACAGUGGUCAUGUUAUCCAAAGGGGUGGAGAAGUGACCCGGCGGCGCCGGUAUAUACUGCGGCGGGUCAUGGGUCCGUCGAGGCGGGUCAGUCACCCAUGGCUAAUCCGGUGCUCCUGUCCUUGGCGCUUCCAUCCGGUUUACCACCGCAGGAUUACUGGUUCCGCUCCUGGUGUGCCGAAGAGAUUCAUUGCUUCAUAAACCGGUGGCAGUCGAGACCGAUGCCUCCUCCUCAACACAUCAUUUGAAGCGUUCUGAUCCAACAUGAGCCGGUAAUUUUCUGCCUGAAUCCGCUGUGCUUGUGCUUCUAAAGCGGCCCGCUCCUUAGCCAUCCUGUUUUCCUCAGCCGCUAAGUCCUCCUUGGCCUGAGUUAUCUGAUCCUACAGCUUAGCAACCUCCGCAUUAUUCUGAUCUUGGGUGUCCGGGGUAACCUGUGCGGUCAGUAAUGUCGAUUCCCGCGCCUGUCGCUGUAACACCCUGAGAAUCAUGCUACAGUAACCCCCUGUGAUUAAGCUAAUCAUGUGCUAAACAGGGCUUGAUCACAUUUGGAUCACCUUCCUUUUCAAACUCCUAGUUCAAACUUCAAAUAUAAUUAAAGUGGAAAAUAAAAGUUAUCAAAAAUUCAAACAAAAAUGUUCAGUGGGUGCUAAAUAAUACACUGGUAAUUAUGGUGGAGAAAGCACCUUUUUAUAAAAUGCCUAAAUACUUUAAAUGAAAUAAAACAGAAAAGGAAAUAAAACAAAUAAAAGAGAAAACAGAAAACAAAACAGAAAAAGAAAGCAAAGGGNNNNNNNNNNNNNNNNNNNNNNNNNNNNNNNNNNNNNNNNNNNNNNNNNNNNNNNNNNNNNNNNNNNNNNNNNNNNNNNNNNNNNNNNNNNNNNNNNNNNNNNNNNNNNNNNNNNNNNNNNNNNNNNNNNNNNNNNNNNNNNNNNNNNNNNNNNNNNNNNNNNNNNNNNNNNNNNNNNNNNNNNNNNNNNNNNNNNNNNNNNNNNNNNNNNNNNNNNNNNNNNNNNNNNNNNNNNNNNNNNNNNNNNNNNNNNNNNNNNNNNNNNNNNNNNNNNNNNNNNNNNNNNNNNNNNNNNNNNNNNNNNNNNNNNNNNNNNNNNNNNNNNNNNNNNNNNNNNNNNNNNNNNNNNNNNNNNNNNNNNNNNNNNNNNNNNNNNNNNNNNNNNNNNNNNNNNNNNNNNNNNNNNNNNNNNNNNNNNNNNNNNNNNNNNNNNNNNNNNNNNNNNNNNNNNNNNNNNNNNNNNNNNNNCCCCUCGCCGGCGGUGAACCCCGCGAGAGGAUAAGGGCGCCAGCGGCCCCCGCUCCCUCGGGCCUCUCUCCUACUCACCCCGCUCACUCCCUCGGCCUCUGCGCCUCUCCCCCGGAUCCGCGCCGCUCCCCUCUUCCCCACGCCCGACGCGCUCGCCGCCGUUCACCGUCGUUCACACGGCCACCGUACCCAACUCGCCGCCCCAAGGUGUCUCCAAGGACCGCCGUCGCCCGCUGCAUCGUCUGGUGCAUCCCGUUGGAGACCGGAGCCCCUACAACGAGCACACCGAGCUCGUCUUCCCCGCACGGCCGCCGUCGAUCGCCGCCCCGUUUCGCCUCCGACGAGCCUCCCCAAGCACGCUGCCGUCCCCCUACAGCCGCGCGGUGAGCUCCUCUACCUCCUCCCCCUCUCCGCUAGCUCGCCCGCGCUCCGUAGCUGCCCCCCCACGCGCGCCCGAACGCCGCGCCGCGAGGCUCGCCGCCGGCGGGUCUCCGGUGACCAAAUGGUCAAGGGGUCAAGCCCGUUGCACUCCCCGCCGUAUGUAGAUGCCCCCCAGCCCCUCCGCUUUUUCGAUAGCUCGCCGUAGCCAUGUCCCCGUCGAGCACCCGUGCGCGCCGCCGCCUCCGCCGCUCGCCGGCGCUGAUUCCGGCCAAGUCCGGCGAAGCCCCGGCCACCACUGGAUGCGGCGCUGCGAGUUCUUUCGAAUGGGCCUAGCCCCGUUCCUCCCCGAGCCCCGUAGCGCGAUUCCGGCCAACUCCGGCGAGGGACCGCCGCGGUUUUGGUCGCCGGAGUUGCGCCGGCGCCGGCCGCCGACGUGGCUGGCCAGGCCCCACCCCCAGUGCCCCUGCCAGUGGCCCCACGGGCCCUAGUUGACUGGGUUGACCCAGUCAACUGCUGACUGGGCAGGCCCAGUCACUGACAUGCGGGCCCCGCCGCAAAAGUUAAAAAAAAGAAAAGGAAAGGAAAAUGUUUUAUAAAUAAAAAUAAUUAGUUUAAUUAAUCUCUCACUGACAGGUGGGCCCAGUAGUUAAUUAACUAAAAACUAAUUAGUUUAAUCCUCUGUUAACCCACUGUCUAUGACAGGUGGGUCCCCCUUGUCAGUUUGACCAGUCAACCCGGACUGUUGACCGCUGAUGUCACUCCUACGUCAUGCUGACGUCAUAUCCCUUUUUCUGUUAAUUAAAUAAUUCCAGAAAUUCAAAUAAACUUUGAAAAUUCAUAUCUUUUAAACCGUAACUCGGAUGAAAAUGUUUUCUAUAUGAAAGUUGCUCAGAACGACGAGACGAAUCGGAAUACGCAGUCCGUUCAUCCACCACACCUCCCUAACCUAUCGAACUAGCAACUUUUCCCCUCCGGUCCGUCUGUCCGAAUACGCGAAACAUCGGGAAUACCUCCCGGAUGUUCCCCCCCUUCACCGGUACCACCUACUGUCGCGUUAGGACACCCCUAGCACCGCUCAUUGUCAGGUCACGCAUCGUCAUGCUUAUGUUUGCAUUGUAUUUACUGUUUCUUCCCCCUCUUGUCUCCGGUAGACUACGAGACCGACCCUGCUGCUGCCCAGUUCGACUACGGAGUCGACGACCCCUCCUACUUGCCAGAGCAACCAGGAAAGCCCCCCUUUGAUCACCAGAUAUCGCCUACUCUACUCUCUACUACUUGCAUUAGAGUAGUGUAGCUUGUUACUGCUUUUCGAUAUCCUAUUCUGAUGCAUAGCCUAUCCUUGCUACUACUGUUGAUACCUUUACCUGCAAUCCUACAUGCUUAGUAUAGGAUGCUAGAUUUCCAUCAGUGGCCCUACAUUCUUGUCCGUCUGCUGUGCUAUACUAUCAGGCCGUGAUCACCUGGGCGGUGAUCAUGGGUAUAUACUUAUAUACUAUAUACAUGACACAUGUGAUGAUUAAAGUCGGGUCGGCUCGUAGGAGUACCCGCAAGUGGAUCUUUGUGGCGGAGCGACAGGGCAGGUUGAGACCGCCUAGGUGAGAGGUGGGCCUGGCCCUGGUCGGCGUUCGCGGUUACUUAACACGCUUAACGAGAUCUUGGUAUUUGAUCUGAGUCUAGCCAUUUGGUCUAUACGCACUAACCAUCUACAUGGGAGUAGUUAUGGGUAUCCCGACGUCGUGGUAUCAGCCGAAGCUCUUUUGACGUCAGCGACUGAGUGGCGCGCGCCGGAUUGGACUGGAACGCCACUAGGCUAGGUCUGCUUCCGGCCGCGUACGCAACGUGCAGGUGUGCAUAGGGCGAUGGGCCCAGACCCCUGCGCGCAUAGGUUUAGACCGGCGUGUUGGCCUCUCUGUUGAGCCUAGGUGGGGCUGCGACGUGUUGAUCUUACGAGGCCGGGCAUGACCCAGAAAAGUGUGUCCGGCCAAUUGGGAUCGAGCGUGUUGGGUUAUGUGGUGCACCCCUGCAGGGAAGUUUAUCUAUUCGAAUAGCCGUGUCCCUCGGUAAAAGGACGACCCGGAGUUGUACCUUGAGCUUAUGACAACUAGAACUGGAUACUGAAUAAAAUACACCCUUCCAAGUGCCAGAUACAACCCGGUGAUCGCUCUCUAACAGGGUGACGAGGAGGGGAUUGCCGGGUAGGAUUAUGCUAUGCGAUGCUACUUGGAGGACUUCAAUCUACUCUCUUCUAUAUGCUGCAAGAUGGAGAUGUCCAGAAGCGUAGUCUUCGACAGGCCUAGCUAUCCCCCUCUUAUUCUGGCAUUCUGCAGUUCAGUCCACUGAUAUGCCCCUUUACACAUAUACCCAUGCAUAUGUAGUGUAGCUCCUUGCUUGCGAGUACUUUGGAUGAGUACUCACGGUUGCUUUUCUCUCUCUUUUCCCCUUUCUAUACCGGAUCGUCGCAAUCAGAUGUUGGAGUCCAGGAGCCAGACGCCACCGUCGACGACGACACCUACGACACUGGAGGUGCCUACUACUACGUGCAGGCCGCUGACGACGACCAGGAGUAGUUAGGAGGUCCCAGGCAGGAGGCCUUGCCUUUUCGAUCGUUGCUACUUUUGUGCUAGCCUUCUUAAGGCAAACUUGUUUAACUUAUGUCUGUACUCAGAUAUUGUUGCUUCCGCUGACUCGUCUAUGAUCGAGCACUUGUAUUCGAGCCCUCGAGGCCCCUGGCUUGUAUUAUAAUGCUUGUAUGACUUAUUUAUGUUGUAGAGUUGUGUUGUGAUAUCUUCCCGUGAGUCCCUGAUCGUGAUCGUACACAUUUGCGUGCAUGAUUAGUGUACGGUCAAAUCGGGGGCGUCACAAGUUGGUAUCAGAGCCGACUGCCUGUAGGAACCCCCCUUCCACACUCCUUGGCCGAAGUCGAGUCUAGUCAUUGCAAAACUUUUACUAACAUGGCUGUGCGGCUUACGGGCCCACGUCGCCAUUGGGUGGUACUAGGAUCUUUUACUCCUCGACCUUUAUUCUAGGACUCUGAACUCUCUCCUACUCGGGUUAAACAAAUUUACUAACUCAAACACUAGGAUCCCGUGACCGCGUUCACCCCUAAGAUGGAUAAGCCAUAGUUGUUUCUUAGAAUAGUAUUUUGAACAAUUCACACACUGUCAUUUGACUCCUUUGAAACGUCUUUGCUUUCAGAUGGAACCCACGAGGCAGGUUGUUCGCCACAUGAUGGCCAUUGGUGCCUCGGGAUCACCUGCGGUGCUAGCUGAGAUGAUGACCUAUCUGGGUUAUCGCUGGCACCCUGAGUUCACCGUCUACGAGGAGUACCAGGACUUUAACCAGGAGCAGUACCGUGCCAUCGUCCACCUCUACUCUCGGGAGUACGACUCCACUACUGUGCUGCACACCGCACAUGGUGUUGGUGUGACCAUCGAUAUGGCUGUCCACGAUGCAGCCUAUGCUGCUCUGACACGUCUUCGUGGAGAGUAUCGGGAGUUGGACACCUCCCCCUUCAGGCACAUUGCUAUCGCCUCUGAUGUUGGUGCGGAGGGAUACUACACUGCUGCCUACUCCACUGUCACCCGGGAGCCCUUCUACCAUCAGCACCUGGUUCUGCAUGCUGAUGGGCUGGAUCGAGCUAACCGAGCUCUUCGCCACGAGAUGUACACCACCCGUCAGCACCUUUACCGUGCUCUGACGCUGCUGCACCCCUUUGUCCGAUCUGGACAGGUACCGCGUGCUGCGAUCUACCCAGCCAGGACCGUGAUGCCCCACGGUGUUGGUUGGCCAGAGGUGGGAGGCUACUCUCCCGCACUUGGUUCUCUUCUGCCACCUGAGCGUCGGACUCUACACCUGAGUAUCCGCGGGCCCCAGUUUGCUGACGUGGAGAGCUAUCCGUUGCCUCAAUACCAGCUGUCGGGCUACGAUUACCUCCACAGUACCUCUUGGGACUGAUGUAGACUUGCUUGUAGUAUUAGUUUCAGUCGCCGCGAGCCUGUGUGCCGCCUAUGAUGCUUUAGUCUAUGUACCGAACUCUGUGUACUGAACUCUAUGCAUGACCCCCUUUUGUAAGCUAUGCCGACUACUAUGUAGUAGCCAUCGUGCUCCUUUCAAUUAUGCAUGUUUCAUCAUAAAUGAUUCUUAUCAUUGCAAAUUUUCUCAAUGCUGAACCACCCCUGUUAUAUAUUAGCAGGAUGGUUAGACCAGGUGGUCGUGGUCGUGGUGGCGAUGCCCCACCACCACCUGAGUACAUGACUGGUAUGAUCCAACAGCUUGAACUGAACCGCCAGUUCAUGGAGAAUAUGAUGGCUCAAUUCCCUCGCCCCAAUAUGAACCAGCAGCCAGCCCAAGUGACUCUUCAAGAUUUCAUACGCCUCAACCCAACCAUCUACCGCAGCUCAACUCAGCCUCUGGAUGCUGAUGACUGGCUCCGUGACAUCACCUAUGAGUUGGAGUCUGCUGAUGUAGCCCCUGCCAGCUAUGUCAAUUUUGCUUCCUUCUUCUUGAAGGGACCCGCAGCUCAAUGGUGGGACAGCCACAGGCGUACUCUGCCAGCUGGAACAAUCAUCACCUGGCCAGACUUCCAAGCUGCUUUCCGUGCCCGCUUCAUUCCUCAGGGAGUCAUGGACCGGAAGAAGCGUGAGUUCCGCAACCUCACCCAAGGCAACAAAUCUGUCGAAGCUUAUCAGCGGGAGUUUCUGGACUUGUCCCGCUAUGCUGAAGAAGACAUUGCAACUGAUGCACGCAGACAGGAGAAGUUCCGUGAUGGCCUUCAAGCUGACAUCAAGCUCGCACUUCUAGUGCAUGACUUUGCUGAUUUCGCCACCUUGGUGAACAAGGCCAUCAAUGUCGAAACUGGUCUGCAGGAAUACCAGAGCUCUCACAGGCGCAACCGUGACACGGGCUCAUCUUCGGGCCCGCCCUCACAGAAGCGUAAGAUAUGGAUCCCGAACAGCAUGUAUCGUCCAAAUGCUUCUGCCCCAAGGCAGACCUAUGCUGCCCCUCGUCUGCCUACACCACCGUCCAGGCAGUCAAGACUUCCAGCUCCACCAUCCCAAGCUCCUGUUCCCACUCCGAAUAAUGGCUUGUGCUUCAGGUGUGGUCAACCAGGGCACCGUGCUAAAGAAUGCAACCAGAACCAGAAUCAACUGGCCCUUCCAGCAACUGGCCGUGGUAACAAUCAGCCCCGCAACAACAAUGCUAAGUCUUAUGGUCGUGCUCAUGCCAACCACGUUGAUCUCAACGAAGCUCAAGACCAGCCUGCUACUGUGAUGGGUACACUCCUCGUAAAUUCAGUACCAGCAUCCGUUUUAUUUGAUACAGGUGCAUCGCAUUCAUUCAUGUCAGAAGAUUUUGCAUACAAGCACGACGUUAAAUGUGAGGAGAUGAACACCUCUGUAUUGGUCAAAACCCCCGUGGGACAGUGUCAAACCUCCUUGGUUGGCAUCGAUGUCCCCGUGGAAAUCAAAGGGCUGGAAUUCUAUGCCUCUCCCAUUAUCCUGAAGACGUCUAACAUCGACCUCAUCUUGGGUAUGGAUUGGUUGAGAGCGCAUACUGCUUCUAUAGUUUGCGCCACUAAGACCGUCCAUCUGCUACACCCUUCAGAUGAAAUAGUUGCUUACCAAGCUCAUCUGGUGCAAAAUGUCGAUGCAAGGCUCUAUGCAUUGAAUGGAUUGAACGCUGCACCACUCGAGGGCAUUGAAAAUAUUCCCGUCGUGCGAGAAUUCCUCGACGUCUUCCCUGAAGAACUUCCAGGGAUUCCCCCUGCUAGAGCUGUCGAAUUCAUCAUCGACUUGAAACCAGGCACCACUCCUAUAGCCAAGCGACCCUACAAAAUGCCGCCGCAUGAACUUCUUGAGCUUAAGGAGGAAAUCGACAAGUCUCUUCGCAAAGGAUUCAUUCGCCCAAGUUGCUCUCCUUAGGGAGCACCUUCUCUCUUUGUCAAGAAGAAGGAUGGGACAAACCGGCUAGUUCAAGACUACCGACCUAUAAACCAAGCUACCAUUCAGAAUAAAUACCCUCUUCCUCGGAUCAAUGAUCUGUAUGAUCAACUGGCGGGUUCGUCAGUGUUUUCUAAGCUCGACUUGAGGUUGGGCUACCACCAGAUCCGUGUUCGCGAAGAGGAUAUCCCAAAGACCGCCUUCGUGACUCGCUAUGGUUCAUACGAGUACACCGUCAUGUCUUUCGGUUUAACCAAUGCUCCAGCCACCUUCUCUCGUCUGAUGAACUACAUAUUCAUGGAUUACCUCGACAAGUUCGUCGUGGUUUAUCUGGAUGAUAUCCUGAUAUUUUCCAAGAACGAAGAAGAACAUGCUGAACAUCUUCGUCUUGUGCUGGAAAAGCUACGAGAACAUCAACUUUAUGCCAAGUUCUCCAAAUGUGAAUUCUGGCUACCGGAAGUAACCUAUCUGGGGCAUGUCAUCUCUACGGAUGGUAUUGCCGUCAACCCCGAGCGAGUUCAGGCUAUUCUUGAUUGGACUCCUCCCAAGAACGUUAAGCAAGUCAGAAGUUUUCUCGGUCUCGCCAGCUAUUGCCGUCGAUUUGUCGAGAACUUCUCCAAGAUCGCCAGGCCUCUGACUAACCUGUUGCAUAAGGGCGUCAAGUUCCAAUGGACAGACAAAUGUCAGGAAAGUUUCCAGGCACUCAAAGACAAGUUGACUUCUGCCCCCGUUCUAGCUCCACCUGAUACUAAGAAGGACUUCGUCAUCUAUUGCGACGCUUCCCGUCAAGGAUUAGGCUGUGUCCUAAUGCAAGACCGCAAAGUGAUUGCUUAUGCCUCUCAACAAUUGCGCCCUCGCGAAGAGAACUACCCAGUUCACGACCUCGAACUUGCUGCCGUCAUUCAUGCGCUGAAGCAGUGGCGACAUUACCUUCUCGGUAAUCGUUGCGAGAUCUUCACUGACCACCAAAGUCUGAAGUAUCUGUUUACUCAACCAGAUCUGAACCUCCGUCAGCAGAGAUGGAUGGAGCUCGUUGCAGACUUUGACUUGGGUAUUUCCUAUACUCCAGGCAAGGCUAAUGUAAUGGCUGAUGCCUUGAGCCGCAAGUCUUACUGCAACCACCUCCAGGUUCAUAAAGUCCAGCCCUCACUUGUUGAAGAAUUCAGGAAGCUGAACCUCCAUAUUGUUCCUCCGGGUGCACUCGCUCCCCCUCCUAAGGAAUUUGGCAAGGUGAACCUCCACGUUGUUACCCAGGGUUCCCUCAAUACCCUAGUUGCUAAACCAGAUCUCGAGGACAGCAUCAAAAGGCUACAGAGGUAUGACUCUGAAGCCCACAAGAUUAAGCGCUACCUCGCAGAAGGAAAGCCCUCAUUCUUCACCACUGCUGAAGAUGGCACCCUAUACUUCAAGGGCCGCCUAGUGGUGCCAUGUGCGGAGAAAAACCUGGAUAUGACACAGGAAGUUAUGAAAGAAGCUCAUGAUACGCCUCUAUGUAUCCAUCCUGGUAGUACAAAGAUGUACCAAGAUAUCCGUCAGAGAUUCUGGUGGACUAAUAUGCAGCAAGACAUUGCUCGUUAUGUUGCUGAGUGUGACGUUUGCCGUCGUAUCAAAGCAGAACAUCAAAGGCCUGCUGGAACUCUGCAACCUAUCUCUAUCCCUGAAUGGAAAUGGGACCAUGUUGAGAUGGACUUCAUCACUGGAUUUCCCAAAUCGCAGAAAGGUAAUGAUGCUAUUCUUGUCGUCAUUGACCGGCUUUCCAAAGUUGCACAUUUCCUGGCAGUCAAAGAAACGAUCACUGCUAGCCAGUUGGCAACGCUCUAUAUGUCCAGGAUUGUUUCACUCCACGGUAUUCCAUUGGUUAUCAGUUCAGACCGUGGUAGCUUAUUCACUUCAAGAUUCUGGGCACGUUUCCAAGAAGCAAUGGGAACUCAUCUGUCAUUCAGUACUGCGUUUCAUCCUCAAGCGCAAGGACAAGUUGAACGCGUCAAUCAAGUUCUCGAAGACAUGCUUCGAGCUUGCGUUAUUUCCUUCGGCAAGAAAUGGGAGGAAUCUCUCCCGUAUGCUGAGUUCUCCUAUAAUAAUAGCUAUCAAGCUAGUCUGAAGAUGGCCCCCUUCGAAGUGUUAUAUGGACGAAAGUGCCGAACCCCUCUGAACUGGUCAGAAACUGGGGAACGUCCACUCUUCGGUCCGGAUAUUAUCCAAGAUGCCGAAGAACAAGUCCGCAUUAUUCGCGAGAAUCUCAAGACUGCUCAGUCACGUCAGAAGAGUCAGUAUGACCUUCAUCAUAAAGACAUGGUCUAUCAACCUGGCGAAAAGGCUUAUCUUCGAGUCACACCUAUGAAGGGUGCUCACCGCUUCGGGAUCAAGGGCAAACUAGCUCCUCGCUAUAUUGGCCCAUUCACUAUUCUCGAAAGGCGUGGAAAAGUGGCAUACCAACUGGAACUACCGCCGAACCUUUCUCAGGUUCACGAUGUGUUCCAUGUUUCACAGCUCCGCCGUUGCUUCAAGGAUCCAAUCCGAGCUGUGGAUCACGAAGUGCUUGAAUUGCAGCAAGACCUCUCCUAUAAGGAGCAUCCGGUCCGCAUUCUCGACCAAGCUGAACGCCGCACACGUCAGAAGGCGAUCAAGUUUCUCAAAGUCCAGUGGUCGCACCAUUCUGAAGAUGAGGCCACUUGGGAACGAGAGGAUCGUCUGCGCGAAGAAUACCCCGCACUGUUUCCUUCUACCUCCUAAAUCUCGGGACGAGAUUUCUUGUAGUGGAGGAGAUUUGUAACACCCUGAGAAUCAUGCUACAGUAACCCCCUGUGAUUAAGCUAAUCAUGUGCUAAACAGGGCUUGAUCACAUUUGGAUCACCUUCCUUUUCAAACUCCUAGUUCAAACUUCAAAUAUAAUUAAAGAGGAAAAUAAAAGUUAUCAAAAAUUCAAACAAAAAUGUUCAGUGGGUGCUAAAUAAUACACUGGUAAUUAUGGUGGAGAAAGCACCUUUUUAUAAAAUGCCUAAAUACUUUAAAUGAAAUAAAACAGAAAAGGAAAUAAAACAAAUAAAAGAGAAAACAGAAAACAAAACAGAAAAAGAAAGCAAAGGGAAAAAGGCCCGCUCCCNNNNNNNNNNNNNNNNNNNNNNNNNNNNNNNNNNNNNNNNNNNNNNNNNNNNNNNNNNNNNNNNNNNNNNNNNNNNNNNNNNNNNNNNNNNNNNNNNNNNNNNNNNNNNNNNNNNNNNNNNNNNNNNNNNNNNNNNNNNNNNNNNNNNNNNNNNNNNNNNNNNNNNNNNNNNNNNNNNNNNNNNNNNNNNNNNNNNNNNNNNNNNNNNNNNNNNNNNNNNNNNNNNNNNNNNNNNNNNNNNNNNNNNNNNNNNNNNNNNNNNNNNNNNNNNNNNNNNNNNNNNNNNNNNNNNNNNNNNNNNNNNNNNNNNNNNNNNNNNNNNNNNNNNNNNNNNNNNNNNNNNNNNNNNNNNNNNNNNNNNNNNNNNNNNNNNNNNNNNNNNNNNNNNNNNNNNNNNNNNNNNNNNNNNNNNNNNNNNNNNNNNNNNNNNNNNNNNNNNNNNNNNNNNNNNNNNNNNNNNNNNNNNNNNNNNNNNNNNNNNNNNNNNNNNNNNNNNNNNNNNNNNNNNNNNNNNNNNNNNNNNNNNNNNNNNNNNNNNNNNNNNNNNNNNNNNNNNNNNNNNNNNNNNNNNNNNNNNNNNNNNNNNNNNNNNNNNNNNNNNNNNNNNNNNNNNNNNNNNNNNNNNNNNNNNNNNNNNNNNNNNNNNNNNNNNNNNNNNNNNNNNNNNNNNNNNNNNNNNNNNNNNNNNNNNNNNNNNNNNNNNNNNNNNNNNNNNNNNNNNNNNNNNNNNNNNNNNNNNNNNNNNNNNNNNNNNNNNNNNNNNNNNNNNNNNNNNNNNNNNNNNNNNNNCUGGAUGCGGCGCUGCGAGUUCUUUCGAAUGGGCCUAGCCCCGUUCCUCCCCGAGCCCCGUAGCGCGAUUCCGGCCAACUCCGGCGAGGGACCGCCGCGGUUUUGGUCGCCGGAGUUGCGCCGGCGCCGGCCGCCGACGUGGCUGGCCAGGCCCCACCCCCAGUGCCCCUGCCAGUGGCCCCACGGGCCCCAGUUGACUGGGUUGACCCAGUCAACUGCUGACUGGGCAGCCCAGUCACUGACAUGCGGGCCCCGCCGUAAAAGUUAAAAAAAAAGAAAAGAAAAGGAAAAUGUUUUAUAAAUAAAAAUAAUUAGUUUAAUUAAUCUCUCACUGACAGGUGGGCCCAGUAGUUAAUUAACUAAAAACUAAUUAGUUUAAUCCUCUGUUAACCCAAUGUCUAUGACAGGUGGGUCCCCCUUGUCAGUUUGACCAGUCAACCCGGACUGUUGACCGCUGAUGUCACUCCUACGUCAUGCUGACGUCAUAUCCCUUUUUCUGUUAAUUAAAUAAUUCCAGAAAUUCAAAUAAACUUUGAACAUUCAUAUCUUUUAAACCGUAACUCGGAUGAAAAUGUUUUCUAUAUGAAAGUUGCUCAGAACGACGAGACGAAUCCGAAUACGCAGUCCGUUCAUCCACCACACCUCCCUAACCUAUCGAACUAGCAACUUUCCCCCUCCGGUCCGUCUGUCCGAAUACGCGAAACAUCGGGAUUACCUCCCGGAUGUUCCCCCCCUUCACCGGUACCACCUACUGUCGCGUUAGGACACCCCUAGCACCGCUCAUUGUCAGGUCACGCAUCGUCAUGCUUAUGUUUGCAUUGUAUUUACUGUUUCUUCCCCCUCUUCUCUCCGGUAGACUACGAGACCGACCCUGCUGCUGCCCAGUUCGACUACGGAGUCGACGACCCCUCCUACUUGCCAGAGCAACCAGGCAAGCCCCCCCUUUGAUCACCAGAUAUCGCCUACUCUACUCUCUACUACUUGCAUUAGAGUAGUGUAGCUUGUUACUGCUUUUCGAUAUCCUAUUCUGAUGCAUAGCCUAUCCUUGCUACUACUGUUGAUACCUUUACCUGCAAUCCUACAUGCUUAGUAUAGGAUGCUAGAUUUCCAUCAGUGGCCCUACAUUCUUGUCCGUCUGCUGUGCUAUACUAUCGGGCCGUGAUCACCUGGGCGGUGAUCACGGGUAUAUACUUAUAUACUAUAUACAUGACACAUGUGAUGAUUAAAGUCGGGUCGGCUCGUAGGAGUACCCGCAAGUGGAUCUUUGUGGCGGAGCGACAGGGCAGGUUGAGACCGCCUAGGUGAGAGGUGGGCCUGGCCCUGGUCGGCGUUCGCGGUUACUUAACACGCUUAACGAGAUCUUGGUAUUUGAUCUGAGUCUGGCCAUUUGGUCUAUACGCACUAACCAUCUACGUGGGAGUAGUUAUGGGUAUCCCGACGUCGUGGUAUCAGCCGAAGCUCUUUUGACGUCAGCGACUGAGUGGCGCGCGCCGGAUUGGACUGGAACGCCACUAGGCUAGGGCUACUUCCGGCCGCGUACGCAACGUGCAGGUGUGCAUAGGGCGAUGGGCCCAGACCCCUGCGCGCAUAGGUUUAGACCGGCGUGCUGGCCUCUCUGUUGAGCCUAGGUGGGGCUGCGACGUGUUGAUCUUACGAGGCCGGGCAUGACCCAGAAAAGUGUGUCCGGCCAAUUGGGAUCGAGCGUGUUGGGUUAUGUGGUGCACCCCUGCAGGGAAGUUUAUCUAUUCGAAUAGCCGUGUCCCUCGGUAAAAGGACGACCCGGAGUUGUACCUUGAGCUUAUGACAACUAGAACUGGAUACUGAAUAAAAUACACCCUUCCAAGUGCCAGAUACAACCCGGUGAUCGCUCUCUAACUGGGUGACGAGGAGGGGAUUGCCGGGUAGGAUUAUGCUAUGUGAUGCUACUUGGAGGACUUCAAUCUACUCUCUUCUAUAUGCUGCAAGAUGGAGAUGUCCAGAAGCGUAGUCUUCGACAGGCCUAGCUAUCCCCCUCUUAUUCUGGCAUUCUGCAGUUCAGUCCACUGAUAUGCCCCUUUACACAUAUACCCAUGCAUAUGUAGUGUAGCUCCUUGCUUGCGAGUACUUUGGAUGAGUACUCACGGUUGCUUUUCUCUCUCUUUUCCACUUUCUAUACCGGAUCGUCGCAAUCAGAUGUUGAAGUCCAGGAGCCAGACGCCACCGUCGACGACGACACCUACGACACUGGAGGUGCCUACUACUACGUGCAGGCCACUGACGACGACCAGGAGUAGUUAGGAGGUCCCAGGCAGGAGGCCUUGCCUUUUCGAUCGUUGCUACUUUUGUGCUAGCCUUCUUAAGGCAAACUUGUUUAACUUAUGUCUGUACUCAGAUAUUGUUGCUUCCGCUGACUCGUCUAUGAUCGAGCACUUGUAUUCGAGCCCUCGAGGCCCCUGGCUUGUAUUAUAAUGCUUGUAUGACUUAUUUAUGUUGUAGAGUUGUGUUGUGAUAUCUUCCCGUGAGUCCCUGAUCGUGAUCGUACACAUUUGCGUGCAUGAUUAGUGUACGGUCAAAUCGGGGGCGUCAUAGUCGCUUAUCCCUUUCGUCUUAUAAAUAGGCCCAAGGGUCCCUUUCCUUUUCCCCUUGCCUCUUCAUCUUUUCUUCCAUCUCGCGUCGCCUCAGAAUUCGAGCACCGCCGCCGCUGUCGACCUUCGCCUCUGCUGCAACAAAGGCCGCUGCAUCAACCUGACUUGACCAGAGAACUACGACGCACCUCCGCUGUUCAGUAGCGUCAGUAAGUACCCCUCUUCUCGUAUACCAGAUCUGCAUUAGGGUUUCCGUUGUUCAUCGGUGUUCUUCACCAUUCCUCAUUUUUCUCUCUUAGAUCGCGUAGUUUGAUCUGAACCUGAUCGUGCAUUAGGGUCUCCUUUCAAUCACAGAAGAUACCUUUUCUGCAUAAGAUCCCAUCCGAGCAUAUGUGUUCUUCUGCUACCGCGACUCUAGGUUUAAAAUUUAUUUCCUCUUUAGAACUGCGGUAGAUCCAAAAUUAUGAUACCAACCUGUGAAACCUGUUUGUGCAACACUUAGGAAUUUUUCAGAUCUGUAACUUCCACACCAUUGUAGGCGGUUUAACCUUUAAAAAUGAUAACCCGCCAGGUACCAUUAGCCCUCUUUUAAACCGCCAAUAUGCUUUAAAUAUCAGAAUCCAUUUUAAUAUAUACAGACGUUUCAAUGUCAUCUUCUUCCAUCAUUGCACCGGUUUAUACGUGCCAGUCAUGAAUUUUAAACCGGUCAUUAAUCCUUUUUUCCAUCUUUUCACCGAAAUGGCCAAACAGUUCUAUGCUUGCAAUUGGGUCCCUUCCCGGGUUAUGGAAGCACAACUGAACGGGUGUGUUGCGACUGGCGCUUUAGCAAGCAAAGAUACCAUCCAUUGGCGAGUCCCCAGUCCAGAAAAUCCUCCUGAACCCAAGGAUGGGGAAGUUAUUGUGUUUGUUGAUCAUUUGAGUCGAGGGUUUAGCCCUCCCGGAUCAAAAAAAUUCGUGAUGUGCUUGCUAGCUUCCAGAUCCGCCCUCAAGAUAUUGGACCAAAUUCUGUGUCCAAUAUUUGCAACUGGCAAGUAUUUUGUGAAGUUUAUCUGCAAGAAGAACCCACUGUGGAACUAUUCCGGGAUUUCUUUUACCUAAACCGCCGUACUGAAUUUACGGACGGGCCCAACACUGAACUUGGCGGUGUUUCAAUUCAAAAGAGAAAGGAUGUUGACUUCCCUCACGCCAAACAUCAUAGUCACCCCAAGGACUGGAAUCAGACUUGGUUUUACUGCCAAAACACAGCUCCGGAUGAUGAAAAUCCUCUGCCGGUUAUCGUCCACACCGGCUUACCAAAACUCAUCCAGUUCCUCAACGACUGACCACCAAGGAACGAUCAAAAUAUGCCCCUCAGCUAUCAAAACUCAGAGCGUUUGUUGCAAACGGACUGACAGGCAUUGAUUUUGUUCAGUGUUGGGUUUCUUGGAGCAUUCUGCCUUUAAGCCGGCGCCCCGGUUUAAUGUGUGAAUACACAGGGGAUCUGAAUGACCCUCAACAUCAUAUUGACAUCCAGCUUACUGAUGAUGAAGUCACCGAAGCUGUCAAGAAAAUGCUUGAUGAACCGGUGGCUGAGUGCAGCAAGACAGGGCUCAGUCCUUUUUAUGCUUCCAACAAACCGCCAAAGGUAAAAAUUGCCUCAUUCUUGUCUUAUCCAUCCUUCGUCAAAUAUUCCUUCAUAACUUUGUUAUUCAUUUAUGCAGAGUGAUGACCCGUUCUGGAAGAAGAAAACACAAGAUAAACCGGUGAAGGCACCUCGUAUCAAGACGAACGCCACCAAGAGGCCUGCCAAAAAGAGAACUGCUGAACCGUCUGAGCCAAACAUUGAUGAUGAUCUAGAUAAUCCGGAUUCAGAGGUAGAACUUGACUCUCUUAGUUCAUUUUUCAUGCACCUUAUUGACAAUGAUAAUUAUCAGGAUGAUGCGGAAGCUAGCCAUGCUGACAAGGUAACCAUUCUUUCUUCUGAUUCAAAUCCUGUGCCAAUACCAAAAAUCCGUCGAGCAGUCCGGAAAGUAAAAUUUUCAUGCCCUCUUUCUUAUUUGGAUCCACACUUUCUUUUGAAGACACAGCAGCAUGAAACUCGCCGCACAACUCGGCAUAGUGGCCAAGUGGUGACCUCCUCCGGUUUAUCGAACUCUCCGAUUCGCAAACACCGCCCAGAGGUUUCUUAUACUCCUGACACACUUUAUCCUAAGGCGGGUUACUUCCGAUAUCCUCUUAAUCCGUCUGACUCAAAUUAUCAGGGAACUUCCCAUUCAUCAUCCGGCAAGUCAUCGGCCACACAACUUCCUCCUGUCAAAACUGUUCCUGGGUAAGCAUAUUGCACUUAACCUUUUAUGCCUUUCAUUAUUUGUUAUUAUACUGACUUUGUGCCUGUUUCUUCCAGUGCCAAAGCCAGACCUAGCAAGAAAGCCAAGUUGAACAAACCGACCGACGAUGAACCGGUCACUGAACCGGAGAAAAUCCCAGAGGCUGUUGAUCCGAAUGCUGACAUUGUCCUUGAUGAUCCGGCACCUCAGGCUCCGGACACUUUUGUUGAACCGGUGGAGACAAACCCGACGAGCCAGCCUGCUGAUCCGCCAAGUCCAUCUGUUAAUCCACCAAGCCCAGUAAGAACAUCUGAUAAACCGCCAAGCCCAGCCAAAAACCACUGAUGACGAUGUUGUUGUUACUGGCACGGGUUUCACCUCCCCUGGCCAUCCUGUCGCUUUGUCGAAGAUACUGCCAAAGAAGAAUUUGCUGCUAUGGACAAGGGCAAGUGGAAAUCUGAUUUAUCAAGCUAUGCCCACCUCAACGCCCAAGACCUUCACUCUGGCUUUUUGAACCGCCUGUACACAAGCCGCAACUAUGAAGCCGGUUUAGUGGGCCUGAUGAAGGAACGAUAUGAGGUAAAUAUCAAUCCCUUUUGCAUAAAUAUUUGUUCCUUAUAACUGGUUUAGACUAGUCAACUCCAGUAGCCCCCAAGGGCCAGUUCAUAAUUUUCAUGUGAACCGGUUCUUGUAAUAGAAUUGAUGUUUGAAUUUUGCUGGUGUAGCCCACAUGGACCGGUUUAUAACUUUAGGAUGAACCGGUACAACUUCUGUCAUAUUGCUUCCAAAAUUUGUGAUCAUGGUAAUCCGUCUGAAUAAGAAAAAUCCGUAAUCUGAACUUGAGCAAAUAUGCAUUAGCCCCCAAGUGCCAAGUAGAUAACUUGUUAUGUGCUUGGGACUUAAAUUGUCAGUUGAUAAAAAGUGAUCUGCAUUAGCCCCCAAGUGCCAAGUGUAUAACUUGUUAUAUGCUUGGGACUUUACAGAUGUAUUACCAAAUUAUUAACUGUCUCUUUCAGGCUGAGCUGACCAAAAAGGACUCUCGAAUCGCCGAUCUUCAAGAAAAUAUCAAGUCCCAGCAAAUAGAGACUUGCAAAGCUAAAGAGGAGCUGACUGCCGCUUUAAAAGUCAUGGAACAACUAAAGGAUGGCUUCAAAAGCGAACGGGCAGAUUGGGAAGCUGACAAAACAACUUUGCUAAAGCGGGCGGAGGACGCUGAAGCCGCCCUUAAUCCUGUAACAGAAGAACUGACCAGCUUGAAGCGGCAGAUCAACGCCAUGACCUUUGCUAUCUUUGGUAAAAACCUCUGCAUAAGUUUUUAAUAAAUGCCAGUCAUGAAAACUUCCAGUUUAAUAAUAUUUUGAUCUUUGCAUGUAGCCGUGUUACUCAUCUUGGCGCAGAUAUGCACAAAAAAUUGAAGGCUGCCUAUACAUUUAUAGAGCAGCUAUACACCGGCGCUCAACGAGCCAUCUGCACAGCUUCACAUAAUAAACUUCCCCCAACUUUAAUCAAGGAAACGCUGGAGAAGUUAUCCAUGAUGCCUGCCCGUAUUGAGGAAUUGAAGAGAUCAGCUGCUAGGGCCGGUGCUCUGACUGCAUUGACUCGGGCCAUGGCCUGGAUAUCUGACCUUGAUUCGGAAGACAUUGGGAAUGGUUAUCGAAGCCAGAAGGAGGACGGGUCAGAAUUUGAUAAUGACAACCUCAGGGCUAUCACAAGAGAAAUGCGUCCACUGGCAAGCAAGUUGGCUGAAGACACUGACUUGUCGUUUUACCAGAACACUUAUGAUGCCAACCACAAACGGAUUACCGCACCAACUUAUGAUGUAGAAAAUCUGAUUCCGCCAAUCCGUAAGCAUACUUAUGCCCCUGAUGUUGAACCGUCCAACAUUAUAAACGAUGAAGCUGUCUUUCAAGCCUUAACUGGGAUUAACUGGACAACUAUUGACUUCCAGCUGAAGGAAAUAUGCCCUAGAGGCAAUAAUAAAGUUAUUAUUUAUUUCCUUAUUUCAUGAUAAAUGUUUAUUAUUCAUGCUAGAAUUGUAUUAACCGGAAACAUAAAUACAUGUGUGAAUACAUAGACAAACAAAGUGUCACUAGUAUGCCUCUACUUGACUAGCUCGUUAAUCAAAGAUGGUUAAUUUUCCUACCAUUGACAUGAGUUGUCAUUUGAUUAACGGGAUCAGAUCAUUAGGAGAAUGAUGUGAUUGAAUUGACCCAUUCCGUUAGCUUAGCACUCGAUCGUUUAGUAUGUUGCUAUUGCUUUCUUCAUGACUUAUACAUGUUCCUAUGACUAUGAGAUUAUGCAACUCCCGUUUACCGGAGGAACACUUUGUGUGCUACCAAACGUCACAACGUAACUGGGUGAUUAUAAAGGUGCUCUACAGGUGUCUCCAAAGGUACUUGUUGGGUUGGCGUAUUUCGAGAUUAGGAUUUGUCACUCCGAUUGUCGGAGAGGUAUCUCUGGGCCCACUCAGUAAUGCACAUCACUAUAAGCCUUGCAAGCAUUGCAACUAAUGAGUUAGUUGCGGGAUGAUGUAUUGCGGAACGAGUAAAGAGACUUGCCGGUAAUGAGAUUGAACUAGGUAUUGAGAUACCUACGAUCGAAUCUCGGGUAAGUAACAUACCGAUGACAAAGGGAACAAUGUAUGUUGUUAUGCGGUCUGACCGAUAAAGAUCUUCGUAGAAUAUGUAGGAGCCAAUAUGGGCAUCCAUGUCCCGUUAUUGGUUAUUGACAAGAGAGGUGUCUCGGUCAUGUCUACAUAGUUCUCGAACCCGUAGGGUCCGCACGCUUAACGUUCGUUGACGAUAUAGUACUAUGAGUUAUGUAUGUUGGUGACCGAAUGUUGUUCGGAGUUUUGGAUGAGAUCACGGAUAUGACAAGGAACUCCGGAAUGGUCCGGAAGUAAAGAUUGAUAUGUGGAUAGUAGUGUUUGAUCUCUGGAAAGGUUCCGGAAUCCAUCGGAAGGGUUCCGGAUGUUUCCCGAAAUGUUUGGGCACGAGAACACUUUAUCUGGGCCAAAGGGGAAAGCCCACGAGGUUUUUGGAAAGCGCAAAAGGAAGUUUUGCGGAGUCCAGGGGCCAGACGCCAGGGUCCCUGGCGUCUGGGUCCAGACGCCGGGAACCCUGGCGUCUGGCCCUGGAGUCCGAGAAGGACUCUUGCCUUUCGGGUGAAACCGACUUUGUGGAGGCUUUUACUCCAAGUUUCGACCCGAAGGAUCAACAUAUAAAUAGAGGGGUAGGGCUAGCACCCAAGACACAUCAAGAAACACCAAGCCGUGUGUCGGCAACCCCGUCUCCUCUAGUUUAUCCUCCGUCAUAGUUUUCGUAUUGCUUAGGCGAAGCCCUGCGAAGAUUGUUCUUCACCAACACCGUCACCAUGCCGUCGUGCUGCCGGAACUCAUCUACUACUUCGCCCCUCUUGCUGGAUCGAGAAGGCGAGGACGUCACUGAGCCGAAUGUGUGCAGAACGCGGAGGUGCUGUCGGAGUAAAUGACCACGGGUAGCCUAACCGACUCCCCGUGGUUCUUCAAGAAUUAUCGGGCCGAUCGAGCCUUCAAGCACCCCAAGCACAGGGCUGCCUCCCCCUGGCCGGCUGUCUCACAGGCCGACUACUGGAAGGCGACCCGGCCCUAAAAACCCUCCCGAAGAGAGCCACAGUAAGGCCGACUCCAAGAAGCCGGCCACAAGAAGACCGGCUCCAUGAUGCCGGUCACAAGAAGACCGGCUCCACGAUGCCGGCCACAAGAAGACCGACUCUCGGCAAGCGGCCAAGAGUGCCCCCUCAAGGACUACACCCACAUAACGGUGACAAGACGGGGCGUGGCUACAGUAAAGCCUGCCACCCCCGAAUCCCGGAGCACGCAUGGCCACAGUAUACCAUACGGGCCGGCCAUCCCCCGUCCGGCACGGCACUGUUGCCAUGUUGACCAUGACGCCACCCACGACAGGCUGUCAGUACGGCCCAUGGGCGGCGGGCCCCUUCGGCCAGAGAGAUGCUCGAAGACAGCCAUGCCUCCCCUAGUCGGCCUGGGGUGCAGCCGGCUCCCAAUAGCCGGCUACCUUACUCCCUCGAAGUAUGUGCAUCAUAAAGGAGACAAGACGAGGUAAGGCUACAGUGAGAGUCCGCCAGGCGGCGGCACUGUAGCCAUGCUUACCUCAGCGAAGCCCUCGUCAUCAGGGGCGAGGCUACAUUAACCAGCCGCCGGCGGGACCCACCAGUCGGCGGGCCCCGGCGGCCGGAGGAGAAGUCGGCGAAUACGGACACUGACGGCUAGGACCCGCGUCCAGCCGGAUUACCAUUGUACCCCUGGGGGGUAGGCCUAUAUAAACCCCCCGGGGCACCCAUGCAAAGGGUUGAUCUCUUAGAGUUUCGGACACCACAUAGAGAGAAGAGAAGAGCUAGCCUUGCCCUUCUUCUUCCUCUGGCCAAACAGCUCAAGGAGCCACUUGUAGCCACUUGUGUUGAUCUAGUGAUCAUGCGGAGACCCCGCAAAGCAGGACUAGGGGUGUUAUCUCCACGGAGAGCCCCGAACCUAGGUAAUAUUCGUCGGCGUGCAUGUCUUCGCCUUAUCCCAUUUCCAGGCACCGGCGACGUCUUACUGGCUCCCACAAUGAUAAGCCACCCGUUGGCAUAUGUCGCACCUACCACCCGACAUUUGGCGCCCACCGUGGGGCCAGGUGCACCGUCGUCCGGAGACCUGUUCUGGACGGCAACCCUUUUCCUUCCCAGCAAGCGUAGCCAGCCCGGCACGCCCGAUGGCGCUUGCCCCGACGCGCUGCGAGACGUCGAUGACGCCUGCGCGGCGAGCUGCCUCGCCGAUCUUCUUGGCGAGGCUCGCAUCUCCAACGAGUCUGCGUCUGACGCGGGCACAGACUGCCCCGAGAGCCACCUCGUCAGCCUCCACGACCAGCUUCACGUCUCUAGCGAGCCUGCUGCGGAUUUGGAGUCGGUUGGCUCCAUCGACCCGAUGAUCGUCGACUCCGACACGGCAUCGCUGGACGCCCUCCCCACCAACGUGGUGAUCAUCGACGACCCUCUUCCUUGAGCCGACAGUGGCGGCAGCACCGUCACUGAGGUGCUAGUCAUCAGCCACGACGCCGCCUCUGGCGAGAACGCCCACGACGCCCUACAAGCGGCGCUACACGAUCUGUCCGCCCCCAUCCCGACCGACGCCGAUGCCGAGACACUGGAGGCACGCCGCCUCUCCCUCAUCGUGGAGGGCCAGAAGAUAGCAUCCAUGAGACGCCUCACUGAGGCUCACCAGCGCGAAGUCGACCGCGCCGCCUUUGGUACGCCGCCUCCUGGCGGGCCGAGCUGAGCCAGCAUCGUCAAGAAGCACGGCGCAGCCAUCGCCAGCAUGCUGGGAGCAGACCGCCCAGUCUACGCCACGCCACUCGAGAACCUGCGUGCCGCUCAGGCGGCCGUAGAUGAGCUGAACGGGCUGGGGGCCGACGAGCUCCCCUACAUGACUAGACGCAUCCAGCAGCUGAUCGACGUGGCCGCAGAGCGGCAUGAAGCAAGCGGCCGCGCUGAAAGUCCUCCCCCAUGCCGAGAGCACGGCGCGACAUCCCGGACACCGACAGCAGACGGCGCCCGCGCGAGAAAAGACAAGGAGCCGGGUGCUAGCCACAGUCGGACUCGGCUCACCAUCAAGCGCGACGCAGAAGGCCGCCCCCGAGCUGUGGAACGACAAGGCGAUCCACCUCCUCCCCCGCCUCGUGGAGAGAUAUCCCACCCUGCCGCCUGUCACGCAUCCGACUCUCGGCGGCCGACUAGGCCACCGCGAAGGAGUCGGCGAGAAUGACGCCCGCCACCGGAUCGACCGCCUAGCGCGAUCCCUGGCGCUAGAAGAAGAAGAUGAUGUCGGCCCGCCUUGCUUUGGCCCCCGCAUCCGCGAUGAACCCUUCCCCAAAGGGUUCUCACUCCCAAGAGACACGCCGAAAUACAACGGCUCUGUGAAGCCGGAAGACUGGUUGAUUGAUUACUCCACCGCAGUCCGCAUAGCGAACGGCAACAGGCGCAUUGCCGUGAAGUACGUCCCUCUCAUGCUUCAAGGCACGGCACACACUUGGUUGAACAGCCUCAACAGCUGGCUAGACUUCACGGAAGUCUUCAUCCACAAUUUCACCAGCAUGUACAAGCGGCCUCCCAAGCCCCGCCAGCUCUCCUUGUGCGUCAAAGGGCCCAGCGAAUCAACUCGCGACUACCUCACGCGUUGGGCCGAGCUCCGCAAUUCCUGCGAUGGGGUGCACGAGGUUCAAGCCAUAGAGUACUUCACCGCCGGGUGCUGAGAGGGCACACUCCUCAAGCACCGGCUCCUCUGCGACGAGCCGACUACCCUCGACGAGCUGCUGAUCAUAGCAGACAAGUACGCCACGGCCGACUCUUCAAUGAAGACCGAGCUUCGAGUGGAUGCCUCUGGAAAGGUGCUCGCUCCGGUUCCCAAGACGCUGGCUGGUGACUCCAAUCGACGCCCUUACCAGAACGACAACAAACGCAAGGCCCCUACGCCGCCUUCCACCAGUCGGCAAGUAGCCACAGUCGAAGACGAACAACCUGAAGGGCGGCCCAUGCCCAAGAAGCAGAAGGGCGGCAGGCCGGCUUGGCAGCCGGCAUUCUCCUACGCGCAAACCCUUGAUGCCCCCUGCAAGUUCCACAACGGCGCGAAGCCGUCCAACCCCACAACUCGGAAGUGUCAUUGGCUCACGCGGAUCUCCAAAGGCGAAGGGCUGGUGCCGCCUCCACCUGCUGGCCAGCCACCUCCAGCCCCUCAGCAGCCGGCUGCUCGACCAGCAGUCGGAGCCAUUCAAGAUGAGUUCCCAGACGAGCACGCCGCCUACGUCAUCUUUACAAGCCAAACUGAAGAAAGGCGCAGUCGGCGCCGACAACACCAAGAAGUCAACGCGGCCGCCUCUAACAACCCAGAGUUUAUGCAUUGGUCUGAGAAGCCUAUCAGCUGGAGCUGGGCCGAUCACCCAGAGGUGAUGCCGUCUCCCGACUCUUAUGCAUUGGUGUUAGACGCCACCCUCGCGACAGAAAGACGAGCUACCCGUUUCUCCUGUGUACUGAUUGACGGUGGGAGCAGCAUCAACAUACUGUACCACGACACCAUGGAGAAGCUGAACAUCAAGACGAAGCAUCUCAUGCCAAGCCGAACUGUGUUCCAUGGCAUCGUACCCGGCCUGUCCUGUUCACCAAUAGGCAAGAUCAAGAUGGACGUUCUCUUCGGAGACAAGGAUCACUUCCGCCGAGAAGCAGUCUAGUUUGAAGUGGUGGAUCUAGAGAGCCCUUACCACGCGUUGCUUGGUCGACCUGCCCUGGCCAAGUUCAUGGCCGUGCCCCACUACGCCUACCUCAAGAUGAAGAUGCCGAGUUCAAAGGGGAUCAUCACCAUAGCCGGAGACUACCAGAAAUCCUCUGAGUGUGCUGCAGCCAGCAGCCGGCUGGCCGAGUCCCUCGUGAUUGCUGAAGAAAAAAAGAUGCUGGACCGAGUCGUGGCCAUGGCUGGCAAGCAGUCGGCCCUGUCCCCUGACCCCAAGGAAUAUGAUGCUCAAGGCUCCUUCCAGCCGGCCAAGGAAACAAAGAAGAUACCUCUGGACCCAGAGAACCCGGAGAGGUUUGCCGUCAUUGGGGCAAACUUGGACAGCAAAUAGGAAGGCGAGCUCGUCGAUUUCCUCCGUGAGAAUUGGGACAUCUUUGCAUGGUCCCCAAAGGACAUGCCGGGUGUUCCGAAGGAUUUCGCCGAGCACAAGCUACAUGUCCGAGCAAACGCAAAACUAGUCAAGCAACCUCUCCGCCGACUGUCAGAGGAAAAGAGAAGGAUCGUAGGAGAAGAGAUAGCCCGGCUUCUGGCAGCCGGCUUCAUUAUGGAGGUGUUUUUUCCAGAGUGGCUUGCCAACCCGGUCCUUGUAUUGAAGAAAAACAAUAAAUGGCGCAUGUGUAUAGAUUAUACCAGCCUCAACAAAGCCUGCCCCAAAGAUCCGUUUGCCUUACCUCGAAUCGAUCAAGUGAUAGACUCCACAGCCGGAUGCGAGCUGUUGAGUUUCUUGGAUGCUUACUCAGGCUACCAUCAGAUCAAGUUGGAUCCAGCCGACCGCCUGAAGACCACCUUCAUCACACCAUUUGGAGCUUUCUGCUACCUGACUAUGACAUUCGGCUUAAGAAACGCAGGUGCCACUUUUCAACGUUGCAUGCAGAAAUGCCUCCUGAAGCAACUCGGCAGAAAUGCCCACGUCUAUGUAGACGAUAUUGUGGUGAAGACGGAGAAGCACGACACCCUGCUGGAAGACCUCAGAGAGACAUUUGACAACUUGCGCCAGUUUCAGAUCAAGCUCAACCCUGAGAAAUGCGUGUUCGGAGUACCAGCCGGCCAGCUUCUAGGCUUCUUGGUCUCCGAACGCGGCAUCGAGUGCAACCCAGUGAAGAUCAAGCCUAUAAAGAGAAUGGAGAUUCCUACCAAGCUGCGAGACGUCCAAAGUUCACCGGGUGCCUGGCCUCCCUGAACCGCUUCAUCAGCCGGCUAGGAGAGAAGGCUCUCCCCCUGUAUCGACUCAUGAAAAAGUCCACCCACUUCGAGUGGAACGACCAAGCAGACCAAGCUUUUCACGAGUUGAAGAAGAUGCUGACCACGCCACCUGUCUUGGCGGCACCGACUGAGAAAGAGCCCAUGCUCUUUUACAUUGCCGCGACCAGCCGAGUGGUCAGCACAGUUAUUGGGGUCCAACGCCCAGAAGAAGGCCGGGUUCAGUUAGUCCAGAGGCCGGUGUAUUAUUUGAGCGAAGUACUGUCCACCUCGAAGCAAAAUUACCCGCACUACCCGGCCCGGGGACUGCAGCAGUCGACCCGGGGACUGCAACGACACAACAGGCGGUGGCCGACUUCAACUCUUCACCACCCAACCCACCCACCCUGGUCACAGUAGCCGCAUUGGCAAUAGAAGAAGUCACAGCUCCAUCAUGGACCCAACCCAUCCUCAACUUCCUGGUAAACAGAGAGCUGCCGACUGACGAGAUCUCGGCAAGACAAGUUCAAUGCCGAGCCAGAGCAUACACAAUAAUAAACAGAGAACUCGUUAGGCGCAGCGUCACUGGAGUCUUCCAGCGCUGCGUCGAGCCAGAGAAGGGCAUAGCAAUCCUCAAGGACGUCCACCAAGGCGAAUGCGGCCACCGCGCGGCCUCAAGAUCCCUUGUUGCCAAAGCUUUCCGCCAUGGGUUCUUCUGGCCGUCUGCUUUGGAAGACACCAAGGAAUUAGUCAAAUGCUGCAAAGGGUGCCAAGUCUUCAGCUCCAAGCAACACCUGCCAGCUUCUGCACUCAAGACCAUCCCCCUCACCUGGCCCUUUGCCGUCUGGGGAUUGGACAUGGUGGGCCCAUUCAAAACGGCGCGCGGCGGCAUGACACAUCUGCUUGUCGCCGUGGACAAAUUCACCAUGUGGAUUUAAGCGAAGCCAAUCAAGAAGCUGAACGGGCCGACAUCCAUGACAUUCAUCGCAGAUAUCACCACCCGGUAUGGCGUACCACACAGCAUCAUCACUGAAAAUGGCAUGAAUUUUUCCAAAGGAGCACUGGCGCAUUUCUGUACGACACUGGGCAUCUGACUGGACUUAGCGUCCGUUGCCCACCCGCAGUCAAACGGCCAAGUCGAGCGAGCAAACGGCCUCAUCCUCUCCGGCAUCAAGCCCCGACUGGUCAUACCACUGGAGCGUUCGGUCGGCUGUUGGCUCGACGAGCUGCCGGCCGUCCUCUGGAGUCUACGUACUACCCCGAACAAGUCAACCGGCUUCACCCCUUUCUUCCUUGUAUAUGGUGCCGAGGCUGUCAUCCCAACUGACAUUGAGUUCGACUCACCUCGGGUCACCAUGUACACGGAGGCGGAGGCCAAAGAAGCGCGCGAAGACGGUGUUGACCUGCUGGAAGAAGGCCGGCUGUUAUCACUCAGCCGGUCUGCCAUCUACCAGCAGGGGUUGCGCCGUUACCACAACCGGAAGGUCAAGCCAAGAUCCUUCCAAGAAGGCGAUCUUGUGCUCCGGCUGAUCCAGCGAACAGCUGGCCAGCACAAGCUCUCAGCCCCUUGGGAAGGCCCCUUCGUCAUCAGCAAGGCCCUAGGCAACGACCCCUACUACCUGAUCUACGCACAGAAGCCGAAGGCACGCAAGAGAGAUGAUUCCGGCAAGGAGUUGGAACGACCAUGGAACGCCAAUCUCCUCCGAAGAUUUUACAGUUAAAAGCAGUAUGUACCACGCUACCUUUUGUAUUAAGUACAAGAAAACGGGCCCCCCGAGGAGCACUCGGGGACUACCAUCUUUUAUCUAUGUAUGACGAGUGUCAUACCUAUGAAUGCAUUACUACAUUUGUUUUCUGUCCGGCACCGGGUUUGAUCAGUCGGCCUGGGGACUUGCCGCCUUGAGUUAUAUUAAAGUUCUACCUGCAGUCAGACAAGUAGUGUGUCGGCACCCAAGCCCUCUCUUGUUGAAAGUCGCAGCUCAAAGAAUCGACUGUCCGACUGGCAAGAGUCAAAGGCAGGAAAGGAUGCCCACACAAAAAAGGCUAAGGACUAACGAACUUAUAUAACACAAGCCGGCCUCCCACCCCACCAUCCGGCUGUCAGAACAGCCGGCUGGCCGGCUUCCCGUUCACCUUGCUACAAUCUAAGAAAGCUAGAGUACUUGCCCUCCCAAAUGGCCAAGCCCUUCCCCAGCCACAGACUGCAGAGUAGCUGUUCGGCUGGGAAGGCGGCGACCAAGGGAGGGCGGCAAAGGAAACAGCCAAAAGGAUGAAAAGCAAAUACAAUCGGAAGCCAAGCACAUGCAUGCUUAUAUUUAUACAAAAGGCCUUCGAAAGGCCGUCAUUCAACAUAGUUUGAAUACACCCCCAGUGGGUGGAACUGCGCAAACUUAACAAAUACUGUUCAAAGAGUAAUAAACAGGAAAGCAAAGGUGGCGGAUCAGGCUAAAGGUGCAAUAGGCGAGCCAGGCAGGUCAGUGGAGACGGCAGUGCUGGCUGGAGGAGUGGCCUGCUGGCAGGUCUCGGCUUGAUCAUCACCGGCUGCAGGCGGCGCGCUCGCAUAUGAGCACGCUGAUAUAAUACAUAAGGGCGGAUAUGACACAAGGAGUAUGGUGGCAUAACUACUGACUCGUAAUAAAAGUGGUGGUGGAUAUGUCACAGUGAAGUGGGUGACAUGACUCCUAAAUCUUACAACUCAUCGAGCGCCAGAGUGAGGCUCGAUGACUUUUAUUCUGGGUAGCGGAAGCGUAUAUAAUACAAGUGACCAAUUCCAGGUUCGCACGGGACUGACUGGGACUCCUCUAGGCGUCGGACUCGCUAUCAAACUCUUCAUCCAUAAGAUCGCCUUCGUCAACAUCUGGACAAAUCAACAAGCCAGGUGAGUACUUUGAAAGUACUCGCAAGACAGUUUGGACAUAAGAUAUAACAAAUGCAAACAUGAUGCACAUGAGCAGAUUAGUAAUGUGCACUCAGAUAAUAAAAUUUGCACUGCAUGAUAAAUAAAAAGGAAGUCAAGCGUUACUCCUCCCGAAAUCCCAAUGAAAUAACUGAAGACCGAUCGGGUGUCUGAAGCGACGCCUCGAAAGGUAAAAAUAAAUUAACAAUGCCGCAGUCGGGCGUCAGGGCGACACCACAUAACGGGCUCAUAUUGGAAUAUAAACGACAGUGCGUGCCACAGUCGGACGUCUGAGCGACAUCACAUAAAGGGCUUAUAUCAAAAGUAAAUAACAAGAGUGCCACAGUCGGACGUCUGAGCGACAUCACAUAAAGGGCUUAUAUCAAAAGUAAAUAACAAGAGUGCCNNNNNNNNNNNNNNNNNNNNNNNNNNNNNNNNNNNNNNNNNNNNNNNNNNNNNNNNNNNNNNNNNNNNNNNNNNNNNNNNNNNNNNNNNNNNNNNNNNNNNNNNNNNNNNNNNNNNNNNNNNNNNNNNNNNNNNNNNNNNNNNNNNNNNNNNNNNNNNNNNNNNNNNNNNNNNNNNNNNNNNNNNNNNNNNNNNNNNNNNNNNNNNNNNNNNNNNNNNNNNNNNNNNNNNNNNNNNNNNNNNNNNNNNNNNNNNNNNNNNNNNNNNNNNNNNNNNNNGACGCCUCGAAAGGUAAAAAUAAAUUAACAAUGCCGCAGUCGGGCGUCAGGGCGACACCACAUAACGGGCUCAUAUUGGAAUAUAAACGACAGUGCGUGCCACAGUCGGACGUCUGAGCGACAUCACAUAAAGGGCUUAUAUCAAAAGUAAAUAACAAGAGUGCCACAGUCGGACGUCUGAGCGACAUCACUUAAAGGGCUUAUAUCAAAAGUAAAUAACAAGAGUGCCACAGUCGGACGUCUGAGUGACAUCACUUAAAGGGCUUAUAUCAAAAGUAAAUAACAAGAGUGCCGCAGUCGGACGUCUGAGCGACAUCACAUAAAGGGCUUAUAUUUCAUUAUUCGAAUUCAAGUAGCUCAUGAAUUUAAAUCAUCUCAAGGAAAUACUCAUGUACGUAAUAAUAAACUGGUUAGUCCAUCCACAGAAAUAACAUUCAACCUGGUUUACCACUCAUGUUUGUUCACCGGGCAUUUUCACUGAGACUGCCACAGAGACUGACGCUGAGACGGACGUUGAGACCGAUACUGAUACUGAUAUGGAUAUGUUGACCAAGAUCCUUGACCAUGGACACGGUUACUCGGAUGGGUUUUGACUCUGCAGAGUUUGUACUUUUUAACCACAGCCAACGGAUUUCAGUAGUCACAAAGGACUAGUUCCGUUUACGGUAUUUUAGGAGAAACACAUCUAACCAGUACACACCCAUUCCACAUUCCGCUGCCAGGAAUCACCCUAGGCAACAUUCAAGAAAAACCUUAAGACAGGGAGGCUACAACCUCGUGUAGCAUGGGAUCAAAUUUAUAUCGCGCGCUCUAAGGGGUGCCCCCCUCUUGGUCCCAACCGGAAACACCCAUGCCCCCUGACCGGAUGACGGGCUUUAAUCCAGGGCCAUGGAACCCUCAUCACGGUCCCUCUAUUUGGUGUGUACGAGGAAAGAGGUUUGCAACUUACUAAACCGUAUUCUUUGCAGAAAACAUGUGGCAGCACGAAAAGGGGACGGACGGUAACGUGGCUUGAUCCACGUUAACACUGGAGUUUAACGGUUGACAUAAGACUGGCAUGCUUCAACAAUACCAUCUUACCACCUUUCAUGUCACCACAUGAUCAUGUUAUCUCCCAUCAAAUGAUCACAUCAAGUUUCGAAGCAUACUGGUAGUUGCCUUGCAUGCAAUAUAACACUCACUGAUGUUCAUAUAAACAUGCCAUGCACUAACUAUUCAAGCAAACAUGCAAAACACUCAUCAUAUCAAAGGUUCAAACAUGCUUGCCUGGUUCGGAGUAGUCAGAGUCUAGCCCGGCGAAGUUCGCGGUUCCGUCACCUCCUCCGGUAUCUACGGUAUAAAGAAAUCGCAUACUAACGUAAAUACCGAGUGUGCAUAAAAGUUGUACCAAAUAUUUUUCAAAUAAAUAUUAUAAAAAACUAGACAGAAAAACAAAGAUGACAGAAAAAGAAUCAACUCAAAAUCAUCUUUUGUUUAAAAGAUAUAAAGGUUUUAGUCCAGAGACUAAUCUGUGAUGAAACAGAAAAGACCCAGGGGCUAGUUUGAAAAAGCAGAAAACGUUUCGGUUGGAAAUACACCAGCCCAGAAGGAAAACGUACUUUGCCCGAAGGCGCUUUCAGAAAACAUUUCAAAAUACAAGAGAAAAGGCUGACGAGGGGGUCCCACCCGUCAGGUUCAAACUUUGAAACAGAGCUCGCCGGUGCCGAGGCUCGCGGUGGUCGCCGGCGUUGAUCCACGGCGAGGUAGGGGAAUCGGAGGGUACCUACGGAUUCACGGUGUCCUUCCGCGUCUGUGGGUGGUGGAGUUGGUCGUCGACGAGCACCACGUCGACGGCGGCCUCCACUCCGGCGGACGCUGGUUCAGGCGGUGGUGGAUCUCGCCGGGGAGGGCUGCAAUCGUCAAAUUGAGGCUCGGGUUAGAGGAGUGGGUGUACUAGGAGGCGACUGGCAAGGUUUGGGAGGGGGGUGCCCUCACCGGAGAGAAUCGUGUCGGAGCCCGAAGCGGAUCGGGGCGGCCGGAGUCGGGGAAGAAGGCCUCCUCGAGGUCCUCCUAGUGGCUGGGCGCGGCUCUGGUGAGGUGUAGGGGUGGUGCUGGGUCGAAGGCGAGCUCGGGUCGCUAUUUAUAGCCGGCCCGAGGCGGUUGCCGAGAACGGGAUAACUCCGGCGGGCGAUUACGGCGAGGCAGUGGUCGGGCUGGAGGUUUAGGUGAUUGGGCAUCAUCGUGAUGGUCCACUGGUUCCGUUCAAGGGCUAAAUUUGGUAUGACUUGGGUGAUACUCCAAGCUCUCGACGGAACGGCCUCACGGGCACGUCGGCGGCAGGGAGCGCGCUCUGUGCUUCCCAGGCCACGACGAUGGCUCUGCAACAUGCACAGGGGAGGGGACGGCCACGCGGAGGCUUCUGGUGGUUUGGGCGGUGCUGGACGGCGCCAUCCCUCGCUGCGCCUCUCUGGCAGCCGCAGCAAGUGUUGCUGUCACGGCGAUGCACCUCUGCCAGCUCACCGCCGACGCUCACAACCGUCCAGGCGACCGUGCGGCGCGGUGGAUAAGAAGGGGGAACAGGGAGCAAGGCGCCACUGCAGUUACUGGCGAGAUCGACGUGAGGCUCUGAAGAAAACGACACUGACGACUGAAACUGAUCACUGAAACUCUGAAUUCGACAGGAACAGUGCACGCCAGCUGUUCGACGAAAUGUUUUUGGCACGAGGAAAAAUGUUCUGGAGCUGGGACUUGGUGAGGUGACCUCUUGAUGCAUCUAGAGGCUGCCUGAUUUUUCUCAAAUUUUUAGGAAAAGAAAACAAAUGAAUUUCACCAAAAAUGGCAAAUAUGGUCCAAACUUGCAGCAAGCACAUUUUGAAAAUUUUGAAUUGUGGACCAGUGGAUCUUGAUGGAUCUAGGUUGAGGGUACUAAGGACUAGUCAGAGGAGUUUGUUUGGAAUCAAAACUCAAAAGGGAUCUGGUGGUUCCUUUGUAAAUCACCAAGGUUCAAAAUAAAUGACAGAAAUUGUUUUGAGGAUAAAAUAAAUAGGAAUAAAAUCAAAAAUGGGUUGAACUUGCUGGGAUUGGAUAUUUGACUUGACCCCAAAGUGGAGGGAGGGGUUUUGAAAGAAAUUUUUCAACCUAGGUCAUGGCAAGAAAAAUUUUGAAUGAGGAAGAAUCAAUCCAUAAGUCAUAGGGUUAUUUUUAAAAGAAGGAUUUCAAAAACUUUCCCAAGGAAAAUAUUUGUGUUGAGUCAACACAAGAUGUAAAACCCUCAAGACCACAAAUCAAUAUUGAGAAGGGCCCUUUUAAAGAAAAUAUUUGUCAUAAAAAAAUUGAUAAUGAGAGUCCCUCUUUUCGAAAAAUUCAAAUAACCUCCUUUAAAUCAAAUAAAGAAAAAGCCAAAUCAAAAUAUAUUUUUGGAGAGUUACAACACCUACCCCCUUAGGAAAAAUCUCAUCCCCGAGAUUUCAGCCGAUCCUCAAAUAGGUGUGGGUACACUGCCUGAAGAAAAUCCUCUCUUUCCCAUGUUGCUUCAUCCUCGGUGUGAUUGCUCCACUGAACCUUGGAAAAUUUAAUUGUUUUCUGACGGGUCCUCCUUUCAGACUCCUCUAAUAUUUUUAUUGGACGUUCCCUGUAGGUGAGGUCUGGUUGCACGUCAAUGCUCUUAUGAGAUACAUGUUUUUCCAGGUUGCUUACACAUUUCCUUAACUGUGAGACGUGGAACACGUCGUGGACGUCUGACAGCUCUUUGGGUAGGUCUAGCUGGUAGGCUACUGUGCCUCUUCGUGCAACUACAUAGAAGGGUCCAAUAAAUCUUGGGGCUAGCUUUCCUUUAACUUUGAACUGUUGCAGGCCCCUCAUAGGAGAUACUCGUAGAUACACAUAUUCACCGGGUUCAAAGCUGACUUCACGAUGCUUUCGAUCGUAAUAACUCUUUUGUCGGCUUUGAGCUGUCUUGAGUCGGUCCCUGAUUAGUCUAACUUUCUCCUUGGCUUCCUUGAGCAUGUUUGGGCCGAAGAUACGACUGUCUCCUAUUUCUGACCAAUUUAAUGGAGUACGACAUCUCCGCCCGUACAAGGCUUCAAAAGGUGCCAUUUGUAGACUGGCUUGGUAACUGUUGUUGUAUGCGAACUCGACAUAUGGCAAGCUUUCUUCCCAACUGGUUCCAUAGGUGAGAACACAUGCUCUCAGCAUGUCCUCUAGGAUUUGGUUCACGCGUUCAGUUUGUCCAUCAGUCUGGGGGUGGUAUGUUGUACUGAAUGCUAGUUGAGUUCCCAGAGCUUGUUGUAAAUGAUCCCAAAAUCUAGAGACGAAUUGAGUGCCUCUGUUAGAUAUUAUAGUCUUUGGAACUCCAUGCAGGCAAACUAUAUGGGAGAGGUAAAGCUUGGCAAGUUUCUGAGUGGUGUAGGUUGUCUUUACGGGAAUGAAAUGUGCUACCUUGGUUAAUCUAUCUGUGAUGACCCAUAUGGCAUCAUUUCCGUGUUGUGACCGAGGUAGUCCGACAAUAAAAUCCAUUCCAAUUUCGUCCCAUUUCCACUCAGGUAUCCUGUUUGGAUGUAGUAGCCCUGCUGGUUUUUGGUGCUCGGCUUUAAUGCGUUGACAUGAAUCACAACAUGCAAUGAAUGUGGCUAUAUCCCUCUUCAUACCGUGCCACCAAAAAAAUUCCUGGAUGUCCUUGUACAUUUUGGUUCCUCCAGGGUGGAUUGAAUAUGGAGCAGUGUGGCCUUCGGUUAGAAUUUGCUGUUUGAGGUCCUCAAUGUUUGGUAUGCAAAGUCUGUCCCCGUACCAUAAUACUCCCUCAUCGUCUACGACGAAUUCUGAAGCCUUGCCAAGACUCACUUUUCUCUUUAUACCUUCGAUGCUGGGAUGUCCAUGCUGAGCCUUCUUAAUCUGUCCCAUUAGGGUGGGUUGUAUUUCCAAAUUUGACACGUUGCCCUCAGUGACCAUUACCAAGUUGAGUUUGGCGAACUCCUGCUGAAAUUCAGGCCUCAAGUUCUGUAGACUGUCGUUGCCCGAGCUGGGGUUUCGACUAAGAGCGUCUGCCACUACAUUCGCUUUUCCUGGAUGGUAGUGAAUGCCAACAUCAUAAUCAUUGACUAAUUCCAACCAGCGUCGUUGCCGUAAAUUGAGUUCUGGUUGUGUGAAAAUAUAUUUGAGGCUUUUAUGAUCCGUAUAUAUUUCACAACGAUUCCCAAGCAAAAAGUGCCUCCACUCUUUGAGUGCAUGGAUGACUGCUGCCAACUCCAAGUCAUGAGUAGGAUAAUUUUCUUCAUGCUUUCGUAGUUGCCUGGAAGCAUAUGCGACAACUUUGCCGUCUUGCAUCAAUACGCACCCGAGGCCCUACCGGGACGCGUCACAAUACACUUCAAAACUUUUGUGUAUGUCUGGCACAACCAAUACCGGUGCUGUUGUUAAUUUCCUUUUGAGUUCUUGGAAACUUUUCUCGCAUGCUUCAAUCCAUACAAAUUUCUUAUCCUUCUUGAGUAACUGGGUCAUUGGUUUUGCUAUGGUGGAGAAUCCCUCAAUAAACCUUCGGUAAUAUCCAGCCAUUCCUAGGAAACUUCGUACAUCUGUCACGUUGGCUGGUGGUUUCCAGCCAAGUACGGCCUUGACUUUUUCUAGGUCUACGGCAACACCUUCUUGGGUCAAUACAUGGCCUAGAAAACCAACCUGUCUUAACCAAAAUUCACAUUUGCUGAAUUUGGCGUAUAAUUGAUGUUUCCUUAAUUCUCCCAGUACAAUUCUGAGAUGUUCAGCAUGUUCUUCCGGUGUUUUAGAGUAUACCAGAAUAUCGUCAAUGAACACCACAACAAAUUUGUCCAUAAAUUUCAUAAACACUUUGUUCAUGAGGUGGACAAAAUAUGCGGGGGCGUUUGUCAGUCCAAACGGCAUUACUGUGAACUCAUAUAAUCCGUAUCUGGAGGUGAAUGUUGUCUUAGGGAUAUCUUCUGUCCGUACCUUUAAUUGAUGAUACCCCGAUCUUAAAUCAAUUUUCGAGAAAACCUUGGCUUGUGCGAGCUGGUCAAAUAAAUCAUUUAUCCGUGGCAUCGGAUAUUUGUUUUUGAUGGUUACCAUGUUGAGUGCUCGAUAGUCUAUACAUAAUCUCAGUGGCCCAUCCUUUUUCUUUGCAAAUAAUACUGGUGAACCCCAAGGUGAGGAGCUGGCUUGUAUAAAUCCUUUGUCCAGUAAUUCUUUUAUUUGCUUCUUUAAUUCUACCAACUCGGAGGGUGCCAUUCUAUAGGGUUUCUUGUAAAUGGGGGUGGUUCCAGAUGCUAGUUCAAUGCUGAACUCUAUUUCCCGGUCUGGUGGCAUGCCCGGUAGUUCUUCAGGAAAUACGUCAGGGAACUCACACACCACUGGAACUUUUCUUAACUCUAAAAUGUCCACCUUGUUCAACUUUGGUUGUCGUGACACUGGUCUUUCUUGAGCUGCAACUUUUAUUGUCUGGCCGUGAUGAUGAGUGAUAAUUAUGGUCUGAUUGAAGCAGUCGAUAAAUCCCUUGUUGGUGGUUAACCAGUCCAUUCCUAGGAUAACAUCCAGUCCUUUAUUUUCCAAAACGAUGAGAUUUGCCUGAAACUUUAAUCCCUUAACCUCAAUAACCACACCUUGGCAGUAACUCUGAGUGAUUUGCUUAUUCCUAGGGGACUUGAUGAUCAUGGAUUUUUCCAAGGGAAGCAUCGAAAAAUCAUGUCGCAAAACAAAACUCUUUGAAAUGAACGAGUGAGAAGCUCCAGAAUCAAACAAAACCGUGGCAGGUAUUGUGUUGACAGGGAACGUACCGAGUACGAUAUCCGGGGCAUUCUGUGCUUCCUCCUUGGUCACAUGGUUCAAGUGACCCUUCUUGUGAUUGUUAUUGGGGUUGAAGUUGAUACGCUUGGGAGCUGGAUUAUUUCCACCGUUGUUCGGCUUGGGGGCCGAGUUCCUUGGUUUUGGGCACUGUUUGGCAUAGUGUCCUUCCUCCCCACAAGCAUAGCAAGUAACACCUGGGCGAUACGUAAAGUCCUUGUCUCUUGCAUGAAAAUGUUUGGUUGGGCUUGGAACAUUGGUCGUGGAUUCGUUCGCUCCAUUUUUCUGAAAAUCAGUCUUGUUCCGGUUGUUGCGAGCAUGAGUAGUCCUGUCCCUUUUGCGCUUGCGAAUAUCCUCCAAGCUGCAGCGCUCAUUUUCCAAUGUAAUAGCCUUUUCCACAUGUGUUUUGAAAUCUGGAAAGGUGUGUACGACCAGCUGGCAUUUAAGUGCUGGUGCCAGACCGUCCAAAAAUUUCUCCAUCUUUUUGUUUUCAGUCAUAUGCUCUUCGUUGGCAUAACGAGAUAAUUGAGUAAACUGACUAUUGUACUCAGUCACUGUCAUGCUUCUCUGCUUGAGGUCAUCAAACUCCCUUCUCUUGAUCUUCAUAAUGCUUCUGGGAAUGUGCGCCCCAUGAAAACCUUCCUUAAAUUCUUCCCAGGUGAUGUUGUUUUCAUUGGGGUGCAUGUGUAGAAAAUUUUCCCACCAUGAUGCAGCUGCUCCAGUGAGGUAGUGAGGUGCAUAAAGUACCUUCUCACGGUCCGAACAUUGUGAAAUAAUUAAUUUCCUUUCAAUGUCUCGAAGCCAAUCAUCGGCCUCAAGCGGUCUAUCAGUGUGAGCGAACGUUGGGGGACGUGUAUUUUGUAGUUCAGACAAUUUGGAAUGCUGCUGGUAUGAUUCACGGUGAUUUCCCAUAUUGAUAACAUGGUUCAUCAUUUCUUGAUGCUGCUGCUGGCUUUGCUCAUAAAGGCGGCAUACUUGAGAAAAUGCUGCUUCACUGCCUUGCUGACUUGACUGCCCCUGUGUGAAGUUGUUCGUUGUCUGGGUACCAUAAUUUUCUUCCGGCGGACUUGGCAUGGAACGAGUCCAGGGACGAGGCAUUUUCCACUCUGGGGUAUUUUUGCAAAGCUCAUGAAAAAACCGAGUGGCAAAAAGAAUAAUUUUGCAAAGGCGGAAUUUUUAAAGACUCCAAGAUUUUUCAAGAAAAUACUUGAUUGCGCAUGGAGAAGGACUGCUCAGUACAUAUCUUACACGUGAGUCGUAAUUAUACAAUGCAUCACUCAGGAUGUGCGUACACAUUCCUGACAUGUUAUUUAGGCUAGUGCACUUCUCCGAGUUCCUACAUGAUGCGCACACAAACUACUUCUCACCAAACCUAUAUACAUAUAAACAUAUCAUACAAGCUGGCACAUCGCACGGCUGCUAGGCGCACUCAGUCGGAGAUGGUGAAAACUUCCCUCAGCCUGCCGAGGGUAAGACCCAGUGGUGCAGGAGACUCAACCUCCUCCUCACUAAUAGGCUCCAGGCGCGAAGUACUGCGUUGAGGAGUUGGUGCGGGUGCGGCAGGUGGUGCAGCUCUGAUUGGAGUAGGAGCAAUGACUUGUUCAAACUCCUCAGUGGUAGGCAGGCGGCGAGUGGUGGCUAAGAUGGCAGGUGCAUAGGAUGCUAAGGACGAGACGUAAGUCAGUGGUGGUGCUGUGUGGAGAAGCUCCCUCCUGUUGGCGGAACAGCCCUGAACUGAGUCCAUACGGGCAGCCACAAGGUCGUCCAUGAGGUUAUCAAAAGCUGCCUCAAGAGCUUUGAGGUACUCAACAAGCAUCUCAAUAGCCUCAUCUCUCUCUCCCCUAGGGCAAGCAAAUGCAUAGUGACAAGUAUAUGGCACAUGGCAUGGGAGGUAGCGGUAGCGACGAGUCUUCAUCGUAGGAAGAGCAUCCCGGAGACGAGCUAUCGCCUCACGGGCAGCCAUCUGCAUGGCAUGCCUCUCCGUAGGCAUGGCCCUUCCCACAAAACGGAAGUGGCGAGACGUAGAACGUCCUCCCUUGAAUUGCACCGUGGCCUGGUGCAUAGACACGUUGUCGCUGAUCUUGUGCUGGUAGAGUGUGAACUCUGGACGAGUCGAUGGCCCGAUCGCGAGCUUGGUGAUGGAGACGAGAAGCUUGAUAAACCCCUCAGGUACAUUGGCGAACACCUGAGAUUCGCAGUCGCUGCCAGCCAUCUACAAAGGUAGACAAAAAUUCCGAAUAGUCAAAUCAAAAAUUUAUGAUGACCAACAGAAAAUUGCUACAUUUGCAAAAUGCUGAAAAAGCACUGAAGACGCUAAUACCGAUUAGCGAUCGCACCUAGUGGCUUCCUACAGUCAGCCUGGCUCUGAUACCAAGGUUGUCAGGACCGGUUUUCCAAUAAAACAUUUAUUGAGAAACCGACCCUUUUAUCGGACCUGUAUAGAAGAAUCCUUCUUACUGGUAGACAAAUCCUUGAUACAGAAAUCCAGAAGUACUAAAUAUUAUACAGGGUUGAGCUGAGGCUGCUCAACCAUUUAUUACAAGCACGCCGAUAUAAUACAUAAGGGCGGAUAUGACACAAGGAGUAUGGUGGCAUAACUACUGACUCGUAAUAAAAGUGGUGGUGGAUAUGUCACAGUGAAGUGGGUGACAUGACUCCUAAAUCUUACAACUCAUCGAGCGCCGGAGUGAGGCUCGAUGACUUUUAUUCUGGGUAGCGGAAGCGUAUAUAAUACAAGUGACCAAUUCCAGGUUCGCACGGGACUGACUGGGACUCCUCUAGGCGUCGGGCUCGCUAUCGAACUCUUCAUCCAUAAGAUCGCCUUCGUCAACAUCUGGCCAAAUCAACAAGCCAGGUGAGUACUUUGAAAGUACUCGCAAGACAGUUUGGACAUAAGAUAUAACAAAUGCCAACAUGAUGCACAUGAGCAGAUUAGUAAUGCGCACUCAGAUAAUAAAAUUUGCACUGCAUGAUAAAUAAAAAGGAAGUCAGGCGGUAGUCCUCCCGAAAUCCCAAUGAAAUAACUGAAGACCGAUCGGGUGUCUGAAGCGACGCCUCGAAAGGUAAAAAUAAAUUAACAAUGCCGCAGUCGGGCGUCAGGGCGACACCACAUAAAGGGCUCAUAUUGGAAUAUAAACGACAGUGCGUGCCACAGUCGGACAUCUGAGCGACAUCACAUAAAGGGCUUAUAUCAAAAGUAAAUAAAAAGGGUGCCAUAGUCGGACGUCUGAGCGACAUCACAUAAAGGGCUUAUAUCAAAAGUAAAUAACAAGAGUGCCACAGUCCGACGUCUGAGCGACAUCACAUAAAGGGCUUAUAUCAAAAGUAAAUAACAAGAGUGCCACAGUCGGACGUCUGAGCGACAUCACAUAAAGGGCUUAUAUCAAAAGUAAAUAACAAGAGUGCCACAGUCGGACGUCUGAGCGACAUCACAUGAAGGGCUUAUAUCAAAAGUACAUAAGAAGAGUGCCACAGUCGAACGUCUGAGCGACAUCACUUAAAGGGCUUAUAUCAAAAGUAAAUAACAAGAGUGCCGCAGUCGGACGUCUGAGCGACAUCACAUAAAGGGCUUAUAUUUCAUUAUUCGAAUUCAAGUAGCUCAUGAAUUUAAAUCAUCUCAAGGAAAUACUCAUGUACGUAAUAAUAAACUGGUUAGUCCAUCCACAGAAAUAACAUUCAACCUGGUUUACCACUCAUGUUUGUUCACCGGGCAUUUUCACUGAGACUGACACAGAGACUGACGCUGAGACGGACGUUGAGACCGAUACUGAUACUGAUAUGGAUAUGUUGACCAAGAUCCUUGACCAUGGACACGGUUACUCGGAUGGUUUUUGACUCUAUAGAGUUUGUACUUUUUAACCACAGCCAACGGAUUUCAGUAGUCACAAAGGACUAGUUCCGUUUACGGUAUUUUAGGAGAAACACAUCUAACCAGUACACACCCAUUCCACAUUCCGCUGCCAGGAAUCACCCUAGGCAACAUUCAAGAAAAACCUUAAGACGGGGAGGCUACAACCUCGUGUAGCAUGGGAUCAAAUUUAUAUCGCGCGCUCUAAGGGGUGCCCCCCUCUUGGUCCCAACCGGAAACACCCAUGCCCCCUGACCGGAUGACGGGCUUUAAUCCAGGGCCAUGGAACCCUCAUCACGGUCCCUCUAUUUGGUGUGUACGAGGAAAGAGGUUUGCAACUUACUAAACCGUAUUCUUUGUAGAAAACAUGUGGCAGCACGAAAAGGGGACGGACGGUAACGUGGCUUGAUCCACGUUAACACUGGAGUUUAACGGUUGACAUAAGACUGGCAUGCUUCAACAAUACCAUCUUACCACCUUUCAUGUCACCACAUGAUCAUGUUAUCUCCCAUCAAAUGAUCACAUCAAGUUUCGAAGCAUACUGGUAGUUGCCUUGCAUGCAAUAUAACACUCACUGAUGUUCAUAUAAACAUGCCAUGCACUAACUAUUCAAGCAAACAUGCAAAACACUCAUCAUAUCAAAGGUUCAAACAUGCUUUCCUGGUUCGGAGUAGUCGGAGUCUAGCUCGGCGAAGUUCGCGGUUCCGUCACCUCCUCCGGUAUCUAUGGUAUAAAGAAAUCGCAUACUAACGUAAAUACCAAGUGUGCAUAAAAGUUGUUCCAAAUAUUUUUCAAAUAAAUAUUAUAAAAAACUAGACAGAAAAAAAAAGAUGACAGAAAAAGAAUCAACUCAAAAUCAUCUUUUGUUUAAAAGAUAUAAAGGUUUUAGUCCAGAGACUAAUCUGUGAUGAAACAGAAAAGACCCAGGGGCUAGUUUGAAAAAGCAGAAAACGUUUCGGUUGGAAAUACACCAGCCCAGAAGGAAAACGUACUUUGCCCGAAGGUGCUUUCAGAAAACGUUUCAAAAUAGAAGAGAAGAGGCUGACGAGGGGGUCCCCCCCGUCAGGUUCAAACUUUGAAACAAAGCUCGCCGGCGCCGAGGCUCGCGGUGGUCGCCAGCGUUGAUCCAUGGCGAGGUAGGGGAAUCGGAGGGUACCUACGGAUUCACGGUGUCCUUCCGCGUCUGUGGGUGGUGGAGUUGGUCGUCGACGAGCACCACGUCGACGGCGGCCUCCACUCCGGCGGACGGUGAUUCGGGCGGUGGUGGAUCUCGCCGGGGAGGGCUGCAAUCAUCAAAUUGAGGCUCGGGUUAGAGGAGUGGGUGUACUAGGAGGCGACUGGCAAGGUUUGGGAGGCGGAGGUGCCCUCACCGGAGAGAAUCGUGCCGGAGCCCGAAGCCGAUCGGGGCGGCCGGAGUCGGGGAAGAAGGCCUCCUCGAGGUCCUCCUAGUGGCUGGGCGUGGCUCUGGUGAGGUGUAGGGGUGGUGUUGGGUCGAAGGCGAGCUCGGGAUCGCUAUUUAUAGCCGGCUCGAGGCGGUUGCCGAGAACGGGAUAACUCCGGCGGGCGAUUACGGCGAGGCAGUGGUCGGGCUGGAGGUUUAGGUGAUUGGGCAUCAUCGUGAUGGUCCACUGGUUCCGUUCAAGGGCUAAAUUUGGUAUGACUUGGGUGAUACUCCAAGCUCUCGACGGAACGGCCUCACGGGCACGUCGGCGGCAAGGAGCGCGCUCUGUGCUUCCCAGGCCACGACGAUGGCUCUACAGCACGCAUAGGGGAGGGGACGGCCACGCGGAGGCUUCUGGUGGUUUGGGCGGUGCUGGACGGCGCCGUCCCUCGCUGCGCCUCUCUGGCAGCCGCAGCAAGUGCUGCUGUCGCCGCUCACGGGGCGAUGCACCUCUGCCAGCUCACCGCCGACGCUCACAACUGUCCAGGCGACCGUGCGGCGCGGUGGAUAAGAGGGGGGAACAGGGAGGAAGGCGCCACUGCAGUUACUGGCGAGAUUGACGUGAGGCUCUGAAGAAAACGACACUGACGACUGAAACUGAUCACUGAAACUCUGAAUUCGACAGGAACAGUGCACGCCAGCUGUUCGACGAAAUGUUUUGGGCACGAGGAAAAAUUUUCUGGAGCUGGGACUUGGUGAGGUGACCUCUUGAUGCAUCUAGAGGCUGCCUGAUUUUUCUAAGAUUUUUAGGAAAAGAAAACAAAUGAAUUUCACCAAAAAUGGCAAAUAUGGUCCAAACUUGCAGCAAGCACAUUUUGAAAAAUUUGAAUUGCGGACCAGUGGAUCUUGAUGGAUCUAGGUUGAGGGUACUAAGGACUAGUUAGAGGAGUUUGUUUGGAAUCAAAACUCAAAAGGGAUCUGGUGGUUCCUUUGUAAAUCACCAAGGUUCAAAAUAAAUGACAGAAAUUGUUUUGAGGAUAAAAUAAAUAGGAAUAAAAUCAAAAAUGGGUUGAACUUGCUGGGAUUGGAUAUUUGACUUGACCCCAAAGUGGAGGGAGGGGUUUUGGAAGAAAUUUUUCAACCUAGGUCAUGGCAAGAAAAAUUUUGAAUGAGGAAGAAUCAAUCCAUAAGUCACAGGGUUAUUUUUAAAAGAGUGAUUUCAAAAACUUUCCCAAGGAAAAUAUUUGUGUUGAGUCAACACAAGAUGUAAAACCCUCAAGACCACAAAUCAAUAUUGAGAAGGGCCCUUUUAAAGAAAAUAUUUGUCAUAAAAAAAUUUUGAGAAUGAGAGUCCCUCUUUUAGAAAAAUUCAAAUAACCUCCUUUAAAUCAAAUAAAGAAAAAGCCAAAUCAAUAAAAAUUGGAGUGUUACACCAGCCGGUCGGCAGUCCGACUGGGGGUGCGGGGAACCACCUCGCCGGGCCAGAGGGCGGCCAGCACUUGUGCCCCAACGCGCUGAAGACGGCGGAGCAUGCGGUGAGCCAGCUGGAGGCGGGCUUGGAUCGCCAGAAGCUGCUCCUCAAGCGACCAGCAAGCAUCCGGUGCGAUCUUAGCUCCAGCUUGCCUUUGCGCCUCACGGUGGGCCUCGAUGACUCGGCUGGCGGCAACAGAGUAACCAGGGAAGUACUCUGCACAAGUAAGAAAGGAAGAGAAAAAACACAAAGUCAGAAAAUUGACCAAAUGGCAGGCGGCAAGCAAAGGAACGAAGAAGAAGGCGGCCUACCAUCAACCAAAUCUUCGAUCUAGUCGUAGCCAUCGCUCAGCGGUUGGCUUGCCUCAGCCCAGCUCGCUGCCUCGGUCUCGUAUUAAGCUUGGAGGGCGGCCUCACUGUCUUGCGCCGCCUUCAGGGCCGCCUUAUGGCUCUCCUCCUGGUCGGCCAGCUUCAUGACCAAGCGGUCACGCUCCUGAGCCAAGGCAUUGCACUCGGCUUCCUUGGCGCAAAGGGCGGUCUGGGCCCCACCCAACUGCUCCCUCAGGUCGGCAUUGGCCUCUGCAGAUAUGGCAAAGAAGAAAAAGCAAUAAGAAAGAAUUUGCCAGGAAAGAUUCGGCCCGACUGCUCAGCAGUCGGCCCGAAUCUCGGGGACUACAACCAGUGGGUGCGCUGACGCGCCCCCACGUGAGGUAAAAGAUGAAGUACUUACUCCGGCUCUCAGUCAGAUCAACGGUCUUCUGGUUCAGCUCCCGGGCCUGGGAGUUGACGGUAGCCGGGCGGAGGUUGUGAUAGUCCUACAAACAGGACAGAGGAGCGAAUAAGAGCAAGAUAGCAAUCGAAGUCUACUAAGAAGUUCCAAGCUGCCUGCUCAGCAGCCGACUCGGAACUCGGGGACUACACCUAGUGGGUGCGCUGACGCGCCCCCACGGAAGAAAUUAAGAAACAAAAAAGCGGGAAGACUUACCCGAAUGGCCGUCCGUGUCGCGAGGAACUCUGAGUAUACUGCGUCAGCACGGUGGCCUGGGAUUGAAGCCGGUUCCGGACUUGUUGCGCCGCUACGUUCAGCACGGCCAUCCCACCACCUGGCGUCCACCCCGAGCUGGCGCUGGCCGCCUCCAGAUCCUGGGCCGAUGAGCUAGAGCCGGCGACCUUCUGCGGGUCCGGCGCCGAAGUCGCCUUCCCCGUGCGCUCGCGCGAUGGCGACCGGACCACAAGGUCUGCCCUCGCGGCCGGCUCGCCCCCAGCCGGUUGCUUGGGCGGCGCGCUAGGCCGGCUGCCUUGGUCCGCCCCAGUCGGUGAUGGCGGUGCCGCCUCCCUCUCCUAGACGACGAUGUUGUCCUCCUCCCUCUCCAUCCCCUGUUGGCCGCCACCGGCUUCCUUCGGCGGGGGCUCCGGGAUCUCGGGUGCCAUAGCGCGCAGGGGGACAACAAGUUGCGGAGGCCAAUUACACAGGGCCUCCACCGCCCUUUCUGCGGCUACAGCCUCCGCCUGGGCCUUGGCCGCAGCGCCGGCUUGCGCCUCGGCCGACUCCUCCGCCAUCUCUUGCGUCGCCCUGGCAGCGGCCGCCCUCAGCUCCUCCGCCUCCCGCUCCUCCCGCGCCUCCCGCGUGUUCUGCUCCGUCGCUGCUUGAAGCUCGGCACGGGGGUCCAUGCGGUGGGCGUUUGCAGAUCCUCCCGCCGCUCCAACUACGAAGGCAGUAGCGGUCCAGUCAAGAGAAAGCGGAGCCCUGUUUGAUAAGACAAGACAAGGACUCAGAAGAAUAUCAACAAAAAAGAAGAAGGAAUACGCGAGAGAAUUGACACUUACGCCGAAACCACUUGUGGCUGCUUCACCACCUUGUGGAAGCGGGCAGCCUUCGCAGCUGCCUCGUCCUGCUUGGUCGCUGCCGCCGCGCUCUUGGGCUUCUUCGUCCGACUGCCGAAUAGGCUCGGCGCGGCCCGGCGCUUCUGCGCGCUGCCUCGGACAGCCGGCGCGGCAGACGAACCCGCGCCAUGAUCGGACGCCGGCUGGCGGCGUGGGAUGAAUUCCGCCUUGUCAUCAUCCGGCCAGUCGUCGAAGCUGGCUCCAAGCCCGGAGCCGCCUGCCUCGCCGCCUCCCCCCACGGUGUCGUCGUCCAGGGCGGCCGCCCCCAAGUCGGGGCCGUCCAAGUCGUGCGUCGUCCGGUCGGGAAGAUAUUGGCGCUCCAUCCCCGCUGCCCCGGCUGCCGGUCGAAGGAGGGGGGUCUGUCAAGACAAACCGACUGGUCAGAGCCGGCCAAGAGAAACUUGGUGACAAAAGUAAAGAAGAGAAGAAAAAGAAAGCUUACCAUAGGCUGAGGAUUGGCACGGGAGUACGGGUCCUUGCAAAACUGCCACUCGUCGGUGAGCUUGCAGUUCGCAAGGUAGUUCACGAUGUGAGCUACCUCUGCAUGAGGCAUCUCCUUGGUACACAGCCGACUCGGAUCGAGUUGGCCGCUCAUUUGACAAAUCAUAUGAGGGCGGCCUUGGAGCGGGAGCACCCGGCGCGCCACGAAGGCGGCCAGCUGGUCGGGCCGGUCAGGCCCUCCGACUGGACCAUUACCCGGAGUCGCGCGACAGCGGCGGCUCUAGCAGGCAAUAGCGUUCUGGCCCGAUAAGACCAUUGGGGCCGCCUCCCAGCCGGCGGGCCGGCUACAUAAGCCGGCAAGUUGACGAAGUCGCCUUGCGGAGCGACGUUCCUCACAUAGAAGUAGGAUUUCUGCCAGAGCUUCACCGACUGGAUCAGCGUGAUGGGAGGAAAAGGGUUGUCGGAUACCGGCCUCUGCACCGCGAUGAAGACACCGCUCUGAGCCGGCACGCCCCUCAUGGCGGUACCGAGCUUGGUCUGGAAGAAUUCCCCCCAGAGCUCGAGGGUGGGGAGGACGCUGAGGAAGCCCUCGCACAAAGUGACGAAGGCAGACAGCAGCACCACCGUGUUUGGAGUAAGGUGGUGCGGCUGGAGCUGGUAGAACUCGAGGAAGGAGCGGAAGAAGCCGCUCGCAGGCAGGCCCAGGCAGUGCGAGCGGAAGAUUACCCGCUCGCCUUCCUCCGGCGCCGGCGAAAUCUCCCUCUCCGGCGCGAGACGGACCCGCACAUAAUCCCUGCCGGGCAGCCGCCGUGUCUUGCGAAGGAAGUCGAUGUGGUCCGCAUGGACGUUGGAGCCAUCCCAGUCUCCGCCGCGUGACAUGAGGGCAAGAAGCCGAGGAAAAAGGCGCGGCAAUGGCGAAACCACGGCCCCGCGGCGGCGAAGCUGCGGGGUAGUGCGACGACUAGAGGGACGGCGCGGCGGCGGGGGGCUGCAGCGACGGAGAAGAAGAAGAAGAUGGCGGAGUGAGGGCGAGCGUCUGCCGCUCCCCCUCCUCCCAUUAUUUUUAGCCUCGUGCGGCGAAGCCAAGGAGGCGAGGCGUAGGGGAGGACGUGGGAUUAACUGCGCCCACUCCCCCACGUCCCGCGAUUAUUGCGCCCUAACGGCAUGUGGAAACUGCCAUUGGAAGGCGAACGGCCCGUCUUGGGCCACAGAAGAUCUACACCUAGGCCUAGGCGUAGAAGUGGCGGGCCCAGGCCUGCGGCGGCGUCCCGUCACGCGCGUGGGCUGGCAGGCUAUCCCAGCCGGAGGGCGCCAUGUGGCGUGUGGGCAGCAAGCGGCCGGCCCGCAACCUGGCGUGCGCGCUGGCUGGUCCCCGCCUCCACACCUCGAAGCCUUACCAAGACGGCACACCUGAUCAAGGUCGGCUCCUAGCUGCUGGCUCUUCAAGAUAGGAAUCUGAUUGGGCUUCUCGUCCUCCUUUCAGCCAUAAAGCCCAACCAGCUUCGGGGACUACUGUCGGAGUAAAUGACCACAGGUAGCCUAACCGACUCCCCUGGCUCUUCAAGAAUUAUCGGGCCGAUCGAGCCUUCAAGCACCCCAAGCACAAGGCCGCCUCCCCCUGGCCGGCUGUCUCACAGGCCGACUACUGGAAGGCGACCCGGCCCUAAAAACCCUCGCGAAGAGAGCCACAGGAAGGCCGACUCCAAGAAGCCGGCCACUAGAAGACCGGCUCCACGAUGCCGGCCACAAGAAGACCGGCUCCACAAUGCCAGCCACAAGAAGACCGGCUCCCAGCAAGCGGCCAAGAGUGCCCCCUCAAGGACUGCACCCACAUAACGGUAACAAGACGGGGCGUGGCUACAGUAAAGCCUGCCGCCCCUGAAUCCCGGAGCACGCAUGGCCACAGUAUACCGUACGGGCCGGCCAUCCCCCGUCCGGCACGGCACUGUUGACAUGUUGACCAUGACGCCACCCACGACAGGCUGUCAGUAUGGCCCGCGGGCGGCAGGCCCCUUCGGCCAGAGAGAUGCUCGAAGACGGCCAUGCCUCCCCUAGUCGGCCUGGGGUGCAGCCGGCUCUCAAUAGCCGGCUACCUUACUCCCUCGAAGUAUGUGCGUCAUAAAGGAGAUAAGACGAGGUAAGGCUACAGUGAGAGUCCGCCAGGCGGUGGCACUAUAGCCAUGCUUACCUCGGUGAAGCCCUCGUCAUCAGGGGCGAGGCUACGGUAACCAGCCGCCGGCAGGACCCACCAUUCGGCGGGCCCCGGCGGCCGGCGGAGAAGCCGGCGAAUACGGACACUGACGGCUAGGACCCGCGUCCAGCCGGAUUACCAUUGUACCCCUGGGGGUAGGCCUAUAUAAACACCCCGGGGCACCCAUGCAAAGGGUUGAUCUCUUAGAGUUUCGGACACCACAUACAGAGAAGAGAAGAGCUAGCCUUGCCCUUCUUCUUCCUCUGGCCAAACAGCUCAAGGAGCCACUUGUAGCCACUUGUGUUGAUCUAGUGAUCAUGCGGAGACCCCGCAAAGCAGGACUAGGGGUGUUAUCUCCACGGAGAGCCCCGAACCUGGGUAAGAUUCACCGGCGUGCAUUUCUUCGCCUUAUCCCGUUUCCAGGCACCGGCGACGUCUUACUGGCUCCCACAAUGAUAAGCCACCCGUUGGCAUAUGUCGCACCUACCACCCGACAGGUGCCGUGCUUUCGGUACUUGGAUCGGUCGGAUCGUGAAGACGUACGACUACAUAAACCGCAUUGAUAUAAUGCUUCCACUUACGGUCUAUGAGGGUACGUAGACAACACUCUCCCCUCUCGUUGCUAUGCAUCACCAUGAUCUUGCGUGUGCGUAGGAAAUUUUUUAAAUUACUACGUUCCCCAACAGUGGCAUCCGAGCCAGGUUUUAUGCGUAGAUGUCAUAUGCACGAGUAGAACACAAGUGAGUUGUGGGUGCUAUAAGUCAUACUGCUUACCAGCAUGGCAUACUUUGGUUCGGCGGUAUUGUCUGAUGAAGCGGCCCGGACCGACAUUACGCGUACGCUUACGCGAGACUGGUUCUACCGACGUGCUUUGCACACAGGUGGCUGGCGGGUGUCAGUUUCUCCAACUUUAGUUGAACCGAGUGUGGCUAUGCCCGGUCCUUGAGAAGGUUAGAACAGCACUAACUUGACGAACUAUCAUUGUGGUUUUGAUGCGUAGGUAAGAACAGUUCUUGCUAAGCCCGUAGUGGCCACGUAAAACUUGCAACAACAAAGUAGAGGCCGUCUAGCUUGUUUUUGCAGGGCAUGUUGUGAUGUGAUAUGGUCAAGGCAUGAUGCUAUAUUUUAUUGUAUGAGAUGAUCAUGUUUUGUAACCAAGUUAUCGGCAACUGGCAGGAGCCAUAUGGUUGUCGCUUUAUUGUAUGCAAUGCAAUCGCCCUGUAAUUGCUUUACUUUAUCACUAAGCGGGAGCGAUAGUUGUAGAAGCAAUAGUUGGCGAGACGACAACGAUGCUACGAUGGAGAUCAAGGUGUCGCGCCGGUGACGAUGGUGAUCAUGACGGUGCUUCGGAGAUGGAGAUCACAAGCACAAGAUGAUGAUGGCCAUAUCAUAUCACUUAUAUUGAUUGCAUGUGAUGUUUAUCUUUUAUGCAUCUUAUCUUGCUUUGAUUGACGGUAGCAUUAUAAGAUGAUCUCUCACUAAAUUUCAAGAUAAAAGUGUUCUCCCUGAGUAUGCACCAUUGCCAAAGUUCGUCGUGCCCAGACACCACGUGAUGAUCGGGUGUGAUAAGCUCUACGUCCAUCUAAAACGGGUGCAAGCCAGUUUUGCACACGCAGAAUACUCAGGUUAAACUUGACGAGCCUAGCAUAUGCAGAUAUGGCCUCGGAACACUGAGACCGAAAGGUCGAGCGUGAAUCGUAUAGUAGAUAUGAUCAACAUAGAGAUGUUCACCAUUGAAAACUACUCCAUUUCACGUGAUGAUCGGUUAUGGUUUAGUUGAUUUGGAUCACGUGAUCACUUAGAUGAUUAGAGGGAUGUCUAUCUAAGUGGGAGUUCUUAAGUAAUAUGAUUAAUUGAACUUUAAUUUAUCAUGAACUUAGUCCUGGUAGUAUUAGCAUAUCUAUGUUGUAGAUCAAUAGCUCGCGUUUAGCUCCCAUGUUUUAUUUUUGAUAUGAUCCUAGAGAAAACUAAGUUGAAAGAUGUUAGUAGCAAUGAUACGGAUUGGAUCCGUGAUCUGAGGAUUUUCCUCAUUGCUGCACAGAAGUAUAAUGUACUUGAUGCACCACUAGGUGACAGACCUAUUGCAGGAGCAGAUGCAGACGUUAUGAACGUUUGACAAAAGCUCAGUAUGAUGACUACUUGAUAGUUUAGUGCACCAUGCUUUACGGCUUAUAAUCGGGACUUUAAAAAAUGUUUUGAACGCCAUAGAGCAUAUAAGAUGUUCUAAGAGUUGAAAUUGGUAUUUCAUACUCAUGCCCGUGUCGAGAGGUAUGAGACCUCUGACAGUACUUUGCCUACAAGAUGGAGGAGAAUUGCUCAGGUAGUGAGCAUAUGCUCAGAAUGUCUGAGUACUACAAUCACUUGAAUCAAGUGGGAGUUAAUCUUCCAGAUAAGAUAGUGAUUGACAGAGUUCUCUAGUCACUAUCACCAAGUUACUAGAACUUCGUGAUGUACUAUAAUAUGCAAGGGAUGAAGAAAACAAUUCCCAAGCUCUUCGCGAUGUUAAAAGCGGCAAAGGUAGAAAUCAAGAAAAACAUCAAGUGUUGAUGGUUGACAAGACCACUAGUUUCAAGAGAAAGGCAAAGGGAAGAAGGGGAACUUCAAGAAGAACGGCAAGCGAGUUGCUGCUCAAGUGAAGAAUCCCAAGUCUGGACCUAAGCCUGAGACUGAGUGCUUCUACUGCAAAGGAACUGAUCACUGGAAGCGGAACUGCCCCAAGUAUUUGGCGGAUAAGAAGGAUGGCAAGGUGAACAAAGGUAUAUGUGAUAUACAUGUUAUUGAUGUGUACCUUACCAGAGCUCGCAGUAGCACCUGGGUAUUUGAUAUUGGUUCUGUUGCUAAUAUUUGCAACUCAAAACAGGGACUACGGAUUAAGCGAACACUGGCCAAGGACGAGGUGACGAUGCGCGUGGGAAACGGUUCCAAAGUCGAUGUGAUUGCCGUCGGCAUGCUACCUCUACAUCUACCUUCGGGAUUAGUAUUAGACCUAAAUAAUUGUUAUUUGGUGCCAGCGUUGAGCAUGAACAUUAUAUCUGGAUCUUGUUUGAUGCGAGACAGUUAUUCAUUUAAAUCAGAGAAUAAUGGUUGUUCUAUUUAUAUGAGUAAUAUCUUUUAUGGUCAUGCACCCUUGAAGAGUGGUCUAUUUUUUAUGAAUCUCGAUAGUAGUGAUACACAUAUUCAUAAUGUUGAAACCAAAAGAUGCAGAGUUAAUAAUGAUAGUGCAACUUAUUUGUGGCACUGCCGUUUGGGUCAUAUUGGUGUAAAGCGCAUGAAGAAACUCCAUACUGAUGGACUUUUGGAAUCACUUGAUUAUGAAUCACUUGGUACUUGCGAACCAUGCCUCAUGGGCAAGAUGACUAAAACGCCAUUCUCCGGAACUAUGGAGCGAGCAAAAGAUUUGUUGGAAAUCAUAAAUACAUAUGUAUGUGGUCCGAUGAAUGUUGAUGCUCGCGGCGGAUAUCGUUAUUUUCUCACCUUCACAGAUGAUUUAAGCAGAUAUGGGUAUAUCUACUUAAUGAAACAUAAGUCUGAAACAUUUGAAAAGUUCAAAGACUUUUAGAGUGAAGUUGAAAGUCAUCGUAACAAGAAAAUAAAGUUUCUACGAUCUGAUCGUGGAGGAGAAUAUUUGAGUUACGAGUUUGGUCUACAUUUGAAGCAAUGCGGAAUAGUUUCGCAACUCAUGCCACCCGGAACACCACGGCGUAAUGGUGUGUCCGAACGUCGUAAUCGUACUUUACUAGAUAUGCUGCGAUGCUUAUGUGAAAAGGCUUCAACCUGAUAAGCCCGAACCCAAAUCGAAGAAAUGUGUCUUCAUAGGAUACCCAAAGGAGACUGUUGGGUACACCUUCUAUCACAGAUCCGAAGGCAAAACAUACGUUGCUAAGAAUGGAUCCUUUCUAGAGAAGGAGUUUCUCUCGAAAGAAGUGAGUGGGAGGAAAGUAGAACUUGAUGAGGUAACCGUACCUGCUCCCUUAUUUGAAAGUAGUUCAUCAUAGAAACCGGUUCCUGUGAUGUCUAUACCAAUUAGUGAGGAAGUUAAUGAUGAUGAUCAUGAAACUUCAGAUCAAGUUGUUACUGAACCUCGUAGGUCAACCAGAGUAAGAUCCGCACCAGAGUGGUACGGUAAUCCUGUUCUGGAGGUUAUGUUACUAGACCAUGACGAACCUACGAACUAUGAAGAAGCGAUGGUGAGCCCAGAUUCCGCAAAAUGGCUUGAGGCCAUGAAAUCUGAGAUGGGAUCCAUGUAUGAGAACAAAGUGUGGACUUUGGUUGACUUGCCCGAUGAUCGGCAAGCCAUUGAGAAUAAAUGGAUCUUCAAGAAUAAUAUUGACGCUGACGGUAAUGUUAGUGUAUAUAAAGCUCGACUUGUUGCGAAAGGUUUUCAACAAGUUCAAGGGGUUGACUACGAUGAGACCUUCUCACCCGUAGCGAUGUUUAAGUCUGUCCGAAUCAUGUUAGCAAUUGCCGCAUUUUAUGAUUAUGAAAUUUGGCAAAUGGAUGUAAAAACUGCAUUCCUGAAUGGAUUUCUAGAAGAAGAGUUGUAUAUGAUGCAACCGGAAGGUUUUGUCGAUCCAAAGGGAGCUAACAAAGCGUGCAAGCUCCAGCGAUCCAUUUAUGGACUGGUGCAAGCCUCUCGGAGUUGGAAUAAACGCUUUGAUAGUGUGAUCAAAGCAUUUGGUUUUGUAUAGACUUUUGGAGAAGCCUGUAUUUACAAGAAAGUGAGUGGGAGCACUACACCAUUUCUGAUAAGUAUAUGUGAAUGACAUAUUGUUGAUCGGAAAUAAUGUAGAAUUAUUCUGCAAAGCAUAAAGGAGUGUUUGAAAGGAGUUUUUCAAAGAAAGACCUCGGUGAAGCUGCUUACAUAUUGAGCAUCAAGAUCUAUAGAGAUAGAUCAAGACGCUUGAUAAGUUUUUUCAAUGAGUACAUACCUUGACAAGAUUUUGAAGUAAGUUCAAAAUGGAACAGUCAAAGAAAGAGUUCUUACCUGUGUUACAAGGUGUGAAAUUGAGUAAGACUCAAAGCCCGACCACGGCAGAAGAUAGAAAGAGAAUGAAAAUAAUUCCCUAUGCCUCAACCAUAGGUUCUAUAAAGUAUGCCAUGCUAUGUACCAGAUCUAUUGUAUACCCUACACUGAUUUUGUCAAGGGAGUGCAAUAGUGAUCUAGGAGUAGAUCACUGGACAGCGGUCAAAAUUAUCCUUAGUGGAAUAAGGAUAUGUUUCUUGAUUAUGGAGGUGACAAAAGGUUCGUCGUAAAGGGUUACGUCGAUACAAGUUUUGGCACUGAUCCAGAUGACUCUAAGUCUUCAUCUGGAUACCUAUUGAAAGUGGGGGCAAUUAGCUAAAGUAGCUCCAUGCAGAGCAUUGUAGACAUAGAAAUUUGCAAAAUACAUAUGGAUCUGAAUAUGGCAGACCCGUUGACUAAGCUUCUCUCACAAGCAAAACAUGAUCACACCUUAGUACUCUUUGGGUAUUAAUCACAUAGCGAUGUGAACUAGAUUAUUGACUCUAGUAAACCCUGUGGGUGUUGGUCACAUGACGAUGUGAACUAUGGGUGUUAAUCACAUGGUGAUGUGAACUAUUGAUGUUAAACCACAUGGCGACGUGAUCUAGAUUAUUGACUCUAGUGCAAGUGGGAGACUGAAGGAAAUAUGCCCUAGAGGCAAUAAUAAAGUUAUUAUUUAUUUCCUUAUUUCAUGAUAAAUGUUUAUUAUUCAUGCUAGAAUUGUAUUAACCGGAAACAUAAUACAUGUGUGAAUACAUAGACAAACAAAGUGUCACUAGUAUGCCUCUACUUGACUAGCUCGUUAAUCAAAGAUGGUUAAGUUUCCUAGCCAUUGACAUGAGUUGUCAUUUGAUUAAUGGGAUCACAUCAUUAGGAGAAUGAUGUGAUUGACUUGACCCAUUCCGUUAGCUUAGCACUCGAUCGUUUAGUAUGUUGCUAUUGCUUUCUUCAUGACUUAUACAUGUUCCUAUGACUAUGAGAUUAUGCAACUCCCGUUUACCGGAGGAACACUUUGUGUGCUACCAAACGUCACAAUGUAACUGGGUGAUUAUAAAGGUGCUCUACAGGUGUCUCCAAAGGUACUUGUUGGGUUGGCGUAUUUCGAGAUUAGGAUUUGUCAGUCCGAUUGUCGGAGAGGUAUCUCUGGGCCCACUCGGUAAUGCACAUCACUAUAAGCCUUGCAAGCAUUGCAACUAAUGAGUUAGUUGCGGGAUGAUGUAUUACGGAAUGAGUAAAGAGACUUGCCGGUAACGAGAUUGAACUAGGUAUUGAGAUACCUACGAUCGAAUCUCGGGCAAGUAACAUACCGAUGACAAAGGGAACAACGUAUGCUGUUAUGCGGUCUGACUGAUAAAGAUCUUCGUAGAAUAUGUAGGAGCCAAUAUGGGCAUCCAGGUCCCGCUAUUGGUUAUUGACAAGAGAGGUGUCUCGGUCAUGUCUACAUAGUUCUCGAACCCGUAGGGUCUGCAUGCUUAACGUUCGUUGACGAUAUAGUACUAUGAGUUAUGUAUGUUGGUGACCGAAUGUUGUUCGGAGUUUUGGAUGAGAUCACGGAUAUGACGAGGAACUCCGGAAUGGUUCGGAAGUAAAGAUUGAUAUGUGGAUAGUAGUGUCUGAUCUCCGGAAAGGUUCCGGAAUACAUCGGAAGGGGUUCCGGAUGUUUCCCGAAAUGUUUGGGCACGAGAACACUUUAUCUAGGCCAAAGGGGAAAGCCCACGGGGUUUUUGUAAAGCGCAAAAGGAAGUUUUGCGGAGUCCAGGGGCCGGACGCUAGGGUCCCUGGCGUCUGGGUCCAGACGCCGGGAACCCUGGCGUCUGGCCCUGGAGUCCGAGAAGGACUCUUGCCUUUCGGGUGAAACCGACUUUGUGGAGGCUUUUAAUCCAAGUUUCGACCUCAAGGCUCAACAUAUAAAUAGAGGGGUAGGGCUAGCACCCAAGACACAUCAAGAAACACCAAGUCGUGUGCCCGCAACCCCGUCUCCUCUAGUUUAUCCUCCGUCAUAGUUUUAUAGUGCUUAGGUGAAGCCCUGCGAAGAUUGUUCUUCACCAACACCGUCACCACGCCGUCGUGCUGCCGGAACUCAUCUACUACUUCGCCCCUCUUGCUGGAUCGAGAAGGCGACGACGUCACCGAGCCGAACGUGUGCAGAACUCGGAGGUGCGGUGCUUUCGGUACUUGGAUCGGUCGCAUCAUGAAGACGUACGACUACAUCAACCGCGUUGAUAUAACGCUUUCGCUUACGGUCUACGAGGGUACGUAGACAACACUCUCCCCUCUCAUUGCUAUGCAUCACCAUGAUCUUGCGUGUGCGUAGGAAAUUUUUGAAAUUACUACGUUCCCCAACACCAGCCACUGGGUGGAGAGAGGGAGGCUGAACCGGUGCAAGAUGAUCCACAACCUUCAGGUCAGCCCGAGGAAGAAUCAUGAUCCGGAGGCCGGUUAUCUUCUGCACACUUUCAUCUGUGUGAUAAAACAGUUAUUCUUUUGGGCCGUCAAAGCGCCUUGUAAUAGGCUAGUUGAAACACUUGGUCUGCUAUGCCAUCAUGCAUAUUCAUGAUAACCCACAAGUGUAGGGGAUCGCAACAGCUUUCGAGGGUAGAGUAUUCAACCCAAAUUUAUUGAUUCGACACAAGGGGAGACAAAGAAUAUUCUCAAGUAUUAGCAGUUGAGUUGUCAAUUCAACCACACCUGGAUAACUUAGUAUCUGCAGCAAGGUAUUUAGUAGCAAAGUAGUAUGAUAGUAAUGGUAACAGUAGCAAAAGUAAUAUUUUUGGGUUUUGUAGUGAUUGUAACAAUAGUAGCGGAAAAGUAAAUAAGCGAAGAACAAUAUAUGAAAAGUUCGUAGGCAUUGGACCAAUGAUGGAUAAUUAUGUUGGAUGCGAUUCCUCAUGCAAUAGUUAUAACCUAGGGUGACACAGAACUAGCUCCAGUUCAUCAAUGUAAUGUAGGUAUGUAUUCUGAAUAUAGUCAUAUGUGCUUAUGGAAAAGAACUUGCAUGACAUCUUUUGUCCUACCCUCCCGUGGCAGCGGGGUCCUAGUGGAAACUAAGGGAUAUUAAGCCCUCCUUUUAAUAGAGUACCGAACCAACGCAUUAGCACUUAGUGAAUACAUGAACUCCUCAAACUACGGUCAUCACCGAGAAGUAUCCCGAUUAUUGUCACUUCAGGGUUGUCGGAUCAUAACACAUAAUAGGUGACUAUAGACUUGCAAGAUAGGAUCAAGAACUCACAUAUAUUCAUGAAAACAUAAUAGGUUCAGAUCUGAAAUCAUGGCACUCGGGCCCUAGUGACAAGCAUUAAGCAUAGCAAAGUCAUAGCAACAUCAAUCUCAGAACAUAGUGGAUACUAGGGAUCAAACCCUAACAAAACUAACUUGAUUACAUGAUAAAUCUCAUCCAACCCAUCACCGUCCAGCAAGCCUACGAUGGAAUUACUCACGCACGGCAGUGAGCAUCAUGAAAUUGCUGAUGGAGGAUGGUUGAUGAUGACGACGGCGACGAAUCCCCCUCUCCGGAGCCCCGAACGGACUCCAAAUCAGCCCUCCUGAGAGAGAUUAGGGCUUGGCGGCGGCUCCGAAUCGUAAAACGCGAUGAAACUUUAUCUCUGAUUUUUUUCUCCGCGAAACAGAAUAUAUAGCGUUGGAGUUGAGGUCGGUGGAGCUCCAGGGGGCCCAGGAGGGUGGGGGCGCGCCCCCACCCUCCUAGACAGGGUGUGGGCCCCCUGAUGCCGAUUCUUUCGCCAGUAUUUUUCCAAAAAUAAUCUCCGUGGAUUUCCAGGUCAUUCCGAGAACUUUUGUUUUCUGCACAAAGAUAACAUCAUGGAAAUUCUGCUGAAAACAGCGUCAGUCCGGGGUAGUUCCAUUCAAAUCAUGCAAGUUAGAGUCCAAAACAAGGGCAAAAGUGUUUGGAAAAGUAGAUACGUUGGAUAUGUAUCAACUCCCCCAAGCUUAAACCUUUGCUUGUCCUCAAGCAAUUCAGUUGACAAACUGAAAGUGAUAAAGAAAAACUUUUACAAACUCUGUUUGCUCUUGUUGUUGUAAAUAUGUCAAGCCAACAUUCAAGUUUUCAGCAAAGAUUAUGAACUAACCAUAUUCACAAUAACACUUAGGUCUCAUGUUUACUCAUAUCAAUGGCAUAAUCAACUAGCGAGCAAUAAUAAUAAAACUCGGAUGACAACACUUUCUCAAAACAAUCAUAAUAUGAUAUAAAAAGAUGGUAGCUCGCUAGCCCUUUCUGAGACCGCAAAACAUAAAUGCAGAGCACCUCUAAAGAUCAAGGACUGACUAAACAUUGUAAUUCAUGGUAAAAGAGAUCCAGUCAAGUCAUACCCAAUAUAAACUAAUAGUAAUGCAUGCAAAUGACAGCGGUGCUCUCCAGCGGGUGCUUUUUAAUAAGAAGGUGAUGACUCAACAUAAAAGUAAAUAGAUAGGCCCUUCGCAGAGGGAAGCAGGGAUUUGUAGAGGCGCCAGAGCUCAGUUUUUGAAAUUGAGAUAAAUAAUAUUUUGAGCGGCAUACUUUCACUGCCAACGCAACAACCAAGAGAUGGCAAUAUCUUCCAUGCUACAUACAUUAUAGGCGGUUCCCAAACAGAAUGGUAAAGUUUAUACUCCCCCUCCACCAACAAGCAUCAAUCCAUGGCUUGCUCGAAACAACGAGUGCCUCCAACUAACAAGAGUCCCGGGGGAGUUUUGUUUGCAAUAAUUUUGAUUUGAUUUGCUUAAAGCAUGGGACUGGGCAUCCCGGUUACCAGCCAUUUUCUCGUGAAUGAGGAGCGGAGUCCACUCCUCUUGAGAAUAACCCACCUAGCAUGGAAGAUACAGAUAGCCCGGGUUGAUACAUGAGCUAUUCGAGUAUACAAAACAGAAUUUCAUUUGAAGGUUUGGAGUUUGGCACAUACAAAUUUACUUGGAACUGCAGGUAAAUACCGCAUAUAGGAAGGUAUGGUGGACUCAUAUGGAAUAACUUUGGGGUUUAUGGAAUUUGGAUGCACAAGCAGUAUUCCCGCUUAGUACAGGCUAGCAAAAGACUAGGAAGCGACCAACUGAGAGAGCGACAACAGUCAUGAACAUGCAUUAAAAUUAAUCAACACUGAGUGCAAGCAUGAGUAGGAUACAAUCCACCAUGAACAUAAAUAUCAUGAAGGCUAUGUUGAUUUGUUUCAACUACAUGCGUGAACAUGUGCCAAGUCAAGUCACUCAAUUCAUUCAAAGGAGGAUACCAUCCCAUCAUACCACAUCACAACUAUUUUAAUAGCAUGUUGGCACGCGGGGUAAACCAUUAUAACUCAUAGCUAAUUAAGCAUGGCAUAAGCAACUAUAAUCUCUAAAUGUUAUUGCAAACAUGUUUAUUCAUAAUAGGCUGAAUCAGGAACGAUGAACUCAUCAUAUUAAAAAAAACAAAAGAGGUCGAGUUCAUACCAGCUUCUCUCAUCUCGAUCAGUCCAUCAUACAUUGUCAUUAUUGCCUUUCACUUGCACGACCGAACGGCGUGUAUAAUGAUAAUAGUGCACGUGCAUUGGACUAAGCUGGAAUCUGCAAGCAUUCAAUUCAAGAGAGGAGACAAAAUAAUAUGGGCUCUAAGUUAAAUCAACAAUCAUGCAUAUGAGAGCCACUAAACAUUUUCAUUAAGGUCUUCUCCUCUCAACCCCCAAAAGAAAGAAAAUAAAUAAAACUAUUUACACGGGAAAGCUCCCAACAAGUAAAAGAAGAACGAGAAUUUUUUUUGGGUUUUCAUUUUAAUUUUACAAGCAUUGAAAUUAAACUAACUAAUUUUUUUGGUUUUUCUAAAGUUUAUCAAACACACAAGAAGAAAGCUAGAAAAAGAAAUUAAACUAGCAUGGAUAGUACAAUGAAAAAGUAUGAGCACCGACAACUAGAAUAGUGUGUGAACAUGAAUGUACAGUCGGUGAGAAAUACGUACUCCCCCAAGCUUAGGCUUUUGGCCUAAGUUGGUCUAUUGCCAAGGGUAGCCUGGCUGAUAUCCAAAGUUAUAACUGGGGUCGUACUGAGAUGCAGCAUCCAAUGCCUCCUGAGCUGCGGCAUGCUGGCGAGCUGCCUCCGCUCUCCUCUCGCAUUCGGUUGCCUCCUCCCUGGUUACAACAUAUCUUCGUUUUGCCUGGUAAUCAAAAAGGGAAGGAGCAGGGAGAGUAACAUGGACAGAGCGACGUCUGUCAAAGAUUAGUCGAUAUUGGAGGAAUUGUUCAUUCCCCACAAGAAAAUGAUGACUGACCAUAGCGUCAUAAUCUACAUAAGCGGAAGGUAACUGCACGUCACCCUCACGUGGAGGUAUACCAAGAUAAUUAGCAACACGAGUAUCAUAAAUCCCUCCAAAUAAAUCUCCAGAUAAACCAUUAUUAUGCAGCCUACGUGCAACUAUUGCCCCCAAGUUCUAAUCUUUAUUACCUAAAACAGCACUCUUGAGGACACAGAGAUCAGGGACACACAUGUGACAUGCUUCAUCUUUACCAUUAAUACAUCUACCAAUGAAGAGAGCAAAAUAAUGUAUAGCAGGAAAAUGAAUGCUCCCUAUGGUAGCUUGUGCUAUGUCCCUAGAUUCUCCCACAGUUAUACUAGCAAGAAAGUCCUUAUAUUCAGAUUACGGGGUUCAUUAACAUUACCCCACUGUGGGAGUUUGCAAGCAGUAGUGAAAUCUUCUAAGUCCAUGGUAUAGGAUUGAUCAUAUAUAUCAAACAAGACCGUUUGAGAGUUACGCAAAGAUGAAAAUUUAAACCUUCUCACGAAUGAAUCAGUCAAAUAAUAGUACAGAGGACACUUAUCUUGCAUGAAGUCCUCAAGAUCGGCGUUACGCACAUAUGCGUCGAAUUCAUUCUUAAUUCCUGCAUUGACCAUAAAUUCUUCUGACGGCCAUUCACAAGGCCGCACGUCAGCUUCCCUUGGUGGUUCAUCGUCUUGCUCACGCAUAGCACGUCUAGAUGCUUGCUUUCUUGAAGAACCACCUUGAGACAUUUUCCUAGACAUAUUUCUUCCUCUGAAAAAUUUCUGAAAUUUUUAGUAACUUCAAAAUAAAAGUGAAUCAAACUAAACAAGAUUGAUAGCAACUACUCCUACAAGUGCCUAGAGCCUAUAUCAUGCAUUAGAAUUACUUGGGACCUCAUAAAUUUGACAUGCAAGCUCAAGAACAGGGUCACCUAUGCAGCAAAAAUUUGCAAUGAAUAAAGCAAUAGAACAAAAACUAAUUGGACCAAUGGAGUAGUCACAUACGAAGCAACAAUCUCCCAAAGCAGUUUUGUGAAUGGAGCUUUGAGAAAGGAGAUCAAAAAUCACAGCAAAAUGAGCUAGAACUCAUGCUUGAGCUGGAUGGGGGUUUUUUUGGGAGGAAGAUGGAGUGUGUGGGUGCAGGAAUAAGUGGGGGGGCCACCGUGGGCCCACGAGACAGGGGGUGCGCCCUGGACCCUUAUGGCCAGGUGCUUGCCCCCCUGCUAUGUUCCCAGUGCCUAAAAUUCUCAAAUAUUCUAGAAAAAAUCAUACUAAAUUGGCAGGGCAUUUGGAGCACUUUUAUUUUCGGGAUAUUUUUUAUUGCAUGGAUAAUUCAGAAAACAGACAGAUAAUACUAUUUUUGCUUUAUUUAUUCUAAAUAACAGAAAGUAAAAAGAGGGUACAGAAGGUUGUGCCUUCUAAUUUCAUCCAUCUCAUGAUCAUCAAAAGGAAUCCACUAACAAGGUUGAUCAAGUCUUGUUAACAAACUCAUUCCGAAUAACAUGGAACCGGAGAAAUUUCGAAUAACACUAAGUAACCUAACAAGGAUAUGAACAUCCCCAACAAUAAGAAUAUCAUUUUUUUUUCUUGACAGUAGGAAGAGGAAAUUCAAAACCUCCAAUAAUAGUAGUUGGACUUUUUCCAAUAGAAUUGAUGCUAUGAACUUGAGGUUGUUUCCUCGGAAAGUUUACCGUAUGCUCAUUACCAUUAACAUGAAAAGUGACAUUGCCUUUGUUGCAAUCAAUAACAGCCCCUGCAGUAUUCAAAAAAGGUCUGCCAAGGAUAAUCGACAUACUAUCAUCCUCGGGAAUAUCAAGAAUAACACGGAAUCAGCUAUAGGAAUCAGCUAUUUUGCCGUCUGCCACGGCGGACGGCAAAGGCACAAACGGCGGACGGCAAAGGCCUUUGCCGUCAGCCGCGGACGGCAAAAGGCUCCGGCAAAGUAGGCUACGGUAAACAGCUACUUUGCCGUCUGCUUCCUGGCGGCUGACGGCAAAGGCCCUUUGCCGUCUGCCGCGGACGGCAAAGAGGGCGGACGGCAAUAAUUGUGCUCUCAGUCCGUUAAGUGGCUAACGGCAGGCCUUUGCCGUCCGCCGCGGACGGCAAACUUUCUAGUGCCUUUGCUGUCGGCCAGCGGACGGCAAACUUUCUAGUGUCUUUGUCGUCCGCCAUAUGAUGUCAUCUACACGUCACUACAUGGCAGGCCUUUGCCGUCCGCCGCUGACGGCAAACUCUUUGCCGUCUGCCACUGUAGGCAAACUGACCAAAUGGGUCAGCUCCCAGGAAGCACAGCUGGAUGCCAUGUGGCUUCUUUGCCGUCCGCGGCAGACGGCAAAGGGCCCGUUGCCGUCGGUGGCGGACGGCAAAGAGCCUGCAUAUUUGGUCUUUUUUCUGUUUUUUAUUAAAUCCAACAAUUUUCACAAAAAAUAUAUAUGGCAUAUAUAGAUAUAUUUCGCAAGGCAAAGUUCCAUCACAUAAGAUAUAUAUGACAACAAUUUUCACAGCAAACAUAUAUAUAAGAUAUCCAACAUGCAUAGUUCCAUCAUACAUAGUUCCAUCACAUAACUUCAUCACAUAUGUUCCAUCCAACUACCAAGCUCCAUCAUACAUAGCAUAGUUCACCCAACUACCAAGAUACAUGCAUAGUUCAACGAUACAAAAGAAACAGAGAAAGGGAUAAGGAGCACUCCAUCUAUGCAAGCUUUCGUCAAGUGAAUGAAAUCUGCAAAAUGAAAAAUAAGAAAGUUAGAAAUAGGUGACUAGAACAAGAAGAAGACUAGAACAAGAAGAGUAUGUCAUUUAUGGGCUAACUUACGUGAAAUGGAUCAUAUAUGAGCUAACUAAGUUGAAAUGGGUCGUUUAUGAGCUAACUAAGGUCAAAUGGAUCGUUUUUGAGGUAACUAAGGUGAAAUGGAUCGUUUUUUAGCUCACUUAGGUCAAAUGGAUCAUUUAUGAGCUAACUUAGUUGAAAUGGAUCGUUUUUUAGCUAACUUUGUUGAAAUGGAUCAUUUAUGAGCUAAUUUAGUUGAAAUGGAUCUUUUUGAGCUAACUUUGUUGAAAUGGAUCAUUUAUGAGCUAAUUUAGUUGAAAUGGAUCUUUUUGAGCUAACUUAGGUGAAAUGGAUCAUUUAAGAGCUAAUUUAGGUGAAAUGGAUCGUUUUUUAGCUCACUUAGGUCAAAUGGAUCAUUUAUGAGCUAAAUUAGUUGAAAUGGAUCGUUUAUGAGAUAACCUAGGUAAGAUGGGUUAUUUUGGAGUUAACCUAGGUGAAAUGGGCCAUUUUAAAGCUAACGUAGGUAAAAUGGAUCAUUUAGGAGCUAAUCUAGGUAAAAUGGGUCGUUUUUUAGCUAACUUGGAUGAACUGCAUCAUUUAUAAGCUAACCUAGGUAAAAUGGGUCAUUUUGGAGGAAAAGAAGCUAACUCUAGGUCAUUAUGGUAAGCAUAUUGGAGGAAAUAAAGCUAAAUCUAGGUCUUUAUGCAUUUGUUAAGCAAAACACUAGAGAAACUUACCGUGAUCAGGGAGGUGUAGGAGCGGGGUGGCUAGUGCCGCUACCUGGAGAAGGAUCGUGUGAUGCGUUUCUGGAGUUAAGCUGCACCAAAGAUCAUUUCCAAUGUCUCGUUAGCAUUAUGACACUCAAAUGUUAAGACUAGCAAGUAAUGUCCAUUCAAAUUAAACUCACCGUGCUCCCAGGAGCAAUCACUGGCAUCGGCGGAGCGGGCUGACCGGACUUCUCGCACACAGACUGCACAUUUGGUUUUCACAACAGAGUCAUACUAGUUAGUAAUGAGACUCAAAUGUUAAGACUAGCAAGUAAUCUGCAGAAGAAACUUACCACAAGGAGCUCGUACAUGGCCCUUGCCUGCAUGUCAUUCCGUGCCCUCUCCUCCUCCAUCAUCUUUCUCGUCCUCUCCUCCAUCUCCCGCUGCCUCUCCGCCGCCUCCGCCAGAAGUUUCUCCGUUCUAUCUCUCUCAGUCUGUAUAGCAGCCUGCAACACCACUCACAUGACCAUUUGUAAUCAUUGAUGGAAGCGCACACAAUGUAAUGGAGAAAGAUAACUGAGUAUGUAUCACUAACCUUGAUGGCGAGUUGCACUGGCCAUUCACGAGGCCUUAUCUCAGGAGCGGAGCUCGACUGGCGCGCCUUGAUCUCCGAGAGAGUGCUAGGACAACGGAUAAGUCCAUCUCCAAUGGCUAUGGAGCCAUGGGACCUCCCGCCACCAGAUAUCAUCACCAGCUCUGGAUCAAUGGGACCCUGGCUCAGGUUAAAGUCCUCCCCUUUCCUCGCCUUCCCCUCAUCUCUAUAUCUCACGAGCUUGUUGUGGGAGGAGAUGUUGGUGAAGUUGUUUGCAUCAUCGAGGUCAGACUGAGAGAAAGCCUUGGCUUUCUUGAAAGAGGCAGUGUGGGCCAUGGCAUACAGGUCGUACACCUCUGGCACCUUAUCCGCCUUAUUGUGGCGUGCCUGAAAGAGAGAAACAAUGAAAAUUAGUAAUUAAAGGGCUCAAGCUAGCAUGAUGAAUGAAUUGCAUGAAUCAUGAAGCAAACCACAUACCCAGUUGCGCCCGAACUGAUAUAAGUUGGAGCUGCCUUGAUGGUGUGGCACACCUUCCAUUUGGGCACGUUUGUCCUUGGCCUCAUUGUGGAGGGCUAGCCAUUCUUUUGAGCACCACUCAAUAGAAACUUGAGCGCUACGGCUAAGAAUUACUAAAUGAAGGAACUUAAGUAGAAGGCAUUAAGAAUUACCUUCAUGUACUGCUCCUUACUCAGGAACUUAUCGCGGCACGCCGGCUUGGUCUUCUUGAUACCACGCAAGGCGUAGUAGUCUCGAACAGCCUGCACCCGAGCCUCGUGCCGUAAGUUCUGGAGUAGGCGCUUGCAGACAUUCUCGAUAACAUGUGCCGCGUCCUCCUCGUAUCCCUCCUCACACAUGUAGAAUGUCUGCAAUCAAAUGAGACAAUAUUGAUUAGUACAAUUAAUAACUAGCUAGUUGAAGAUUUUUAAAUGUGUAAAGGAGAAAUUACCCAGAACUUUCUGAUCACCAGGUCUGCCCUCGUGUCGCACACGACACCAUCGAUAAUCUCAUCCGGCGGGGCCGGGGCAGCCACGUAGUGCUCCCAGCUCAAUCCAAGCUCUGGAAGCCUACCCUCACCAGGCAACGUGACAAACCCCGGGAAGUUUUGCCGGCAAAGAACUCCAAGGACGGAGUUGGGCCGGCGGACACUAUGAUGGUGGUCCCAACCCCUGCAGCAUGACAAGGCCAACGCAUUAGUUAUUUGAAGAAACGUGAAUGCAGAAGGUACAAAAAUAUUAAAUGCACUUACGUACCUCUCCCCAUCAGGGAAAAUCAACCACCUCUACUCGCGGGUCGCCGGCACGGACGGGACCCGUGUAGCACCACGCUGGUAGACGGUGCCCCCCUCCUCCUCAAGAUCAGUUGGCUCCCCGCCAUCAUCAGCAUGGCCACUCGGCUCCUCGGGCUGAUCCGGCCAGGUACCCCAUCCGGACGUGUGCUCCUCCGGGGUCUCGUGGGCCGAACUCUCGUGGGCCGAAGGCCAAUCGACCCGAGGCUCGUGGGCCCAAGACCCGUGGACCGAAGGCUCGUGGACCGGAGUCCGUGUAGCCUCCUCCUCGGACGAGUCCACCCUAGCAGUCACGCGCUCGGGUGAAACAGCUGGGGGUGGCGGCGAGGAAGGCGUCGUAGCAGUCACCCUACCUCCUCUCCCGCGACCACGUGCCCCACCUCCUCUCUUCCUACCUCGUCCCCUGCUGGGCACCGCGGUCGACGAAGAAGGGCCCGGCGGUGUGGCCAUACUGUCCAGCAACGCUCGGCGGAGAGGUGCGUCUGGAAUGGAAGACCUCAGACCACGCGCCGACGAAGAAGGGGCCUUGGCGCGCUCCCGACCAGCGCCCACCAUCUUUCAACACCUGCCAUGACAAACAGUAAACGAAAUUAGUACAACAUAAAAAAAAGACCGACAUGAAUAAUAAUAUGUGUAUCACUUAAGUGUAUCAUCAUCAAGUACAACAUUAAAAAAUUUAAUACCUGACACUACUAAUAAUCUCGAUCAGUAUCAUCAAUAAAUGCAUAAUCAUCAUCAUCACUAUAAUCAAUGACGGGCUCAUAGGGUUCAGUGGCAUCAACAUGUGGAAGGCCACCUUGACGUAAUCGGUCAAGCAAUGAUAGGUCAUCCGCAGCAGUAACCUCUUCUUGUUCUGGCUCUUCUUGUUCCUCCUCUGGGGUGAUGUCGGAUUCACUGUCGCUGUCUACUUCAAUGUUUUGGGGUGAAGUAUAGCGGUUCUUGAAACGCUUUUUGGAAAGACGUGUCUCUUGGAAGAAUUCUCCUUCAUAUGUGUCUGGGUUAAUGUGAGGUUCAUAAUCCUCUUCCUUUGGGGGAGAUAGUCUAGCACAUGGCGGCACUUCAUAAACGACAUCCCAACCUUUCAGAUUUGGAUUAGUUUGGCAGGCCCACGGUAGAUAGAAUACUUGGGUCGCCUGUUGAGCCGUAAUAUAGACAUCAGGAACAUCUAAAUGGGUGCUUUGGUUGAUUUCAACUAGCCCUAUAUGUUCAUGAGUCCUUCUAGUCUCCUUCGGCUGAAACCAAUAACAUUUGAAGACUACGACAUUCGGUGGGUUUUCACCAUAGAAUAGAAGUUCAUAAAUUGCUUCAACUCUCCCAUAAUACUCGGUACCUCCUUCGCCGAUAGCAGAUACACAACAAUUUUUAGACUUUCGGUCGGCCAUAGAUAGCUCUUUGCCAUAGGUAUGAAAGCGAUACCCGUUGAUGUCGUAUUUGUCAAAUGAACGGACCUUAUAGUCAAAACCAUUAGCGGCUUGUCUCAAUUCGGCGUCCAUAGACUCUGAAUUAGCCUACAAGUUUAAUAUGAAAGGAUUGUUGCAUUACGCACAAAUUAGAGACUGAAACCGGGAUAGCCGCCUACAAAUUAGCCUACAAGUCUAAUAGAAAUUACCGUUUGUUUGAACCAAGAGAUGAAACCGGGAUAGCCGCCUCCUUGCUUUGCGAGAAGCUCAUACUCUUCGACAGAAUCCUUUUGGAUCACCGCUCCAUACGAGAAUAAGGCGACGUAUCGACUGUAUGAAAUAUCCAGGAAUAAGAUCAGUUCAAAGGAAAUAGAAGUUGCGAAACUAUGUACCGAGAACUUACUCGAUGUACGGCCGCACUUCUAUCAGGUUGUUGAAGAUAUACAACGAAAUGGUCCGCCAUUGUUCGUUAUCCAAAGAUACUGGAUUUGAAACACUGGCUGGUGCGAGAUUCCCUUUGAAUAGGCUGAGGUUGGAUCCACCCUCUUUAGGGUCGUCAGCAUUGUACCGAGGCUUCGGAUUAUGCAAAUGACGAUUUUUGGCUUCGUAGUGUGCUGUCACGAAGUUUGCCGCCUCCUCAGUGAUGAAUGCCUCAGCCAUCGAUGCUUCAAUUCUACGUUUAUUUUUACAUUUUUGUCGAAGCGUCUUCUGCAUCCUCUCAGUUGGGUAGCACCAACAAUUUUGCACGGGCCCCCCCCCCAAUCUUGCCUCGGUCGGGAGAUGCAAAAUCAAAUGUUGCAUUGGAUUAAAGAAGCACGGUGGAAAGAUCUUCUCUAACUUGCAGAUCAACUCUGGCGCCAACUCUUCCAUUUCUUCUAGCACGCCAGGAGAUAGUUCUUUCGCAUAAAGAACACGGAAGAAAUAGCUGAGUUCUGCCAGUACUAGCCAUUCAUCCUCAGGGAUGAAGCCACGCAACAUCACCGGCAUUACCCGCUCAAUCCAUAUGUGCCAAUCAUGACUCUUGAGACCAAAUAUCUUCAAUUUAUCAAGACUGGCUCCCCUCUGUAGAUUCGCUGCAUACCCAUCGGGGAACAUCAACUGCAUUUUCACCCACAAGAUAAUUUCCCUCAUAGCUGGCCUUCCAAGAUUGAACCAUGCCUUUGGCUUCGUCCAGUUCUGCUUUCCUUUCGGUUAUUUCAUGUUUUGUAACGGCCUAUCACAUAGCGCCUCCAGAUCGACUCUAGCCUUAGUAUUAUCCUUUGACUUCCCAUCUAUGCCGAACAAUGUACCAAAAAGUGCCUCGGCGAUAUUCUUCUCAGUGUGCAUCACGUCGAUGUUGUGUGGGCAAAGGAGGUCUUUGAAGUAAGGCAGAUCCCAUAAGCAUGUUUUGUGAGUCCAGGCGUGCUUAGAAUUAUACCCCUUGAAGUACCCUGGACGCUCUGGAUCUGGCUCGAGAGCGUUUAACUGAUCCAGGGUCUGUUGGCCUGUCAAUGCAUGUGGUGCAGAGUUUUUGACAACUCUACCUCUGAUGAAGUUCUUCUUGUCUUUCCUGAACUUAUGGCGAGGAUUCAGGAACUGUCUAUGCAUGUCGAAGCAAGAAAACUUGCGACCGGCCUGAAGCCAACGAAACUCAAGAGCUCCCUUGCAUGUGGGGCACGGGAACCUUCCAUGCACACACCAGCCAACGAAUAGCGCAUACACCGGCAAGUCAUGCGUCGAGUACAUGUACCAGACACGCAUUAUGAAGUUCCGUUUGCUAUAGGCAUCGUAUGUCUUGAACCCAUUAUCCCAGGCUUCUUGCAAUUCGUCCUUAAGCGGUUGCAUGUACACAUUCAUAUUUUUCCCCAGAUAGUUGGGCCCUGGAAUUAUCAACGUCAGGAAAAUGUUCUUUCUUUGCAUAAUCUGUCCGGGGGGGAGAUUGAGUGGAAAGACAAAUACGGGCCAAACAACUGUAUUGGGCUGCCGUCAUACCAAACACACUGAACCCAUCCGUGCUGAUGCCGACUCGAGGAUGCCUCGGAUCUGCCGCUUUGUCACCAUGUAAUUCAUCAAACUUUUUCCACGCAACACCAUCCGAUGUGUGUACAAUCAUCAGAUUCCCAUCUGCAUCUAGUUCGGUUUUUUUGCCCGUUUUGUGCCAUGUCAUCUGUCUGGCCGUCUCUUCGACCAUGAAAAGACGUUGAAGUCUUGGUACGAUUGGCAUAUACCGAAGAACACUAACGGGGAUUUUGGUCUGUGUCUUCUCACCCAUACCGUUGUCUACCACAACAUACCUGGAAGACUUGCAAAUGGGACAAUAGUUCAAGUCCGCAUAGUCAAGCCUAAACAAGACACAUCCUUUCUCACAGGCAUGUAUCUUAUCAUAGGGCAUCUUCAGUGCACGGAGGAUUUUGUCCGACUGGUACAGGUUUGCAGGCAUUACAUGGCCUUUGGGUAGAAAGCGUCCAAAUACUGUCAUCAUUGCAUCGUAGCAUUCUCUGCCCAAGUUGAACUGAGCCUUCAAAGCCAUUACUUGUGAGAUGGCAUCCAACUGACAAAGCUCAGUGUGCUCAUGGAGCGGACGUUUUGAAGACUCCAACAUUUCAUUGAAGGCCUUUGCAGAUUCCUCCAUCUCCUCGUUCGAAUCCCGAGCAUCAUCGAAGUCUUGCACCAUGUUUUCCAUCCCGGUACCAUGCUCGUCGGUGCGACGACGAUCCACCUCAGCUCGGUCACGUUGGGCAGACUCACCAUGAAAUGUCCACACCGUAUAAUCGGGCGUAAAACCACUCUUCUGCAGGUGUUUGCCCAUUUCAGCCUCUGUCCUCUUUUCCCAAUUGCCGCACCAUAAACAGGGGCACCAGGUUUCCUCUGGCCGUUUGCAAAUGCGGCUCGCACAAACCCCUUGGUUUUUGUGAACCAUUCAGUGCUCCAUUUGUUCUGACCAGUGUGACCGGUGUACAUCCACGCACGAUCACUCAUCUUGACUUUCAGAGCUACUAGACACACAACAAAUAUAUAUAUAUAAUUCACCAUGUAUAUAUUCAUCAGUUUAUCUACUUUGUCAAUUUUAUUACGUCCAUGCAACCUACACUCUAAUAGGUAAUGAUAGGUCCUAAUCCCACCCGAGUAUGUUUAGAUUGGGUUCAUUUUCCCAUGCUAUGCUCCGGAUCCUACGCAAAAUUUCGGCAGCACCUCCCCGCUGUUCUCCUGAUACACGUCUCUGCAAUAAACAGAGAGGAUGUGUACCCGGAGAACAACAGGGGAGGCACUGACAAAAUUUAUGCGUCGGAUCCGGAGCAAAGCAUAUGGGAAAACGAACCAAAUCUAAACAUACUCGGGCUGUCCAUGGAUAGCGUUGGACAAUUCGAAAGAAUCAAGGUUAUAAAUAUGCAAAUGCAUGCAUAUUUAUAACUAUGACGCUUUCGAACGGGAGACACAUAUUGGUUACGCAUAUUGAUGAUUCAAGACACAUAUAUAGCUAGCUAUCAAGUUUCAUCGGAAUAGAUCAAAUAAUUAAUGGGGGAGGAGGACAUGUCAUUUGUGCUCACCCACGAACGAAGGGGCAGAGCUCGUCAAACGCACGGCGAGGUCGUCUAACACCAAACCUCGCAGCGAUGAAACAACUGCACAUUUAAAACUACCCGAUCAACACAAUUAUAUAUGAUGUUUUUCAUAACAAAAUCGAAAGAUAUAUGACCUAACUAAUAAUUCACAAAUAUAUGACCCCGUCGGCUUCUGGAAGGCCAAAGAACACCUUUUCGGGAGGUGUCGGGGGUCGGGGUGUCGUGUCGGUCUCGGGGUGCCGUGUCGGGGUCGGGGUCGGGGUCUCGGGGUCGGGGUGUCGGGUCGGGGUGNNNNNNNNNNNNNNNNNNNNNNNNNNNNNNNNNNNNNNNNNNNNNNNNNNNNNNNNNNNNNNNNNNNNNNNNNNNNNNNNNNNNNNNNNNNNNNNNNNNNNNNNNNNNNNNNNNNNNNNNNNNNNNNNNNNNNNNNNNNNNNNNNNNNNNNNNNNNNNNNNNNNNNNNNNNNNNNNNNNNNNNNNNNNNNNNNNNNNNNNNNNNNNNNNNNNNNNNNNNNNNNNNNNNNNNNNNNNNNNNNNNNNNNNNNNNNNNNNNNNNNNNNNNNNNNNNNNNNNNNNNNNNNNNNNNNNNNNNNNNNNNNNNNNNNNNNNNNNNNNNNNNNNNNNNNNNNNNNNNNNNNNNNNNNNNNNNNNNNNNNNNNNNNNNNNNNNNNNNNNNNNNNNNNNNNNNNNNNNNNNNNNNNNNNNNNNNNNNNNNNNNNNNNNNNNNNNNNNNNNNNNNNNNNNNNNNNNNNNNNNNNNNNNNNNNNNNNNNNNNNNNNNNNNNNNNNNNNNNNNNNNNNNNNNNNNNNNNNNNNNNNNNNNNNNNNNNNNNNNNNNNNNNNNNNNNNNNNNNNNNNNNNNNNNNNNNNNNNNNNNNNNNNNNNNNNNNNNNNNNNNNNNNNNNNNNNNNNNNNNNNNNNNNNNNNNNNNNNNNNNNNNNNNNNNNNNNNNNNNNNNNNNNNNNNNNNNNNNNNNNNNNNNNNNNNNNNNNNNNNNNNNNNNNNNNNNNNNNNNNNNNNNNNNNNNNNNNNNNNNNNNNNNNNNNNNNNNNNNNNNNNNNNNNNNNNNNNNNNNNNNNNNNNNNNNNNNNNNNNNNNNNNNNNNNNNNNNNNNNNNNNNNNNNNNNNNNNNNNNNNNNNNNNNNNNNNNNNNNNNNNNNNNNNNNNNNNNNNNNNNNNNNNNNNNNNNNNNNNNNNNNNNNNNNNNNNNNNNNNNNNNNNNNNNNNNNNNNNNNNNNNNNNNNNNNNNNNNNNNNNNNNNNNNNNNNNNNNNNNNNNNNNNNNNNNNNNNNNNNNNNNNNNNNNNNNNNNNNNNNNNNNNNNNNNNNNNNNNNNNNNNNNNNNNNNNNNNNNNNNNNNNNNNNNNNNNNNNNNNNNNNNNNNNNNNNNNNNNNNNNNNNNNNNNNNNNNNNNNNNNNNNNNNNNNNNNNNNNNNNNNNNNNNNNNNNNNNNNNNNNNNNNNNNNNNNNNNNNNNNNNNNNNNNNNNNNNNNNNNNNNNNNNNNNNNNNNNNNNNNNNNNNNNNNNNNNNNNNNNNNNNNNNNNNNNNNNNNNNNNNNNNNNNNNNNNNNNNNNNNNNNNNNNNNNNNNNNNNNAGGAGAGAACGGCGAGGAGAGAACAGAGUAACGGGCGGGGGGUACGGGCCGUUAGGUAGUGCCCUCUUUGCCGUCCGCCUCUCUUUGCCGUCCGCCCUUUUGCCUCUUUGCCGUCUGCUGGCAGACGGCAAAGAGGUGGGUCGUUAAGUUUUUCCCAAACGGGCGGGGGGUGGGGCCACCUCUCUCUUUGCCGUCUGCCAGCGGACAGCAAAGAUUCUUUGCCGUCUGCUGGCGGACGGCAAAGAGCUCGCAGAUGGCAAAGAGCUUCUUUGCCGUCUGCCAUUUCUUUGUCGUCUGCUUUUGGGUAGCUGAUGGCAAAGAGCUUCUUUGCCGUCAGCUAGCAGACGGCAAAGAGCUGGCAGAUGGCAAAUUAGCUGAUUCCAGUAGACAGGGGGUGCACCCUGGACCCUUAUGGCCAGGUGCUUGCCCCCCUGCUAUGUUCCCAGUGCCUAAAAUCCUCAAAUAUUCCAGACAAAAUCAAACUAAAUUGGCAGGGCAUUUGGAGCACUUUUAUUUUCGGGAUAUUUUUUAUUGCAUGGAUAAUUCAGAAAACAGACAGAUAAUACUAUUUUUGCUUUAUUUAUUCUAAAUAACAGAAAGUAAAAAGAGGGUACAGAAGGUUGUGCCUUCUAAUUUCAUCCAUCUCAUGAUCAUCAAAAGGAAUCCACUAACAAGGUUGAUCAAGUCUUGUUAACAAACUCAUUCCGAAUAACAUGGAAUCGGAGAAAUUUCGAAUAACACUAAGUUACCUCAACAGGGAUAUGAACAUCCCCAACAAUAAGAAUAUCAUAUUUUUUCUUGACAGUAGGAAGAGGAAAUUCAAAACCUCCAAUAAUAAUAGUUGGACUUUUUCCAAUAGAAUUGAUGCUAUGAACUUGAGGUUGUUUCCUCGGAAAGUGUACCGUAUGCUCAUUUCCAUUAACAUGAAAAGUGACAUUGCCUUUGUUGCAAUCAAUAACAGCCCCUGCAGUAUUCAAAAAAGGUCUGCCAAGGAUAAUCGACAUACUAUCGUCCUCGGGAAUAUCAAGAAUAACAAAGUCCGUUAAGAUAGUGACAUUUGCAACUACAACAGGCACAUCCUCACAAAUACCGACAAGUAUAGUAGUUGAUUUAUCAGCCAUUUGCAAAGAUAUUUCAGUAGGUAUCAACUUACUCAAUUCAAGUCUACGAUAUAAAGAGAGAGGCAUAACACUAACACCGGCUCCAAGAUCACAUAAAGCAGUUUUAACAUAAUUUCUUUUAAUGGAGCAUGGUAUAGUUGGUAACCCUGGAUCUCCAAGUUUCUUUGGUAUUCCACCCUUAAAAGUGUAAUUAGCAAGCAUGGUGGAAAUUUCAGCUUCCGGUAUCUUUCUUUUAUUUGUAAUGAUAUCCUUCAUAUACUUAGCAUAAGGAUUUACUUUAAGCAUAUCAGUUAAGCGCAUACGUAAGAAAAUAGGUCUAAUCAUUUCAGCAAAGCGCUCAAAAUCCUCAUCAUCCUUUGUCUUGGAUGGUUUAGGAGGAAAAGGCAUGGGUUUCUGAACCCAUGGUUCUCCUUCUUUACCAUGCUUCCUAGCAACGAAGUCUCUCUUAUCAUAACGUUGAUUCUUUGAUUGUGGGUUAUCAAGAUCAACAGCAGGUUCAAUCUCUACAUCAUUAUUAUUGCUAGGUUGAGCAUCAACAUGCACAUCAUCAUUAGCAUUAUCACUAGGUUCAUGUUCAUCACCUGAUUGUGUUUCAGCAUCAGAAAUAGAAAUAUUAUUAGGAUUCUCGGGUGUGUCUACAACAGGUUCACUAGAAGCAUGCAAAGCCCUAUCGUUUUCUUUUUCUUCUUUUUAGAAGGACUAGGUGCAUCUAAAUUAUUUCUCUGAGAAUCUUGCUCAAUUCUCUUAGGGUGGCCUUUAGGAUACAAAGGUUCCUGAGUCAUUCUACCAGUUCUAGUAGCCACUCUAACAGCAUAGUCAUUAUUCUUACUAUUCAAUUCAUUAAGCAAAUCAUUUUGAGCUUUAAGUAUUUAUUCAGCUUGAGUGGUAACCAUAGAAGCAUGUUGUCGGAGUAAAUGACCACGGGUAGCCAAACCAACUCCCCCUGGCUCUUUGAAAAAUUAUCGGGCCGAUCGAGCCUUCAAGCACCCAAAGCACAGGGCCGCCUUCCCCUGGCUGGCUGUCUCACGGACCGACUACUGGAAGACGGCCGGGCCCUAAAAACCCUCCCGAAGAGAGCCACAAGAAGGCCGACUCCAAGAAGCCGGCCACAAGAGGACCGACUCCCAGAAGCCGGCCACAAGAGGACCGACUCCCAGAAGCCGGCCACAAGAAGACUGGCUCCCGGCAAGCGGCCAAGAUUGCACCCUCAAGGGCUGCACCCACAUAACAGUGACGAGACGGGGCAUGGCUACAGUACAGCCUGCCACCCCCGAAUCCCGGAGCACGCCUGGCCACAGUGCACCGUACGGCACGGCACUGUUGCCAUGUUGACCAUGACGCCACCCAUGACAGGCUGUUAGUACGGCCCGCGGGCGGCGGGCCCCUUCAGCCAGAGAUAUGCUCGAAGACGGCCAAGCCUCCCCCAGUCGGCCUGGGGUGUAGCCGGCUCCCAAUAGCCGGCUACCUCCCUCCCUCGAAGUAUGUGCCUCAUUAAGGAGACAAGACGAGGUAAGGCUACAGUGAGAGCCCGCCAGACGGCGGCACUGUAGCCAUGCUUACCUCGGCAAAGCCCUCGUCAUCAGGGGCGAGGCUACAGUAACCAGCCGCUGGCAAGACCCCCAGGCGGUGGGGCCGGCCUGUCGGCCAAGAGGCCGGCAGCCGGUGGGACCCACCAGUCGGCGGGCCCCAGCGGCCGGCGGAGAAGCAGGCAAAUACAGACACUGACGGCUAGGACCCGCGUCCGGCCAGAUUACCAUUGUAACCCUAGGGGUAGGCCUAUAUAAACCCCCCGGGGCACCCAUGCAAAGGGUUGAUCUCUUAGAGUUUUAGACACCACAUAGAGAGAAGAGGAGAGCUAGCCUUGCCCUUCUUCUUCCUCUAGCCAAACAGAUCAAGGAGCCACUUGUAGCCACUUGUGUUGAUCUAGUGAUCAUGCGGAGACCCCGCAGAGCAGGACUAGGGGAGUUAUCUCCACGGAGAGCCCCGAACCUGGGUAAGAUUCGCCGGCGUGCAUGUCUUCGCCUUAUCCCGUUUCCAGGCACCGGCGAUGUCUUACUGGCUCCCACAAUGAUAAGCCACCCGUUGGCAGAUGUCGCACCUACCACCCGACAUUUGGCACCCACCAUGGGGCCAGGUGCACCGUCGUCCGGAGACCUAUUCUGGACGGGAACCCUUUUCCUUCCCAGCGAGCGUAGCCAGCCCGGCACGCCCGAUGGCGCUUGCCCCGACACGCUGCAAGGCGUCGAUGACGCCUGCGCGGCGAGCUGCCUCGCCGAUCUUCUUGGCGAGGCUCGCAUCUCCGACGAGCCUGCGUCCGACGCGGGCACAGACUGCCCCAAGAGCCGCCUCGUCAACCACCUCGACCAGCUUCACGUCUCCAGCGAGCCUGCUGCGGACUUGGAGUCGGUCGGCUCCACCGACCCGAUGCUUGUCGACUCCGACACGGCAUCGCUUGACGCCUUCCCCACCAACGUGGUGAUCAUCGACGACCCUCUUCCUCGAGCCGACAGUGGUAGCGGCGCUGUCACUGAGGUGCUGGUCAUCAGCCACGGCGCCACCUCAGGCGAGAACGCCCACGACGCCCUACAAACGGCGCUACACGACUUGUCCGCCCCCAUCUCGGCCGAUGCCGACGCCGAGACACUGGAGGCACGCCGCCUCGCCCUCAUCGCGGAGGGCCAGAAGAUAGCAUCCAUGAGACACCUCACUGAGGCUCAUCAGCGUGAAGUCGACCGCGCCGCCUUUGGUACGCCGCCUCCUGGCGGGCCGAGCCGAGCCGGCAUCGUCAAGAAGCGCGGUGCGGCCAUCGCUAGCAUGCUGGGAGCAGACCACCCAGUCUACGCCACGCCACUCGAGAACCUACGUGCCGCUCAGGCGGCCGUAGACGAGCUAAAUGGGCUGGGGGCCGACGAGCUCCCCUACAUGACUAGACGCAUCCAGCAGCUGAUCGACGUGGCCGCAGAGUGGCAUGAAGCCAGCGCCCGCGCUGAAAGUCCUCCCCCACGCCGAGAGCACGGCGCGACAUCCCGGACGCCGACUGCAGACGUUGCCCGCGCAAGAAAAGACAAGGAGCCGGCUGCUAGCCGCAGUCGGACUCGGCUCACCAUCGAGCGCGACGCAGAAGGCCGCCCCCGAGCUGUGGAACGACGAGACGAUCCGCCUCCUCCCCCGCCUCGUGGGGAGAGAUAUCCCACCCCGCCGCCUGUUACGCAUCCGACUCUCGGCGGCCGACUAGGCCACCGCGAAGGAGUCGGCGAGAAUGACGCCCGCCACCGGAUUGACCGCCUAGCGCGAUCCAUGGCGCUAGAAGAAGAAGAUGAUGUUGGCCCGCCUUGCUUUGGCCCCCGCAUCCGCGACGAACCCUUCCCCAAAGGGUUCUCACUCCCAAGAGACACGCCAAAAUACAACGGCUCCCUGAAGCCGGAAGACUGGUUGACCGAUUACUCCACCGCAGUCCGCAUAGCGAACAGCAACAGGCGCAUUGCCGUGAAGUACGUCCCGCUCAUGCUUCAAGGCACGGCACGCACUUGGUUGAACAACCUCAAGCCCUACAGCAUCAACAGCUGGCUAGACUACACGGAAGUCUUCAUCCGCAAUUUCACCAGCACGUACAAGCGGCCUCCCAAGCCCUGCCAGCUCUCCUUGUGCAUCCAAGGGCCCAGCGAAUCAACUCGCGACUACCUCACGCAUUGGGCCGAGCUCCGCAACUCCUGCGAAGGGGUGCACAAGGUUCAAGCCAUAGAGUACUUCACCGCCGGGUGCCAAGAGGGCGCCCUCCUCAAGCACCGGCUCCUCUGCGACGAGCCGACUACCCUCGACGAGCUGCUGAUCAUAGCAGACAAGUACGCCAUGGCCGACUCUUCAAUGAAGACCGAGCUUCGAGUGGAUGCCUCUGGAAAGAUGCUCGCUCCAAAUCCCAAGACGCCGGCUGGUGACUCCAAUCGACGCCCUUACCAGAACGACAACAAGCACAAGGCCCCUAUGCCGCCUUCCACCAGUCGGCAACUAGCCACAGUCGAAGGCGAACAACCUGAAGGGCGGCCCAUGCCCAAGAAGCAGAAGGGCAGCAGGCCGGCCUGGCAGUCGGCUUUCUCCUACGAGCAAACCCUUGAUGCCCCCUGCAAGUUCCACAGCGGCGCAAAGCCGUCCAAUCACACGACCCGGAAGUGCCAUUGGCUCACGCGGAUCUCCAAAGGCGAAGGGCUGGUGCCGCCUCCACCUGCUGGCCAGCCACCUCCAGCCCCUCAGCAGCCGGCUGCUCGACCAGCAGUCGGAGCCAUUCAAGACGAGUUCCCGGAAGAGCACGCCGCCUAUGUCGUCUUUACAAGCCAAACUGAAGACAGGCGCAGUCGGCACCGACAACACCAAGAAGUCAACGCGGUCGCCUCUAACAACCCAGAGUUUAUGCAUUGGUCUGAGAAGCCUAUCAGCUGGAGCCGGGCCGAUCACCCAGAGGUGCUGCCGUCUCCCAGCUCUUAUGCGUUGGUGUUAGACGCCACCCUCGCGACAGAAAGGCGAGCUGCCCGUUUCUCCCGUGUACUGAUUGACGGCGGGAGCAGCAUCAACAUACUGUACCGCGAUACCAUGGAGAAGCUGAACAUAAAGACGAAGCAACUCAUGCCAAGCCGGACUGUGUUCCAUGGCAUCGUACCCGGCCUGUCCUGUUCACCAAUAGGCAAGAUCAAGAUAGAUGUCCUCUUCGGAGACAAGGAUCACUUCCGCCAAGAAGCAGUCUGGUUCGAAGUGGUGGAUCUAGAGAGCCCUUACCACACGUUGCUUGGUCGAGCUACCCUGACCAAGUUCAUGGCUGUGCCCCACUACGCCUACCUCAAGAUGAAGAUGCCAAGUUCGAAGGGGAUCAUCACCAUAGCCGGAGACUACAAGAAAUCCUCUGAGUGUGCUGCAGCCAGCAGCCGGCUGGCCGAGUCCCUCGUGAUUGCUAAAGAAAAAAAGAUGCUGGAACGAGUCAUGGCCAUGGCCGGCAAGCAGCCGGCCCUAUCCCCUGACCCCAAGGAAUAUGAUGCUCAAGGCUCCUUCCAGCCGGCCAAGGAAACAAAGAAGAUACCUCUGGACCCAGAGAACCCGGAGAGGUUUGCCGUCAUUGGAGCAAACCUGGACAGCAAAUAGGAAGGCGAGCUCGUCGAUUUCCUCCGUGAGAAUCGGGACAUCUUUGCAUGGUCCCCAAAGGACAUGCCGGGUGUUCCUAAGGAUUUCGCCGAGCACAAGCUACACGUCCAAGCAGACGCAAAACCAGUGAAACAACCUCUCCGCGACUGUCGGAGGAAAAGAGAAGGAUCGUAGGAGAAGAGAUAGCCCGGCUUCUGGCAGCCGGCUUCAUUAUGGAGGUGUUUUUUCCAGAGUGGCUUGCCAACCCGGUCCUUGUAUUGAAGAAAAACAAUAAAUGGCGCAUGUGUAUAGAUUAUACCAGCCUCAACAAAGCCUGCCCCAAAGAUCCGUUUGCCUUACCUCGAAUCGAUCAAGUGAUAGACUCCACAGCCGGAUGCGAGCUGUUGAGUUUCUUGGAUGCUUACUCAGGCUACCAUCAGAUCAAGUUGGAUCCAGCCGACCGCCUGAAGACCGCCUUCAUCACACCAUUCGGAGCUUUCUGCUACCUGACUAUGACAUUUGGCUUAAGAAACGUCGGUGCCACUUUUCAGCGUUGCAUGCAGAAAUGCCUCCUCAAGCAACUCGGCAGAAAUGCCCACGUCUAUGUAGACGAUAUUGUGGUGAAGACGGAGAAGCACGGCACCCUGCUGGAAGACCUCAGAGAGACAUUUGACAACUUGCGCCAGUUUCAGAUCAAGCUCAACCCUGAGAAAUGCGUGUUCGGAGUACCAGCCGGCCAGCUUCUAGGCUUCUUGGUCUCCGAACGCGGCAUCGAGUGCAACCCAGUGAAGAUCAACGCUAUAAAGAGAAUGGAGAUUCCUACCAAGCUGCGAGACGUCCAAAAGUUCACCGGGUGCCUGGCCUCCCUGAACCGCUUCAUCAGCCGGCUAGGAGAGAAGGCUCUCCCCCUGUAUCGACUCAUGAAAAAGUCCACCCACUUCGAGUAUAACGACCAAGCAGACCAAGCUUUUCACGAGUUGAAGAAGAUGCUGACCACGCCACCUGUCUUGGCGGCACCGACUGAGAAAGAGCCCAUGCUCUUUUACAUUGCCGCGACCAGCCGAGUGGUCAGCACAGUUAUUGUGGUCCAACGCCCAGAAGAAGGCCGGGCUCAGUUAGUCCAGAGGCCGGUGUAUUAUUUGAGCGAAGUACUGUCCACCUCGAAGCAAAACUACCCGCACUACCAGAAGAUGUGCUAUGGAGUAUACUUUGCCGCCAAGAAGCUGAAGCCCUACUUUCAAGAGCAUCCCAUCACGGUCGUAUGUACUGCCCCGCUUGCCGAGAUCAUAGGCAGUCGGGAUGCAUCCGGCCGGGUGGCCAAGUGGGCCAUUGCGCUGGCUCCUUACACGAUCUUCUACCAGCCUCGCACCGCCAUCAAGUCCCAAGCAUUGGCCGACUUUCUUGUCGACUGGGCCGAGACCCAGUACCUACCGCCGGCUCCCGACUCCACUCAUUGGUGGAUGCACUUCGAUGGAUCCAAGAUGCGCACCGCCUUGGGAGCCGGCAUCGUCCUCACCUCUCCCAAGGGCGACAAACUCAGAUACACAUUGCAAAUUUAUUUUGCUUCCUCCAACAACGUGGCCGAGUACGAGGCGCUCAUACAUGGGCUCCGGGUAGCCAAAGAGCUCGGCAUCCGCCGGAUCCUGUGCUAUGGCGACUCGGAUUUGGUAGUCCAACAAUCAUCCGGCGACUGGGACGCCAAGGACGCAAACAUGGCGAGCUACCGAUUCCUUGUUCAGCAAAUCAGCGGAUACUUUGAAGGAUGCGAGUUCCUCCAUGUGCCUCGGGCCGACAACGAGCUAGCAGAUGCCCUGGCACGAAUCGGCUCCACCCGACAAGCUAUACCAACCGGUGUCUCUCUCCAACGCCUCCUCAAACCGUCUGUCAAGCCGUCUCCAGAAUCAGACUCCAUCUUCGUACCGCCUGACCCUGAUGCAGUCGGAUCCGACUUGGGGAACCCAGCAGGCGGCUCGGGGACUUUGACAGGCGGCCCGGGGACUACCGUAGUCGCAUCCGGCUCGGGGACUUCAGAACCCGGCCCGGGGACUGCAGCAGUCGGCCCGGGGACUGCAACGACACAACAGGCGGUGGCCGAGUCCAACUCUUCACCACCCAACCCACCCACCCUGGUCGCAGUAGCCGUAUUGACAAUAGAAGAAGUCACAGCUCCAUCAUGGGCCCAACCCAUCCUCAACUUCCUGGUAAACAGAGAGCUGCCGACUGACGAGAUCUCGGCAAGACAAGUUCAACGCCAAGCCGGAGCAUACACAAUAAUAAACAGAGAACUCGUUAGGCGUAGUGUCACUGGAGUCAUCCAGCGCUGCGUCGAGCCAGAGAAGGGCAUAGCAAUCCUCAAGGACAUCCACCAAGGCGAAUGCGGCCACCAUGCGGCCUCAAGAUCACUUGUCGCCAAAGCUUUCCGCCAUGGGUUCUUCUGGCCGACUGCUUUGGAAGACGCCAAGGAAUUAGUCAAAUGCUGCAAAGGGUGCCAAGUCUUCAGCUCCAAGCAACACCUUCCGGCUUCUGCACUCAAGACCAUCCCCCUCACCUGGCCCUUUGCCGUCUGGGGAUUGGACAUGGUGGGCCCAUUCAAGACGGCGCGCAGCAGCAUGACACAUCUGCUUGUCGCCGUGGACAAGUUCACCAAGUGGAUUGAAGCGAAGCCAAUCAAGAAGCUGAACGGGCCGACUCCCGUGACAUUCAUCGCAGAUAUCACCACCUGGUAUGGCGUACCACACAGCAUCAUCAUCGACAAUGGCACGAAUUUUGCCAAAGGAGCACUGGCACGUUUCUGUGCGAUACAGGGCAUCCGACUGGACUUAGCGUCCGUUGCCCACCCGCAGUCAAACAGCCAAGUCGAGCAAGCAAACGGCCUCAUCGUCUCCAGCAUCAAGCCCCGACUGGUCGUACCACUGGAGCGUUCGGCCGGCUGCUGGCUCGACAAGCUGCCGGCCGUCCUCUGGAUUCUGCGUACUACCCCGAACAAGUCAACCGGCUUCACCCCUUUCUUCCUUGUAUAUGGUGUCGAGGCUGUCAUCCCAACUUACAUUGAGUUCGACUCACCUCGGGUCACCAUGUACACGGAGGCGGAGGCCAAGGAAGCGCGCGAAGACGGUGUUGACCUGCUGGAAGAGGGCCGGCUGUUAGCACUCAGCCGGUCCGCCAUCUACCAGCAGGGUUUGCGCUGUUACCACAACCGGAAGGUCAAGCCAAGAUCCUUCCAAGAAGGCGAUCUUGUGCUCCGGCUGAUCCAGCGAACAGCCGGCCAGCACAAGCUCUCGGCCCCUUGGGAAGGCCCCUUCGUCAUCAGCAAGGCCCUAGGCAACGACUCCUACUAUCUGAUCGACGCUCAGAAGCCGAAGGCACGCAAGAGAGAUGAUUCCGGCAAGGAGUCGGNNNNNNNNNNNNNNNNNNNNNNNNNNNNNNNNNNNNNNNNNNNNNNNNNNNNNNNNNNNNNNNNNNNNNNNNNNNNNNNNNNNNNNNNNNNNNNNNNNNNNNNNNNNNNNNNNNNNNNNNNNNNNNNNNNNNNNNNNNNNNNNNNNNNNNNNNNNNNNNNNNNNNNNNNNNNNNNNNNNNNNNNNNNNNNNNNNNNNNNNNNNNNNNNNNNNNNNNNNNNNNNNNNNNNNNNNNNNNNNNNNNNNNNNNNNNNNNNNNNNNNNNNNNNNNNNNNNNNNNNNNNNNNNNNNNNNNNNNNNNNNNNNNNNNNNNNNNNNNNNNNNNNNNNNNNNNNNNNNNNNNNNNNNNNNNNNNNNNNNNNNNNNNNNNNNNNNNNNNNNNNNNNNNNNNNNNNNNAGGAGCACUCGGGGACUACCAUCUUUUAUCUAUGUAUGACGAGCGUCAUACCUAUGAAUGUAUUACUACAUUUGUUUUUCUGUCCGGCACCGGGUUCGAUCAGUCGGCCCGGGGACUUGCCGCCUUGAGUUAUAUUAAAGUUCUACCUAUAGUCAGACAAGUAGUGUGCCGGCACCCAAGCCCUCUCUUGUUGAAAGUCGUAGCUCGAAGAAUCGACUGUCCAACUGGCAAGAGUCAAAGGCAGGAAAGGACACCCACAUGAAAAACGGCUAAGGACUAACGAACUUAUAUAACACAAGCUGGCCUCUCACCCCGCCAACCGGCUGUCAGAACAGCCGGCUGGCCGGUUUCCCAUUCACCUUGCUACAAUCUAAGAAAGCUAGAGUACUUGCCCUCCCAAAUGGCCAAGCCCUUCCCUAGCCACAGACUGCAGAGCAGCUGUCCGACUGGGAAGGCGGCGACCAAGGGAGGGCGGAAAAGGAAACAGCCAAAACGAUGAAAAGCAAAUACAAUCGGAAGCCAAGCACAUGCAUGAUUAUAUUUACACAAAAGGCCUUCGAAAGGCCGGCAUUCAACAUAGUUUGAAUACACCCCCAGUGUGUGGAACUGCGUAAACUUAACAAAUAAUGUUCAAAGAGUAAUAAACAGGAAAGCAAAGGUGGCGGAUCAGGCUAAAGGUGCAACAGGCGAGCCAGGCAGGUCAGUGGAGACGGCAGUGCUGGCUGGAGGAGUGGCCGGCUGGCGAGUCUCGGCUUGAUCAUCACUGGCUGCAGGCGGCGCGCUCGCACGCGCCUCGUUGCUGGAGGCACGAUUAAGCUGAGGCUGGCCGGUUGCUCCACCGUCUGGCACGGUGUCUUAACCAUCCUCUCCCUCCUCCUCUUCGCCCUCAUCGCUGGAGUCGAUCUCCUCCGCCGAGUCCUCACUAUCCGCUGGGUUCAGCCCAAACCACUCCUCCGGCUGAGCAACGCCGUCAUCAUCCACCUCAGGGGCAAAGGCACUGGUGUCGGUGUAGUCAGCGAUCGCCGAGGCACGCUGGAUGAUAGCCGGCCGCACCGCUUCCAGCUCCUCGUCGGCCUCCUGUCGCCAGGUGGCCAGCUGGUCCAAAUUCAGCUCAGGAUACCAAGCUCGGACGAACUCCAGCGCCCGCCUGGCGCCUGACCGAGCUGCAGAAGCUUUCCAGGCCUCAAAGCGGCCAACCGCUACCUCCAGCCAGUCGACAGUCCGACUGGGGGUACGGGGAACCACCUCACCGGGCCAGAGGGCAGCCAGCACUUGCGCCCCAACGCGCUGAAGACGGCGGAGCAUGCGGUGAGCCGGCUGGAGGCGGGCUUGGAUCGCCAGAAGCUGCUCCUCAAGCGACCGGCGAGCAUCCGACGCGAUCUCAGCUCCAGCCUGCCUUUGCGCCUUGCGGUGGGCCUCGAUGACUUGCCUGGCGGCAACGGAGUAACCAGGGAAGUACUCUGGACAAGUAAGAAAGGAAGAGAAAAAACACAAAGUCAGAAAAUGGACCAAAUGGCAGGCGGCAAGCAGAGGAACGAAGAAGAAGGUGGCCUACCGUCAACCAAAUCUUCGAUCUGUCCGUAGCCGUCGCUCAGCGAUUGCCUUGCCUCAGCCCAGCUCGCCGCCUCGGUCUCGUAUUCGGCUUGGAGGGCGGCCUCGCUGUCCUGCGCCGCCUUCAGGGCCGCCUUAUGGCUCUCCUCCUGGUCGGCCAGCUUCUUGACCAAGCGGUCAUGCUCCUGAGCCAAGGCGUUGCACUCGGCUUCCUUGGCGCCAAGGGCGGUCUGGGCCCCACCCAACUGCUCCCUCAGGUCGGCGUUGGCCUCUGCAGAUAUGGCAAAGAAGAAAAAAGCAAUAAGAAAGAAGUCGCGAGGAAAGAUCCGGCCCGACUGCUCAGCAGUCGGCCCGAAUCUCGGGGACUACACCCAGUGGGUGCGCUGACGCGUCCCCACGUGAGAUAAAAGAUGAAGCACUUACUCCGGCUCUUAGUCAGAUCAGUGGUCUUCUGGUUCGGCUCCUGGGCCUAGGAGUUGAAGGUAGCCGCGCGGAGGUUGUGAUAGUCCUGCAAAUAGGGCAGAGGAGCGGAUAAGAACAAGAUAGCAAUCGAAGUCUACUAAGAAGUUUCAAGCCGCCUGCUCAGCAGCCGACUCGGAACUCGGGGACUACACCUAGUGGGUGCGCUGACGCGCCCCCACGGAAGAAAUCAAGAACAAGAAACAAAAAAAGGGCGGGAAGACUCACCCGAAUGGCCGUCCGCGUCGCGAGGAACUCUUGAGUAUAUUGUUUCAGCGCGGUGGCCUGGGAUUGAAGCUGGUUCCGGACUUCUUGCGCCGCCACGUUCAGCACGGCCGUUCCACCACCCGGCGUCCACCCCGAGCUAGCGCUGGCCAUCUCCAGAUCCUGGGCCGACGAGCUAGAGCCCGCGGCCUUCUGCGGGUCCGGCGCCGAAGUCGCCUUCCCCGUGCGCUGGCGCGAUGGCGACCGGACCACAAGGUCUGCCCUCGCAGUCGGCUCGCCCCCAGCCGGUUGCACGAGCGGCACGCUAGGCCGGCUGCCUUGGUCUGCCCCAGUCGGCGAUGGUGGUGCCACCUCCCUGUCCCGGACGACGACGUCGUCCUCCUCCCUCCCCAUCCCUGGCUGGUCGCCACCGGCUUCCUCCGGCGGCGGCUCCGGGAUCUCGGGCGCCACCGCGCGCACGGGGACGACAAGCUGCGGAGGCCGGUUACAAAGGGCCUCCGCCGCCCUCUCUGCGGCUGCAGCCUCCGCCUGUGCCUUGGCCGCUGCGUCGGCUUGUGCCUCCGCUGACUCCUCCGCCGCCUUGGCAGCGGCCGCCCUUAGCUCCUCCGCCUCCUGCUACUCCCGCACCUCCCGCGCAUUCCGCUCCAUCACUACUUGAAGCUCGGCACGAGGUCCACGCGGCGGGCGCUUGCAGAACCUCCCGCCGCUCCAACCACGGAGGCAGCAGUGGUCCGCUCAAGAGAAAGCGGAGCCCUGUUUGAUAAGUCAAGACAAGGACUCAGAAGAAUAUCAACAAAAAAGAAGAAGGAAUACGCGAGAGAAUUGACACCUACGCCGAAACCAUUUAUGGCUGCUUCACCACCUUGCGGAAGCGAGCAGCCUUCACGGCUGCCUCGUCCUGCUUGGUCGCUGCCGCCGCGCUCUUGGGCUUCUUCGGCCGACUGCCGAAUAGGCUCGGCACGGCCCGGCGCUUCUGCACACCGCCUCGGGCAGUCGGCGCGGCAGAUGAACCCGCGCCAUGAUCGGACGCCGGCUGGCGGCGCGGGACGACUUCCGCCUCGUCAUCAUCCGGCCAGUCGUCGAAGAUGGCUCCAAGCCCGGAGCCGCCUGCCUCGCCGCCUCCCCCCACGGUCUCGUCGUCCAGAGCAGCCGCCCCCAAGUCGGGGUCGUCCAAGUCAUGCGUCGUUCAGUCGGGAAGAUAUUGGCGCUCCACCCCCGCUGCCCCGGCUGCCGGUCGAAGGAGGGGGCUCUGUCAAAACAAACCGACUGGUCAGAGUCGGCCAAGAGAAACUUGGUGACAAAGUAAAGAAGAGAAGAAAAAUAAAGCUUACCAUAGGCGGGGGAUUGGCACGGGAGUACGGCUCCUUGCCAAACUGCCACUCAUCGGUGAGCUUGCAGUUCGCAAGGUAGUUCAGCAUGUGAGCCACCUCUGCAUGAGGCAUCUCCUUGGUACACAGCCGACUCGGAUCGAGUUGGCCGCUCAUUUGACAAAUCAUAUGCGGGCGGCCUUGGAGCGGGAGCACCCGGUGUGCCACGAAGGCGGUCAGCAGGUCGGGCCCGGUCAGGCCCUCCGACUGGACCAUUAUCUGGAGUCAUGCGACGACGGCGGCUCCAGCGGGCGAUAGUGUUCUGGCCCGAUAGGACCAUUGGGGCCGCCUCCCAGCCGGCGGGCCGGCUACAUAAGCCGGCAAGUUGACGAAGUCGCCUUGCGGAGCGACGUUCUUCACAUAGAAGUAGGAUCUCUGCCAGAGCUUCACCGACUGGAUCAGCAUGAUGGGAGGAAAAGGGUUGUCGGCUACCGGCCUCCACACCGCGAUGAAGGCGCCGCUCUGAGCCGACACGCCCCUCAUGGCGGUACCGAGCUUGGACUGGAAGAAUUCCCCUCAGAGAUCGAGGGUGGGAAGGACGCCGAGGAAGCCCUCGCACAAAGUGACGAAGGCAGACAGCAGCACCACCGUGUUUGGAGUGAGGUGGUGCGGCUGGAGCUGGUAGAACUCGAGGAAGGAGCGGAAGAAGCCGCUCGCAGGCAGGCCGAGGGCGCGCAGGCAGUGCGAGCGGAAGAUUACCCGCUCGCCCUCCUCCGGCGCCGGCGAAAUCUCCCUCUCCGGCGCGAGACGGACCCGCACAUGAUCCCUGCUAGGCAACCGCCGCGUCUUGUGGAGGAAGUCGAUGUGGUCCGCGUGGACGUUGGAGCCAUCCCAGUCUCCGCCACGCGACAUGAGGGCGAGAAGCCGAGGAAAAGGGCACGGCGAUGGCGAAACCACGGCCCCGCGGCGGCGAAGCUGCGGGGUAGUGCGAUGACUAGAGGGCGGCGCGGCGGCGAGGGGCUGCAGCGACAGAGAGGAAGAAGAAGAAGAUGGCGGAGCGAGGGCGAGCGUGCGAGCGUCUGCCGCUCCUCCUCCUCCCCCUAUUUGUAGCCUCGUGCGGCAAAGCCGGGGAGGUGAGGCGUAGAGGGGACGUGGGAUUAACUACGCCCACUCCCCCACGUCCCAUGAUUAUUGCGCCCUAACGGCGUGCGGAAACUGCCGUUGGAAGGCGAAUGGCCCGUUUUGGGCCGCAGAAGAUCCACACCUAGGCCUAGGCGUGGAAGUGGUGGGCCCCGGCCUGCGGCGGCGUCCCGUCAUGCGCGUGGGCUGGCAGGCUCUUCCAGUCGGAGGGUGCCACGUGGCGCGCGGGCGGCAAGCGGCCGGCCCGCAACCCGGCAUGCGCGCCAGCUGGCUCCCGCCUUCAGACUUCAAAACCUCACCAAGACGGCGCACCUGAUCAAAGUCGGCUCCUAGCUGCUGGCUCUUCAAGAUAGGAAGCUGAUUGAGCUUCUCGUCCUCCUUUCAGCCUUGAAGCCCAACCAGCUUCGGGGACUACUGUCGGAGUAAAUGACCAUGGGUAGCCAAACCGACUCCCCUGGCUCUUUGAAAAAUUAUCGGGCCGAUCGAGCCUUUAAGCACCCAAAGCAUAGGGUCGCCUUCCCAUGGCCGGCUGUCUCACGGACCGACUACUGGAAGACGGCCCAGCCCUAAAAACCCUCCCGAAGAGAGCCACAAGAAGGCCGACUCCAAGAAGCCGGCCACAAGAGGACCGACUCCCAGAAGCCGGCCACAAGAAGACCGGCUCCCGGCAAGCGGCCAAGAUUGCACCCUCAAGGGAUGCACCCACAUAACGGUGACGAGACGGGGCGUGGCUACAGUACAGCCUGCCACCCCCGAAUCCCAGAGCACGCGUGGCCACAGUGCGCCGUACGGGUCGGCCAUCCCCCGUCCGGCACGGCACUGUUGCCAUGUUGACCAUGACGCCACCCACGACAGGCUGUCAGUACGGCCCGCGGGCGGCGGGCCCCUUCAGCCAGAGAGAUGCUCGAAGACGGCCAAGCCUCCCCUAGUCGGCCUGGGGUGUAGCCGGCUCCCAAUAGCCAGCUACCUCCCUCCCUCGAAGUAUGUGCCUCAUUAAGGAGACAAGACGAGGUAAUGCUACAGUGAGAGCCCGCCAGACGGCGGCACUGUAGCCAUGCUUACCUUGGCAAAGCCCUCGUCAUCACGGGCGAGGCUACAGUAACCAGCCGCCGGCAAGACCCCUAGGCGGUGGGGCCGGCCUAUCGGCCAAGAGGCCGGUAGCCGGUGGGACCCAACAGUCGGCGGGCCCCAGCGGCCGGCGGAGAAGCCGGCAAAUACAGACACUGAUGGCUAGGACCCGCGUCCGACCAGAUUACCAUUGUACCCCUGGGCGUAGGCCUAUAUAAACCCCCCGGGGAACCCAUGCAAAGGGUUGAUCUCUUAGAGUUUUAGACACCACAUAGAGAUAAGAGGAGAGCUAGCCUUGCCCUUCUUCUUCCUCUAGUCAAACAGCUCAAGGAGCCACUUGUAGCCACUUGUGUUGAUCUAGUGAUCAUGCGGAGACCCCGUAGAGCAGGACUAGGGGUGUUAUCCCCAUGGAGAGCCCCGAACCUGGGUAAGAUUCGCCGGCGUGCAUGUCUUCGCCUUAUCCCGUUUCCAGGCACCGGCGAUGUCUUACUGGCUCCCACAAUGAUAAGCCACCCGUUGGCAUAUGUCGCACCUACCACCCGACACAUGUUUACUAAAGUUUAAGUUCACCUUUAACUCUAGACAUAUAAUCACUCAAGUGUCCAAUCAUGUAAGCAUUACUCUUUAAUUCUCUACCAACAUAAGCAUUAAAACUUUCUUGCCUAGCCAUAAAGUCAUCAAAUUCAUCUAAACAUUGGCUAGGAAAUUUAAUAGACGGGAUUUCAACUUUAUCAUAUCUAUAGAGGGAAUUUACCUUUACUACCUCUGUCGGGUUAUCAAGAACAUGUGUUUCUUCUACAAGCGGUAUAUUAAGACCAUGUAUUUCUUCAAUAGGAGGUAAAUUCUUAACAUCUUCGGCUUUAAUACCUUUUUCUUUCAUUGAUUUCUUUGCCUCUUGCAUAUCUUCAGGACUGAGAAAUAGAACACCUCUCUUCUUCGGAGUUGGUUUAGGAAUAGGCUCAAUUGGAUCAGGAAUUGGCUCAGGAAUUGGUUCAGGAAGAGUCCAAUUAUUUUCAUUAGUCAACAUAUUAUUCAAUAGCAAUUCAGCUUGGUCGACCGUUCUUUCCCUGAAAACACAACCAGCACAACUAUCCAAGUGGUCCUUGGAAGCUUCGGUUAGUCCAUUAUAAAAGAUAUCAAGUAUUUCAUUUUUCUUAAGAGGAUGAUCAGGCAAAGCAUUAAGUAAUCGGAGAAGCCUCCCCCAAGCUUGUGGGAGACUCUCUUCUUCGAUUUGCACAAAAUUAUAUAUUUCUUGCAAGGCAGCUUGUUUCUUAUGAGCAGGGAAAUAUUUAGCAGAGAAGUAAUAAAUCAUAUCCUGGGGACUACGCACACAACCAGGAUCAAGAGAAUUAAACCAAGUUUUAGCAUCACCCUUUAAUGAGAAUGGAAAUAUCUUAAGGAUAUAAUAGUAGCGGGAUUUCUCAUCAUUAGUAAAUAAGGUGGCUAUAUCAUUCAACUUGGUAAGAUGUGCCACAACAGUUUCAGAUUCAACCAAAGUAAUUAUCUCAGGAUCAACAGAGAAUUCAUAAUCCUUAUCAGUAACAAAGAUAGGUGAAGUAGCAAAAGCAGGGUCAUGUUUCAUUCUAGCAUUUAGAGUUUUCUGUUUAAGUUUAGCUAGUAAUUUCUUAAGAUCAUAUCUAUCCUUGCAAGCAAGAAGAUCUCUAGCAGUUUCUUCAUCCAUAACAUGACCCUCAGGAACAACAGGCAAUUCAUAAUUAGGGGGAGAACCUUCAUCAUCAAUAUCAUCAAUAAUAUCAUCAUUAAUAAUUUCAUUCUCUCUAGCCCUAGCAAGUUGUUCAUCAAGAAAUUCACCAAGUGGCACAGUAGUAUCAGGCAUAGAAGUAGUUUCAUCGUAAGUAUCAUGCAUAGCAGAAGUGGCAUCAUCAAUAACAUGCGACAUAUCAGCAUUCAUAGCAGUAGCAGGUUUAGGUGUCGCAAGCUUACUCAAAACAGAAGGAGAAUCUAGUGCAGAGCUAGAUGGCAGUUCCUUACCUCCCCUCGUAGUUGAGGGAUAAAUUUUAGUUUUGUUGUCUUUCAGGUUCUUCAUAGUGACCAGCAGAUAUAAAUCCCAAGUGACUCAAAGAAUAGAGCUAUGGUCCCCGGCAACGGUGCCAGAAAUUUGUCUUGAUAACCCACAAGUGUAGGGGAUCGCAACAGCUUUCGAGGGUAGAGUAUUCAACCCAAAUUUAUUGAUUCGACACAAGGGGAGCCAAAGAAUAUUCUCAAGUAUUAGCAGUUGAGUUGUCAAUUCAACCACACCUGGAUAACUUAGUAUCUGCAGCAAGGUAUUUAGUAGCAAAGUAGUAUGAUAGUAAUGGUGACAGUAGCAAAAGUAAUAUUUUGGGGUUUUGUAGUGAUUGUAACAAUAGCAACAGAAAAGUAAAUAAGCGAAGAACAAUAUAUGAAAAGUUCGUAGGCAUUGGAUCAAUGAUGGAUAAUUAUGUCGGAUGCGAUUCCUCAUGCAAUAGUUAUAACCUAGGGUGACACAGAACUAGCUCCAGUUCAUCAAUGUAAUGUAGGUAUGUAUUCCGAAUAUAGUCAUACGUGCUUAUGGAAAAGAACUUGCAUGACAUAUUUUGUCCUACCCUCCCAUGGCAGCGGGGUCCUAGUGGAAACUAAGGGAUAUUAAGGCCUCCUUUUAAUAGAGUACCGGACCAAAGCAUUAGCACUUAGUGAAUACAUGAACUCCUCAAACUACGGUCAUCACCGAGAAGUAUCCCGAUUAUUGUCACUUCGGGGUUGUCGGAUCAUAACACAUAAUAGGUGACUAUAGACUUGCAAGAUAGGAUCAAGAACUCACAAAUAUUCAUGAAAACAUAAUAGGUUCAGAUCUGAAAUCAUGGCACUCGGGCCCUAGUGACAAGCAUUAAGCAUAGCAAAGUCAUAGCAACAUCAAUCUCAGAACAUAGUGGAUACUAGGGAUCAAACCCUAACAAAACUAACUUGAUUACAUGAUAAAUCUCAUCCAACCCAUCACCGUCUAGCAAGCCUACGAUGGAAUUACUCACGCACGGCGGUGAGCAUCAUGAAAUUGGUGAUGGAUGAUGGUUGAUGAUGAAGAUGGCGACGAAUCCCCCUCUCCAGAGCCCCGAACGGACUCCAGAUCAGCCCUCCUGAGAGAGAUUAGGGCUUGGCGGCAGCUCCGAAUCGUAAAACGCGAUGAAACUUUCUCUCUGAUUUUUUUCUCCAUGAAACGGAAUAUAUAGCGUUGGAGUUGAGGUCGGUGGAGCUCCAGGGGGCCCAGGAGACAGAGGGCACGCCCCCACCCUCCUGGACAGGGUGUGGGCCCCCUGGCCUUGAUUCUUUCGCUAGUAUUUUUCUUAUUUUCCAAAAAUAAUCUCCGUGGAUUUCCAGGUCAUUCCGAGAACUUUUGUUUUCUGCACAAAGAUAACAUCAUGGCAAUUCUGCUGAAAACAGCGUCAGUCCGGGUUAGUUCCAUUCAAAUCAUGCAAGUUAGAGUCCAAAAUAAGGGAAAAAGUGUUUGGAAAAGUAGAUACGUUGGAGACGUAUCAACUCCCCCAAGCUUAAACCUUUGCUUGUCCUCAAGCAAUUCAGUUGACAAACUGAAAGUGAUAAAGAAAAACUUUUACAAACUCUGUUUGCUCUUGUUGUUGGAAAUAUGCCCUAGAGGCAAUAAUAAAGUUAUUAUUUAUUUCCUUAUUUCAUGAUAAAUGUUUAUUAUUCAUGCUAGAAUUGUAUUAACCGGAAACAUAAUACAUGUGUGAAUACAUAGACAAACAAAGUGUCACUAGUAUGCCUCUACUUGACUAGCUCGUUAAUCAAAGAUGGUUAAGUUUCCUAGCCAUUGACAUGAGUUGUCAUUUGAUUAACGAGAUCACAUCAUUAGGAGAAUGAUGUGAUUGACUUGACCCAUUCCGUUAGCUUAGCACUCGAUCGUUUAGUAUGUUGCUAUUGCUUUCUUCAUGACUUAUACAUGUUCCUACGACUAUGAGAUUAUGCAACUCCCGUUUACCGGAGGAACACUUUGUGUGCUACCAAACGUCACAACGUAACUGGGUGAUUAUAAAGGUGCUCUACAGGUGUCUCCAAAGGUACUUGUUGGGUUGGCGUAUUUCGAGAUUAGGAUUUGUCACUCCGAUUGUCGGAGAGGUAUCUCUGGGCCCACUCGGUAAUGCACAUCACUAUAAGCCUUGCAAGCAUUGCAACUAAUGAGUUAGUUGCGGGAUGAUGUAUUACGGAACGAGUAAAGAGACUUGCCGGUAACGAGAUUGAACUAGGUAUUGAGAUACCUACAAUCGAAUCUCGGGCAAGUAACAUACCGAUGACAAAGGGAACAACGUAUGUUGUUAUGCGGUCUGACUGAUAAAGAUCUUCGUAGAAUAUGUAGGAGCCAAUAUGGGCAUCCAGGUCCCGCUAUUGGUUAUUGACAAGAGAGGUGUCUCGGUCAUGUCUACAUAGUUCUUGAACCCGUAGGGUCCGCACACUUAACGUUCGUUGACGAUAUAGUACUAUGAGUUAUGUAUGUUGGUGACUGAAUGUUGUUCGGAGUUUUGGAUGAGAUCAAGGAUAAGACGAGGAACUCCGGAAUGGUUCGGAAGUAAAGAUUGAUAUGUGGAUAGUAGUGUUUGAUCUCCGGAAAGGUUCCGGAAUAUAUCGGAAGGGGUUCCGGAUGUUUCUCGAAAUGUUUGGGCACGAGAACACUUUAUCUGGGCCAAAGGGGAAAGCCCACGAGGUUUUUGGAAAGCACAAAAGGAAGUUUUGCGGAGUCCAGGGGCCAGACGCUAGGGUCCCUGGCGUCUGGGUCCAGACGCCGGGAACCCUGGCGUCUGGCCCUGGAGUCCGAGAAGGACUCUUGCCUUUCAGGUUAAACCGACUUUGUGGAGGCUUUUACUCCAAGUUUCGACCCCAAGGCUCAACAUAUAAAUAGAGGGGUAGGGCUAGCACCCAAGACACAUCAAGAAACACCAAGACGUGUGCCGGCAACCCCGUCUCCUCUAGUUUAUCCUCCGUCAUAGUUUUCGUAGUGCUUAGGCGAAGCCCUGCGAAGAUUGUUCUUCACCAACACCGUCACCACGCCGUCGUGCUGCCGGAACUCAUCUACUACUUCGCCCCUCUUGCUGGAUUGAGAAGGCGAUGACGUCACCGAGCCGAACGUGUGCAGAACUCGGAGGUGAUGUGCUUUCGGUACUUGGAUCGGUCGCAUCGUGAAGACGUACGACUACAUCAACCGCGUUGAUAUAACGCUUCUGCUUACGGUCUACGAGCGUACAUAGACAACACUCUCCCCUCCCGUUGCUAUGCAUCACCAUGAUCUUGCGUGUGCAUAGGAAAUUUUUGAAAUUACUAUGUUCCCCAACACCAGCCACUGGGUGGAGAGAGGGAGGCUGAACCGGCGCAAGAUGAUCCACAACCUUCAGGUCAACCCGAGGAAGAAUCAUGAUCCGGAGGCCGGUUAUCUUCUGCACACUUUCAUCUGUGUGAUAAAACAGUUAUUCUUUUGGGCCGUCAAAGCGCCUUGUAAUAGGCUAGUUGAAACACUUGGUCUGCUAUGCCAUCGUGCAUAUUCAUGAUAACCCACAAGUGUAGGGGAUCACAACAGCUUUCGAGGGUAGAGUAUUCAACCCAAAUUUAUUGAUUCGACACAAGGGGAGACAAAGAAUAUUCUCAAGUAUUAGCAGUUGAGUUGUCAAUUCAACCACACCUGGAUAACUUAGUAUCUGCAGCAGGGUAUUUAGUAGCAAAGUAGUAUGAUAGUAAUGGUAACAGUAGCAAAAGUUAUAUUUUUGGGUUUUGUAGUGAUUGUAACAAUAGCAACGGAAAAGUAAAUAAGCGAAGAACAAUAUAUGAAAAGUUCGUAGGCAUUGGAUCAAUGAUGGAUAAUUAUAUCGGAUGCGAUUCCUCAUGCAAUAGUUAUAACCUAGGGUGACAAAGAACUAGCUCCAGUUCAUCAAUGUAAUGUAGGUAUGUAUUCCGAAUAUAGUCAUACGUGCUUAUGGAAAAGAACUUGCAUGACAUCUUUUGUCCUACCCUCCCCGUGGCAGCAGGGUCCUAGUGGAAACUAAGGGAUAUUAAGGCCUCCUUUAGAGUACCGGACCAAAGCAUUAGCACUUAGUGAAUACAUGAACUCCUCAAACUACGGUCAUCACCAAGAAGUAUCCCGAUUAUUGUCACUUCGGGGUUGUCGGAUCAUAACACAUAAUAGGUGACUAUAGACUUGCAAGAUAGGAUCAAGAACUCACAUAUAUUCAUGAAAACAUAAUAGGUUCAGAUCUGAAAUCAUGGCACUCGGGCCCUAGUGACAAGCAUUAAGCAUAGCAAAGUCAUAGCAACAUCAAUCUCAGAACAUAGUGGAUACUAGGGAUCAAACCCUAACAAAACUAACUUGAUUACAUGAUAAAUCUCAUCCAACCCAUCACCGUCGAACAAGCCUACGAUGGAAUUACUCACGCACGGCGGUGAGCAUCAUGAAAUUGGUGAUGGAGGAUGGUUGAUGAUGACGACGGCGACGAAUCCCCCUCUCCGGAGCCCCGAACGGACUCCAGAUCAGCCCUCCCGAGAGAUAUUAGGGCGGCGGCUCCGUAUCGUAAAACGCGAUGAAACUUUCUCUCUGAUUUUUUUCUCCGUGAAACGGAAUAUAUAGCAUUGGAGUUGAGGUCGGUGGAGCUCCAGGGGGCCCAGGAGACAGGGGCGCGCCCAGGGGGAGAGGGCGCGCCCCCACCCUCCUGGACAGGGUGUGGGCCCCUGGCCUUGAUUCUUUCGCCAGUAUUUUUCUUAUUUUCCAAAAAUAAUCUCCGUGGAUUUCCAGGUCAUUCUGAGAACUUUUGUUUUCUGCACAAAGAUAACAUCAUGGCAAUUCUGCUGAAAACAGCGUCAGUCCGGGUUAGUUCCAUUCAAAUCAUGCAAGUUAGAGUCCAAAACAAGGGCAAAAGUGUUUGGAAAAGUAGAUACGUUGGAGAUGUAUCAAUUCACUUUGCCUAAUACCGUUAAUCCGUCAUGAUAAUGUCAUAGCUCCUUAUGAUCCUUAACAGCUUUAUGCAAUCCUGCUUCUGCAUAUAACAAACUUAAAAUUGUCCUGGCGGUUCAUCGCCGGACGGGUCAUGAUACCCAAAUAUAUGGCCAGGGAUUAUAACCAAGGCUGUAAAAAGAUGAUCAAAUAUGAAAAUAAAUGAUACCUGUGAGGGUGAUAACCUCCAUUUUGAGUAAUGACAACUUCUUUCAUAUUGUGCCGGUUCAUGAUAAAACCGUACCGGGUUGUGAUAAACACCGGAUCAACCAUACAUAAUACUGGCGACUUGUAUUGGAAACCAGACCAGGUUAAGAAACACUGGAUUAUAAGCGAUUAUGUACUGACAACUUGUAGUUGAAAGUCGAGCCGGGUUAAUGAAUGUCAGUUUACCAAAAACCUCAUAAAUCUCAUCAAAGGAGAACAAACUUGGCAAAUAAAAACAUAUGAAAACUUGUAGUCGAGGCUUUUCACGGGCUGCCAGGCCCCAAAUUCGAGGCUUUUCAUGGGCUGCCAGGCCGCUGUGUUAAACCAUUUUACAAAGCCUUUUAAGAUGGUCCUCAAUCCUUAACCAAUCGUCGUUUUAACUUUGACAAGUUCAGGGUCUUAUGAGAUUGACUUGUCGAAGUUCGGCGGGUCAUACCAGGUUUACCUGGACGGAGUGACUUACUUAAAAAAGGCAGGCUAACCCAGGGUUUUCGGUGUAUACACCAGGCUUCCAAGCCGUGGCUUGAUAGCCUAUUGCAAGUGUAGAUUCUUUGUUCAUUGCGAUAGCAAAGAAUCUCCAAGCAAUAUUUUGAGAUGUGCUCAGUAGGUGCCUAUGUUUGAGUUGUUCUUUUGCAACACUCUCUUUGGCCCCUAAGUAAUUUUCUUUUUGGCUCUGAGCCGAUCAAGAGGUGUAGCUAUGGUUCGAAUACGACCAAGCCCCCAAGUGAUUUAUAUAUAGCUUUAUAAGCUGAAUCAAGGGGUAAAUCGGACGCCGCUUUUCAAACAGAAGCCCCCAUGUAACCACACAUGAUGUUAGAAAAACAACAGAUACCCCGCUUUAGCCGGGGCUCCGGUUUAUUAUAUUGAUCAUAAUAUAUACAUUGCCAAAAAUAUGUACAUGAUAGGAGCCUGUGGCUCAGGUGUAGUAAGGUCAUAGAUGAGCAAUAUUCCACGGCCGGCGGGUCUCCUCCUUCGACUUGCGUGAGUCUUUGUGCACUCGAACAUCUAUAAGGUAGUAUGAUCCGUUGUUCAGAUUCUUGCUGGCCACAAAGGGCCCUUCCCAAGGUGGGGAUAACUUGUGCAUAUCGGUCUGAUCUUGGAUAAGCCGGAGCACUAAGUUGCCUUCUUGGAAAGUUCUGGUUUUAACCCGGCGGCUAUGAUAACGCCGCGGGUCUUGCUGAUAAGUCGCCGAACGAGCUGUCGCUAUGUCCCUUUUUUCAUCUAACAGGUCUAAUGCAUCUUGGCGUGCACUUUCAUUGUCCGCUUCAACAUAAUCUGCCACUUGAGGCGAGUCAUGGCGGAUGUCACUUGGGAGAACUGCUUCUGCCCCAUAAACCAUGAAGAAGGGUGUAUAACCCGUAGAUCUAUUGGGGGUGGUAUUAAUGCUCCAUAUACGGAUGGCAAUUCUACCACCCAACAACCCAGCGUCCUCUGCAAAGGGACCAUAAGCCGGGGCUUGAUACCUUUCAGAAUUUCUUGAUUAGCCCUCUCAGCUUGACCAUUAUACUAGGGGUGAGCCACCGAUGACACAUCAAGCCGGAUGUGCUCACGUUGACAGAACUCUUCCAUGGCACCUUUGGAGAGAUUCGUUCCAUUAUGUGUUCUGAUGCUAUGUGGAAAACCAAAGCGGAAAAUCACCUUCUUCAUGAAUUGAACCGUCGUGGCUGCGUCACACUUGCUGACUGGUUCUGCUUCCACCCACUUGGUGAAUUUAUCAACCGCCACCAAAAGGUGGGUCUUCUUAUCCUUGGACCUCUUAAAGGGCCCAACCAUAUCAAGCCCCCAAGUUGCAAACGGCCAGGUGAUUGGACUCAUCCUCAAUUCCUAGGCCGGAACAUGGGCUCGGCGUGAAAACUUCUGACAACCAUCACACUUUUUGACCAAGUUUUCAGCAUCAGCAUGAGCCGUCAGCCAAUAGAAACCGUGAUGAAAAGACUUAGCCACAAGGGAUUUUGAACCGGCAUGAUGACACAAUCCCCUUCAUGGAUUUCAUGCAAAAUCUCACAGCCUUCUUCAGGAGAGACGCAGCGCUGAAAAGCCCCUGAGACACUGCAGUGAUGUAACUCGCCAUUGAUAAUAGUCAUGGACUUAGACCGCCAGAUUAUCUGUCUGGCUAAAACCUCAUCCUCUGGUGACUCGCCCCGGUUCAUAUACUCCAAAUAUGGGACCGUCCAAUCCGGGAUGAUGUGAAGCGCCGCCACCAACUGAGCCUCCGGAUCAGGAACAGCCAAAUCCUCCUCCGUGGGGAGCUUGACCGACGGGUUAUGUAAGACGUCAAGAAAAACAUUGGGCGGCACCAGUUUACGCUGGGAGCCCAAACGUCUUAAAGCAUCCGCCGCCUCAUUCUUUCGCCGGUCCACAUGAUCAACCUGAUAGCCCUUGAAGUGACCUGCAACAAUAUCCACCUCUCGACGAUAUGCUGCCAUGAGCAGGUCCUUGGAAUCCCAAGUACCAGACACUUGUUGAGCCACCAAGUCCGAGUCACCGAAGCAUUUAACCCGGCUCAAAUUCAUCUCCUUAGCCAUUCGAAGACCAUGGAGCAGGGCCUCGUACUCAGCUGCAUUGUUAGUACAAGGAAACAUCAAGCGGAGAACAUAACAAAAUUUGUCACCUCGAGGGGAAGUAAGAACCACUCCAGCCCCCGAGCCCUCCAAUUGCCUGGACCCGUCGAAGUGAAUAGUCCAGUAUGUGUUAUCCGGUUUAUCCUCUGGCGCCUGUAACUCUGUCCAGUCAUUGAUAAAAUCCACGAGCGCUUGGGACUUAAUGGCCGUACGAGGCAUAUACUUUAACCCAUGAGGACCAAGCUCAAUAGCCCACUUAGCAACCCGGACAGUCGCUUCCCUGUUCUGGAUGAUGUCUCCCAAAGGAGCAGAACUGACCACAGUGAUGGGAUGGCCCUGAAAGUAUUGCUUAAGCUUCCGGAUCGCCAUAAAAACUCCAUACACCAGCUUCUGCCAAUGUGGGUAUCUCUGUUUGGACUCAAUAAGCACCUCGUUGAUAUAAUAAACCGGCCGCUGAACCGGAUAUUCCUUUCCUGCUUCCUUGCGCUCCACCACAAUAGCCACGCUGACAGCCCGGGCGUUAGCUGCCACAUAUAACAGCAAUGGUUCCUUAUCAAUGGGGGCAACAAGAACAGGCAGUUCGGCGAGCUGCCGUUUUAGAGCCUCAAACGCUUCGUUAGCAGCAUCACUCCAGACGAAGUCAUCUGUUUUCUUCAACAUUUGAUACAAAGGGAUGGCCUUCUCCCCAAGGCGACUGAUAAACCGGCUUAAGGCUGCAAUCCGGCCCGCCAAGCAUUGAACAUCAUUGACACACUUUGGUUUAGCCAGUGAAGUAAUAGCCUUGAUCUUCUCCGGAUUAGCUUCAAUGCCCCUGUUAGACACUAGGAAACCCAAGAGCUUGCCUGCCGGUACACCAAAAACACACUUGGCCGGGUUAAGCAUCAUCUUAUAAACCCGGAGGUUAUCAAAGGUCUCCUUCAAGUCAUCUAGCAAUGUCUCCUCCUUCCUGGACUUCACCACAAUAUCAUCCACAUAAGCAUGAACGUUGCAUCCGAUCUGACUAUGAAGACAAUUCUGCACACAACGCUGGUAAGUCGCCUGGGCACUCUUGAGCCCAAAAGGCAUAGACACAUAGCAGAAGGCUCCAAAGGGAGUUAUAAACGUUGUCUUCUCCUGGUCCUUAACUGCCAUCUUGAUCUGAUGAUAACCCAAAUAAGCAUCCAGAAAACUCAAACGCUCACAACCCGCCGUAGCAUCAAUGAUUUGAUCAAUACGAGGGAGAGCAAAAGGAUCAGCUCGACACGCCUUGUUCAAAUUUGUGUAGUCCACACACAUACAUCAAGUGUCGUUCUUCUUAAGUACCAGCACCGGAUUAGCCAACCAUUCCGGAUGAAAAACUUCAACAAUAAACCCAGCCGCCAAGAGCCGGGCGACCUCCUCACCAAUGGCUUUGCGCCUUUCUUCAUUGAACCGGCGAAGAAACUGUCUGACCGGUUUAAACUUGGGAUCAACAUUAAGGGUGUGCUCAGUGAGUUCCCUCGGUACACCUGGCAUGUCAGAAGGCUUCCAUGCAAAGAUAUCCCUAUUCUCACGGAUGAACUCGAUGAGCGCGCUUUCCUAUUUCGGAUCCAGAUUUGCGCUGAUGAUGAACUGUUUGGAUGAAUCGCCAGGCAGAAAAUCAACCGUCUUAGUCUCAUCAGCCGAUUUAAACUUCAAGGCCGGAUCAUGCUCCAUAGUGGGUUUCUUCAACGAAGUCAUAUCAGCCGAAUCAACAUUGUCCUUAUAGAACUUCAGCUCCUCUGUCGCACAAACCGACUCAGCAUAGGCCGCAUCACCUUCCUCACAUUCCAAAGCGAUCUUACGGCUUCCAUGCACUGUGAUGGUCCCCUUAUGACCCGACAUCUUGAGCUGCACAUACACAUAACAGGGCCUUGCCAUGAACUUAGCAUAAGCCGGCCGUCCAAACAGGGCAUGGUACGGGCUUUUGAUUUUCACCACUUCAAAAGUCAACGUCUCUGAUCUCGAGUCAUGAUCAUCUCCAAAAGCAACCUCCAGGGCUAUCUUACCAACCGGAUAAGCUGAUUUACCAGGCACCACACCAUGGAAAACGGUGUUUGACGGUUUAAGAUUCUUAUCUGUUAACCCCAUACGACGGAAGAUUUCAUAAUACAAGAUGUUGAUACUGCUCCCUCCAUCCAUGAGCACCUUGGUGAACUUAUAACCUCCAACCUAAGGUGCCACCACCAAUGCCAGAUGACCCGAAUUAUCAACUCGGGGCGGGUGAUCCUCUCGACUCCACACAAUAGGCUGUUCAGACCAGCGCAAGUAACGGGGCACCGCCGGUUCAACGGAGUUCACUGCCCUUUUAUGAAGCUUCUGGUUGCGCUUGCACGGCCUAGUGGUGAAGACAUGAUACUGCCCACUAUUCAACUGCUUCAGGUGACUCUGGUAACCUGACUGUUGCUGCCGCUGAUUUCCCUACUGAUUAUAACCACCCUGGUUGCUCUGAUUGCCUUGAUUGCCAUGUCCACCCUGAUUACCUUGGAAUCUUGAGCCGGAAUUACCUCCACCAUAACCCGGCCCGUAAGACCCGGGUCCUGAACCGCCGGACGAUCCAUGAUCAUUCCAGAAAAAAAUCUGAAUUUUUGAAUUCUCGCAUGAUAUAACAAUCCUUCCAGAGGUGCAUGGCCGGCUUGUCCCGCGAUCUGUGCUUUGGGCAGGGCUGGUUCAACAGGUAAUUCAGGCGCUCCGGAUUGGGACUUGGUUCUCCUCCCCGCGGGGGCGACUUACCCUUACGACGCUGACCAUUACCCUGCGUAUUGAUACUAGCCACAAAAUCUGAAUUACUAUCCGCUUUACGCUUACCAUUGUUACUGUGGCCCGCCUGGUUAUGCUGCUGCCCCUUAGUGUUGCCGUUCUUCUUUCCCUUUCCCAGUUUUUCAUCAUCAGAUUCGGGGUCCUUGGUACUAUCAGAAUCGGCAGACUUAACCAGAGCAACCAUAAGUGUUCCCAUGUCAUUGCAGUGACGCUUGAGCCGUCCCAACUUCAGUUUCAAAGGCUUAAACCGGCAAUUACCCUCCAAUGUUAUAACUGCCAAGUCAGCAUUGAUGCGGUCCGAUGAAUGCAAGAUCUCUGAAACCCGGCGCACCCAAUGGGUUGUCGACUCGCCUGCCUCCUGGACGCAGGUAGCUAAAUCCACAAUUGACAUGGGUUGCUUGCGCGUGUCCUUGAAGUUUGCUAUAAACCGGGCCUUUAACUCGGCCCAUGAUCCAAUGGAGUUAGCUGGUAAACUUUUCAGCCAAGUGUGAGUCGUUCCGUCCAACAUCAUGGUGAAAUACUUCACGCAUGCCGCUUCAUCCACAUCCAGCAUCUCCAUUGCCAUCUCAUAACUUUCAACCCAUGACUCAGGAGGCAAAUCAGCGGUGUAAUUAGGCACCUUACGUGGACCCUUGAAAUCCUUGGGCAGCCUCACAUUACGCAAAGCCGGGGUAAGACAGGGCACCCCCCAAGAGCUGAAAGUAAGACCUCGUUCCACGGAAGUCGUCGGAUUAACCGGAGUGAGCUGACGGUCCUGUGCCACUAACUCGGCUUCUCGACGCGCUCUACCGUUAUCCACCACAUCCUGAGCAUUUGCCCCACCGCGCGCCGGAUUAGGCCCUCGAGGGGCGUCACGGUUUCGCACACUGCUUGACACGGCCGGUUCAUCGAUGUGUCUACUGUAACUCCGGCUCGGGCGUGGGGUUGAAUGAAGUCUGUCUCGGCUAUAUGAAUAGGCCUGCUGCUGCACCACAGCCGUUUGAAGAAGAUCCCUGGCGUGUCAUGUUUCAACCGCCGCUAGGGACUCGCCCUCCAUUGGAAUAGCUGCCAAUCGCGACGCCGCAGCGAUUAUGUUAUCCAAAGGGGUGGAGAAGUGACCAGGUGGUGCCGGCAUAUACUGUGGCGGGCCAUUGGUCCAUCGAGGCGGGUCCGUCACCCAUGGCUGAUCCGGUGCUCAUGUCCCUGGCGCUUCAAUCCGGUUUACCGCUGCCGGAUUACUAGUUCCCGCUCCUAGGGUGUUGAAGAGAUUCAUUGCUUCAUAAACCGGUGGCAGUCGAGACCGAUGCCUUCUCGGCAAUACGUCGUUUGAAGCGUUCUGAUCCAACAUGAGCCGGUAAUUUUCUGCCUGAAUCCGCUGUGCCUGCGCAUCUAAAGCGGCCCGUUCCUCAGCCAUCCUGGUUUCCUCGGCCACCAAGUCCUCCUUAGCCUGAGCUAUCUGAUCCCGCAGCUUAGCAACCUCCGCGUUAUGCUCAUCUUCAGUAUCUGGGGUAACCUCUGCGGUUAGUAAUGUCGUCCAGGCGUCUAAUAAACCGGACAAGACUUGGGCCGGCCGGCGCGUGGGGCCUCCUGCCCCAGUUGCCGAUCCGGAAAUUAUCGCUGCCGCAGCUGAAGAUUGCAACGUGGGCUGCAUACCGGCCAUGAAGAUCGCAACCCGGUUCAGCGGUUCAAGGGGGUCCGGAAUACUAUCGCCAUCGGAACAACCCCCAAACCGGCCAUCUUGCAGUUGGUACAGUGACUUGGUUUCACUGGUGGAUGAUUCGCCAUCUGAAUAAACGAAUGUCUCACCAUCAGACACCGGUUCAAGCUCCGCACCAUUGAUGAAUCCUACGAACGCAUGCUUCAUGGCAGGCUGAACCCGGGCAGGACUUGCACGCUGAGCCGUCUCGACGAGGUCGGUGCAGAUGUCCGGCUCAGGGCCCGGUUCGCCGAUCUUGCCGAUGAAGACGUGAAUUCCUCCAAAGGGGACCCGGUACCCAUACUCGAUUGAGCCAGCGUCGGGGCCCCAGCCUGCAUCGUCGAUGUAGAGCUUGUCGCGACGACUCUUGGUCAUCCGGCCCACUGCGUAUCCCUUGAGUCCUUCGAAGUUUCCCUUUAAGAACUCGAAACCAUCAUGCGCUGGCCCCAUGGUGGGCGCCAGCUGUCGUGGUUUUGUCACGGCAGAUGUCCUAGUGUGAGGACUUAGUCGUGGAGCCAUCGCGACGAGGUUAGCUUAAAGGGGUUAAACCGGACAAAGGACACGGGAUUUUAUACUGGUUCGGCCCCUUGCGGUGAAGGUAAAAGCCUACGAUCCAGUUGUGGUGGAAUUGAUGGGGUCUCGAUGAUCAGGGAGCGAAAUCACUUUACCUGGCUCUCGAGCUGUUGUUUCUUGUCCCUGAAUCGCCGCUGCGCCAUCCCUUUAUAUACAUAGGUUGACGCCCGUCGGCUUACAGAAUCCCGACGCCGGCUCAUACACGUGUCCGGCUCGGUUUCUACUUUCUCAUACCUUGCAACACAAGUUAUAUAAUACAUGGUGGUUUAUAUCUAUAGGCCCUAAUUUGCCUUUGGGCCUUGGGCCCUUAAGUCUCUGUAGUAAAGCGCCAUACUCCUUGUCUUCAUGGGCUUCAAUGCGGAUGAUUCCUUAUGAGUAUAAUCCGGCCCCUCCUGGGCGGUUUAUACUCAAUAGUUAUAUCCCCAACACCUCCCCUUCAUUCUCUCUUCCCCUCUUUCCUUACUCCUCUGGUGCGGCCCAUAUGGGGGGUGCAGCAGCCCCUGCUGGCUGCUGUGUUUCCCCUCUUGGCCCAUUAGGCCCAUAUCUUUGCUGGGGGGGUGCCCGGAACCCCUUCCGGUGACACUCCGGAACACUUCCGGUGUCCGAGUACUAUCGUCCUAUAUAUCAAUCUUUACCUCUCAACCAUUUAGAGACUCCUCAUCAUGUCUGUGAUCUCAUACAGGACUCCGAACAACAUUCGGUCACCAAAUCACAUAACUCAUAUAAUACAAAAUCGUCAUCGAACGUUAAGCGUGCGAAACCUACGUGUUCGAGAACUAUGUAGACAUGACCGAGACACCUCUCCGGUCAAUAACCAAUAGUGGAACCUGGAUGCUCAUAUUGGUUCCUACAUAUUCUAUGAAGAUCUUUAUUGGUCCAACUGUAAUGACAACAUACGUUAUUCCCUUUGUCAUCGGUAUGUUACUUGCCCGAAAUUCGAUUGUCGGUAUCUUCAUACCUAGUUCAAUCUCAUUACCGGCAAGUCUCUUUACUCGUUCCGUAAUACAUCAUCCCGCAACUAACUCAUUGGUCAAUUUUCUUGCAAGGCUUCUUAUGAUGUGCAUUACCGAGGGCCCAGAGAUACCUCUCCGAUACUCGGAGUGGCAAAUCCUAAUCUCGAUCUAUGCCAACCCAAAAAACACCUUGAGAGAUACCUGUAGAGAAUCUUUAUAAUCACUCAGUUACAUUGUGACGUUUGAUAGCACACUAGGUAUUCCUCCGGUAUUCGGGAGUUGCAUAAUCUCGUAGUCGAAGGAAUAUGUAUUUGACAUGAAGAAAGCAAUAGCAAUAAAACUGAACGAUCAAUAUGAUAAGCUAACGGAUGGGUCUUUUCCAUCACAUCAUUCUCCUAAUGAUGUGAUCCCGUUCAUCAAAUGACAACACAUGUCUAUGGUUAGGAAACUUAACCAUCUUUGAUUAAUGAGCUAGUCUAGUAGAGGCUUACUAGGGACACGGUGUUUUGUCUAUGUAUCCACACAUGUAUCAAGUUUCCGGUUAAUACAAUUCUAGCAUGAAUAAUAAAAAUUUAUCAUGAUAUAAGGAAAUAUAAAAUAACAACUUUAUUAUUGCCUCUAAGGCAUAUUUCCUUCAUAACUAACAUGUGGAUUACCCUCUUUUGCUUGCUGGUGUUAUGUGCAAACUUGGGUGUCCAAUGUAGUCCUUGAUAUCCCACGUACACACCGUCAUAUAACUUGUUGACUCGUGCAAAAGAAUUAACUGAGAGUUUGUUGUGUUCUGCAAGAAACAUUAAUUAGGAGAGUCCACCGUCCAUUAUUUCAAUGAUGGUUAAAUGUAUACUACUAGAGUUGAUUGUGGGACUAAUCUGCAGGGUAUAAUCAAGGUUGGACAGAUCGCUUCGAGGCACAAUCUAUAUUUCACAGCAUGUGUAACCUUGCAGGAUGUGUUUUAUUUUCUUUGAAUACAUCCAACCCUGCUUGCAAUUAAAUUCACUUUUGGUAGGACUGAACUUCACUAAUGAAAAAUAUCAGAGUCAUUCAUCGUGUCUCCUUAAAAGAAGAGGAAAAUGUCAGAAUCUUUGUUAUGAGUGCACAUCCUUUUGCUCUUGGUGCAUGGGCUAUAGGAUUGUAUCAAAUUAUUUGUUCAACAUGAGUCACUGAAAACACUGAAGCUUAAAGAUAUUGUUUUUAUGAAUAUAAUACAAUGACUGAUGUGGAUGCAUUUAUAUACAUCUUUGGUGGGAUUUAACUAUUCUCUUUGCCAUAGACAUGGAAAGCCAUCAAUUAGUUUUUGUAGUUUGGUAGCCUUCACAUGUCCAUAGUACAAUUUAUGUUAGCCUUUGCAUUUUUCUGAUGACAUUGUCAUGAGCUGAACCUAUACUGGGAGAAUAAUUGACAUUUUCUAAGAUAUCAAUAUACCAAGUUUUUGUUUGGUGAGCAUUUUGACAACAUCAUAUGCAUAUGCUUUUGUACUGUAAGCUACCAUACGAGGAGCCAAACAUUGUACGUGCUUCGACAAGCAAAACCUGCAAUGCGGUGGCAGGGGGUGGGGGUCAACGGGAGACUGUGUCGUGUGAGUUGGUCAAGUUUGGGGCCGUGAGUUGAUACAUCUAUAGCCGUCAACUGCAUCUUCAACCUCCAGACAAUUAGUUAUAUUUGGUUGUGUUAAGAGGAUUAGCGAUAGAGAGAAAUUAUUAGGAUAAUAAAAAGUGUUAGGCUAUUUUUCUUUGUAUAUGUGAUUAUAUUGCUGAGGUAUGAGGGUUUGUGUGUGUGGAACUAUCAGCUCUCACGCAAUGCUAAAAUAAGAAAAAUGAGAGGACUAUAACAUUGCAAAAUUGUUUGCGGAAAUUGCUGAAUUUGUCAAAACUUUGAGGAUGGAGUGGAUGACGAAUGCAUCUAAGUUGGGGAUGAUAGGAAUGCCUAUGGCAAUUUGGCAAACUUGGAGAAAAGAUUUGCAAAUUUGGAGUUCGGUGUCAAUGUAGAUCUGAAGCCAAGUAGCUUGUGACAUACUCCCUCUUUCUCGGUUUAAAGGACCCACCAUAAUAUACUUUUUUGUUUUUUCGGUUUAAAGGUUAUGUUUAGAUUCCGAAGAAUAUUAAAUCUCUGCGUGCAAGGAUUAAAAAAUAACACACCAAUGCAUGGCUCAUUUAGUGGCCACAAAUGCAUAUGUCAUAGUUAAUGCAAAUUAAUGCAUAUGUUUAAUUGGGUUAGUAUUGUAAACUACAAAAACCAUUCCACCACUCACCAUUUGCCUUGUUUAAGGAGAUUUUUGAAUUGGGCCUUUUAAAUCGGAGGGAGGGAGUAUUCAAUUCAUAGUAUGUGGAUUAGGGAUGAUCAGACUGACUACACCAAUUUGGCAGACUAAGAGAAAGCACUAUACAGAUUUGAAGCGGGGUGACAACUUAGCGAAGCAAUAACGCAAUGACCGAAGUGCUGAAGUUGAGGGCCUCAUGAUAGAUCCAUGUGUUGGCCUGUGGCAAUGCACAUGAAUUUUUAUUUUAUUUUAUGCUUUGAUGGAACGAUAAAGAAUUGGUUCGUCCGGCUUCCACAGAUAGUAUUCUUUGUUAAACAUUUUCAGAGAAUUGAUGUGAAUUAUUUAUGCUAAUUACAUAUAUUGCUUGUGUAGAAUGGGUAUGAGUUGAGAUAGAAUUAUUUUUAUUAUACUUGCUCAAAUAUCGUGCAAAUGAAGUAAAAGGCAACAUUCCUAACAUUGUGCGAGACUUUGUUAAGUGCAUCAAGUAGAUCUUAAUUUGUUAACAGACUUUUAGUUGGAUAGUCGCUCUAUAUGUAUACGUCAUCAAAAUGUCUUUUUGUUAUUAAUUUACAUUGCAAGUUAAGUGGACUUCAAAUAUUACUCAAUUGUGUCCGUGCUAUCUAUUCUCUACAUGAGAAAUUUAACAUGCAUUAUGUAUAUAUAACUUCAGCAACAUAUUUCAAAAAAAGGUGGCAACGCACGGGCAUUCUACUGCUAUAUAUUAUUAAUCUUAUCAAUAGUCAACGGCAACCUCGAAAAAUAUGUUGUCUCCAUGACUGAGCCACUCCAGACGUGCUCCUUGACGCCACAAUAUCUCUUCCCGACAGGGGCGGAGCCAGGAAUUUUGUGAAGUCUGGGCAAGUUUAAAUCUAAGUGUCUAAUUUGAGAAUUGAAAUCAGGUGUUCGGGUCAAAUUUUUUUUUCUUGCUACCGGUUUUCCCGGUAGGGGUUGCAAGAACCGGUUUUCGAAUUUUUUUGGAGUUUUUACCUAAAAGUAUUUAAAUGGGGUUUGAGUUGUCCCUAAACCAUUGCGGCCAUAUUUUUAAAAACGCUAACAACGUUAAAAUCAAAAUCAAGCUGGCAAGAUUGGUAGUUGAUCCCAUGACCUCGAAAGCGCUUUCACCGAGCUAGGCGUUAUGUUGUGUUACAAUAUGCAUAUGGGUUCUAUUUGACACUACCUGAACGUGUGUAGCAAACAAAAAUUAUGGUCGGAGGAAAUAUUCGGUAAUAAGUCGGUUUCCAAAAAUUUCUACCAGUAAAAAUAUGUUGGUUCAGAUACACAACAUAUAAAACAGCACUGAAAUCAUUUAUCACAAAUCUACAUUAAUAAUAAUGAAGUAAAAUAAUGAACAUGAUAGUCAUACAAAUGUAAUUUCAAAGUGAACUACUCGAUCCGUAGAUAAAUGUAAGAUAUUUUAGAUCUCUAAUUCACAUUGUUUACAGAGUAAUAUAUAACCUGAUGACCAAGACCCCAUGCUCUAACAUCAAAAUUUAAGCCCUAAUAAGUCAUUUAAACUUCAAAUUAGUUAGCAAUCUCACCUAAUCACCGAGGAGUGAACAAGUAGCCGCCGGUCGAUGAUGCAAGUCAAUCCUGGGAUGGAUCAGCUCCGGCUCAGUACAUCACCGGCCAUGCGCCCAACCAAGGUGAGCCUUCACUCGCCGCCGCCCGCCAGUCUAUCUCCGAUCGACCUAGGGUGUCGCUGUCUGGAAUAGCUGAACAGCUACAUCGUGGGGUUUUCUCAAAAAAACUAAAAGAAAAGCUACACCGUGGGGAGAUGGAGCGAUCCAGUGAUCGUGUGGUUCUUCUCGUCUGGGAGGCAACAACCGAAUAGACUGCUUGCUAGGCCAGUAGGCCAGUACCCAGUAGGCCUAGUUCUCAUUUGACUUGAGUAAUCCAACGCCAGGGAAGACUUGUCUCACCGAACUUUAAAGAAGCCCAUUAGCUAAUUAACCAGCGAUAACCGGCCCAGCUACCUGGGUAAAACAUGAUGCGGUGAUGAUUUUUUCCGCUGUAAUGGGGCCAUCGUAGCUGGUGCUUAGCUAGCGAGCCCGAUCGACUUUGCGCCGUUCCCUCGAGUUAGGGUUUUAUUUCUCUCGAGGUGAUCUGAUCGCCGUCGUUGAGAUCGUUCUCUUCCCUACCUCUGUUGUGCCCUCCGGCCCCCUCCCUUCGAGCGGGCGUGCGGUGGCGACCCUGGUCUAGGCGGGACUGGGGUGGGAGGGGUUCUAGGGUUAUCCUCAAGGCCCGGUGUUCCAAUCGGGUUAGGGUUUGAAGUUUUCCAUGGCGUCGGACGGAGCUUCGGGAUCGCGCUCUGCAGGUCCCUCCGAGACGGAUGACGUAACAGCAUUGAUGAAGGAGCUAGGUCUUCGAGAGGAGGACCUUGACGAUGUGGUGUUCGAUGAAGAUGAGGCGUUGCCGGCGGCGGCACGCUGGAUCGCGCUGGUCCGGGUGCACACACCCAAAUCAUACAGCGAAUUUUGGUUUUUUAAGAAUAUGAGGGCGGCGUGGGAUCAAGCUCAGGAGGUCCAGUUCAAACCGCUUGAAGACAAUCUGUACACAGCCCAGUUCUCAUGUUUGGGUGAUUGGGAGAGAGUAACACGCAAUGGUCCAUGGAACUUUAUGACGGAUUGGCAAAACCGUCAACAGUUCAACUUGAUACUAUCGAGAUCUGGCUGCAGAUUCAUGAUGUCCCGCCAUUGUAUGCUCAUCUGGUGCCAUCUCUAGCUCAAAAAGCUGGAGAAGUCUUAUAUGCAGAACCCAAAUCACAUGACUUUGUGGGGAAUUUCCAUCGGGUUUGGGUCCGGAUUGAUGUCAACAAGCCUUUAAAGAAUGCAGUUUCUAUGAUAAGGGAUGGAAAGCGCCAAAUUUACAGGGUUAAAUAUGAGAAGCUUCCAAACUGGUGUGCGGUCUGUGGUAAGCUGGGCCACCUUUUCAAAGAACAUGGCAAUGGAAUCCACCCUCCUACAGCAUUGGUUUUCAAAGACCUUCGAGCCUCCUGGUCUAUGUGCACUGGACAGGGUCCCGGUGGGGGCCGUGGCCGGAGGGGAGGCAGAAGAGGAGGCAGGGGUGCUCGGGGAAACGAUAACUUUUCUCAUGAAGAUGUGGGCAGUGAAAGGAAGGAUAACUAUACCUCAAAAGUUGAUACAGAUAUGAGAGAGGCGGACUAUGUCAGGAAGAGGACGCAGAUGCAACAUGUGCCGCAAUCAAGUCAUAAUGCGCUUGUUACAGGAGGCCAGGGGGCGACCCUUGCGCUGCCAUCUCCCCCCACUGAUCCUUUGAGUCCGAGCAGCAAACAGGACCUGAAGAGGGCUAAAAUAGAUGCAGUAGCUGAUGAUUUGCAGAAGAGUGGCGAUCUUGGCAAGAUUGUCUCAUCGUUGGCAGGCUCCUUCGAGGAGCGCCGUCGGGCCCAAUGAAUAUAUUUUGCUGGAACUGUCGUGGUACGGGUAAAGCUGCGACAGUCCAUGAACUUCGCGAUUUCGUGAGGCAAUUUACCCCUACCCUGAUGUGCAUCGUUGAAACUCAAAUUGAGGGUGCUAGGGUAGAAGCUUUGGCUGGAACAUUGGGUUUUGAUAACUCUUAUGCUGUAAGUAGUCAAGGUAGGAGUGGUGGAAUAGGCUUGUUUUGGAAUAAUUCAAUAAAGGUUGAAAUUCUUGGUUACUCAGUUUAUCAUCUCGAUGUGUCUGUUGAGGAACAAGAUGCAGAGAAGUGGAGGAUGACUUGCGUCUAUGGUGAGGCACAAACUCAUAUGAGGCAUCACACCUGGACAACCUUGAAAAAUAUUAGCACUUUGAGCGAUCUUCCAUGGCUUUGCUUAGGUGAUUUUAACGAGGUUUUACGUCCAGAUGAACAUUAAGGAGUUGGUCAGCGUAGCAACGCUCAGAUCCAAGCCUUCAGAGAAGUUCUUGACGUUUGCAUGUUGUUUGAUUUGGGAUACAAAGGCAAUUUUUGGACUUUUGAGAAGAAGGUAACAGGUGGGAGCUAUACGAGGUGUAGACUUGACAGAGCUCUCGCUAACGCGUCAUGGAUGGCCAAGUUCCCACUGGCUGCGGUCACACACUUGACGGGGGUAACUUUAGAUCAUGCGCCCCUAUUGCUAGAGCUGGAUGCUGGUACGCAUGAGCGGGUACAAAGACUGUUCAGGUAUGAGCUAAUGUGGGAGUCAUACGGAAACUUCCAUGACACUAUAAUUUCUGGUUGGGGGUCGGACCCCCAUGCACUUCCGUGGCAGAGCUAGGCUAGAAGAUGAAGGAUCUUGCGAAUGAUUUACAGAGGUGGAGCCGGGAUACUUUUGGUAGUGUAAGGAAAGAGAUAAAAAACUCAAACUCAUGCUUGAGGAACUUAAUAAUGACCCAGCAAGAACUGGUCCUUCCCAUGUUGAGCUCAAAAUCAAUGAAAAGCUGGUAGAGAUGUACUACAGGGAGGAGAUUAUGUGGAGGCAGAGAGCGAGGGUUGAAUGGUUGUCGUCAGGGGACAAAAACAUGAAGUUUUUUCACCUUCGAGCUAGUCUUCGUCGCAAGAAGAAUAUGAUCAAAGCACUUUAGAACUCGCUAGGAGUGGAGAUCUCCGACCCAGCAGAGUUAAAGGCACUACUAGGAAAAGGCCUGCUAGUGGCGCACCAGUUUUGCCUACUAAUGGCGCAUAACUGGUGUGCCACUAGCACCACGCCAUUAGAAUUAAAUACUAAUGGCGCACACGCAGUGCGCCAUUAGUAUAGUCCAUCGUGCGCCAUUAGUAUGCCUCCCAGGGGCCAUAUUUACCCAUGUGCCUUGGCAUACUAAUGGCGCACUGGGGGGUGAUGCGCCAUUAGUGUCCUUUCUGCAGUGCGUCGUUAGUGUGCUGAGUGGUGCGCCAUUAGUAUGAAUAUUAGGGAUUAUUUUUUUUCUUUUCUGAUAUUUGCACAGGUUACAAAACGUAUUACUGCACAUAAUAUAGAGAGCACAACAUAUAAACAGCAGAUUUAUCGAAUACAAUAGAAGAUUAGUCUCCGAAUACAAUUCAUCAUAUUAGUCUCCGAAUUUCAAAUACCGAACAAAGUUAUAACAUUACAAGUCUCGAAACCGCGAGUAGCGAGUUUGUCUUCACAUUACAAGUCGAUAUCGAUCAUCUAAACUACCAUCACAUAGAAGAGAGCUGCGGUCAUCAAGAUUAGCAUCAUCGCAAUGAAACUGGUCUUCAUCCGGUUCCUCCUCCGCUCCCUCCUCUCUCCCGCUAGAUAGCGCCCGUAUCUAGCUUCCGCCUCCGCCCUAGUGGUGUACCCUUUGUAACUGUUACCACUGAAAUGGUGAACCUGUCUCCGACACUCCUCCCAGUCGUCGUAGACUCCGGGAACCUUACCCUUGUACACGACAUACGAUGGCAUCUCUAUGCAUUAGCCAAACAAAGCGUUAGUAGCAAUUCACAGACAAUACAUAAGCAAUAUAUAAGUAUGCAACAAAAGGAUCGAAAGAGAAAAGCAACACAUUAAUAGCACGAUUCAUGGUCCUACUAAUAAAUAGCAUCGAUUACAUAUAAGUUGAACGACUGUCCAAACCAAAGAGAGAUACAAGUUCAUUAAAGUUUAAUAUUACAACAUGAGCCAAUCGACAUUUCAGAACUACAUAGCAUCACUACUUUCGACUCGACUCAGGGACCGGAGCGUGGAUGAAGCCGCCGUCUUUCGUGAUGGUCAUGAAAUCAUGGGCGUUGUCAGCCUGCAUUUGUAGCGUUGUUUCUAUCUCACUGUUGGACGGUUGAUGUCUGAGAUAGAACUGCCUCGAGGUACGAAGGGCAUCUUGAUGGAUGAUUUCGGCAAACUCCGACUGGAUGCGAAAGAAUUCUUGUCUGAUGUCCGCAUCCUGGAUUGCCGACAAGCGUGCGGCCCAAUCUUUGAGAUUAUUUGGUAGCAGAAGGAGAUUAUGGUCCCGUACGAUCGCCCGCAUGUGAUGGAGGGCGUAGUAGGCAUCCUUCUGACCGCCAGGCGGCUGCUUGACGCAGGGGAACAUCGUAUUGUGGCUAAAGAUGUGCUUGUCGUACCUACGAACUGGCCUGCUGAAGGUGCCUCCAGAUCUGGCGUAGCCGGGGAGAACAUCAUCAAGAACUUUCUUGAUAUUUGUGUAGUCUUUCUUCGACUGACGGUCCGGGUCGAAAUAUGUGGCCAUGGAAUAUUUCAGGCUUAAGAGGAUGAGUGUGCAAUGUGUGUCACUGCACAAAACAUGGAAUGUUAAAAAAAGAACGAUCGAAAUCUAAGAAAUCAUAUGUUACCGGGCGGUGAGGGGAUGACUUACUCGGGAAAGUAAGGCACGAGGAAGUUAUCCUUAUCUGGGUUUGCCAGAAUGACGCCUUCGAGGUAUGAACUCGCGACUUGCCGGUCCCCAGCGCUUCCCAAGAUCUUGGCACGCAUGUAGAAGGGGUCGACUAUCACGAUGUCCGGGGUCUUGUCUCUAAUGAUCUGCAUCUCCAUACUCAGCGAAAAUAGCCGAACGAAGGUGUAGUGCAGCGGAUGAAGGUUAAACAUAGCGAAGAUGUCAUCAAACCGCAGGACGAUCGUACCCCCGAUGGCGCUAUCCACAAAGCCCUUGCCCUCUGGCACCUUGGCCAUGAAAACCGGGUAUGCCACAUCAUUCUCGGAGAGACGCCGCUUCUCCAAAGAAAGAACACGGUCAUGCAGACUCCGCAUAGCACCGGUUGCAGCAUUGAGCAGAUUAGUCGGUAGCAUCGGCCUACCCGCCACAUGCACCCUCUUCGAGAUAUCCUUAGGUGAAGGUGGUCCGUCCUGAGCACGGAUCGUACUCGGUGCCGGCUGGCUCGCACCGCCCUUGUUAUUCUUUCGUUUCCGUCCCUUCUUCCUCAUCUCCUGUAAUGGGAUCGAGUUCUGCUCAGAGACCGCCUUCUUGAGUGUGUUGGGGCUGAUAAUAUUCCGCACCUCGGCUAUCUGAGGCUCGGUGAAGUCGGCAGCUGGAGGCGUCUCCUGAGAACUGAACGCCAGACGAUGCCUGUUGCAAUUGGGUUUCUCCGCGGUACCAGCUCGAUCGUGGUCGUCUUUUUCAGGGUUGGGUUCUUGAGAAGGAGGCCCGAAGAAUUCGUCACCGUACCCAUGUUCGGCAAAGUACUUAUCGACAUUGGUAAAUGUACCAUCGUCGUUGUCGUCGUCGUCCGGAUCCUGUGCCAUAUGCAUGUCCGGAUCCUGUGCCAUAGGGAUGUCCGGCAUGUCCGGUAGCGUUGCGGCGGUCUUGCCAUGGCUUGGCACCAGCACGACUGGCGGUGUUGUCUGUGGGGUGGUGUCCCCCGCCCCCAAAUGAAUCUGGCUCUUCGGCCAAAGCAGGGGCCAGCUUACGCAGGCGCUGAGGGUCAUCACAUCAUCUUCGUCGGCCCCAGCGGGUCGAAUCGGAGGUAACAACUCAUCGCAGCCUGGCAGCACCCGAACCAGUUCACCCCUAUACACGGUGGGUGGCAUCAGAUUACCGUGGAACACGGGGUUGCCCGGUUGAACGAUUCUUCCCUUGGCGACAUCGAUCAACUCGCCGCCCAUGAAGUGCAGGAGAGUGCAUGGAACAUCGGCGGCGCCCUGCGAAAACAUGUAGGGCGUCAGGGAUGCCCAGUCAAAGGCAAGGAGAUGAAGUCAUCGGCCGAGAGGCUCAGUUACCAUGAUGGCGUCGAGCUCGGCUAAUGUCGAGGCACCGCCAACGGCAGGCGUGCAACUGACGGAGGGGCCGCUUGCUGCCGAGGUGCCGGCCGGCGUACACCCGGGUGCAUUAAGCUCCAAUGCCUGUGCCAGCGCCGGAGACACCAAUACCACCUCCGCGGGAGACACCAAUGGCCCCGCCUGCGCGUUGUGCGAGUUGCUGGCCUGAAGCUGGGAACCGGGGGGCGGCCCCUGUUGGCCGCCCGCAAUCCACGCCUGCAGCCCCUCAAUCAAGCUAGGCACAAUGGCGGUGAGCGUCGUUCUCAGUUGUUGUUGCACUUGCUCUUGGACAAUCUCCGGAAUCCGCGCCACUUGUGCCUUGAGUUCUUGAACCUCGCACGACUGGCUUUCCGAGCUGGUCUUCUUCUCCUUUAUUCGCCCACCAACGUUAUAGUAUGACGACCAUUUUGUGGACAAGCCUUUGCCGGCCACACGACCAGCUGACGACGGCUUACUGAGCUUAUCCUUGUUUUUCAUUAUGUUCAACGCCCUAUUUAAAGGGGUGUCCCAAGCUGGGGAGCUUUGAGACGACCCCGCGCUACUGCUUUCAGUCUCCUGCGGAAGGAAUGUGAACCAUUUAGAAAUUUGGCUUCAUUAAUUAGAAUGCAACCAUAUGGAGCUAAUUACGCGGGGGUGUAUUCCUUACCAGAACACUCUCAAGCGCCUUGGUCUUCGAAUCCGUGGUAAGCUCCUUUGUUACCGGGUCCUCCUUGUACCGGGCCCUGACAUAGUUCCUGGUCUGCUUCUCACGGUAUUUCUCGAAGCGGGGCGGUAGGCCUUGCUCGGCACGCUCCGCGUCCUCCUUGUCCCAUAUAGGUUCCGCCACUCUGUAACCGACGGGACUAAGUUUGUGGACCCCUAAGUUCAAGUCCUGCAUCUCUUUCCCCCACUGACUUGAUUCCUCGGAUGCGCUGCUCUCGCACUUGAUCUUGAACUCCUCGUAGUCAUCUUCGCUGAUCGAAGGAUUUUUCGCCUUGAUCUUCUCAUAACUAUCACCUUUGUUAAUCAUUCUCUUCACUGCGCUUCUCCAAGUAGACAGGGCCGUGCUCAUCUUCUUGAGGGCGGCACUGUUCACUUUAUUCCCUGAGAGGCGUGUGUUUGCAAACUCAGCGGGGAACUUGUAUCAUUCGUGCAGCUUCGUGAAGAGGAGGUUGCGCAAAUUCCCUCGGUCCUUAUGCCUUAGGUUCUUGGUGUUGAUCGAGACGGUGCUCUAGAGAAUGCACCCGAGCUGAACCGAGUACCCCUUGACUAAUUCUUUGGGCGCCGUUGGAUCCUCGUCGCAGUUCACUUCAGUAAAUUCCUCCUUGACGGUGCCGAGCACAUUCGGGCGCCGGUCCUUCCGUUGCCUCUUCGGUUCGCCGCCAUCUGUGCAUGCGCUGCCAUCAUCAGUGGUGGCAUCCUCGGCGGCACCAUCAGUGGUGUCAUCCCCGACGCCACUAGGGGUUGUGUAGUCGGGAUCGGUGUCUUCCGCGGCGUCCUCAUAGCGGUGAGGUUCUUCCUCCAUCUCCUGGGACAGCUCCCAGAAUGCCUUGCCCGAACCACCAGCCUCAUCGUUGUGGGCCAUGUUCGCUCUAAAUAGGAAAAAAGUUUGGUCAAAAAGUUGGUUAUUGUCAAGGAACAAGAUCUCUAAGUUGACCAAAUAACCUAAUUCUCGAGGAAUGUCGCCAAAAAGUUGGUUAUUGUCAAGGAACAAUUGAGAGAUGUUUGUGAUAUUGCCUAGGUGUUUUGGGAUGGAACCUGUUAGUGUGUUGUUGCUAAGGUCCAAGUCCACGUUCUCAAGGUCUAAGAUAAUUUAAUCAGGGCAGUGGCAGUGGAUUUGUGCACAAGCUAAGCUAGCUAAGACAGUAGCUUCCUUGCAACCCACAAAAGACAAAGGAAAAGGGGUGAAAAGGGGGAGAUGGUUAGCUUUGAUGACCAAGCAGCAUCUUCCUAACCCCCUUCUUCUUGUCUCCUCUCACUAUCUCUCUCACACACAUGGCAAGCAAGGGUGUCUGAGUGUGUGAAAAAAUACUAAACUAAUCCAACCACUAAAGCGUGAUUUUUUUUUGUUUCGGUUGAGAAUCGGGCACCUUCUAGGUCAAGAAAAUUGGGCAUGACCUUUGCUAAUUUUCUUGACCUAGGAGUGCCCCAUUCUCAACCGAAACGGAAAUUAAUCAACAUUUCAGGAGAAAGGGGUCAUUUCAGAAGAUCACAAGUAGCAGCAGCAUCACUUGACAAAAUCACAAGUAGCACAGCAGCAGCAUCAUCACAAGUAGUACAGCAGCAGCAGUGAAUACAGUGAGUACAUCAGCAGCAUCAUCAUCACAAGCAUUGUGAUGCCCCUUCAAACAACAUCAUCACAAGCAUCAUCACAAGUACAGUAGCAGCAGCAGUGAAUACAGUGAGUACAGCAGCAGCAUAAUCAUCUCAAGAAGGAACAAACAAGAGCUACUACAAUAUUAUGGUGGGUCUGGAUGGUGUAACUAAGGGAGGGGGAGGUGGCCUGGACACGGGACUAUCUUGUUCUAAGCACUGCUAUUUAAGAAGGUUUGAAGCAUAAAAACUUUAGCGUUUUUGCGAAAACAGAGGCUGUGUUCUACUGGUGGUGUGGGGGGUUCAGUUUUGCAAAGUGACCAAGCUUCCCUCUCAAGCACCAAAGAUUCUUGGCAACGGGGGCAAGAGCUCCUUUCCCUUUUUUUGGCAGAAGUGACUUUAGUCAUGUUAGUACUCCUACUACUAUUACUACAUUGUUUGGUUUUGAUGCCCACUUUCUUUUUCCCCUCUCACUGUAUCAGUUUCAGAACCACACAGUAAGUUCUGGCACAGAGGAAACAAACAAGAGGUCAGCAAACAAGGACCAAUACACAAUCUGUAGGUUCUCACCUAAUAAAGUAACCCAGCUCAGUAGAGAGGCUUUUGCCAGUUCCCCAUCUUGCUUUGCCUAGCCUAUUGUACAAGUCCACUUUUUCCCUCCAAAAUUUCAGAAUUUAUGCUAAUUUGAACUUACUUUAAACACACAGAGUAACACAUUUGCAUCCAACAUGGCACCAAAGAACAAUAAGCAAUUUUCCAAAAUGAAACCAAAAAAGAAGCAAGUGGAAAUUAAAGCAGUGGCAAAGAGAAAGCAGAGGAACACUAGCAAGCCUGCCAAGCAAAGCAGCAAGCAAUGCUUUUGCUCCUCCCCACCACCCUUCGGAUUCGUCUCUUUAACUUCUUUUCUUGUAGCUUAGUAGUAGCUUUGAACAGCUAAAGCUAGAGAGAAUUGGGGAAACAAAGGUGAACCUCUCUCUUCUUGCACUCCUUGUAGUUGUCGAACUGCUGCUGGCACUUGCUCUUGUCCUGGUUGGUCUCCAGACCUGGAGACACGACACAUCAUCAGAGAUUUCAUCAAAUACACACGAAACAAUAGACAGCUCGUUCUCUGAUCACUAACAAAGGUAGCAUACUUCCAAUCAACAUGAAAAGUGAAAUACCAAGAUGAUCGAAGUUGUAGUCCUGAGCACUUGCAGAUUCUUCAGCAGUUAAGCCACGGUAAAAUGAAUCCUACAAAAUUAAAGGCCAUACUGAAAAUACUGACGAAACUGAACUAACUGACGCAAAUACUGACGAAACUGAACUAACUGACAAAAAUACUGACGAAACUGAACUAACUGAAAAUACUGUAAAACGAUGACUAGGACUAACAGGGCUGUGCAAAAUUGUGGCCAUGUUCAAUUCAAUGGGGUCAAGAGGGGGUGAAUAAGCAUUUUCAUCAACCUAGAAUUGCAUUUUCAUCCAGUAGUUCUUGUGCUCAUCCAGUAGCAACAUCUUUCAUACAUGAUCAGUAGUCAUGUACCAAAUUUUUAUUUAAACUGAAUUUGCAAAUCACCAAGAGCUCUACUAGUUUCAGACUAGAUUUACACUAAAUACACUAGAGUAUUUGACCAGUAGUCAUGUGAACUCUUUGAAUUUGUAAACACUUCCAGACUUGAGCAUUGAGAAUUCAGUUACCACUGUUGCCUUGUUGAUCUGCUGUACUUCUUUGAUCUAUUGUUGCUAUUUCCCCCGCUGUUAAUCUGCUUCUUCACUCUCUAGUUGCUAUAGUUCUUGAUCUGCUGCGGAGGAACACAGGCAGGGCAGUGAGAGGAGCAACACAGGCAGAGGAACAAGGUACUGGAUCCAACUCAGGCAGAGGAGAAACACAGGCAGGGCAGUGGGAAGGCCGGCGUCGCCACGGUCGAGGGGGGGAAUGGGGAGGAAGGGUGGAGAGGGAGGAAGGAGGAGAGGCGCCGAAUACCUGUGCGGGCGCGGCCGGUCGCCGGAGGGGUCGGGUCGGGGUCGGCGGCGGCAGGAUGGUUGCGGGUCGGCGGCGGUCGUCGUCCUGCACCCCGUGCAGUCGUCGGUGGUGGGAUGGUUGCGGGUCGGCGGCGGGAUGGUUGGGGGCCACGGCGGCUUGCUGUCCGGUGGGCGGCGGAGGAGCUGCAGUGGUGGGGGCGCGGGGGCGCGGGAAGGGAAGUGGAUUGGCGAGGGAGGGACGAAGGGAUCGGGCGAAUUAGCUAGCUAGGGGGAAGAUUACUAAUGGCACACCCCCUAGCGGUGCGCCAUUAGUAUGUUUUUUUAUAGCAAUGGCGCACCACCGAGCGGUGCGCCAUUAGAAAUCUUUUUUUUAGAUAGCAAUGGCGCACCACCCAGCGGUGCGCCAUAAGUAACCUUUUUUUUGCACAGCAAUGGCGCACCAGCCAGUGGUGCGCCAUAAGUAAUUUUAUUAUUAAUUUUUUUGUUGCAUCUAAUAGUUUUUUAGAAAAUGAAAAUGAAUAUGAAACAGUAAUAAAUUUUUUUUAAAUAUCAUCAAAUUUGUUAUUUGAAAAUAUUUAUGAAUAUGAAAAAAUAUCAUCAAAUUUGUUAUUUGAAAAUAUCAUCAAAUUNNNNNNNNNNNNNNNNNNNNNNNNNNNNNNNNNNNNNNNNNNNNNNNNNNNNNNNNNNNNNNNNNNNNNNNNNNNNNNNNNNNNNNNNNNNNNNNNNNNNNNNNNNNNNNNNNNNNNNNNNNNNNNNNNNNNNNNNNNNNNNNNNNNNNNNNNNNNNNNNNNNNNNNNNNNNNNNNNNNNNNNNNNNNNNNNNNNNNNNNNNNNNNUUUGUUAUUUGAAAAUAUAAUCAAAUUUGUUUUUUUUGGAUUUUUAGUUGCAUUCAUUUGUGAAUUGGUAAAACAUUACUGGGGAGGGUGCGGGGGGUCGGCGGCGGCGGUGGAGCGGGGGGUGCUCGGCGGCGGUGGAGCGGGCCGGGGAGGGUGCGGGGGGUGCUCGGCGGCGGUGGAGCGGGCCGGGGAGGGUGCCCAUGAAAUUUAAAAAUAUUCAUGAGUUCAAAAAGUGCCCAUGAAAUACAAUCGAGAAAUGAAGGCUACAAUUUAAAUACAAUCGAUCUUAGCUAGCUAUCUGUUCACAAUCUUCUUGCCCUUAUUUUUCAUAAAUGGAGUUCUUCUCUUGAACGGACGUCCUUUAGGUAGGGUGGUACUGCUUCUUCUUGUGGUGUAUGCUGGUACUUCAUCGUCGUCGUCAUGUUCCAUCUUCGGGUCGCCGUACUUGUCGAAGUCUUGCUCAUUGGCGACUCCAUCCAUUCCGAUGAUCUUCCUUUUGCCUCUCCUCACGACAUAACGACUGGGCUUUGACGGGUCGGUAAUGAAGAAGCAUUAGUCCACUUGGGAAGCCAGUACCCAUGGCUCAUUUUUCGCGGUGACGUUUGCGCCCGCGGUCUUGGAUUUGGCUUCGGGUAUAACCAUGGUGGUGAAAUACCGGUCUUCUUUUAGGACGCUCUUGGCCCAUCUGACACGGAAGAUCGGGACCUUCUCUCCAGCGUAGCUCAACUCCUAGAUCUCCUCGAUCCUUCCAUAGUAUUUGUCCUUGUCGUUACCGGUGUAGGAUUCCAUCGUUACCCCGGAGUUCUGAUAACCAUCGCUCUUCAUGUCCUUUCCCUCGGUGUAGAAUGUGUAGCCGUUGAUAUCGUACGCCUCAUACAUCAUCAGGUUGUGCUCGGCGCCCUGUGACAAGGCGAAUAUGAGUUUUUCUUCCGCGGAAGAAUCCUCAUGUAAAGGGUACGACAGAAGCUUCUCCUUGAAUCAACGCGUGAAACAUGAGUUGUGCUCUUUGAUUAUAUCUCCGUCCGUCCUCUGUUUGCCUCGGUCAUUGUACGUCUUCUCAAUAAAGGUUUUGUUGGAAAUAUGCCCUAGAGGCAAUAAUAAAUUGGUUAUUAUUAUAUUUCCUUGUUCAUGAUAAUCGUUUAUUAUCCAUGCUAGAAUUGUAUUGAUAGGAAACUCAGAUACAUGUGUGGAUACACAGACAACACCAUGUCCCUAGUAAGCCUCUAGUUGACUAGCUCGUUGAUCAAUAGAUGGUUACGGUUUCCUGACCAUGGACAUUGGAUGUCGUUGAUAACGGGAUCACAUCAUUAGGAGAAUGAUGUGAUGGACAAGACCCAAUCCUAAGCCUAGCACAAGAUCGUGUAGUUCGUUUGCUCAGAGCUUUUCUAAUGUCAAGUAUCAUUUCCUUAGACCAUGAGAUUGUGCAACUCCCGGAUACCGUAGGAAUGCUUUGGGUGUACCAAACGUCACAACGUAACUGGGUGGCUAUAAAGGUGCACUACAGGUAUCUCCGAAAGUGUCUGUUGGGUUGGCACGAAUCGAGACUGGGAUUUGUCACUCCGUGUAAACGGAGAGGUAUCUCUGGGCCCACUCGGGAGGACAUCAUCAUAAUGUGCACAAUGUGACCAAGGAGUUGAUCACGGGAUGAUGUGAGUUACGGAACGAGUAAAGAGACUUGCCGGUAACGAGAUUGAACAAGGUAUAGGGAUACCGAUGAUCGAAUCUCGGGCAAGUAACAUACCGAUAGACAAAGGGAAUUGUAUACGGGAUUGAUUGAAUCCUCAACAUCGUGGUUCAUCCGAUGAGAUCAUCGAGGAGCAUGUGGGAGCCAACAUGGGUAUCCAGAUUCCGCUGUUGGUUAUUGACCGGAGAGUCGUCUCGGUCAUGUCUGCAUGUCUCCCGAACCCGUAGGGUCUACACACUUAAGGUUCGGUGACGCUAGGGUUGUAGAGAUAUUAGUAUGCGGUAACCCGAAAGUUGUUCGGAGUCCCGGAUGAGAUCCCGGACGUCACGAGGAGUUCCGGAAUGGUCCGGAGGUAAAGAUUUAUAUAUGGGAAGUCUUAUUUUGGUCGCCGGAAAAGUUUCGCACUUUAUCGGUAUUGUACCGGGAGUGCCGAAAGGGGUCCGGGGGUCCACCAGCCCCGGGGGGCCCACAUGGGCUGUGGGGGGUGCGCCUUGGCCUAUAUGGGCCAAGGGAACCAGCCCCAAGAGGCCCAUGCGCCAAGAGAUAAGAUAAACGGAGAGUCCUAAAGGGGGAAGGCACCUCCGAGGUGCCUUCGGGGGGGAAGGACUCCCCCCUGGCCGCACCCUUCCUUGGAGGAAGGGCCAAGGCUGCGCCCCCCCUCUCCCUUGGCCCUAUAUAUAGUGGGGGGGAGGGAGGGCAGCAGCAAUCCAAGCCCUGGCGCCUCCCUCUCCCUCCCGUGACACCUCUUCCCUCCCGUUAGUGCUUGGCGAAGCCCUACCGGGAUCCCCGCUACUUCCACCACCACGCCGUCGUGCUGCUGGAUCUCCAUCAACCUCUCCUCCCCCCCUUGCUGGAUCAAGAAGGAGGAGACGUCGCUGCUCCGUACGUGUGUUGAACGCGGAGGUGCCGUCCGUUCGGCGCUAGGAUCAUCGGUGAUUUGGAUCACGACGAGUACGACUCCAUCAACCCCGUUCUCUUGAACGCUUCCGCUCGCGAUCUGCAAGGGUAUGUAGAUGCACUCCUUCCCUCUUGUUGCUAGUAAACUCCAUAGAUUGAUCUUGGUGAUGCGUAGAAAAUUUUGAAUUUCGGCUACAUUCCCCAACAGUGGCAUCAUGAGCUAGGUCUAUGUGUAGUUUCUAUGCACGAGUAGAACACAAAGUAGUUGUGGGCGUCGAUGUUGUCAAUUCUUUUUGCCGCUACUAGUCUUAUCUUGUUUCGGCGGCAUUGUGGGAUGAAGCGGCCUGGACCGACCUUACACGUACGCUUACGUGAGACAGGUUCCACCGACUGACAUGCACUAGUUGCAUAAGGUGGCUAGCGGGUGUCUGUCUCUCCCACUUUAGUCGGAACGGAUUCGAUGAAAAGGGUCCUUAUGAAGGGUAAAUAGAAAUUGGCAUAUCACGUUGUGGUUUUACGUAGGUAAGAAACGUUCUUGCUAGAAACCUAUACAAGCCACGUAAAAACUUGCAACAACAAUUACAGGACGUCUAACUUGUUUUUGCAGCAUGUGCUAUGUGAUGUGAUAUGGCCAGAAGAUGUGAUGAAUGAUAUAUGUGAUGUAUGAGAUUGAUCAUAUUCUUAUAAUAGGAAUCACGACUUGCAUGUCGAUGAGUAUGACAACCGGCAGGAGCCAUAGGAGUUGUCUUUAUUUUUGUAUGACCUGCGUGUCAUUGAAUAACGCCAUGUAAAUUACUUUACUUUAUUGGUAAGCGCGUUAGCCAUAGAAGUAGAAGUAAUCGUUGGCGUGACAACUUCGUGAAGACACAAUGAUGGAGAUCAUGAUGAUGGAGAUCAUGGUGUCAUGCCGGUGACGAAGAUGAUCAUGGUGCCCCGAAGAUGGAGAUCAAAGGAGCAAAAUGAUAUUGGCCAUAUCAUGUCACUAUUUGAUUGCAUGUGAUGUUUAUCAUGUUAUGCAUCUUAUUUGCUUAGAACGACGGUAGUAAGUAAGAUGAUCCCUCACUAAAAUUUCAAGAGAAGUGUUCCCCCUAACUGUGCACCGUUGCGAAGGUUCGUUGUUUCGAAGCACCACGUGAUGAUCGGGUGUGAUAGAUUCUAACGUUCGAAUACAACGGGUGUUGACGAGCCUAGCAUGUACAGACAUGGCCUUGGAACACAUGCGAAACACUUAGGUUGACUUGACGAGCCUAGCAUGUACAGACAUGGCCUCGGAACACAAGAGACCGAAAGGUCGAACAUGAGCCGUAUAGUAGAUGCGAUCAACAUGGAGAUGUUCACCGAUGAUGACUAGUCCGUCUCACGUGAUGAUCGGACACGGCCUAGUUUGACUUGGAUCAUGUAUCACUUAGAUGACUAGAGGGAUGUCUAUCUGAGUGGGAGUUCAAUAAUCAGAUGAACUUCAUUAUCAUGAACAUAGUCAAAAUGUCUUUGCAAAUUAUGUCAUACGCUUUAGUUCUACUGUUUAAGAUAUGUUCCUAGAGAAAAUUUAGUUGAAAGUUGGUAGUAGCAAUUAUGCGGACUGGGUCCGUAAACUGAGGAUUGUCCUCAUUGCUGCACAGAAGGCUUAUGUCCUUAAUGCACCGCUCGGUGUGCUGAACCUCAGCGUCGUCUGUAGAUGUUGCGAAACAUCUGACAUACAUGUUUUUGAUGACUACGUGAUAGUUCAGUGCGUAAUGCUAACGGUUUAGAAUUGUGGCACCAAAGACGGUUUUUGAAACGUCGCAGAACAUAUGAGAUGUUCCGAAGACUCAAAUUGGGAUUUCAGACUAGUGCCCACGUCAAGAGGUAUGAGACCUCUGACAAGUUUCUUAAGCCUGCAAACUAAGGGAGAAAAGCUCAAUCGUUGAGCAUGUGCUCAGAUUGUCUGAGUACUACAAUCACUUGAAUCGAGUGGGAGUUAAUCUUCCAGAUAAGAUAGUGAUGGUUCUCCAUAAGUCACUGCCACCAAGCUAGUAGAGCUUCGUGAUGAACUAUAAAAUAUCAGGGAUAGAUGAUGAUCCUUGAGCAACUCGCGAUGUUUGACACCGCGAAAGUAGAAAUCAAGAAGGAGCAUCAAUUGUUGAUGGUUAGUAAAACCACUAGUUUCUAGAAGGGCAAGGGCAAGAAGGGAUACUUCAUGAAACGGCAAAUCAGUUGCUGCUCUAGUGAGGAAACCCAAGGUUGAACCCAAACCCGAGACUAAGUGCUUCUGUAAUGAGAGGAACGGUCACUGAAGCAGUACUACCCUAGAUACUCGGUAGAUGAGAAGGCGGGCAAGGUCGACAGAAGUAUAUUGGAUAUACAUUAUAUGAGUGUGUACUUUACUAGUACUCCUAGCAGCACCAGGGUAUUAGAUACCGGUUCGGUUGCUAAGUGUUAGUAACUCGAAAUAAAAGCUGCGGAAUAAACGGAGACUAGCUAAAGGUGAGAUGACGAUAUGUGUUGGAAGUGUUUCCAAGGUUGAUGUGAUCAAGCAUCGCAUGCUCCCUCUACCAUCGAGAUUUGGUGUUCGCAAUACGGUUAUUCAUUUAAGGAGAAUAAUGGUUACUCUGUUUAUUUGAAUAAUACCUUCAAUGGUCUUGCACCUAAAAUGAAUCUCGAUCGUAGUGAUACACAUGUUCAUGCCAAAAGUAAUGAUAGUACCACAUACUUGUGGCACUGCCAUUUGAGUCAUAUUGGUAUAGAACGCAUGAAGAAGCUCCAUGUAGAUGGAUCUUUGGACUCACUCGUUUUUGAAAAGAUUGAGACAUGCGAACCAUGUCUAUUGGUAUAUAUGCAUGAAGAAACUCCAUGCAGAUGGAUCAUUUGGACUCACUUGAUUUUGAAUCACUUGAGACAUGCAAAUCAUACCACAUGGGCAAGAUGACUAAAAGUCCUCGUUUUCAGUAAGAUGGAACAAGAGAGCAACUUAUUGGAAGUAAUACAUUUUGAUGUAUGCAAUCCAAUGAGUGCUGAGGCAUGCAGUGGAUAUCGUUAUGUUCUUACUUCACAGAUGAUUUGAGUAGAUGCUGAGUGUAUUUACUUGAUGAAACACAAGUCUGAAUUAUUGAAAGGUUCAAGUAAUUUCAGAGUGAAGUUGAAGAUCGUCAUGACAAGAGGAUAAAAUGUCUGUGAUAUGAUCAUAGAGAUGAGUAUCUGAGUUACGAGUUUGGCACACAAUUAAGACAUUGUGGAAAGUGUUUCACAAUUAAUACCGCCUGGAACACCAUAGUGUGAUGGUGUGUCCGAACAUCAUAAAUGCACCCUAUUGGAUAUGGUACAUACCAUGAUGUCUCUUAUCGAAUUACCACUAUCGUUUAUGGGUUAGGCACUAGAGACAACCGCAUUCACUUUAAAAAGGGGCACCACGCAAUUCCGUUGAGACGACACCGUUUAGAGAAACCUAAGUUGUCGUUUCUUAAAAGUUUGGGGCUGCGAUGCUUGUGUGAAAAAGUUUCAGGCUGAUAAGCUCGAACCCAAAGCGGAUAUAUGCAUCUUCAUAGAAUACCCAAAUCAGUUGGGUGUACCUCCUAUUUCAGAUCUGGAAGCAAAAGUAAUUGCUUCUAGAAACGAGUCCUUUCUCGAGGAAAAGUUUCUCUCGAAAGAAUUGAGUGGGAGGAUGGUGGCGACUUGAUAAGGUUAUUGAACCGUCACUUCAACUAGUGUGUAGCAGGGUACAGGAAGUUGUUCCUGUGGCACCUACACCAAUUGAAGUGGAAGCUUAUGAUAGUGAUCAUGAAACUUCGGAUCAAGUCACUACCAAACCUCGUAGGACGACGAGGAUGCGUGCUACUUCAGAGUGGUACGUGAUCCUGUCUGAGAUAUCAUGUUGUUGGACAAUACUGAACCUACGAGCUAUGGAGAAGCGAUGGUGGGCCCAUAUUCCGACAAAUGGUUAGAAGCCAUGAAAUCCGAGAUAAAUGGAUCUUUAAGAAGAAGACGGACAUGGACGGUAAUGUUACCGUCUAUGAAGCUUGACUUGUGGAAAAGAGUAUUUUCACAAGUUCAAGGAGUUGACUACGAUGAGAUUUUCUCAUCCGUAGCGAUGCUUAAGUCCGUCGGAAUCAUGUUAGCAUUAGCUGCAUUUAUGAAAUCUGGCAGAUGGAUGUCAAAACAAGUUUCCUUACCAGUUUUUCGAAAGGAAAGGUUGUAUGUGGUACGAUCAGAAAGGUUUUGUCGAUCCUAAGGAUGCUAAAAGGUAUGCUAGCUCCAGCGAUCCCUCCAUGGACUAGAGCAAGCAUCUCGGAGUCAGAAUAUACGCUUUGAUGGAGUGAUCAAAGUUUUUGGGUUUAUACAAAGUUUGUUAGAAACUUGUAUUUACAAUAAAGUGAGUGGGAGCGCUACAACAUUUCUGAUAAGUAUAUGUGAAUGACAUAUUGUUGAUCCGAAAUGAUGUAGAAUUUCUGGAAAGCAUAAAGGGUUGUUUGAAAGGAGUUUUUCAAAGGAAGACCUGGAUAAAGCUGCUUACAUAUUGGGCAUCAAGAUCUAUAGAGAUAGAUCAAGAUGCCUGAUGAUACUUUCAAAGAACGCACACCUUGACAUGAUUUUGAAAGAGUUCAAAAUAGAUCAGCAAAGAAAGAGUUCUUGGCUGUGUUACAAGGUGUGAGUAUUGAGUAAGACUCAAGACCUGACCACAGCAGAAGAGAGAGAAAGGACGAAGGUCGUCCCCUAUGCUUUAGACGUAGGCUCUACAGUAUGCUAUGUUGUGUACCGCACAUGAAGUGUGCCUUGCCAUGAGUUGGUCAAGGGGUACAAUAGUGAUCCGGGAAUGGAUCACAUGACAGCGGUCGAACUUAUCCUUAGUAUCUAGUGGACUAAGGAAUUUUCUCGAUUAUGGAGGUGAAAAGGAGUUCGUCGUAAAGGGUUACGUCGAUGCGAACUUUGACACUAAUCCGGAUGACUCUGAGUAGUAAACCGGAUUCGUAUAGUAGAGCAAUUAUUUGAAAUGGCUCCAAAUAGCGCGUGGUAGCAUCCACAAGAUGACAUAGAUAUUCGUAAAGCACACACGGAUCUGAAAGGUUCACACCCGUUGACUAAAUAACCUCUCUCACAAGCAUAACAUGAUCAAACCAGAACUCAUUGAGUGUUAAUCACAUAGAGAUGUGAACUAGAUUGUUGACUCUAGUAAACUCUUUGGAUGUUGGUCACAUGGUGAUGUGACCUAUGAGUGUUAAUGACAUGGUGAUGUGGACUAGAUUAUUGACUCUAGUGCAAGUGGGAGACUGUUGGAAAUAUGCUCUAGAGGCAAUAAUAAAUUGGUUAUUAUUAUAUUUCCUUGUUCAUGAUAAUCGUUUAUUAUCCAUGCUAGAAUUGUAUUGAUAGGAAACUCAGAUACAUGUGUGGAUACAUAGACAACACCAUGUCCCUAGUAAGCCUCUAGUUGACUAGCUCGUUGAUCAAUAGAUGGUUACGGUUUCCUGACCAUGGACAUUGGAUGUCGUUGAUAACGGGAUCACAUCAUUAGGAGAAUGAUGUGAUGGACAAGAUCCAAUCCUAAGCCUAGCACAAGAUCGUGUAGUUCGUUUGCUCAGAGCUUUUCUAAUGUCAAGUAUCAUUUCCUUAGACCAUGAGAUUGUGCAACUCCCGGAUACCGUAGGAAUGCUUUGGGUGUACCAAACGUCACAACGUAACUGGGUGGCUAUAAAGGUGCACUACAGGUAUCUCCGAAAGUGUCUGUUGGGUUGGCACGAAUCGAGACUGGGAUUUGUCACUCCGUGUAAACGGAGAGGUAUCUCUGGGCCCACUCGGGAGGACAUCAUCAUAAUGUGCACAAUGUGACCAAGGAGUUGAUCACGGGAUGAUGUGAGUUACGGAACGAGUAAAGAGACUUGCCGGUAACGAGAUUGAACAAGGUAUAGGGAUACCGACGAUCGAAUCUCGGGCAAGUAACAUACCGAUAGACAAAGGGAAUUGUAUACGGGAUUGAUUGAAUCCUCAACAUCGUGGUUCAUCCGAUGAGAUCAUCGAGGAGCAUGUGGGAGCCAACAUGGGUAUCCAGAUUCCGCUGUUGGUUAUUGACCGGAGAGUCGUCUCGGUCAUGUCUGCAUGUCUCCCGAACCCGUAGGGUCUACACACUUAAGGUUCGGUGACGCUAGGGUUGUAGAGAUAUUAGUAUGCGGUAACCCGAAAGUUGUUCGGAGUCACAGAUGAGAUCCCGGACGUCACGAGGAGUUCCGGAAUGGUCCGGAGGUAAAGAUUUAUAUAUGGGAAGUCUUAUUUUGGUCGGCGGAAAAGUUUCGCACUUUAUCGGUAUUGUACCAGGAGUGCCGAAAGGGGUCCGGGGGUCCACCAAGGGGUCCACCAGCCCCGGGGGGGCCACAUGGGCUGUGGGGGGUGCGCCUUGGCCUAUAUGGGCCAAGGGAACCAGCCCCAAGAGGCCCAUGCGCCAAGAGAUAAGAUAAACGGAGAGUCCUAAAGGGGGAAGGCACCUCCGAGGUGCCUUGGGGGGGAAGGACUCCCCCCUGGCCGCACCCUUCCUUGGAGGAAGGGCCAAGGCUGCGCCCCCCCCUCUCCCUUGGCCCUAUAUAUAGUGGGGGGGAGGGAGGGCAGCAGCAAUCCAAGCCCUGGCGCCUCCCUCUCCCUCCCGUGACACCUCUUCCCUCCCGUUAGUGCUUGGCGAAGCCCUACCGGGAUCCCCGCUACUUCCACCACCACGCCGUCGUGCUGUUGGAUCUCCAUCAACCUCUCCUCCCCCCUUGCUAGAUCAAGAAGGAGGAGACGUCGCUGCUCCGUACGUGUGUUGAACGCGGAGGUGCCGUCCGUUCGGCGCUAGGAUCAUCGGUGAUUUGGAUCACGACGAGUACGACUCCAUCAACCCCGUUCUCUUGAACGCUUCCGCUCGCGAUCUACAAGGGUAUGUAGAUGCACUCCUUCCCUCUCGUUGCUAGUAAACUCCAUAGAUUGAUCUUGGUGAUGCGUAGAAAAUUUUGAAUUUCGGCUACGUUCCCCAACAGGUUUUGUGCUCUACCACCCAAGGAUCGACCACGGCUAUGUGUUGUAGCGCGACUAGGUUUGCUCUUUCAAAGUCGGCGAGUCGACCCUCGAAGUCGACAUGCAUUUCGCGGCGACCCUCACGGUGACCCCAUCCAGCGAGCCUGCCGAGGUGCCUGUUGACGGGUAAACCAACGGGGUUCUCGAUGCCUAGAUAAUUCGUGCAGUAGGAGAUGCACUCUUCGGUCAGAAAGCCCCUGGCUAUGCUUCCCUCUGGACGUGACAUGUUGCGAACGUAUCCUUUGAUGACACCAUUCAUCCUUUCGAACGGCAUCAUGCUGUGUAGGAACGUCGGCCCGAGUUGGAUGAUAUCCUCCACGAUAUGGACCAGCAGAUGCACCAUAACGUCGAAGAAUGCGGCGGGAAGUACAUCUCAAGCUCGCAAAGUAUCACCACGAUCUCUUCAUGUAGCCUUCUGAGUUGCCUCACGCCAACCGACUUCCGAGAGAUGACGUCGAAAAAGUUGCAUAGUCCAAAUAGCGUUUCACGGACGUGCGCAUCCAUGAUCCCACGGGUUGCAACUGGAAGUAUCUGCGUCAUCAGCACGUGACAGUCGUGAGACUUCAUCCCGCUGAACUUCUGCUUCGCUGAGUCUAGGUAUCUGCUUAUCUUCCCCGCGUAACCGUAAGGAAGUUUUACUCCUACGAGGCAGGUGAAAAACUGAUCGAUCUCCUCCUGACUUAGAGUGAAGCACGCGGGAGGGAAGUCAUUUCCGGUCUUCUUGGCCUUUUUGCCUUUGCUACGACUUUCCGUGUCCUGCUUUGCCUCAUCAUCAUCAUCAUUAGCGUGAAGCUCCUCCCUGAUGCCCAUUGAUUUCAAGUCUGCCCUUGCUUUCGGCCCAUCUUUGGUCCUCUCCGGCAUGUUGAGCAGGGUACCAAGCAGACUCUCGCACACGUUCUUCGUGAUAUGCAUGACAUCAAGGCUGUGAGGCACAUGGUGGAUCUUCCAGUACGGCAAGUCCCAGAAAACAGACCUCGUUUCCCAUACCUUCAGCAGCGGCUCUUGCGCCUUUCGCUUCUUUCCCGGCUCUGGCGCCUUUUGCUUCUUUCCCGGCAGUGGGCAAUCUUUCCAAUUUUUCAACAGCUCGUCUAUUUCCUCGCCGCUCCUCGUACGCGGGCGUCUUCGGGGUUCGGUUUCACCAUCGAACAGAUCCUUGCGUUUUCUCCAUGGGUCAUCAUCGCGAAGCCACCUUCGAUGUCCCAUGAACACGUUUUUCGAAGACCCGGGAUCUCUAUCUAGCUGGCGAUACGUUGUGUCAUCCAUGCACCUGACGCAUCCAGAAAAUCCGUGGACCACCUGCCCCGCGAGAUAUCCGUAACCGAGAUAGUCGUGCACCGUCGUGAGUAGUGCGGCUCUCAUAGGGAAAUAUUCUUUCUCUGCGGCGUCCCAUGUAUUGGCUGGCGUUUUCCACAGCGUGUCUAGCUCCUCUUUCAGCAGCCCCAGAUACAGAUUGAUGUCGUUCCCUGGUUGUUUCGGCCCUUCAAUUAGCAUACUCAUGUGAAUGUACUUCCUCUUCAUGCACAACCAGGGGGAAGGUUGUACAUCCACACAAACACAGGCCAGGUGCUAUGUGUGCUUCUCUGGCUGCCAAACGGAUUGACUCCAUCGAUGCUCGCGCCCAGCACGAUGUUCCUUGGAUCAUUCCCAAAUUCUGGGUGUUCGAAGUUCAACGCUUGCCACUGGCUCCCAUCCUUAGGGUGACUCAGCAUCUUGACUUUUUUAUUUAUCUCCGGAUCAUUUGCGUCAUCUUCUCGCUUCUUCUCCUCCCUAUCCGCGUGCCAACGCAAGAGCUUUGCUACCUUAGGGUCCGCGAAAUACUGCUGCAGACGAGGAGUGAUCGGAAAGUACCACACCACUUUUCGAGGAGCUUUCUUCCUCUUCUUGUAACGAGUGACGCCGCACACCGGACAUAUGGUAGACUCCGCGUGCUCGUCCCGAUAAAUGAUGCAAUUGUUCAUGCACAAAUGGUAUUUCACAUGCGGUAAAUCCAGAGGACACACGAUUUUCUUCGCCUCCUCAAAACUGGUCGGGCACUUGUUCCCCUUGGGAAGACGUUCGUGCCAGAAUGACAUGUUCUCGUCAAAGCAUGCGUCGGUCAUUUUGUGUUUUACCUUCAUCUCCAGAGCCAUGAGCGUUACUUUCAGGCGGGUAUCCUCGGGCCUGCAUCCUUCAUACAAUGGAGUAACCGCGUCUAUCUCUAGUUGAUCCAGCUUGGCUUUCUCUUGGGCGGCAGCUCUUGCGUUAUCCGUCUGCUUGAGAAUCAGCUCUUGAAUGUGAGCGUCCUGCACCCAGCCCAUCGAUGGUCCAUCGUCGUCUGCUCCGGCAUCUUCAUCUUCAUGAUCAUGCCCUUCGUCUGCUCCGGCAUCUUCCUCAUCAUCAUGUCCGGCAUCUUCUACAUGAUGACUGUGUACUGCAUCUACUUCGUGAUCAUGUCCUGGAGAUUCUUCGUCUUCUCGCCCGCCCUCGCCGCGGUUGUCUUGCUGCCCUUCCUCAUUUCUUGCCGCCCGGCCCCCAUGGACGACUUCAUAAUCAUCUUCAUCACCUUGCCACCGAUAGCCAUCCAUGAAACCACGCAAGAGCAGGUGGUCCCGCACCUGUACGGAAUCCGGGUCCAUAAGGCUCCUCAGCUUGCAUCGUCGACACGGACAUCUUAUCUUCGUCUCGUUAUUUUGAAGCAUCUCGGCCUUCGCGGAGCUAAAAACCCUAUUCACGAUGCCUUCGGUCAUCGUGCGGACCAUGGUCGCCUGCGGGGUAGAGCAAAACGAUAUUUUAGAACCAAGAAAAAAUUUGGCAUGACUUUGCCUAAAAAUAGGACUAAAAAGAAUGCAUAGUGCCAAAAUUCUCGCCGAAACGGAAAUGAAUCAACAUUCCGGCAAAAUAUUGGCAACUAUCGCAUUUCAAAUACCGGUACCUGCAAACACAAACAUAUAUGCAACACCACAAACAUAUGCAACACCACAAACAUACAUAGAUCUAGCUAGGCCAUAAAAAGUGCAUGUGCACGUUGUUGGAGGAAGAAAAAAGUAGAUCUACAACAUAAAGAAAGCUUUCCCCUUACUUACUUAUCAAAAAAAGGUAAUUUAACCACUUAAUUUGGAUGACUAUGGUGCAAAUAAGGUGAGGAGGAGGAGGCAGCCGAGACAAGCUUGGAGGAGGAGGUGGAGAGAAUGAAGUGGGGAAAGUGAGUGUGUAGGUGGCUGUCCAAAAUAUCUAGCUGGUCCCAGGUUACUAAUGGCGCACCACCAACAAAUGCGCCAUUAGUAAUCCUGGUUACUAAUGGCGCACCAGCUGGCGGUGCGCCAUUAGUAGUUUUGCAAAAAAAAUCAAAAAAAAUAGUAGUGGCGCACGGGGUGACUGUUAACUAGUAAUGGCGCACUAUGCCACGAUGCGCCAUUAGUAUUUUUGAAAAAAAAAACAAAUUUUAUUAGUAGUGGCGCACCAUGUUUGUGGUGCGCCAUUAGUGUGAUAGUGUCUAUCACACUAAUGGCGCACCAGCACACGGUGCGCCAUUAGUAUUUUUGGAAAGUAGAAAAAAACUCUUAGUAGUGGCGCACCAUAGUUGUGGUGCGCCACUGCUAUAUAGUAGUGGCGCACCGCAUGUCUGGUGCGCCAUUAGUGUGCGUAUUGUCUAUAGCCCUUUUCCUAGUAGUGAGGUUUUGGCUAAUGAUUUUUAUAAAUCCUUAUAUCUAUCUGAAGGGGUCCAAAACAUGGAUGCGGUGCUCAACCAUGUCCCGAGGAAGGUGACAACCGAGAUGAACUCCAACCUGUGUGCCCCGUACACCAAAGAGGAGGUCAAGAUCGCUCUAUUUCAGAUGUUUCUGACCAAAGCUCCAGGUCCAGACGGUUUUCCUGCUCAUUUUUACCAAAAGCACUGGGAGAUUUGUGGGGAUGAAGUGACAAAUAUAGUGAUCAGAAUAGUGAAUGGCGAGGAGAGCCCAGCAGCUAUCAACGACACUGUUCUAGUUUUGAUCCCCAAGGUAACGAAUCCCACGGUACUUGCUCAAUUCCGGCCUAUAAGUCUUUGCAAUGUUCUGUAUAAAAUAGCCUCCAAAGUUAUAGCAAACAGGUUGAAAAUUAUAUUGCCUGACAUAAUUUCUGAGGAACAGUCUGCAUUUGUGCCUGGGAGGUUGAUUACGGAUAAUAUCAUAUGUGCUUAUGAGUGCUUACACUUCAUGAAAAGAUCGAGAGCAAAAUCAAACAGUUAUUGUGCUUUGAAGCUAUAUAUGAUGAAGGCAUAUGACAGGUUGGAAUGGGCCUAUCUUCGAGGUAUCAUGACUAAAUUGGGAUUUGAUCAUCACUGGAUAGAUGUGGUCAUGGGCAUGGUCUCUUCAGUUUCAUUCUCUGUUUGUUUUAAUGGCGAGAAGCUUGACUCUUUUUUACCAACACGCGGUAUCCGGCAGGGAGACCCAAUCUCCCCCUACUUGUUCUUGAUUGUGGCAGAGGGCCUUUCGUGCCUCCUUAAAUCAAGUUCUCAGUCGUCUCUGACAGGUAUCCAGGUGGCACCCACGGCUCCUACCGUUAACCACCUCUUGUUUGCAGAUGAUAGCCUGCUGUUAUUUAAGGCGAGUGGGGAGAGUCAACUACGGUGUCAAACCUACUUGAUACAUAUUGCAAUGCUUCAGGGCAGAGGAUCAACAAUGAGAAAUCCUCAAUCUUUUUCAGUAAGGGUUGCCCGGUGCAGAUGAGGGAAAUUGUCAAGAACAAUCUGCAAGUACACAAUGAGUCUUUGAGUGAGCGCUACCUGGGCAUGCCGACAGAUAUUGGCCACUCGAAGAAUGGUACGUUCAAAUAUCUCCGGGACCGUGUGUGGGAGAAAAUCAAAGGGUGGAUGGAGAAAUUAUUAUCAGCUGCUGGCAAAGAAGUUUUGAUCAAAUCUGUUGCACAAGCUAUACUGGUCUACUCUAUGUCUUGCUUCAGAUUGCCACGAGGUUUAUGUGAGAGCAUAAUGUCACUUAUCCGACAGUUUUGGUGGGACUCCAAGCAUGGUAAGAGAAAGUCGAGCUGGGUAGCGUGGGAUAUAAUGACUCUACCAAAGCACUUGGGGGGCCUGGGAUUUCGUGACAUGGAGAUUUUUAACCUUGCACUUCUGGCAAGGCAAGCAUGGCGUACCCUUACAGAUAGCACUUCGCUGAGUGCACAUAUUCUCAAGGCAGUAUACUUCCCACACUGUUCUCUCCUCAAAGCCGAACUUGCGCCGCAUCCAUCCCAGAUUUGGCGAGCGAUAUUGGAUGGUCGUGACAUUCUGGCACAAGAUGUCAUUAGGCGUAUUGGAGAUGGAGAGACAACAAAUAUUUGGAAGCAUAACUGGAUCCCACGCGACGGCAUCAAGAGACCCAUCAGUUCACUUGUUCAUAACCCGCCGGAGAAGGUGGUGCAGCUCAUAGAUGCAACGUCGGCAACAUGGAAUGAAAACUUGGUACGCUCACUGUUCACUCACUUUGAUGCAGAAGAGAUCCUACAGAUUCCUUUAUGAACACGUCGCAUGGGGGAUUUUUGGGGCUGGCAUGAGGAGCCUCGAGGAAAGUUUAGUGUUCGCUCAGCUUACCGGAUGAUACUAAGGACGAAACAUAGCAGGGAGGCUUGGUUAUAUGAGGAGGACGGUACAUCCUACGAGCAUCAAGAGACGAAGAAGUGGUCCAUGAUCUGGCACAUGCAAGUUCCAUCAAAACUCAAGGUGUUCGUGUGGCGACUGGUUCGUCAAUCCAUGCCAACGGGUUCGCUCCUUAAGCAUCGUCACAUGGCAACAGAGGAUACUUGCUUGAUAUGUGGGGCUGUUGACACUUGGAAACAUGCUCUUAUUUCAUGUCCGAUGGCGGCGAGUGUGUGGGCAUUGGCCCCGGAGGAGUUGGUGCAGCAUAUGGUCGACCGUGCGGAAGUAUGCCCGAAGGAGUGGCUGUUUUCUAUGCAUGAAAUAUUGACGAAACAACUCUUUGUUCGACUAGUGGUGACACUCUGGGCAAUAUGGGCCGCCAGGAGGAAGGCAAUUCACGAGCAUAUAUUUCAGCCACCUUAUUCUGUUGACAGCUUCAUAUCUAAAUAUAUAGGUGAGGUCCAAGUGACUAAUUCAAGGUCUCCAUCGACGCUCACUCCAACCAGUGCCAGGCCGAGGCGAUGGGUAGCCCCGCCCCAAGGGGAUGCCAAGUUCAAUGUUGACGCAACAGUGACCAGGUAUGGUGGAGCAGUUGGGGUCAUUUGCAGAGAUGACGGAGGUAUGUUCAUGGGAGUGUCGACUCUCUCUUUCAAAUACAUUGUGGAUCCCCCAACGUUGGAAGCUCUCGCCAUCAGAGAAGCGCUCACUUUGGCGGAUGAUCUCUAUUUGAGGCGCAUACAAGUCUCAUCGGAUUGCAAAACGGUGGUGCAGGAUUUAACUAAAGAGAAUUUGGUGAGCUAUGGUGCAGUUAUUCAUGAAAUAGUUGAACAUUCUUUAGCUUUUGAUUUUUGUAAUUCCAGUCAUGGGUUUAGGAGCUCAAAUUUUGAAGCUCACACCCUAGCGAAGCAUGCUUUUAUCUCUCGGUGGUGGCCGCCAUGUUUGGUUAGGACACCACGGGAACUUACCAUUCGUCCAUGUAAACAUUGUGACGAAUCAAUAAAAGCUUCGCGACGUUGUCUCAAAAAAAAUCUAGCGAGCCCGGGCAAGUGCCCAGGCACGCCGGGCGCUGGCUCCGCCACUGCUUCCCGGUGAAAUAGCGAAAUCAUUAAUUAAGGAGUACUCGUUGCAAAGGGAUCCAACUUGCCUGCUCCCUCCCCAUGCUCCCACUUCAUCCUACGGCUGCCCUUUUCCCUUUUUCCUUUCUAAUCUAAUCAUCUCCCCCCUGAUUUUAAGGGGGUGGGGCUGGGCCUUAUUUUGUUCCAAUCAAAUCAAGCCACGUACGCGGGAGCACGGAUGGGCACACGUGCGGGGAGCAGACAAGUCUCGUCCGUUGCAAAGAACACUCCACCUUCCCAGGUCGCGACAAGUGGCGCACAUGCAGCGCGCCACUUGUCGCAACCUGGGAGUUUUCCCUUUUUUCGUAGAUCCGUUUAUUCAAAAUGUUUUAUCUCUUAAACCGUGCGUCCAAAUCUCGAACCGUUUUCACCAUUCGGUUCCUCGCGUCGAGAUCUUCAAAACUAGAUCCCAUGUUGAUAGGUUUUGAUGAAUUUUUUUUCACGAAAAAACCGGACGAAAAACUAGACGAAAAAACCGAACCGGGAGCAUGGUUUUUUUCCUUUCCGAAAAAGGCACGCCCGUGCCUCUCGUGAACUCACAACCGUGCCUCUCGUGGAAGCAAAACCGUGACUAUCGUGGAAGGAAAAAAACAGAAAACGUGUUUUUUUCCUUUUCCAAGAGGCACGGCCGUGUCACUCGCGAAAGCACAACCGUGCCUUUCGCGAAAGCAAAACCGUGACUCUCGCGAAAGAAAAAAAAACAGAAAACGCGUAUUUUUUUCCAUUUCCGAGAGGCACGGCCGUGACUCUCGCGAAAGCACAACCAUGCCUCUCGCGGAAGCAAAAGCGUGACUCUCGCGAAAAAAACAAAAAACGCGUUUUGUUUUUCCCUUUUCGAGAGGCACGACCGUGACUCUCGCGAAAGCACAACCGUGCCUCUCGCAGAAGCAAAACUGUGACUCUCGUGAAAGAAAAAAACAGAAAACGUGUUUUUUUCCCGUUUCCGAAAGGCACGGCCGUGACUCUCGCUAAAGCACAACCGUGCCUCUCGCGAAAGAAAAACCGUGACUUUCGCGAAAGAAAGAAAAAGAAAACGCGUUUUUUCGCGCAAAAAGGAUUUUUUUUCGAAUUUUUUUAUCAAAAAGCUAAGGAAGACCGGGAAAACCAAAACGUCGAAAAAACCCGGAAAAAAACCGUUUAAAAAGCCGAGAACGCGUGCGGAAAAAAAAUCCGGAGGGAGUGUCCAGAGCGCGACACGUGGCGAAUGACUGAGAGCGCGCCAAGUGGCGCUGAUCGUUGCGAGGCUUCCGAAGGAGCGCUCGUUAACUAGUUGCUCUCGUGAAAUAGUCUGACAAGACGGUCUUGGACCUUCCUCGCGCGUCGGACCCUCGUUCAACCUAGGAUCGCGCGGCGCAGCUCUAGUUCAUUCUUUAAUACUAGCCACAAUGGGUAGUAACAUAGAGUAGUAACAUGCCCAUGUUACCAUGUUACUACUCUAUGUUACUACCUCUAUAGUGGGGAGUAACAUAUGUGUGGUAACAUGCAAUACUUCAUUUAUUAUGCUAUAGACUCAUCUUGUCUUGAUAUGCGUGAUGUUACUCAUACUAUUAGUAACUAGCUAUGUUACUACAUGUCUCUCUUUCUUCAUUUAUUGCUUACCACAUCAUCUAUUUUAUUUAGAUAUGUGUGAUGUUACUAUCUAUGUUACUCCCAUUAAGGAUAGUCUAAUCGUCUGAUGAUUUCAGUCCGCACGUUCCCGAACUGAUUCCUAUCCCAAGAUAACAAGUCGCCCGCCAGCCUGCAAAGCUUGUCACGGACCCCCUCCACCGAAUCUCUUAUAUGCGCGUUCCAGCCAACGCCAACCACCGCAUGCAGCAUCUCGAUCCUUUCCCACAUUAGUUCGUAUUUAAAUCGCCUGGGACCCAUAUUGCAUGCAUGCACAUCACGUAAUCUCAGUAGUACGGGGACGUGAUCGCUACUAGCUGCCGUCUUGUGAUGCAGCCGGGAAGGCCAAUGUCCAUGCUGGUUUUGCCACGCACCGGUCAAGACGAACUCUGGUUCCUCCGGUCACAUUUUUUCAAAUGUCUAAAUAGAAGGCGUGUUGGGACGAUUUUUUUUGUCCGCGACGACCCAAAUAGACACACGCGGACGAAAUGGGUCGACGCGUUGGAGUUGCUCUAACCAAUGUCCGUCAGUCCACAUGUAUCUAGUGCAUCUCUAAAGGCAUCCAUUUGAGCUUGACUUCGAUUGCCGACUCCGUCAUGUUCACAGUCGUGUAAAACUUCAUUGAAGUCACCAAUGACAGCCCAGGGUUGGUUGUUGACACUAACUGUGCUCCUCAACAUAUUCCAUGUCUUAAAUCGCUAAGGCACUUGGGCCUCGCCAUACACAAAAGUAAUUCUCACUCGUGUUUCCAUAAGGUCAUCAAUCAAUGCAUCAAUAUGGUACUCUGAGUAACCCACAACCUCAAGUUUUAUUUCAUCUUUCCAAUAAAUUCCAAGACCUCCACUACGACCAGAACUACUUACAACAUAACUCUUAUUGUAAUCUAGAGUGCCUACUAAGUUUUCCACACGGGUACCCUUAAUUUGAGUUUUGAGAAUACAAAGAAUAGAGGGGGCAAAUUGUUUCGAAAUGUCUCGAAGCUCUCAAACUGUCGCGGGUUUGCCAGCCUUACAGCAGUUCCAGCAUAACAGACUCAUUGUGCUAAGCGCGACUCCUCAUGGGAGCCCGCCAAAUGCGCAUUGGUUUUGUUUCCCAUGAUAUUCUUUUCGUUUCCUUCAUGAGGUGCAUUCGGCGUAGGCAUGUUUUUCUUUGGUUCUUGCAUGGACGAUGGACUUGCUAGCACCACAGGGGGUGGUGAAGCUAAAAGCUCCUUCUCCACGAGCAGCGGAGGUGAAGUCACUAGAAGUGCCGAAGAGUUGUCGUCGACCUGGGACAUGCCCCUCUUUCUGUUGCCCUCUGCCUCGACCAUAGUAGUAUCCCGAUGUUUUGAACUUGGGUCUACUUGUUCCAUCCAUUCAGAUUGUUGUUUCUGAUUUGCACCGCGGCCAGCACGACCUCUGCCACAACCUCCUCCCAAGCCUCUUCCGGCUCCAGGGCCACACCCAGGGCCCCUGAACCAGUUUGCACGGAGGUUCUUCAAGACAAGUGCCGAUGGUGGAUGGGUGCCGUUUCCACAUUCCUUGUGUUGAUGACCCAAGUGGCCGCACACGACGCAUCAAUCAAGCAACCUCUCAUACUUUACCCGGAAUAUUCCCCUCUUCUUCUUGAUAACCAAAGACACAACAUUCUUCAAGGGUCUAGUGACAUCCACCUUAACUCUGACCCUAAAAAGAUUUCUUCAAAAUCUUGGGAUUUAGGCUCUGCAUACACAAACUCGCCUACCGUGGCUGCAAGGGAUUUUAUUAAGUGGAGGAAGAGCUCUGGCAGGUCGUGAAUUUGGAUCCACAUCUCUAUCUUGUCCAGCUUGACUGUUGAUGGUCUAGUAAAUCCAUCAUAUGGCUCGAUAACGAUAGCUUUACCUUUGAAGGUCCAUAGUCCAUCCUCCAUUACUCGCUCCCAAUCGCCGAGACAUGAAAAUUGUAACGUGUACAGGUUGUCGUUGAGGGGCCGAAAUUUGACUGCUUGCGCCAGAUCCCAAGCAACACACAUGUUUUUGAAGAACCAAUACUGACUAUACGACUUCUACAUAUGAGCUUGAGCUAUCGCCAUCCAAUGCGCCGCAUCCUCCGGCCCGUCCUCAACUACAAGUCCACCAGACCAUCCUCCUUGAAACCUAGCUCCCACAUCAUAGCUUCCAUGUCGCUGACCGCCGAUCCAGAUGCCGGUGUCGCGUCCUCCAUGAGAUAUCUAGCCCGUGAAGAUGAUUCCCGCGGGCGGGAAGAACCCUAGACACGCCUCCCCCUGUCGCGUUAGCCGUGAGUCCGAAGACACCGGCUGCAGCAGCGAACGGAGAGGGUAGGGGAUCGAUUUUCUCCACGUCGUAGCCAGGCACCGUCAAGAGUAUAGGAACCCUUUUUUUAACUUUAGCGACUUUAUUUAAUUAAUAAUCAUAUCCUUUACAAUAAGAGGGACCAAGAAAUCUGGAGAUUUAUCAUACCACAUCCCUGAUUCCUGCCUCAAAAAACUAAUAAAUAGCGAGAGGGGAGACCAGUAGGUGCUGAGUUCAAUUUGCCAUACGGACCCUUUUGUUAGUAUGAAAAAUCUAAAAAGAAACGACUGUAACCACAGCCCAGCACGAGCAUAAAAAAAAAAACUCCAUCCCAAUCGAUCGAUCGAUAGUUCUCGAAUCUCGACUACCCCUAAAAAAAGAAAGAAAGAAAGAAGAUAGUUCUCGACUCCUCGGUUGGUUGGCCUGAGUUUGCAAUCGCCUACAGGACCUAGGGUUCCGUCUCCGCCGCCUCUAGCUUCCCCUCCCUCCCUCUCCUUCCCUCCCUUGCCGGACCCCCGUUCAUCCUGCCGACGACCCACAUUUCCAUCUAGCUCGCUUCUGGCGCAGUCCGCACGCCGGCGACCCGGCCGCUUUCUCCGCGAUCUGCCUCGACCUCCGCGAUCUGCCUCGACCUCGAGCUCGACGACCUCCGCGAUCUUCCUCGACCUCGAGCGCGACGACCUCCGCGAUCUGCCUCGACCUCGAGCUCGACGACCUCCGCGAUCUGCCUCGACCUCGAGCUCGACGACCUCCGCGAUCUGCCUCGACCUCGAGCCCGACGACCUCCGCGAUCUGCCUCGACCUCAAGACCUCCACGAUCUGCCUCGACCGUCGCCUUCCAUUCCCAUCUGCACUGUCUGACCGGUAAGACCAAACGAUUCGUCCUAAUCCCUCCUCCUCAAGUUGUUAUCGUGAUUCACGUUUCGUAUGUGCCGUGGGUUAGCUUAAAUUAACCGGGGUUAGUUUGUGUUUGUUAUUUCUACACAGCUGCUCCCUCCCCGCCCGCCAUGGAUUAUACAACGAGGACCAUUGCCUUCAAUGGACUGUUUCCCACUAUUGUCUGUCAGAAAGACAAUAACUCAUCCCCACUGUUAGCUUUAUGUCAGUAUUAGUUUAUCACCUGCACAUUCUUCUACAUUUGAAUGAUUAUUAUUACUUUGAAUUAAGAAUGAGAUUGUCUUCACAGGUAAUUCAUUAAUUCUAUUGGGCGAGUUCAACUUAAAUUUAGGGUAUGGUGUCUGUACUAUAUCAGAGAAGAAACUUAUUGACUGUGUCUGUGAUUAUUUUAUGACUAAGGCCACUCACAAGGUUUGUUUUCAAUCUCGUGCAAUCGAAUAGUUUUAUGGUUGGGGUUGGGCUGCUAAUGUGUAAUGCAAUUCACAGGGGACGAAAACUAGGAGAACUGCAAAUAAAACCCUCAAACGUUUGGCACAACCCAUUCAGUGUAAAAUGAUGCUCACAAGGUAUUCAGUUGGUUACUUGUUAAUUUGUUCCUUUUAUGUAGAUUUGUACUUUUGUGUUCUAAUGUCAUGUUGAUGCUGUAGUGUUGAGCAUAUGGAGACCAGUGAAGAACUCCAGUUAUUUGAGAAAUUGGGUAUUAAAGUUUAUCAUGCUAAUGUUGUUGAUCCCAAGGUAAAUAUUAAGUGUGAACUGUUUUUUUUUGUGCUAUGUCACCUACUUUUAUGCUUGCUUCACAACAAAAUUUUAUUGCUUUAUUUCGUUUAAUUUGCUGAUUGCUGAUAUUGGAGCAUGAUGAUUGAUUGUACUGAUUAUGUGAUUACCUUCUCUUGCUCACGUUUUUACUAGAACCUUGUGAUUUAUUUAAUUCAUGUUGAUGUCUAGGAGGAAGAACUUGUUAGAGCCAUAGGGACAAAUACAUUUGACACCCUUUUGGCUGGUCUUGCUGCACAUAAAGCCAAGACAGAUGUGCAGAGUCGUUCUUCCGGUUCUUCAAAGGUGGAUGGGAGUGCAACAUCGCAUUUGGAGGCAGUCAAUUGUGAGCAUUUUUGGUCUUGUUAUUCGUAUUAUGGAUUUGUAAAUCGUUUUAGCAAAUGAUGUUCACUGCAGUGUUUCUAAAAAAUUGCAUUUCAGGGGAAUUGAUUGAUGACUUCCUUACUAAGAACCACACUCAGUUAACAGCAUAUGGGUAUGAAUUGAUGCUUUGUUUAUGUUAAUAUGUCUCUAUUCAUGUUACUGAUUAAUAUGUGGCUGUUGUUUUGAGAUGGCAGUAUCCAGUCUAUAAAACAACAGAUGAUAGAUAAUAAUACAACCGUAUGUGCUCUGUUCUGGAAUAAUCAGUUUCACGUGGUGUCGCAGGUGGUUUUUUUUUUAUUAUGUUACUUUCUGCACAUGUACUUCAAUAAAUCUGUAUGUUUAAUAACUUCCAUGCUUUCUUAUGCAGCUACAUGGAACUUUGCUUCUGUUACAAAAUAAUGCAGAUCAGGUUGACAAGCCUAUUGUAUGGAAGCAUUUCAAUGAUGUAUGUUAUGCUAUUUAUUUUGACUUUGUUUUCUUUCCCUAGUUACAGUUCUUACUGUUUUAAUGCCCUUUCUAGAAACCUAUUUGAUAAUCAUAUAUUUCCUCAUUUUUUUAAGUCAUUAAUGUCAUGUGAUGCUUGCAUGGGCGAAUUAAAUUGACUACGGAUUCACUUCUUCACAAAGGUUUUGGACAGCUCAUGGACACAAGGGAAUGACUAUGUCGCAAAAUCUGUGGAUUUUAAAGGCUGCCGGAGGUUCAUUAUUUAUCCUAAUAUGACUGGCUCAUCCGCGCUGGUAGCACUAUGUAAGUGUGUCUCAAUUGUGAUGCAAAUUUAGCUCCUGUGGGCCACUUUUAGUCAAUCUUGUGUUUUUGCAGGCAAUGCCAUACUUCUAAGAGGUGAUGUGGACCUGAGUAAAAUACUCGAUUGUAACUUGAGUCUAAAUCUUGGCCAUCUUCAUCAAGUUGUUUUUGGGGCCUCCAAGGUUUAAUCGAAUUGUUUCUACUUCUGUACAUUGUCUUGGGUAUAUGAUGUUAUUUUGUUAAUGGGCUGUUUUAAUUUACAGACUAAAUCCUAUACCAUGAGGCCAGAAGAAUGGGUUGUAGCAGUAGGAUGCCUUCAUCAACCUGUCGAUGUUAAAAUGAACUUUAAAAGGUUAGUUUGCUUAUCUGUAGUUUCUUACUUCACGCGGUUUAUAUUCUGAUAACCUCUUGUGUGGUAAUAUUGCAGCAUCCGUAACAUAAAAAUCACGAAAGACUUUGAGAUUUUUGAGAACUUUGGCUUUGAUUUAUACCAUGGUUUCAUCGCUGACCCGGAGGUAUGCACUUAAUCCAAUAUGGCAUGAGUCGUUGUUCUAGCUACUGUUUCUUGACCUUUUCUAGUCUUUGGAAUUAGAUUCAGCCUUCCUUCUAUGAUUUUAUAUCGGUGUUGCUGUAUGAUAUUUCUCAUUUCACCUUUUUUGACACAUGUCCUUAGGUGGGUAUUUGUUUAAGUACUUUGUGAGUAAACCUUGCUUAGGUAGUUAGGAGUUAAGCACGUUUCGCCUUUUUUGACACAUGUCACUUUCUAUAUAUCUCUAUACAUUACAAGCUGUUGUAGCUGUGCACACUAAACCUUCUAGCCACAUAACUGUGUACGCGAGGAAGAAAGAACUUCCAACAUGCUCUACUUCUGAAGCCAGAUAAAUAAUUUGUAUACUCAUUACCACUUUAGACUUGUACAGGAAUAAUGUUACAUUUCUUGUUAUUUUGUUACUAACAAAUACUUUUAGCCUAUGAUUUACUAUUUAUGUUUGUUUAAAUGUUUAGGAUCUCAAUCUUUGCAAUGCAAUUGGAGAAAGGUAUUAUGAUUGUACAACUGAGAGCCCACCUUCUCAUUUGAAGGCAGAAGAUCAUAGUGAGAACUUUGUUUAUUCAUUAUUCAAAAUUCUUUCUAUGUGUUGAUCCCUUAGAUUGUGACAAAGGUAAUUCAUUUGCAGGAGAGUUACUUGAUAAGUUCCUAAAAGAUCAUGAUACCGAACUAACACCUCAUGGGUACAAGAUAUCUACACUAUGUUUACACAUGUUUUUCUCACUCCAGUAAACUUAAUUUGUUGUUUUUUUCAACCUGUCAGUUUGCAAAGUUUACAAGAGGAAUUGUCUGAAACAAAUAUCCAUGUUAUAUUCUGGAACAAACAGUUCCAUACUGCUAUCAAGGUAUCAUACUUUGUUAGGUUAUUGUCUCAGAUUUUACUGAAUAACCUUCCUGAUAUGUUAUGUCCUCUAUCCUUCUUUCGUGCAGUGCAAUAACCGCAUCUUUGUUUUGGAUCCAAGUUUGAGUUCAUUUGAUGCUGGCAAAAUAUGGAGAAGUUUAGACAGUGUAAUAUCAUCGUCACAUCUCUUAUAUCACUACCACCGUUCAUAUUGAUUAGGUGUACUAAUUUUAGUGACUAGUGAAUUACUUGUCACUUGAUUGUUUUUCUUUGAGUAUAUGAUUAUACUUCACACUCGUUCAUUUUUUAGGUGGAUGGUGCCGGAGAAACUUUGGCCAGUGUUUCCUACCCUGUAAGUGCAUCAUAAAUGAGAUACAAUGCUAACUGAUAAUAAUUAUCUGGAAGAAGCUAAUACAAAUCUUUGUUGGUUCGAGUGCUCGUAUUGAUAUUCUACACCAUACGUUUUUCACUAUAUUGUGUAAGAACAAACUGCUACUAUUGAUUAGGUGUAGUAAUAGUAGUGACUAGUUGAGUAUGCUCUAUUACUAGUAGUGCUUGUCACUGGAUUUUUUGUUGGCUCGGCUACACACUACUCCCUCCGUCCCAUAAUAUAAGACGUUUUUUGACACUAUGUAUUAUAUUGUGUUAGGACACAAAUGCUACCAACCAGCAGGCCUGUAUCUAGAUAUUUAGUGGAUUAACUCUUUGUUUGUUUGAGUGCUCGUAAAGAUUUUCACUAUUUUCUUUAUUAAUCCUGCAGAAGUCAGGCGAACAUAAAUGCAUCAGUCCAGAUUGUCUAUUGGCAUUUAACUCACCAUUUAAUCUUCGACGGCAUAAUUAUGUUCAUCAUACAAGUUCUGGCAGCAAAGAAUUGGUCUGUCUUUUUUCCUUAUCUUUCUCAUCUAUUUAUUGUUUUUAUAUAUUUACUUGUGUGUCAAACUCCGCACAGUUAACCUCCAUUUGCCAAUGUUCUGCAGGACAUUUUGCAACACAGAACUGAAUUUAGUAAUUGUUGGGAUAGUGUAAGUUAUUUUGAACAAAUUAUUUAUGCUUGUUUUCAUAGUUUGCUCACGCAUUGUAAAUUAGGUUUAGAUAUAAUAACUCUUUUCUUCCUUUUCUUAUGCUGUUCAGCUCUCAUCUGAAGAGUCUGGGGAGAUAUUGUCUUUAAAGGAUAUGAAAUUUAAGGUAUUUUACUCAACAUGACCAGUAACUACACACCAUUUUUGUAAGAAAGUUAUCUGAAAUUGAAAUAUAUUUUCAGAAUCUUGAGGGAAAACUCAUUGUGCGAAUAUUAGAACAGCGAUCUUCUGAAGGGGACAGUGUUGCUAUGACGUUGUUGGUAUGUUAUUUUGCAUGACUUCUAUACCAUGUUCUGUAAGUAUGAAAUCAGUAAAUAGUUUUUAUUCCUUUUUUGUGCGUUCUUAUAGGGCAUUAGGAGUCGUUUAAUGGAAGGAGAAAAGAUAACGUCAGCAGUUCUGUUUGCUGUUCUCGAUGAAGCCAGCGAGAAAACUUUGUUAAGCUCUGAUAUUCGUAAUUGUGAAGAGGGAAGAAUAUGGGACGGCAGUCUGAGUGGCAUCAUGACUGACAUGAACUCAUUGCUUGCGUGUUACAGCUACUUGCUUGAGAAAGCAUUGGUAGGUUUGUACUUUAUUAUGCAAGAGAUGAUGUAUUGUCACAAUAUGGUUUCAACAUUGGACAUACACAAGCUUACAUUAUAUAAAUAACAGGUGAGCGAAUGGUUACAACACAAGGAUGCACUAGCAAAUAAAGUUGGGGAAGAUCUUAUUGCCGCGGAGAAAAGGUAUCACUAGCACCAUUAAUGCAUUACUGAGAUAAAAAUUACAGUUUAUUAUCAUUUUGUAACUUAGAAGUGAAAUGUCCAGUAGGGGAAAGAAAAAGGCCAACGACCAAAACAAACAGGGAAAUCAUAGUUCUACCGGAAAUCAUAGUUCUACUUCUACUGGCCAACGUGAUGACCAAUCUUUAGAAGGCACUGGAGAGGAUACAAGCGAUAACGACAAACAGGGAGAGCUAGAUAUUUCUUCUCAUCCUACCGGAAAUCAUAGUUCUACUUCUACUGGCCAACGUGAUGACCAACCUUUAGAAGGCACUGCAGAGGAUCCAAGAGAUAACAGGUUAUAUUAUCGGUUAAUAACAUUGAGUCUGUUAUUGCUAAGAAAUUAUUAUGAUGUCAAUUUCUAACUUUGGAGCGGAAACUUCCAGGGUUCAAAGUAGCCAAUCGUUAAAACAUCCUGAAGACGACACCAUUGGCAAUCUGUAUGAUUUGGUUCUUGAAUUCCUCAAGAGGUACUGCUUAUUCAUUUUCCUUCUGACUCGUCUGCUGUUAGAACAAGUGUUUAUUUUAUGUUGGUUGUUGAUUCUUGUUUGUUUAAGAGAAGAUCAUCUGCUGUUUUAUUUUGGUUUCAGUUCCUAUGUUAAUGCACAUAUAUGAUUGGAAAUAAAUCUGCUUGUGUACUGGACUGCCACUUCACAAUGAUUUCAACAUGGUUGUUGAUUUGUCCUAUCUUUACUUUUUUUAGUACUUGACCGUUGUAAUCCAUGCUUUGUUUUUGUCACUAUUGGGUUGCAUAUCAUGUCACUGUCUUGUUUGUCGCCAGGAUCCAAGUCUAUAACAUUUUACUAGUUUCCGGAAUCCAUGCUAUAUUUUUGUCAGUACUUGGAUCCAUGUCAUGUUGAAUUUUUUCUGUCCAAUGCGUUGCUGAUAUUUCCUCAUUCAUCCCGCUUUAUCAAUGUUUGUAACAUCUAGCUAUCUCUAAGUUUCAGUUUAUGGAAUUAAGAAUAAAGAUGGUAAUGCAUUUGCACAAGUGGUAUUUCAUUUUUAUCUUGUAUGGUAAUCUGGACGGGUGACUUUUGGGUGCUAUGAAGUGUAGUGCAUAGUGUUAUUUUUCCUGAUGUACUUGUAUUAUACUCGCUCCGUCCCAAAAUUCUUGUCUUAGAUUUGUCUAGAUACGGAUGUAUCUAAUACUAAAACGUGACUUGAUACAUCCGUAUUUAGACAAAUGUAAGACAAGAAUUUUGGGACGGAGGGAGUAUGUAUUAUAUGUUAUUUGUUUGCUCCUUCCUAAAGUUUGAGACAUGUUUUUAUAUCAUGAGUAAUGCAGCAGUGGCCAUGUUGGCCAUGGUGGUGUGGAUCAGACUUUUUUGUUUUGUGUUGAACACAAGUGCUAUGUUUCAUAUGUUUACGCAGGUUUAGGAACAACGAACCCAAAAAAUUCUACAGAGGCAUAAUUGAAGCGAUUAAAUAUAUGAACAAUUUGCAUAUGCACAUUCUUUUUUCGCACAUUGAAGAAGAUUCUCCAGAACUUGCUGCAUAUAUUAUUGAUCAUUAUCAUGACAGUGACAGGUAUGUAAGUAUGUUCGAAAGUUACAUAGAUUCAUCCUAAUGCUAUAUGUUUUGCGCACUUGUUGAUACAUUUCUUGUCAUAUUUAACAUUUGUAUCUCAUUCUAGUUAUAUCUUACUAAACAACCUACUGUCAUUCUUAUCUAGUAGUUUCAAGUUUGUUUAGCCUGGUCCCUGCAUCAAUUAUAAGUUAUUUUCUCCACUAAACCCCUCCCUAAGCUGCUUAGUAAAUGUCAAUUGUUUGUAGUUAUAGUACACACCUACCUUAAAUUACCCCAUUUUACUAUUUUUGGAGUAGCACCUCAUCAGUUACUGAUUGUCUCUGUUCUAACGUUAUUUAUAUCUUAUUCCAGGGUUAAAGCUGAUAUAUCACGUGCUGCUGCUCAAUACCUCAUCGAACAUAAUAUCGGAAAAUCUGAGCAAGAGAUACGUGAGGGUAUAUCUGUGAUGAUUGUGGGUCUGCCCUCACCAACCAGGUCAGUUUUUUAUAAUGCCUUAAAUAAGAGAACCUUAUUUGUCUGAUAUUAAAAGAUUCUUACAACCAAGUAACCAACAAAAAUUGACAAUUGUCUUUCUUUUCUCAAAUGCAGUAACAUGUCUUUUAAGAAAUAUGCUAGGCUAAACAAGUUGAUAAGGCCUUUUAGACUUCCAAAGAAGUUUCGUCGACUUUUUUCACCUCGUUGGAAAGGAAGAUUGUACUUGAUGACAUAUGCUGGUAGAAAAGCUGCUCGUGGGUUAUUGAACUACAUCCUUGAGAUGCACAAGGAAAAACUCUGUUGGAGAGGUGAAUGGAAAUUGUCUGACAUGCGAAUCAAAGAUGGAUUGUUUCGUAUUGACAAACAAGCAUUGUAUGAUGCGGAUGUCGAUGGGAUGGCUGAAGAUUUUAAAAAGUACAUCGAACUCCUGAAUCCUUACUAUGUUGUAGUUGAACAAUCCUCCUCCAAUAGUCCACCAUAUUGGGAAAUUCUUCAAACUGACACCAUGGUGAUACCAGAUCCGUCUAAGGACCCAAAGGCAUUUCGCAGAUUUCUGAAGUACAUGUCUGCACACUUUGCAUUCAUGCCGCCAGUUAGCAUAUAUCAGUUUCUUUGCCUGCUAUAUAGCAUUUGUGAUGGACUAAAGGCAAACAGCGAUAAACAAUAUAAACCAUUGAACUUUGAGCCGGAGAACAAUUUUGAAGGUUGGACACUCAAGGUCUUUGAAGUAUUUCUGUUUAAGGAGGUCUUCAACUUUUCGAGGAAUGGUGCCAUUGUCAAUGUGUACAGUGAUUCAUACUGGCAUCUGCUACAGUUUAGUAGACAUUUCUCUUCGCAUAUUCUAAGACUGACAAAGGUAUUUUUAAUAAUUCUGUUAGUUUAUUCUGUUCUCAAGGCCUCAACAUACAUUCUGUUUAGCUAGUUUUGCUCAGUUGUUGCAUCGAAAUGAUUUGUGAUAUUGUCUGCAUGUUCUGAAUUUUGUUUUGUUCUUGUGAAGAAACUUCAUGGUCAAGACGUCCAGGAUCUGAUCUUAAUACAUUUAAUGCUAGCCUGCCGUCUCGAUCAAUAUUUGGCAUUACUAGUUCGACACACUGUUAAUGAAACAAACAUGGAUGGACUGUAAGUAUUUGUGUUUCUUGUUCUAUCUUAUACUCCCUCCGUCCCAAAAUAAGUGACUCAACUUUGUACUAGUUUUAGUAUAAAGUUAGUACAAAGUUGAGUCACUUAUUUUGGGACGGAGGGAGUAGCAUAUUGUUCUUCUCAGUUAAUGUAUUAUAUGUCAUUGUAGAUUUUUUCGUGCAUGGCAAGCGCUCUUAGCUUCAGAGUGAGUUUCCUUCACAUUAUAUUGCAUAUUGUAAUUAAGUUUUUUGCUCUACAUGUAAUGAUGGGAUCAUUUAAUUUUAUUUCUUGUAUCAUGUACGCAAAAUAUAUAAAUGUGAAGUGAUAAAACUGAGGAGGAGGAUAUGUUAGAAAAUCUUGAAGAAUCUGAAUCUGAGGAUGAAGAAAGUGACAUUGCUGUUGAAGAUUCAAGGUAACAAUCUGGAAAACAAGAACUGUGAUUAGAUGAUUUAAUAUAUUUUGUUCAUCUUGCUAUGUUGUACUACAUAGAUAAUAAGCAUCUGGUGCAAAAGUUCUGAGGGCUCCUUUGAUUCAAAGGAAUUUUAUAGGAUUUCUGGAGGAUUGAAAUCCUUAGGAUUUUUCCCUAUGUUGGUCCUUUGAUUCAUAGGAUUGGAUCCCAUAGGAAUUUUUCCUAUGGAAUCUUUUGUACUACAUUUCAUAUGAAAUCUAACAUCCACUUCAACCUCUUUUUACAAUUUCUUUGUUUUUUCUGUGGCAUCAAACACUUCAUUGUUAACCCUAUAGGAUUCAAGUGGACAUGCCACUCCAACCCUACACUUUUUCUAUUCCUACGUUUUCAAUAUCCUAUGAAUCAAAGAGGCUCUGAGUUUUAAUUUGUAUUUAAUAUAUAUACAUCUAAAUUUCUGUUAGCACUAGGAAAAAAAUCUGAUAUGUAAUGUGAUAUAUGUGAUAAUUGUACAGCGACAAAAUUGAGGAUGAAGAUAUUGCAGUUCAAAUCUGAGGAUGAAGAGUGACAAGGAAUGCUAUUCCUGGAAAGAAACAAGGUAAUAUAUAAACGCACCCUAAACGCGUUAGCCCUGAUCGUGUCGAGUAGGCUAAUGCUAUAGGGCUGUGCUCUUUUGAUGAUUAUGUCUUGAGUUAUUGAGCUAUGAGCGUAAUCAAUGACUGGGUUACUCCUCUCGCGGGGGUGGUGGUGGUGUGGACUGUUUGCUGCCACCAAUCCACAAAUGUCCGCCAAGCAGCUGGUGGUUGAUCUGUCAACUGGAACAUGCAUUUCUAUCUUUCUUGUGAAUGUGGUGAUUAUGGCUCUCGGAUGUACAUUCAUUUGUUUUGCCAAAUGUGCCUUUGCAGUUCUGAAUCUCCAAGCCAACAUGCAACUUUGGUUUUCAGUUGAUGUCGCAACUUUAAUGAACUAAUUUCUGCCAUUCAUUUUUCCAUCUGUUUGCCCCCUCUUCUUUGGGCUCUCCGGUGGCUGCACAAUCUCACCGGUGCUCCGUGACUUGCAGAACUAUGAUACCACAUCCGUUGUCAGUCCAGCAGGAGUGGGAUGGUGUUGUCCAUCCUUGCGGUGUGGACUGCGGAGCACAUCUCUGCGGCACACGAUGGAGGAACUCCAGUUUCUAAAAUGAAAUUGUGGGUCGUUUGUCAUUAGAUGGUUGGAAGUCAGUUCUUUUUAGAAAUGUUGUGCUGUAAUUUAUUCUUCAUGUAUCUGUAGUAUUAAAGAGAAAGUGGUUCGUUGGUACAUGUGAGCAUCUCCUGUCCCGAUCAUGAGAGAAGAAAACCACUCACCCAGACCUGAUCCCCAAGAUCAAGCAGCACACCAUAAGCAGUUGUGUCUCUGCCGAUCGAAACGAUCAUAUCCUAGAGGGCUCGUGCCGCUGCAGAUCGAAACAACCAUAUCCCUGAGGGCUACCACACGAAAGCACGGAGAAGGAGCAAGUCAAGAACCCCGUCUGGGCAAAGCCGUGGCCCUGCCCUGGGGAGCCAAAUGCAGCUGGGCUUGCUGUAGCAGGGGAAUGUGCCAUGCCAGUCGAGGUGCGGUACCAUCAUUGCGCGUGGAGGUGUGCCCGGGUUGGCCUAGCCACAGAUAACGUGGGCAGAUUUGCAACCGGUGAUGCUGCUACCACUUGCAGCUUUGGAUUGACAUGUUGGCUCCUGUGUUUCUCUUCAUGGACUCAGUUCUGCGACAAGGAAGAAAGAACAAAAGGUUUUAUCUCGCGUGCCUGCUUUUCUGGUUUCUAUUCAAGGUACUUAUUGGAGUACAACUGAAGAACGGGUUGUGGCCCCCUAACUACGCGUCAUGCCAUCCCACCAGUGAUAAGAGGGACGCCAGCCUCGGGUCCUGGCUAACAAAGGAACAUAACUAACCUGAUGAAACUGAAAAUUAAUACUAGCUAAAAGCGUUGCCACAGCAGCAAAACAGGAAGGCCUGGGUUUAUUCCAACAUUCACCCCCUAAACCUAGUCUGCCUACGUCUGGAUGAAUCUGAUGCGUCCCGAAGGCUUGGUCAAAAUAUCAGUCCCGAUGAAAAAAUCAACAGUCAUCCUCCCUUCUUCCACACACUCUCUGAUGUAGUGGUAGUGGAGGUCAAUGUGCUUGCUUCUGUCAUGGAGCACUGGAUUCUUGCAUAGUGUGAUCGCUAACUUGUUGUCCACCUGAAGCAGUGGCGUCUGGAGUUCCUUGCUGGUGAUCUCAGCCAACAGGCAUGCCACUCACGCGCCCUGGCAAGGGGCCGUUGUGGCCGCGAUGUACUCAGCUUGGCAGGAUGAGUGGGGCACCCCCUCUACUUAUGACAACCAACAAAGGGGGCUAUCCCCGAGGAAGAAAAUGGCUGGAGAUGUGCACUUGCGAUCGUCGAUGUCGCCGAACAUGUCGUUGUCGCUAUAGCCGAGAAGCGCUGCUUCUCCUGCUUUCCUUUGUGGGAAGCGAGAUCCCAAGUCACGAAUCCCGACAACAUAAAUGUACUUGACUAUGUGCUUGACCGUGGGCCUUCUUCGCGUGGGGAGGUGGGAGGGAAGGAGACGACGGGGAUAAAGGGUUCAAGGGUACCUCCUAUAUUGCGCUUACUGCGGCAAAAAGUCGAGGAUUCGCACAUGAGGUAGCUGACCUGGACAGGCCCAUUUGGGCGACGCGCGAUUAAAGUUCAACACGACCCCUUGUGGGAAUCGAACCCACGAUGUGAUGCAGACAAGCGCGCGUCACUUGUCACUCUGACCAGAUGACUUAUGUUGACUUAUCUGCAACGUGAUUUCUAAAGAAAGGGAUAGCAAGGCAAAACACAAAAGACAAGGUUACAUUUUUCUCUGAAAAAUGUGUUUUAGUGGGACCGAACACAUGACCUCCCGCGAGAGAACCAUGUCACAUGCCACUGUAGUUCAUAGAUUUGUUGAUUAAAAUUGGCAGCUCAGCUAUUUUUUUUUUAAAUUUUGGAUGUGAUUUUCUUCUCACAAAAGUAUCUUUUUUUUUAAAAAUGAACAAUUUUCAGAUAAGUAAUUAAAUUUAUAAAGACUCAACAUUUUUUUUGGAAAUCUCACUUCAGAAAAAAUAGGAACAAUGUUGAAAAAUGAGAAAUUUUUGAAAAAAUGCAAACACUUUUUGAAACAACAACAAAUUUGAAGAAGGCAACCAUUGUUUCAAAAAACAUGAACAUUUUAUGAAAUUCCUGAACACUUUUCGAAUUUGAGAAAAAAUUAUGAAAACCUGACAUUUUUUAAUUUGUGAACAAAUUUUUAAAAGGAGAACUUUCUUUGAAAAUUCGUGAACAUUUUUUGAAUUGUGAACAAAUUAACAUUUUUCGAAAUGUAGGAACAUUUUUUGAAACUGUGAACAAAUUUCGAAAACAAGUUUUUUUUUGAAAUUUCUGAACGUUUUUUGAAAGACGAACAUUACUUGACAUUGUGAACAAAUUUAGAAAACGAUUUUUUUAAAAAAUUCCUGAAUAUUUUCAAAAAAAGAACAAAACCAUUCCAAAUGAUUUUUGAAAAACGGAAGCAUUUUUUUGAAUACAUGAACAAUCUUUGAGAACAUCACCAUUUUUUUAAAUGAACUUUUUUAAAAGUACAAAGUUUUUAAAGUUUGCAAACAAUUUUUUGAAACAUGAACUUAAAAAAAAUUGAAACUUGGAAAAUAAAAAAGAAACAGGAAAGGAAAAAAUCAACAGAAAAAUGAAAAAAAAGAGAAAAAAGAAAAAAGAAACCGGAAAACCGGUUUAGUAACCUUCGGCUGGGAAACUCUAGAAGGUUCCCAAAACCGAAAACGCCUGAACAUAUUAAUGGCUGGCCCAGGUUACCGCUCGAUCGCUAGCAGCGUUGCGCAGUUAAGUUGGUAUGGAAGAACUGAUGUGUCGCGGGAAAUCCUUGUCUAUACAAGUUCUCGUACGAGGUUUUUUAGCAGAACUUUGAUAGUCGAGAGGUGCAAGCACCGCGAGGUGUGAAGCGAUCUCGUACUAAACAAAUGGAAAUUGACAGCAAUAAAAAAAACAUUACUUAGAAAGAGAGAUUCUCAUACAAUAUUAUAUAUAUAUAAUAAUAAUAAUAACGCUAAAAUAAGGAGAAUUUGGCCAUCGUGAUUAGGGUCACUCUUCUUUUUAAACUUUGGUGGAAUUUAACCGGAACUGUUCGUUUUGCCUUCCCGCCAAAAAAAAAAACUGUUCGUUUUGCCAUUUGAGUGUUUUUCAUGGUCGAUAAAAUCUUUCUAGCUCAUUGCGAAACGUGGACUAUGCGUCGAAUAGGAUAUUCCGGGCUCAAGGGUUUCCGAGGAACCAGAUGUUCCUCCGACUUGUUUUGUGGAUGGCCAGAACAGAACGUGAUGCUUUCCAAUGUACGAAGCCCGUAAAACCGAAAAGCCAGAGGUGAUGAAGGGUUGGGCUGGCUAGCUUAUCCUUGAUUCUUUCUUUCGUCGGCUCUAGCAGGCUGCAAGCCCAUGUCGCGCCAUUAGCCCAUUCGGCUGUUUAUAGAUUGGAUUUGAGGCCUGGAUAUACUAGCUAGGGUUUCCUCCCGUCCCUCCCACCAACUGAUGCGCCGCCUCCCGUCCUUGUUCUUGCUUCAAGCCCCCACCCGUCCCCAACCCUUAACCUGAGAGAGAGAGAGAGAGAGAGAGAGAGAGAGAGAGAAGAGAAAUCCAAAGAAAUUGCCAUCCAUGGCGUCCGGCUGCUGCGUCCUCGUCGAUUCAGGGGCGUACAUCGACGACACCAACGACAGCACCAACGACAGCACGGCCCGAGACUUUACUACUACAGGCAAUCAGAUGAUGGUUUCCUUAUGGCCUGCUCAGCCGCCGAUCCCCUCCCGUCUGUCCGUGCACUGCAAGAGGAUGCGUCUCGGCCAUGUCUUCUUCCAGGAACCCAAGAUCCUUUGCGCUGUGGACUGCUUCUUUGUCCUCCGCAUCGCCAUGGGCCGCAGCCCCCCACCCAUAAACAUCACAAAGAAGAUGAGCGACUACUUCAUCUACCAGUCAGCUAGCUCCACAGGUCCGUCGCUCAAGCUCCUCCCGCACCCUCACCCUCACUUGUUCUCAGACAAUGAGGUUGGCGUCCUCCCCCGCGGCAACGAAUUUACCAUCGCCGUGCUGUCUCAAACCUCAUAUUACAAUUUCGUGCUCUACCUCUUCAAAUCCGAGGACUGGUAUUGGACCUCCAAGAAGGUGCUGGUGGACUCGCCGCGGCUACCCUUCCCCAUGCCGCUCCCCCCUGACGAUGUCCUUGGCCACUUUCAGCAUCAUGGCAACUCGGUCAUCACCAUCGGGAGCAGGGGACUCGUUGGCUGGGUUGAUCUCUGGCACGGAAUACUGCUCUACGACGUGCUCCGUGACGACAACGACAAAGUACGCCUUGUGCCGCUGCCGGUAAGGCUGGGAAGCCAUGGCGGCUAUGCGCUUAUUUGCUGUCCAAAGCCUUACCGAAGCGUUGCUGUCCUGGGGGAUUGCCUCAAGUUUGUCGAGUUGGAAGUCUCCGGCGAUCGUCUUCCUGGUAAAGACCCUGAAACCAGGGGCCCCAAUAUCAGAAUUGAUGACUGGGCACUCACCACAUAUACCAACUGCAACAUCACCGGCGAUCCCGACGAUUGGAUAAUCGACUUCACUGUCAAGGCAUCUGCCAUCCGAAUUGACACAGCAAUGCGGUCUGGAUUGGUUCGCUGUGGAAUGCUGCGUAAGAGUGAGGCUGCAGAGAGAAACUUGCAAAAUCUCUGGACAUGUCAGCCUGUUCUCAGCCUGAAUGACCAAGGUACUGUUGUUUACCUCAUCACCAGGGUCAAAUUCCGGCACCCUAAGGCAUGGCUUCUUGCUGUUGACAUGGCCAACAAGCAAGUACGAGCAAUGGCUAAGAUUGAGGCUGAAAGGAGCACCGCCUUGGCGCUCAAGUAUUUUCCUUGUAGGAUCUCAUCUCCAGCUACCUGCCUGAAUGGGACAACUAUGCCAGGUAAUUAUAAUAUAGCGUCAAAUGCCAUGUCCUGUGAUUACUUGUAUAAGCUGCAACCGCUAAGAUAUUUGUUUUUUGCCAAAUCUGCAAGACUUGCAAUUGUUAACUACUGAGCCCAAUGUGACAAUGAAUUUCCUUAGAAUGCUUACCGAGGAGAAUUAACAUUGUAGUGAUAUACUGAUGUGAAAUCAACUAUGUAGUGUUUUUGUCGGUCAUGUCCUAAGUUCUGCCUCGCUUGAAGAUUGUUGUAGUGCCUCAAGUGCAUCAUUAUUCCAAGAAACCAAUCAAACACUUGAGUUUAUUUACCUACUGAACUUCACUCUCAAUUACAAGUGGAGUACAUGACAAUUGUCCAGUGUCAUGUCAGAACUGGUCAGAAGCGGUACUGCAGUAGAGAACAUAUGGUUGGGGUCCACCUGAGAACAAACCAUUGGAAUGAGAUGCCACAAGAAGGUCAUUCCCAUGAAAUUUCUGGCUUUGCGUUGCCAUAAUUUAGGGAAUAUUGGAUCUCUUGAUUUAACAGGGACGUGAAUGGAGUGAUGGUUAAUUCUUUUUGCACCGAGUCGCGUGAAAUUAAUUCUUUUUAUUUGCGCUGAAAUGAGUAAACGUUAAUAUUUAACAGUGAAUAAAAUGAAACUUAACUUGUGCUGAUUCCUCCCCUAAUUUGUAUCUUGUUUUAUUCUAGCAUCAUAUCUUAGCGUGUGAUAAUUAACAUGAAGAUUUUUCCCUGUUGCUGUUUGAAUUGGUAGAAGAUGCAACUACAUUCUGUAGCAUUUCUAAUUUUAUCUAUUUACUACUCCCUCCGUUCCUAAAUACUUGUCUUUCUAGGCAUUUCAAAUGACUAUCACAUACGGAUGUAUGUAGACAUAUUUUAGAGUGUAGAUUCACUCAUUUUACUCCGUAUGUAGUCACUUGUUGAAAUGCCUAGAAAGACAAGUAUUUAGGAACGGAGGGAGUAUUUAUCUUAUCAAAGAGCUGAUUUGUUUACUCUUGUUUCCAUGAAUGAAGUUACUCGUGGCACACUGAUGCUUGGGGAACAAACUGCGGGUGAUGGCGGGAAAUGAACUGCGUCUACCGAACCUGGUGAAGGUUAAGGUUUAUAAUAGUUAAUCUGAGUGUUUUACCGGGACACUUUGUAUGCUCGCUCGUAUGGGGUUGUAAUAAUGUUGAGGACAUUCUUCUCUGCAUGUGGUUAUAUCUUAUUUUCCUGUACUCCUAAUUUGAAUUUGGCGGUAUUGCAUUACCAGUGUUAUUUACAUUAUUGCAUCAUAAAAUGUGCGUAUACUUCAUAUAAUAUUUGAUGAAUACAUUGCAUUGCAUUGCCAGUAGUUGUUACUAGGAAGGAUCGCGUAGUUGCCGCUUGAUGAAAACUGGUGCCCCUACCUUAUCCCCUAAUAUUUCUCUACUUUCCCAGGCCACAGUCUUCAUCAUAGCGAGAUUGGCCUGCAGAAGAAGCUUUCCCACUCUACAUGUCUUUUUAGUCCUACUAGUUUUUACUAGUCCUUUUGUUAAAAUUAUACCUUCCGUUUGCUCGUCGUUCUAAACUGAUGUCGUCAACACAGGCAGUGUGUAAAGCUAGUCUGCGGUUUCAGAGGCUAGUCAUUUACAAAAUGAAUGGAAAAAGUCGAGUCGUACUCAACAGAUUCGUUGAACUCCAACACGGGAAGGAAGGUAGCCAGAGGGGAUGGGGGCCUCGGUAGUGAGGAGGGGAGGAAGGAGAUCGAAGGGGAGAGAGCAUGGCGUGCUUUGCCUCUCAUGUGCGCGAGAGAUGACAAGAUGUGGCUCCGUGUGUUUUGCUGCCGCCGCUGAUUACUAAGCUACACCUACACGCGUGUUUCUUCUUCUUUUUUGCUGCUGAUUGCAGUUGCGCUUUUUUGCCCUGCUGCUGCUGAAAUUGCUAUAGCCGCAGCUUGCUAGCAGGUAGCAGUAUAACAUUGUUUUUUGAGUUGUUGAUUGUUUUUGAGAUAGCUACCCACUUAUUCCAAGUGGUAGCAGUAUAACAUUGUUAAGUGUAAACUGAUGCUUUGUUGCUAUUGCUUGCUGCUCUGAAUUUUUGUUAUGAACCGUAUCAAACGUUUUGAGCUUGAGAUAGGUAUUUGAUAGGUACGUACGGAACAAAUUAUAACGCGAGUGGGAUAUAAGGAGUGAGCAGAAAUAAAGAAAGGUGUACAUUUCAAAACUUAAAAAAUGAGUCUAAAAGAGUACGUAGAUUUAAUAAAAACAAAAAUCAAAAUUAAAGGUUCAAACUAAUAGUAGACCAAAUUAAAACAUUCACUGGUAGAAAAAGAGGCUUCCAUACGCCCCCAUUAGUCCCCAAAACAAUCGAACCGCGACCAAAAGGGUCUUUAGUCGCGGUUUGGGAGGAGACCCGCGACCAACUAUCUGGGCCCAGCGCGCUCGGUCGACAGCUGGCGGACGGGAGGGGCUUUAGUCCCGGUUGGCCUGGCCAACCGGGACUAAAGGGCCCCGAAGGCCUUUAGUCGCGGUUGGCCAGGNNNNNNNNNNNNNNNNNNNNNNNNNNNNNNNNNNNNNNNNNNNNNNNNNNNNNNNNNNNNNNNNNNNNNNNNNNNNNNNNNNNNNNNNNNNNNNNNNNNNNNNNNNNNNNNNNNNNNNNNNNNNNNNNNNNNNNNNNNNNNNNNNNNNNNNNNNNNNNNNNNNNNNNNNNNNNNNNNNNNNNNNNNNNNNNNNNNNNNNNNNNNNNNNNNNNNNNNNNNNNNNNNNNNNNNNNNNNNNNNNNNNNNNNNNNNNNNNNNNNNNNNNNCCCCGAAGGCCUUUAGUUGCGGUUGGCCAGGCCAACCGGGACUAAAGGCCCAUCCCUAUAUAUAGGACUCAGCUCACUUCACUUCACUCAGCUCACUUCAUAAUUUUCAGAAGGGGGUGGUGGGUUUGCUUUUGGUUCCUCCUAUGCACACAAGGUGUUUGAUGAAAUGCCCGAGAGCCUGAAACAAACAUGAUAUGAAGUGUCCGAGCCACACUUGAGCUUUCUCAUGUAUUUUUCCUCCGCGAUCGCGGUUAGCAACUUGAACCUUUCAUGUGUCAUUGAUAAAAUAUGCAUGUGUGUAGUUCAUUGUUUAAUUUGUAUUAUUUCUAGCUAGUUAGUUUAACAAAUGCAUGAUGGUUAAUUAUAUACUUUAUAUAAUAAUAAUGCAGAUGAAUCGGCAAUGGAUGUACGGUCCCCGAGUCUCCGGCGAGUUCACUACGGGUUUGAAAGAUUUCCUCGUAGUGGCAAAUGCGAACAAGCAGCAAGGUUUUAUUAUUUGUCCAUGUGCUGUCUGUAAGAAUCAGAAGGGUUACUCCUCCUCAAGAGACGUUCACAUGCACCUGCUUCGGCACGGUUUCAUGCCAAGCUAUAAUUGUUGGACCAAGCAUGGAGAAAGAGGGGUUAGAAUGGAAGAAGAUGAAGAAGGGGAUGAUAUCGAUGACAACUAUCAUGAUCAUUUCGGUGAUACUUUCAUGGAGGAUGAUGCNNNNNNNNNNNNNNNNNNNNNNNNNNNNNNNNNNNNNNNNNNNNNNNNNNNNNNNNNNNNNNNNNNNNNNNNNNNNNNNNNNNNNNNNNNNNNNNNNNNNNNNNNNNNNNNNNNNNNNNNNNNNNNNNNNNNNNNNNNNNNNNNNNNNNNNNNNNNNNNNNNNNNNNNNNNNNNNNNNNNNNNNNNNNNNNNNNNNNNNNNNNNNNNNNNNNNNNNNNNNNNNNNNNNNNNNNNNNNNNNNNNNNNNNNNNNNNNNNNNNNNNNNNNNNNNNNNNNNNNNNNNNNNNNNNNNNNNNNNNNNNNNNNNNNNNNNNNNNNNNNNNNNNNNNNNNNNNNNNNNNNNNNNNNNNNNNNNNNNNNNNNNNNNNNNNNNNNNNNNNNNNNNNNNNNNNNNNNNNNNNNNNNNNNNNNNNNNNNNNNNNNNNNNNNNNNNNNNNNNNNNNNNNNNNNNNNNNNNNNNNNNNNNNNNNNNNNNNNNNNNNNNNNNNNNNNNNNNNNNNNNNNNNNNNNNNNNNNNNNNNNNNNNNNNNNNNNNNNNNNNNNNNNNNNNNNNNNNNNNNNNNNNNNNNNNNNNNNNNNNNNNNNNNNNNNNNNNNNNNNNNNNNNNNNNNNNNNNNNNNNNNNNNNNNNNNNNNNNNNNNNNNNNNNNNNNNNNNNNNNNNNNNNNNNNNNNNNNNNNNNNNNNNNNNNNNNNNNNNNNNNNNNNNNNNNNNNNNNNNNNNNNNNNNNNNNNNNNNNNNNNNNNNNNNNNNNNNNNNNNNNNNNNNNNNNNGUAAUUAGAAACUUUAAUAGCAAAAAUAAUUAUCAUAAAGUAAAAUAAAUAAGUAAUUAGAAACAAAAUAAAUAAAGCAAAAAAGAAAACAAAAAACAGGCAAAAAAUAAAAAAUAUGCCACCUAAUGGGCCACCACGGCCUGAAUACGACUAGAAACCCAUUAAUGGGCCAGGAUUCAGGCCCGCAGAAGGCCCAGUAGGCCCACACGCACAUAGUGAUAGAAUAGGCCCGUAAGCCUGCAUUUGAGAGGAGCUCGAAGUGGUGAGCGCAGCCGCGCUUAUAAACCACUGUCGAAGCCUCUCGACUAGCGAGGUGGGACUAAACAUCCCACCGCACCGCGCCAGUUCCAGCACAGACCUUUAGUCCCGGUUGGGGAGGCGGACCGCGACUAAAGGGUACCCUUUAGUCGCGGUUGUUGUCCCCAACCGCGACUAAAGGGUCUUUCUGCGCGGGAGCGAAAGCGGCGCCAAAACCCUUUAGUCCCGGUUGGGGAGGCGGACCGCGACUAAAGGGUACCUUUAGUCGCGGUNNNNNNNNNNNNNNNNNNNNNNNNNNNNNNNNNNNNNNNNNNNNNNNNNNNNNNNNNNNNNNNNNNNNNNNNNNNNNNNNNNNNNNNNNNNNNNNNNNNNNNNNNNNNNNNNNNNNNNNNNNNNNNNNNNNNNNNNNNNNNNNNNNNNNNNNNNNNNNNNNNNNNNNNNNNNNNNNNNNNNNNNNNNNNNNNNNNNNNNNNNNNNNNNNNNNNNNNNNNNNNNNNNNNNNNNNNNNNNNNNNNNNNNNNNNNNNNNNNNNNNNNNNNNNNNNNNNNNNNNNNNNNNNNNNNNNNNNNNNNNNNNNNNNNNNNNNNNNNNNNNNNNNNNNNNNNNNNNNNNNNNNNNNNNNNNNNNNNNNNNNNNNNNNNNNNNNNNNNNNNNNNNNNNNNNNNNNNNNNNNNNNNNNNNNNNNNNNNNNNNNNNNNNNNNNNNNNNNNNNNNNNNNNNNNNNNNNNNNNNNNNNNNNNNNNNNNNNNNNNNNNNNNNNNNNNNNNNNNNNNNNNNNNNNNNNNNNNNNNNNNNNNNNNNNNNNNNNNNNNNNNNNNNNNNNNNNNNNNNNNNNNNNNNNNNNNNNNNNNNNNNNNNNNNNNNNNNNNNNNNNNNNNNNNNNNNNNNNNNNNNNNNNNNNNNNNNNNNNNNNNNNNNNNNNNNNNNNNNNNNNNNNNNNNNNNNNNNNNNNNNNNNNNNNNNNNNNNNNNNNNNNNNNNNNNNNNNNNNNNNNNNNNNNNNNNNNNNNNNNNNNNNNNNNNNNNNNNNNNNNNNNNNNNNNNNNNNNNNNNNNNNNNNNNNNNNNNNNNNNNNNNNNNNNNNNNNNNNNNNNNNNNNNNNNNNNNNNNNNNNNNNNNNNNNNNNNNNNNNNNNNNNNNNNNNNNNNNNNNNNNNNNNNNNNNNNNNNNNNNNNNNNNNNNNNNNNNNNNNNNNNNNNNNNNNNNNNNNNNNNNNNNNNNNNNNNNNNNNNNNNNNNNNNNNNNNNNNNNNNNNNNNNNNNNNNNNNNNNNNNNNNNNNNNNNNNNNNNNNNNNNNNNNNNNNNNNNNNNNNNNNNNNNNNNNNNNNNNNNNNNNNNNNNNNNNNNNNNNNNNNNNNNNNNNNNNNNNNNNNNNNNNNNNNNNNNNNNNNNNNNNNNNNNNNNNNNNNNNNNNNNNNNNNNNNNNNNNNNNNNNNNNNNNNNNNNNNNNNNNNNNNNNNNNNNNNNNNNNNNNNNNNNNNNNNNNNNNNNNNNNNNNNNNNNNNNNNNNNNNNNNNNNNNNNNNNNNNNNNNNNNNNNNNNNNNNNNNNNNNNNNNNNNNNNNNNNNNNNNNNNNNNNNNNNNNNNNNNNNNNNNNNNNNNNNNNNNNNNNNNNNNNNNNNNNNNNNNNNNNNNNNNNNNNNNNNNNNNNNNNNNNNNNNNNNNNNNNNNNNNNNNNNNNNNNNNNNNNNNNNNNNNNNNNNNNNNNNNNNNNNNNNNNAACGAGAUUCCUUAUGUGCCGGGCUCAGAAUAUGAGCAACAAGAGGAUGUAGUCUCUUCUUUUCUGAACCUUGACGGUGGAACAGAGAUUGUCGAUGAUCAAGAAGGUGAAGGAACGGACAUUGUCGACGGAGGUCAACCGUCAACAACCGACGAUCUCGAAUUGCAAGUAGCAACCACCUCCGGCGAGGUAUAUAUAUACAUUGAGCCUCUCGUGAUACAAACUUACUGAAAUGUGAAUACAUAUGUAUUAACGCGCGCGACUCUCUUUCUUUUUUUAGCCCUCCGGAUCGAGUACGACAAAGCGUGGCAAAUCCAAGGCGAUGAAAACAGGAGAAACAUAUGCCAUUGAGUUUGUCAGUGAAACCGGCAAGCCCCUACAGCACACCUCAAAGUUUAUCAACCAAUGCGGAGUCGUUGUUAGAGACAACGUCCCGAUCACCGUCCAAGAAUGGAAGGAGCCAAAGAAGGCACGUCUUGGUUUCAGUUUUGUCGACAAGAGAACGAAAAAGGAUUGCUGGAGAAAGCUUAUGGAACAUUUCAUUCUACCUCCGGAAUACAACAAAGUUGAUGAAUUCGGUAACGAGGUUCCGGGUGGACGUCAGAGGAGGAGGCUAGUUAAAGAGUUCGCUCUUCAGAGGAUGGGCGAAGCAUUCCGGAACUUCAAGAAAAAUUUAACCCGUGACUAUGUCAACAAGGGCAAGACUCCGGAUUUCAAUGGACAACAUGAGAAACUGAAAGAUGAUUGGCCAGAAUUUGUGAGGCAAAAGCAAUCGGAGCAUUUCAAGGAAAUAUCGAAAAAAAUAAGGAUAAUGCGAGUAAGAAAAAGUUCCAUCAUAUUAUGGGGCCAGGAGGAUACCGCCUUUCGGAGCCUAGGUGGCAGAAGAUGGAGGAGGACCUGAGGGUGCGAGGAAUCCCUCUAGGUACAGAGGGAUGGGACCCAAGGGCCAAAAGCUGGUGGUACGGGCAUGGGGGAUCGCUAGACCCGGAGACAGGGGUGUGUGUUCACCGGCAGAGACAGUUUUCUCCCACCCAAGCCCUUAUUGACGCAAUGACCCAAGCUCAAGAGGGCUUGAUCAAGUUCAACAGAGAGAAAGACGCACUGACAACAGCCCUCGGGAAUGAUGAACACGGAGGACGUGUACGAGGCAAAGGCAAAGUUCCGUGGAAAGUAGGGUUUUCCCAGGACAAUGACCCGUACUGUUACAGAAGCCGUAAGAGAAAGACGGACCGGGAUGCAGAUCUUAUGACGAAGUUUGCAUCGGAACUCCAUGAGUUGAAGCAGACCGUGCAUGAACUAGUGAAAGAAAAAUCGGCUGUAGGGCCGCAUGAAGAUCAUGAAGCGGAUCGCGGAAGCCAGCAGCGGAGAAGCAGCGUGGCUUCCACGGAUGCCCCGCCUGCUGCUAGUGCACCGAUGAUCGAGAUUCGUGCACCGGAGCCUCACUACCCCGUGGAUGAUGUAAAGGAGAUGAAAGAAUGUGAUCUGCAUUAUCCCGUGGGGAACGUUUCCACGAAGGUAGCUAGCGGCAGUGCUUUACCCUGUACACCUGGAGCACUCCACCACAACAACCCCAUUGCAUAUGGCUAUGCUCGUGUCACGGUGGAAGACAUAGUCCAAGGGUUUGAGGACCUGGAGAUUGACAAACCUACACCCGAAGGGGAGAGAAGACUUGGAGAUGUCAAGCGCCAGUUCAUUCUAUGGAAAAAGAAGUACAUAGUGUUUCCAGGCGAGGCGCCAAGGCUAGCAAGUCCACCCCCCUCCGAUGGUGGUGGCGGUGGUGGUGGUCGUGGUGGUUCACCUACACCUCCUUCACGCCAUUCGACGCCGUCCCCCGAUCCACAACCUCCGGCGGGUACGACGCCCCCCAAUCCUCCUCCGGCGGGUACGACGCCCCCCAAUCCACCUCCGGCGAAGAAGCAGAAGCAGGCGGACAGCAAGGAAACCCGCUCCUGGACUAUUAACCCGGACCCUUAUGUACCUAAGACCACAAGGGUACCGGAGCCAUCACUGAAGCCUCUCCUCCCAAGGCCUGGGGAACUUAGUGAAGCUGAAACCAAAUUGGCCGCGUCUGCUGAUUAUGAGAAAUGGAAGGCGGAUAUGAAGGCGAAAAAAGAGCCUGAGCCCAAGCAAGUAUUCACUGAGAAGCAAAAGAAGUGGGCUAAGGAUUUUUUGACCACACCGUCCCAAGCCGAGCUGAAUAUGCCUGACGACUAUGGACAUGAACUUCGUAGGCAAGCAAAAAUAUUGAAGGAGGAGAAAGAAGAAAGUAAAAAAAGCGGGAAACAAGUUGACCAGCUCGGGAUGCAGAAGAAACAGUCGAUCCCCCCGCUCAUAGUGAAAGCCGGUCCGGAAGAGGACCCCGAGAUCAUAGCAGCUGCGGCAGCACUUGGAUUGACUGUAGCGAGUGCCAUGAAACAAGCAUCCGAGAUGGGUUUGACUCUUCGUGCCUUCUUAGGCCUUGAGGAUGCGCCAGUAUGUGAGAUAGCAUUACAAUAUGUGCGGAAUGGGCCUCUCGUCGAGCCUGCGCGGGAAAAGAGUCUACCACCACAAAUGCGAAAUCUGCUACGUUGGUACAAGCAAUUCAUAACAUGGGCCGACAAAGAAUAUAUUUAUGCGGAUGUUACAGAUGAGCAUCACACCAAACGGUACUCUGUAGAAGUUCAUAUGAGUGAAUUGUUCCAGCUAUUCAAUCUGCGCGACCUCGACAAAUCUAUGCUGAGUUGCUACGUUCUGUAAGUGAUUUAUUUCUACCUCAUCUCGUUCUUCAUUGCCUGCACUAUAUAUAUAUAUAUUGUCCUAACUAUAUUGUUGCGUACGCUAUUAUGCAGAUUGAAGAUUUGGGAAUGCAAAAUAAGAAACAUCCAUGAUGUUGGGUUCAUUGACCCACAUAUCGUUAAUGGACAUGUGUUACAACAUCACCCCGAAGACGUGGAGAAAGACUUGUACAAGUUUCUUAGAAAGCAUCAACUCAAAAGUCAUAUUCUAUUUCCUUACCAUUUUGGGUGAGUGUUUCUCUCUUGUGCCCAUUCUCUUUUGUUUACUCCAUGCAUGGUAUGUCUAAUCGAUGAGUUAUGCAUGACUGUGCAUGUAACGUGUCCGCAGGUUCCACUGGAUUCUGCUAAAUAUUGAACUUCACACCUCCAGAGUUCUAAUCAUGGACUCUAUGGAUUCGGAUCCAAAGCGUUGGGCCGACAUGAGAAAAAUGCUGCAAAAGUAAUUAUUUUCAAUCAUUUGAACUCUAUAUCGAUCGGUCUCUUUUGUUCAUUUCCUAAUAUCAAGUAACUAAUAACUCCCUUGUUCAUUUAAUUUUCUUUGCCCUGUAGGGUUUGGAGACGGUUCUCAGAAGAAAUUGUCGGUGAAUUCAAACAUGAGCUAGAUUUCAGAAGGUUAGUUAAUGUGGAUAAGCAGCCACCGGGGACCAAUCUAUGUGGAUACUAUGUUUGUGAGAACAUCUGGAGACACACCUCUGAGCGGAAGGCAUCGGAUAGCGUGCGGAACGCGACGGAUAACUUGCGGAGGAGGCUUAGUCCAGAAGCUCGCUUCCGACCAAUUCAAGAAGAAUUAGCAGGAUUUUUCAUGAGGGAAGUCAUCAAUCCUAAAGGAGAACACUAUACCGAGGACGAAGAAAUUUAUAUGCAUACCCGAGAUUGAAACUUGUACGAAGUUGUAUAUGGUCAUCCAUCCUAAUUGUGUAUGCAAACUUGUUCGAAGUUGUAUAUGGUCACCCGAGAUUGAAUAUAUAUUAUAUAUUCCUCUUGAAUUCUUCUUGUUUGAAAUUUCAUAUGCAUGUAUAUAGUAGCGUAGAAUAUGUGUACUGAAACUUUAUCAAAAUUAAAAUAAAACACAAAAUAUAAUAUAAAAGAAAUAAAACACUCCAAACUAAAAAGAAACCAGGUUUAGGGGGGCUAAAACCCUAAACCUGCGGAGGGGCCCUUUAGUCCCGGGUGGCCACGAGAACCGGGACUAAAGGUCCUCCGCCCCGACGGACCACGGGCGUCCACGUGGACGGGCCUUUAGUCCCGGUCAGCCACAAGAACCGGGACUAAAGCCUUUAGUCGCGGUCCGUAAGAGGCGCGACUAAAGGGGGGGGGGGUCUUUAGUCGCGCAUAUUUAGUCCCGGUUGCACAGCCGGGACUAAAGGCUGUUGCGAACCGGGACUAAAGGGCUUUUUUCUACCAGUGAUUGUUGAAUUAGAUUUGUGAAGUUUUAUUGAAUCAUUAUUUUUUGAACUAAGGCCAAAAACGUUUAGCUAUCAAAGUGGACAGAUUUAAAUGGUUGAGUGAUGUCACGAGAACGGAAACUAUAUUUGUGAAUUGUUCAAUCAACCCGUAGCAACGCACGGGUACAUUUACUAGUAGCAAAUAAAGCAGAAAAGGUUGUAGGAGAAGAAUGAGAAAACCUUUCGAGGAAGGCCAAAAAAGUGAAAUUACCAAGAAAGGAAAACAAACGAAAAAUAUGUACUGGGGACUCAUGGUUUAAGACACGCGUUCUUAACAUCAAAUCUUUAUCAAGACAUGGCCUCACAAAGGCCAUUUCUUGAUAAGAAUUUGGCAUUAAGCAUGGGGCAAAGAUGGUAGAGCCUAGGUUAGCAACCAUGCUCCGCCCCUCGUCAUGGCUCUCCGUACCGGCCGAAGAAGCUGUUGAAGGAGGGGCAUACGUAUGAAGCUCUUCUGAGAACAUAUAUAGGGAAAGAAGACGGAACACAUACUAGCCAGGCCUAAAACCGUCGCCCUGCCCCGCUCAGGUCUCUCGGAGCGACCGGAGAGGCCAGGGAGGGUAGGUUGGAGGAGGGGGAGGCAUCGAAAUGCAUACCUCCCAGGAUGAACAAAGGCGUCUCGCCCCGCUUGGGUCUCUCGGAGCGAUCAAAGAGGCCAUCGAGGGGCAGGACGACAGUGUCUCAGCCGCGGGGAUGGGAAGCAAGAGGUGGGAAGCGAGGCGAUAAGGCAGGCCUAGGUUUCAGUGCGUGAGGGAGGGAUGAGGAGGCAGAAUAUAUAGGCCGACCGUGUAUGGGUUUGCACUUGUCAUGGUUUUGAUUCCUCCCCUUAAUUUGUAUCUUGUUUUAUUCUAGCACCAUAUCUUAGUGUGUGAUAAUUAACAUGAAGAUUUUUCCCUGUUGCUGGUUGAAAUGGUAGAAGAUGCAACUACAUUCCGUAGCAUUUCUAAUUUGAUCUAUUUACUAUUUGUCUUAUCAAAGAGCUGAUUUGUUUACUCUCUGUUUCCAUGAAUGAAGUAAUUCGCAUUACACUGAUGCUUGGGGAAGAAACUACGGAUGAUGGUGGGGAAUGAAGUGCGCGUACAUAAUUUGGUGAAGGUUAAGUUUAUAAUAGUUAAUCCGAGUGUUUUACCGGGCCACUUUGUGAUGUAGGGUGGAACCCUAAUGGCCGAUUUUUCACGAUUUGAAGGGGAUCCCUUGAAGAACACGAGAGAGGAAACACUCAAAUAGACAAGAUCCAAUCACACAUUUGCUAAAUCCACAUACACAAGAGGAGGUACAAUGAUCCAAAUUCAACACAAGUAGGUGACAAGGUAGCUAGUUCAUCCCAAUCCUUGGAGGAUCUUCCCUAGGAGGGGUCUUGAAUUCACUUGGGGGAUCUUCUCACAUGAAAGUCUUGAUCUCCAUGGGAGUAUGGGGAUAAGUGGAUGAGCAAAGCUCUGUCUCUAACUUGAGCUAUCACAAUGCUAACCCUAAAACGUAGGUGGAGGAGGAGUAUAUAUAGUCUAGGGGGAGAUAGAGUUACAUGGGCUUCGACCCAAGUCACACACGCAGGCAUGGUCCGGAAGGUGGUAUGGGCGACCGUCCAAAUCAUCCAGAUGUGUCGUAGCAGCUGCAGGUGGUCCGGAUGUUCGGGUCGUCGUCGGGACGUCCGGGUGGGCCCAGAUGAUCCGGGAGCAGGUCCGGAUGAUCCAGCUUCAAGUGGAGGCUGAAGAUGCCCUCUGGCCUGGGAUCCGGGCGAGGGUCUGGGGGAUCCGGCUUCGUCUAGUGGGCUACUGUAGUCUUCGUGCACAGAGUUCGGAUCAUCUGGGAGAGGGUCUGGAUCGUCCGGGCUUGGUCCGGAUCGUCCGACUGGGGGUCCGAAUGACCCGGGCAAGUCCAGUCUUGCUCCAUUUCUUCUCAGUCUUCACUUUUGUUUCCUCCAUCGAUCGGACUUGCUCCUUAGCUUCUCCAUGGCUAGUUCCUUGGUACCUGAGUAUGCAAAGUGUCUUCGCUUGAGGUAGUAGCCAUGUCUCAUGUGAUUCGAAAGGGAGUUGCAAGAGGAGAGAUGUCACCUCGGUCUCGAGAGUUCUUGCACGUGCACAUGUCAUCUGUCCACUUCUUGGGGAGACAAAGGUAGGUCCAUGUGGAUGACCUUGGGAUGCUCCGCAUCACCCCCCCAUGGGAAAGAUCCGACCUCGGAUCGAAAUCCUCAUCACCAUGGAAGGGAGAUAGGUCCGUGACGGUGAAUAUGUCACUCACGUUAUACUUGUCGCGUGGGAUGUCGAUCUUCUAUGCGUUGUUGUUGUAGCAUGCUAUCACCUUGAAAGGUCCAUCGGCUCAUGGUAGUAGUUUGGACUUGUACUUGUUAGGGAAGCAUUCCUUGCAAAGGUGUAUCCACACAAGAUCUCCGGGGUUGAACACCACGGGUUGCUUGUUGAUGUUGAUCUUGGUCAUGAGACAGUGUACUCGGUGCUCGAUGGCGUGCAUUGCAUCUUCAUGCACCUUCUUGAGGUAGCUUGCUCUUGGCGCUCGCGUCCAUGUUGAUGCGACGAGUUGAAUCCAUAGACGACCUUGAAGGGGGACCUGCCGGUAGUAGAGUGUCAUAUUCGAUUGUAGGCGUACUCGUCGAUGGGUAAACAUUCAUCCCAUUCCUUGAUGUUCUUCUAGAUAAACACAUGGAGUAGAGUAGAUAGCGUCUGGUUGGUGACCUCCGUUUGGCCGUCAGUUUGUGGAUGGUAUGCCGAUGAGAAGAGUAGCUUGAUUCCGAGCUUGGCGCAUAGUGUCUUCCAAAAGUAGCUAAGAAACUUUGACGUCGCGGUCUGAAACAAUAGUCUUUGGCACUCCAUGUAGACGCAAGAUUUCCCUACAAAAGAGAUUUGCAACAUGUGAAGCAUCGUCUAUCCUGUUGCAUGGAAUAAAAUGUGCCAUCUUAGAGAAAUGGUCCACAACAACAAAUUCCGAAUCUUUUCCUUUUUGUGUCCUAGGCAAACCCACAAAGUCCAUACUUAUAUCUUCCCAUGGGUGAUACGAAAUAGGAAGUGGCAUAUAGAGACCAUGUGAUUGAGCUUUCGAAUUAGCUUUGCGGCAUGUAGAGCACCGGUUGGUUUAGCGUGAGACACCGCGAAACAUCUUUGGCCAAAAGUAGUUCUUGGAGAGCGUAGCGAAUGUCUGGUCGCGUCCAAAGUGUCCCAUGAGUCCUCCACCGCGAGCAUCUUGCAAAAGCAACAAACGAAGAGAAGACUCGGGGAUACAAAGCUUGUUAGCUCGCAUUAGAUAAUCAUCCUUGAUAUAAUAUCGCUCCCAAGAUGUAUGCAUUAAGCAUUUAGCAUAAGAAAUAACAAAUGAAGUAUCAUUCACAGACAAGUCUUUAAUGUGCUCAAAUCCAAUGAAAUUCAAUUCUAGUUGAGUUACGAGCAUGCAUUUGCGGUAUAGAGCGUCCGCCACAACAUAUUCCUUACCCUUGAUGUACUUCAUCACAUAAGGAAAUGACUCAAUGAACUCACUCCAUUUGGCAUGUCGUUUAUUCGACUUAGUUUGUCCCUUAAGGUACUUAAGUGUUUCAUGAUCCGUGCGAAGAACAAAUUCAUGAGGUCGAAGAUAAUGCUCCCAAACAUGCAAAACUCUCACCAAAGCAUACAACUCUUUGUCAUAGAUGGGGUAGUUAAGUUGUGUGCCAAUUUUUUUUCCGCUAAAAUAUGCAAUGGGUCGCUUCUCUUGCAUCAACACACCACCUAUGCCAUUACCACUAGCAUCGCAAUGUACCUCAAAAGUUUUAUCAAAAUUGGGUAAUGCAAGCAAAGGAGCAUGUGUAAGAAAAUUCUAAAGCUCAUCAAAUGCGGUAGCUUGAGAAGGUCCCCAAACAAAGGGUGCAUUCUUCUUACUCAAAGCAUGGAAUGGUGAUGCAAUAGUGCUAAAGUCCUUACCAAAUCGACGAUAAAAGCCGGCUAGGCCAAGGAAAUGAUGCACUUGUUGCAAGCUGGUUGGUUGUGGCCAAGUUUUAAUUGCGUCAAUUUUAGACUCAUCAACAUGAGCACCCUUAGAAGACACAACAAAGCACUAGAAAACAAGCUUCUCAAUACCAAGUGUGCAUUUUCCAUGUUAGUAUAAAGUCACUUGUUUCUAAGAACUUGCAAGACGUCCCUAAGAUGGAUGACAUGAUCUUCAAGAGAUUCGCUAAACACAAGUAUAUCAUCAAAGUAUACCACAACACAUAGGCCAAUGUAUUUGCGAAGAACAUAAUGCAUCACACAUGAAAGUGCUAGGUGCUUCGGAUAAGCCCAUAGGCACGACUAACCAUUCAUACAAGCCAAAUUUGGUCCUGAAAGCCGUUUCCCAUUCAUCACCCUCUCGAAUGCGAAUUUGAUAGUAGCCACUUUUAAUGUCAAUUUUUGAGAAAAUGUGACUCCGCUAAGUUCAUCUAGCAUAUCAUCAAGGCGUGGAAUGGGAUGCCUAUAGCAAACAGUGAUAGUAUUUAUGGGACGACAAUCGAAACACAUGCUAAAACUACCAUCUCUCUUAGGCACAAGAAUAACCGGAAUGACACAAGGACAUAAGCUCUAGCGUACAUGCCCAUUCUCAAUGAUAUGUUGUACUUGCCUUUGUAUUUAUGUAGUUUCUUUGGGGUUGACGUGGUAUUGUGCCUUGUUCGGUAGAGGUGCACCGGGAUGAGGUCGAUGCAGUGUUCGAUGCUGCAUAGUGGAGGAAGUCCCAAAGGUAGCUCAGGGAACACAUCCUCAUAUUCCUGCAAUAAUUGAGACAACACCAAAGGUAGAUGUCGUGAAGGAUUAGUCCUCACCACUUCAUUAUGCUUAGUGCUUUGAUGACUGUUUUCAUUAUGCUUGUGAUUUCGUUAUUGCUAGAUUUGAGCACUGUAAUAGGGAAGCAAAUAAAGUAGCUCAUGAGCUUGCUAGAUUAGCUAGAUUUUCUUUGACUUCUGAUUGGUUUGAGGAGCCUUUAAAUGAAAUUGUAAUGAUCCUCACAAGCGAUGUACUACUUAUUACAAAUGAAUAAAGUCUGAGUUUUUUCAAAAAAAAGUCCUCACCGCUUCAUCUUUACACACAAGUACAAAGUGAAGAACACUUGAUGGGCUCUCUCACACAUCCCUCAUGUCUCUUUUGCUGGCUAAAAGCACUAAGUUUUUCUCGUCGCUCAUUGUGGGGGCACUCAAUUUUGGUUUAUGGCGCUCACUUUCUUUUUGGUGCUUCACUCUCUCGCUAUUCUCUCCAUGAUGGGUAGAUGCUUGUUUGUCGGCGAUCACUUGACUUGGUGACAUAGGUUGUAGCAUGUACUUCUUUCCCUUCAUCUUGAAGCCAUAGUGAUUGGUGCGCCUAUUGUGGAUGACGCCGCAGUCGAAUUGCCAAGGUCGUCCUAGUAGGAGAUGGUAUACAUACAUGGGAACCACAUCACACUCCAAGGUGUCUUCAUAUGCGCCAAUCUUGAAGGAGACUUGGACGGUGUGCUCCACUUGAAUGGUGAUGGAGUCGCUAAGCCAUUGGACCUUAUAGGGGUGAGGAUGCUUCAUCUUGACCAAUUGUAUCUUGGAACAUAGCUCUUCACUUGCCAAAUUGUGCCAACUACCUCCGUCGAUGAUGACCUUGAUGGAACGUCCAUUGAUGCCCUCUUUGGUGUGGAAGAUAUGUCAACGUUGGUCUUUGUCUUGUUGGUGUUGAAGUGGAAAGACCUUGGAGACAACAAGAGCGGGGCUCGAAUCAUUGUCACAAAAGACUUGAGCGUCUUCCUCUUCAUUCACUUGCCAGUGUAUGGCCACGUGCGCAAGUGCUUCCAUUUCAUCUUCGCUCAUGGAGUCAUAGGUGCCAUCGUCGUUGGUGAUCAUGUUGUGCCGAGUGGGGCACUCAAAUGUCUCGUGGCCUCGGCCUUGACAUGUGAAGCAUCUGAUGGAACUCGUCUUGACGGUCUCAUCAAUUGGAGUAGGUGAUGACGAAGCUCUUGGCCUAUAGUUGCUUGUCGUAGGAUGACGACUCAAAGAUGUCGAAGGUUUCUUGUAGCUUAAGUUGUCACCGUUGCUUGGUGAUGCUUUAGUCGAGGUAGACAGUGUAGUAGUUGUUGAAGCUUGAGUGUAUGAACCAUAGGUCUUGGAAGAGCACUUGGCGUACUUGUAGUCGUCUUGCACUUGUCACUCCGCCUUGGAAGCUUGGUGCACUAGCUCGAGGAGGUUGGAGUAUGGUUGGAAGUCGGCGAUUUUCUUGAUAGGAUGAUUGAUUCCAUUCAAGAACCGUGCCAUGGUUUGCUCCUCAUCUUCUGUGACAUUGGCUCGUAUCAUUGCAAUCUCCAUUUCCUUGUAAUAUUCUUUGACUGACUUGUUUCCUUGCUUGAGGAGUUGCAACUUCUUGAAGAGAUCUCGACUAUAGUAUGUAGGCACAAAAUGAGCUCUCAUGACAUCCUUCAUUUGAUUCCAUGUGGUGAUGGGUGGUUCGCCUUUCUUGCGGUGGCGCUCGGUAACUUGCUCCCACCAAAUGAGAACGUAAUCUUGGAACUCAAGGAUGAAAGGAUCGAGAAGAGGGUUCUAGAGGGGGGGGGGGUGAUUAGACCCUUAGCAAGCAAAAGAGGCAGUUUUUAGUUUCUUCAAGUUAAGGUUGAGUUUAGCACAAGUUAAAGCACUCACAAUACAUUUCAAGCAACCAUGAUAAAGAGUAUGAGCAGCGGAAAUAGUAAAGCAUGCAAUUUGCAAGAAAUUAAGGGAUGGGAUUGGAGUGUACAAAUGCAAUGGAGACAUGGAGAAUUUUGGCAUGGUUCCGAUAGGUGAUGCUAUCGUACGUCCACAUUGAUGGAGACUUCAACCCACGAAGGUAACGAUACGUCUCUGAUGUCUACUACACAACUUUAUUCUUGUAGACACGUGUUGGGCCUCCGAGCGCAGAGUUUUGUAGGACAGUAGCAAUUUUCCCUCAAGUGGAUGACCUAAGGUUUAUCAAUCCAUGAGAGGUGUAGGCUGAAGAUGGUCUCUCUCAAACGACCCUGCAACCAAAUACAAGAAAUCUCUUGUGUCCCCAACACACCCAAUACAAUGGCAAAUUGUAUAGGUGCACUAGUUCCGCGAAGAGAUGGUGAUAAAAGUGUACUAUGGAUGUUAGAAAUAUAUUUUUAUAAUCUGAAUAAAUAAAAACAGAAAGGUAGCAAAUAGUAAAUGGGCACAAAAACGGUGUUGCAAUGCUUAAAAAUGAGGCCUAGGGUCCGUAAUUUUCCUAGUGCAACCUCUCAACAAUGCUAACAUAGUUGGAUCAUAUGAUUAUCGCUCAAAGUGCAAUAAAGAAUCACUCCCGAGUUCCUAUUAGCAUUCAGAACCACGACCCUCUAUGCACCAUUCAGAACCAAGACCCUUUGUGCACCAUUCAGAACCUUGUCCUUCACAGCCAGGGAGCUCUUCCUGGCAUCAACCACCUCCUUCACGACCAGGGAGCUCUUACUGGCGUCAGCAGAUGUGUAAGGGCAUUCUUGUCCCUUAGUAAUUUUGGUGAUUGAUGACAAUACUUUUGCGGACUAAUCGUGUGUAUUGAGCUUUUCAGAUAUAUCAUGACUAAACACAAGACGAUUUGAUACCCCUCGAAGAUUAUUGAAGAUGGCGUUUCUCUACGGUUCUUUUUGGUGGAGUUGAGUCCUAGGAAAGCCAUACUAUUAAGAGGGGGUCCGCUUUGGAAAGGUUUGGGUGGAAUCUCACGCACACGUCCCUUCUGCACCGCCUUUCCUUUGGGUCUUUGGAGUUUCCUCCGUCUCACCUUGUCUCUGCGAAAUGAAGGACUCCGAGUUGCUCUUCUCAGGCUGGCGGUAGUACUGCUCCUCUGAGCGGUACUACCGCAGGAGCCAGCGGUAGUACCAGGCUCAGGCACGGUAGUACCGUGGGCCCCCACGGUAGUACCGCUCCUUCUGAGUGGUAGUGCCGUGUGCUCUGGCCUGGCGCUGCCGCGCAAGCGGUAGUAGGGGCGGAUGUAAUUUUUUACAUCCGCGCCCUACACGGUAGUACCGUGCUAUGGCGCGGUAGUACCGUGCCGCCUGGCCAGGCACAGCAGCAGGAGUGGAGGUAGGGUCGGAUGUAAUUUUUUACAUCCGCACCCCUCACGGUAGUACCGCACCCCUGGUUCGCGGUAGUACCGUGUCGGAUUUUCGCAUCGAUAAAAUCUCAGCGGAGGUAGUCAUGUAAUUUUUUAUAUCUGUGCCUACCGUGCCUGGACUGUGGCUGCCUUGCGGUAGUACCGCCAUAGGGUCGCGGUAGUACCGCGCCUGCGGUUCUACCGCGCCCUGUCUGUGCUCUUCUGUUCAGGUCCAGGCUCUGCCGCGCCCACGGUAGUACCGCGGGCCGCCGCGGUAGUACCGCAGGCCCGUGCGGUAGUACCGCGGGUCGCGGGCUGAGUGGUGGGUAACGGUUGGAAUUGUCCCCCCACUAUAUAAGGGGGUCUUCUUCUCCAAGAAGAUUUACCUCUUCCAACCCUGAUUUCCAUUGUUGCUCCAAGCUCCAUUUUCGCCAGAUCUCUCUCCCUAGCCAAUCAAACUUGUUGAUUUGCUCGGGAUUGGUUGAGAAGGCCCCGAUCUACACUUCCACCAAGAGAAAUUUGAUUCCCCCCACUAAUCCCUAGUGGAUCUUGUUACUCUUGGGUGUUUGAGCACCCUAGACGGUUGAGGUCACCGCGGAGCCAUAGUCCAUUGUGGUGAAGCUUCGUGGUGUCGUUGGGAGCCUCCAAUUAAGUUGUGGAGAUUGCCCCAACCUUGUUUGUAAAGGUUCGGUCGCCGCAUCCAAGGGCACCAAUAGUGGAGUCACGGCAUCUCGCAUUGUGUGAGGGCGUGAGGAGAAUACGGUGGCCCUAGUGGCUUCUUGGGGAGCAUUGUGCCUCCACACCGCUCCAACGGAGACGUAUUUCCCCUCAAAAGGAAGGAACUUCGGUAACACAUCUUCGUCUUCACCGGCUCCACUCUUUGUUAUCUCGUGCCUUUACUUGUGCAAGCUUCUUUGCGUUAUAUCCCUUGAUUGCCUGUGUGUUUAUUGUUGUUGCAUUAUAUAGGUUGCUCACCUAGUUGCAUAUCUAGACAACCUACUUUGAUGCAAAGUUUAAUUUGGUAAAGAAAAGCUAAAAAUUGUUAGUUGCCUAUUCACCCCCUCUAGUCAACUAUAUAAAUCCUUUCAAUUGGUAUCAGAUCCUCUUCUCUUUAUUAAGGACUUUGCCAUCCGAAGAGUAUGGUUGACACCGUAGACGGUGGGGAGGAGCACUCCGGUGUGAAUCCGUUCUCGUCUACGGCCGAUGGGGGAACCUCGGUCUCUCGUGAGGAAUUCAAUGUGGCUUUGGACACAUUGAAAACCUCCAUGACAACCGAGGUUGAAAGCAUGUUUAAUAAAUUCAUUGAAGGGCUUAAACUAUCUACCGCACCGUUGAAAGUGGGUGAUCCCACUAACAAGGUGACCGAUGCUAACUCCGACAAGGGGGAAGCUACUAGCGAAAAAGCUCCUUCUACUAGUGGUAAGAAUUGUUGGAAAUAUGCCCUAGAGGCAAUAAUAAAUUGGUUACUAUUAUAUUUCCUUGUUCAUGAUAAUCAUUUAUUAUCCAUGCUAGAAUUGUAUUGAUAGGAAACUCAGAUACAUGUGUGGAUACAUAGACAACAGCAUGUCCCUAGUAAGCCUCUAGUUGACUAGCUCGUUGAUCAAUAGAUGGUUACGGUUUCCUGACCAUGGACAUUGGAUGUCGUUGAUAAUGGGAUCACAUCAUUAGGAGAAUGAUGUGAUGGACAAGACCCAAUCCUAAGCAUAGCACAAAAGAUCGUGUAGUUCGUUUGCUAGAGCUUUUCCAAUGUCAAGUAUCAUUUCCUUAGACCAUGAGAUUGUGCAACUCCCGGAUACCGUAGGAGUGCUUUGGGUGUGCCAAACGUCACAACGUAACUGGGUGACUAUAAAGGUACACUACGGGUAUCUCCGAAAGUGUCUGUUGAGUUGGCACGGAUCGAGACUGGGAUUUGUCACCCCGUAUGACGGAGAGGUAUCUCUGGGCCCACUCGGUAAUGCAUCAUCAUAAUGAGCUCAAGGUGACUAAGGAGUUAGCCACGGGAUCAUGCAUUACGGUACGAGUAAAGUGACUUGCCGUUAACGAGAUUGAACAAGGUAUUGGGAUACCGACGAUCGAAUCUCGGGCAAGUAACGUACCGAUUGACAAAGGGAAUUGUAUACGGGAUUGAUUGAAUCCUCGACAUCGUGGUUCAUCCGAUGAGAUCAUCGUGGAACAUGUGGGAGCCAACAUGGGUAUCCAGAUCCCGCUGUUGGUUAUUGACCGGAGAGGCGUCUCGGUCAUGUCUGCAUGUCUCCCGAACCCGUAGGGUCUACACACUUAAGGUUCGGUGACGCUAGGGUUGUAGAGAUAUUAGUAUGCGGAAACCCGAAAGUUGUUCAGAGUCCCGGAUGAGAUCCCGGACGUCACGAGGAGUUCCGGAAUGGUCCGGAGGUGAAGAAUUAUAUAUAGGAAGUCAAGUUUCGGCCACCGGGAAAGUUUCGGGGGUCACCGGUAUUGUACCGGGACCACCGGAAGGGUCCCGGGGGUCCACCGGGUGGGGCCACCUAUCCCGGAGGGCCCCAUGGGCCGAAGUGGGAAGGGAACCAGCCCCUAGUGGGCUGGGGCGCCCCCAUGGGCCUCCCCCUGCGCCUAGGGUUGGAAUCCCUAGGGGUGGGGGGCGCCCCACCUGUCUUGGGGAGCAAGUUUCCCCCCUGGCCGCCCCCCCCCCUUGUAGAUGGGAUCCAGGGCCGGCGCCCCCCCAGGGGGCCUAUAUAUAGUGGGGGGAAGGGAGGGCAGCAGCACCACAGCCCCUGGCGCCUCCCUCUCCCCCUGCAACACCUCUCCCUCUCGCAGAAGCUUGGCGAAGCCCUGCCGAGAUCCCCGCUACUUCCACCACCACGCCGUCGUGCUGCUGGAUCUCCAUCAACCUCUCCUUCCCCCUUGCUGGAUCAAGAAGGAGGAGACGUCGCUGCUCCGUACGUGUGUUGAACGCGGAGGUGCCGUCCGUUCGGCACUCGGUCAUCAGUGAUUUGGAUCACGGCGAGUACGACUCCAUCAACCCGUUCACUUGAACGCUUCCGCUCGCGAUCUACAAGGGUAUGUAGAUGCACUCCUUUCCCCUCGUUGCUAGUAUACUCCAUAGAUGGAUCUUGGUGAUGCGUAGGAAAUUUUAAAAUUCUGCUACGAUCCCCAACAGUGGCAUCAUGAGCCAGGCCUAUGCGUAGUUACUAUGCACGAGUAGAACAGAAAGCAGUUGUGGGCGUAGAUGUUGUCAAUUUUUCUUGCCACUACUAGUCUUAUCUUGUUUCGGCGGUAUUGUGGGAUGAAGCGGCCCGGACCGACCUUACACGUACGCUUACGUGAGACAGGUUCCACCGACUGACAUGCACUAGUUGCAUAAGGUGGCUAGCGGGUGUCUGUCUCUCCCACUUUAGUCGGAUCGGAUUCGAUGAAAAGGGUCCUUAUGAAGGGUAAAUAGAAAUUGGCAUAUCACGUUGUGGCUUUUGCAUAGGUAAGAAACGUUCUUGCUAGAAUCCCAUAGCAGCCACGUAAAACAUGCAACAACAAUUAGAGGACGUCUAACUUGUUUUUGCAGGGUAUGCUAUGUGAUGUGAUAUGGUCAAAAGGAUGUGAUGAAUGAUAUAUGUGAUGUAUGAGAUUGAUCAUGUUCUUGUAAUAGGAAUCACGACUUGCAUGUCGAUGAGUAUGACAACCGGCAGGAGCCAUAGGAGUUGUCUUACUUUAUUGUAUGACCUGCGUGUCAAUGAAAACGCCAUGUAAUUACUUUACUUUAUUGCUAACCGUUAGCCAUAGUAGUAGAAGUAAUAGUUGGCGAGACAACUUCAUGAAGACACGAUGAUGGAGAUCAUGACGAUGGAGAUCAUGGUGUCAUGCCGGUGACGAAGGUGAUCAUGCCGCACCUCGAAGAUGGAGAUCAAAGGCGCGAGAUGAUAUUGGCUAUAUCACGUCACUUUAUGAUUUGCAUGUGAUGUUUGUCAUGUUUACAUCUUAUUUGCUUAGAACGACGGUAGCAUAAAUAAGAUGAUCCCUCACUAAAAUUUCAAGAGACGUGUUCCCCCUAACUGUGCACCGUUGCGAAGGUUCGUUGUUUCGAAGCACCACGUGAUGAUCGGGUGUGAUAGAUUCUAACGUUCGAAUACAACGGGUGUUGACGAGCCUAGCAUGUACAGACAUGGCCUCGAAACACAUGCAAAACACUUAGGUUAACUUGAUGAGCCUAGCAUGUACAGACAUGGCCUCGGAACACAAGAGACCGAAAGGUCGAACAUGAGUCGUAUAGUAGAUACGAUCAACAUGGAGAUGUUCACCGAUGAUGACUAGUCCGUCUCACGUGAUGAUCGGACACGGCCUAGUUUGACUCGGAUCAUGUAUCACUUAGAUGACUAGAGGGAUGUCUAUCUGAGUGGGAGUUCAUUAAAUAAUCAGAUGAACUUCAUUAUCAUGAACAUAGUCAAAAGGUCUUUGCAAAUUAUGUCAUAGCUUACGCUUUAGCUCUACUGUUUAAGAUAUGUUCCUAGAGAAAAUUUAGUUGAAAGUUGGUAGUAGCAAUUAUGCGGACUGGGUCCGUAAACUGAGGAUUGUCCUCAUUGCUGCACAGAAGGCUUAUGUCCUUAAUGCACCGCUCGGUGUGCUGAACCUCAGCGUCGUCUGUAGAUGUUGCGAAACAUCUGACAUACACGUUUUGAUGACUAUGUGAUAGUUCAGUGCGUAAUGCUAACGGUUUAGAAUUGUGGCACCAAAGACGUUUUGAAACGUCGCAGAACAUAUGAGAUGUUUCAAAGACUGAAAUUGGGAUUUCAGACUAGUGCCCACAUCAAGAGGUAUGAGACCUCUGACAAGUUUCUUAAGCCUGCAAACUAAGGGAGAAGAACUCAAUCGUUGAGCAUGUGCUCAGAUUGUCUGAGUACCACAAUCACUUGAAUCGAGUGGGAGUUAAUCUUCCAGAUGAGAUAGUGAUGGUUCUCCAUAGUCACUGCCACCAAGCUAUUAGAGCUUCGUGAUGAACUAUAACAUAUCAGGGAUAGAUAUGAUGAUCCUUGAGCUAUUCGCAAUGUUUGACACCGCGAAAGUAGAAAUCAAAUAGGAGCAUCAAUUGUUGAUGGUUAGUAAAACCACUAGUUUCAAGAAGGGCAAGGGAAGAAGGGAUACUUCAUGAAACAGCAAAUCAUUUGCUGCUCUAGCAAAGAUGUUGGAAAUAUGCCCUAGAGGCAAUAAUAAAUUGGUUAUUAUUAUAUUUCCUUGUUCAUGAUAAUCGUUUAUUAUCCAUGCUAAAAUUGUAUUGAUAGGAAACUCAGAUACAUGUGUGGAUACAUAGACAACACCAUGUCCCUAGUAAGCCUCUAGUUGACUAGCUCGUUGAUCAAUAGAUGGUUACGGUUUCCUGACCAUGGACAUUGGAUGUCGUUGAUAACGGGAUUACAUCAUUAGGAGAAUGAUGUAAUGGACAAGACCCAAUCCUAAGCCUAGCACAAGAUCGUGUAGUUCGUUUGCUAAGAGCUUUUCUAAUGUCAAGUAUCAUUUCCUUAGACCAUGAGAUUGUGCAACUCCCGGAUACCGUAGGAAUGCUUUGGGUGUACCAAACGUCACAACGUAACUGGGUGGCUAUAAAGGUGCACUACAGGUAUCUCCGAAAGUGUCUGUUGGGUUGGCACGAAUCGAGACUGGGAUUUGUCACUCCGUGUAAACGGAGAGGUAUCUCUGGGCCCACUCGGUAGGACAUCAUCAUAAUGUGCACAAUGUGACCAAGGAGUUGAUCACGGGAUGAUGUGUUACGGAACGAGUAAAGAGACUUGCCGGUAACGAGAUUGAACAAGGUAUCGGGAUACCGACGAUCGAAUCUCGGGCAAGUACCAUACCGAUAGACAAAGGGAAUUGUAUACGAGAUUGAUUGAAUCCUCGACAUCGUGGUUCAUCCGAUGAGAUCAUCGAGGAGCAUGUGGGAGCCAACAUGAGUAUCCAGAUCCCGCUGUUGGUUAUUGACCGGAGAGUCAUCUCGGUCAUGUCUGCAUGUCUCCCGAACCCGUAGGGUCUACACACUUAAGGUUCAGUGACGCUAGGGUUAUAGAGAUAUUAGUAUGCGGUAACCCGAAAGUUGUUCGGAGUCCCGGAUGAGAUCCCGGACGUUAUGAGGAGUUCCGGAAUGGUCCUGAGGUAAAGAUUUAUAUGUGGUAAGACUUAUUUUGGUCGCCGGAAAAGUUUCGCGCAUUAUCGGUGUUGUACCGGGAGUGCCGAAAGGGGUCCGGGGGUCCACCAAGGGGGUCCACCAGCCCCGGGGGGCCACAUGGGCUGUAGGGGUGUGCGCCUUGGCCUAUAUGGGCCAAGGGCACCAGCCCCAAGAGGCCCAUGCGCCAAGAGAUAAGGGAAAGGGAGAGUCCUAAAGGGGGAAGGCACCUCCGAGGUGCCUUGGGGAGGAUGGACUCCUCCCUGGCCGCACCCUUCCUUGGAGGAAGGGCCAAGGCUUCCCCCCCUCUCCCUUGGCCGUAUAUAUAGUGGGGGGGAGGGAGGGCAGCAAUACCUAAGCCCUGGCGCCUCCCUCUCCCUCCCGUGACACCUCUUCCUCCCCGCUUGCACUUGGCGAAGCCCUGCCGGGAUCCCGCUACUUCCACCACCACGCCGUCGUGCUGCUGGAUCUCCAUCAACCUCUCCUCCCCCCUUGCUGGAUCAAGAAGGAGGAGACGUCGCUGCUCCGUACGUGUGUUGAACGCGGAGGUGCCGUCCGUUCAGCGCUAGGAUCAUCGGUGAUUUGGAUCAUGACGAGUACGACUCCAUCAACCCCGUUCUCUUGAACGCUUCCGCUCGCGAUCUACAAGGGUAUGUAGAUGCACUCCCCUUCCCCUCGUUGCUAGAGUACUCCAUAGAUUUAUCUUGGUGAUGCGUAGAAAAUUUUGAAUUUCUGCUACGUUCCCCAACAAAAGAAUCCCAAGGUUAAACCCAAACCCGAGACUAAGUGCUCCUGUAAUGAGGGGAACGGUCACUGAAGCAGAACUACCCUAGAUACUUGGUAGAUGAGAAGGCAGGCAAGGUCGACAGAAGUAUAUUGGAUAUACAUUGUAUGAAUGUGUACUUUACUAGUUAUCCUAGCAGCACCAGGGUAUUAGAUACCGGUUCGGUUGCUAAGUGUUAGUAACUCGAAAUAAAAGCUGCGGAAUAAAUGGAGACUAGCUAAAGGUGAGAUGACGAUGUGUGUUGGAAGUGUUUCCAAGGUUGAUGUGAUCAAGCAUCGCAUGCUCCCUCUACCAUCGAGAUUGGUGUUUGCGUUGAGCAUAAACAUGAUUGGAUUAUGUUUAUCGCAAUACGGUUAUUCAUUUAAGGACAAUAAUGGUUACUCUAUUUAUUUGAAUAAUACCUUCAAUGGUCUUGCACCUAAAAUGAAUCUCGAUCGCAGUGAUACACAUGUUCGUGCCAAAAGAUAUAAAAUAGUAAUGAUAGUACCACAUACUUGUGGCACUGCCAUUUGAGUCAUAUUGGUAUAGAACGCAUGAAGAAGCUCCAUGUAGAUGGAUCUUUGGACUCAGUCGUUUUUGAAAAGAUUGAGACAUGCGAACCAUGUCUAUUGGUAUAUAUGCAUGAAGAAACUCCAUGCAGAUGGAUCGUUUGGACUCACUUGAUUUUGAAUCACUUGAGACAUGCAAAUCAUACCACAUGGGCAAGAUGACUGAAAGGCCUCGUUUUCAGUAAGAUGGAACAAGACAGCAACUUAUUGGAAGUAAUACAUUUUGAUGUAUGCAGUCCAAUGAGUGCUGAGGCAUGCAGUGGAUAUCAUUAUGUUCUUACUUCACAGAUGAUUUGAGUAGAUGCUGAGUGUAUUUACUUGAUGAAACUCAAGUCUGAAUUGUUGAAAGGUUCAAGUAAUUUUAGAGUGAAGUUGAAGAUCGUCGUGACAAGAGGAUAAAAUGUCUGUGAUAUGAUCAUAGAGAUGAGUAUCUGAGUUAUGAGUUUGGCACACAAUUAAGACAUUGUGGAAAGUGUUUCACAAUUAAUACCGCCUGGAACACCACAGUGUGAUGGUGUGUCUGAACAUCAUAACUGCACCCUAUUGGAUAUGGUGCAUGCCAUGAUGUCUCUUAUCGAAUUACCACUAUCGUUUAUAGGUUAGGCAUUAGAGACAACCGCAUUCACUUUAAAUAGGGCACCACGCAAUUCCGUUGAGACGACACCGUUUAGAGAAACCUGAGUUGUCGUUUCUUAAAAGUUUGGGGCUGCGAUGCUUAUAUGAAAAAGUUUCAGGCUGAAAAGCUCGAACCCAAAGCGGACAAAUGCAUCUUCAUAGAAUACCCAAAACAGUUGGGUAUACCUCCUAUUUCAGAUCCGGAAGCAAGGUGAUUGUUUCUAGAAAUAGGUCCUUUCUCGAGGAAAAGUUUCUCUUGAAAGAAUUGAGUGGGAGGAUGGUGGAGACUUGAUGAGGUUAUUGAACCAUAACUUCAACUAGCGUGUAGCAGGGCACAUGAAGUUGUUCCUGUGGCACCUACACCAAUUGAAGUGGAAGCUUAUGAUAGUGAUCAUGAAACUUCGGAUCAAGUCACUACCAAACCUCGUAGGACGACGAGGAUGCGUACUACUUCAGAGUAAUGCGUGAUCCUGUCUUGGAAGUCAUGUUGCUAGACAACAAUGAACCUACGAGCUAUGGAGAAGCGAUGGUGGGCCCAUAUUCCGACAAAUGGUUAGAAGCCAUGAAAUCCGAGAUAGGAUCCAUGUAUCAGAACAAAGCAUGGACUUUGGUGAACUUGCCCGAUGAUCGGCAAGCCAUUGAGAUAAAUGGAUCUUUAAGAAGAAGACGGACAUGGACGGUAAUGUUACCGUCUAUGAAGCUCGACUUGUGGCAAAGAGUAUUUUCACAAGUUCAAGGAGUUGACUACGAUGAGAUUUUCUCAUCUGUAGGGAUGCUUAAGUCCGUCGGAAUCAUGUUAGCAUUAGCUGCAUUUAUGAAAUCUGGCAGAUGGAUGUCAAAACAAGUUUCCUUACCAGUUUUCGUAAGGAAAGGUUGUAUGUGAUACAAUCAGAAAGGUUUUGUCCAUCCUAAGGAUGCUAAAAGGUAUGCUAGCUCCAGCGAUCCUUCCAUGGAUUAGAGCAAGCAUCUCGGAGUCAGAAUAUACGCUUUGAUGGAGUGAUCAAAGUUUUUGGGUUUAUACAAAGUUUGUUAGAAACUUGUAUUUACAAUAAAGUGAGUGGGAGCGCUACAACAUUUCCGAUAAGUAUAUGUGAAUGACAUAUUGUUGAUCCAAAAUGAUGUAAAAUUUCUGGAAAGCAUAAAGGGUUGUUUGAAAGGAGUUUUUCAAAGGAAGACCUGGAUAAAGCUGCUUACGUAUUGGGCAUCAAGAUCUAUAGAGAUAGAUCAAGACGCCCGAUGAUACUUUCAAAGAACGCACACCUUGACAUGAUUUUUGAAAGAGUUCAAAAUAGAUCAGCAAAGAAGGAGUUCUUGGCUGUGUUACAAGGUGUGAGUAUUGAGUAAGACUCAAGACCUGACCACAGCAGAAGAGAGAGAAAGGACAAAGGUCGUCCCCUAUGCUUUAGACGUAGGCUCUACAGUAUGCUAUGCUGUGUACCGCACAUGAAGUGUGCCUUGCCAUGAGUUGGUCAAGGGGUACAAUAGUGAUCCGGGAAUGGAUCACAUGACAGCGGUCGAACUUAUCCUUAGUAUCUAGUGGACUAAGGAAUUUUCUCGAUUAUGGAGGUGAAAAGGAGUUCGUCGUAAAGGGUUACGUCGAUGUGAACUUUGACACUAAUCCGGAUGACUCUGAGUAGUAGACCGGAUUCGUAUAGUAGAGCAGUUAUUUGAAAUGGCUCCAAGUAGUGCGUGGUAGCAUCCACAAGAUGACAUAGAUAUUCGUAAAGCACACACGGAUCUGAAAGGUUCAGACCCGUUGACUAAUAACCUCUCUCACAAGCAUAACAUGAUCAAACCAGAACUCAUUGAGUGGUAAUCACAUAGUGAUGUGAACUAGAUUGUUGACUCUAGAAAACUCUUUAGAUGUUGGUCACAUGGUGAUGUGACCUGUGAGUGUUAAUCACAUGGUGAUGUGAACUAGAUUAUUGACUCUAGUGCAAGUGGGAGACUGUUGGAAAUAUGCCCUAGAGGCAAUAAUAAAUUGGUUAUUAUUAUAUUUCCUUGUUCAUGAUAAUCGUUUAUUAUCCAUGCUAGAAUUGUAUUGAUAGGAAACUCACAUACAUGUGUGGAUACAUAGACAACACCAUGUCCCUAGUAAGCCUCUAGUGACUAGCUCGUUGAUUAAUAGAUGGUUACGGUUUCCUGACCAUGGACAUUGGAUGUCGUUGAUAACGGGAUCACAUCAUUAGGAGAAUGAUGUGAUGGACAAGACCCAAUCCUAAGCAUAGCACAAAAGAUCGUGUAGUUCGUUUGCUAGAGAUUUUCCAAUGUCAAGUAUCAUUUCCUUAGAACAUGAGAUCGUGCAACUCCCGGAUACCGUAGGAGUGCUUUGGGUGUGCCAAACGUCACAACGUAACUGGGUGACUAUAAAGGUACACUACGGGUAUCUCCGAAAGUGUCUGUUGAGUUGGCACGGAUCGAGACUGGGAUUUGUCACUCCGUAUGACGGAGAGGUAUCUCUGGGCCCACUCGGUAAUGCAUCAUCAUAAUGAGCUCAAGGUGACUAAGGAGUUAGACACGGGAUCAUGCAUUACGGUACGAGUAAAGUGACUUGCCGGUAACGAGAUUGAACAAGGUAUUGGGAUACCGACGAUCGAAUCUCGGGCAAGUAACGUACCGAUUGACAAAGGGAAUUGUAUACGGGAUUGAUUGAAUCCUCGACAUCGUGGUUCAUCCGAUGAGAUCAUCGUGGAACAUGUGGGAGCCAACAUGGGUAUCCAGAUCCCGCUGUUGGUUAUUGACCGGAGAGGCGUCUCGGUCAUGUCUGCAUGUCUCCCGAACCCGUAGGGUCUACAAACUUAAGGUUCGGUGACGCUAGGGUUGUAGAGAUAUUAGUAUGCGGAAACCCGAAAGUUGUUCGGAGUCCCGGAUGAGAUCCCGGACGUCACGAGGAGUUCCGGAAUGGUCCGGAGGUGAAGAAUUAUAUAUAGGAAGUCAAGUUUCGGCCACCGGGAAAGUUUCGGGGGUCACCGGUAUUGUACUGGGACCACCGGAAGGGUCCCGGGGGUCCAUCGGGUGGGGCCACCUAUGCCGGAGGGCCCCAUGGGCCGAAGUGGGAAGGGAACCAGCCCCUAGUGGGCUGGGGCGCCCCCCUGCGCCUAGGGUUGGAAUCCCUAGGGGUGGGGGGCGCCCCACCUGACUUGGGGAGCAAGUUUCCCCCCUGGCCGCCGCCCCCCCUUGUAGAUGGGAUCCAGGGCCGGCGCCCCCCAGGGGCCUAUAUAUAGUGGGGGGAAGGGAGGGCAGCAGCACCACAGCCCCUGGCACCUCCCUCUCCCCCUGCAACACCUCUCCCUCUCGCAGAAGCUUGGCGAAGCCCUGCCGAGAUCCCCGCUACUUCCACCACCACGCCGUCGUGCUGCUGGAUCUCCAUCAACCUCUCCUCCCCCCUUGCUGGAUCAAGAAGGAGGAGACGUCGCUGCUCCGUACGUGUGUUGAACGCGGAGGUGCCGUCCGUUCGGCACUCGGUCAUCGGUGAUUUGGAUCACGGCGAGUACGACUCCAUCAACCCGUUCACUUGAACGCUUCCGCUCGCGAUCUACAAGGGUAUGUAGAUGCACUCCUUUCCCCUUGUUGCUAGUAUACUCCAUAGAUGGAUCUUGGUGAUGCGUAGGAAAUUUUAAAAUUCUGCUACGAUCCCCAACAAGAAUGGCACCGACAUUUUUUCCCAAGUGGAACCUCCACUUGUUUAUGGUGGACCGCUUCCUUCUACUCAUUUGAAUCAUGCCGGUCCUCCCCCUAAGAUUGUGAAAAAUGAGGAUUUUGAUUCUUGGGUCUAUCGCUUUAAGCGUCAUUUGAAUCAUGUGAAUACUAAUCUUUGGAGAAUCAUUGAAGAAGGUUUCUAUCCGCAUGACCAAAGCAACUUCACGCCUAGAGAAGCCGUGGACAAUCAAUUCAAUGAGAAUGCUCUCUUCAUCAUUCAAGAUGCAAUUCCACCCGAAGAUCUUCCUCACCUCCGGCCCUACGCCAUGGCCAAAGACGCUUGCCACCAAGUCGUUUCCCUCUAACGGGGAAGCGCAAGCAUUCAAUGCUCCAACUAUGAAGUGGUGCAAGAUGAAGCCGGCGAGUUUGCCAGGAAAGAAGAUGAAGAACCUCGUGAGCUUUAUCGGAGAGUAACCAAACUUGUGGUCUCUCUCCGAGAUCAUGGGAGCAAGGACACGGAUGACAAUUGGAUCAAGCGCAAAUUUCUCAAGGCAAUGAUGCUGUACCACAAGGCCAUGUCCCCCGUCAUUCGUCAACGGCCGGACUUCCACACCUUGUCCUCAAGUGAAGUGUUGGAUGAGUUUGUGGCUAUGAGCAUCUUGGACAAAACCGCCGACAAUGCGGUGCUUUGCUCCCAAAGAGCAAAGAAGCCCAACCUUGCUUUGAAGGCCAAGGUUAUUGUGGAGGAAGAGGACGAAGAGGAAGAAGAGGAGAGCAACCUUGAAGAUACAAAGUAUGCCUAUCAUGAACACAUGGCUCUUGCUUCAAGGCAAUUUUGGAGCAAGAAGAACUCAAGGCCCAACUUCAACAAGACCAAUUCAAGUGGCGCCAAGGGCAAGCAACAUAUGAGGACUUGCUUUAAUUGUGGCAAUGUGAGUCACUUUGUUGCGGAGUGCCCUUAUGAGAAGAGGGAAGACGAUGGUGGCAAGCUCAUCCGAAAGGACAAGGCCAAGUCUUUCCCCAACAAGAACAACUUCACCAAGAAGACUCCUCCUAGGGCGUUGGUGGUACAAGAAGACUACAAUGACGAUGAUGAUGAUGAUGAAGAUGGUGAGUCGGUUGCCAUGGCCUCCGUUGCCAUUGCAUCAACUCCACGGGUGUCUCUCUUUUUGACUCACCCAAUGAGAACAUCACCGCCAAGUGCCUCAUGGCUAAAGCCACCAACAAGGUAACCCCCAACAUCAAAACUACCAUCAUUAAUAAUCCUUCAUUGACGGAUUGCAUUGAUGAACAUGAGAGAUCUAGUGUGGAGGAAAAUGAGUUUGAGUCCUUUAUGGGUAAACUCAAGGGUAAAUCCAAGACGCACUUCGUUGCUCUCUUGGAACAACUUGGUGAAGCCAAUGUCAUGAUCGAGGCUCAUGAAGAAACCAUAUCUAAGAUGUAGGAGCAUAGUCGUGGCUAUGCCGAUGAGAUUUCGGAUCUUUCCAAUGCUCUUGAGGAAGAGCGUGGUCUUCGUUUGGCUCUUGAGGAGUCAUACAACGAUGAUCACGCUAUACUAAAGAAAGAUCUUGAUCAUACUCUUGUUGUAUCUCGUGUGCUAAAUUCCGAGAAAGCCAAACUUGGGAUUGAUCUUGCUAGACUCAAGGAGGAGUUUGAUAUACUUGACAAGGCUCACAAGGCCUUGAAGGGUAUUCAUGCUAAUCUUAAAGAGUCUCAUGAUCAACUUCAAGUGAAGCUAACCAAGGAGAAAGCCACCUUUCCUCAUAUGGUUUUAAUUGAUAAUGCAAAUGCCACUAACCCGUGUUGUGAGCAUGUGCAUCUUGUUGAGGAGAAUGCUAAGUUGAAGGAGCAACUUGAGAAAGGCCUUGUGUCAUGCAUACAAGGUGAGAAGAACCUCAACGACCUUUUGAGUAAUCAAAAGGAAGUUGUAGCCAAGGAGGGGAUUGGGUUCGCACCCAAGCCCAAGAACAAGAAGAAGAAUGACAAGACCAAACUACCUCCUCCUCUCAAGCAAACCUUUGUGAAGGAGGGAGAGGGUGCUCCCAAGGAGAAUAAGAACAAUGCGAAGGGUGGUGGUGCCAAGAAGGGCAAUGCCACCCCUCCCAACCAAGCCGGCGACUUUAACCCUUCUUAUGUGUUGUGCCGUGCUAGUGAUUGGCAUGUUUAUGCCAAAUUUGUUGGUUCUCCUUAUGAGUACAUUGAAUGGUCUAUUUGGGUUCCUAAGACCCUUGUCAUUAACAUCAAAGGACCCAUUAGAAAAUGGGUACCUAAAUCCAAGCAUUGAUCUCUUGUAGGUGUUUGCUUCCGGUGGGGGGUCAUGGUUGCUCGAUAGUGGAGCUACAAAUCAUAUGACCGGAAGCAAGGAUUUGGUGGUGGACGUUCACAAGAUUCCAUCUAUGCCCACCAAUGUCGAGUGGGGUGAUGCCUUGUCUUCUAAGGUAUUGGGACUUGGCAAGGUUGUCAUUUCUCAUGAUCUCACGAUCGAGAAGGUCAUGCUUUUUGAGUCCCUUGCAUACAAUUUACUUUCCGUUCGUCAACUUGCACUCAUGAGUUUUGCCACAUUCUUUGAUAUUGAUACCGUGGCCCUCUUGUGGAGCAAGACUCUUAAAGUAGCCUUUGUUGGGCAUGUCGAGAAUGGUCUCUAUGUGAUUAACUUCUCGGAGCGACCCACUAAGACCGCGACAUGCCUAAUGGCUAAAGUUGACGUGGGUUGGCUUUGGCAUCGCCGACUGGCCCAUGUCAAUAUGAGAUCUUUGCAAAGUCUUCUCAAGGGGGACCAUGUCCGUGGAUUAACAAAUGUUAGUUUUGCCAAAGAUCGUGCUUGCAGUGCUUGUAUCGAAGGAAAGCUUCAUGAGAAGGCUCACCCUCCCACGACUAUCAUCUACUCGAAGAGACCCUUGGAGCUCCUUCACAUGGAUCUCUUUGGGCCUCCAUCCUUUGAUAGUCUUGGAGGUAGAAAGUAUUUCUUGGUGAUUGUGGAUGAUUAUUCAAGAUACACUUGGGUAUAUUUCUUCAAGAGGAAGAGCGAGACCCAACAAACCGUCAUCCACUUUGCAAAUGAAGCUCAACGUCCACACAAUGCAAAGAUCUUGACAAUAAGGAGUGACAACAACACCGAGUUCAAGAACUACACCUUGGAUGAGUUUCUUAGUGAUGAGGGGAUCAAGCAUCAAUAUUCCGCACCAUACACCCCUCAACAAAAUGGUGUUGUGGAGAGGAAGAACCGGACGUUGAUGGAUGCGGCAAGGACCAUGAUGGCGGAGUUCAAGUCUCCAUACAACUUUUGGGCCGAAGCCAUCAACACCGCGUGUCAUGCAUCAAAUCGGCUCUAUCUCCGCAAAGGCUUAAACAAGACUCCAUAUGAGAUACUCACCGGUAACAAGCCCAACCUCAAGUACUUUCGGGUGUUUGGGUGUAAGUGUUUCAUUCUCAAGAAAGGUGUUCGUUUGUCUAAAUUUGAGACUAGAGCUCAUGAGGGCAUAUUUGUUGGUUAUGCUACAAACUCCCAUGCUUACCGUGUUCUCAAUAAGUCCAGGGGACUUAUUGAGGAGACGUGUAAUGUGGAGUUUGAUGAGAAUAACGGCUCCCAAGUGGAGCAAAGUGGUACUUGUGAUGUAGGUGAUGAAAUUCCUCCCCAAGCCAUAAGAAGAAUGGGUGCUGGUCAUAUCCUACCCAUUGAGGAACCCCUUGUGGCCGAAGGAGAAGGACAAUGCUCCACUCAAGUGGAGCCAUCACCAACCCAAGACCCACACGCUUCCGAAGGACAAAGUGAAGGCCCUCAACCUCAUGAACAAGAUCAAGGGCAAGAUCAACCUCAAGAUGGUGGUGAACAACCAAAUGAUGCACAAGGUCAAGCUCUCCCCUUCGAGCAAGUUCAAGAUCACGAGCAAGCUCAAGAUCAAGAACAAGCUCAAGACGGCGCUCAAGAUGAUCAAGUUACCCCUCCUCGUUUCACAUCUGGGGAGGAAUUAGAGCGUCGUGCCGCGAAGAUUGCUUCCAAGCUCACCACCAAAGGUCAUCUCAUGGAGAAUGUGGUUGGAAGCCUAAGAAAGGGUGUAAGCACUCAUAGAAAAUUAGCAAACUAUUGUGAACAUCAUGCGUUUGUUUCUUGUGUCGAACCCCAAAAGGUUUAUGAGGCGCUCGAGGACCCGGAUUGGCUCAAUGCCAUGCAUGAAGAACUCAACAACUUCGAGCAUAACCAAGUGUGGAAAUUAGUGCCAAGUCCAACCGGAAAUCGUAAUGUCAUUGGAAACAAGUGGAUAUUCAAGAACAAGCAAGAUGCUCAUGGGAUCAUUGUUCGCAACAAGGCUCGUUUGGUGGCACAAGGAUACUCCCAAGUCGAGGGUAUCGACUACGGUGAAACCUUUGCUCCCGUUGCUCGCCUUGAAUCUAUUCGUUUGUUGAUUGCUUAUGCUUCUCAUCAUAAUUUCACGUUGCAACAAAUGUAUGUGAAGAGUGCUUUUCUUAAUGGUCCCAUAAAUGAGUUGGUGUAUGUCAAACAACCCCCCGGGUUCGAAGAUCCCUAUUUCCCCGAUCAUGUGUACCAACUCCACAAGGCGCUCUAUGGCCUUAAACAAGCCCCACGUGCGUUGUAUGAGCAUCUUACGGAGUUGUUACAAGAUCGUGGGUUCGAAAUCCGGAAAAUCGACCCCACUCUUUUUACUAAGAAGGUCAAAGGGGAGUUAUUUGUGUGCCAACUAUAUGUUGAUGAUAUUAUCUUUGGUUCCCCUAACAAAGCUUUCAAUGAAGAAUUUGCCGCUCUCAUGACCUCAAAGUUCAAGAUGUCUAUGAUGGGAGAGUUGAAGUUCUUUCUCGGGUUCGAAAUCAAACAAAGAAGAGAAGGAACCUUCAUUAACCAAGCCAAAUACACUCAAGACAUGCUAAAGAGAUUCAAGCUAAGUGAUGUCAAGCCAGCUUCCACUCCAAUGCCCACCAAGUGCCAACUUGACAUUGAUCCCAAUGGUAAAGCGGUGGAUCAAAAGGUAUAUCGCUCCAUGAUUGGAUCCUUGCUUUACCUUUGUGCAUCUAGACCGGAUAUCAUGUUGAGUGUGGGAAUUUGUGCACGGUUUCAAGCCGCACCUAAAGAAAGCCACUUUGUGGCGGUUAAGCGAAUCUUUCGAUAUUUGGCUCAUACCCCAAACUUUGGCUUAUGGUACCCAAGAGGAGGCACCUUUGAUCUUUUGGGUUAUACAGAUUCAGAUUGGGCGGGAGACAAAGUGGAUAGGAAGUCCACCUCCGGAGGGUGCCAAUUACUUGGUUGCUCUUUAGUGAGUUGGUCUUCGAAGAAGCAAAGUUGUGUGUCUCUCUCGUCCACCAAAGCAGAGUAUGUGGCUUCCGGUAGUUGUUGUGCUCAACUCCUAUGGAUGAGGCAAACUUUAAAGGAUUACGGUGUCACUUGUGACGAAGUGCCUCUUUGGUGUGACAAUGAAAGUGCCAUCAAGAUCUCUCUCAACUCGGUGCAACACUUCAAGACGAAGCAUAUUGAGAUUCGGUAUCACUUCAUUCAGGAUCACAUUAGGCGAAAGGAGAUCAAGCUCAAGUAUGUCAGCACUCAUGAUAACCUUGCAGAUAUUUUCACGAAGCCCUUGGAUGAAGCAAGAUUUCGCGAGUUAAGGCAUGAGCUAAAUAUCAUUGAUUCGAGCAAUGUGGUUUGAACCUGUGCACACCCCACCAUAUUCAUCAUGCUUCCUUGUCUAGGUGUAGGCAUAGACAUAGGGGGAGUGUUGUUCUCUCAAUGAACUCUCCCUCCCCCCAUUAUGCAUAAAUUGAUCAAACUCUUUCACAUUUUCCAUUUUUGUUGGUACUUGUGCCUUAAAGACGAGUCUCGGUCAUGGGCCCAAGGAUAAUUCUUCGCGGUGCCAUACCAAGUGACUCAUACAUAGGUGUCCUCGGCCACCGCCCUCUCCUCCAAAGAGUUGAGGUCAGUUUGUUGGUCUUCGGUGUCUUGUGCUUUCUCUGUGCCGUGUUUGUGUCGUCAUUUGUGUUUGCUUCUUGGUUGUUCGGUGCUUCCGAAGGUUGUCUUGCAAAUGCUCUCUUUCUCUCGUAUGAAACUAGCACUUUCUUGGGUUACAGAACUACCGUGGCGAGCCACGGUACUACCGCAGGAGUUGGUGGCUAUGCGCUUGCACAGUUGCUUCCCAGGGGCCCGGUACUACCGCUUCCAUCGCGGCGGUAAUUUUUUACUGCCGCUGGAAGAGCGGUACUACCGCCCAACGUGUGGUACUUCCGCCCGAGCGGUACUACCGCAAUGACCCGCGGUACUUCCGCGCCCACGCGAGCGGGUGGGGGUUAAGAGCAGGGCAGGGGGAGUUCUAACUCCCCCAUACCCAUUCAUCUCUAUUCCCCACCCCGUCUCUCUCUCUCCUGCCCAAGAACGGCGCCGGAGGCCGUCGCCGGAUCUCCGUCUCCGGCCGCACUCCUCGGAUUCCGACCGGUGGGAUCGUUCCCCACCUCGCCCUCUUGCCAUGGACCAAGGUUUUUCCCCAAGUUCCUCUCCUUGUUCAUUCUUACUUGUGCUUUUAGGUCUUGGGGAGAUGCAUGUGGUGUUCUUGAGAUUUUUGGCUAAAUCUGUGCAAGUGGGAUUCGUAGGAGCGUGGUAGUGUAGUAAGCAUGCUCUUUGGAUAGUCAAAAUAGUUCCGGUUGAUCAACGGUAGUACCGAUGUAGUCGUGCGGAGGUUCUAGAUCCAGAUCCGCAGCUCCAGUCGCGUUUCUCGAUCCGCGCGGUACUACCGCUCCUCCUGGAGCGGUACCGCAACCUCGCUGGUAACUGGCGCGGCGCGGUACUUCCGCACCUUGGUGCGGUACUACCGCUUGGAGCCCGGAAGUAAAAAAUUACUUCCGCCCCAGGCGCGGUACUACCGUGCCACCCCGGCACGGUACUACCGCGGCUGGUGCAGAUGUAAUUUUUUACAUCCGUACAACGGCCCGGUACUACCGUAGAUGCAUCCUGAGCCCUUUUUCUGUCCAGCUCUCGUGCUUAUCUGUUUCUUUCAGCUUUGGCCUUGGCAUUUGCAUUGAUCCUUCUUGUUUCCCGUGCGUGUUCUUGUGUUUUGUGUCUAGGUGGUGGCUCUGGUUCUCUUGCUCGUCGCUCGAAUCCCAGCCGUGACACAGGGUCAAAGCGGCUGCGCAACUCAGAUGAAGCUCCAGAAGGGUCGUCUGCUUCUCAACGCAGGACCAAGCACACCGCCACCAAGCAGAAGGAGCCCAUCAUGGACAUGGAUGAGAUGCCCCAGGCAGAGUUCGUCAUUCGAAGGAAACUCAAUCCAUAUGUGAAUCCCCGGGCUAACUUGCGAGGCAAUGAUCUCUUCUGGACCAAGCAGCAGAAUCUGAUCUAUCUGGAUGUGAUCAAGGCCAAGUAGAACAUCUACGUGGAAGUUCACUGGAUUGACAUGCAUCAUAUGAGGCAGAACAAGCACCGUGGCUACUUUGGAGAGGCUUUGGAUCUCAUGGAGCAGUUCGACAUUGAGCACAUGCUCACCUUUCACAAGGAUUUUGAUCCAGAAAUCGUGGCACAGUUCUUUGCUUCGGUCUACUUCGGCAUCGAUGAAGCAAGGACCAUGACCUGGAUGACCAAUGGUCGACGGAUGUCUGCUACAUGGAAGGAGUUCAUGGAGUUGCUUCAUGUUCCAGAUGAAGGGCUCGACACGCUAGUUGGAGUUCGCCCUCAUGCCAACUCUGAGUCUGCCAAGAAGAACAAGCUCAUGCCAUUCCUUGUUCAGAAGACUCUUCCCAGCAAGAAGAAGGUGUGGGUGCUUAACCCCUUCCUUGACAUCAUGCAUCGGCUCUUCCGGAACACCCUCUUCCCGCGCAUUGGUGACAUGGGCCAGGUGCAUGCUUACCUCGUUGAUAUGAUGCUCCUUUGUGAGGAGGCUCGUCAGGCUCAGACUCAGCCACUUGAUGUCUCACAUAUCAUGUGGUGUGAGCUUCAGUUUGCCGUGUUCAACUGUAAGGUCCCCAUCUAUGGGCCUUACCUGUUUCACUUGAUCUCCAAGACUUGGGAGAAGCUCUUUCCCAAUGAUGAGUUUGAAGCUCCAGGCUGGAUUCGUCAUGAGCCCAUCAAGCUACGCAUCAAGAGCCAAUGGGCUAACACCACCACUUCUGCUGAGGCUGCCAAGAUGGCUGUGGAUGAGGAGGAGAUUGAGGAGGAAGAAGUUGCUGAGGACCGUUCUGCUUACACUCCUCCCUCUGCUGAGCCCUCUUGGGCGAAGAAGCUAAAGAUCAAGUGAAGAGGCUGUUCUGCAUGCAGGUCCAGGGUCAGUACAAGGCCCAUGUUGCUCAGAAGGAAUGUCGUCGUCGCGACAGCAGGAUCUUGAGGGCGUGCGGCGAGGACGUGUCUAGCGGUUCUGAGAAGCACAUCACCCCCGAGGCUGCCUGGAUGGCUAAGCAGGGCUACAAGUGGACCGAUUCUGAGGAGGAGUACAUUCCUGCUGCGGAGUCUGGCGACGAGGAGUCAUUUUCCGCCUGAGCUACCACCUUUGUUGUAGGUGUCCUCUCUGCCUUUUUGGUGUCUCGAUGCCAAAGGGGGAGAGAGUGUAGGAUUUGCGUGUCGUGAGUCGUGUGUUUCGCCGUUCGCUUUGUCGCUUUGCUUUCCGUCUGUUGAACUUAGUUUGCUUUGGUUUGGUUGUGCUCAUAAGACUAAGUUUUAUCAUAUGGUGUAAGACAUAUGCACUCCUACUUAUCUUUAUGUAUUCGUUACUUAGUCAUAUCUAUCUUCUUGCUUACUUCCUUAAUGUUGAUUCAUGCCUUGUCUAUAAAAUAUAGGGGGAGUGUUGAUCCUAGUAUGUGUGCCAUGCAGUCCAAAGCACAUCUAUAGAAUGCACACAUCUAGAGGGAGCCCGUCUAUAUUUUAUAGAUAGUGGGUUUGCCGUUGCCUCAUUCGUUAUCUCUAUGUGCAAAUCCCGUAUUGUCAUCAAUCCACCAAAAAGGGGGAGAUUGUAAGGGCAUUCUUGUCCCUUAGUAGUUUUGGUGAUUGAUGACAAUACUUUUGUGGACUAAUCGUGUGUAUUGAGCUUUUCACAUAUAUCAUGACUAAACACAAGACGAUUUGAUACCCCUCGAAGAUUAUUGAAGAUGGCGUUUCUCUACGGUUCUUUUCGGUGGAGUUGAGUCAUAGGAAAGCCGUACUAUUAAGAAGGGGUCCGCUUUGGAAAGGUUUGGGUGGAAUCUCACGCACACGUCCCUUCUGCACCGCCUUUCCUUUGGGUCUUUGGAGUUUCCUCCGUCUCACCUUGUCUCUGCGAAAUGAAGGACUCCGAGUUGCUCUUCUCAGGCUGGCGGUAGUACUGCUCCUCUGAGCGGUACUACCGCAGGAGCCAGCGGUAGUAUCGGGCUCAGGCACGGUAGUACCGUGGGCCCCCAAUAGUAUCGCUCCUUCUGAGUGGUAGUGCCGUGUGCUCUGGCCUGGCGCUGCCGCGCAAGCGGUAGUAGGGGCGGAUGUAAUUUUUUACAUCCGCGCCCUACACGGUAGUACCGUGCUAUGGCGCGGUAGUACCGUGCCGCCUGGCCAGGCACAGCAGCAGGAGUGGAGGUAGGGUCGGAUGUAAUUUUUUACAUCCGCACCCCUCACGGUAGUACCGCACCCCUGGUUCGCGGUAGUACCGUGUCGGAUUUUCGCAUCGAUAAAAUCUCAGCGGAGGUAGUCAUGUAAUUUUUUAUAUCUGUGCCUACCGUGCCUGGACUGUGGCUGCCUUGCGGUAGUACCGCCAUAGGGUCGCGGUAGUACCGCGCCUGCGGUUCUACCGCGCCCUGUCUGUGCUCUUCUGUUCAGGUCCAGGCUCUGCCGCGCCCACGGUAGUACCGCGGGCCGCCGCGGUAGUACCGCAGGCCCGUGCGGUAGUACCGCGGGUCGCGGGCUGAGUGGUGGGUAACGGUUGGAAUUGUCCCCCCACUAUAUAAGGGGGUCUUCUUCUCCAAGAAGAUUUACCUCUUCCAACCCUGAUUUCCAUUGUUGCUCCAAGCUCCAUUUUCGCCAGAUCUCUCUCCCUAGCCAAUCAAACUUGUUGAUUUGCUCGGGAUUGGUUGAGAAGGCCCCGAUCUACACUUCCACCAAGAGAAAUUUGAUUCCCCCCACUAAUCCCUAGCGGAUCUUGUUACUCUUGGGUGUUUGAGCACCCUAGACGGUUGAGGUCACCGCGGAGCCAUAGUCCAUUGUGGUGAAGCUUCGUGGUGUCGUUGGGAGCCUCCAAUUAAGUUGUGGAGAUUGCCCCAACCUUGUUUGUAAAGGUUCGGUCGCCGCAUCCAAGGGCACCAAUAGUGGAGUCACGGCAUCUCGCAUUGUGUGAGGGCGUGAGGAGAAUACGGUGGCCCUAGUGGCUUCUUGGGGAGCAUUGUGCCUCCACACCGCUCCAACGGAGACGUAUUUCCCCUCAAAAGGAAGGAACUUUGGUAACACAUCUUCGUCUUCACCGGCUCCACUCUUUGUUAUCUCGUGCCUUUACUUGUGCAAGCUUCUUUGCGUUAUAUCCCUUGAUUGCCUGUGUGUUUAUUGUUGUUGCAUCAUAUAGGUUGCUCACCUAGUUGCAUAUCUAGACAACCUACUUUGAUGCAAAGUUUAAUUUGGUAAAGAAAAGCUAAAAAUUGUUAGUUGCCUAUUCACCCCCUCUAGUCAACUAUAUAAAUCCUUUCAAUUGGUAUCAGAGCCUCUUCUCUUUAUUAAGGACUUUGCCAUCCGAAGAGUAUGGUUGACACCGUAGACGGUGGGGAGGAGCACUCCGGUGUGAAUCCGUUCUCGUCUACGGCCGAUGGGGGAACCUCGGUCUCUCGUGAGGAAUUCAAUGUGGCUUUGGACACAUUGAAAACCUCCAUGACAACCGAGGUUGAAAGCAUGUUUAAUAAAUUCAUUGAAGGGCUUAAACUAUCUACCGCACCGUUGAAAGUGGGUGAUCCCACUAACAAGGUGACCGAUGCUAACUCCGACAAGGGGGAAGCUACUAGCGAAAAAGCUCCUUCUACUAGUGGUAAGAAUUGUUGGAAAUAUGCCCUAGAGGCAAUAAUAAAUUGGUUAUUAUUAUAUUUCCUUGUUCAUGAUAAUCAUUUAUUAUCCAUGCUAGAAUUGUAUUGAUAGGAAACUCAGAUACAUGUGUGGAUACAUAGACAACAACAUGUCCCUAGUAAGCCUCUAGUUGACUAGCUCGUUGAUCAAUAGAUGGUUACGGUUUCCUGACCAUGGACAUUGGAUGUUGAUGAUAACGGGAUCACAUCAUUAGGAGAAUGAUGUGAUGGACAAGACCCAAUCCUAAGCAUAGCACAAAAGAUCGUGUAGUUCGUUUGCUAGAGCUUUUCCAAUGUCAAGUAUCAUUUCCUUAGACCAUGAGAUCGUGCAACUCCCGGAUACCGUAGGAGUGCUUUGGGUGUGCCAAACGUCACAACGUAACUGGGUGACUAUAAAGGUACACUACGGGUAUCUCCGAAAGUGUCUGUUGAGUUGGCACGGAUCGAGACUGGGAUUUGUCACCCCGUAUGACGGAGAGGUAUCUCUGGGCCCACUCGGUAAUGCAUCAUCAUAAUGAGCUCAAGGUGACUAAGGAGUUAGCCACGGGAUCAUGCAUUACGGUACGAGUAAAGUGACUUGCCGUUAACGAGAUUGAACAAGGUAUUGGGAUACCGACGAUCGAAUCUCGGGCAAGUAACGUACCGAUUGACAAAGGGAAUUGUAUACGGGAUUGAUUGAAUCCUCGACAUCGUGGUUCAUCCGAUGAGAUCAUCGUGGAACAUGUGGGAGCCAACAUGGGUAUCCAGAUCCCGCUGUUGGUUAUUGACCGGAGAGGCGUCUCGGUCAUGUCUGCAUGUCUCCCGAACCCGUAGGGUCUACACACUUAAGGUUCGGUGACGCUAGGGUUGUAGAGAUAUUAGUAUGCGGAAACCCGAAAGUUGUUCAGAGUCCCGGAUGAGAUCCCGGACGUCACGAGGAGUUCCGGAAUGGUCCGGAGGUGAAGAAUUAUAUAUAGGAAGUCAAGUUUCGGCCACCGGGAAAGUUUCGGGGGUCACCGGUAUUGUACCGGGACCACCGGAAGGGUCCCGGUGGUCCAUCGGGUGGGGCCACCUAUCCCGGAGGGCCCCAUGGGCCGAAGUGGGAAGGGAACCAGCCCCUAGUGGGCUGGGGCGCCCCCAUGGGCCUCCCCCUGCGCCUAGGGUUGGAAUCCCUAGGGGUGGGGGGCGCCCCACCUGUCUUGGGGAGCAAGUUUCCCCCCUGGCCGCCGCCCCCCCUUGUAGAUGGGAUCCAGGGCCGGCGCCCCCCCAGGGGGCCUAUAUAUAGUGGGGGGAAGGGAGGGCAGCAGCACCACAGCCCCUGGCGCCUCCCUCUCCCCCUGCAACACCUCUCCCUCUCGCAGAAGCUUGGCGAAGCCCUGCCGAGAUCCCCGCUACUUCCACCACCACGCCGUCGUGCUGCUGGAUCUCCAUCAACCUCUCCUUCCCCCUUGCUGGAUCAAGAAGGAGGAGACGUCGCUGCUCCGUACGUGUGUUGAACGCGGAGGUGCCGUCCGUUCGGCACUCAGUCAUCAGUGAUUUGGAUCACGGCGAGUACGACUCCAUCAACCCGUUCACUUGAACGCUUCCGCUCGCGAUCUACAAGGGUAUGUAGAUGCACUCCUUUCCCCUCGUUGCUAGUAUACUCCAUAGAUGGAUCUUGGUGAUGCGUAGGAAAUUUUAAAAUUCUGCUACGAUCCCCAACAGUGGCAUCAUGAGCCAGGCCUAUGCGUAGUUACUAUGCACGAGUAGAACAGAAAGCAGUUGUGGGCGUAGAUGUUGUCAAUUUUUCUUGCCACUACUAGUCUUAUCUUGUUUCGGCGGUAUUGUGGGAUGAAGCGGCCCGGACCGACCUUACACGUACGCUUACGUGAGACAGGUUCCACCGACUGACAUGCACUAGUUGCAUAAGGUGGCUAGCGGGUGUCUGUCUCUCCCACUUUAGUCGGAUCGGAUUCGAUGAAAAGGGUCCUUAUGAAGGGUAAAUAGAAAUUGGCAUAUCACGUUGUGGCUUUUGCGUAGGUAAGAAACGUUCUUGCUAGAAUCCCAUAGCAGCCACGUAAAACAUGCAACAACAAUUAGAGGACGUCUAACUUGUUUUUGCAGGGUAUGCUAUGUGAUGUGAUAUGGUCAAAAGGAUGUGAUGAAUGAUAUAUGUGAUGUAUGAGAUUGAUCAUGUUCUUGUAAUAGGAAUCACGACUUGCAUGUCGAUGAGUAUGACAACCGGCAGGAGCCAUAGGAGUUGUCUUACUUUAUUGUAUGACCUGCGUGUCAAUGAAAACGCCAUGUAAUUACUUUACUUUAUUGCUAACCGUUAGCCAUAGUAGUAGAAGUAAUAGUUGGCGAGACAACUUCAUGAAGACACGAUGAUGGAGAUCAUGACGAUGGAGAUCAUGGUGUCAUGCCGGUGACGAAGGUGAUCAUGCCGCACCUCGAAGAUGGAGAUCAAAGGCGCGAGAUGAUAUUGGCUAUAUCACGUCACUUUAUGAUUUGCAUGUGAUGUUUGUCAUGUUUACAUCUUAUUUGCUUAGAACGACGGUAGCAUAAAUAAGAUGAUCCCUCACUAAAAUUUCAAGAGACGUGUUCCCCCUAACUGUGCACCGUUGCGAAGGUUCGUUGUUUCGAAGCACCACGUGAUGAUCGGGUGUGAUAGAUUCUAACGUUCGAAUACAACGGGUGUUGACGAGCCUAGCAUGUACAGACAUGGCCUCGAAACACAUGCAAAACACUUAGGUUAACUUGAUGAGCCUAGCAUGUACAGACAUGGCCUCGGAACACAAGAGACCGAAAGGUCGAACAUGAGUCGUAUAGUAGAUACGAUCAACAUGGAGAUGUUCACCGAUGAUGACUAGUCCGUCUCACGUGAUGAUCGGACACGGCCUAGUUUGACUCGGAUCAUGUAUCACUUAGAUGACUAGAGGGAUGUCUAUCUGAGUGGGAGUUCAUUAAAUAAUCAGAUGAACUUCAUUAUCAUGAACAUAGUCAAAAGGUCUUUGCAAAUUAUGUCAUAGCUUACGCUUUAGCUCUACUGUUUAAGAUAUGUUCCUAGAGAAAAUUUAGUUGAAAGUUGGUAGUAGCAAUUAUGCGGACUGGGUCCGUAAACUGAGGAUUGUCCUCAUUGCUGCACAGAAGGCUUAUGUCCUUAAUGCACCGCUCGGUGUGCUGAACCUCAGCGUCGUCUGUAGAUGUUGCGAAACAUCUGACAUACACGUUUUGAUGACUAUGUGAUAGUUCAGUGCGUAAUGCUAACGGUUUAGAAUUGUGGCACCAAAGACGUUUUGAAACGUCGCAGAACAUAUGAGAUGUUUCAAAGACUGAAAUUGGGAUUUCAGACUAGUGCCCACAUCAAGAGGUAUGAGACCUCUGACAAGUUUCUUAAGCCUGCAAACUAAGGGAGAAGAACUCAAUCGUUGAGCAUGUGCUCAGAUUGUCUGAGUACCACAAUCACUUGAAUCGAGUGGGAGUUAAUCUUCCAGAUGAGAUAGUGAUGGUUCUCCAUAGUCACUGCCACCAAGCUAUUAGAGCUUCGUGAUGAACUAUAACAUAUCAGGGAUAGAUAUGAUGAUCCUUGAGCUAUUCGCAAUGUUUGACACCGCGAAAGUAGAAAUCAAAUAGGAGCAUCAAUUGUUGAUGGUUAGUAAAACCACUAGUUUCAAGAAGGGCAAGGGAAGAAGGGAUACUUCAUGAAACAGCAAAUCAUUUGCUGCUCUAGCAAAGAUGUUGGAAAUAUGCCCUAGAGGCAAUAAUAAAUUGGUUAUUAUUAUAUUUCCUUGUUCAUGAUAAUCGUUUAUUAUCCAUGCUAAAAUUGUAUUGAUAGGAAACUCAGAUACAUGUGUGGAUACAUAGACAACACCAUGUCCCUAGUAAGCCUCUAGUUGACUAGCUCGUUGAUCAAUAGAUGGUUACGGUUUCCUGACCAUGGACAUUGGAUGUCGUUGAUAACGGGAUUACAUCAUUAGGAGAAUGAUGUAAUGGACAAGACCCAAUCCUAAGCCUAGCACAAGAUCGUGUAGUUCGUUUGCUAAGAGCUUUUCUAAUGUCAAGUAUCAUUUCCUUAGACCAUGAGAUUGUGCAACUCCCGGAUACCGUAGGAAUGCUUUGGGUGUACCAAACGUCACAACGUAACUGGGUGGCUAUAAAGGUGCACUACAGGUAUCUCCGAAAGUGUCUGUUGGGUUGGCACGAAUCGAGACUGGGAUUUGUCACUCCGUGUAAACGGAGAGGUAUCUCUGGGCCCACUCGGUAGGACAUCAUCAUAAUGUGCACAAUGUGACCAAGGAUUUGAUCACGGGAUGAUGUGUUACGGAACGAGUAAAGAGACUUGCCGGUAACGAGAUUGAACAAGGUAUCGGGAUACCGACGAUCGAAUCUCGGGCAAGUACCAUACCGAUAGACAAAGGGAAUUGUAUACGAGAUUGAUUGAAUCCUCGACAUCGUGGUUCAUCCGAUGAGAUCAUCGAGGAGCAUGUGGGAGCCAACAUGGGUAUCCAGAUCCCGCUGUUGGUUAUUGACCGGAGAGUCAUCUCGGUCAUGUCUGCAUGUCUCCCGAACCCGUAGGGUCUACACACUUAAGGUUCAGUGACGCUAGGGUUAUAGAGAUAUUAGUAUGCGGUAACCCGAAAGUUGUUCGGAGUCCCGGAUGAGAUCCCGGACGUCACGAGGAGUUCCGGAAUGGUCCUGAGGUAAAGAUUUAUAUGUGGGAAGACUUAUUUUGGUCGCCGGAAAAGUUUCGCGCAUUAUCGGUAUUGUACCGGGAGUGCCGAAAGGGGUCCGGGGGUCCACCAAGGGGGUCCACCAGCCCCGGGGGGCCACAUGGGCUGUAGGGGUGUGCGCCUUGGCCUAUAUGGGCCAAGGGCACCAGCCCCAAGAGGCCCAUGCGCCAAGAGAUAAGGGAAAGGGAGAGUCCUAAAGGGGGAAGGCACCUCCGAGGUGCCUUGGGGAGGAUGGACUCCUCCCUGGCCGCACCCUUCCUUGGAGGAAGGGCCAAGGCUUCCCCCCUCUCCCUUGGCCGUAUAUAUAGUGGGGGGGAGGGAGGGCAGCAAUACCUAAGCCCUGGCGCCUCCCUCUCCCUCCCGUGACACCUCUUCCUCCCCGCUUGCGCUUGGCGAAGCCCUGCCGGGAUCCCGCUGCUUCCACCACCACGCCGUCGUGCUGCUGGAUCUCCAUCAACCUCUCCCCCCCCUUGCUGGAUCAAGAAGGAGGAGACGUCGCUGCUCCGUACGUGUGUUGAACGCGGAGGUGCCGUCCGUUCGGCGCUAGGAUCAUCGGUGAUUUGGAUCACGACGAGUACGACUCCAUCAACCCCGUUCUCUUGAACGCUUCCGCUCGCGAUCUACAAGGGUAUGUAGAUGCACUCCCCUUCCCCUCGUUGCUAGAGUACUCCAUAGAUUUAUCUUGGUGAUGCGUAGAAAAUUUUGAAUUUCUGCUACGUUCCCCAACAAAAGAAUCCCAAGGUUAAACCCAAACCCGAGACUAAGUGCUCCUGUAAUGAGGGGAACGGUCACUGAAGCAGAACUACCCUAGAUACUUGGUAGAUGAGAAGGCAGGCAAGGUCGACAGAAGUAUAUUGGAUAUACAUUGUAUGAAUGUGUACUUUACUAGUUAUCCUAGCAGCACCAGGGUAUUAGAUACCGGUUCGGUUGCUAAGUGUUAGUAACUCGAAAUAAAAGCUGCGGAAUAAAUGGAGACUAGCUAAAGGUGAGAUGACGAUGUGUGUUGGAAGUGUUUCCAAGGUUGAUGUGAUCAAGCAUCGCAUGCUCCCUCUACCAUCGAGAUUGGUGUUUGCGUUGAGCAUAAACAUGAUUGGAUUAUGUUUAUCGCAAUACGGUUAUUCAUUUAAGGAGAAUAAUGGUUACUCUAUUUAUUUGAAUAAUACCUUCAAUGGUCUUGCACCUAAAAUGAAUCUCGAUCGCAGUGAUACACAUGUUCGUGCCAAAAGAUAUAAAAUAGUAAUGAUAGUACCACAUACUUGUGGCACUGCCAUUUGAGUCAUAUUGGUAUAGAACGCAUGAAGAAGCUCCAUGUAGAUGGAUCUUUGGACUCAGUCGUUUUUGAAAAGAUUGAGACAUGCGAACCAUGUCUAUUGGUAUAUAUGCAUGAAGAAACUCCAUGCAGAUGGAUCAUUUGGACUCACUUGAUUUUGAAUCACUUGAGACAUGCAAAUCAUACCACAUGGGCAAGAUGACUGAAAGGCCUCGUUUUCAGUAAGAUGGAACAAGACAGCAACUUAUUGGAAGUAAUACAUUUUGAUGUAUGCAGUCCAAUGAGUGCUGAGGCAUGCAGUGGAUAUCAUUAUGUUCUUACUUCACAGAUGAUUUGAGUAGAUGCUGAGUGUAUUUACUUGAUGAAACUCAAGUCUGAAUUGUUGAAAGGUUCAAGUAAUUUUAGAGUGAAGUUGAAGAUCGUCGUGACAAGAGGAUAAAAUGUCUGUGAUAUGAUCAUAGAGAUGAGUAUCUGAGUUACGAGUUUGGCACACAAUUAAGACAUUGUGGAAAGUGUUUCACAAUUAAUACCGCCUGGAACACCACAGUGUGAUGGUGUGUCUGAACAUCAUAACUGCACCCUAUUGGAUAUGGUGCAUGCCAUGAUGUCUCUUAUCGAAUUACCACUAUCGGCAUCGAUGAAGCAAGGACCAUGACCUGGAUGACCAAUGGUCGACGGAUGUCUGCUACAUGGAAGGAGUUUAUGGAGUUGCUUCAUGUUCCAGAUGAAGGGCUCGACACGCUAGUUGGAGUUCGCCCUCAUGCCAACUCUGAGUCUGCCAAGAAGAACAAGCUCAUGCCAUUCCUUGUUCAGAAGACUCUUCCCAGCAAGAAGAAGGUGUGGGUGCUUAACCCCUUCCUUGACAUCAUGCAUCGGCUCUUCCGGAACACCCUCUUCCCGCGCAUUGGUGACAUGGGCCAGGUGCAUGCUUACCUCGUUGAUAUGAUGCUCCUUUGUGAGGAGGCUCGUCAGGCUCAGACUCAGCCACUUGAUGUCUCACAUAUCAUGUGGUGUGAGCUUCAGUUUGCCGUGUUCAACUGUAAGGUCCCCAUCUAUGGGCCUUACCUGUUUCACUUGAUCUCCAAGACUUGGGAGAAUCUCUUUCCCAAUGAUGAGUUUGAAGCUCCAGGCUGGAUUCGUCAUGAGCCCAUCAAGCUACGCAUCAAGAGCCAAUGGGCUAACACCACCACUUCUGCUGAGGCUGCCAAGAUGGCUGUGGAUGAGGAGGAGAUUGAGGAGGAAGAAGUUGCUGACGACCGUUCUGCUUACACUCCUCCCUCUGCUGAGCCCUCUUGGGCGAAGAAGCUAAAGAUCAAGUGAAGAGGCUGUUCUGCAUGCAGGUCCAGGGUCAGUACAAGGCCCAUGUUGCUCAGAAGGAAUGUCGUCGUCGCGACAGCAGGAUCUUGAGGGCGUGCGGCGAGGACGUGUCUAGCGGUUCUGAGAAGCACAUCACCCCCGAGGCUGCCUGGAUGGCUAAGCAGGGCUACAAGUGGACCGAUUCUGAGGAGGAGUACAUUCCUGCUGCGGAGUCUGGCGACGAGGAGUCAUUUUCCGCCUGAGCUACCACCUUUGUUGUAGGUGUCCUCUCUGCCUUUUUGGUGUCUCGAUGCCAAAGGGGGAGAGAGUGUAGGAUUUGCGUGUCGUGAGUCGUGUGUUUCGCCGUUCGCUUUGUCGCUUUGCUUUCCGUCUGUUGAACUUAGUUUGCUUUGGUUUGGUUGUGCUCAUAAGACUAAGUUUUAUCAUAUGGUGUAAGACAUAUGCACUCCUACUUAUCUUUAUGUAUUCGUUACUUAGUCAUAUCUAUCUUCUUGCUUACUUCCUUAAUGUUGAUUCAUGCCUUGUCUAUAAAAUAUAGGGGGAGUGUUGAUCCUAGUAUGUGUGCCAUGCAGUCCAAAGCACAUCUAUAGAAUGCACACAUCUAGAGGGAGCCCGUCUAUAUUUUAUAGAUAGUGGGUUUGCCGUUGCCUCAUUCGUUAUCUCUAUGUGCAAAUCCCGUAUUGUCAUCAAUCCACCAAAAAGGGGGAGAUUGUAAGGGCAUUCUUGUCCCUUAGUAGUUUUGGUGAUUGAUGACAAUACUUUUGCGGACUAAUCGUGUGUAUUGAGCUUUUCACAUAUAUCAUGACUAAACACAAGACGAUUUGAUACCCCUCGAAGAUUAUUGAAGAUGGCGUUUCUCUACGGUUCUUUUCGGUGGAGUUGAGUCAUAGGAAAGCCGUACUAUUAAGAAGGGGUCCGCUUUGGAAAGGUUUGGGUGGAAUCUCACGCACACGUCCCUUCUGCACCGCCUUUCCUUUGGGUCUUUGGAGUUUCCUCCGUCUCACCUUGUCUCUGCGAAAUGAAGGACUCCGAGUUGCUCUUCUCAGGCUGGCGGUAGUACUGCUCCUCUGAGCGGUACUACCGCAGGAGCCAGCGGUAGUACCAGGCUCAGGCACGGUAGUACCGUGGGCCCCCACGGUAGUACCGCUCCUUCUGAGUGGUAGUGCCGUGUGCUCUGGCCUGGCGCUGCUGCGCAAGCGGUAGUAGGGGCGGAUGUAAUUUUUUACAUCCGCGUCCUACGCGGUAGUACCGUGCUAUGGCACGGUAGUAUCGUGCCGCCUGGCCAGGCACAGCAGUAGGAGCGGAGGUAGGGCGGAUGUAAUUUUUUACAUCCGAACCCCUCACGGUAGUACCGCAGCCCUAGUUCGCGGUAGUACCGUGUCGGAUUUUCGCAUUGAUAAAAUCUCAGCGGAGGUAGUCACGGAUGUAAUUUUUUAUAUCUGUGCCUACCGUGCCUGGACUGUGGCUGCCUUGCGGUAGUACCGCAUAGGGUCGCAGUAGUACCGCGCCCGCGGUUCUACCGCGCCCUGUCUGUGCUCUUCUGUUCAGGUCCAGGCUCUGCCGCGCCCACGGUAGUACUGCGUGCCGCUGCGGUAGUACCACAGGCCCGUGCGGUAGUACCGCUCCUGUGGUGCAGUAGUACCGCGGGUCGCGGGCUGAGUGGUGGGUAACGGUUGGAAUUGUCCCCCCACCAUAUAAGGGGGUCUUCUUCUCCAAGAAGAUUUACCUCUUCCAACCCUAAUCUCCAUUGUUGCUCCAAGCUCCAUUUUUGCCCGAUCUCUCUCCCUAGCCAAUCAAACUUGUUGAUUUGCUCGGGAGGUUGAGAAGGCCCCGAUCUACACUUCCACCAAGAGAAAUUUGAUUCCCCCCACUAAUCCCUAGCGGAUCUUGUUACUCUUGGGUGUUUGAGCACCCUAGACGGUUGAGGUCACCGCGGAGCCAUAGUCCAUUGUGGUGAAGCUUCGUGGUGUCGUUGGGAGCCUCCAAUUAAGUUGUGGAGAUUGCCCCAACCUUGUUUGUAAAGGUUCGGUCGCCGCCUCCAAGGGCACCAAUAGUGGAAUCACGGCAUCUCGCAUUGUGUGAGGGCGUGAGGUGAAUACGGUGGCCCUAGUGGCUUCUUGGGGAGCAUUGUGCCUCCACACCGCUCCAACGGAGACGUACUUCCCCUCAAAAGGAAGGAACUUCGGUAACACAUCCUCGUCUUCACCGGCUCCACUCUUGGUUAUCUCGUGCCUUUACUUGUGCAAGCUUCUUUGCGUUAUAUCCCUUGCUUGCUUGUGUGUUUGUUGUUGUUGCAUCAUAUAGGUUGCUCACCUAGUUGCAUAUCUAGACAACCUACUUUGAUGCAAAGUUUAAUUUGGUAAAGAAAAGCUAAAAAUUGUUAGUUGCCUAUUCACCCCCCUCUAGUCAACCAUAUCGAUCCUUUCAAGAUGGAACUAGGUAACACUACUUACUACAUUCUUUUCAACAUUGUAGUUUCGCAAAUCAAUUUUACAUGUUUUACUUUACCGCACUCGGCAGCUAGUCACAACCAUUCAUGCAUUCAGUGCAGUCACCAAUGCUUAGUGGUGGUGCUUCAUUCUUAGAGGGUAACGGGAUGAUGAUGACCAAGCUGCAAACACUUAUGACUUCUCGCAGACAGUGUUUCACACUCCACCACCACCAUCGACGCAGGAGACAUAGACAGUGACAGAUGAGGUUAUUUAUGGUCGUGGUUAUCGUGAGCCUCGUCCACCGCAUCAGCACUUAUCGCCUUCCGGUCCUCGCCUGAGGAAGACCCAGAUUUGCCGUCAUCCCCUGCAGUGAUAUGGUCAUUAUCUACAUAUACCAUUUUAUGUAUGCGAGAGACAUAUUACUAUUAAUUCUUGUUGUUAUUCCAGUUACAUUUCCAAAAACACUACAACCGAUAAUUAAGGUACAAGUACAUCUGAAUUAAACGGUAGGGCUAAACUUAAAAAAUACAGCUUACAUACUACAUGAAGGCAUCAUCGUCAUCCUCCGUCGAUGCAGCACUCUUGCCAUUCGACGAUGCGGUACUAUUGCCCUCCGUUGAUGCAGCACUCUUGCCCUUCGACGAUGUGGUACUCUUGCCAUUCGACAGUGCAGUACUUUUGGCCUUGGUGCUCGGCAUGAAGAUAUCGUCUUUGUCUUCGCUGUCGGCAGUCCGUAAAUAUGUAUGCUCUGCUGUAGUCCUUAUGAAAGUUUCACUCUUCGUCUGCUCUACCUUCUUCCACCUUCCAUGCAACAUAAGAAGUUCUUUACGUACCUCCUCAUAGGUCUUUUCAGGCCACCUAGACCUACGUAAUGCAUGAGCUGUUGGGGAUCGUUGCAAAAUUUAAAAUUUUCUACGCAUCACCAAGAUCCAUCUAUGGAGUUUACUAGCAACGAGAAGGAAGGAGUGCAUCUACAUACCCUUGUAGAUCGCGAGCGGAAGCGUUCAAGUGAACGGGGUUGAUGGAGGCGUACUCGUCGUGAUCCAAAUCACCGAUGACCAAGCGCCGAACGGACGGCACCUCCGCGUUCAACACACGUACAGAGCAGCGACGUCUCCUCCUUCUUGAUCCAGCAAGGGGGAAGGAGAGGUUGAUGGAGAUCCAGCAGCACGACGGCGUGGUGGUGGAAGUAGCGGGGAUCCCGGCAGGGCUUCGCCAAGCGCAAGCGGGAGUGAGAGGUGUCACGGCAGGGAGAGGGAGGCGCCAGGGGCUGUGGUGCGGCUGCCCUCCCUCCCCCCACUAUUUAUAGGGGUCCUGGGGGGGCUCCGGCCCCCUGGAGAUCCCAUCUGAGGUGGGGGCGGCGGCCAAGGGGGUGGCUUGCCCCCCAAGCCAAGUGGGGCGCCCCCCCACCCCCAGGGUUUCCAACCCUAGGCGCAGGGGAGGCCCAAGGGGGGCGCACCAGCCCACCAGUGGCUGGUUCCCCUCCCCACUUCAGCCCAUGGGGCCCUCCCGGACAGGUGGCCCCACCCGGUGGACCCCCGGGACCCUUCCAGUGGUCCCGGUACAAUACCGGUAACCCUUGAAACUUUCCCGGUGGCCGAAACUGGACUUCCUAUAUAUAAUUCUUCACCUCCGAACCAUUCCGAAACUCCUCGUGACGUCCGGGAUCUCAUCCGGGACUCCGAACAACUUUCGGGUUUCCGCAUACUAAUAUCUCUACAACCCAAGCGUCACCGAACCUUAAGUGUGUAGACCCUACGGGUUCGGGAGACAUGCAGACAUGACCGAGACGACUCUCCGGUCAAUAACCAACAGCGGGAUCUGGAUACCCAUGUUGGCUCCCACAUGUUCCACGAUGAUCUCAUCGGAUGAACCACGAUGUCGAGGAUUCAAUCAAUCCCGUAUACAAUUCCCUUUGUCAAUCGGUACGUUACUUGCCCGAUAUUCGAUCGUCGGUAUCCCAAUACCUCGUUCAAUCUCGUUACCGGCAAGUCACUUUACUCGUACCGUAAUGCAUGAUCCCGUGACCAGACACUUGGUCACAUUGAGCUCAUUAUUAUGAUGCAUUACCGAGUGGGCCCAGAGAUACCUCUCCGUCAUACGGAGUGACAAAUCCCAGUCUCGAUCCGUGUCAACCCAACAAACACUUUCAGAGAUACCUGUAGUGUACCUUUAUAGUCACCUAGUUACGUUGUGACGUUUGGUACACCCAAAGCACUCUUACGGCAUCCGGGAGUUACACGAUCUCAUGGUCUAAGGAAAAGAUACUUGACAUUGGAAAAGCUCUAGCAAACGAACUACACGAUCUUUGCGCUAUGCUUAGGAUUGGGUCUUGUCCAUCACAUCAUUCUCGUAAUGAUGUGAUCCCGUUAUCAAUGACAUCCAAUGUCCAUAGUCAGGAAACCAUGACUAUCUGUUGAUCAACGAGCUAGUCAACUAGAGGCUCACUAGGGACAUGUUGUGGUCUAUGUAUUCACACAUGUAUUACGAUUUCCGGAUAACACAAUUAUAGCAUGAACAAUAGACAAUUAUCAUGAACAAAUAAAUAUAAUAAUAACCAUUUUAUUAUUGCCUCUAGGGCAUAUUUCCAAUAUGAGCCAACUCAUUCAGUAUGGUGUCACUACCGACCAGUUCGCCCCAUGGAACUAUCCUAUUGUCCAUCCUGAAAUCGGUGGCUAGCCUUAGAAGACAUUUGCUCAUCCCAGGGUGAAAACUAUGAUCAGAAGGAUAAUAGGACAUCUCGACUACACUAAACUGGGCUGCUUACCCACCUUUGUGUGAAGGAGGUUUUAUAGGUAGAGAGGAGAAAAUGGCGGGAAAGAACGACUGCAGUAUGGAGGGAAAGGGUUGGCGGGAACUUAUGGCGGGAAAGGGUUGGCGGAAACAUAUGGCGGGAAAGGGUUGGCGGGAAACGGGUGGCGGAAACAUAUGGAGGGAAAGAGUUGGCGGGGAAAUACUGAGGGAAAGGGUUGCGCGAAAUAUAUUUUUUCAAUGUCUAAGAUGGGCAAUGUUUGCACAGAAUUCAUAAGUCAAAAUAAAAAAAACAUUUUGGCCUAACAUAAGCCAAAGAGCGCAACCAUGCAGCUUCGGCCUACCGUUCACGCGAAAAGGUGGGGCCCUGGGACUCUUUGGCCUACUGCUGACCAAAGAGUACUCUUCGGCCUACUGCUGACCAAAGAGUCCUUUUCGGCCCACUAUGGAUCUCUUCGGCCAAUCAUGACCGAAGAGUCAUUUUUGGCCAACCACUGACCGAAAACCCUGCCUUCGGCCUAACAGAGGCCGACAAGGUCAUACUUCUCAAAAUUUUAUGCAUCAGGUCAUAUAGUUCCCUAAUUGCUAUAAAAACGUCAUAGUUUUGGGGAAAAAUCCUUUUAUUGAACAUGCUUUUGCGGCCCCUGCUUCAAAAUAAUCAAUGAAGUAGACUAUAUAAUAAGAAUCAGAGAUAAAAUUAUGAGUUCGCAAUACAAGAUCAAUACAUUUAAAUAAGAUCAUGCACAUGAUAAGGGGAGGGGAUUUUGGGUCGAGGCUAGUUAGGGUAAAAUGACUAGAUUUUUUCUUUUCUUUAGUGAAUGACACACGAGACCUACCUGUUAGAAGGAAUUAAGCUGAUUUUUGCAUGCCGGGUGCGAGCCUGGCAUCAAAACACACCCUAUAUGGGUAUUGUCUUCCCGUACUCGAACCUGGCUUAUCCAAUGGGUACAAUUUUUUUCCAUUAUAUAAAUUAUGAGUAAUAGGGUUUUUUUACCCUGUUGGGUUCGCGGGUUGCAAUAUGUAUGAGCCAACAUUAAGAAAUUUUAGCAUGCACUCAAACCAAACGAAAAGGACUAAACCAAACCAAAAAUACCUAUUCCCUUUAAUAGUAGGUAUAGAGGUAUAGAUUUGGUCAAAAAAAUAACAUACAUAGUCGAGUCACAUUGGUGGCCGUCCGAUCUUUCUCCGCGAUUAGUGCCAACACAGGCGGCCGGCAUCUUGCACCUGCGGCUUGUGGUGGGCAUGCUACUCUGCAUCAGCCACUUCUAGAGACCACCGGAUGGCGCACGAGCAAUGAGAGAUGGAUGAAUCUGCCGGCGGGAGGUUGCCCGUCGGCCCGGCGUCGUCAUCCUAUCUCAAGCAGAGUUGGGGUCACGGCGGCUUGAUUUGUAAGUGCUCUGUACCUGGGGUUCCUCAUGUUUCAGAAUUGGGCAUGGAUUGUGCAAAUGUGGGGUGGCAUCUAGCCUAGCUCUCUGUGUGUUUCUUGCUCCAAGAGAUAAGAUAGGAGCCGCCAUUAACGUCGCUCGAGGUUGAGCGGCAGGCAGCAUCUCCUUCCUGUGCUCCCGUGUUAAGGGGGCAGAAGAGAUGUCCAUCUAUUGAUUGACUACUUUUUGAGCAGCAAAGCAAAUUAAUGGGAGGAGAUUGGGGUGCUAAUUGCUUUUCUGCUUAGGAUCUUGUAACUUACGAUUUCACCUCUAAUUAUACCAAUCCUUCAUGAUUCUGAUUUCCCGUGGGCAAACAGGGGAAGAACACACCCAUCUCGAAUCCCCAUGUAUGGUCCAUUAAUCCUCAAUAUUUACCAAACGAAGCCUUGGGAUUCAGAUGCAACGUUUGCCAAACAAGAUGGGCCCAGCAAGUGCCGAAACCCUUGCGGACGUCCCCGGUUGCUAUAUCAGGCGUGAACAUAUGAUUUUUUGAUAUACCAAGUUGUCUGACACACUUAUGCAGGGCUAGACGUACGGUGUUAAUCAUCUGUACAACAUCUGGAUGUGAAUAAAAUUGGAAUGGAUAGUUUAGAAGAAACAUCAAGUUGAUAUUUUUUUAAAGAAAAGGCUAUUUCUCUGGUCACAUCCAUUGAACCAAUGGUUCAGUACACAACAACCAGCAAGGAAAUAAGGAUGACAGGCAUGUAACAUCCAUCCGUGUUCAUGCUAAUUAUUGUAAGCUAACAAGAGCAAUUGAUUGACUCAUAAGAAAGCAGUUCUUAUGACUGUAUGAAGGAAAAUAAAAAAGUUCUGUGAAAUAUACCUCACAGUCGAACAUGACCAAAUAUAUAUCCAACAACAUAUAUGGUAAACGUUGUUACGGCACAGAAGAAAUUGAAAAUAACUUGUGCAUUCAGGACAAACUUAUUGGAAGCACUUCAGCAAGCGUCUUCAGGAAACGAGCUCAUAUCCUUCGCAGUCUGGUAGCCCACCCAGCACCUAAGAAUCCACCAUUAGUGCAUGAGAAACUGACACCACGAUUUCCAAAGGCUCAAAAAGACAGACCAGAUGCCAACAGAAGCCACAACUAUUUAAAACGUCAACCUGACACUCAAAGCAAACCCCAGCCCUGUCCCGAGCAAGAUUAGCCCAGCCGAUGCACCAACCGCCCAUGUCGACUUCUUCAACGAAAGACCCCAAUUUCCACCAGAGAUGACAAUCUCGCGCGAAGGCACUGUUUGUUUUGUAGGCCUCAUUUCUGCAAACCGGUCCAGACGAUAGCCAAUGUGAUAAUUGAAAAACAACAGCAGCAGGGUCAGUAAGGAACAUAUUCUUAAAGACAUUUCUAGCUUUCCAUAUGUAGUCGAAAUUAAAGCAGUGAUUGGAACAACCAUCAAAUUUCUAACAUCUCCAGUAAACUUCAGAACCCUACUACACAUAUCAUUAAAAGAAAAAGGAACAACCUGAAUAUAUAGAAACAUGGCAUAAAAGGAAUAAGUGGUCCACAGUUAAACAAGCUAAACCUCUACACAACAAUCUACAUUCUCAUUUUCUAAACCAAUCCCAUCGUCAUCUGACAGCAGCUCCUGAAUAGCUUUAGAAUCAAAACUUUCCAGCUUUGGUUCCCCACUCAAAGGCACACUGUCAGACUUCUCCGUGCUAGCUAUAAAAAUACUACAUCUAGCAGCUUCCAUAACUCUAAUCACUUGAAUAUAUUUGUUUUACGUCAAGAUAUUACUUCCUAACUUCACCGCAGUUCUGCUAGCUACAUCACUAAGAGAAGCAUUGAAAGAAUUUAAGAUAAUUGGAGUGUGUAAAUUAACUACCUUGGUGCCAUCUUCCAUCUGCUGAUCCUCUAAACCUGCCACUCCUUCAAUCUUCUGUUUAGAACUUUCCUUGUUCGUCUGAUCUAUCAUCUGAGUGCUCGGACCAUUUUUCUUAGCAAAAUCCUUUGGGUCAUCAAUGUUACCAUCUUCUUUUUCAUCAUCGUCAUCAUGUUGACCAUCACCAACAACAUGUACUGCACAAUAAAAUAUGUCACAUGUGUGCAUGAUGAGGGAGUAUAUGUAACUCAACACCAACAAUUAACCAAAGUACUAGCAAUGAAGCAAAAUAAGAUGCACAUCACUAAAUUACCCGAUUCUUCAGCAGCAUCGGGCAGCGUUGUCACUGAUAGCAUUGCAGUAGUAGGUGGUGCCACAGGGCUUAUUUUUGCAGCAGGUCCAGUUUCCACAUCAACCUCGUCGGUCGUCAUAUUAGUGGCUGCCGCAGGGUUAAUUUCCGCAGCAGGCUCACUUUCCACAGCAACCUCUUCAGCCGUCGUAUCAGUAGGUGGUGCCGCAGGGCUUAUUUUCGCAGCAGGUCCAGUUUCCACAUCAACCUCAUCGGUCGUCAUAUCAGUGGCUGCCACAGGGUUAAUUUCCGCAGCAGGCUCACUUUCCACAGCAACCUCUUCAGCCGUCGUAUCAGUAGCUAGUGCUGCAAAGCCAAUUUCCACAGCAGUCUCACUUUGACCAUCGACCUCUUUGUCCGUAUCGGUAGCUGUUGCUAGAUGGAUAAUUUCUGCAGCAGGCUCACCCCCCAUCGGUUUAUGUCAACAAACAAAAGCUUGGGACGUCUGGGGUGGUUCUUUGCUGCUUCUUUCCACUCAUAUUUUGUUUCGUCGCUGACUCCAUCAUGGAGGCCGACCUCCUUAAGACGUGGCAGGGACUGGACCGUCAUGCCACUAAAUCCAUUUAGAUCCUUACAUAGCAGUUUUAAGGACUCGAAGCGUGGCAGAGCUCCCUUUUGGAUUUCCAGCUCAGUCAUGACUUCCACAACAAUGCAUAGGUGUCGCAUGCUUAUGAGUGCACCUUGUCCUAUGACCAGCUUGUCCAUUUGAGUUGCAAUCAGCUUCAGGUACUCCAGGCCGCGCACUCUGCCUAGGUCAUCAAGAGCGUCACCACUCAGGUUAAGAUCACUAGUGAAUGACAAGCACAGUUUAGUGAGACCACCCAGCUGCAUGGUAACAAACAGAGGCAGCUGGCUGCAUAUGUUGUUCCCUUGUAGCUUGAGCAAGCUAAGGUAGUAGGAGUAAUCAUGUUCCAGGGAGAAAUUCAGCAAGUUUGACCAUGCAUCAUCGAUGUUCAGUGAGAGUGAGCGAGCUUCAUUCAGUUGGGUUCCUCUCUCGAUGAACGCCUUGAUGGCCCUUGACAGAUGACUUAAGUUGUUGCUAGCAAUGUCAUCAGCGCAGGUGGACUCGCACCAUAUUUUUACCUUCGUCAGGUGCUCCAUGUGAUCCAUGAGUUGUGGCAAUUCUUGGUUCUUGUCCAAAAGAAAUCCGGCUAUCGUUUUUAGUUUACUGUUCUCUGACAACCAAGCUUGUAGCUUACGCAUUAUCCGGCUUCCUACAUUUUAUUGGAGCUUGAACUUUCCAAAGAGAUGAACUAAACAUGGCAGCUCAAUGACUUGUGUAGGCAGAAUCUCUAUGUUCGAUCUUCUUAGAUCCAGUGUCUCCAAGAAUUGAAGUUUCUUAAUCUCCUUUGGAAGCACUAGAACCUUAAGAGAGCUUCCAAGGCUUAGGUACCUGAGCAGCAACAGGUUGCUGCAUAUCUUCUUGAGAUGCUUGACCUUCAAGUGUUCAUCGCAUUCUUCUAGAUCCAAAACUCGCAUCAGUUCAUACUUGGGAAAGUCCAACACAGAUGUGUGUGCCUUACCGAAGACUGUCAAAGACCGGACAAGAAGUAAAUCCUUUGGAUUCAUUUUGGACCUUACUGCCCUUUUAUGAUGCAGAGAAAGCCACCGGAUAUUACUCCCGGGUAGGGGAUCCUGAUCAUAUAACAAGGUAACAAAGUUCUCACACAUGGACUUGUGCAGGAUGAACCCGAGCAUCAUGCCGGGAAUUUGGUAUCUCUUCACCUCUACACUGUUGCUGCUGCUGGCGUCAAUAGGCUGAAUGAUACUCCUGUCAACCAGCUCAUCAAAAUUGUCAAUGGUGACUCUGUGGGCAUUGCGUCUAUGGUCUUGUUUGACGAAUCCUUCAGCUAACCAUUUCCUUGUCAGUCUUCCUCUCCUGAUUGGAUGACCACUUGGGUAAAUUGUAACACCCCGGAUGUAACUUUCCAUAUUUGUAACUCCAACUCUUGCCAUUUUCGGCUAUGUGUUAUGAUAUUCCCUUCGUGGUCGGGUUUUGUUUUUCCUUUUGCAUUUUGUUCAUGUCAUGCAUCUCAUAUCAUGUCAUCAUGUGCAUCUCAUUUGCAUACGUGUUCGUCUCAUGCAUCCGAGCAUUUUCUCCGUUGUCCGUUUUGCAAUCCGGCACUCCCACAUUCAUCGGCGCACCCCUCUUGUUUCUUUUCGUGAGCGGGUGUUGAACGUUCUCAGAAUGGACCGAGUCUUGUCAAGUGGCCUUGGUCUACCACCUGUCAAGUUUCGUUCCAUUUGGAGGUCGUUUGGUACUCCAACGGUUAACAGGGUAACCGCAAAGUCCUUUUGUGUGUUGCAGCAAAACCCCCCUCCAAAAAGCCCAAAACCCAUCUAAGUCACUUCCAUGCUCUAGGUCGUUCGAUCACGAUCGUGUGGGCGAAAACCGCACUCCAUUUGGAGCCUCCUAGCUCCCUCUACCUAUAAAUAUGUGAGCCUCCCCGAAACCCUAGCCAGCUCCUCCGGGCCGCCGGACGUGUCCGCCCGGCGCCGGACGAAAGCCGCCGCCGCCCACAGCCACUCAGACGCCGCCACGUGUCGCCCGUACACCGGCNNNNNNNNNNNNNNNNNNNNNNNNNNNNNNNNNNNNNNNNNNNNNNNNNNNNNNNNNNNNNNNNNNNNNNNNNNNNNNNNNNNNNNNNNNNNNNNNNNNNNNNNNNNNNNNNNNNNNNNNNNNNNNNNNNNNNNNNNNNNNNNNNNNNNNNNNNNNNNNNNNNNNNNNNNNNNNNNNNNNNNNNNNNNNNNNNNNNNNNNNNNNNNNNNNNNNNNNNNNNNNNNNNNNNNNNNNNNNNNNNNNNNNNNNNNNNNNNNNNNNNNNNNNNNNNNNNNNNNNNNNNNNNNNNNNNNNNNNNNNNNNNNNNNNNNNNNNNNNNNNNNNNNNNNNNNNNNNNNNNNNNNNNNNNNNNNNNNNNNNNNNNNNNNNNNNNNNNNNNNNNNNGCCCGCGACCGCGCCUCCUCGCGGCCCCCGAGCCCGCGCCCCCUCUCCGGCGACGCGCCCCGCCGUCUCCUCCCUCUCCGGCCUCGUCGCCCUCUCUCUCCGGCCGGCGACUUGCCCCGAGCUCUCUCCGGCGAGCCCGAGCUCCGGCGGCCUCGACGUCCUCGAUCCGAGCCAGAUCCCGAUCCAAAAGAACUAGGUUGACUUUUUCCCUCCCCCGAGAUUUCUCUGAGUCCCGAUAUUUUUACAUUAUAUGCUUCUGUUCAUUGCAUCAUAACUCUCUGCAUAUAGCUCCGUUUCGUGCGUGUAAUAUAUCGAGAUGUUCGUCUCGAGAUGCUCUUCAUUUUGUUCCAUUAUGCCAUGUUCUUUUGAAUUUAUCUCGAUGCCCAAAUCUCGGGUGCAAGAGUGCUAUAUGCUGUUACUUAUCAGAACAUGAGGAUUUGUUAUUUUUGUUGCAUUUGAUGUGUGCAUCUUAUGGGCAUGAGCUCUACAUGUGUUUUGAUGUAUGCCAUGCCAUCUUUACAGAGGUGUAUGCCAUGUAGUUUUGUGAUCUCUGUGGUGACUAGCACAAGCAUGCAAACUAGGCUUCGGGAUGUUUCUGAUUUCAGGGACUUAGUAAUUCCACUAAGUUUGUUGCUGCUGUUAUUUUGUUGCCAUGUAUCCAUGUGUCUACAGAGAGAUCCAUGCUCCUUUUGGUGAUGUUCAGUAAGGAUGUUUUGUAGAUAUAGUUGUUCUCUAUCCACCAAUGCCUCUGUUUACAAUUAUGGAGUGACCUAGAAUGUCUUAAUCUUGCUCUAAUUUUGCUAUAAAAUAUUCCUGGCAGAUUGUUAACAUGAUAUUCAUUUUUGCCAAGGUUGUUGUAGUUGUUUCAUACACGCUAUGUAUUUUCUCUUGAUAUGGAUAGCUUAAUAAACAUGCCAUAUUUCUGUAGGUAUGCUUGUUUUGUCCUGAGUUGCUUUGUGUUGAGUGAAUCAAGCUCACAAAGAUGCCUUCAUAAUACUGUUUCUGCCAUGAUCUGUUUUCUGCCAAGUCUGAAACCUGUUAACGAAACUUGCUAUGUUUACAUGGUUGCCAUCAUAUCUUAUGGUCCUUUUUGUCUUAUGGUCAGUAAGGGACUUUUGGUCUAUGCAUUUAGUAUAUUCAUGCCAUGCCUUGUUUUGCUAUGUUAAGUUCCUGUAGCAUGUUGAUUGCUUGCUCUGAACAUUGCUACCUGAUGCUGUUUCAGCCAUGUCCAGUAAUUUCACUAAGUCUGUGAUCCUGAUAUCUUUUGCACUUUUGCCAUGCUUGCUUGAACCUGCUGUGGUGUGAUCUAGCCGUAGCUCAGUGUUCAUCUUUUGUCAAGCACCUCCGAUAGAUUACUGCCAUAUGCUUUGUUGCUAUGUUGAAGUGCUGUAGCAUAGUUACUUGAUGUAUUCUAAGUGCUAUCAUGCUGUUCAUCGCAGAAUAGUGUCAUUCUUGUUUUGCUUGCCAUUUGCAAACCGUGCAUCCGUUUCCGGUGAUCUUUAUAUCGAUUUCAACCGAAAUCAUCUCAUCUUUGCAGUGGCAUGCUUGGUUUGCCAAGUUACUGCCUUGUUCAUUAUUUUUCUUCCGGAGCACGCAUAUGCAUCGCCAUAUCUUGCAUAUCAUGCAUGUUUCGCAUCAUGUUGCUUGUGCAUUUCCCGUGAUUGAUUGUGGUUCCAUUGCUUGUGUUCUUGCUGUGGGUAGAGCCGGGAGACGAGUUCGUGAAUGAGGAACCUGUUGAGUACGCUUACGAGGAUCAAGCUUUCGACAACUCUGAGAGCCUUGCAGGCAAGAUGACCAUACCCUCGAAAUCACUUCUAUCUUUGCUUUGCUAGUUGUUCGUUCUAUUGCUAUGCUGCGCUACCUACCACAUGCUAUAUCAUGCCUCCCAUAUUGCCAUGUCAAGCCUCUAACCAUCCUUUCCUAGCAAACUGUUGUUUGGCUAAGUUACCGCUUUUGCUCAGCCCUUCUUAUAGCGUUGCUAGUUGCAGGUGAAGUUGAAGUUGAAGUUGGUUCCAUGUUGGAACAUGGAUAUUUUGGAAUAUCACAAUAUCUCUUAUUUAAUUAAUGCAUCUAUAUAUUUGGUAAAGGGUGGAAGGCUCGGCCUUAUUCCUGGUGUUUUGUUCCACUCUUGCCGCCCUAGUUUCCGUCAUAUCGGGAUUAUGUUCCUUGAGUUUGCGUUCCUUACGCGGUUGGGUGAUUUAUGGGACCCCCUUGACAGUUCGCCUUGAAUAAAACUCCUCCAGCAAGGCCCAACCUUCGUUUUACCAUUUGCCACCUAAGCCUUUUUCCCUUGGGUUUUCGCGAGCCCGAGGGUCAUCUUUAUUUAAACCCCCGGGCCAGUGUUCCUCUGAGUGCUGGUCCAAACUAGAGCACCGUGCGGGACCGUCCCUUGGCAACUUGGGUUACGUUGGUACCUGUACCCUUCGCUUAUCCGGUGUGCCCUGAGAACGAGAUAUGUGCAGCUUCUAUCGGGAUUUGUCGGCACAUUCGGGUGGCUUUGCUGGUCUUGUUUUACCAUUGUCGAAAUGUCUUGUAAACCGGGAUUCCGAAACUGAUCGGGUCUUCCCGGGAGAAGGUUUAUCCUUCGUUGACCGUGAGAGCUUAUAAUGGGCUAAGUUGGGACACCCCUGCAGGGUAUUAUCUUUCGAAAGCCGUGCCCGCGGUUAUGAGGCAGAUGGGAAUUUGUUAAUGUCCGGUUGUAGAGAACUUGUCACUUGACUUAAUUAAAAUACAUCAACCGUGUGUGUAGCCGUGAUGGUCUCUUCUCGGCGGAGUCUGAGAAGUGAACACGGUUUGAGUUAUGCUUGAACGUAAGUAGUUUCAGGAUCACUUCUUGAUCAUUUCUAGCUUCGCGACCGUUGCGUUGCUUCUUUUCUCGCUCUCAUUUGCGUAUGUUAGCCACCAUAUAUGCUUAGUGCUUGCUGCAGCUCCACCUCUUUACACCAUCCUUUCCGAUAAGCUUAAAUAGUCUUGAUCUCACGGGUGUGAGAUUGCUGAGUCCUUGUGACUCACAGAUUCUACCAAAACAGUUGCAGGUGCCGACGAUGCCAGUGCAGAUGACGCAACCGAGCUCAAGUGGGAGUUCGAUGAGGAACGUGGUCGUUACUAUGUUUCUUUCCCUGAUGAUCAGUAGUGGAGCCCAGUUGGGUCGAUCGGGGAUCUAGCAUUUGGGGUUAUCUUAUUUUCAUUUGGAUUUUGACCGUAGUCGGUCUAUGUGUGGAUUUUGGAUGAUGUAUGAAUUAUAUUUAUGUAUUGUGUGAAGUGGCGAUUGUAAGCCAACUCUCGUUAUCCCAUUCUUGUUCAUUACAUGGGAUUGUGUGAAGAUGACCCUUCUUGCGACAAUACCACAAUGCGUUUAUGCCUCUAAGUCGUGCCUCGACACGUGGGAGAUAUAGUCGCAUCGUGGGCGUUACAUAAAUGCCCAGAUAUAGCAAACAAGUCUUGACAUCUUGUUUACCAAGGCUGGUGUAGCUAUGGACGAGCACGCGUUUCAUGCUUGCUAAGGUCUCAUUUGUCUCCAGAUGUCCACCAAGGUUUUCACACAGGUUUGCCCAUUUCACCCUCGUGGGAUCACCUCCACUUUGCAAGAAUCGGGCUGUGGUAACAAGAGCAAGGGGUAGACCAUCACAUUUUUUUAGCGCUUCUGAACCCAGCUGUGUAUCACCUGGUGGUGGUGGAUCCUUCAAGCAAGCUUCCUUGAAGAACAGUUGUCUUGAAUGAUCCUCGGCAAGAGUUGCCAUCAUGUACACAUGACCAUGAGCAGAGCUGCAGGCAUUUGCCACGGAGUGGAUGGCUGUCGUCACCAUAACUCUGCUACUCACCCCUGGAAUUACAGGGAAGGCAUCUUUUAUAUCAUGCCAAAAUACUGCCUGCAUGUCAUCGAUCACAAUGAAAAACCUAUAAACAGUAAAAGCGAGUUAGGACACAUUCACUCUUCAGACAAAGCAAGUCUCGGGUAGCACAUAAUAUAACAAGGAAAUCUAUCUCUUUUCACACUCUUGCGACACUCUCAGAUCGUUGCCCUCCACAAGAAUCUAAUGCUAGAGAAACAUAGCUCUCUAUUCCUCUCUUGCUUGCAUCUUGCUUUUGAUUGGAUUCUUAUGGGAGGACUUAUUUUUCUUUUCCUUUUUGGAACCAUGCAGAGCAUUUGCAUGUAUAUUCAUUAAGAAGAAAGAAAAUUAUGAACUCCGAAGGUCGGACAACCCUUACAACGCCCAAGAUGACUUCUUUUUUUAGUAUUGUUUCUUGUAGCUCAAAGGCUUCUGAGUGCUAACAGGAUUAGGAUUAUAGUCACCCGGUUCAACAUCAACCUUGACUUGCAAUUGAUCUGAUCAUAGAUAUCCAUUAGUUUUGUAGUCGCAUGAUAUUAAACUAAUCUGCCUAUCUCCUCCUGCUCCUGGACUUUGUUUUCCUUUAUGAUUGGGAGCAUACAGAUCGAGGGAAAGAAGUGGUAGUUUAGCAUUCUUAGCCAUCAAGCCAUUCAUAUGGCUUCAUAUUGUUACAUUUACAUGAACUUGUGUAAUCCUAAGACUAAGAGCACGCGCGCCCGUGCCCUACUUAUCUGCAUGUUAAUCUUGCUGGUUCAUUAGGUAAUGAAAACUUUGAUGGAUGGUCGAAUCAAACUAAUUGUGGUAAUAUAAAAGAUGCAUCUUAUUAGCUAUAUUGGUCUUUCCAAAAAGAAAAGCUAUAUUGGCGAUCCUGUAGUGUGGAGGCCGGGUACUGUGCUGUAUACAUAUGUUUUGGAAUCAGAGAGAAAAGUGAGUCCGGAAAACCAAUGUAAACGACGUAAAAAGCUAGGGUAGAUAAUAUCUUGUAUACCUCUUGGUACCAAGGCACUCUCUGAGGCUUGCACAGAGCUUGCUGUUCCUGGGAUGGCAGGACUUGCCCGCACUUCCACCACUACUAGUAAUGGUCGAUUGCAUUCCAAGCUGCUGGAGUAUCUCCUUGAGAACAUCCCCCGCACCUUUUUGUGCAGCACGAACCCAAGCCCGUGCUUCGUAUUCGCCAACAACGGCGGGGCUCUCAUACAUGGCUGGCAAGGAGAGUCUUCCCUAUACCACCGAAUCCGACGAUGGAGAUCACUGAUCACCUCGAGUUCUUUGGGUUGGCCUUGUUGUGCUUCCCUUAUCAGCUCUAUGAGCUCGUCCCGGGGCACGUCCAUGCCAACGGCAGCCACCGAGCUGUCCCUCUCAUCAGAUGGUUCCCCUGACUCCAAAGUGCUGGAUCCGCCAGCAUACUCACCGGUGAUGUAGCUUGUUCUCAGCUUGGAUGCAUCCUCGGAUUUCUUCGUGAGACGACGGAUCGCUGCAGCAAACUUGUUACGAGCAUUCCUCGUCUUCACCCGGUGAAGUUUCUUACCGAUCCAUGACACGCCGGGCUUGAGCGUCACACGGUGCGUGAAGCGGUCGAUGCAGUCUUCGAUAUCUUAAGCCAAGUCACGCACCAUAGUGAUCUAGGCCUUAUGCACGAGGUUGCCACUCCACGGUGGACGAUCGCCAUCUUCUUGAAUGGCUGCAGAAAUCAUCGGAGACUCGCUUCUGAGGUAAUUGAUGUCAUGCUCCAGCUCGACCCGCAGCUUGUGAUUUUGUACCAAGUAAUCCAAGAGCUUAGGUGUGUUCCUGCCGGCCACACUGCUUGCCACGGUGGCAGACGCAGCUAAUUCCGCCAUCUGCACACCGCACCCCCUGCCUCUUGAUUGAUCAGUGUUGGAAAUAUGCCCUAGAGGCAAUAAUAAAUAGGUUAUUAUUAUAUUUCCUUGUUCAUGAUAAUCGUUUAUUAUCCAUGCUAGAAUUGUAUUGAUAGGAAACUCAGAUACAUGUGUGGAUACAUAGACAACACCAUGUCCCUAGUAAGCCUCUAGGAGACUAGCUCGUUGAUCAAUAGAUGGUUAUGGUUUCCUGACCAUGGACAUUGGAUGUCGUUGAUAACGGGAUCACAUCAUUAGGAGAAUGAUGUGAUGGACAAGACCCAAUCCUAAGCCUAGCACAAGAUCGUGUAGUUCGUUUGCUCAGAGCUUUUCUAAUGUCAAGUAUCACUUCCUUAGACCAUGAGAUUGUGCAACUCCCGGAUACCGUAGGAAUGCUUUGGGUGUACCAAACGUCACAACGUAACUGGGUGGCUAUAAAGGUGCACUACGGGUAUCUCCGAAAGUGUCUGUUGGGUUGGCACGAAUCGAGACUGGGAUUUGUCACUCCGUGUAAACGGAGAGGUAUCUCUGGGCCCACUCGGUAGGACAUCAUCAUAAUGUGCACAGUGUGAUCAAGGAGUUGAUCACGGGAUGAUGUGAGUUACGGAACGAGUAAAGAGACUUGCCGGUAACGAGAUUGAACAAGGUAUAGGGAUACCGACGAUCGAAUCUCGGGCAAGUAACAUACCGAUGGACAAAGGGAAUUGCAUACGGGAUUGAUUGAAUCCCCGACAUCGUGGUUCAUCCGAUGAGAUCAUCGUGGAACAUGUGGGAGCCAACAUGGGUAUCCAGAUCCCGCUGUUGGUUAUUGACCGGAGAACGUCUCGGUCAUGUCUGCAUGGUUCCCGAACCCGUAGGGUCUACACGCUUAAGGUUCGAUGACGCUAGGGUUAUAGGGAAAGUAUGUACGUGGUUACCGAAUGUUGUUUGGAGUCCCGGAUGAGAUCCCGGACGUCACGAGGAGUUCCGGAAUGGUCCGGAGGUAAAGAUUUAUAUAUGGGAAGUCCUGUUUUGGUCACCGGAAAAGUUUCGGGUGAAAUCGGUAAUGUACGGGGACCACCGGGAGGGUCCCGGGGGUCCACCAAGUGGGGCCACCAGCCCCAGAAGGCUGCGUGGGCCAAGUGUGGGAGGGGACCAGCCCCAGGUGGGCUGGUGCGCCCCCCACCAAGGCCCAAGGCACAUGGGAGAGUGGGAGGGGGCAAACCCUAGGUCCAGAUGGGCCUUAGGGCCCAUCUAGUGGGGCGCCCCCCUCUCCUCCCCUUGGCCGCCCCCCCUUGAUGGGAUCUAGGGCUGGCCGCCUCCUCUUGGGGGUGGAAACCCUAAAGGGGGCGCAGCCCCCUCCCCCCCUAUAUAUAGUUGAGGUUUGGGCUGCCCAAGAUACAUGAGAACGUCUCUCUUUCGGCGCAGCCCUACCCCUCUCCCUCCUCCUCCUCUCCCGUGGUGCUUGGCGAAGCCCUGCGGGAUUGCCACGCUCCUCCAUCACCACCACGCCGUCGUGUUGCUUCUGGAUGGAGUCUUCCCCAACCUCUCCCUCUCUCCUUGCUGGAUCAAGGCGUGGGAGACGUCACCGGGCUGCACGUGUGUUGAACGCGGAGGCACCGUUCUUCGGUGCUUAGAUCGGAAUCAACCGCGAUCUGAAUCGCUUCGAGUACGACUCCCUCAUCCGCGUUCUUGCAACGCUUACGCAUCGUGAUCUACAAGGGUAUGUAGAUGCACUCUCCUUCCCCUCAUUGCUAGAUUACUCCAUAGAUUGAUCUUGGUGAUGCGUAGAAAAUUUUGAAUUUCUGCUACGUUACCCAACAUUCUGGACCGUCACCACCGUCUGCUACUCUUCUUGCCGGUGAGAGAUUGGCGAGCCAUCUGAUUCAGGUUUGGAGGAUAAUGAUAUCAGAAGCAAAUUAACUAUAAGUGAGGGUCCUUUUUUGCUAAUAGAUCGCGCGGAUCGCUCCACUAUAACCUGUACCGUCUAUCUUCAAUCCAAUGGCUCAGAACCUUUUUUUUCUAUUUUUGUACGUGAAGCCCAGAUUCUAUGCUAGUAGUUCCCGUGAGAUCUAUAGCUAGCGAAGAGGCAAGCAACCAUUACAUACAAAUCUGUAAGAGAGAGAUGGGGGAGGGGAGUGGAGCAGUAUACCUUGUUGUUGAACAUGAGGGGGAAGGAGUUUAGGAGCCCACCACCUGCUUGCCGCCGGCGAGCUGCUGCUGCAUCUGGAUCGUGAGGGGGAGGAGUAAGGGAGCACGCCCGAGAGCUGCUCCUGGAGCCAGAGAUGGGGAGAAGGCUACGAGGUCAGCACCAGCUUGCCGUAGGCGAGUCGCUGGAGAGAGGACGCAGUUCUGUGUUGGAAAUAUGCCCUAGAGGCAAUAAUAAAUAGGUUAUUAUUAUAUUUCCUUGUUCAUGAUAAUCGUUUAUUAUCCAUGCUAGAAUUGUAUUGAUAGGAAACUCAGAUACAUGUGUGGAUACAUAGACAACACCAUGUCCCUAGUAAGCCUCUAGUUGACUAGCUCGUUGAUCAAUAGAUGGUUACGGUUUCCUGACUAUGGACAUUGGAUGUCGUUGAUAACGGGAUCACAUCAUUAGGAGACUGAUGUGAUGGACAAGACCCAAUCCUAAGCCUAGCACAAGAUCGUGUAGUUCGUUUGCUCAGAGCUUUUCUAAUGUCAAGUAUCACUUCCUUAGACCAUGAGAUUGUGCAACUCCCGGAUACCGUAGGAAUGCUUUGGGUGUACCAAACGUCACAACGUAACUGGGUGGCUAUAAAGGUGCACUACAGGUAUCUCCGAAAGUGUCUGUUGGGUUGGCACGAAUCGAGACUGGGAUUUGUCACUCCGUAUAAACGGAGAGGUAUCUCUGGGCCCACUCGGUAGGACAUCAUCAUAAUGUGCACAGUGUGACCAAGGAGUUGAUCACGGGAUGAUGUGAGUUACGGAACGAGUAAAGAGACUUGCCGGUAACGAGAUUGAACAAGGUAUAGGGAUACCGACGAUCGAAUCUCGGGCAAGUAACAUACCGAUGGACAAAGGGAAUUGCAUACGGGAUUGAUUGAAUCCCCGACAUCGUGGUUCAUCCGAUGAGAUCAUUGUGGAACAUGUGGGAGCCAACAUGGGUAUCCAGAUCCCGCUGUUGGUUAUUGACCGGAGAACGUCUCGGUCAUGUCUGCAUGGUUCCCGAACCCGUAGGGUCUACACACUUAAGGUUCGAUGACGCUAGGGUUAUAGGGAAAGUAUGUACGUGGUUACCGAAUGUUGUUCGGAGUCCCGGAUGAGAUCCCGGACGUCACGAGGAGUUCCGGAAUGGUCCGGAGGUAAAGAUUUAUAUAUGGGAAGUCCUGUUUUGGUCACCGGAAAAGUUUCGGGUGAAAUCGGUAAUGUACCGGGACCACCGGGAGGGUCCCGGGGGUCCACCAAGUGGGGCCACCAGCCCCAGAAGGCUGCGUGGGCCAAGUGUGGGAGGGGACCAGCCCCAGGUGGGCUGGUGCACCCCCCCACCAAGGCCCAAGGCGCAUGGGAGAGUGGGAGGGGGCAAACCCUAGGUCCAGAUGGGCCUUAGGGCCCAUCUAGUGGGGCGCCCCCCCCUCUCCUCCCCUUGGCCGCCCCCCCUUGAUGGGAUCUAAGGCUGGCCGCCUCCUCUUGGGGGUGGAAACCCUAAGGGGGGCGCAGCCCCCUCCCCCCCUAUAUAUAGUUGAGGUUUGGGCUGCCCAAGACACACGAAAAAGUCUCCUUUUGGCGCAGCCCUACCCCUCUCCCUCCUCCUCCUCUCCCGCGGUGCUUGGCGAAGCCCUGCGGGAUUGCCACGCUCCUCCACCACCACCACGCCGUCGUGCUGCUGCUGGAUGGAGUCUUCCCCAACCUCUCCCUCUCUCCUUGCUGGAUCAAGGCGUGGGAGACGUCACCGGGCUGCACGUGUGUUGAACGCGGAGGCACCGUACUUUCGAUGCUUAGAUCGGAAUCAACCGCGAUCUGAAUCGCUACGAGUACGACUCCCUCAUCCGCGUUCUUGCAACGCUUCCGCAUCGCGAUCUACAAGGGUAUGUAGAUGCACUCCCCUUCCCUUCGUUGCUAGUAAACUCCAUAGAUUGAUCUUGGUGAUGCGUAGAAAAUUUUGAAUUUCUGCUACGUUCCCCAACAGUGGCAUCAUGAGCUAGGUCUAUGCGUAGUUUCUAUGCACGAGUAGAACACAAAGUAGUUGUGGGCGUUGAUGUUGCCAAUUCUUCUUGCCGCUACUAGUCUUAUCUUGUUUCGGCGGCAUUGUGGGAUGAAGCGGCCCGGACCGACCUUACACGUACGCUUACGUGAGACAGGUUCCACCGACUGACAUGCACUAGAUGCAUAAGGUGGCUAGCGGGUGUCUGUCUCUCCUACUUUAGUCGGAACGGAUUCGAUGAAAAGGGUCCUUAUGAAGGGUAAAUAGAAAUUGGCAAAUCACGUUGUGGUCAUACGUAGGUAAGAAACGUUCUUGCUAGAAACCUACAAACCACGUAAAAACUUGCAACAACAAUUAGAGGACGUCUAACUUGUUUUUGCAGCAAGUGCUAUGUGAUGUGAUAUGGCCAGAAGAUGUGAUGAAUGAUAUAUGUGAUGUAUGAGAUUGAUCAUAUUCUUGUAAUGGGAAUCACGACUUGCAUGUCGAUGAGUAUGACAACCGGCAGGAGCCAUAGGAGUUGUCUUUAUUUUUUGUAUGACCUGUGUGUCAUUGAAUAACGCCAUGUAAAUUACUUUACUUUAUUGCUAAGCGCGUUAGCCAUAGAAGUAGAAGUAAUCGUUGGCGUGACGACUUCAUGAAGACACAAUGAUGGAGAUCAUGAUGAUGGAGAUCAUGGUGUCAUGCCGGUGACAAAGAUGAUCAUGGUGCCCCGAAGAUGGAGAUCAAAGGAGCAUGAUGAUAUUGGCCAUAUCAUGUCACUAUUUGAUUGCAUAUGAUGUUUAUCAUGUUUUGCAUCUUAUUUGCUUAGAACGACGGUAGCAAGUAGGAUGAUCCCUUAUAAUAAUUUCAAGAAAGUGUUCACCCUAACUGUGCACCGUUGCGAAGGUUCGUCGUUUCGAAGCACCACGUGAUGAUCGGGUGUGAUAGAUUCUUACGUUCGAAUACAACGGGUGUUGACGAGCCUAGCAUGUACAGACAUGGCCUCGGAACACACGCAAUACACUUAGGUUGACUUGACGAGCCUAGCAUGUACAGACAUGGCCUCGGAACACGGAGGACCGAAAGGUCGAGCAUGAGUCGUAUAGAAGAUACGAUCAACAUGGAGAUGUUCACCGAUCUUGACUAGUCCGUCUCACGUGAUGAUCGGACACGGCCUAGUUAAACUCGGAUCAUGUUUCACUUAGAUGACUAGAGGGAUGUCUAUCUGAGUGGGAGUUCAUAAUCAGAUGAACUUCAUUAUCAUGAACAUAGUCAAAUAGGUAUUUGCAAAUUAUGUCAUAGCUUGCGCUUUAGUUCUACUGGUUAAGAUAUGUUCCUAGAGAAAAUUUAGUUGAAAGUUGGUAGUAGCAAUUAUGCGGACUGGGUCCGUAAACUGAGGAUUGUCCUCAUUACUGCACAAAAGGCUUAUGUCCUUAAUGCACCGCUCGGUGUGCUGAACCUCAGCGUCGUCUGUAGAUGUUACAAAACAUCUGACAUACACGUUUUGAUAACUACGUGAUAGUUCGGUGCGGUUUAGAAUUGUGGCACCCAAGACAUUUUUUGAAACGUCGCAGAACAUGUGAGAUGUUCCGAAGACUGAAAUUGGGAUUUCAGACUAGUGCCCACGUCAAGAGGUAUGAGACCUCUGACAAGUUUCUUAAGCCUGCAAACUAAGGGAGAAAAGCUCAAUCGUUGAGCGUGUGCUCAGAUUGUCUGAGUGCCACAAUCGCUUGAAUCGAGUGGGAGUUAAUCUCCCAGAUGAGAUAGUGAUAGUUCUCCAUAGUCAUUGCCACCAAGCUAGUAGAGCUUCGUGAUGAACUAUAACAUAUCAAGGAUAGUUAUGAUGAUCCUUGAGCUAUUCGCGAUGUUUGACACCGCGAGAGUAGAAAUCAAGAAGGAGCAUCAAUUGUUGAUGGUUAGUAAAACCACUAGUUUAAGAAGGGCAAGGGCAAAAGGGAUACUUUAUGAAACAGCAAGUCGUUUGCUGCUCUAGUGAAGAAUCCCAAGGUUGAACCCAAACCCGAGACUAAGUGCUUCUGUAAUGAUAGGAACGGUCACUGAAGCAGUACUACCCUAGAUACUUGGUAGAUGAGAAGGCAGGCAAGGUCGACAGAAGUAUAUUGAAUAUACAUUGUAUGAAUGUGUACUUUACUAGUACUCCUAGCAGCACCAGGGUAUUAGAUACCGGUUCGGUUGCUAAGUGUUAGUAACUCGAAAUAAAAGCUGCGGAAUAAACGGAGACUAGCUAAAGGUGAGAUGACGAUGUGCGUUGGAAGUGUUUCCAAGGUUGAUGUGAUCAAGCAUCGCAUGCUCACUCUACUAUCGAGAUUUGGUGUUUGCGUUGAACAUGAUUGGAUUAUGUUUAUCGCAAAACGGUUAUUCAUUUAAGGAGAAUAAUGGUUACUCUGUUUAUUUGAAUAAUACCUUCAAUGGUCUUGCACCUAAAAUGAAUCUCGAUCGUAGUGAUACACAUGUUCAUGCCAAAAAGAUAUAAGAUAGUAAUGAUAGUACCACAUACUUGUGGCACUGCCACUUGAGUCAUAUUGGUAUAGAACGCAUGAAGAAGCUCCAUGUGGAUGGAUCUUUGGACUCACUCAUUUUUGAAAAGAUUGAGACAUGCGAACCAUGUCUAUUGGUAUAUAUAUGCAUGAAGAAACUCCAUGCAGAUGGAUUGUUUAGACUCACUUGAUUAUGAAUCACUUGAGACAUGCAAAUCAUACCACAUGGGCAAGAUGACUGAAAGUCCUCGUUUUCAGUAAGAUGGAACAAGAGAGCAACUUAUUGGAAGUAAUACAUUUUGAUGUACGCAGUCCAAUGAAUGCUGAGGCACGCAGUGGAUAUCGUUAUGUUCUUACUUCACAGAUGAUUUGAGUAGAUGCUGAGUGUAUUUACUUGAUGAAACACUAGUCUGAAUUAUUGAAAGGUUCAAGUAAUUUCAGAGUGAAGUUGAAGAUCGUCAUAACAAGAGGAUAAAAUGUCUGUGAUAUGAUCAUAGAGAUGAGUAUCUGAGAUACGAGUUUAGCACACAAUUGAGACAUUGUGGAAAGUGUUUCACAAUUAAUACCGCCUGGAACACCAUAGUGUGAUGGUGUGUCUGAACAUCACAACUGCACCCUAUUGGACAUGGUGCACACCAUGAUGUUUCUUAUCAAAUUACCACUAUCGUUUAUGGGUUAGGCAUUAGAGACAACCACAUUCACUUUAAAAGGGGCACCACGCAAUUCCGUUGAGACGACACCGUUUAUAGAAACCUAAGUUGUCGUUUCUUAAAAGUUUGGGGCUGCGAUGCUUAUGUGAAAAAGUUUCAGGCUGAUAAGCUCAAACCCAAAGCGGAUAAAUGCAUCUUCAUAGAAUACCCAAAACAGUUGGGUAUACCUCCUAUUUCAGAUCUGGAAGCAAAAGUAAUUGCUUCUAGAAAUGAGUCCUUUCUUGAGGAAAAGUUUCUCUCGAAAGAAUUGAGUGGGAGGAUGGUGGAGACUUGAUAAGGUUAUUGAACCGUCGCUUCAACUAGUGUGUAGCAGGGCACAGGAAGUUGUUCCUGUGGCACCUACACCAAUUGAAGUGGAAGCUUAUGAUGGUGAUCAUGAAACUUCAGAUCAAGUCACUACCAAACCUCGUAGGACGACGAGGAUGCGUAAUACUUCAGAGUAGUACGUGAUCCUGUCUUGGAAGUCAUGUUGUUGGACAACAAUGAACCUACGAGCUGUGGAGAAGCGAUGGUGGGCCCAUAUUCUGACAAAUGGUUAAAAGCCAUGAAAUCCGAGAUAAAUGGAUCUUUGAGAAGAAGACGAACAUGGACGGUAAUGUUACCGUCUAUGAAGCUCGACUUGUGGCAAAGAGUAUUUCCACAAGUUCAAGGAGUUGACUACGAUGAGAUUUUCUCAUCCGUAGCGAUGCUUAAGUCCGUCGGAAUCAUGUUAGCAUUAGCUGCAUUUAUGAAAUCUGGCAGAUGGAUGUCAAAACAAGUUUCCUUACCAGUUUUCGUAAGGAAAGGUUGUAUGUGAUACAAUCAGAAAGGUUUUGUCGAUCCUAAGGAUGCUAAAAGGUAUGCUAGCUCCAGCGAUCCUUCCAUGGACUAGAGCAAGCAUCUCGGAGUCAGAAUAUACGCUUUGAUGGAGUGAUCAAAGUUUUUGGGUUUAUACAAAGUUUGUUAGAAACUUGUAUUUACAAUAAAGUGAGUGGGAGCGCUACAACAUUUCUGAUAAGUAUAUGUGAAUGACAUAUUGUUGAUCCGAAAUGAUGUAAAAUUUCUGGAAAGCAUAAAGGGUUGUUUGAAAGGAGUUUUUCAAAGGAAGACCUGGAUAAAGCUACUUACAUAUUGGGCAUCAAGAUCCAUAGAGAUAGGUCAAGACGCCUGAUGAUACUUUCAAAAGACAGCACACCUUGACAUGAUUUUGAAAGAGUUCAAAAUAGAUCAGCAAAGAAGGAGUUCUUGGCUGUGUUACAAGGUGUGAGUAUUGAGUGAGACUCAAGACCUGACCACAGCAGAAGAUAGAGAAAGGACGAAGGUCGCCCCCUAUGCUUUAGACGUAGGCUCUAUAGUAUGCUAUGCUGUGUACCGCACAUGUAGUGUGCCUUGCCAUGAGUUGGUCAAGAGGGUACAAUGGUGAUCCGGGAAAGGAUCUCAUGACAGCGGUCGAACUUAUCCUUAGUACCUAGUGGACUAAGGAAUUUUCUCGAUUAUGGAGGUGAAAAGGAGUUCGUCGUAAAGGGUUACGUCGAUGCGAACUUUGACACUAAUCCGGAUGACUCUGAGUAGUAAACCGGAUUCGUAUAGUAGAGCAAUUACUUGAAAUGGCUCCAAGUAGCGCGUGGUAGCAUCCACAAAGAUGACAUAGAUAUUCGUAAAGCACACACGAAUCUGAAAGGUUCAGACCCGUUGACUAAUAACCUCUCUCACAAGCAUAACAUGAUCAAACCAGAACUCAUUGAGUGUUAAUCACAUAGAGAUGUGAGCUAGAUUGUUGACUCUAGUAAACUCUUGGGUGUUGGUCACAUGGUGAUGUGACCUGUCAGUGUUAAUCACAUGGUGAUGUGAACUAGAUUAUUGACUCUAGUGCAAGUGGGAGACUGUUGGAAAUAUGCCCUAGAGGCAAUAAUAAAUAGGUUAUUAUUAUAUUUCCUUGUUCAUGAUAAUCGUUUAUUAUCCAUGCUUGAAUUGUAUUGAUAGGAAACUCAGAUACAUGUGUGGAUACAUAGACAACACCAUGUCCCUAGUAAGCCUCUAGUUGACUAGCUCGUUGAUCAAUAGAUGGUUACGGUUUCCUGACCAUGGACAUUGGAUGUCGUUGAUAACGGGAUCACAUCAUUAGGAGAAUGAUGUGAUGGACAAGACCCAAUCCUAAGCCUAGCACAAGAUCGUGUAGUUCGUUUGCUCAGAGCUUUUCUAAUGUCAAGUAUCACUUCCUUAGACCAUGAGAUUGUGCAACUCCCGGAUACCGUAGGAAUGCUUUGGGUGUGCCAAACGUCACAACGUAACUGGGUGGCUAUAAAGGUGCACUACGGGUAUCUCCGAAAGUGUCUGUUGGGUUGGCACGAAUCGAGACUGGGAUUUGUCACUCCGUGUAAACAGAGAGGUAUCUCUGGGCCCACUCGGUAGGACAUCAUCAUAAUGUGCACAAUGUGACCAAGGAGUUGAUCACGGGAUGAUGUGAGUUACGGAACGAGUAAAGAGACUUGCCGGUAACGAGAUUGAACAAGGUAUAGGGAUACCGACGAUCGAAUCUCGGGCAAGUAACAUACCGAUAGACAAAGGGAAUUGUAUACGGGAUUGAUUGAAUCCCCGACAUCGUGGUUCAUCCGAUGAGAUCAUCGUGGAACAUGUGGGAGCCAACAUGGGUAUCUAGAUCCCGCUGUUGGUUAUUGACCGGAGAACGUCUCGGUCAUGUCUGCAUGGUUCCCGAACCCGUAGGGUCUACACACUUAAGGUUCGAUGACGCUAGGGUUAUAGGGAAAGUAUGUACGUGGUUACCGAAUGUUGUUCGGAGUCCCGGAUGAGAUCCCGGACGUCACGAGGAGUUCCGGAAUGGUCCGGAGGUAAAGAUUUAUAUAUGGGAAGUCCUGUUUUGGUCACCGGAAAAGUUUCGGGUGAAAUCGGUAAUGUACCGGGACCACCGGGAGGGUCCCGGGGGUCCACCAAGUGGGGCCACCAGCCCCAGAAGGCUGCGUGGGCCAAGUGUGGGAGGGGACCAGCCCCAGGUGGGCUGGUGCACCCCCCCACCAAGGCCCAAGGCGCAUGGGAGAGUGGGAGGGGGCAAACCCUAGGUCCAGAUGGGCCUUAGGGCCCAUCUAGUGGGGCGCCCCCCCCUCUCCUCCCCUUGGCCGCCCCCCUUGAUGGGAUCUAAGGCUGGCCGCCUCCUCUUGGGGGUGGAAACCCUAAGGGGGGCGCAGCCCCCUCCCCCCCUAUAUAUAGUUGAGGUUUGGGCUGCCCAAGACACACGAAAAAGUCUCCUUUUGGCGCAGCCCUACCCCUCUCCCUCCUCCUCCUCUCCCGCGGUGCUUGGCGAAGCCCUGCGGGAUUGCCACGCUCCUCCACCACCACCACGCCGUCGUGCUGCUGCUGGAUGGAGUCUUCCCCAACCUCUCCCUCUCUCCUUGCUGGAUCAAGGCGUGGGAGACGUCACCGGGCUGCACGUGUGUUGAACGCGGAGGCACCGUACUUUCGGUGCUUAGAUCGGAAUCAACCGCGAUCUGAAUCGCUACGAGUACGACUCCCUCAUCCGCGUUCUUGCAACGCUUCCGCAUCGCGAUCUACAAGGGUAUGUAGAUGCACUCCCCUUCCCUUCGUUGCUAGUAAACUCCAUAGAUUGAUCUUGGUGAUGCGUAGAAAAUUUUGAAUUUCUGCUACGUUCCCCAACAAUCAGACCAUUACUGAUACUGGUUCUUCCCUUCCCUCCUCCGCCCGCAUGGGAUUUCGUGGAUACAGAGAAAAGGUAAGGUCCAACAACUCAACAGCAGCCACAACCGCAUAAACUCCAGGAAGCUUCAAUUUUAUUAUCAAUAAUGUUAGUUAGCCCAUCACAUCACAGCACAGCACAUCACAUCAGAUACAUAUAUUUUUUUGGGGGGGAAAGACAUCAGCCACAUAGAUUAAUAUUCACCAGUUAACAUCCGUCCUUGUUCCCUCUUUGAUAGGUCGCCUGCGGAUGAGGGCAUGUCGAGCUCCGAAAGAAGCCGGGAUCCAAUGGCACCCAUUGGGUAUGUCAAGUCUCAACCACACCCAUCCACUGAAACUUGGUGGCAUUUUAUUUAUCCCCAUGGCAGUUCAUUUCUCUAUUUAUAUUGUCGGCCACACCUUGUGCAAUGGUGUUUUUCACCAUCCUGUCCCCUCUGCAUCUUUCCGUUUAGAUGUUACCAUCAUAGGAAGAUGAUAUUCCGCGCUAAAACACUGUUUUAUUGGGGAAUGAGAGGACUGAGAAAAUAGAGUGGUGAUCGAGUAGAGGAUAGCUGGUUUUGAUUAAUUGAUGGAGCAACUGAGAGAGUUCAAUGAGGAGGUGCAGAUCGUGGAAGAGGAAUCUCCUGAGGUGCGCAGGCACGUCGUCCUCUCUGUUCCAAGUCCUGCUAGAGGUGGGAGCCCCUCUUUACUUACCAACUCAUGCAGCACUACUUAGCUUGUUUCUUUUGGAUAGGAAGAAGAAUGGCUAACUGUCGCGUUGUUUCUGUGUUGUGACCACGAGAUUGUUGUCUUGGUGUGAUUGCUUGUUCCUCGCUAAAUUUUCCGACUUUGACAUUGUUUGAUGCAUUUCGCUUUCUCAUAAUGCUGAAGGUUGGAUUUCUAUUAAUUAAUUAAUUAAUUAAUUGUACCUUCGUUUGUGUGUGUUCAGAUGAUUUCAGAGGCAGAGGUGAAGUCAGGGAGACGAGGGGCCCAAUUAGUGCUUCCCUGGGUGCCAUGAGACCCCUUGUUGGGAAGCUGGACAUGUUGCUCUUUGGGGAUGCUCCUCUGGAAUGCUCUUCCAAGAGGGUUAAGGACGGUAUGCACCUCCUCAAAGAUGACGUUGAGAAGAUAAGCUCCUACCUUGAUGACCUGUCUGAGCUACAGGACCCUCCCCUGACGGCCAAGUGCUGGAUGAAUGAGGUGCGUGACUUGUCCUAUGACAUGGAGGAUUACAUCGACAGUUUAGUAGUUGUGCGACCUAAAGAUUUCCCCCUGUUACCAACAUCAAGAGCACCAAAUCCCACCACAAAUUGUCCAGCCAUAUCAAGACUUCCAAGAGUCAGAUUAUUAUUGCGGAAACGCUAUCAGAAUUUAGGAUGUAUGUCCAAGAGGUGAUUCAACGGUACCAGAGGUACAAUCUCCAUUCUUGCAGAACCUUGAGGCGUAGGUUUGUGUCCCUUGGCCCUAUGCUUCUUCCAAUGCCAUAUAAAGAAACUGAUGACAUAGUAAUCGAUGGCCGGAUGAAUGAAUUUAUCAACUCACUGGUUAAUGAUGGGGACCAGCAGCUCAAGGUGCUAUCUGUUCUUGGAUCUGCUUGUCUUAGUAAAACUACACUUGCUAGAGUGAUGUACAGCAGAUUUAGGAAACAAUACAGUUGCCGAGCUUUCAUUCAGGUGUCCAAGAAACCUGAUAUGAAGAGAAUUUUCCGUGACAUGCUCUCACAACUCCAGCGGCAGCAACCCCCACAAUAUUAUAUGGAAACUGAUCUCAUUCACCAUAUCAAGCAAUAUCUACAGGAUAAAAGGUAGUGGCUUUUUUCCUUCAUUCGAAGUAUACCAGAUUUUUUUCUUCAUUCAAAAUAUACCAAAGUUCCCAUGCUCCCUAGUACUAAUAUGAGUUGAUUACAUGUAUGCAGGUAUUUAAUUAUUCUUGAUGAUGUAUGGGCUGCAUCAGUAUGGGAUAUUAUUAAUCAUGUUUUGCCAAAGGGUAAUUGUGGAAGCAGAAUAGUAACAACUACGCAGAUCGAAGACAUUGCAUUAGCGUGCUGCCAUUAUCAGUCAGAGUAUGUUUUUGAGAUGAAACACCUAGAUGAUGAUCAUUCUAGAAAGCUUUUCUUUAAUAGACUUUAUGGCUCUGAAGUGAUUGUCCUGAAGAGUUCAAAGAGGUACUGGAUGACAUUGUUGAAACAUGUGAUGGUUUCCCGCUAGCCACAAUCAGCAUAGCUAGCCUUUUAGCAAGCCAACCUGUCAUGUCAAUUGAUCUUUUGACGUACAUCCAACAGUCGUUAAGCUCUUCUCUUUCUACAUCAGAAAAAACGAGACAAGCACUGAAUCUUAGCUUCAAUAAUCUUCCUCGUUAUCUGAAGACAUGUUUGCUGUAUCUUAAUAUGUAUCCAGAGGGCCAGAUAUUCUUCAAGGAUGAUUUGGUGAAGCAAUGGGUAGCUGAAGGUUGUAUUGAUACAGCGGAAGGGCAAGACAUGGUGAAACUUGCAGAGAGCUAUCUUGAUCAACUUAUUGGCAGAAGACUCAUACUGCCUAUAUGUAUCAACUACAACAAUGAAGUGUUGUCCUGUACAGUUCAUGACAUGGUACAUGAUCUUAUUGCAUACAAGUCUGAAGAAGAAAAUUUCGUUUUGGUAAUAGACCACAGUCAAGCAAAUGUGUCACUUUCUCAUAAGGUCCGUCGACUAUCUCUCCUCUUUGGCGAUGCAAGAUAUGUCAAGAAACCAGCAAAUAUCAGAAAGUCACAAGUUCGGUCACUUAGAUUUUUUGGAUUAUCUGAGUGCAUGCCUUGCAUUAGAGAUUUCAAGCUUCUUCGUGUUCUGAAUCUCCAACUACCGGGUCAUGGUGGCGACGCUGAUGCCGACUCUUUUGAUCUCACUGGGAUCUCAGAACUGUUUCAACUGAGAUAUUUGAAGAUUGCAUGUGAUGUCUGCAUAGAGCUUCCAAACCAUGGGCUACCAUGUUUGGAAUUGCUAGAUAUUAUGGAUGCAAGAGUUGCUAGUGUUCCAUGUGAUAUCCAUCUACCACACUUGUUGCACCUCAGCCUUUCUGUCGAGAGAAAUCUGCUGGAUUGGUCUGUCAGUAAGGGGAGCCUUGGCAAGCUGAACUACCUGCAGGAUCUUCAUGUUAGCAUUGUUCCGUCUGCGCCUUCCUACGUUGUGGAGAGAAGCAUGGAAUCUCUAGGCUCUUUAAUCGGAGGACAUGGAAGCUUGAGAACUAUACAAGUGGUGGCUCAUGGCUCCUCGGUACAAAAUGCUCUGGUUCGUGGUGUGUCAAAAGUAACCAUUUCAUGGGAUGACUUGGCACCUCCCCCGUUUCUCCAGAGAUUUGAGUGUUCGCUGCAUAAGUGGCUUGGAAAACUUGGCAACCUAUGCAUUUUGAAGAUUUCAGUAAGGGAACUGAUGAUGGAUUGUAUUGAUAUUGUUAGAGGAUUGCCAGCCCUCGCCACUUUGUCGCUGUAUGUGCAGAAGGCGCCCAUUGAAAGGAUCAUCUUUGACAAAGCCGGGUUCUCAGUUCUGAGGCACUUCAAGUUGAGGUUCACGAGUGGUAUAGCUUGGCUAGUGUUUGAGGCAGAUGCAAUGCCUAAUCUCUGGAAGAUGAAGCUAGUCUUCAACGCCACCCCCCCAAUGGACCAACAUCCUUUUCUUUAUUCUUCGAAGCAAGGCGCCUUCGAACGACACCAACGUGGUACUGCAAUUAUCAGCGUCGAGCCUAUGCCAGAGCUUAGAGAGAUGUCGGUAAAAUUUGGGGGUGCAGCUGCUGAUCUAGAGUAUGCCAUGAGGACCUUCGUAAGGAACCAUCCGAGCAAUCCUACAAUCAUAGUGCAACUGGUGGAUCACAGUUCCUAUGGCGACGGAAUCACAAAACAGAGAACAUAGCAACCAGAUGAGAUUGUGGAGGAGGAGCCGACAUCCAACAGUAAACAGCCAGACGAGACCCUGAUGGAAGAAGUAGGUAAUUAUGACAAGAUUUUUGAGAGAGUGUUUGAGAGACCAAGGUAGGCACUACCAGUGUUCAUUGUAAACGCAGGGAGAUAAUGCCCUCCUGAUUUAAUUUCUCGUGUUUUAACGAAGCUAGCUAAUUUUGUUGUAACCAGGAUUUCGAGGCCAUCCCUCCCAAAAAAAAAGAGAAACAAGAUUUCAAGGCCAUCCCUCCCAGGAAAAAAGAAAGAGAAGAUUUCAAGGUCAUUCAAAUCCUCUUCGCUUCUGCAUUUUCCAGGCACAUUUCAUUUCUGUCAACUGGUUCUGUAGAGAUGUUUCGCCACUAAGCUAGUAGAGUUACUUGGUCCACAUACAUGCUGAAAUGACUAGGGCCUUGCAAUUUGACUAGGCAACUUUGUCCUAAGUGAUAAAAUUCUUGUCCCAAACUAGCAAUACGCAAACAAAUUAAUUCUCUCCAACUCUUGACUUGGCUUGAGUGGGAACAGGCAUCGCAUUGAAGAAGGGCCUCUGACACUUGGGGUGGAUCCAUGAGGUGAGUGGGACUACAAAGGGUGGAUUUAUGGACAAGAUUGACAGAGGUGCUGCUGAUUCCGUCGAGACGACGCGGUCAUAUGCUACUAGAUCAAGUCCCUCAUAUGCUGCUACCUGAGAAUGAGAUGGCCCUGAGCUCAUCUGGGCUGUCGUGCGUUGCCGGUGUGCUGCUCACCAGGCAGCUUGUACAAGAGAGAUUCUGUCGGCGUUCUCUUUAUGCAGCACCCUGUUUCCCAGGACUGAAGAAGAGGAGGAGUUCAAGAGAAAGCCCCCAUUGAAACAUCCGACUUGUAUUAUUUUUGUUGCAAUUUCAGAGUUCCGAUGGUUUUCACUGCGUUCUUCUGAUGGCUUUCAUUUCCCAGCUUUGUUUGUGAGCAUGUUACUACCAGUUAUUUUCCGAACAUCAAGUUCCGUGUUACGCUUGUAUUUUGUUGAAGAUUGUUCGAAUUCUGAAGAAGACCAGUAGUUUAGAAAGAAGAACCCUAUUGGUUUUGUGCAGGCAAAGAACGCCUAUUGGUUUUGGGCGGGUUCUGAGGUCCAAUCCCGUAAGUCUUGACAGCCACAAGGAUAAGCUCCUCGCUUUUUCCUUGUUGCAUCAGCUGCUCCCAGCGAGAACCACCAUUUAAAAACAUCCUGAAUUUUGAAUCGCGCAGCUGUGCCGGAUGGCUGUCUCGAGCGCACACGCGAGAGCCGUCCGAUACGCCCGAUCGCCACCGACGCGUGCGGAAUCGUCCGACCAGAACAAUAAUAAUCCACGUCACGACAAGUGCAAGGAUGUGGCCCACGUGAGGACAGUGCAUGAGGUGGGGAUUUAGUUCGAACUUAGAUCUGCAUGCAUUUAAUUAGCGUUUUCAAAAUUUUGAAAAGCUAUAACUUUUGGACCAAGCAUCGAAAUUAAUAUAUGUUUUCACCCUUAGAUUAAUCGUGACGAGAUCUUCAAAACUAGAUCCCAUAUGAGUAUGUUUCGACUAACUUUUUUUAUGAGCAACUUUGGAUGCUACGGAGGCAACUUUAGUGCCAUAGGAAAGCAACUUCUUGUUAGUUAGUUUAGUAUGACUUUCUAUGAUCGAAAAUCUCUUUGAAGUUGGCUACCAUGACUAUCUAGUUAACUAGCUUCACUUCUAAGUUUUCUACCAUAAUUAGCUUCGCCUUCAAUUUGAUAGUAUUGUAGGCAACUUAGUUUCUGGGGUAGGUUAACAUUAUCCUAAACUGCUUGCCAUGCCAAGUGAGUAGCUUAAUAUCAUCCUUAGUUGCAUGUAAUACUUUUUGGUAUGGUAAACAACUUAGUUUCAUAGAAAGGCAACUUACUAACAAUGAUGGACCACCUUUUCAAUGUAUUCUAGGCAACUGAAAUAGAAAUGGCAGGCAACAGAGCCUACAGGCAACUUAGAAAAAGAAUGAUAAGAAACUUCCCAAUAUUACUAGGCAACUAAUUUGUAAAGUUAGGCAACUAACAUCAAUGUUAGGCAAUUUCGUAGUAUUUUGUAGCCAACUGAGCAUGAACGUGGGCAACUGGUCACUAACGAUAUGCAAAAUGGACAUCAGUGUUAGGCAAUUUCAUAGUAUUUGUAGGCAACUGGGCAUCAACCACAGGCAACUAAUCAUCAAUGAUAGGCAAAUGUGCAUCAAUGUUAGACAAUUUCAUAGUAUUUGUAGGAAACUGAGCAUCAACUGUAGGCAACUAAGCAUCACAGAUAGGCAACUGGGUAUCAAUGUUAGGCAACUUUAUAGUAUUUCUAGGCAACCGAGCAUCAAUCGUAGGCAACUGAUAAUCAAUGAUAAGCAACCGAGCAGCCAUGAUAGGCAAGUUGGGAUUAAGUUAGCAAGACUCACAUCACAUAAUGCAGUAAAGUUGCUUGUAUGUAGCACUAAAGGCACCUCGUGUUUUGUGUGAUUUUAUUGUUUUAACACAAAUCAACCUAAUAGAAAGUCAUACUAGGCCAAAAAUAAGAACAUGAUGCUAAAUGAGGCAACUUUAGUGCUAAGUAGGAGCAACUUUGAUGCUAGAUGAAUUGAACCGUAUCUAUUAGUGAAUUCGCCUAGUAGCCUCCUAAUUAGCUGUGUGCAGUAGUGUAAUAGGUGGCAUAGAGUUAGGAUACUUGCUAGUUAUGGUAUACAACUUAGAGAUGAAGCUAGUCAAUUUUGGUAGUUGCGAUAACCAACUUAAAAGGAUUUUUCGUUGAUAGGCAGUCAUACUAGGAAAAAAAGAAGUUGCUUUCUUAUAGCACUAUAGUUGCCUCAAUACAACCCAAAGUUGCCCGCGAAAUAAGUUUGUCAAAAUGUACCCAUAUGGGAUCUAGUUUUGAAGUACUCGUCGUGAGAAACCCAACGGUGAAAACGAAGUUGGAUUCCGAUGCACGAAUCAAAAGUUAUAGCUUUUGAAAUUUUUUGAAACCCAAAUAAAUGCACGCGGGACAAGAUCAUACGUGAUUUCCUAAGUAGCGUAAAUACGUCAAGUAGUUUCCUUUUAGGAUGUCAGCUGGUUUCGGAAUCACGUGGGCGUGGGGUGGUGGUGUGAGAAACUGAUUUCCUUUAUUGAGAAAGUGAUUUGCCAGGCAGCCACGUCCUAAAAACAUUAUAACUGCGCACCUUUCCAGCCCUCUCAGACUAUUUGCAUUCCUGGCCAUCCGUUUUUUCGAUCUGAACGUUUCUGAACAUUGGAUCUGAUUUCUACGCCACGUUUUUCGCCUCGUGGGCCUGCUGUCCUAAGGGGACGCUACUCCAGCGGAAAAAGGGUGUAUGCUGGUUGUUUGGGUUGUUGGGUCGAAGACUCAAAGCGUGGUUCCCGUGGGGCACCGGGCAGUCGAGUGAGAGAUAAAUACAUCUGUGGUCAUCGAAGUUGAGGUCAAAGCACACUACGGUCACUGAACUUCAAAAUACACUCAAUACGGUCACUGAAUACGAGUUAGGGUAAUUAUACAGUCACUGCAUCAUCGUAGAGCUAUGUAUUUUGUCGAGUUGACCAGUCAAACUGUCACCUAGUGAUGCAUGGUCACCGCCACGUCCUCUCUAUCCUGUAGGGCCGACUUGUCAGCUGGUGGCAAAAUAAAAAACCCUGCGCACCAGGACACAGAUUCGAACCCAAAAUCUCCCAGUUGGAGAUCACCAAGGCUAACCACUUGAUAAAACACAAUUGGAUGCAGUAGUAUCUUUCUGAUUUUAUAUAAACAUGAAUGCAUGCACCGGUCGAACACAACCCAUGCAGCCAGAUCAGGUACACAGCACGUACGAACAGGCGCACACAAAGCAUGCACCUAGGUGCACAGCACGCACACAACGCAUGCACCAGGCGCACGCCACACACAUAUACAACGCAUCCAUGCACACACACUCGGGUGCAUGGAGACAUGCAUCAUCUACGGCAACGUCUGGUUCGUCGUGCUACGGCGAAGUUCGCCCACAACGGCGCCCUGUGCCAUCUCCUGCGGCUCCUCCUUGUCGUCAUUGUUCGACGGUUGGACGGAGACAAAGGCGAUCACAUCCUCGGCCUUAGAGCAUCAGUCGAACACACGCGCGCGCACAAGGACGUACGUGAGGAGGUUCUUUCGAGGGGAUGAAACGACAGGUGAUCAAGAGCGGCUCACGCACAAGCAGGACUCCAUCCAGGAGCGCAUCAACGACGAACAUGUCGAGCAGGAGCACGUUCACCGCAGCAGGUUUUUGAGCAUUAAAAAAACAUGAGCAUGUCAAGGACGAUAAAAGGGUUGCCUGCGGCAAGGCACGUCAUGGCAUCGGUCGAGACGACGGCGCUGUCCAGCUUGUCGAACAUGGCGCGGGUGGAGGUCUGGUGCCGACAAGAGGUGUCCCGUCUCAACCGCGCUGGUCCGUCUCCAUGGAGGAUCACGUUGUCGACGUCGAGGCCGCACGCACGCACGGACACGCUAACACGCACACACCAUACGCACGCAUAACAGAAAUAAUAAAAAGAACACACACUAACAUGCACAACAGAAAUGAGAAAAAACACGAAGCACACACUAAUAUGCACGCGCUAGCAAAAAAAAAGCAAAAGAAAACAUCACGCAUUAGCAGUCAAAGAAAAACUGUGGUUAAAGCAAUCGUACACAAACGGGUUACAUCGAGACAUUGUAUUGAUUAACCCUCAGGUUAUCAACGCUAAAACACGACGGUCCUGGUGGGUUGCGCGUGAGUUCUACGACGCUAAGUUCGAUUCCCGGCCAUUGGAGUAGUUUAUUUUUGUUCAUUUAUCUCUUAUACUCACUUGCAGGUGGGACCCAUAGAGUAGAGAGACAACAAAACGCUGACAGUGCUGCCUUAGUGCCACAAUAGACUAUUUGACCGGUCAACUGGACAAAAUACGGAGCUCUACGGUGAGUUAGUGACCGUAUAAUCACCGCAACUCAUAUUCAGUGACCGUAUUGAGCGUAUUUUGAAGUCCAGUGAUUAUAAUAUGCUUCAGCCACAACUUCGAUGACCACCACUGUAUUUAUCUCGUCGAGUAAUCACCCCCGACCUAUCGUCUCUCCUCUCUCUCUCGGCCGCAACAUGGGGGUGCGCCGCCACCGCAGCUAUUCUCUCCGGCUCGCCGCUCCUCGCUGCGUAUUCCUCGAACACCUCCGCGUUCGCGCAGUAGAUGCCGCCCUCCUUCUCCUAUCUUUCCUCCCGGUAAGCGCAAUGAGGAGGGGCUCCAUGACCGGGCCUAGGCUCCAUGAUCGGGCCGUCAAUCUCGCCGAGCAAAGGUGCACAGACUCUGGCCUGUUCCCUGCGUGUCCAUCCCUAACAGCUCCUGAGAAAGGGGAAAUCUUCAUCACUAACUACUCCCAAACUAACGCGAAUGUUUGUCUGCGCUGUAGCAGCGCCCGCCGCUGCCGUCCUGCCUCCAGAUUGCGGGAGAAGUUUGGGGACAAUUUGUGCCAACGCAUCCAAGAAUCUCCUUUCAGCAACGAUGGUGCAUGGAUGGGAGGCGCCGGAUCUUUUCCGCCUCCCACCUCCUUCCUCUCGUGGAUCAUCAUGUGUCUUUCUUCUUUGACCUGGCUUGGCCAUGGUCGCUACUCGCUAAUGGUGAGUCUUUUUGUAGCACUUCAUCCUUUCCAUUCCAAGUUUUUGAGUUUUGUAUGUGUUGUGCCAUUAUUUCUUUGGUCUCCGUUGCAGAGAGGAGUCCGAAAAAAAAUGAUUUAUGCAUAGAGUUUGCAUCCAAAUUCCAAAGCCACAACGUUGAUUUAUCUGUUGGGGAGUUGAGGUAUCGUCUUUGCUUAUGAUUGCAUUCUUUACAGGAGCUAUUUCUUGCAGUUUAUGAUAUGAACAUUCCUUUUACACGGAUGGAAGAAACAUGACAACUAGCGCUGUUCAAUCUGCUAUCAACUCCUACAUAUACCAAUCUCAUAUUUGUGCGCGUGGUGCUCAUCAUGGUUCGGUCAACUCUUUGAUGCUGAUUCUUACCGAGCUGCUGACCUUCGAUCAUGUCCAGUCGGUCAGAUCGGGAGAGGAAAAAGCAUGCCGCUGGAUGCGGGGCGAAGGCGAAGCGAAACGGUCCUGACUAAUCGAUGCGGCGCAAAGCGAUGCAAGGCUCAAUUUUUGUUGGUUCUAUGGAGUUGACAUCACACCCCUAUGUGCCUCCCAACCUCACUACUCGAUAAAAUAUAAAGGUACCUACCUCACUCCCCCGUAAGGUUUGAUUUUGAUGUACGGUUCGUGAGGAUCCAGUUUUCUUAUUUGAUCCACUUUCUGAUUGUUGUAAGUGCACCAACCUUAAUUUAUUUUUUACAAACUUUAACAGGACCGUGGCAUAUAUUGAUUGGUCUGUUUGGUCGAGGAGAGUACAGCAAUAAGAUAUGCAAUAUGGAGUUCGCCUAGCAAGCCAUGUCAAUGUGCCACAGUAGCCUCGGACCUCGGUUGAUCUUAUAUUCAGCCUCUGAAUGGAGUUAAGUUUCACAAUUGAUGAUCUCCUGAUUCUAUUGCAUGUUUUAGUAGAUGGAUGUAUCUUCUGAAACAUGGGAUGGAGUCUUAAUAUGCUUCGACAAUGUCUUCUUGCGUGAGAAAUUGCUCCAUUCACUUGCAAUAUUGAGAACAGAUUCAGGAUACAUGCUUUGAAGUUAUUAUCUUACCUGAAUUUGUAUUGUUAUCUCAAUCAGCUCACUUGUCAGAGAAAGUAAAGUAAUUGGCCUCUACACUUAUUUGUGAUAGAGCAUGUUGUAGGAAACUAAAGGCCUGUCACAUGCUAUUUUGGGAAACUAAAGGCCUGUCACAUGCUCUUUAUAAAAUAAAAUGCUAAGAAGGCCAAUGCAACUGUUUCUUAUUAUUAUUGUUGUUGUUAUUUUAGUUUACUGUUACUUAACCUCCAUAGGCUUGCAAUGAAUCAUCCACUAAAAUACCUUGACAGUAAUUAACAAAAUUUCUAUACAUAUAUUUACAUCAACAACUAUGAUCCUAUUGGAAAAAUGGACGGGCGCAGCAACGCGCGCCUUCAAUGAUCUAGUGGGAUUGAUAGCAGUGACAUGGUCCAACUCCGACAUGUAUUUCAUUUUUCGGAGUUUUUUUGUUUUCCUCUGUUCCACAGCAAUCGUUAGCAGUAAUCGUGUGGCGUGGCCAUGCCCGGUUUUGUGGAACACUGUUUUUCUCAUAUUUGUUUCGACAAACUAUUUAAAAAAUGUUAAAACAACUAAAUGAAGAAAAAAUAUUAUACCAUGGAAAAUGAAAUUAUUUAUGCGUUCUUCGUGCAUAAGUUUGUCGCCCUUCUUGAAAACUUGCAGUUGUGACCCUCUCUUAGAAACUUACAUUUGUGACCCCUCUUGAGAGCUUUCAGUUACAUCCAUGCUAAAAACCUUGCAGUUGCGACCUCUCUUAAAAACUUACAAUUGUGAUCCAUAGAAAAACUUAUAGUUGCGACCUCCAUGGAGAACUUGCAGUUGGGACCUCUUUCGCAAACUUGUUGUUGUGCCCUUCCUUAUAAAAUAGUAGUUGUGACCUCUUGGAAAAUUUGCAUUUGCAACCCCACUGAAAACUUGCAGUUGUGAUCCCAUUGGACGACUUGCAGUUGCAACCCCUCUUGAAAACUUGCAGUUAUGAUCCCUGCCCCCCCCCCCCCUAAAGCUUAUACUUGCAAAAAAGGGGGGCAAAACCAAGGAAUGUUGAAGAAAAUAAUUUUUCGAAGACCAAAAAAUUCAAGGAAAAUAUGACAUUUUUCUAUGUCGAAGGUAGCCGGGGAAACCUUGGCCCACUUGAGGAGAACCCUGUGGGGGGGCCAUGUGGCCACCCCAACUGCGUGGUGUGCCUGGUGGGACCCGCGGGAUACCCCGACAAGUUCUACUGCCCGAUGACCUUAUAUGACAUAAUAUUACAAGUUCUACUCCCGAUGACCUUAUAUGGCGGAGGAAAAAUCCCGUAAAAAUUACGGGAUUUUCCCUCCGCCAUUUGCAAGGCGGAGCUGAGGCAUAACACUUUUCUGCUCUAGGGGGCUAUUUUCUUAGGACCCUUUCCUUCUUGAAGGGAGUAUUCGAAGACAUCGACGCCACCACAUCGUGGGGAUCAUCAUCAGCACCUUCAUGACCGUCAUCCAUCUCCAACCCUUGCUUUCAAUCUAUGAACUGUUACCUGAAUUGUUGAGAGUGCUUUCAGGUGUUGAUUAGUAUCUGUAGUUGAUGCUUAGAAGUUUUGUCGGUGAAAGAUUUAUAUGUUUGGAUUGUUAAUCAUAAUUUCAUCUCCGCUGAUCAUGAUCCAUAUGAUGUCUUGUGAGUAGUUCGUUACGUUCUUGAGGACAUGGAAUAAACCUUGUUACGAGUAAUCUUGUGAAGUUGAAUAUAAUUCAAUGUUUUGAUAUUAGAUUGUGAUGUAAUUAUCUAUUGGGUAUCUAAAAGGGUUGGGUUAUCCCAAGCCAACUGAUAGUGAGUCAAUUAUUGUACAUCUACCUGUCUAUUUUACAGUUCCGCUGUGCCGGUAACAAGUAUCAUAUCAUUGACAAGGUGUCUGGCGGGUAAUGUAAAAAUCACUUCUUAUUUAGCUUUCCCUAUUUGGGAAAUAGUGUGCUUAAACACUUUCCUCUACAGAUUUCUGCCAUAUGGAGUGAAUGGAAUGCUUGCUGGAUCAGUGACCGUUUUCUUUGCCUACAUAGGCUUUGAUUCAGUUGCGAGCACCGCUGAGGAGGUAAGGACAGGCUCUAAUUUCCAAAUUGACAUGGCACUGGAUCGGCGGUAUUAUUAAGAAUUCUUCUGUCUAAACUUCUAUUCCAACAGGUGACGAAUCCACAACGAGAUCUGCCGCUGGGAAUAGCCAUGUCAUUGACGAUUUGCUGUUCCUUGUACAUGCUGGUUUCAGUUGUUAUUGUCGGUCUGGUGCCAUACUUUGCUAUGGACCCAGAUACCCCUAUUUCAUCCGCCUUUGCGAGGCACGGGAUGCAGUGGGCGAUGUAAGGACUCCAUUUGACAGUGCUUCCAUUUCGCCGUGCAUCACUUGCUGUGCUUCCUGCUGAGGAUUUUUUUUACGGUGCUGUCUUAUUUUAGGUACCUUGUAACUGUUAGGUUGAUCUCUCUCCCGUUCGAACCCAACGGGUCGAACGGGCCCUUGACUUGCGCCCUGAUCGGGGGUGCCCAACCAAACCAUGGUUGGUGGGCCCCUGUGACCCGCGCUAUAUAAACAGAGGUGGGGGCCGGGGCACGAUCUACGAGGUUAAUCGCUGCCAUAAUCCCCACCUACAACCCCUACCGAUCUAGGGUUAGCGCGGUGCUCACGGGAAGCUCCACCACCUCGCCCACUCUCUGCCAUCGCCGUGCUCCCCAGCACCACGAUGGCCUCCAGCUCGAGUUCAUCUACUGCUGCACAAGGUAGGUGUACCGGAAUAUCUAGCCUACUCCGAUCCAAAGGUAUAUCAAUGGUAUCAGCCAGAUCGGGCUAGUGGAUUUCGGUACAAAGAAACAACAACAGAAAAAGAAAAAGAAAAAGAGAUCCCCUCCCCCAAAGAACCCUGGAAGGGCAAAGAAAUCUAAAAGAAAAUUUGUGCCGCCGUCAUGGCCGCACCCGUUCCUCUCGAUCCCCACACGCAUCAGCAAGCCGAGGUGCGGGGACGAAGAACCACCCCGCGAGGGGCAAAGUGCACCGCGGCCGAUCCGUUCGACGGCGGCGCGCUCACCACAGAGGGGAACGCGCAGCCGGCGAAGGGAAUGGCACCAGCGCCACCGUCGAGCUCCUCUCUCUCUCUCUCUCACUGCCAGGUAGUGGUGGAAGAGAAAGACAGAAAAGAAAAGAACGAAAAGGCGGAGCCUCGCCGCGCCGGGAAGCCUCGCCGUCGGCGGCUGGCCGGCGGCCAGAGGGAACCGCGGGCGCACAGGGGAGCAAGGAAUGGCUCCGUCGCAUCUCCCUGCCUCUCGAGUACAUGAGGCGUGGGAUAGGAGGGAGGAAAGAAAAGGAGAAGGAAAAGAGUGCCGCGGCGCGGCCCGGUGGCAAUCGUCGCCUUCACCGGUGGCCAGGCCCGGUGGCCCGGCGACCUGGACAUGCGCCACCGCCGCUAAGCGAGACAGAGAGCGGGGCCGCGCGAGGGGAGAGAGAAUGGGGCGCUAGGGUUUUCGUUCGGGGGGCGCUGCCCUGUUUUGAUCGAGCGAAACCAGCGGACAGCCGUCCGAUCGUCUUGAACGACCAGGAUGCAAAACCUAGCCCCGCCGCUGGGCCUCUUGGGCCGAAAGUGACGAGGCCGGCAGCCGGAUGCGCGCUGAACUGGCCUCAGGCCCUCUGGGCCGUAAGUGGCAGGAGGCCGGCUGCGGCAAGGCCGCCACGCGCGCUGGGCCGAGCCCAGCAGCUGCGGGCGCAGCAACGCGGCUGGGCCGCGCUGAGCCAAGGGUGGCUGGGCUGCGGUAGGCCGGGCCAGCUGCAUUUUUCUCUGCUGCAGUUAUUUUUUGUUUUCUCAGAGAAUAGAAAAAUUUCCAAAAAGAAAAGUUUAUGUAUUUUAUAAAGUAAAAGUUUCUGUAGAACUAAAAAAGUUCUUGAUUUUUUAUUCAGUCAUAGAAAAGUUUCUGUAAAAAAGUAAAAAGUUCGUGAAUUUUUAUUCAUGAUUUUCCGCUGCUUAAAUAAUUAAUGCUCUUUUACAAAGAAAAUAAAGUUUACAUAGUAUUAAGUUUUUAAGAGCAUGUUAAAGUGAUUAUUAAAAUGAAUAUGAUUAUGUUAUUUUUAUGACCAACGUUGUUAAUAACAUGAUCAUGUUUUAUUAUUGAAAUUUAAAGGUGCAUUUAUUUCUAAUUUUUGCCCAACGGUGAUAUAGAUUUAAUUGCAUAGACAGUUAUAUGUUUAAUUUGACCAACGUUAAAUUAAUACAUAUGAUUGUUAUAUUGAUGUCACUUAAAUUGUAAUUUCAGAAGGCUUUCAUUUGAUGAGUUGCCUAAAAGAAGUUCCGACACUCAGAGGUGACAACCACACUGAGUGGAGGAAGAAAGUUGAACUGCCGUUUGUUUGUGCUGAUCUUGACUGGGUUGUGGAGAAACCACAGCCGGUCAGACCCACAGAGCCAGUAAGAGAGGCUACUGACGAUGAUGCUGCAUGGGCUAAAAAGAAAGGGGACUAUGCUCCUUUGGAGCAGUCCUACCUCAUAGAUAAUCAAAAGUGGAUCAAUGCAAAUAAAAAAUGCAUGGCUUUUAUAAAGAACACCAUUGAGAGCGCCAUUGUGGGCUCUAUUGCAGAGUGCACUUCCGCAGGGGAGUUGCUCUCAAAGAUAAAGAGCCAGUGAAAGCCAGUUCACUGGCUCUUCAAAGAUAUAUGCCACCCAGGUGUUAGAGCAACUGGUGACAGAAAAAUACACAGGUGGUAGUCAUGGCAUAAGAGAGCACAUCCUCAGGAUGAGCAAUAUGGCAGCAAAGCUCAAACCCAUGGAUGCGGAUCUGGAGAUCAAACCAGCGCUCCUGGUCCACCUUGUCAUGGCUUCACUGCCGAAGGAGUUUGAAGCUUUUGUUGCGAACUAUAAUAUGUCACCUGGAACAUGGGACGUUCAAAAGACAAUAGCAAUGUGUGUUCAAGAAGAGGAGAGACUCAAAGCCUCACAUGGUGGUACACUCAACUAUGUGCAGGGUCACAAAAGAAAGAAUUACAAUCAAAACAACAAAAGUUCUCCUUCAAAGCCACAAGGAAAAGUUUCCUAUCAGCAUCAGCGUCAGCCACAGCCUUUCUCAGUGGACAAAGACACUUGUCUCCACUGUAAGAAGACCGGGCAUUACAAGAAAGACUGUCCUGUUUGGCUAAAGUCGAUCAUGGCAAAAAGAGGGAUUCCAUUCGACGCGGACUACGCUAAGAAGCGAAAGACGCAUUGAAGUGGCGAACGGAGUUGAAGCAGAAGUUGAAGCUGUCAGUGAUAUCUCCUUGGAGUUAGCUGAUGGAUUCAAUCUUCUACUUAGAGAUGUUUUAUUUGUUCCAUCAUGUCAUAGAAACUUAAUAAGUGUUUCUUGCUUGGACAAAGAUAAUUAUGAGUGUUAUUUUGGACAUGGCAAGUGUGCCAUUUGGUUAAAUAAUGCUUAUGUGGGUGAUGCUUUACUACAUGAUGAGCUUUAUUUGUUAUCACUUUGUGAAAAAGUUUAUUCCGUUUGCAAUGUGAAAGAACAUGUUUCUGCGUCGAAUAAAGAACAAAAGAAAAGAAAAAGAGCAUUUGACUCAUCGAAAUUAUGGCACUGUCGCUUGGGCCAUAUUUCGAAGGGGAGAAUAGAAAGAUUAGUCAAAAGUGAAAUUCUUCCUCCGUUAGAAUUUUCAGACUUAGAACAAUGCAUAGAUUGCAUUAAAGGAAAGUACGUAAAACAAAUCAAAAAAGGUGCAAUCCAUAGCAAAGGCACACUAGAAAUCAUUCACACUGAUAUUUGUGGACCAUUUCCGGUGAAAAGUGUGGAUGGAUAUGACUCGUUCAUAACAUUCACAGAUGAUUACUCUCGCUAUGGUUAUAUUUAUCCAAUCAAAGAAAGAUCGGAAGCGUUGGAUAAAUUUAAAAUAUUCAAAGCUGAAGUUGAAAAUCAGCACAAUAAAAGAAUAAAGAUAGUAAGGUCCGACCGUGGGGGAGAGUACUACGGUCGACACACUCCAUAUGGCCAAGUCCCUGGACCUUUUGCGAAGUUCUUGCAGGAGACUGGCAUAGUAGCCCAGUAUUCAAUGCCGGGCGAGCCUUAGCAAAAUGGAGUAGCUGAAAGGCACAACCGUACCCUUAUGGAUAUGGUGCGCAGCAUGAUGAGUUAUUCCAACUUGCCAUUGGGAUUAUGGAUGGAGGCGCUUAAAACCGCCAUUCACAUUCUCAAUAGAGUACCAAGCAAGUCGGUGCCCAAAACACCGUACGAGCUAUGGACAGGAAGGAUGCCCUCCCUACAACACUUCAGGGUGUGGGGGUGCCCUGCUGAGGCCAAAAUGUUUAAUCCAAACAUUGCAAAGUUAGAUCCCAAAAUAGUAAGUUGCCACUUCAUUGGCUAUCCAGACAGAUCAAAAGGUUUUCGUUUCUACUGCCCUGACAGAUAUACAAAGUUUGUAGAAACGAGACAUGCAGUCUUCUUAGAGGACGAAAUGAUGAGGGGGAGCUUGGUAGUUCGGAAAAUUGAUCUUGAGGAGAAGAGGGUGCAUGCACCUAAUCCGAUGAUUCAGGAGCCAUUUUUCUCACUACCAGUUGCAACUCCACCCAUGACAGCUAUGGGGGAAGAUCCGGAACCUGUCCGUCAGGAGCCGACUGAACCCGUUGUUGAGCAUGAAAGGGAGGUGCAACAGCAAAUUUUAGAAGAAGUGCCAGAAGUUGAGGCACAAAAUGUGCCAGAAACUGAGGCCCUUAGAAGGUCUACAAGACCAAGCAAGUCAGCUAUUUCUACUGACUUUAAAGUUUAUAACACAGAAAUGGUUCAUAUGGAAAAAGAUCCCACCUCAUAUGAAGAAGCCAUGAGAAGCCCUCAUUCAUCUAACUGGAUGAAGGCAAUGGAAGACGAGAUGAAAUCAAUGAGUUCCAAAGAUGUUUGGGACUUAGAGGAAAUUCCCAAAGGAGCCAAAACAGUAGGCUGUAAAUGGGUCUACAAAAUUAAGUAUGACUCUAAAGGGAAUAUAGAAAAGUAUAAAGCACGACUCGUGGCAAAAGGAUUUACACAAAGAGAAGGGAUAGAUUACAAUGAGACAUUUUCUCCAGUCUCAUGUAAGGAUUCCUUCAGAAUCAUAAUGGCAUUAGUUGCUCAUUUUGAUUUAGAGUUACAUCAAAUGGAUGUUAAGACGGCAUUUCUGAAUGGUGAUUUAAAAGAAAAGGUCUACAUGAAACAACCCAAGGGUUUUAUCAUGGAAGGCAAGGAAAAUAUGGGAUGCCGCCUGAAGAAGUCCAUUUAUGGAUUAAGACAAGCCUCUCGGCAGUGGUAUCUAAAGUUUAAUCAAACGAUUAAAAGUUUUGGAUUUAAAGAAAAUAUUGAGGAUAAUUGCAUUUAUGCAAUGUUUAAAAAUGAGAAAUAUAUUUUCCUAAUCUUGUAUGUGGAUGAUAUCCUGCUUGCUAGUAGUGAUGUUAGUCUACUACAAGAAACAAAGAAAUACUUAUCCUCAAAUUUUGACAUAACAGAUCUUGGUGAAGCAUCAUAUGUUUUGGGCAUAGAAAUUCACCGAGAUAGGAACAAUGGAGUCUUAGGACUAUCUCAGCAAGCAUAUUUAGAAAAGGUUCUUAAAAAGUAUAAUAUGCAUGCGAGUAAAGCCACACCUGCUCCAAUAGUCAAGGGCGAUAGUUUUGGGAAAUUUCAAUGUCCCAAGAACCAGUAUGAGAUCGAUCAAAUGAAAGCAGUACCAUAUGCUUCGGCAGUUGGCAGCUUACAGUAUGCACAAGUGUGCACUCGCCCUGACUUAGCUUUUAUCACCGGGGUACUCGGUAGAUAUCAAGAGAAUCCAGGCCUAGAGCACUGGAAGAUGGUAAAGAAAGCAUUGCGUUAUGCGCAAGGCACGAAGGACUACAUGCUAAUAUACAGGAGAAGUGAUUCCCUAGAGAUAAAAGGGUAUUCAGACGCAGAUUUUGCGGGGGACAGAGAUGAUAGAAAAUCCACGUCAGGAUACAUAUUCACCCUCUGUGGGGGAGCUAUUUCGUGGAAAAACUCCAAACAGUCGAUAGUUGCAUCAUCCACGAUGUAUGCAGAAUCCAUAUCGCCUGCCCCGUGGUAUAUCAGUAACAUCUGGUGUUGUUCUCGCUCUCUGCUCAACCUUGAUGGGAUCACUUCUGCCACAGCCAAGGAUAUUGAUGGCCAUGGCGAGAGAUGGGCUAUUGCCAUCCUUCUUCUCUGAUGUUAGCGAGAAGACACAAGUUCCUGUCAAGAGCACAAUCAUAACUGGCAUCUGCGCGGCUUCUCUGGCUUUCUUCAUGGAUGUUUCACAACUGGCAGGAAUGGUAAAGGAUCUAGGAAGCAUUAAAUAGUUGUUAUUUGAGAAAUUUGAUGAACCUUUCAUAGAACAUGAGCAGAUUAAGAAUUUAACGAGGGCUAAUGGUUGGAAUGUAGAGCUAAAGGAGUUAAGUUUGGUUGCAGGUCAGUGUAGGCACGCUCCUCGCGUUCACCAUAGUCGCCGUCUCCAUCUUGAUCCUCAGAUAUGUACCUCCAGAUGAGGUACCCCUGCCAACCUCUCUGCAAACGUCAUUCCGCUUAAGCCAAGAAUGUGAUGAGGAAAAGGUGGGGAGUCCUCUUGGAGAUGGGAACCAUGAACAGGGGACGUCUGAGAUUAAGGAUGUGAUCGUAGUAGAAUCAAUCAAUGACCCUCUUAUUGAGAAGCAGCUAUAUGCAAGUAAGUCUAGGAAAUUGCAUUUCGAGUUGGUCUAGUCUACAUUUCUGAGCAUGUGCAUUUUACUUAUCAGACCCUUUACUUAUCUAGCUGGCUAACCGGUUUCUCUGUCAAUCCAUCAGACAAAUUGGAUGAGUUAAAGCGGCGGAAAACCGCUGCUCGCAGCAUAGCAUCUGUAUGCGUAGGGGUGCUAAUCCUGACGGCUUCAGCUUCUGUAACGUUCCUGCCAUUGUAAGUACGGACCGGGCAUAUCUUGUUCCCACGAUGAACUUUCCUGUGCAAUGAAAUACUGACCUGUCUAACACGCGUCCCUCACCUUUCACGUCAGCCUGGUGAUGUGCUUAUUCUGCGUGUUUGGUGGCCUGCUCCUCCUAGCUGGUCUCGGAAUGCUCUCCUGGAUCGACCAGGACGACGGAAGGCACUCAUUUGGUCACUCUGGAGGUACACUUGCAUCACAUCAUUUUCACGCUUCUCUCCGUACUAGACUACUGGUAACUUGAUGUCACAGCUCCUUUCUGCCGCUCCCUCUGCAGGUUCAUCUGCCCGUUUGUUCCGCUGCUGCCAGUGAUGUGCAUUCUCAUAAACACAUACUUGCUCAUAAAUCUAGGGUGAGUACCUCAAAGCUCAAACAAUUAUCUCACUCGCUGAUAAGUUUACUUUCGCCAACAAAACAUUCAGAAUGGAAGGAUGCGUAUGUAUGUGUCUGAACGUUGCCAACCUCUGUGUAUGUUCUUCAGGGGUGGCAUGUGGAUGCGGGUCGGGGUAUGGCUGGUGAUGGGGAUCUUCGUGUACAUUUUCUGCGGCCGGACCCACAGCUCGCUGACGGAUGUCGUGUACGUCUCCCUGGCUCAGGCAAACGAGAUAUACGGUUCUUCCUCUUCGUCAGCGUUUGUGGCCUAGAUAGAUACUGUCGCAGAGCAUCCUUGAGAGAUCAUAUAUAUGAUCCGGGAUCCAUCUCACGGAAACCUCGAGCACCACCCUGAUAGGAGGGAUCUUCCCCCGCUGUCGCUGCUGCAUCCUGCAUGGCAAGGCAGGGCAUGGGAUCUGAAGAAUUCAACAAAUUCUGAAGCUGUGUACAUUGCAAUUUGUAGAUAUAGCAUCAUCAUAUAUAUGUGGCUCGUUGGAGGAAUGUAAAUAGUAAAUUUGUGCACAUAGAAGUGUAAGACUUGCAAUAUGUGCAAUAUUGCAAGGGGUGAUUCAGUUAAGUGUACGGGAGUUCAUAAAACUUCAGAGAUCUUGGGGUGACAUUGCAGCAGGAACCCAUCCUGAAUCAUCGUCAGUUCUUCAGUUUGCCAUGCAAUAUCUGAUAUUGUGAUUCAGCACCUCCAUUGCAACGGCAAGAGCAAACUUCACAGAUAGAUAGGCCACCAUUUGUAAUCGUACAGUUUCCACUUUAUUUCAGUUAAAGAACACUUGUGCAGCUCCACGUUUGAGUAUACAGCAACCAUCAAACCCAAGCUCUUCACCAGAUCAACUACAUUACGACCGAAUAUCCAGAACCAUCAAACCCAAGCUCUUCACCAGAUUAAACCAAGCUAUUCUAAAAACAGUAGUGCAAUCAAAUCCAAGCCAAUGCCUUAGGAGAGAACAAGUUAUGCACCAGACUAACUACAUCAAAACGCAUUACAGUAUGGAAGCAGUAUCAGUAUAUCCCCUUCUGUUUCCCCAGGUUCUCUGAAAAAAUCAUCUAGGAGUCGUUCUUGCGUAGGUUGUAGAAGAUUGAGCCAUCAAUCGUCUCCAUAGCCAGUUGAUUCAACCGCAGAAGGAUCAACAAGUAGGAUCUUCCUUUGCGCC